CUGCUCUUGUCGUCAUUGCUUCUCCUUGCAUUGCCACAAUGUUUCCCUCUUGGAGGUGCACAUUGAUAUGAUCAAGAGGCGCGUCUAGGCUGAUGUAGCUACCGGACUUCAUGUUUACGUAGUUUGAAUAGUUGAACAUGUUGAACCAGGUACCGGAUGGAAAAUAUGCAUUAACUGAAACCGCACCAGAUGUCAGUACUGGUGAUAUCAUUAGCCCCUUACCGAUGAGAAACUGAGAGUCGAUGGAGUAAGUGUUUGUGUCCUCGGGGAAUGAGAAGAAAAGAGGCCGCGCUAUAGGGAUGCCUUUGGUAUGUGCCUCGAACAUUAAUGUGUAGAAGUAUGGUAAGAGCCGGUAGCGUAGUCCAAGCACUUUCUUGGCAGUUGCAGCUACUGAAUCCCAGAUAUAAAGUUCUUGAUGGAUACUGAACUUCAUAGUGUGAUCCCUUGCAAAGGGAUAAAAUGCACCUAGCUACAUUCGACGAGAACUUGACUAUCAGAUAUCAGAAAAGUAUCAUACUUCAAAUUUGAAUUUUUCAUUUGAACAAAAAACUGACAUGCUGUUCCAUAGAGCACAAUCUAUGUUUCCCUGAAUAGAACAUAGAACGACAACAGAACAAUAAAAGAGAAGAAAACCAUUGCUAUAGAUAUCUCCACGGGUUUAAGCCAUACAAAUUAACCUUCUUUUCUAAUACACUUGACAAUAGUAUUUUACUCAAAAAUCUGUAAACAACAUUUUUCAGAGCAUUAUCAUUAACUUGAUAACACUGUUAGCAGAAAGAGUACUCCCUGGACCAGUUGGGUACACUCAUAAUUCUAAGGUCAAGGGGUGCCAGAGGCGGAUCUAGUAUUUAUAUUUAACGAGGUAAGGAUUCUGGGUUUUGGACAGUGACCACAAGUUCAUAUGCAAUAAUAACAGACCAUAUAAUGAGCAUCAAUAUUCAAUAUAUUAUCAAGUUUAGCAUAGACAUAUAACAAGACAGGGUAUUUAUAACUAGUCGUGCCUUCUCUGAUUCAACCUCCUUUUAUUCCUUAAUCUUGACUAAUUCAAUUUGACCCAAGGCAUAGCUAAGAUUUACGGGAUAGGACAUUAGUGUAUCUAAUACUACAUAAUUUAGAUGAGGAUCGCCGUCCCAAUUUGAAGUUUUCCUAGAAGUUUCACAAUUAAAUAAGAAAAAGAAGAACGGUCAUCUAGGCCAUUUUGAACUUGUGGACUGAGAUCAUAAACUUUCAAUAUAUGCAGAAAGGUAUUUCUUUAAAGACGAAAGAACUUGUACCUGAAUCCAACGGCGACAUAAUUCUUCAGUAGUAUUUUCAAAAAAGCCACAUAUAUCAGCUCCAACCAUGGGAAUCCCAAACAAUCCAGAACCCAAAGUGCUGGGAAUAAUAUAAGCCAAGUCAUCCCAAGUGGCUGCAUUAUCUCCCGUCCAAUGUGCUGUGUACUUGCCAGAACCCACAAAGGUUGAUUUGCCAAGUAUAAAUGGCCUUUUGCCAGUAAUAUCGAUUAAAGCAGCAUUGGUCGUUUUAGCUUCCAGAAAUCCGUAGAGGUUAUGAAGAUUGUACUCUUAAGGCAUUUCCAAAAUGCACUGAUGUUGCUGGGACAGUAAUCUCGUUAAUUGGACGUAAGCUUCCAUUGUUACUGAUCUUAUAAGGAGGGUUGUCAAGGGCAGAAAAUGGGGUUGGAGGCGAAGAGAUGAAGUUAGUUAUCUCGUUCAAGUCAAGCCAGAGCCCAUCAACAGGGAGAAGGUCAUGGAAAAUCUUGAUUUCGUUAUUCCAGAAGACUCUGCCUCGGGGAUUUAUGAAAUCAGGAAAGUAUACUUUUCCAGGGAAACCUUCGCCACGAUAAGGGACACCAUUGUGUUUGAUGAAAACGUCCGCUUGCAUCCCUCUCUGGUAUGUCUCAUAUGAGCUAUUUAUGCUGAUCCCUGUGAACAAGUUAUUGAGAUCAUAAAUGAAACAAGGGUAGUGCUCUGAUUAAGUCAUUUAACCGAUUACCUUCGUAAUUUCUAAACUUCUACAUCAACUUAAAGUAUAAAUAUUAACAAAAAAGAGGCAGCUCGGUGCACAAAGCAUCUCGCGGUCACACAAGUUCCGGGAAAGGCUACACCCCAAAGGAGUGUGAUGUAGGUAGCCUACCUGACGCUAAUGAAGCAAGAAGUUGAAUAUGUCAGAACUCACCUGGAUCCAAUAUGACAACAAAUUUCUGGCCAUUGUGGUGAAGUGCAUCGACAAGUUUCUUCAUCUGGUCAAGUGGGAAGUUAAUAGGAUCAAGUGUGAAAUCCUUAUAACCAUCAAUAUAAUCAAUAUCUGUCCACAUGACCUCAAGAGGGAUCUGAGCUUUUGCAUAGCCAGCAACCACAUUCCGAACAUCAGUAAUAUCUUUAUAACCAUUCGGCAUUGCUGAAAUCCUGUGGCCAACAAUUCACAAUAGAUUGCAUGAAAACAAUAUGUCCAUCUAUCUGUCUCAAACCAUAGAUGUACAUAUUGUAGAAAUAAAACACAAUCCUCAUAUUCACAACUAGUCAAAGCUCUAUCCACCCCAUUAUGAGUACUGAAAGAGGUCGGAUCACAUAACGUUAUAUAACCGGGCUCUGCACUAACGAAUGCUUGAGACAACAAGAAACUGUGCAUAUUUUUUAAGUAUCAAACAAAAUUUAAAUGUUAGGGCCAUAUGAAGUUAGUAAACAGAAUAAACACUACGAACCAAUAGGUAAUUCGCUAGCAUAAUUACAUACCAAAAGACCAGUAUGGCAUGGGCGCGGGGCGGCCAAUGAGCUCUGUGUACUGCUCCAUGACCGACUCUGGCACAGGACCAGCAAAGAAGUACAAGUCAAUGACCCCUCCAAUCACCUUGUAGGUAAUUCUGUCACCAGUAUAUACAAUGUCCAUACCAUUGCUAUUGAACAGCAAGACUCCGUGACUGGUCCCCACCCUAGGAUGAGACCUGACAUCCAUGUAAAAAGGGUGGGAACCAUACAAGUUGACGACAACAUUGAGACUAGGAAUAUCAACAUUCCAAAGAGUUAAUGUCUGGUUAUGCUUGACCUUAAAUGUUCUCUUGGUAUGCUCCCCGAGGCCAUAGAUAGAUGACCGAUUAUCUGGCAAUGAAGAGGACAGUUGAAGGUACUGAUCCUUGAAGAUGAGGAAUGUGUCCGGAGAUCCAUUUUUAGGUGAGGUGUCGAAAAGAACGUCUCCUGAGGAACGACGCGUGAUAGUGAAGCCAAAAGGGGUGGUAUUGUAGAGAGUGAAACUAAGGUCAGAAAUGGUGUUUGUGUGGAUGUAAUGCGUGUCUUCGUUAGAAGAGAGCUUUCCUAGGAGGGAGUUUCUGGGGGAUGAAUGUGUUUCACGGGGGAUAAAUUCUUGAGGAACUUCCCAUCUUUGGAAUACCUUUUUUCAAAUUACCUUCAAAUACUACUUUUUUUUUUUUUCAAAUAUCACUCAACUCAUGUACAAACAACUACUUAAAAUUAAGAGAAAAUGCAUCAAAAUUCAAUCAAACUUGUCUGUCCAACUUACUUUAGCACUUAAAUUAAUCUUCUAUUUAUUUACCCCUUAACAUCUUUAAAGUAAAUUAAUUUCAAACCUAAUAUUGACGUGACAUUUUUCUAAAAAAAAGAAAAGAAAAAAAAUGCGUGAAUUAUUUUUAUUUUUUAUUUUAAAAGCCAAAUAAUCUUAUAUAAAAUAUAAUAGAAAAAAAAAAUUCCCCCUUCUUCUUCACCUAUCCCACCCGUCAACACCCCCACCCCACUCCUCCCUUCAAUUGUCAUAUCCACCACCACCACCACUCAUUUCUUGAAUUUGACAACAAAAAAAUAAAAUUUCUUGAUUUGUUGUUGAAUCUACAUUCUGAUUUUGGUCUUUGGGGAUUUAUUAUAAAAUGAAUCAUUUGAUGUAAAUUCACAAAUUUGAAUGCAAGUGCUAAUUAAUUAUGUUUUUUUUUUUAGAAAUUUAUGAUGUUCUAUUUAUCUUGUUCCUAUAAUUUUUUUCAAUCUGGAUCAUUUCAUCUUUGAUUAUGUUCUUUUUUUUGCAGGAUAAUUUGGUAAAAUAAAAUUGGUACUAUAGAAUUAAUUAACUUAUCUAAGUCCUGCAUCUUUUUCUAUGCUGGAAAUGCUUGGUUUGGAUGCUUGGUUGUUGAUUUUAGAGAAUUUAGUAUUGAUUUGAUCGAAUUUAUUAGGUGGGUUAAGUUUUUUAUCACUACUUUAUGAUAUUUUUUUAUGGUGGUAAUGGCGAAAUCUAACGUGUGUGGGCAGGUGUGGCUGUGUGGGGGUGGACAGAGGUGGAUGGGGGGUGCAGGUGUGGCGGUGGACGUGAGGGGGAGGGGAAGGAGGGAUGGUUAUGAAGAAGAUGGAAAAUGGGGGUGGGUAUUUUUAAAAUUUAAAAUAUUUUAUAUAUAUUUAAAAAUAUGUAUAUGUAUAUAUAUAUAUAUAUAUAAAUGUUUAUUAAUAUUAUAUAUAUAUUUAUAGAAAAAAUAUUUAAAAAACACUUUAUUUAUGUUGCUCCGACAUGGAGGUGAUGUGGCGCUGAUGUAUCAAUGAGUGUGAUGCACUCUCUAUUAUGAGAGUGUUAUUAUAUAUUAAGGGGUGAAAUUGUUUUCCUUUAAAGAUGUUAACGGGAUAAAUGAAUAGAAGAUUAGUUUAUGUGCUAAAGUAAGUUGGACAGACAAGUUCAGGAAGAUUUUGAUGCAUUUUCUCUGAAAUUAAUGAAAUUUCAAUAAUUAUAUAAUAUAAAAAUUUAUCAGUAUCAAGAUCAUUACCAAGCAGUAAGGCUGAGAAUUUGAAUAUCAGGUCCAUAAACAGGAGAACCUUUGAUGAGCUGAAGACUAGCUGUCAAUGUCCUACCAGAUGAGUCAACACCUACUGAUCUAACAAUAUAGCCAUAUCCAAUUGGUUCAGAAUUUGUUUUAAGUGCUAAUAAUUGAACCAAUAAAGUGAAAUACAAUAGAAAAUUGGAUAGAACAAUUAUAGGACAAGAUUUUAUAGAUUUAUCAGUACUCAUUGUGAUAAGGAAAAUAUAAUAAUGUCUGAACUUUGUUGUAUGAUAUUAUAUGGGAAAUGGAAGAUACUGUAUGGUCCCACACUCAACUAUAUGUGGCUGCUAAUGGAAGGUGCAGGGGCGGCUAAUGGAACUUUGUUGUAUGAUAUUAUACGGGAAAUGGAAGAUAGUGUAUGGUCCUUUAUUAAAUAGUCCCGCACUCAACUAUAUGUAGCUGCUAAUGGAAGGAACAGGGGCGGCUAAUGAUAUUUUACUAUGGGUCUCAUGCAUGGAAAAUUUUAACAUGGGCGAUGCACAACUAUUAUUAGUUGUAUAAGGGAUUUUUUUAAUUGAUAAUAUAAUAUUCUGUGGGACCCACCACAUCAACUUAGUUGUCCUAUUCAUCCGACCCAUUUUUUCCUUUGCUUUUUAUUUGUCUAUCCUCCUGUCCUUACUCUUACCUCUUCUUCUUCUUCUUUUUUCACAUUUUUUGGAUUUAUCAAUUUUAUACUCCGUUAGUUUUGUUUUGCUCCCUUCAUUUUAUUUUACUUGUCAUAAAUAUUUUAAUUUUAUUUCUAUAUUUAUUUGUCAUUUGGUACUUAUCAAAAAAAAAUAUUUUUUUAUUCUUACUAUUAAUUAUUUUUUAUUCAAAUUAAAAUAUAAACAUCAUUUAAUAGGAAUAUUACGGUUAAGUAGUCAUGUUAUUAAUUAUUUUUCUUAAUCAAUGUGUCAAGUAAUAUUGUGACAAGUAAAAUAAAACGGAGGAAGUAUUUGAUUUGUUGAAAAUAAACAUUCAUUCAUUUAUUUAUUUAUUUAUUUAUUUAUUUAUUUUAACAAGUAAAUAAAUAAAUAUCAUUUUUAAUACUAAUAUCAUAAUUAAAUAACUACAUAAGAUUUUAAUAGUUAAAUUUUCGAAUAUCAGAAAACUUGGAAAUUUUUUGUUAGAAAACUUUGAAUAUAACAUUUUCAGAAAAAAAAAAUAAUUAAAUGAACAAAAAUGAAAUUUAAAAAACUUGUGACUUCCGUCAAUAGGUUCAGCUGAAUGAUAAUUUUUUUUAAAAGAACCUCAUGCUUCUCCAUAAACUUCAAACGUCGUUUCACUAUUUUCUUAUAAGUUCAUUUUUACACAUAAAUUAAAUUGUGUUUGUAUUAGAAGUUUACUCCCUCAGUUCUUCAAUAAGUGAAUUAUUGGAGUAUUUUUAGGGUUCAAAAUAAGUGACUGAUUCACAAUUCAAGGUAGAUUUUGAAUUUUUUUUUAAAAUUUACCUUCUAUUAAAUGUGCAUUGGGAGUGAUGUAUUAUUAUAUAUUAAGGUUUAUAAAUUUGAAAAGGAUAAAAGUGGAAAAACAUGAUAAAUUUAUGUCUUUACUUUUUUUUCUUAACAUGUAUGUCAAGAUUCAACAAUUAACUUAUCAUGAAACGGAGGAAAUAUUUAUCAAACUAAUCUUAUUAUUUAUAUUUUGAAAAUUUAAAUUUGAUUACUAAUAGUUUAUAUAAUUUUUUAGUGAUGAAUACUAAUAAAUUAACAUCAACUUUUUAUUUUUUAAAAUACAUAAAUAAAAAGAAAAAUUAUUUCAGUGGGCCAAAUAAAAAAAUAAAGAGAGUAACAAAAUUGGGUUUUAAAUAGAAAAUAUGUGCAAAAUUAACUAAAAGAUAUAUGAGGAGAUGAGGGGAAGGAAUACAUUUUCUGACCCAACAGGCCCACAAAUACACGUGUCAAUAUAUAAAAGAUGCCUCACACAACUAUUGUUGGUUGUGUUUCACUCAUGUUAAAAUUUUUCCUCAUGCACCACCUAACAUAUUUGCAUGAGACCCUAUUAUUUUGAUACAUAAACUUUGUUGGUCCUAUCUAUCAAAUCAGUUCUUUCUUUCUCCAUAUUCCUUUACCUUUUUUUUUUUAAAUAACUCAUCUUUUUGCUCUUUUGUUUUAGAGUUAAUUUUUAUUUAUUUAUUUAUUUAUUUAUUUAUUUUGUCUUUCUUUAUCUUAGCUUUUUAAUUUUUUUCGUGCUCAUGAAACUAAUCAAAUUAAUGAUCUUUUUAUCUUCCUAAUUCCUACUUGUAGAUAUUUGCAAUCAUAUCAAAUUUAUAUAGUAUUUUUUUGUUUUAAUUUAUUUAUAUAGUCCUUGGGUGUUUCAAGGGGUCUAGCAGGUCGGCAUAAGGGGGACUGGUGGUGGAAUGAAAAAGUUAAAAAGAAAGUGGAGAAAAGAAGGGGGCGUAUGUGAAGUUGAUUGAGAGUAAAGACGAAAAGGGAAAAUGGGGGAAUUGUGAGGUUUACAAAGUAGCAAGGAAAGAGGCUAAGUUAGCAGUUAUGGCUGCUAAGACAGUAGCUUUUGAAAGCUUGUAUGCGAGGUUAGAUGAGAAAGGAUGGGAAAAAAGGUUUUAUAGGCUGGCUAAGGCUAGGGAGAGGAAGGGUUGUGACCUCGAUCAAGUGAAGUGCAUUAAGGGGGAGUGGUAGAGUUUUGGUGGGGGAUGUUCACCUUAAGAAGAGAUAGUAGGAGUAUUUUCAUAGACUUCUAAACGAGGAGGGGGACAGAGGCAUUGUGUUAGGGGAGCUGGAGCGCUCGGAGAAGAGUCGUGAUUUCAGUUACUGUAGACGUUUUAAGGUUGAGAAGGUUAGAUAGGUUAUUCGUAGGAUACAGAGGGGUAGGGUGAUGGAGCCUGACGAGAUUCCGGUGGAUUUUUAAAAGUAUACUGGUGGGGCAGGUUUAAGGUGGUUGAUUGAUUUGUUUAACGUUAUUUUUAAGACGACGAGAAUGCUUGAGGCUUGGAGAUGGAGUAUGAUGAUUCUGUUAUAUAAAAACAAGGGUGACAUUCAUAGUUGCAACAACUAUAGUGGUAUUAAACUGUUGAGUCACACUAUGAAGAUUUUGGGAGAGGAUGGUUGAACAGAAAUUGAGGAGGGUUGUGUCCAUUUUGGAGAAUCAGUUUGGUUUUAUGCCUAGUCAUUCGACGAUAGAAGCAAUCCACCUGGUGAGAAGAUUGGUGGAGCAGUAUAGGAAAAGAAAGAGGGACUUGCACAUAGCGUUCAUCAACCUAGAGAAGGCGUACGACAAAGUCCCUAGGGAGGUUCUUUGGAGUGCUUGGAGGUGAGUGGAGCUUCGGUGGUGUACAUCAAAGCUAUUAAGGACAUGUACGAUGGAGGAAAGACUCGGGUGAGGACGACGGUAGGAGACUUAGGGCAUUUUUCGGUUGAGACAGGUUUGUAUCAGGGAUCGACUCUUAGUCCAUUCCUUUUUGCGUUAGUGAUAGACGUGCUGAUGCAAAGUAUUCAAGGGAAGGUGCCUUGGUGUAUGUUAUUUGCGGAUGAUGUAGAGUUGAUUGAUAAGACGCGGGGAUGUAUGAAUGAGAAAUUGGAGGUUUGAAGGCAAACCCUUGAAUCUAAGGGUUCAGGUUGAGUAGGUCCAAGACGGAGUAUUUUGGAGUGCAAGUUUAGCGACUCGAGUCAGGAGGACGAAGUGACGGGAAGGUUGGAUUUCUAGGAUGUUUGUAAGAGGGAUAGUUUUAAGUAUUUGGAUUCUAUGAUUCAGGGAAAUAACGAGAUUGACGAGGAAGUCUCCAAACAUAUUAGAGUAGGUUAGAUAAAGUGGAGGCUCACCUUGGGAGUGUUGUGUGAUAAGAAGGUACCCCUUAAGCUUAAAGGUAAAUUCUACAGAGUGAUAGUCCGUCCGGCCAUGCUGUACGGAGUGGAGUGUUGGCUAGUCAAGAACUCCCACAUUCAAAGAUUGGAAGUGGCGAAAAUGAGAAUGUUGCAUUGGAUGUGUGGACUCACUAGAGGGGAUAUAUUUAGGAAUGAGACUAUCCGGGAUAAGGUGGGAAUAGAUUUGGUGGAGGACAAAAUACGAGAAAGAAGGUUGAGAUAGUUUGGGCAUGUAAUGAGGAAGGGCACGGAUGCCCCAGUUCGGAGGUGCGAGAGGCUAGCUUUGGAUAGCUUCAGGAGGAGUAGAGGUAGGCUGAAGAAAUACUGGGGGGAGGUAAUUAGACCUGACAUGGAGCAGCUUCAGCUUACUGAGGACAUGACCCUAGACAGGAAGGUGUGGAGGUCGCGGAUUAGGGUAGAAGGAUAAUGUGAGCGUGUGGAUUGUAGCAAGGUGGUAGGAGAGCGCUUGUGUAGCCGGGUUAGUAAUCCUAGGGUUGUGUUCGUGAGUAGGAGCCUUUAGUUAGGAGAGUUUGGGUGUGGUGGGUGUCUUUGGUCUGUGAGUGCAUGUUACUACUAGGUGGGUGUCCUCUUUCUUAUUUCUUAUUUCGAAUUGCUAGUAUUUCGCUUAUUUUAGUAUUUCUCUGAUAUUUAUUUUGUAUUUUAUGUUUAUUAUUUCUUAUCUCGUAUUUCGUUUAUGCUAUCUAUCCUGUUUCAUGUUUCAUUACGAUUUUGAUGUACUAUUCUUUAUCUUGAGCCGGGGGUCUAUUGGAAACAACCUCUCUACUUCUGCGGAGGUAGCGGUAUGAACUGCGUACAUCUUACCCCUCCCCAGACCUCACUUUGUGGGAAUACACUGGGACUAUUGUUGAUAUGUCACUUUUCUAGAAGUUCAUUUCAAAAAGAAUGUCUUUUUUAUUUUCUAUUUUUUUAUUUUAACUGUUUACAUGACAUGUUUAAAAUCACAAAAGUUAAAGAAUACUUGAAUAUAUUUUAUAUUUUUUAAAUUUAAGAUCAAUCAAGAGCCGGUUUGGAUAGGAUUAAAACUAACUUUUUAAUUUAUAUGUUUAAAAGCUGAAAAUAAAUGUUUAGAAAUUAAGAAGAUAAAUGUUUGGAUAAAAGUGUUGAAACUGAAAAGAAGUUGUGGAUGUGCUUGAUAAACAAGGGUUGUUAAACACUUUUUUACUAUCAAAAUGACUUAAAUACUUUUAAAGCUGCUAAUACCAUAAAUAAGUUAAAUUAUAUAUAAUUUUUAAUUCUAAUAAUUCAAAAACAAAGAAAAAUAUGAAGAGAAAACUAGAAGAAAGAGACGGAGAGAAGAGGCAAAGAGAAAAAUAAAGAAAACUAAUAUAUUUAAAGGCUGCAAAUUUAGGGUAUUGUUGAAAUUGAAGAAAAAUAUAAGGAAUAAGAAGGUAAAUGUCUAGGUCAAACUAAAGAGAAUUUUAGUUUAAAAGGUAAAAAAUUGGGGGUACCCGGCGUCUCACUUUUUUUUAAAAGCAAAUUUUAACAUUUUUAAGUACUUUUUAAUUCUACCACACAUCUAAAAAAGUUAAAAGGAAAUUAAAAGUUGAUUUGAUCAGAUUUUAAUCUUAUUCAAACGAACUCUAAAAGUUAUUUUAAUUUAAUUUUUUAUGUCUAUUUAAUGAUAGGGCAACUCUAAAAUUUUAGGAAAAGAGUACUAAAAAAAUUAAAAUCAAUAUUUAGAUUUAUGUAUGUAACGUUCCGAAUCUAGUACCCUGAAUGCUACACGGUGCUCAUGAUCCCGAAGAAUCACAAGCUAACCCAUGACUGAUAUCUGUAUCUGAACACUGCAUAAUAUACUGUAUAAAUACGGAAAUAGUAGGCUGAAACAUGCCAUAAGGUUCAAAACUGAUAAACAUCUGAUAAAACAAUAUCUGAAUAAUAUGGUACGACAAUACUAAAACUGAAACAAUGUCAGAAAACAUCUAGUCUGAAAACACUGUAGUUUGAAAGCCUCUAAACUAUUUGAAUAAGGAGUUGAUGAGACAUGUCUUCAACUAACUCCAACUACUGAAAUAAACUAAAUAAUGAAGAAAUAAAGUAAUGAUCAUGUCCUCGAAGGAUGAGGACUCACUGCUAACUUUGACUGCUAAAACUGGAAUGCUACUGAUGCUCUGGAGCUCGUGCUUCUGAACCUAUGGUAUAGAAUAAAACACCAUAGCGUAAAUGUGUCAGUAAGAUUGAAUGUACUGGUAUACAUGUGAGGUAGGCUGAAUGCAAAGGGUUCAAAUGCAUGAACAAUGCUAACUGACUGUAUAACAUGAACGUGAGAAUACAUGCAUGAAUAAGUGACUGUGACUGAAUUCGUGAUGGUACUGGAUACUGAGUCUGAUUACUGAUAACAUAAGUCACUAAUAACUGAUAUAACUGAUACUGAGUGACUGUAGCUGACAGUCUAGGUUUUGAUGAAACUAACUGAGUUUCGUACUGUUUUGAGUUGAUUGUAUCUGAUAGUCCUUAAAUUUUGAAGAAUUAUCUGAGUUCUAUUACUGAGACUGAGUCUAAAACUGUAGCUGUAGGAAGUAGUCAUCUAAUUGACAUGCCCCAAAUAAAGCAAUAUAGCUAGGUUGGGGUCCAAUUCGUAAUCUCAAUUGGAAGGGUGUCAAUAUCACGCCACUAAUAAAGACAAGCUGUGGGUGACCCUCAUCUGAUAGUGUCCCCAAAAGAAAAUGAUGGAACCCUCAUCUUACAGUGUUUAUCCACCUCAUCAACCCUCAUCUGUCAGUGUUGAUGUCUCAACCUAUACUGGCUAUAUAGUUCUGGAAUGCAAUGAUUGCUUCUAAGGAUAACACCCUCAACUGUCACUGUGUCCUCAUCCUUGGGUUCACUCAGUGCUAAAUCCUACUUCCAUCUGAAUAGACACUAAACAUGAUUAACUAAACUGAACUGGACUGAGUUUAUUGAGUUUCAUUGACUGUUGGAAUACUACUGAGAUUACUGAAUUACUGAGCUUUCUGAGAUUAUUGGGAUUACUGAGUUUACUAAGUUUUCUUGAGUCAUAUGACUAACUGAAUUCUACUGAACAUAACUUGACUGAGGAUAUCGUGAGAACAUGACACUGGCUCUAGACACACAGCUAAAUUAUCGGGUACAAGUAUCCCCAGGACUCGAUAGAAGGAAACUGACAAGGCAUGACAUUCUUGAACACAACCAACAUCAAUAAUCCAUAAUACAAUGAGUUGGGGAUUUCAUGAAGUACAUGGUUAUCAUAAUCUUAUACAUGGUAGGAAUGCAUAUACUCAAUAUCAUAAUUUCAUACUCUAACAUCAUGAGCAUUCCAACAAACAUCUAUAUUGCACAUCAAUAGCAUGGGAGUCAUUCGAACAUAAGGGUAAAACAUGAAUCCUUCACUUAAGUGACAAUUGAGUCAUAUUACAUAAUUUCUAGUCUCUUAGGCAUUUUGUCAAACACUUAAGGUGCAUGACUUAAGGCAUGGAAUAAUCAUCAAAUUAACAUAUCAUAACCAACUAAAAUUCAUGGUUUUCAACUCACAUGCUAACAUAUUUUCAUAAAAACACAUUAAGAUUCCAACUUGAGAAUCAUACAACAACAACCACCACAUGAACAUAAUCACCACAUAGAAUGAAUAUCAUAAUUCAUAGUUUAAAACUUGAUUCUUGGGCUUCAUGGACGAAAGGAAUCCAUGAAUGAACACUAUGCAUACCUAAGAAAGGAAACCUUGAAGGUUCUUGGAGUUCUUGGAUGGAUUUCUUGAGAUUGACCUUGAUUCUCAAGGGCUAGGGUUUUAUUUUCUUGAGAGAGAAUGUUCUUGAUAGUGGGGAAAAAGUGAAUAAUAAGUAGCUAAGGAUGUUUUUAAGGCUUAAAUCCCACAUCUUAGUGGAAUAAAAUCAUGACAAAAGACCCAUUUAACUCUGGACGCGUCUUUUAAUUUUUGUGAAAAUUUUUCGAUCUGAACCCCUGGCGUGAAGCGGCGCUAUAGCUACAUGUCUCUGGAAAGUGAAAACUAAAAAAUUUCAUGGUGGCGCAACGCGGUACAAUCACGUUGCCACCUUGGACGCGACCUGGAAUCUCACCGCGACACGGUGGUAUCGCGUUGGAACACUGAAAAAGGAAAAUUGUGAACUGGGCCUUUGGCGUGACGUGCCACUAUCGCGGAGCAACAAUGGAAAUUGACAAUUUCCGUUUAAGUUGGCUCCGCGAUGCGCUGAUUGCUCAGGUGAUACACUGUCUCACUAAAAAGGUUCAACUCUUUGCCCGGGUGUCGGAUUUGGGCGAAUUUGAUAUCGAUGGAAAGCUUAUUGAAUUUUUCACACAACAAAAAGUAAAAAUCUUAAAAAUUCCAAGUAUAUAAAAGUGUAUUCAUCCUUAAAGCAUUUCUUUGACAUCUUCGGGAUGAAUUUAAGUUAGGUAGAACUACGGGGUAUUACAAUAUAGGACCCACUCCAUUUUUUGAUCCUAUCAACUUUAAAUUUUACUAUACCAGAGAUACCCUUAACAAUAUAAAAUAUGUGAUGAUUCUUAAUUUCUAAAUUUUAGAUAUAAAUUUAAUAAUAUUAAAUCAUAAUAAAUAAUGUCAUAUAGAAUUACGAAAGAUAAAUUUAUUACUUGUGAAAUUUAAUUUUAAAUUUUCAAUAUCCAAAAUUCUUUAUACUAACAAAAAAUUAAGAGAAUAUAAUUAAAAAUAAAUUACCACCAUAGUUGAGUGAAAAAAAAUUAAUUUGUUUAUAAAUACCAAUAAAUAAAAAUUAGGAGGAAAUAAAAACAAAGAAAAAUAAUAAAAACAUCAAUUUAUUUAGUACAGUAACACGAGAAAAAAAAUUGAAGAACAGAAAAAGAAAGAAAAAUUAAAAAAAAAGUAAAUAAAAGUUAACCCCAUAAAAGAAAAAGGAAAAGGAAAAAAGUGAUUUGUCCAAAAAAUGAAAAAAUUAAAUAACUUAGGAAAUAAAAGAAUAUAAAAAUGCAAAUUAAUUUAGGUGGUGGGGCCCACAAAGCUUAUGUGUCAAAAUAAUAGGGACCUCAUGCAAAUAUGAGAUGGUGCAUGAGGCCUAUAGUAAAAUUUUUCAGCCGCCUUAGACCCCCAAAUUUGAGAGGCAUCAUUUUUUAGGAUAAUAUAUUAUAAAUAUUUUUAAAAAAUGAAAAAAUAUUUUUAAUAGAAAAAUUAAGUUAUUUUAGAUAAAAGGAAAGAAUUAUUAAAAGUUCAUAUAUCUAGAGUGUUUUGUCUCAUGAAAGAUUAAAUGUAUUAAUUUAUUAUUUCUUAAAAAGGAAUAAUUUAAAAAAUAAAUUAUAUAAUUUUUAAAAUAAAGUUUAUUAAAAAAAUAUUUUUUUCUUAAAAUUUUAAGGCCUCCGUUUGACUUUCGCCUUAGGCCACCGAUUUUCUUGAGCAGCCCCUGGGAAGGUGGCAAGUAUUUCACGAAUUUAGUCGAGGUGCAUGAAAGUUGAACUAGAUGCCAGCAUUAUAAAAAAAAUAAUUUUUGAAGUUUCAACUAUAGUGUUUCAAAAUUUUCAAGUUUAGUGGUUUUUUAAUGCGGAUUUAAAUUUCAUAUUAUGUGGGAAAUGGAAAACAUUGUAUGGUCCUUCAUUCAAUGGUUACAUACUCAAGUAUCUAUUGGUGGUGGUGGAAGGUGACAAGUAUUAUGUGAAUUUGGUCGAGGAACGUUGUAAGAAAAUCAUUUUUUUACUGUUAACUAAACUAUAGCUAGUAGUGUCUAUGUUACAAAUUCGGACAAGUAUAAGUAUAAUCGUCCAAUAGAUUAUUGUGAAAAUUGAAAGAUGUUGUCUAAUACCUAAACAACAAAUUCACCAACCAAAUUGAAGAAAAUGGAAGGAAAAUGGCAUCGUCUCUAGUUACCAAACAGUUUAUCGGGGCUCCGUUUUCCAGAUUCGGAUCGGUUCAGCUACCAUCCAACUUCUCCUCUUCUAACCUUCAAACUCCUAGCUCACCGAUUGCAGCCUAAACGAGUAGGUGAAACUUUGUGCCCUCCACCUGUUUGUUAAAAUGUUUGAAUGAACAACUUUAGGUUUAUCACCUUUUUCCUUGUUUUUGUGUGAAUUAAGACAUUGGGUUUUAAACUUUCUUACAAUUUUCUUGUUUUGAGAACUAUGGUGUCCGAGUCAGUUUAUGUGCACCUUAAAUAAUUUCGCAUGAUAUCUGUCCACUUCCUACUAGCGAUGGAUAGAUAUCAGGUAACUCUAAAGCUAAAUUUAUGUGAUACCUCUCCUUCAUGUAUAAAUUUGGUGCAAAAAUUUCAAGAACAAGACUAGUAUGGAUGUUUGGCAGGUGGACUGAAUAAGUUACUUCUUUUAAUCUUAUAAUUAUUCAAUUUCAUUAGUAUCUUUAUUUACCUGAUUCAUGCCAACUCUUGCUCAGUAAGGACAAAUCAGGGAUGAAUCUAUAAACAAAAGUAGAUUGUUAUGUCCUUUAAAUCGUAAUUGAAUCGUGAGAGAGAAAUCGAAGAUUCAAUCGAAUAGAAUUGAGAUUUUAUUGAUAAUAGUUCAGUAAAAUUGUUACAAUAGCAUUCACUACUACAAGAUUAUUGCGAACCAAACUCCAUUGAUAAGAAUCUAGCUUUGUAAUCUGUGAUAGUGCGUUAAUGGUGAGGAAGAAUUAGUCGAGGAAGAAGGAAAACGCAAAAAGAACAAGAGCAACAAAAUAACCCUGUCCAAAUCUAUUUAGGCUCCGCUCCACGUGUGUUGGUAUAACCGUUUGGACCUGCUCUAGCUAUCACCCAUCAUUUGGUCGUUCAUCACUUUAAUGAAGGAUCCAUCUUGUCCGUUUAUUUUAUCUCAUUCUAUGGCUUCCACAAGGACACAACCUAAACUGUGCCAUCGAAUCACUUAACAUAUAAUCCUACACUACUUUCCCAAUUCACACUUUCCCAAUUCACACUUUAGGAUCUAACAAUACCCCUCUGAUCAAAUUGACUUUGUCCUCAAGGUCAAGAUUGAGAUGAAAAUGCCAGAAAUUGAUGAUGAAUGUAAUUUCAGUCCGCCCAGGUUUCUUCCUCAGGGCUAAAAUUAGUUCAACAGACCAAAACCUUUACUGCAGAAGUGUUGUUCUCCUUCAUCAUACAACACUGAAGAAUGGCCAAUGGCUGCACAAUGACUAGACCUUCGUCAUCAUAGAUUGGGGCCUUACGAUGUAGUACAACAGAAGGACCAAUGCAAUAUUUCAACUACGAAACAUGGAAAACAAGGUGGAUUAUGGAUCCAGCAGGAAAUUCCAAAUGGUAUGCUACUGUACCAAUUCUCUGUAAGAUCCUGUAGGGUCCAUAUUAGCAAGCACUCAAUUUUAAAUUCCGUCGAAUGACUAAUGUUACUCUGGUGGUAAGACUGGAGUUUGAGAUAGACUAAGUCACCUUCCUAGAGCACACAUUACGAUCUAUUUUGAUCAGCAUAAAAAUUCAUACGUGACUGAGCCUGGAAAAGAUUGUCCUUCAGAGAGUACAAGAGUUAUUGUUAGUGAGUCAAGUACAUCCCAGCCUGGGAUUAGUAGGAUGUAGAAGGGGCCCUAGCGAAAUAUGAGGUGGGGCAAACCCGUAUAAGGCCUGAAAAGAAGUGUAUUGAUAGCAGUAUGGUGGUUAGUAUUGUACCACCACUCAGAUAGUAGUAGAAAGGUGGUCCACUGUUUAGGAUUGUUAGAGGUCAUAGCCCGUAAGUAGAAGUUAAGACAACGAUUUGAACGCUUCAUUUGACCAUCGAUCUGGGGGUGGUAGGAGGUUGAUAGUUUGAGUUGAGUGCCCAUAGAUUUAAAUAUAGUUUGCCAGAAUUAGCUAGUAAUAAUGGGUCACGAUUAGACACGAUACUCUAGGGAAGACCAUGUAGCUUGUAAGUUGAUGUUGGGUGUAUUUAUACACUUUAGUGUUGCUAUCCUAACUUAUUUAGUCUUGUUUUAAGGACAAUUCAUGUUCUUUAUGUGUUGAUAUAAAUAAGCAUCUAAGUGUUCAAGUAUGUAAUUACAAUGUUCAAUGGUGUUUUCAAACAAGUUUGGGUUUAAAUUGAUCAUUUAGAGUCUAGACGAGAAAACUAGUUUACUAGCUUUUGCUAGGUAUUGUUCUAGUUGUUUUCUAUAGAUUCUAGUGGGUGUAUUGAGUUCCUCAGGUUAUUAUUGUGUAAUUAUAUCUGGAACAACUUGUUUGUAAUGUGCAAAGUUCAAUUGGAUCGAGUCAAGAGUCGGAACAAUAAGUUAAAGAUCAAUGUGGGGAAAAAUGACCUUCUGAACCCCUGUACUAUGUCAGUUUUGUAAGUUGGACACUUCUACUUACAUGUUUGUCAUCUGGACCCUUGAACCCAUAAAAAAGCAAUAUUUUGCACCCUUUGACCUUUGACCUUGCCUAUGUGGCAAGGUCAUGGUGACUAAGACAGAGAGUGUAGCCACUCGCCUGGGGUGCGAGUGGGGGUCAUUUUUUGGCCAAUUUUACAUUAAAAUAAUUUUAAAAAAUAAAAAAAUAUUAAAAUUUAAAAAAAUUUCAAAAGGAUCCUUUUUUCCCUCUAUCUUUUUAAAUUUUAAAAUAUUUUAAAAAAUUUAAAAAUAAUUUUAAAAUAUUUUUAAAAAUUUAAAAAUAAUUUAAAUAUAUUUUUAAAAUUUUAAAAAUAAUUUAAAAAUAUUUUUAAAAUUUUAAAAAAAAAUAAAAAAGGGUCCUUUUUUCUCUCCAUUUUUUUUAAUUUAAAAAUAUUUUUAAAAAUAUUUUUAAAAUCAACUUAUUUUCCUCAAAUUUUAAGAAAAAUAACUUUCCUUCAAAAAGUAAGGAAAAUAUUUUUUAAAAUUCUCUUCAACCUCUCUCUCAGGUUGAAAUAUUCAUCAACUCUCAAAAUCAUCCAUUCCUGCCCACUCAAAAAAAAAUAGCAUUUAGCGACGAAAUUUACCGACAGAUUAUUUUCUGUCACUGAUUAGUGACGGAUUAGCGACGGAAGCAUCAAUUUUGUCGCAAGCAUAGAAAGUACCUUUUUAAUUUAUGAUAUAGCAAUAGAUCAAAAACAGGUUUUUUUUCAUCGCCAAAUAUUGACGUAAAAAUUUGGUCCCUUAAUUCCGUGACGGAUUUAGCAACAAAUUAUGUGUAAUCAUUUUAAUAAAUUUGUAGCAAUGAAUUUAGCAACAGAUAUUUGUGUCAGUAUCAUUUAUAAUAUUUUUAUAAAUUUUAUUUAUUACUAGCGAUAGAAUAAUCUGUCACAAGUAUUUAUAAUUAUUAAAAUUAGUAUAUGUUUAUAUUCUCAAAAUAUCUAGGGCGGCAUUCAUUUUAUAAAUUUUUCUUAUUUAAUUAAAUUAAUUUUAAUAUUUAAUUUGGUUAUGUAGAAUUUUAAAAAUGACUUAAAAUUUAAUGUAAUACUUUUUUUUAAAAAAAUGAUGUGACAGAUGAUGUGGCAGACGUGUUAGGCCUGGCAGCUGAUAUGGCAGCUGAUGUAGGGGAGAGUGUGUUACACUCACCAACAAAAGGGUUUAAAAUGUUGCUUUUAGUGGGUUCAGGGUUCAGAUGACAAACAUGCAAGUAGAAGUGUCCAACUUACAAAAUUGACAUAAUACAGGGGUCCAAAAGGUCAUUUUGCCAUCAAUGUGGACAAGCCUAGUCUUAGAUCGUGUUUUAGUUAAUUGCUGUGAAUGUUGUAUUAUUUUAAACUCUAAUAUUUAGUGUUUGAUCAUGUAGGAUGCUUGGUGAUUUAAUUAUGGUGAUAUAUUGAUGAAAUAUAAGCCGAAAACCAAAGGAAAACAAUACCAAAAGGCAAGGGAUGGAAAGAGAAACAUUUAGAAAAAUAUAGGUGUCAAGAGGCAAUUUCUAGUGAGCCUACGCAUUUGGGCCUCGACUGUAACGCCCCAAUUUUCUAAAUUGAAAUGCUACACAGUGCCCAUGACCCUGAAGGACCACAAGCUAACCCAUGACUUAUAUCUGUAACUGAGCACUGAAUAACUAUACUAUAAAAUAUGCGGAAACAUAAUACUGUAAGGCCAUAAGGUUCAAAUCUGAAUAAACAUUUGAUAAAAUAAUAUCUGAAAAUGGUAUAACAAUACCAACAUAAAUCUGAAAUAAUUGUAUGAUAUGCUGUAGUCUGAAAACCUCUAAACUGAACUGAAUAAGGAGUUGAGGAGACAUAUUCCCAACUAACUCCGUCUACUGAAAUAAACUGAAAAAUUGAAAUAGUGAUAUGAAUAAUAACAUAAUUGUCCUCAAAGGAUGAGAACUCACUGUUAAUUACUGCUGCUAGCUGACUUUGAAAUUGCUAAGGGAGCUAUGGAUCCCGUGCGUCCAAACCUAUGGUAUAAGACACUAUAGCGCGAGAAAAAUAUGCGUCAAUACUUUGAAUGUACUGGUAUGCAAGUGAGGUAGGCUGAAUGCAUGGGUUUCAUAUGUAUGAACAAUACUGACUAACAUAAACGUGAGAAUAUAUGGUACUAGUACUGGAUACUGAAUUCUGUGUACUGAUUUACUGACAUCUGAGUUUACUGAAUAAAGGGGAACUGAUGUUUAUUACUGAUAAAGAAAAUAAUUGUUUUUGAUAGUUCUGAUUAUGAAAAACUGAUCUAAUUGAUCGUAUAUAACAGUCCUGAAACUGAGUUCGUGAUAACAUGACUACUGAGUAUGAAUACUGAUGACAUGUAUUUACUGAUAACAUAUCAUGACUGAUAACUGAAUUCUAAUAACUAAUAUAUCUGAUAACAUGAGUUCUGAUAACUGAUAGCAUGAAUGACUGUAUCUGACAGUCCUGAAUCUGAUGGAACUAGCUGAGUUCCGUACUGUAUCUGAGUUAACUGUAUCUGACAGUCCUGAUAUCCUGAAGAACUAUCUGAGUUCUUUUACUGAGACUAAUACUAAAGAUGUGGGAAUUAGUUAUUUAACUGACAUGCCCCAAAUACACUAUAAUAGCUAAGAUGGGGUCCAAUCUCUAUCCUAAUUGGAAGGGUGUCAAUACCGCGCCACUGGUAAAGACAAGUUGUGAGUGACCCUCAUCUGGCAGGUACUCUAAUAAGAACGGUGGGAACCCUCAUCUGACAGGUUAGGCCACCUCAUCUACCCUCAACUGACAGGUAUUGAUGUCUCAACCUAUGCUGGCUACAUAGUUCUGGAACGCAAGGACUGCUUCUAAGAAUCACACCCUCUACUGACAGGUGAGUUCCCAUCCUUGGGUUCAUUUGGUGCUGAAUCCUACUCCCAACUGAAUGACACUGAACUGAUUAUAGUGAACUGAUUUCCUAGUUCAUACUAGAAUUAACUGAGCUGUUACUGAUUGCUCUGUUUAACUGAACUAAAAUGGACUGAGUUUAUUAAGUUCCGAUGACUUGCGAAACACUACUGAAUUCUGUUAACUGACUAAAUGCUACUGAGUUCUGUUUGCUGACUGAUUUUACUGAUGUUUGAACUAAAUACUGAACUAAACUGUACUGAUACUGAGAUUUACUGAAUUUCAUAGAUUGAUGAAAUAUUACUGAGAUUAUGUAGAUUACUGAGUACUGAGUAAAACUUACCUGAUACUGCCUUUACAUGAGUUUUACUGAGUCAUGAGACUGACUAAGUCUACUGAACAUGGCUUGACUGAGAGUAUCGUGAAAACAUGACAUGGCUCUAGGCACCCAACUAUAUUUUUCAGGUACAAGUACCCCCAGGACUCGAUAGAAGGAAAGUGACACAUCAUGAAAAUUCUUGAUCAUAGGACUAUAGUCCGCAAUUCAUAAUACCAUAAGUUGGGGAUUUCAUGAAAGCACUUGAUAAUCAUAAUCUUGUACAUAAAUAGGAAUGUAUCCUAACAUAUCAUAAUUUCACAAUUUUAAUUUCACUUGCAUGACAUGAACUUGUAUACAUGCUAACAUAAUGUAGUUUCAUUACUUAACUUUCAUGAACUAUUUGUCAAACACUUCCAAGACAUAGCAUCAACAUGGAAAUCAUUUAGAUCAUGUAGUAUUAACAUGAAUUCAUUAUUUAGAUCACCAAUGGAUCACAAGGCACAAUCCAUUCACUUGAACAUUUUCACAAACACAUGAAAUACAUGAUUUUAUACUUAGGCAUAUAUAACAUGCUCCCAAUUCAUUACCAUAACCACCAAUUCACAUCUCAAGGUUUUCAACAUAUGAUGGUCAUGAUUCAACACAUAUGGGAAACAUGAAUAUUUUAUUCAUCAAUUAACAUAUAUCAAUAUUAUGGGUAUAACAUCCAACUUGCAAAUCUCAAGAACUCAACAUAAAUUUCAUAUGAAUAAUACCACAAAUAAAUUAGUUUUCAUGAUUCUUGAAAUAACUCAUAGAAUUAAAACUCAAUUUAACAUCAACAACAUGAUUAUAAACAUCCCACAACAAAAUAUUCAUGAUACAUAACUUAAAACUUGAUUCUUGAGCUCCAUGGAUGAAAUGAAUCCAUGAAUGAAUACUAUGCAUACCUUAGAUUGAUUAUCUGUGAAAGUUAACGGUGAAAUUGGCUUGAGCCUAAGAUUCAAUAGUGUCCUUGGAAGUUUGAAAGCGGCAUCCAAUAGAGUCUUGUACAUGGGUGUGUUGUGCACCACACUUAUGUGCAGGAGGCUAUGAGGUGUUUUAGAAAUAGUUUCCCUUAUUCCAUGUCUCAGAUCGUGCUAUAGAAAAGUUUUGUAAGAAAACUCAUGUAGAUUCUCAUCAUGCUACACGCAUGUUAACUCUAUCUUACUUUUAAGGUAAAAGAAUCAGUGAAGCUCAAAGUUCUAGAGAUAAAGUUUUCUUAACUAGUUCCAGCAUACAGUUAUGGGGUUUCCCCAUAUUAAUCCUGCUCUGUUCCAAGUCGUACAUAUUUUAUUCAGGGCCAUGAGAACUCGUUCACUAACCCAAUUUUAAAUAUGCCAUAAGAUCUCUUCUCAUAAUUCUAUGAUAGCAUAGACCUAGAAUUUUUAAGCAUGAACUCAGGAGUUAACAGUGGUAGAGUUGGGAUAGUAUUAUCCAGUUUGAUCAGAUUAUGUAUUCAUGGGGAUAGUUGUACCAUAGUAAAUCAGUAGGCUUGAACAGUGUAAGCUAGAAUUUAAGUUUAUUGAUUUGAAUUGAGUCAAAUUAAUCAUGAAGCAAUGGAUAUGAUAUUAACAGUGUAUGAGGAAACAACAACAAGCAAUGGGUUUAGUAAGGCAAGCAUAUGUUGAACAGAGCGUAAGUAUGUGGUUAUGAUUACAGUUCAGUUCAGAGUUUAGUAAAGUAUUCGCAGACUUAAGAUGAUGGCUUAAAGCUAAGGGGGGUAUGAUAGAUCAAGUACCCGAGUCAGGCUUUCAAACUCUAGCAGUAGUGCUAGUAUGUAUAGAAGAAGCAAUAAGGGAAGACAAUUUCCAACCCAUCCUCAUCUCAGUGCAAAGUUCUGUACUUCAGUCAGCAUGAUGCCUAUGCAUGUUUCACAUCUCAGUUUCAUGAACACAGCUUCUAUUCGUAUGUUUUUCAUAAAUCGUGUGCCAUCCCAGUUUCUAUUAUACGGAUUUCCAUCUCCCUCAGUGUUACAGAUCAUGCCCUACGAAUUUAAAAAUUGCAGACUCAGGUCAUGCAGCUCAUAACUCAUGUACACAUGUCACACUUUAUAGUAUACUCAGUUUCCAUGACUCAUUCCAUGCCCCUACAGAUCAGAUAAGUUUAUACCACAUCAUGUAUAUCCUCAUUUCAAAUCUUUUUGGUAAAUCUAUGCUGUUGAUAUUCUAUUCCUUAAAGUUUUAGUCAUAUGUUAAGUUCAGUUUGUAUCCAUUCAUGCUAUAGAUCUUCCUGAUUUAACCUUUCAGUAAGCUUUCUUUGUGAAAUAGUGUAGUUAUGAGCAUUUGCUUAGUGGGAGAGAAUAAAUGUUUCAUGUUAAGAAAAGGUUGUUGCAUGCUUGUUUUACAUGAGGGUGUAGUUAUGAAGAUAGGCUUGAAUGUCAUGUUAGUAUGUAGUACUUAGAAAUUUGUAAGUUUAGAGUGUGAGAGUGCAUUCAAAUCCUUGACUUAUGUCAGCCUUUAUUAUGCGACUAUCAUAACCCAGUUGUCAUCCCAGUUACAAUUUUAGUACUCGGUGAUUAGUGUUCAGUCUCAGAAUUAAACUCUUCAGUAUCAGUCUAAACCUCAUUUUUAGUAUUCAGUUAUCAAGACCCUUCAGUUAAUUCCAGUAUUAGUCCCAGUUAUAGUGUCAGCUUCAGAUCAUUAUUCAGUUCAGACACACAGUUCAGUUUUAGACCUGCUUGACCAUAGCGUACAGUUAUCAGUUACUCAGUUAUAGAUAUUUCAGUAUCUCAUCCUAUGGAAUGUGUUAAAAUCAUGUAAUACGCUUGGUCCUACAUUUUUAAACAAUAUAGCUUUCAUGAAAUCCAUGCUCAGCUACCUCAUGUUACUCAGUCAGUCCUUUCUCGUAUGCAUAAUACUCUAUGGUCUCAGUCCAGCUAUUCAGACUAAGUACAAUUCAGUCUUGCAUACCCAAUAUUCAGUUACCAGUUAUUCAGUUAAUCAGAUAAGUUAGUAAAUUUAUGCACUUGUAAUCAGCUAAGUUCAUGCAUUAUGUCUCAGUUUCAGAUCCCAGCUAUUAAGUCACAAUUCAGUUCAUAAGUGCCUUGCACACCGCCUUAGUUUUGCUUAGUAUCUCAGCUAAGUCAGUAUUCUUCGAGGGACCUAAAGUCCCAAGGGGGAGAUACCCUAUAUCCCCCGACCUUAUGUGAUUUAAACAUGCCACUUUCUUUUCUCUAGAUGAAUCCAGCUAGAGGAGGGGUUACUUAUAAGCUGACCCUCUAGCUAUAAAUUUUAGUCGUAAUCCAUGUUCUUAAUGGCUCAGUUUAUCCCACUAUACUCUGUCUAUGUCAUGCAUUAUAGACUCAGUUCAACUCAUGUAUCAUGUUCCAAACUAAGUUAUGUUCUCAUAGUUCCGCUCAUGCAUAUUGAGCGAUUAAUCUCAGACUCAUCAGUAUUUUCAGUUCAACGUAACAGUCUUCCUUAAACUUACUCAUUCUCAUGUUCAGAUUUCAGUACCAAACUUGGUAUUUAGUUUCAUGCCCAGUUUUUAGUUAAACUUGGCAUCUUUUACUAUUGCAUAUUCAGUGGCAUGUUCACGAGCCAGUUCAAUCAUAUAAUCAUGCAUCAGAUAUGCAUGAAUUCAGCUUAUCAGUUAUGCACCAGAUAUGUAUUCUCAUUUUGAGAAACUCAGUUCAUCAGAACACUUAGUCCUUCAUUCAUAAAUCAGUUACACAUGCAUCAGAUAUGUAUGUUAGUUUGAUACAAAUUCAGUUUAUCAGUCAUGUAAAUCAUGAAAUCAUGUUUCAGUCAUUCAUAUUCAGUAUAUGCCUCAGUUGGUCUCUUCUCCCCUUCUUAGUAAGUCUCAUUCAAGGACGAAAGUUCCCAAGGGGGAGAUAUUGUAAGACCCCGUAAAAUUCCUAAGUCAAAUUCAGCUCCUUAAGGCUUGAUAAGGAAAUCCAACACUUAGAAGAAUUUUGCUAAGUUUUAGAAACACUUAGUUUCAUCUUAUACCUCCAAACUUUGGAGAUUUAUUUGACGACCUUUCUGACCUCCAUUUUUUUAUUUUCAAGUUGCGUUGUGAUCGGGGAAGUCAAGAGUACAUAUCGAGUUAGUUUUGGAAUUUUUGGAAUCCGUUUAGGGUAUGUUUGGAUUUCAAAACAGAAGCACCAUGCGAUUUGCAUGCGUCACAUGCUCUAUAGCAUGCCCCAGAAGUCUUUUCCACCUAUAUAUAUAUAUAUACAAAAACAUGAGAUUCAGCAUAAUUUAGCAGCAUAUGCUUAAUUUCUCUAAAAAUUUAUCAAGAACAAGUAAGGGUUCAAUUGGGGGUUUCAAGAUUCAAGCCAAUUUCACCGUUAACUUUCGCGGAUAAUCAAUCUAAGGUAUGCAUAGUGUUCAUUCAUGGAUUCUUUUCAUCCAUGGAGCUCAAGAAUCAAGUUUUAAGUUAUGUAUCAUGAAUAUUUUGUUGUGGGAUGUUUAUAAUCAUAUUGUUGAUGUUAAAUUGAGUUUUAAUUCCAUGAGUUAUUUCAAGAAUCAUGAAAACUAAUUUAUUUGUGGUAUUAUUCAUAUGAGAUUUAUGUUGAGUUCUUGGGAUUUGNNNNNNNNNNNNNNNNNNNNNNNNNNNNNNNNNNNNNNNNNNNNNNNNNNNNNNNNNNNNNNNNNNNNNNNNNNNNNNNNNNNNNNNNNNNNNNNNNNNNNNNNNNNNNNNNNNNNNNNNNNNNNNNNNNNNNNNNNNNNNNNNNNNNNNNNNNNNNNNNNNNNNNNNNNNNNNNNNNNNNNNNNNNNNNNNNNNNNNNNNNNNNNNNNNNNNNNNNNNNNNNNNNNNNNNNNNNNNNNNNNNNNNNNNNNNNNNNNNNNNNNNAUGUCAUGCAAGUGAAAUUAAAAUUGUGAAAUUAUGAUAUGUUAGGAUACAUUCCUAUUCAUGUACAAGAUUAUGAUUAUCAAGUGCUUUCAUGAAAUCCCCAACUUAUGGUAUUAUGAAUUGCGGACUUUAGUCCUAUGAUCAAGAAUUUUCAUGAUGUGUUAGUUUCCUUCCAUCGAGUCCUGGGGGUACUUGUACCUGAAAAAUAUAGUUGGGUGCCUAGAGCCAUGUCAUGUUUUCACGAUACUCUUAGUCAAGCCAUGUUCAGUAGACUUAGUCAGUCUCAUGACUCAGGAAAACUCAUGUAAAGGCAGUAUCAGUUUAGUUUUACUCAGUACUCAGUAAUCUAUGUAAUCUCAGUAAUAUUUCGUCAGUCUAUGAAAUUUAGUAAAUCUCAGUAUCAGUACAGUUUAGUUCAGUAUUCAGUUCAGACAUUAGUAAACUCUGUCAGCUAACAGAACUCAAUAUCAUUUAGUCAAUUAACAGAAUUCAGUAUCCAGUACUAGUACCGUUUCAAUUAUAGUUAUUAUGUAUUCAUGCAUGUAUUCUUACGUUCAUGUAAGUCAGUAUUGUUCAUAUAUAUGAACCCCAUGCAUUCAGCCUACCUCACUCGCAUACCAGUACAUUCAAAGUACUGACGCAUACUUUUCUCGCACUAUGGUGUCUUAUACCAUAGGUUUGGACGCACGGGAUCCAUAGCUCCCUAAGCAAUUUCAAAGUCAGCCAACAGCAGUAAUUAACAGUGAGUCCUCAUCCUUCGAGGAUAAUUAUGUUAUUAUUCAUAUCACUAUUUCAGUUUUUAAUUUAUUUCAGUAGACGGAGUUAGUUGGGAACAUGUCCCCUCAACUCCUUAUUCAGUUCAGUUUAGAGGUUUUCAGACUACAACAUGUCAGAUAAUUAUUUCAGAUUUAUGUUGGUAUUAUUAUACCAUUUUUAGAUAUUAUUUUAUCAGAUAUUUAUUCAGAUUUGAACCUUAUGGCCUUACAGUAUUAUGUUUCCUUAUAUUUUACAGUAUGGUUAUUCAGUGCUCAGGUACAGAUAUAAGUCAUGGGUUAGCUUGUGGUCCUUCGGGGUCAUAGGCACCAUGUAGCGUUCUAGUUCAGAAAAUUAGGGCGUUACAGCGACACACCACUCCCUCCACGAGAUAUACAACUCCCCACGCUACUCUAUCCAUGAGAUAUCCAAGGCAUCGUGUGGCUUAUCCCAUAGACAUCCACCAAUGCGACGAAGACCAUUUCCCACACAUGGCUAAUUGGUCUCUUAUAAAUAGGACUUGUUUCACUUAUUCUAAUGAUUUUUGGACGUAUUUAGGAGCUUGAAGAGGCUGUUGCACACGAUUUUUGAGGGUUCAUAUUCUUUAACUAAUAUUUUUAAUGGAUUUAAUCAUGUAUUCAAAUUUUUGGAUUACAAUUAUGUCUAUUAGUGGCUAAAUGUCCCCUUUUUGGGGUUAAGGCCAAGAACAUGUUUGCUAUCGUUAUGAAUUGAGUUUAUUUGGAUUGAUUAUCAUAUUUGAAUGUUUUUUCAUCCUUAUUUUAACUAUUUUAAGGAUUCGCGACCAUUAGAAUAUAUCUAUUGUCGACCUUGUGAUCUCAAGAGGGAAAAUUGGAAGAUAGAACAUGGAGAUGAAUAAAGUAAGGUUUUUAUUCUUUUAUAAAAUAAGGAAUUUGAAUUAGCAUCUAGGAAAGGGAUGGACCUAGAAGCCUUUCUUAGUUCACAUGUAGGAUGGUAGCUUUAAUUACUUAAUUAGAUUAUAACAUCCCCGCUCAACGAUGUAGUUGUAAUGUCCAGUUAGGUAGACGAUUAGAGGUUGGAAGAACAUAAUCAUGCGAUAAACCUUACGAAUCAAUAACCAAGAUAAUCAAUCUAAUGAAUGAAGUUCAAUUUAACGAAUGAAGUUCAAGAUAAGCAACCUUAUGAAUCAAUAAAGUGCCUUAACCCUGGGCUUUCCUCCAUUGAUUGUCUCAAGCCUUUACUUUAUGCACUAUUUAUUUUAAUUUUAGUUUAUCAAUUUCAAAACUCUUUUGAUUACUCUUGCAGUAAGUUAAUUUUAAUAGUGAACUAGAAUUUGAUAGUUGCAUAACACUAGUCCCUGUGGGAUCGAUACUUGGCUUGUGAAAAGGCCACUAUAUUACUUGGUAAGCCACGUACACUUGUGUGUGCGCUUGGACGCAACAUAAACCUCUCAGGAACAAAUCAAUCACAUCUUGAGCAGUGUAGGGAUGUUUAAGUGCUAGAAAAUAUGCGUACUUGGUUAGUCGAUAAACUAAAACCAAGACAACAUUUUUAUGACCUGAAACUAAAAGACCUUCUAUAAAGUCCAUGGCUAUGCUAUGCAAAGGAAGCUCAGGGAUGGGUAAGGGUUGAAGAAGACCGGGGGUGAUGACAUUUUCUGUUUUGGUCUUCUAAUAGGUAUCACAUUUGGAGACCCACUGAAUAAUAUCAGCCAUCAUAUUAGGCCAAUAGAACACCCGCUUGACCUUUUGAUAAGUCUCUUGUUGACCAGAAUGUCCUCCUAUGGGGGAGAUAUAAGGCCUGGAAAAUGUUAAGCCUCAAAUUAGUGCCCUUACCUAUAUAGAUUUUAUGGUCAUACCAGAUAACUCCUUGAGAUAAUAAAUAGUAAGGCUUGGAUCCAGGUAGAGUAAUAAGUUCUGUCAAUAAUUGAGUUGCAACAGGAUCAAGGUCGUAGCUCAAACUCACUUUCUGCAUCCAUGUAGGUUCAACCAAAGAAAUAGCAUAACAUUCAACAGCUUCCUCUCUUUUUCUAGAUAGGGCAGCUGCAACUUUGUUCUCAGUGCCCUUUUUAUACUACACCUCAUAGUCUAAUCCAAAGAGCUUGGUUAAUCCUUUUUGCAAUAGUAUAGUAUGCACCCUUUGCUCUAGAAAAUAUUUCAGGCUAUGGUGGUCAAUUUUUAUGAUGAAGUGAGCCGCUUGGUGGUAAUGUCUCCGUCUGCCAAUAGCCGAUAAAACAUCCAGGAAUUCCUUCUCGUAAGUAGAUAGUCAUAAGUGUUUAGGAGACAAGGCCUUGCUAAAAAAAAAAGAUAAAGGCCUGUUGUCUUGCAUAAGAACAACUCCUAUACCUGUAGAACAUACAUCAGUCUCUACCAUAAAUACCUUGGAAAAAUUGGUUAAAGCUAUAACUGGAGCAGAUAUCAUAGCUUACUUCAGAAGUAGAAAAGCAGUGUCAGCUGAUGUAUCCCAAUGAAAGGCAUUCUUUUUCAGCAAAUUGGUGAGUGGUCUACUGGUUGUUUCAUAAGAUCUAAUAAGCCUCCUAUAGUAACCUCUUAGGCCUAUGAAACCCCUCAAUGCCAACUUGCCAUAACUUCUACCUUAGCAGGGUUAGUAGCCUCCCCUUCUUGUGUGAUAAUGUGACCCAAAUACUCAAUCUUAUCUUGAGCAAAGAACACUUGGAUAGCUUAGCAAACAAUUGUUCUUUCCUCAAGAUUGCAAGUACCUUAUUAAGAUGAAGGACGUAGUCUUGAAGUGAUGCACUAUAGAUUAGUAUAUCGUAAAAGAACACAAGAACAAAUUUCCUUAAGUAGGGGUUGGACGCCUGAUCCAUAAGGGACUGAAAAGUGGCAGGAGCAUUAGUUAAGCCAAAGGGCAGGACCUUGAAUUCGUAGUGCGCUUGAUGUGUUCUAAAUGCAUUUUUAGGAAUGUCCUCAAUACACAUCCUAAUUUGAUUAUAACAAGACUUUAAGUCAAUUUUGGAGUAAAUGCAAGACUCAUUCAGUUCAACCAUCAAAUCAUCCACCAAAGGAAUGGGAAACUUAUCUUUGAUGGUCAUGUUGUUCAAGUUCUAUAGUCUAUGCAAAAUCUCCAACUCUCAUUAUUUUUCUUCACAAGUAACACCGAGGAAGAGAAAAUAGAAUGGUUGGGCUGAAUUAUACCACUAUUAAGCAUUUUACUAACUUGUUUUUCAAUUUCAUUUUUCUGAAAGAAGUUGUAUCUGUAAGGUCUGAUACUAAUAGGAAUUGAAUUUGGUUUUAGGGUAAUGUGGUGAUCAUGGCUUCUAGAAGGUGGCAGUGUCGUGGGCUCAACAAACAUAUUAGGAAAUUCUUGUAACACAAGGCUGACUUCUACAGGUAUUGCAUUUUCUUUUCCAACCUCUAUAGCUGAUAAGGUAAAAAGGUGGGCCCAAACAGUUUGUCCUUUCUUCAGUAACUGUUUGACCCCUUUAACAAACAUACUCUUCAACUCUCCUUGAUGGUAGAUCCCUCUCAAUUCUACCCUCUUACCUAAAUGAGUAACCUGAAUUUUGUAGUCCACAAUAUCCAACAGAACUGGAUUGUGCACCUUCAUCUAAUCACCUCCAAAUACCAUAUUAUUACCACCCAACCUCAGGAGUCUUAUGGACUCUUCAAACUCCACUACAUGAAUUUUCCACUUAAACUUGUGGCAAGUGUGCUAACUCAAGAUGUGAUUUCCAUUAGCUACUAUGACUCUCAUAGGAAUAACUCAAGUAAUAGGACAAUCAUUUUUUUUGCAAUUUCCAGAUCCAAAAAAACUAUGUGUACUACCCGAGUCAACCAAAAUGGUUAGACUGUUCUUCUUAGAUUCCCUUCCCCUUUUAAUCUGAUGGUGUUAAACAUCUCUACACCAUACAAGGCAUUCAAACUUAUGGCUUCAUCCAUAAUUUCCCCUUCUUGCAAUUGAUUUUCCUCUAAUGUCACAUAUUAAAUCUCUUCUUCUUCAGGUAAGUUAGUAGCAGCAGUCAUGGUAUUAAGUUGCUUGGGCUUGCAUUAAUGGCCAACAAAACAUUUCUCUCUACAUCUAUAGCAUAAGACUUAUGCUUUUUGAAGCUCAAAUAGUUUGUUGCUCUGAGUAGUCCCAUUAGCUCUUUCCCCUUUAUUAGUCUGAACUAGGUUGGAAUUUGGAAUUUGGGGGGAAUUGGUUUUCCAUGUUCCCCUUCCCCAACCAUUCUUAUUCUUCUUGAUCAAGGACUCUACCACCUUCUCUUAAUGUCUAGCUUUUUCUACUGCUUGACUCAAGGUAUAUGGGUUCAGCAUCUUGACAGUGUGCCUUAUUUCUUUCUUGAGCCCUUCCAUAAAGAACUUUACAAAAAAUUCCUCAGGGAUAGUAGGGCUUCAAAUCAAAACCUAGGCCUUCAAGUCCUCAAAGCGUUCCAAAUACUCGUUGACAGUCCUAGUUUGUGAAAUUUUCUUGAAUUCCCCAAUUAAAUUGAACUUACUAUUCUCAACAUCUUAGAACCUUUUGCACAAUUCCUCGGAGAACUCUUGCCAAGUGACUCCACCUCUACUCAACUGAUACGAGAAGUACCACGACUCUGCCCUCCCUGUCAAAUGUAGGACUGCUUUAUCUAAUUUUGUAUUGGAUUUGUGAUAUGAUUAUAAUCAUAAUAACUCUCACAUCUAUAUAGCCAUGAACAGGGAUCAUCUACAGAGGUGCCAUCAAAAUAGGGAAACUCGAUUUUGGAGCUGUAAUGAUGAUGUUUGGGUCUCUCCAUCGUCAUAUUUGGGGACAUAUGAUCACCCCAUUUUCUACAACUAGGCGCAUCUACAGCUGAUGGGUGCACUACUGGUGUACUACCCAACACUCUAGGUUGGGUUGGAAGCAUCUUCUCUAACAACACAUCAAAUUUCUUAGUUAGAUCAUCCAGUUUCGCAUCUGUAACCGCUGAUUUUUUAGUUGAUUCUGCCAUGAAUCCUUCUAAUUGAGACUCUAUUUUUCUGCAUUUUCCUCCGUGGGUUUGGCCUUAGUUUCUGUAACCAUCAUUAUUGUGUUUGUGUUGUACCCUCAGGUGCAAAUAGUGGCUCUGAUACCAAUUGUUAUGUCCCUUAAAUCGUAAUUGAAUCGUGAGAGAGAAAUCGAAGAUUCAAUCAAACAGAAUUGGAAUUUUAUUGAUAAUAGUUCAGUACAAUUAUUACAAUAGUAUCUACUACUACAAGAUUACUGCGAAACAAACUCCAUUGAUAAGAUUCCAGCUUUGUAACCUGUGAUAGUGCGUUAAUAAUGAGAAGGAAUUACUCGAGGAAUAAGGAAAAGAGAAAAAGAAAAAGAGAAACAAAAUAACUACCAGUCCAAAUCUGCAUAGGCUCAACUCCACUUGUGUUGAUAUAACCGCUUGGACCUGAUCUAGCUGUCACCCAUCAUCUGGCCGUUCAUCAUUUUAAUGAAGGAUCCAUCUCGUUCGUUUAUUUCGUCUCAUCCCAUAGCUGCCACACGGAUACACGACCUAAGCUUUGCCACCUAAUCACUUAACAUAUAAUCCUACGCUACUUUCUAAAUUCACACUUUAGGAUCUAACAUAGAUAUAUCUAAAUCAACCAAUAAAUUACAAUAGAUGAUAUCUCAAUUCAGUCAAUAUGGCAAAUUCUUUUAUGCCAAAACAAAUCGACAUAUGCAGUAGUAUAUCAAAAUCUGAUCCAUCUUCUUACGCCCAUCCUUCAAUGUUUCAUCAUCAUCACCUUUUUUCAUUAUCUUGUACUUGAAAAGACUAUACACCAUGGUCAUUUAAAAGAAUAUAUUAUAAUCCUCCGUUAAAUCAAGAAAGUGUCCAUAAUAGUUGUACUUAAAGUAAUUCUUCAAUUUUUCAUCUCUCAAUGUCUUUCAAAAACCAUCACAAUAUUUAUUCAUGAUUGAUUUAACAACAAAAUUAUCAAUCAAAUAUGUAGGGUUAUCUAUAGACUUCUUCAAUCGAAACUUGUCAAUACUAAAAGUUUUGAUAAGAUUAUAUUGGACUUUUGAUCUACGUUCAUAAUUGUUCAACGAUGCCUCAACAUCAUCAUCAAUAUUAUCAUCAGCUCAUUCCCCUUCAUCCUCUCUUUCAUUUUCCUCUUCAUCAUUUUCCCCACUUUCAACAUCAUCUCCUUUCUCACUUUUCUUUUCAUCUUCUUCCCCCUCACCCCCUUUUAUCACUUUCUUCAUCAUCUCCAUCCUUACCAUUUCGAUCUUCUUCCUCAUUUUUAUUUUUAUCUUCCUCCUUUAGAUCGAUAGAUCUGUCUUCCUCAUUUUUAUUUUCAUCUUCCUCCUCUAGAUCGAUAGAUCUGUCAACUGAUGCUCUUUCAAUAUCUUCUUCAUUAUCUCUUGCCAUAUCUUCAUUCUUUUUCUAUGGUAACACUUUAUUUGCUUGUGAAAGGACUUGUUCUGCAAGUUCUUCUAAUGUUGUUUCUAAUUUAGCUAUAUUACUUAAUUUAUCAGAAGUUGAUCCACUUUUUUUUUUUUGGGAGCCAUUUUAUCUACAAAUAAGAGAAAAAUAAAAAAAUCAUAAUUGAUUUGUGCACCAUUAAAAAAAAGGUAACAAAUUUAAUAAAUAAAACACAAUAUAAUAAUAUUUUCAACAGAUGACUCAUCUGUUAGAAGAAGAAGAAUAAUAAACCAACAAAUGAUAUAGUUAUUUUCAAUAGAUGCUUAAUGUGUUCCGACAGAUUCUUAUUCUUUGCAACAUAUUACACAUCUGUUGGAUAACAUUUUUAUCAUGCACAUAUAUCAACAAAAAUACCACCACAAACAACAAGCUAUAUCGCACCACUACCAAAAACACCAAGCUAUAUCACCUCUUGAACAACACCAAUGUUUUUACCAAUACAUUAACAACAACAACGAUAAUACCAACACCAACAAAACCAAGAACACCAACAACACCAACAAAACUAAGAACACCAAGAAUAUACCUAGAACAUCAACAACACCAACAAAACAAACAAACUAUUCACCUACAACACCAACAAAUACCAAGUGAAGUGAUCAAUACAACAACACAAAUAACGAGACAAAAUUGUCAGAAUAGGUAUCUCCAAAAAAGUCAAAGUUCAAGUUUCACUAAUUUUACAACAAUACUCAAGAACAAGAACAACAACGCCAUGACCAACAAAACGAAGAACACCAAAAACACAAACAAUACCAACAAAACAAACAACGCCAAGAACACCAACAAAUAUCAAGUAACGUGAUUCAAUACAAUAACACAAACAACAAGACAAAAUUGUCACAACAGAUAUCUCCAAGAAAAGUCAAAAUUAAAGUUCACUAUUUUUACAACAAUGUUCAAAAAUAACAAGAACAACAACAAAAGAAAAUUACAUUUCACUCAGAAAAGAUAUCUCAUUUACGUCAACCAUCAUAUUAAGAGCACAAAUACCACAAAUUGGGAUUUUCUCGGGUUCGUUCUUUUUUUAGCAUCAAAUCUCAAAAUUAUUAGCCCAUACAUGAAGAGAAUACAACUAAAGUUCCCUUUUUCUUCCUUAACUAAAAAGCACAAAUUUUUUGAAAACCAACUAAAAGAGAAGUCUUAACCUGCGAAGAGAUAGAAAUUGACGGCUACAAGGAAAGAAGGAAUGAUGUAGAGGCCGAACUUGAGGUCAUCGGAGGUCGAAGUUCGUCGAUUUAUUGUCAAUGGAGAGCAGCUUUGUUGGGGUCGGUUUUGAGAGAGAGAGAGACAGAGAGAGAAGAGACGUUUGAGGAAAGUGAGAAGUUGAUUGAUUUUGAAAAAAUAAUUGAAAUGAAGUUUUUUUUACUAAAAAUUAAAUAGUUGUGGAUUUUUUGUACUUUUAAAAAGAUUAGAAGUUUUAAAAAUCAUAAUUGAAUUCUCAAUUAACUUAAUAAAAAAUUUAAGUGCCUUUGACCCUUGAUCAAAAUAGUCAUCAAUACUUCAAUGAAGAUUUAUUAUUCAAUUUUCUCGAGUAACUGUAACAUGUCAAGGUUGUCUGAUAGAGCGUAUACAAUAAGCAGUAUUUAUGCAUGCUUAUUCAUGUAUUAAUAGCCCUUGUAUUGCUAAUAUCACAGUUUACUAUGUAUUAGUUGUAUACCGUUAAACUAAUACAUGCAUCGACUGAAGUCCUAACAAAUAAAGGACUAAAUUAUCCCAUAACUAAUACAUCCCCCAAACUACACAUUGAUGAAAAUAUUACAGUUUGAAUUACAUGAACAUAUAUAGCUAAGCUGACCCUUCAUAACUUUAUCAGUUCAUCAAGAAAUAACAACACAUAAAAAUAUGCUUUAUUUUCCAUAUUCUACAAUACUAUGAAGAUAAUAAGAUCCUAAGUUGCGUGGAUUGUUCAGUUUCGAUGCUGCACCCGUGUUGGGUUCUCCAAAAAUGCACUACUUUUGGAUAAUUUGACACGCACUCGUUGACAAUUUUGAAGAGUCCGACCAACAUAGAUAAGAUCAUCAUUGUUCUGAACUUCUCACUGUGGUCCCUUGCAAAGGGAUAAAAUGCACCUAGCUACAUUCGACGAGAACUUGAUUAUCAGAUAUCCGAAAAGUAUCAUACGUCAAAUUUGAAUUUUUCAUUUGAACAAAAAAGGGACAUGCUGUUUCCAUAGAGCACAACCUGUGUUUCACGGAAUAGAACAUAGAAAGACAAUAGAACAAUAAAAGAGCAGAAAAGACACUGUUAAUCUCCACGGGUUUAAGCCAUACAAAUUAACCUUCUUUUCUAAUAUACGUCACAAUAGUAUUUUACCCAAAAAUCCGGAAAAAAAACUCUAAUUACCAUAUGAACUUCAGCUUCUGUCUUAUGAAAACCAACAUAUUGCAGAUCAUUGUUCAUUAACUUGAUAACACUGUUAGCCGGAAAAGUGAAAACCAACAUAUUGUAGAUCAUUGUUCAUUAACUUGAUAACACUGUUAGCAGGAAAAGUAGACUCCCUGGACCAGUUGGGUACUCAUAAUUCUAAGGUCAUGGGGUGCCAGAGGCGGAUCUAGUAUUUAUAUUUAACGAGGUAAGGAUUCUGGGUUUUGGACAGUGACCACAAGUUCAUAUGCAAUAAUAACUGACCAUAUAAUGAGUAUCAGUAUUCAAUAUAUCAUCAAGUUUAGCAUAGACAUAAUAGACAGGGUAUUUCUAACUAGUCGUGCGUUCUUUGAUUCAAUCUCCUUUUGUUCCUUAAUUUCUAGCUAGUCGUGCCUUCUCUGAUUCAAUCUCCUUCUGUUCCUUAAUCUUGACUAAUUCAAUUUGAUCCAAGGCAUAGCUAAGAAUUACGGGAUAGGACAUUAGUAUAUCUAAUAUCCUAUCCCAAUUUGAAGUUUUUUCCUAGAAGUUUCACAUUUAAAUAAGAAAAAGAAGAACGAUCAUAUAGGCCAUUUGGAACUUCUGGACUGAGAUCAUAAACUUUCAAUAUAUGCAGCAAAGUAUUUCUUUAAAGACAAAAGAACUUGUACCUGAAUCCAACUGCGACAUAAUUCUUCAGUAGUAUUUCUAGCAAAGCCACAUAUAUCAGCUCCAACCAUGGGAAUCCCAAACAAUCCAGAACUCAAAAUGCCGGGAAUACUAUAAGCCAAGUCAUCCCAUGUGGCUGCAUUAUCUCCUGUCCAAUGUGCUGUGUACUUGCCAGCACCCACAAAGGUAGAUCUGCUAAGAAUAAAUGGCCUUUUACCAGUAAUAUCGAUGAAAGCAGCAUUGGUCGUUUUAGCUUCCAGGAAUGAGUAGAGGUUGUGAACAUUGUACUCUAAGGCAUUCCCAAAAUGUACUGAUGUUGCUGGGACAGUCUUCUCGUUAAUUGGACAUAAGCUUCCAUUGUUAUUGAUCAUACAAGGAGGGUUGUCAAGGGUAGAAAAUGGGGUUGGAGGAGAAGAGAUGAAGUUAGAUAACUCGUUCAUGUCAAGCCAGAGCCCAUCAACAGGGAGAAGGUCAUGGAAAAUCUUGAUUUCAUUACUCCAGAAGACUCUGGCUCGGGGAUAUAUGAAAUCAGGAUAGUAAACUUUUCCUGGCCAAACUUCGCCACGAUAAGGGACACCAUCGUGUUUGAUAAAAACGUCAGCUUGCAUCCCUCUCUUGUACGUCUCAUAUGAGCUAUUUAUGCUGAUCCCUGUGAACAAGUCAUUGAGAUCAUAAACGAAACAGGAGUAGUGCUUUGAUUAAGUCAUUCAACCCAAUACCUUUGCAAUUUCCAAACUUCUACAUCACCUUAAAGUAUAAAUAUCAACAAAAAAGGGGCAGCUCAGUGCACAAAGCAUCCAGCGUUCACACAAGUUCCUUGAAAAGGCUACACUCCCAAGGAGCGUGAUGUAGGUAGCCUACCUGACGCUAAUGAAGCAAUAAGUAGAAUAUGUCGGAACUCACCUGGAUCCAAUAUGAGAACAAAUUUCUGGCCAUUGUGGUGAAGUGCAUCGACAAGUUUCUUCAUCUGGUCAAGUGGAUAGUUAACAGGAUCAAGUGUGAAAUCCUUAUAACCAUCCAUAUAAUCAAUAUCUGUCCACAUGACCUCAAGAGGGAUCUGAGCUUCAUAGCCAGCAACCACAUUCCGAACUUCAGUAAUAUCUUUAUAACCCCAUCGGCACUGAUGAAAUCCAGUGGCCAACAAUUCACAAUAGAUGUAUAUAUUGUAGAAAGAACACACAAUCCUCAUAUUCACAACUAGUAAAAGCUCUAUCCAUCACAUUAUGAGUACUGAAAGAAGUAGGAUCACAUAAUGUUAUAUAACCGGGCUCUGCAUUAACGAGUACUUAAGACAACAAGAAACUGUGCUCAUUUUUAAGUAUUGAACAAAAUUCAAAAGUUAAGGUCAUAUGAAGUUAGUAAGCAGAAUAAACACUACGAAACAAUAGGUAAUUCGCUAGUAUAAUUACGCACCAAAUGACCAGUAUGGCAUGGGUGCUGGGCGGCCAAUGAGCUCUGUGUACUUCUCCAUGACCAACUCUGGCACAGGACCAGCAAAGAAGUACAAGUCAAUGACCCCUCCAACCACCUUGUAGGUAAUUCUGUCACCAGUAUAUACAACGUCCAUACCAUUGAUAUUGAACAGCAAGAUUCCAUACUGGUCCCCACCCCAGGAUGAGACCUUACAUCCAUGUAAAAAGGGUGGGAACCAUACAAGUUGACGUCAACAUUGCUACUACGAAUAUCAGCAUUCCAAAGAGUUAAUGUUUGGUUAUGCUUGAGCUUUAAUGUUCUCUUGGUAUGCUCCCCGAGGCCAUAAAUAGAUGACCGAUUAGCUGGCAAUGAAGAGGACAGUUGAAGGUACUGAUCCUUGAAGAUGAGGAACGUGUCUGGAGAGUCAUUUUUAGGUGAGGUGUCAAAAAGAACAUCACCUGAGGAACGACGCGUGAUAGUGAAGCCAAAAGGGGUGGUGUUGUGGAGAGUGAAACUAAGGUCAUAAAUGGUAUUUUGUAGAAGUAAUGCGUGUCUUCGGAUGAUGGAAGUGAGGUAGAAGAACGCUUUCCUAGGAGGGAGCUUCGGGGGGAUGAAUGUGUUUCACAGGGGAUAAAUUCUUGAGGAACUUCCCAUCUUUUAUGAUCUGCAUCCAUAAUUCUGACUCUUAAACGAUCUUUUGUCUCAAAGAUGCAGAAUCCAUCAGCAUGUAAACAUGAAAAGGCUAAUCAGUUUGUUUAUAAAGAACACUAUAAUCAAAUUUAAAAGAUGGUUUGACACAAAAUAGAUGAGUCUGUCUGCGGAGGAUGGUGUGUAGGCAACCUUACCCCUCCUACCUUGUGAAGGUAGGAAGGUUGUUCCCCAUCAGUAAAGCCCAUCAAAAUCAAGUAUUGAAAGGUAAUAAUGUAGUAAAGAAGCCAUGAUAUUAAUAAAGGAGAGAAGAACAACAGCAACAACAAAUAAAACAGUUAAUGAAUCAAAGAAAACAGCAGGUAAUAAAAUAAAAAAUAAGAUAGUAGGCAAGUAACAAUAACAAUACUGAUAUGGGACACUAGACAACGCUGGAAUACCUACUAACCUUCUAUCUAGAAAUUUCGUCUUUUUUAUAACGAGUAUAUCUCUUCAUGUGUUUUGGCGUUGUUGGUGAUUUCGGAUAGAUAGUUUAUAGUAUUAAUCUAUGAGUGUCUUUUUUCUUGUAUCAUUCUGUUGUGUGUUUUUAUGUUUUUUGUUUGUUAUACUGGUGUUUUUCCUGAGCCGGGGUAUAUCGGAAACAGCCUCUCUACUUCAUCUGUGAUAGUGGUAUGGACUGCAUACACUUUACCUUCCCCAGAUCCCACUUUGUGAGAAUACACUGGGUAUAUUGUUGUUGUUGUUGUUGUUGUGGAGUAUAUUUCUUCACUAAACUACAAUAAAUUUGCAGUCCAAACACAAAUUCAACUUCCUACAACUCUUUUUCAAAUAAUCUUCAAAUACUACUCUCUUUUUUACAAAUAUCACUUAAUUCAUAUCGAAGCAAUUACUUAGAAUUAAUGAAAUUUCAAUAAAAAGUUAUCAGUAUCAAGAUCAUUACCUAACAGUAAGGCUGAGAUUUUGAAUAUCAGGUCCAAAAACAGAUGAACUUUUGAUGAGCAGUUAAUGUCCUUCCAGAAGAGUCAACACCUACUGAUCUAACAAUAUAGCCAUAUCCAAUUCGUUCAGAAUUUGUUGUAAGGGCUAAUAAUUGAACCAAAAAAGUGAAAUACAAGAGAAAAUUAGAUAGAACAAUAAUAGUACAAGAUUUUAUAGAUUUAUCAAUACUGUGUAUGUUCAUUGUGAUGAGGAAAAUAUAAUACUAUCUAACUUUGUUGUAUGAUAUUAUAUGGGAAAUGGAAGAUAUUGUAUUGUCCUUUAUUCAAUGGUCCAACACUCAACUGUAUGUGGUUUCUAUUGGAAGAUAUAUAGGCUGAGAAAUAGAACUUUGGGGUAUACUUUCGUACUUAAUGGCGUUUGGUUUAUCAAUUGCUUAACCUUUAAACAACUUUUUGGGGAUUAGAGCGAAUAGAAUUUUCACAGCUCUUCUUCAUUUAGCGCGCGACAUGUGGCUGGUGAGCUGUAAUAUGCAGUGUUCUCCACAUGGAAGGUUGGUGUUCAAAAUUUAGUGUUAGCAUUCUGUAUUAAUUGUAUUGUACUAGAAUAUCUUGGUUAAGAACUCAACUGAGAAAACAGUGCUAGAAUAAAUAGGUAUAUAUUCUUUUAACUAUCACCGUAAGUUGGUAUAUUCACAUACAUACCUUAGGUCCGGUGUUUGUCAAGAGUCUUUAGAUUAAUGGAGAUUCGUAUGCCAAGUUAUGAAUAGAUGUACCAUAUAGAGAGAGCAUUUAUAUUAGAUAUUUGCAUGGCAAUGCAUGCUGGUUUGGGGUAUAUUGCAUGUGUCAACAGAGUCUUUCAAGACAGCUUAUUCUCCGUUUAAUUUGAUUACUUAAUCUUUUAAGGCAUAAUACAUGAACAUGUCCAUUAACUUGGCCUCAGAUCACAUUUAUGGCUUCCAACUUUGGUUGUGCACAAGCAGACACUUAAACUUGUAUAAAGUUGAACAAGUAGACACAUAUGUCCUAUGUGGCGUCUACGAGGCCAAUUCUUGUCCUACAUGACGUCUUACAUGUAUUAUGCUACAUAGAACAUGUGUAUCAACUUGUUCAACUUUAUACAAGUUCAAGUGCCAACUUGUGGACAUCCAAAAUUGGAGAUCAUAGAUGUGCUUUGAGGUCAAGUUAAAGAGCAUGUUUAUGUAUCAUGCCAUCUUUUUAACUUGCAGUGAUCUUUUAAAAGGAUAUGCAAGUAACAUGUUACUUAAAAUCAUGGUGACAUGUUCUUCAUAAGCUUUAUAGUCAAAUUUAUUUGACAUAGAUCUUGUGUUUCUCCUAUAACAGUUUAGAAAUAUCAUGUUCCAUGGAUCUCAUUCUAACACCAUCAGAUAACUGUAACUCCUGUGCAUAAAUCACAGUUAUGCAUAUUGGAAAUUGCAAUUGGUGUUAGGAAUGCAGAUGCACAGCUUUAAUAAGUUUGGAAAAGGACCACCAUUAUAUGCCUACUACUUUGCUGCUGCUGAUGAUUGUGAAAUAUCCUACCUACCAUUUGCCAAACCACCAGUAGUAUGGAUAGACGUGUCCCAUUUGAUUUACAUAGCUUAUGAUGACUAUCAUGUAAUAUGGUGAUAAUGUUUCUCUUCCAUACUAUUUUAUUAUAGUUAAAGAAAAGAAAUAUGGGGAAUGCGGAUAACUUGCUUGCAGUUACAAUCAUCAUCAUUAGCAAAGUAGUGCUGACAAUUAUAUAAGCCACAUGUUGAAAACAUAAUGGAAGAUUAUACAAUUUGUGUUAGCCUAUUGACAUAAUAUGUUUUAAUAAUAACAAAUUAAUAAAGGAAAAAUGCAGAAUACACCGAAGAUGGAAUUAAGGCAAGAAGGAUCUUCUCCGGAGCUGAACUUGGAUCCCCAACUACAAGGAGGUCGAAGCUGGAUUUGGAACAACAAUUAUGAGAAGAUCUCAUUAGAUUCCUAAUUAUCGGGAAGUCAAUCCUACUAAAGACAAUCACAGGUCAAAAGUAGAUCUCAUAAGGAACCAUGGAAGGAAGAUCACACCCUCUAUAUGGACAUAUUUGAUAUGAACAUUUAUGUUUGAGAGUCCAUUUUUAAGAAAGGAAAAUCAUACCAUACGAAGGGAUAUAUCUAAUAGGACGUACAAUACAAUGUGAAUCCUCAAUCAAGGAAUCAAUUCAAAUCCUUGAUUGAGAAGAAAUUCCUUGGGUUUAUCUUUUAGAGCAAAGAAGUCGGAUCACAUGAAGGCUAUAAAUAAGAAGAUUAAAGAUUGAAAGCCUAACGCAACUUCACAGGAAAUCCUUAGUGCAUCUCAAUCUUCAAGUCUUCAUAAACCUUUGUAAUUUUCAAGAAAUAAUAGUUUCAAAAAGAGAAAGAUCGAGUCAACGUAGUUAUACCAGUUGAGGCUGUGUCACAAGAUUUGAAUAACAAAAUAAGAUUUGAAAGUUGUUCAAACACUCUGUAACUUGUUUCUCCCAUUGAAAGCUCUAAAGAAAGUCCCUGUAACCCAAGGGGACUGGAGUAGACAUCACAUCAGUGAUUCAAACCAGGAUAAAUCUUUGUGUCUCUUACUUAUUUGCUUCCUUACGUUUUCAACUCUAUUCAGUUUUGCAUAGUAUACUAACCUGCAGGUGAGCGACUAUCAAUGCUGAUCAGUCGACUCAAAUAAAAGUUCUCAAUUCAUAACUCCCUUAACCCCCUCUUGAAUUUCAAUUUGAACUCAUUGUAAAUAAAAAGGUCUAUAAAUAUUCAGCAUUUUGGCCAAAAUGUGUUGUUAUAAAAAAUCUAAAUUUAUUAUUUGGGAAAAAUAUUAUUGAAUCUGCUCUUUGAUCGUCCUCAACUCACUCUUCUAUAUAGUAGAAAAAUCUAGUCGCGAAUGAAAGCUGAACUAAAUGCAACAACAACAACAACAACAAACCCAAUAUAUUUCCACAUCGGGGGGUCUGGGGAAGGGUAGAACGUACGCAGUCCAUACCACUACCUCCAAAGAAGUAGAGAAACUAUUUUCAAUAGACCCCCGGCACAAGAAAAGAACAAUAUACAAGAAAAAAAAAAAACAUCCAAGGCAUGGGACAUAAUAAAAUAACAUAUGCACUACAUCCCCAAAAAUAUUGAACAUUAUCAGAACCAAAGCCCUCCUAACUACUGCCUACUCGCCCACACGGCUUAGCCCUCUAUCCUAAUGUUUUUCAUCCAUAUCUUUCUAUUUAGGAUCAUGUCCUCAGUCAGCUGUAACUGCUCCAUGUCACGUUUAAUCACUUCCCUCCAGUAUUUCUUCGAUCUACCUCUACCCCGCUUGAAGCCAUCCAAGGCCAACCUCUUGCACCUACAAACCGGGGCAUCCGUGCCCCUCCUCAUCACAUGACCAAACCAUCUCAACCUCACUUUCCGCAUUUUAUCCUCCACCGACAACACACCCACCUUCUCCCAACACCGCUAAACUAAAUGCAGCAUUAUAAAAAAAAUAUUUUUUAACUGCUAACUAAACUUCAGCUGGUGUUUCAAAAUCUUGAAGUUUAGAAAUUUUUUAAAGCAAAAUUAAAUUUCAUAUUAUAUGGGAAAUAGAAAAUAUUGUAUGGUACUUUACACUCAACCACCAUGAAUUUGUUUAAUUUAAUCAUGAGUGAAAAAUGCUUUUAGAAGAAAAUUACUUUUUUUAGCUAUGAAAAAAUGCUUAUUCUACUUUCCUUAAAUACUACUUCCAUUGACCAAACAUCUAAUUUUUUAAAAAACUAAACACCAAACAUGAAAGCUGAUCUAAAUAAUAUAAUUAUAAAAAAAGAAUCAAAAUCAAGUUGGCAAUAAGCAAGUGAUUGAUUUCUUUUAAUUUUACUAGCCAAAAAAAGUAUCAUAUAAGUAAAAUUUAAAUAACAAUUAACACAAUCUUAAUAAAGACUUAAAGAUGUUGUCUAAUACCUAAACAACAAACUCACCAACCAAAUUGAAGAAAAGGAAGGAAAAUGGCAUCAUCUCUACUUACCAAACAGUCUAUCGGGGCUUCGUUUUCCAUCUUCGAAUCGGUUCAGCUGCCAUCCAACUUCUCCUCUUCCAAUCUCCAAAUCCAUGGUCACCGAUUACCGCACAAACGACUAAAUAUUAAAUUGAACGGAGUAAUAAAUAAGAAUAAUUUAGUCAAAUUAUCAAUUUAGUUAAUGUUUUUCUUAAGGAACAUGUAAAAUAAAAUAUGACAAGUAUUUCAGAACGGAGAACUGGAAGUUCAGGUAGCCAACCUAAUGAACUACUAAGAUUUCUGAGUCUUGGAAGUUGAUGUUUAUUUCAUACUUUUUUUGUAUCUGUGAUCGUUCCACCAAGUAAGAAAUCACAUGUAAUUUUUUUGUAUGCGUAUGCGAAGUUGGUAAGGAUUAAUACUUCAUUUCUAUUGGGAUCUUUACACAAAAAGUCGAUUUAGUUUACUGUAUACAUUUCUAGUUGGCAUAUAUCAAUGACACAUAUUAUAAAUGAAUUCUACAUAUAAUAUAUAUCGGUUAAUUUAAGUAGUUGAGUAUUCGACUAUUGUGGUUAGUUCGUUACUUCUAUUUCUAUGGCCGGUGAUCAUAAAAACCCCAAUAAAGUUUGAUCUAGGCUGAUCUAUAUGUCCUUUUUGUUGGGUUUUUCAUCACUCUAUUUUGUAAGUCCAACCUAUUGCUCAUGGCCCAACACAACAAUAAUUCAUUUUAUGUAGUAUUCGCGAACUCUGGGAAAAAACGCCACCUAAACAUUUUUAAAUUAUUAAAUGCCUAUAGAAACGAUAAUAACAACAAUUCAGUAUAAUUUCACAAGUGAAAUCUAAAAAGGGGAGAGGCGUAACGGUCCUUAUCCUACCUCUAUGGGGUAGAGAGGUCAAUCCUGAUACGGUGUCGACUCAUCGAAAUCGUUAUUCAAGACAGAUAUAAAAAACAAGAGUAAAAAGUUUUUAAGCACAAUGAAUCCAUCUACUUUUUCUAUCAUCUGGUAUGCGAAACUCAUUUGUUCAACUAUAUCAUAUGCAUUGCAAAGUAGUGUAGGGUCUAUUUAAAGUUUUUUUAAAAAAUACUCCAUAUCAAAAUUUCUUCAAUCCCCUUAUUCAAUCCUGAAGGAUCUAUCUGUCUAUCAAAAAAUUUACACAUACACAUUAGAACAACAAAAGAUUCACGCCACUUAGGGUUUAUUUAAGAAAAAACGGCUCCCUAUAAGAAAGUUUUUCAUUUCAAUAUUCGAAUUUGAAGAAUCUAUCGAUCUACUAACAAGAUUUUAUCACACAAACAUGAGAACAACAUUAAGAAAAUCAAGGGAGCAUACAAAUACUCCAUAUCCCCUUAUUCGAUCUUGAAGGAUAUCUAUCUGUCUACCAGAAAAAUUUCACACAUCACAUCAUAACAAAAGAUUCAUGCCGCCUAGGUUUUAUUUAAGAGAAAACGGUUCCCCAUAAGAAAGUUCUUCAUUUCAGGAUUCGAACCUAAAAAAUCUAUCGAUCUGCUAACAAGAUUUUAUCACACAAACAUGAAAACAACAUUUACAAAAUCAAAGGAGUAUAGAAAUACACAUAAAUAACCAAUCAAAAAGGGAAAACAAAUCAAGUGUACCUACAGAAAACAAGUCUAUAAUUUAUUUUAAAACAGUAAAGAUGAAUCAAUUAAUUUAUUAAAGUUUACCUAUUAUUAGAAGAAUACUCAUACAAUUUUCCUGUACAUGAAUAAACAAUAGUAGCAACUUGAGCAUCACAUAAAAUGGCUAACUCAUUAGCUUUUUUCACUGAUCCUUGUCUCCUUUUGGUGAAGGUAACAUCUCUAUAUUGUGAGUUCUCAAUUUUCUUCAUAUCAAUUUUUCUGCUCACCAUUUUACCUUCCUUUUCAAUAAGUGAAAAAAAAUAAUAAUAAUAAGUCAUUUGUGAUGAGUUUAUGUGUUUAUAUAGAUAUGUUGAAGGAUGGAAAGAAAUUUUAGAAUUUAGGUAAGAAAUUUAGGAAGUUACUCACACACAGUCUUUAUGCCAGAUGGAAUUAUCUUUUCAUGGUUAAGUUGAGUGUGUCUUAGACUUUUCGAAUAUAGCUUAGGAUGUAAACGAUGACUUUUUCCUAUUUUUUAUAAACCAUGACUAACCGACGUGCGCUAACACAAAACUUCUUAACUUAAUCAUGAUAAGAUAAUUCGAUCUGGUAUAAACACUGUGUGCGAGUAAGUUCCUAAAUUUCUUACCUAAAUUCUAAAAUUUCUUUCAAUCCUUCAAGCAUUCAACAUAUCUAUAUAAACACAUAAACUCAUCACAAAUGACUCAUUUUUUUUUUUUCGCAUAUUGAAAAGGAAAGUAAAAUGGUGAGAAGAAAAAUUGAGAUGAAGAAAAUUGAGAACGAUGUUACCUUCACCAAAAGGAGACAAGGAUUAGUGAAAAAAGCUAAUGAGUUAGCCAUUUUUUGUGAUGCUCUAGUUGCUACUAUUGUUUAUUCAUGUACAGGAAAAUUGUAUGAGUAUUCUUCUAAUAAUAGGUAGACUUUAAUAAAUUAAUUGAUUCAUCUUUAUUGUUUUAAAAUAAAUUAUAGACUUGUUGUUUGUAUGUACACUUGAUUUGUUUUUCCUUUUUGAUUGGUUGUUUAUGUGUAUUUCUAUACUCCUUUGAUUUUGUAAACGUUGUUCUCAUGUUUGUGUGAUAAAAUCUUGUUAGUAGAUCGAUAAAUUCUUUAGGUUCGAAUCCUAAAAUGAAGAACUUUCUUAUAGGGAGUUGUUUUCUCUUAAAUAAACCCUGGGUGGCAUGAAUCUUUUGUUGUUAUGAUGUGAUGUGUGAAUUUUUUCUUGUAGACAGAUAGAUCCUUCAAGAUCUAAUAAGGGGAUAUGGAGUAUUUGUAUGCUCCUUUAAUUUUCUUAAUGUUGUUCUGAUGUUUGUGAGAUAAAAUCUUGUUAGUAGAUCAAUAGAUUCGAAUAUUGAAAUGAAGAACUUUCCUAUAGGGAGCCAUUCUCUCUUAAAUAAACCCUAGGCGGCGUGAAUCUUUUUUUGUUAAGAUAUGUAUGCGUAAAGUUUUUUGGUGGACAGAUAGAUCCUUCAGGAUCGACUAAGGGGAUUGGAGAAAUUUUGAUAUGGAGUAUUUUUUUUAAAUAAACUGUAAAUAGACCCUGCGCCAACUUGCGAUACAUAUGAUAUAGUUGUACAAAGGAGUUUCGCAUACCAUAUGGUAGAAAAAGUAGAUGGAUUCAUUGUGACUCUUGUUUUUUAGAUCUGUCUCGAUUAACGUUUUUGAUGAAUCGAGACCCUAUCAGAAUUGACCUCUCCACCCCAUAGAGGUAGGGUAAGCAUUGUGAAUAGUUAACUAAUAAUUAUUUAAACUCUUUUGAGAUUGCUCAUAUUACAUGAAUGAAAGAAUACACGGCUCUCAAAAGGAGUACUCAUUCUUUUAAGUGUAAAUCCAACCAAAUAAUGUGUGUAUUCUAGUUACAACUGAUAAAAAAUUUAACUGGAAAUGUCAUGUAAGAUUUGACUAUGGUAGAAUAGACGAUUCUCAAAAACAUUUUAUAUUUUUGUUCUCAUUUAAGUAAUGGGGGAUUUAUUUGAAGAAAAAAAAUUAUUUAAAAAUGUCAUUAUUAUUAUUAUUAUUUUGGUUUUCUACCGGGUAUUUGGUACCCGUAUUGGAGCCCUGACUAAUCUGAAUCGCGCAUUGCAGAGCCCAUUCUGGGGGUGGCGCUCCCAAAGGGAUUUUCUCCAUACCUAGGGCUCGAACCCGAGACUCCUAGUUAAGGGUGGAGUAGUCCUACCACAACCUAUAUUGAUUAAAAAUAUGUCCUUAUGGAUUUAACAAAAAUACCGAGUUAUCAUUUCAAAAAGUAAGAUUUAAUUAUUUUUCGUAAGAGAGUUAAGAUGGGACAGAACUCAGAGAUAAUUACCCCCUUAAUUAUUAUUUUUUUGGGUGAAAAAAAAGAAAAUCUUAUAAUCACCAACUAAAUAAAUUACAAAACUCAUAGGCACACCACUAAUACUUCUAUGUCUCAUUAGUCGGGGACUAAUCAGAGCAUUCUACUUAUCUACCUCUGUUUAGUAUUAUUUCAGCUGUACAACUUCUAUAAUGGUUUCUAUUCUUUACUGUUUUAUGCCCUAUACCCUGUAUUUACACUCCUCUUUAAUCUGGCCGCAUAUCAUAGCUGAUCGUUGGACUUUGUGAUUCCACAGUGUCUUGUUCCUAGCACUCCAAAUAGCACAUAACAAAGUAGCCAAAACACUAUGUUCAAAGCUUCUACGGAACCUUCAUUUCAAUUUUCUAAAUACUCUUCUCCAUAUGUCAGGAUGAGAUGUUUCUAUUCCAUAUAUACCUACUCACUACAGUAAGUCAUUUAAGAACAUUCGUGACAAUUAGAUGUUUGAGGUCUUAUUCAACAUCAAUACAUACUAUGCAUAACACAUCAUGUCCAUAGUACAUUUUCUGCAUUCUUUUCGGUGUGAGCAAUAUGUAAUGAUCACUAAGCCUACAAAUAAAGCUAUGCUUGGGCACAUUUAGGCCGUUCCAUACCCAUCUCCCCUUAAACUAAGUAAUCUCAUUCAAAUAGCCAUGAAAUUGUAAUAAAAUUCGCUUAUCAUGUUCCAAAAAUGUGGAGGAGGUCAGUCCAAAAAUCUAAAUAACCAAAAAAGUGCUUUAUUUUUGUACUAAAUUUAACUACUUCAGCUAAAUGACAAAUUAAAAUAAAGUUUACACACAACAUAACAUUCGAAACAAUGAUGAUUUAACUUCGCAGUUCUAGUACAACAACUUUGAUGAUAAUUUAACUUUAGCAGUUAUGGAACAAUAACUUUGUAUCUUAGAUGCUUUGGUAAGUGUGCUCUUAAUGUGCUCCUAAUUUUGUAGAAUCCAUUGAACCUUACCCUCUAGAAAAUUAAUAAACCUUAGCUGUGAAUCCAACCACCACGGAGUGUGUUCUAUGACAAAACUUGAAUCCAAACUCUUGUCCACCUUCAGAAAGGAUACUUCCUCAGUUGGCCGAUCUGCCUCAUAUUAGAUUGAACAAUAUACAACAAAACGACAAAUAAUGAAUAUUUUUUAUUUGUGAAUUUUAAUCCAAUUUAAAAGUUAGCUGAAUUACCAAAUGCUAAAUCUUCAUCAUUAUAACACAUUACUGUUCACUCAUAUUUUCACCAAGAGCGACACGUUAUGAUUUCAUAGUUAUCUAUAAUUAAAGAACUGUGACUCUUCUUAAUACUAUUCUUUAAAAUUUACCACAUAUCUCUAUUGUAGUUAAAUGUCAUAUAAGCCAUGAUCACAAGAAUAUACAUGAAUUCUUGUUUAUGUAUAGCUUACUUGUUUGCUAGAAUGAAACAUGAAUUAAGUGAUAAUAACAUUCUAAAACCCAGAAAAUGUUGAAUUCUUAAAUCUAUAGGCGAAUAAAAAAAAACGGAUUAGGUGCUACAUGCACUCCACUACAAGUAAGUUCUCUAGCGGGCUCAUAAAUUUUAGCUAUUACUCUGUUGCAAUUUUGCUACAAUCAAUUUAUAUUGUGGAUGUUCUUGAAAGAGUUCUCUUAAUUUGCUCUUAAGAUUAACUUGCAGAAUCUAUUAUAACUUAAAGUAUACCAAAGUAAUGGACCUCAGUUGUGAGAUGUUUAUUGAUCUGUAUAACAGGAAUAAGAGGUUGAAACAAAAAGAUGAAAGAGAUUUAUGUUCAAUCUUCAACCAACUAACAAUCAUUUCUUUCCUAACAUGUCCUCUAAUUCAUAAGUUGCCUCACUUUCUCAACAUUUCCCCAUAUCCCAAGUACACCUUAAACACUUAGCAACAAUAAAUAUGCGACAGAGAAAGUUGCAAUGAUGGACGACUUGGUAUGUUGUUUUCCUAAUGCAUUGCCCCCUUUUGGUUUCUCUUCUCUCUCACUUUCAUAGUUACUAAUUUGAUGGUUGAUACUAAUUUGAUGGUUAAUCUUUAUUUCUAUUUUUCCACAAAAUUAUAGUAUAUAUUUUUUUUGUUGUUUAUUUAUUUUGAUUGAUUUAAAAUAUUUUACAUCUUCUCUCCUUAAAAUUAAGGAAAAAAUAAUAUUAGUUUUAUCACGUUAAGGUAUAAAUAACUUAAACAUAAAGUACAAUUCUGAUAACUUAUUUUACAUUUUAUGUAGUUUUUAAAUAUGUAAAUUAUUUUUAAAAAAGUUUAAAGAUUGUACUUUUGAACGCGGGAUCAAAAUAAAAAAGUUUAACUUCCUCCAUUUUGUUGUUCAUGUCGAUGUAAAGUUAAACUAUGUCUAGCUCACUCAAAUCAAAUUCGACCCACUUAUAUCUGAUCUGACCGGCUUAUUUUUGAGGUCUUGUUGACGUAUUUAGUUAUUUUUUUUGAAUCCCCUUAAUAUAAAUCCUGGCUCCACCACUGGUAGUUAAUCUCUUCAAUGUUGAGGUAGUUGCUGAAGUUUAUAUAGAUAGCAAUGAUGAGGAUAUUAUAAUGCAACUAUCUUUCUCUGUUCGAAGGUACAUUAAUUGUUUGUUGUUUUACUUACAUAUUUUAUAGCAUACUGAUCAGUGGCGGAUGUAGAGUAGAAGGUGUGGGUUUUCAGGGACCCACACCCGCUACCGUAAGGCUUAAAAUUACAUAGAAAAAUUGCCAAAAGUUUUAAAUAUUAAUAGGUGGGAACCCAUAACUAAACCAAGGGAUAGCUUAGUGGCAGGAAAGGAGCCCUUGGAAACCCACAAGUUUAAAAUUCUGGAUCUGCCUCCUCUGAUACUGAUAUGUUGUCUGCCAAGUCACCAAGGGAGAAAUAUUUCACGGUAAUUUCAAAACUCUCUUUUUAAUGUUUUAAGUUAAUCGCUUCAAUUGUUGUUUUAUUAAUCUUUACGUAAACUCAUUACCUCAAUUAUUGGGCACAUAUAAAGUGCCAAUAUUCAUUUUCACAAACUUCAUAUUUUCAUUUUGUAGGAUUUUAUGGAUGAUAAUGACAUGAUCUCUCCUUCUCUUAAAGAGACCUUGGUAGGAAAAGUAGAUUCGAAUUUGGAUGCAUAUCAUAUGUAAAAGAAGUUGAUAAUGAUCUCAAUGUACAACUCUCAAGUAACAAGGCCGGCAAAGUAGUUAAAAUAUGAGGAAAACGCAGAAAAUAUUUCCUCAAAUAUUAGCUUUUUCUAUUUUAUUUCUAGCACGAUAAAUUCUUUAACAAUAUUUGGCAUCCAAAGUUGCUCGUUUCAUAUAGCGUCUACAACCAUAAGUAACUUCUUUUUGAUCUUAUGUGCAAAUUUGCGUUCAUAUUCGUUAAUCUCAAUUUUAAAAGGGUUAUGUGGUUGUGCAAAAUCUUCAUGACACCAUUCAUUAGAAAGUGAAAUCAUAAAACAUAUUAUUCUCUAACUAGCUCACAAUCAUUGCAGUGACUUGGUGAGAAUGUGUAUAUAUAAAUUUUACUCCUUAGGAGGAAUAUUCGUAACAAAAAAGGUUUGUUGUUCCUUAAAUCACUACAAGUGGAAAAUGCACUCCAGUUGUGAACUAUCACUUUUGAAUUGCAGAGUUGUGACGAUAUAUGAUAUUAUGUUUUUUUUAUCCAAUUUAUUAUUAGAAAAUAAGAAUUUUUAUUUGUCAACACCAUCAACAUAUUUUGCCAUCAAUACUUUUUUCUUAAAAAUUCAUACAGUUAAUGAUUUUUUAUAUCAUGUUUAUGUAAUUUAUUCUUUAUUUCUUUUAAAUAUUGUGUGAGAAACUAAUUGAUGACAAUCUGAAGGUAAUAUUUCAAGAGGUAUCAAUUAUAGUUCAUUAAAAUUUAUUACUUAUGUAUUUGAUAUGAUUUGUUAGGAAUGUUUGGAAAAAAUAUAUUUUCAAUAUUUGAUUACAAGGUACUAACAUAUAUUUAGAGUGAAUAGAGCAUGACUUCUAAAAAGAAUAUAUUUUCAUAUAUUUUGGUUACGUGUAAUUAGAAUGUGAGUGGAAAAAACAUUUAAUUUAAAGACUAAAGAUGUUCAUAGAUUAUAAAGAGUCUAAGUGGAUGUUUAGAUGGACUUAUAUCUUUUGUACUUAUUAUAUGGUUCUUUAUGUCAUAUAAUAUGGAUGUCAGGUGAUAUGUAUAUGUGUGAAAUAUUAGAGAUAAUAGUUAGUAGUCAAGUUGGAUUUGAAGACUAAAACAUUCCUUGUUCAAUUUGGAUUUGAAUACAUACAUAGCUGGCCAACUUGCCAACUUGACAUUUUGCCAACUUGAAGUCCAGUUUGGUGUGAAACUAAGUUUGGUGUCUAUAAAUAGCCACCAUUUGUACAUUUUAUAGAGACAUCAAAGUAAUUACUAAAAUUCUCUUAAGUUCUCUCUGUUAUUUAAGUUUGAUAUUGAUAUUUUGUCUUUAUUUUAUAUCACGUUAUCAGCACGAGACUCUACCGUCUCAAAAUUUGAUGGCUAAGAAAAGAAAAUUGAAUCGAAAGGUGGAGAAGGCGAGAUCGCAAAAACUAUGCGAUCAUCAUGAUUUGGAUUUCACCUUUCUACUAUUUAUGAUUAGAUAAGUAUACUAUUAACUCAUGUUAUUUCAUAAAUUUUGAAAACAAUAUUGAUAAUUACAAAGUGGUGAUAUUGUUAUAGACUCAAAUUUGAGUUUAUUAUACUUUGGCCUAAUAUGUUAUUAGUCGAGGGUGUGAUGAUGGAUUUAAACCUCAUGUCAUUAAGAGGGAAAGACAUUGAAUUAAUAGUCCCGAUGCACCAUGGUGAUAAAUGUUGGGUUCAAGUUUCAUUGAUUUUUGGCCUAAGAUGUCUUUAUAUGGAUAAGACAUUGAGUUUUAAUCUUUAAAUAACAUAUUGAUGAUAUAAUGACUAAGGAAAAAUUUUGUUGAAAAGUCAUGAAAUAUGUCCCAUUGAAUAUGCUCAAUUCCUUGAAGUGAAUGUGAUAGCAUGCAGUGCAUAGUAUGUCUGAAAGAAGACAUGUGAUUGAAUUUAUGAAUAUGAAUAUAGGCAUAACAAGGACAAAACAUUUCAUUACAUUAUAUGUACGUCUCGAUUUGCUCAUGAAGGAGCAAUAUCUUGAAAGAAAUUCUAAGCUAUCAUAAUUUGAUAAGCUUAAGACAUGAUUAUAUAUUUGAUUCUUGGGGAAUGAUAUUAUUUUGAUUAUUAAAAAUAUAGAUCCAUUCCCUGGGGUGAAUGUGAUAGGAGUAACACCUCCAAAAUAGCAAACUUGAAAAAUUAUUCAUGUUCUAGUAAAUUUUAAAUUUACUAUCGCAUGAACGAUUUUGUUAUCUCAAAGAUGUGCACAGAUUAUAGUUUUUCUAAUAACUUACAAAAUUUUCCUAGUAUAAACUGGGGCAGAAAAUUUUGUUUGGUUGUUUCGUCUUCUUUGAUGGCUUGCAGGUUUUCUACAAAGCACAGGUCUAUCCAAGAACGAAAUCUCAUCUCCGGUUAAAAUAUAGAAGAAUGGUCAGUUUGAAGAUAGUUAGAAUCAGCUUUGCAUCCAUAGCGGCCCAAUAUCUCAGGCGACAUCUUUUUAGCUUCUGAUCAGGAGAACAAGCAUCCAAAGUAUUCUAUGAACUGUUCUUUGGUAGAGUAUCAAUGACUCAAUCCAAGUUUCAAGUUCAAGUUUCAAAUAUUAAUUGCAAGAUCAAAUUUUGAGAUCAAGGUACCCACCAGAAGAAGGUGAGGCAAUAACUGAAGAUCCAAGAGGAAGAUCGGAAGCAAGAAGAUCAAGACAAAUAGAAUAGAUAGGAUCUUGUACUUUUAUUUCCAGUUUUAUUUUUUUUGAUGUAAUAAAAAGAGCCACGAACCGGAAACUCGGCGGGACCUCAACUCGACUCUCCAAUUCUUCCACUCAUUUCUACACCCAUUGGAACUAUACGUGACCUGAUUCUCUUAUAACCCGAGACAUGUAGGAUGCCCAAAGCCAGGGUUCGGUCACACCUCUUUCCUACUUAUUUACGUAUUACUUUUGAAUAAAUGGUUGAGCCAAAAAUUAGUCAUGUUCACUUCUUUGCUUGAAAAUUCUCCACAUUUGCAAGCAAAGAGGGGCAUUCUGUAAACACUUAAUUUUUGACCAAAACCUAAUGUUUUACGUCAUUUUUAGUGUUUAAUAUAUAUAUGUAUUUUAUUUUUAGGUCUAAGUUAGAUAUUUCAAUUUUAUCUUAGUUUAAAAAUUUUGAAAACUACAAAAAUAGAGUCACAUUUUAAAUAAGUUUCAUUUUUAGUUUUUAUUUAUUUACUUAUUUAUUUUUAGAAAAAAAAAAUUGUUUCUUCUUUCAAUUUUAAUAAAGAAUGGUGUGAUAUUUCUUAAUCAUAUUCCCAAGACUAGUUAUUAGCUUAUGUUAUACUUUAUUAGUUUUUAAGUAUUUUUAUCUUAUUAAUAAUAAUAAUAAAAAAAAUAAAAAAAAUAAAAAAAUAAAAAAAAACCUAAACAACCAAACCACCCACAAUUCCCCACUCCUAAUUGGCCUCUCCCACUCUCCCACACACACACACGACACAUGCACUAAUACACUACAUGCACACAUGCACACAUGCACACACACUACCUAUAUAUAAUAUACUACAUGCACACAUGCACACAUGCACUAAGACUACUAUAUAUAUAAAACACACACACGGCAAACAGAGGGGGAGAAGAAGAAAACAUAUACAAUACACGGACACUAAGCAAAAAGAAAGAGGAUUGAAAACAACAGGAAAAAAAAAAUCAAGAGCAAAAAAAAAAAAAAAAAAAAAAAAAAAAAAAAAAAAAAAAAGAGCAAAAAAAAAAAAAAACAGAAGAAAGAAAAAAGAAAAAAAAAACGAGAAGAAAAAAAAAGGGAAAGGAAAUAGUUUGUGAAUCGAGUUUUGGGUUUCGUUCGAGUUUUUGGUGACGGUUUCUUGCUUCAUCACUCCGUUCAAUUCAUCACAGGUUCUUAUGCCAUCAUGUAUUAUUUAUGUUAUAAAUUUGUCAUGAAAAAGUAUGAAUGAAAAUGUUCCGAAUAAUUUUUUUUUUAAAUAUUGUAUGAAUGUUCGUUUGCAACAAUCUUUUCUACUGGGUAAUCUAGUAGCCUUAUGCAUGAAGAUAAUCAAUUCGGUCGUUGUAGUCGGACUCUAUUAACCUCUUUAUUUCUCAUAUUUUGUGUAUCCAAUAAAUUUUUUUUUCUACUGUUAUAUUAUCUACAUGUUGUCCUCUAUAUCACUCCCAUUUGUAUGUCUUCUAGUGUGACUCUAUCUUUUAUGUUUUCAAUAGCUAUAUUUGUUUAUAUUGCAAAAUGUAUAUUAUCUAUUUUCCUAUAAUGUGCCAAUGUUAACGUUAUCAUGCAUAAUUGGAUGGGCGUCUUUAGUUACUGUUAAAUCAUCUCUUUGAUCCCUAUGAAUUAAGCCUCUAAAAAUAUUCAUUUAAGAUUAAAAAGGCAACGAAUAAUCUUAAGAUAAUACAUUUUUUUGGCGAGUCUAUAUACUGUUUAUGUAAUUUAUUUAAAUUAUUGAAUAUAAAAAUAUUAAUUGUUUUGUCGGUCAUGAUAGGUUAGAUUGUAAUAUGAUUAAAUCGUUUUACUUAAUAGAUUCUUUUAUUGUAAUUUUAUUGUACUAAUUAAGUAUAAGAAAUUAGGUGAGAUAAAAAAAAGAAAAAAAAGGGGGGGGGGACAUAUUAAGAACACACGUGCAACAGAAAGAAAAGAGAGAGGGGAAAAAUCAAUUGUAAGUGAGUGAAUUUGUAAAAGAAUAAGAUAGGUUUUAAUCUUUAGAAAGUUUAAAGUUUAACAUACAAGUGAAAAUUAACGAUAAGUUGGAAAGCCCUGCUACCGACCAUUCGUUAUAAUAAAUUAACCUACCGUUUAAAGCCGAUUGAAUUGGGUUGGGUAGGUUUUAAACCCAUUAGGUACUUAUUUAGAUUAGGAAAAUAGGGACGGCCCACAAAUGCCAUAAAGGCGCAGGAAACGUGCCAAAAUUUGUGGUGAGGCCGAAAAGUACUACUAUCGGUAAGCCACACGUCAAUAUGAUAAAUAAUUUCAAAAUAAAUUAAAAGCGGGAGGCAAACAACUUUUAGGUUAACAAAUAUUAUAAAUCCUAAAAGAAAAGAAAAUUAAUUUAAGCCGGACGUAAGUCAUUAAAGCGACCGUGCUAAAACCACGGGACUCGAGGGGUGCCUAACACCUUCCCCUCGGUCAACAGAAUUCCUUAUCCGAAUUUCUAGUUCGCAGACGAAAAACAAAAAUUGAAGAGUCAUUUCCUUUUGAAUAGGGAUUCAAGAAGGUGACUUGGAACACCCAAACUCAAUUCCAAGUGGCGACUCUGUAAGUAAAGUAAUCCCUUUUCAAAACGUUACUUUAAUUGGAAAAACCGUUUUCUCCAAAACCAACUCCCUAGCGGGGGUCGGACGCGGUGAAAAACAGGGGGUGUGACAAGGGCCAAAAUGAGUAAGUUUGUUUCUGGGGUGAAUGAUAGUGUGGUCAAUAAGAGCAGAUCCGUAAUGUUGAUUAGUAAGAUGGACAUAGCCAGGAUUAUGAUCUAUGCUCAACAAAUAGAAGACUAGAAUAUUAAGAUCAGAAAGAAGCAUAAUAAAAGAGAAAGGACAGGUAGUUUCAGCUUUGCUCAGCCUAAGUUAGAAGGAGGGAAUCGUUCUCAGUUUUUUCCUUAGUCAUCCUCUCCAGUUCCUUCCUCAACCAGUACUCCAGUGCCAAAAUUUAGAGACGAAAACAGAGAGAGGGUAUCAGGCCCCAGACUUCCGGGCAGUAUUAGCAGUGCCUGCACCAUCCUCCAGCCAGACUUAUGACAAACACCAUUAGGGUAUUUGUAGGGUUGGUAGUGACAUUAUCUUUGGAUGUGGCAAUCCAGGCCACAAAGUCUGAGAUUGUCCUCAGCCAGGUCCUCAGGGUUAGUGUAACUAUUCCCCAGCUCAAUUCGGUCACUCGAAUCAGCAGGGUGCCACCUCCAGUGCUAUUAUUGGGCAACGCCCAAAUAGGCUUUAUGCUCUCUAGUCCUGAUAAGAUCAGGAAAAUUCUCCUGAUGUGGUACUGGUACAUUAUCGAUCUUUCACUUGAAUGUUUAUGCUUUGCUCUAUCCAGGAGAUUCUUUGUCUUUUGUUACUCCUUAUAUAACAGUUGAUUUCGAAGUCAGUCUCGAAAUUGUAGAAGAAACCUUUUCAGUAUGUACUCCAGUGGAUAAAACUAUCAUAGCUUAACGGUUAUACAGGAAUUUUUGGUUAUGAUAUCUCAGAAAGUCACUUUAGUAGAUUUAGUCUAAUUAGAGAUGACUAAUUUUGGUGUUAUUCUAGGCAUGGAUUGGCUUUAUUCCUGCUAUGCCAUAGUCAACUGCAGAAAUAGAAUAGUUCAUUUUCAGUUUCAGGUUUUGAAUGAACUUGUCUUAGAGUUGAAGGGUAGUACUUCAGCUUUCAGGGGUCGGCUUGUCUCCUACCUUCGGGAAAGGAAAAUGAUAUUUAAGGUAUGUGUCGAUCAUCUUAUUCAUGUCAAGGACACUAGUUACAAAAAUCCUAGUCUUGAAUCAAUCCCUGUUGUGAAUGAAUUCUCAAAUGUCUUUCCCAAAGAUCUUCCAGGAAUUCCUCUCGAAAGGGAAAUAGACUUCGGCAUUGACCUUUUUCCAAAUACUUAACCUUUAUCAAUUCCACCAUAUAGAAUGGCACCAACAGAACUCAAGGAAUUAAAAGAUCAUUUGAAGUAUCUCUUAGAUAAGGGAUUCAUCAGACCCAGUGUGUCCCCAUGAGAUGCACUAUAUAGACUUAAAAGAUCAUUUGAAGGAUCUCUUAAAUAAGUGAUUCAUCAGACCUAGUGUGUCCCCAUUGACCUUUUUCCAAAUACUCAACCUAUAUCAAUUCCACCAUAUAGAAUGGCACCAACAUAACUCAAGGAAUUAAAAGAUCAUUUGAAGAAUCUCUUAGAUAAGGGAUUCAUCAGACCCAGUGUGUCCCCAUGAGAUGCACUAGUUAUAUUCGUGUGAAAGAAAGAGGGUUAUCUCAGAAUGUGCAUAGACUAGUGUCAACUCAAUAAAGUCAUGGUCAAGAACAAGUAUCCACUUUCUAGAAUUGAUGGCUUGUUUGACCAACUUAAGGGUGCCAGUAACUAAUCCAAGAUAGACCUCAGAUCCAGCUAUCAUCAACUCAGAGUCAGAGAAUGUGACAUUUUGAAAACAGCUUUCAGGACUAGUUAUGGUCACUUUGAAUUCUUAGUCAUGUCCUUUGGUCUUACUAAUUCCCCAGCAGCUUUCAUGGACUUGAUGAACCAUGUGUUCAAGAAGUACUUGGACAUGUUUGUCAUAGUCUUCAUAGACGACAUCCUUGUCUAUUCUCGCAAUGAGCAUGAUCAUGCAGAACAUCUCAAGACAGUAUUGCAUACUCUCAAAAAUCAUCAUCUAUUCACCAAAUUCAGCAAGUGAGAAUUUUGGCUAAGUUCAGUAGCAUUCCUUGGUCAAAUUAUUUUCGGUGAUGGCAUUAGAGUCGAUCCUCAAAAGACUGAAGCAGUAAGAAACUGGCCUCGCCCUAUCUCUCCAUCUGAUAUUAGGAGUUUCUUGGGUUUGGAUAGCUAUUACAAAUGGUUUGUUGAGGGAUUUUUCUCUAUUGCAUCCCCUAUGUACAGGUUGACUCAGAAGAAAGUCAAGUUUCCAUGGUCAGAUCCUUGCGAGAAGAGUUUUCAGGAGUUGAAGACUCGACUCACCUUAUCUCUAGUUUUGACUCUUUUAGAUGGGUUUGUAGUGUACUGUGAUGCAUCCAGAGUAGGUUUGGGUUGUGUCCUUAUGCAGCAUGGUAAGGUCAUAUCCUACGCCUCCAGAUAGCUUAAACCCUAUGAGAAAAAUUAUCCUACUCAUGAUCUCUAGUUAGCAGCCGUAGUUUAUGCCUUAAAGAUUUGGAGGCACUAUUUAUAUGGGGUUCAUGUAGAUGUAUUCACAGAUCAUAAGAGUCUUUAGUAUGUAUUCUCUCAGAAAGAUCUCAACCUCCGACAAAGAAGGUGGUUAGAGCUCUUGAAAGAUUUCGACAUGAGUGUUCUUUAUCAUCCGGGCAAGGCCAAUAUAGUGGACGACACUCUCAUUAGACUAUCUAUGGGUAGUGUUGCUCAUGCUGAGGACAGUAUGAAGAAGUUAGCUCAGGAAGUUCAUCAACUUGCCAAACUAGGUGUCCUCUUAGUUGAUUUAGCAGAAGGUAAUAUCUGUGUUCAUAGUAGUUAAGAAUCAUCUCUAAUUUACGAGGUGAAGGAAAAGCAAGAUAGAGAUCCCAGUCUAGUCAAGUUGAAAGAGGUAGUUAGAGAUCAAAAAGUAGAGGUUUUCUCCUAAGAGGGAGAUGGAGUUUUGCAUUUUCUAGGUCGUCUGUGUGUUCCAGGUAUAGAUGACUUGAGAUAGCAAAUUUUUGCAGAAGCGCAUGGUAUGCAUUACUCUAUUCAUCCAGGGGAUACUAAGAUGUACCGCGACUUGUGGGAGAUCUAUUGGUGGAGUGGGAUAAAGAGAGUUGUUGCAGAGUUUGUGGCUAAGUGCUCUACAUGUUAGCAGGUUAAGAUAGAGCAUCAGAAGCCUAGUGGGUCCAUGCAGGAGUUUAGUAUUCCUACUUGGAAGUGGGAAAUGUGAACAUGGACUUCGUGAUGGGUUUACCUCAAACUCGUCAUCAGCAUGAUUCACUUUGGGUCAUUAUAGACAGAAUGAACAAAUCCGCUUGUUUCCUUCUAGUCCAUACCUCUUAUUCAGUCGAGGAUUACACCAAACUCUACAUCAAAGAGUUGGUUAUAUUACACGGUGUUCCGUUAUCUAUCGUCUCAAAAAGAGGUACCCAGUUUACCUCUCAUUUCUGGAAAGCAUUCCAAAAGGGUCUUAGUACCCAAGUUCAUCUUAGUACAACCUUUCAUCCUCAGACAAGUGGUCAAGCAGAAAGGACUAUUCAGACUCUAGAAGAUAUGUUUCGAACAUGUGUAAUUGAUUUCAAAGAAAGUUGGGAUGACCACUUAUCUUUGAUUGAGUUUGCAUACAAUAACUACUAUCAUUCUAGUAUUGAAAUGGCUCCAUUAGAAGCUCUCUAUGGUAGGAGAUGUAGUUCUCCAGUCGGUUGGUUCGAAGUUAGUAAGGCCACAGUUAUAUGGCCUGACUUAGUAUUCGAUGCCUUAGAAAAAGUUUAGUUGAUCAGAGAAAGACUUUGGGCUGCUCAGAGACGACAAAAGUUUUAUGCAGAUGUUUUUAGAAAGGAUCUCGAGUUCGAGAUUGGUGACUAUAUAUAUCUAAAGAUCUCUCCCACGAAGGGAGUAAAGAGAUUCAGCAAGAAGGGAAAGCUCAGUCCCCGAUAUGUUGGUCCCUUCAAGAUUCUCAGUCUCUUCAGCAAAGUAGACUAUGAGCUUGAGUUGCCUUCAGAUCUAGCCCCAGUCCAUCCAAUCUUCCAUGUCUCUUUUCUCAAGAAGUGCAUAGGUGACCUAACAGUUGUAGUCCCUAUUCCGAGUGUAGAUAUUCAGAACAUCCUCUCUUUUGAAAAGAUUCCAGUUGAAAUUCUUGACUAUCAGACUCGUAGACUGAGAAACAAAGGAGUCCCUCUAGUCAAAGUUCUUUGGUGGAAUCUGUCCGUUGAGGGAGCUACUUGGGAAGUAAAAUCAGAUAUACAAACCAAGGAUCAUCACCUCUUCUCCGCUAACUCAGACUCAGCUCAAGGUAAUAGUUCUCCUUAAGUUGUUUUAGUUCAUGUUCAAAUUCCCAUUAUAGACUUGGUACUAAGUACCAUUGUAUAUUCAUUCAUGCAUUUAUGUAUCAGUUCAGUCAUAUAGUCAUGCAUCAGAUAUGUAUUCUUAUUGUGAGAAACUCAGUUCAUCAGAACACUCAGUUAUGCAUUCAUGAAUCAGUUACUCAUGCAUCAGAUAUGCAUGUUCAGUGUGAUAUAUCUAGUUUGUCAGCCAUGUCAGUUAUGGAAUCAUGUUUCAGUCGUUCAUGUUCAGUAUGUGCUUCAGUUUAUUGUUUCUCCCCUCUCAGUCAGUUUUAUUUGAGGACGAAUGUUCCCACGGGGGAGAUAUUGUUAGACCCCAUAAAAGUCUAAGUCUAAAUUCAGUUCUGUAAGCUCUUUAAAAGCUCCAACGCUUAGAAUAUUUUAGCUAAGUGUUCAAUACUUAGUCUCAUUUUGAGCCUCCAAACUUCAAGGAUUUAUUUGGUGACCUUCUCGACCUCCAUUUUUCGAUUUUCAAGUUGCGUUGUGAUGGGGCAAGUCAAUAGUACAUCUUGGGUGAGUUUUGGGAUUUUUGGAAUAGCGUAAGGAAAUAUUUGGUUGCUCAAAUCAGUAGCUAUCUGUGAUAGACAGGCGCCGCCUAACUGAAACUGGUGCUCUAAACAAGGCGUCGCCUUGGUUAUGGUGGCCUAAGCAGAGCACCCCCUGGGUAUAGCCCUGGUUCAAUUUUUCCAGCACUACACCUCUGUGUUUUGAAGGGAAAAUGGGUCAUUUUCCACCCAUAUAUAUACCAAUAAACACGUUAUUUAGCCACUUUGAAUCCAAAAUAUACUUUUUUCUCUCAAAAACUCUCAAGAACAAGUUAGUAUUUUUAAUUGGGGAUUCAAAUUCAAGAAAAACUCUCCGUCAAUCUUCAUAUAAUUUCAUACUAAGGUAUGUAAUGUGUUUAUUCAUGGAUUCCUUUCAUCCAUGAAGCUCAAGAAUCCUAUUUUUAAUUAUAACAUAUGAUGUUUAUGAUGUGGGUUGAUUAUGUUCAUGUGAUUAUUGUUGUAUGAUAGUCAAGUUGAAAUCUUUAUGUUUGUUCAUUAAAUUAUGAUAGUAUGUGGGUUUGAAAUCUAUAAGUUUAGUGGAUUCAUGGAGUUUUGAUGUGUUAAUUGAUGAUUAUACCCAUGCCCUAAGUUGUGCAUGUAAGGUAUUUAAUAAAAUGCCUAGUAGAAUAGAAAUCAUGUAUUAUGACAUAAUUGUGACUUAAAUGAUAAAUGCAUGCUAUUUAAUCAUGUUCAACAUGACUCCCAUGAUAUUGUUAUGCAUUGUGAUUGCUUGAUGAAAUAUUCAUGGGAUUAGAAGUAUGAAAUCAUUACAUGUUUAUAUGCAUUCCAAUCCAUGUACAAGAUUAUGAAUACCAAGUACUUCAUGAUAUUCCCCAACUAUUGAAUUAUGAAUUGUGGACUUUAGUUAUGCGUUCAAGAAGUGUCAUGUCUUGUCAGCUUCAUGCUAUCGAGUCCUGGGGGUACUUGUACCCGAUAAUUUAGCUAUGUGCCUAGAGCCAUGUGUUAUGUUUUUAUGAUACUUUCAGUCAAGCCAUGAUCAGUAGAAUUCAGUCAACCUCAGUUAGUUGUGUCCAACAAGAAUAUAGAGAGUGGCAUCAUGGAUGAAACAAAGAGUCAGAAAAUUGAGGGUUUAAAGAAAGAGAAUUUGAGACUGAGACAACAAAUGAUGGAAAUGUACCGAGCUUGGGCCAGUGGGCUGCCUCCACCUUCGUUCCGCACUUUUGACCCUACAAAUACCUUGAGUCUUUCUCCAAAAUUGCAAAGUUAGUUUUCUACUGUUGUUGAUGCACCACAGCAUGCCUCAGAAUCCAUUCCACGUCAAGUACACCUCAACACUUCUACCACUGUUUAUUUAUCUCCUCAGUAUAAUUCUACCACAUUCACAGCACCACAUACCGUCUGUGCUUUUGUUGCUCAACCUUCUACUAAGGCUUCCACUUUGUCUAUCAAUCCAACGAUUGUGCUUCCCCAGUCCACUAGUGACUCCAUGUUCAAUACUGUUGAUGAUCAUUGGUAUACUCUUGAGCCUACAGUUAAGCUAAGUGAACCGCCAAAAUUUCUUACUAAGAAGCCUAGCAUGCCAAAAAAGCCAGAGAAAAUAGUUGGGAAAGUGAAGAGUGUAGAAAAUGAUAUGAAAAAUUCCCCUGGACUUACGAUCUAUGAAGAUGUUUCAUAUAAAAACUAGGGCAUGUCUUCAAGUGUUAACCUUCCUCCCAGCUUUGAGACAUCAAAAUUUGGGGAGCACACAUGCUCGGGGAAAGUUAGUGUUGUAAAACAUUUCAUAAGUGAUCUUGAUCGUGCACUUUCGCAUUGCAUGCUAUGUACUAGAAUUUUCAAGAAUUGAUAUGAUGAAGGCAUUUCAUUCUGUUAUCCAAACACUGUGUCAUCCUUUGUUUACCCCCAUUUGGGCCUUAGUGUUAUUUUCUUUCAUACCCCUCUUUUGGAAUCAAGAUAAGAGUCAACAAAAUUCAAAAAAAUAUGUCGAAAAAGAAAGAAAAGAUGAGUAUCAAGAAAAAUAAAGUCAAAAAAGUCCCAAAGACAAAAGAGUCAACAAAAGAAAAAAAAAUAGAAUCAAGUGAAAAAAUAAGCUGCCAGAACUACGCAUGACCUUAUUCUCCUCUCUUGGGGGUGAGAUACGUAGGCUGACCUACUCAGGGCUCGAUCCAACCAAAUAAACAAUUUAGAGUCACCCAGUCAAAAGAAACUGGGGCAUGAGUUAAUCCUCAUUGUUUGAGUCGAUUUCAAAAGUUGUAAGUCCUACCCCACUUCAAGUGUCGUUUGGGCCCUAUGUCAUCCUUUCUCUCUAACCUUAUCCAAAAACCAAAUUACAACCAAAGAAAGACCUUCAGAUCAAUUUUUGAGAAUGUUAAGGCUAAGCAUGCAAGGGAUAUGAUGAUGCAUUUGGGAACUAUUUGUCUUUCUCAGCAUAGGGAAUCAAGAGAGAAAUAAAAAUGAGAGAAUCUUAUUGGUGAAACCCUUACAGGCACCAUAAGGCGAUGGCAAGUUGAGAGAAAUAAAAAUGAGAGAGUCUUAUUGGUGAAAACCCUCACGGGCACCAUAAGGCGAUAGUGAGCUGAGAGAAAAUAAAAGAAACUUGUUGGCGAAAAUCCUUCAAGGCGCCACUAGCCGAAUGGGGUCUUAAAUGCAAUUACCUAAGAAAGCAACUCAGUUUCAAGGCCAUUAACUCAACAACAAUGGGUAGAAAGUUUGGAUGAAAAGAUCAAGCUGCUUAAUCCAAAGUGCAUGGCAUAAUCAUUAGUUUUGACUGUUAUUUUUAGAUGAAUUUUUUGUUUCUUUGUUUUAAAAGGGGACAUUCAUUAUCUUUUCUUUCUUCUCUUUAUUUUAAUUUUUAACUUUCUUAAGUCAGUUAUCAAAACAAAAAUAUUCAUUCUUUUUUUGUUUCUUGUCUUUGAGUCAAGUCCGUGUCAAAACAAGUGAGAAAAGAUUUCAAAAUUGGCUACCAGCUUCUUUAAUUGCACAAAGCAAGACAAAAGCUAGCACAUGAAAGAGACAUGAUUGUGAGCCCAAAAAAGGCAUGCAGGAAUUUUCGUCAACAGAGAAGUCAGGGAACUCAUGGAAAUACCAAGGUUCAAAGGNNNNNNNNNNNNNNNNNNNNNNNNNNNNNNNNNNNNNNNNNNNNNNNNNNNNNNNNNNNNCAAAGCUAAAUGUGACGGGGGCAGGAGCAAUUGCCUCAAAAGCCAAAGCCACAAACUAGCCACCAUGUUUUUAAAAUCACAAGUUUUCUUUUUAUGUAAUAGGAAUACAUGUUGCAUUCAGAUCAAGGAUUUCAGAGCCUAAACAUCAAAGGCAGUAAUUUCUCACCUCAACAAAUUCAAGAGGCAAGGUUGCUGCACAGGUUUGGCAAUCAAAACCAUGACAAAACUCAUAAUUCAAGAUCUCUAAGAGACGCACUUCCUUGUUUUGAUAAUUCAAACAACAUUGAUAAGGAAACACACUUCCUUGAUUGGGUAAUUUGAAUUUUGCUUCUUAGGUAAUGCACUUCCUAACUUAAAUUUUGAUUCCUAGAAGACGUACCUUUUAGUGGAGUCAUCCCCUUUGAUUCCUAUAAAACGUACCUUUUAAUUGAGUCAUUCCUAUUGAUUCCUAUAAGACGUACCUUUUAGUUGAGUCAUUCCCUUUGAUUUCUAUAAGACGUACCUUUUAGUUGAGUCAUCCCCUUUGACCCCUAGAAGACGUACCUUUUAGUCAAGUCAUUUCCCUUGAUUCCUAGAAGACGUACCUUUUAGUUGAGUCAUUCCCUUUGAUUCCUAAAAGACGUACCUUUUAGUCAAGUCAUCCCCUUUGAACCCUAGAAGACGUACCUUUUAGUCGAGUCAUUUCCCUUGACCCCUAGAAGACAUACCUUUUAGUCGAUUCAUUCCUAUUGAUUCCUACAAGACGUACCUUUUAGUCGAGUCAUUCCCUUUGAUUCCUAUAAGACGUACCUUUUAGUUGAUUCAUCCCCUUUGACCCCUAGAAGACGUACCUUUUAGUCGAGUCAUUCCUAUUGAUUCCUAGAAGACGUACCUUUUAGUUGAGUCAUUCCUAUUGAUUCCUAGAAGACGUACCUUUUAGUCGAGUCAUCCCCUUUGAUUCCUAUAAUACGUACCUUUUAGUUGAGUCAUCCUCUUUCAUUCCUAUAAGACGUACCUUUUAGUCGAGUCAUCCCCUUUGAUUUCGAUAAGACAUACCUUUUAGUCAAGCCAUUCCCUUUGGCCCCUAGAAGACGUACCUUUUAGUCGAGUCAUUUCCUCUGAUUCCUAUAAGACGUAUCUUUUAGUCGAGUCAUCCCCUUUGAUUCCUAUAAGACGUACCUUUUAGUCGAUUCAUCCCCUUGGACCCCUAGAAGACGUACCUUUUAGUCGAGUCAGUCCCUUUGAUUCCUAAAAGACGUACCUUUUAGUUGAGUCAUCCCCUUUGACCCCUAGAAGAUGUACCUUUUAGUCGAGUCAUUUUUCUUGAUUCAUAGAAGACAUACCUUUUAGUCGAGUCAUUCCUAUUGAUUCCUAUAAGACGUACCUUUUAGUCGAGUCAUCCUCUUUGACCCCUAGAAGACGUACCUUCUAGUCGAGUCAUUUUCCUUGAUUCCUAAAAGAUGUACCUUUUAGUCGAGUCAUUCCCUUUGAUUCCUAUAAGACGUAUCUUUUAGUCGAGUCAUCCCCCUGGAUUCCUAUAAGACGUACCUUUUAGUCGAGUCAUCCCCCUUGAUUCCUAAAAGACGUACCUUUUAGUCGAGUCAUUCCAAUUAACUCAUAGAAAUUGCAUUUCUUUAUUUGGGAUAAUUUUCUUUUUACAGUUUUGAUGUAAUUUCAGGAGCAUGCCCGUAGCACAGGGCGAAUAAAUGAAAAACCAAGCAACAAGGUGAAGAAAUUGAAAGCUAAACAAAUUAAAAAAUAGCAAGUCAGGAGCCCGCCUGCAGAACAAGGUGAAGAAAUUGAAAGCAUAGCAACAAGUUGAUGAAAUAGCAAGUCAGGAGCCCGCUUGCAGAACAGGGUGAAGAAAUUGAAGGCAUAGCAACUAGUUGAUAAAAAUAGCAAGUCAGGAGCCCGCCUGCAGAACAGGGUGCAGAAGUUGAAAACAUGGCAACAAGUUGAUGAAAUAGCAAGUCAGGAACCCGCCUAGAGAACAGGAUGAAGAAAUUGAAAGGCAAGCAACAAGUUAAAGAAAUAGCAAGUCAGGAGCCCGCCUGAAAAAUAGGGUGAUGAAACUCAAGUCAAGAGUCCAAAAGAAGCUGUAUAGAUAGGAUUUUUGUAAUUUCGUUUAUGCUUUAACUUGUAAUUUUUAUUUUAAUGUAAUGACAGAGUCGUGGACCGGAACCUUGAUGGAGCCUCACUCGACUCUCCAACCCACUAUAGUCUUUCUCUUUCCAAUCCUUUAAAAUACCCGUGACUUGUUUCUCUCAUAACUUGGGUAGGUAGGAUGUCUUAAGUCAAGGCCCGGUUGUCCUUCUUCCUUCCGUUUCUUUCUUUGAAUAAUGGUCGGGUCAAAAUUUGGUCUCGCUGUCUACUUCUUUGUCUUAAAACACUUCAUGUUUACAUUCAAAGGGGGCAUGAUGUAGACACCUAAUUUCGUCUCUCCUUGAUAUCGUUUUUACCCAUUUUUACUUUAUCCUACCGUGUACCCUCACCUAUUUAAUUAUUCCCCACAAAAAUACAAAAAUAAACAAAAAACAAUACCUCUAACUAAUGUAUCUUAUCCUAACAACCUACCCAAUCAAAAGUUUCCACCUCACUACCCCAAUACCCACCCACGUGACCCCUCACACUAUUACCUACCAUAUAUACAUAUCCCAUUUUCUCAUGCAGAGCGGGAUAUACACAAUCAUCUUCUCCACAACAAAGGGGGGAUCCUUCAUUUUUUUCUUGGUCCAUUAGCACACAAAAAACACAUGAACCUCACACCAAAUACCCUCACAUCAAAUACACACACUCACCAGCUGCCUCUUGAAUACACAGAAUUAGCACACACUCACUGGUACAGAAUUUACAAAUACACAUCCAUUCACAUAAUACGUAUAGCACAGGAGAAGAGACGAUACUCAUCGUAUCCACAGAAAUAAGGGAGAAUUCAUACACCCAUACGCACCGAGAGCGGGAAUUGAACGGAAAGUAGAGAGGGAAAUUGAAAUUGAGCGAAAGAGAGAGUUUGAGAUAUAGACUGAGAAGGAUAAAGGGAGAAAAUGCCACUGUUGUGGUCUAGAGAGAGAGAGCUCUAAAUUCGGUCAGUUCGUCGAAAUACACUCUCACCAGCGACCAAGAUUUUCAUUAGAAAACGACCCAAACGUGCCGAAAAACAGUAGCCAGCAGCCAAAUUAGCUGCAGCAGUCCAUGGGCUGCUCGAAAUUUCACCAGAGACAUGCCAAAACCGAUCAAAACUGUCCCAAACAUUGGAAAACAAAAGUAGGUUUGUCUUUGGGAUUUCGAGAAUCGAGUUCGAGGUCUGUUCGUGGUUCAUGGGUUCACGAGGCUCCAGUCGCGGUUGAAAUUGGUUCAAUUUGAUUGAAUAAAAGUAACAUUGAGGUUCGACGUUGAGGUUCCGUUGGAUGCGGUUCUAUUCAGAAAGAUCAGUUAAUCAAUAAGGCAUUGAGGUCCAUUUCUCAUAUCAUUCUCUAUUCUAUUUUUUGGAAUUCUAGUUUUUGGAAUUCUAGUUUUUUUUAUGGGUGUGAAUAACUUGUUUGUUUAGCGUAUUUGAAUCUUUGUUGUGUAUACGUGGUUGAUGUUGGAUUUGAUAGUCGAAGAAUUGGCUAAUUAGUUUGACAAUUGAAUUGGGGAAGACGGGAAUUAAAAGUUGAUAAAAAAUAAAUAUUAUGUUUUUAUUCAUUGUUGAUGUUGAACAUAAUAUGUCAUCGAGUGGGUAGGCAAACAGUAGGUUCGGGUAGGCAAAUUUAGUAUUGUUGAAUUGUUGUAAUGCUUAGAAUAUUUGUUGAAUGUUUUGUUUAUUGUAUUUGAAAAGUGUAUUUAUUUAACCGGGGAAUGCCCCGAAGAAUUUUGUACGCAAAGGAUGCUCGUGAUCAAGGCCCGAGGCAUCGGGUAAAGCAUAGUUUAGGACUAGUGUAGGUUAUUUCAGUAUUUUUAUUUUGUGACUGUAUAACUCGGACUGGACACUAUAUUUCGGAUCCCUUUGGAUUUUUGUUUGUUUGUUUGAUUAUUUUAUAUGUUUUUGUGUGGUUUGUACAUCGUAGUGUCAAUUUAGCCGAUACGCUCUGCCAAGCGACCGUGGUCAAACCACGGGAUCGAGGGGUUCCUAACACCUUCCCCUCGGUCAACAGAAUUCCUUAGCCGGAAUCUCAGUUCGCAAAACCAGUAUUAAAGAGUCAAAACCAUUUUGAAAAAAGAUAUCCAUGGGUGACUUGGCACACCCGAUUUAUGCCGAGUAGCGACUCUGAGUUUUGAUUGUUAAAAAUAAUCCUUUUUCAAAAUAAAUUUUCAUCUUUUGUCACUUUAAUAAUUAAAACCCUUUCAACCCUUAAAACUUAAUCUUUGGGAGUGAAAAAAAGGGGUGUGACAACAUGCUUUAAAAAUUGAGCCUCUUUGGGUUAAAAUUUAUCAGCCCUUUUCGGAUUAAAAAUAUUGGAUCCCUUUUCAGGGUUAAAAGCGAGCUUUAUUUUCAAAUAUGUGACAGCAAGAUUAUUGAAAUAUGGUUGACAAUCGUCUCUACAUGUAGCUUUUGGACAUAUAUCUUCAUCAUCAUCAAAUUGGUUGCAACUUUGUUCUCAACAUGUCCUCAAUAUGAACCAUCUAAUCAUUGAACCAUUGUCUCUGAUACCACUUGUUGGGUUCGAAAUCGAGAAGGCGCCAUGCGGAUGCUAUUAGUUGCAAACUAUCUUAGUGAUAAUUCAGACGACAAAGAAAAACAUACUAAAAAAUAUAUUAUUGAUGUAAUUUGGUCAAGUGACCUACAUAUUGAAAACUAAUAUCAAAAAAACAUUAAAAACUAUUGAGAGAAAAUCUCUUCCUAAACGAGACUCUUUGAUGACUAAAUUGUGGAUACUACUGUGUUAUGAUAUGAGAAGGGGGUCUUUUAUUUAUAGAUGACCUACAUAUUGAAAACUAAUAUAAAAAAAAACAUUAAAAACUAUUGGGAGAAAAUCUCUCCCUAAACGAGACUAUUUGAUGACUACAUUGUGGAUGCUACUGUGUUAUGAUAUAAGAAGGGGGUCUUUUAUUUAUAGAUGACUAAAACCUUUCCUCCUAGAAAGAGGUUAGCCACAUAUGGAAAAGAAUUAUAUUUUUUCUUUCAGAAAAAGUAAAAGUAAUUAUGGUAACUUUUAUUUUCCUUCUAAGAAAAACUAAAACUUAAUUUUAGUAAGAAAAUCAGGGCAAAAACCUUAACAUCAUCAACAUAUAGUUGGUUCUUUGAUGUGGUCAUCAUUUGAAAAAAUCUCUUUUCUUUGAUGAAAUUAGAAGGGAUGUAAGUUUCUAUCAAGAAGAGAAGAGAGAAACUGAUCUAUGUAAAAGUAACCAUGUAAAGAAAUUGUAUCAGUUUAAAACUUAAAAACCACAAAAAGUUAACAUGUUAUUACGAACUCUAACUCAUCUAUAUAAUUAUUAAAAUUUCAAUUUUAAAAAAUAUGGCAACAUUAAAUCACCGUAGAAUUUGAAUUUAUUAAAAAUUUUAAAAAGGUAAAUAAUAAGUAAUAAAUAAUCUAAAUAUUUGUUGUCCUAAACUACAUGACAGUUUUUUUACAUUCAAAAAGAAUUUAAAACUCCAACUUUGUAGGUGUAGCUUUUUUAAAAAUUGAAUUGGAAAAAGAAGAGUAAAUUAACUGCUGUAACUUCCUAAUUUUGAAAUAUGAUACAUUAUAAGAAAAUACAUAUACACAUACGUUACGAUCUGAAUCGGGGCCCUGGCCAUGACCAGCAUUCCCGAACCGUGAAGGUCCGGGACGCCCACUGUCUAUCUGGUAAUCAUGCACAACAUUCAUAUAAUAAAAUAUAAUGCGGAAAUAGAAAUCUAAUAUGGAAACAUGGUCAGUCUGAAUGUGAUCAUAAUACUGAAAAAUUCAAAUCCAAAAUAUAUCUGGAUAAUAAUAAUGUCUGACUCAGUCUGCGAAAUCUUUAUUAUGAACUAAACAAAACUGUCUGAAAACUGGGACAAGGCCCCCAGUAGACCAAAAUAUGACUAAAGAUAAAUAUCUGAAAGUAAACAGGCCUUCUGGAAUAUAGAAGGCUCACCCCUGCACAAUCUGCUCUGCGAUCUGAAAUAUUUACUAUUUAUCUGAACCCCUAGACUGUGUCUCAAAACCUGGAAGCAGAGGGGGUCAGCACAAAUGUACUGGCACGCGAAGCAAUCCAAAAUAAAGUAUUUGAACAUAUAUAUAAUAGAUGAGAGCAAUUUUCAUCAACACAUCACGUAUAAAAUAGCUUCUGAAAACACAUGGGCAUCAUUCGAAAAUCAUAAGACAUUCUUGUCAAAACAAUUUCUGAUCUUUGUAUUACUUCUGAGUUAGGUGGCACUCCUCUACAAGACUGAUAUUUCACAGGCUAUAUGAAAUCCGCCAUUGACUCGGCGGGGAAGCCCCCAACCCAAGUGUGCCGCAAGGGUUGGAGUGUCUGAGUCUGAUAUGCCACACCGCACUUAAGCCAGUGUAUAAUAAUAUACCCAGAUCGGCAAAUCACGAUUUUGGGCAAUGAGUUGUCUGAACUCACGCCUUCUUCGGGGACCACCUAACAUCUCUUUAUGCCCAAUUUUUAACCUUUUCUGAACAUGUAUCAUUCUGAAAUUUCUUAAUCAUGAAAGUCUGAUAAAAUCUAAUUUCUAAACUAGUCUGUGUCUGUUAUGGCAUUUGUCUGAGUUGGUAUCAUCAUACCAAGACUUNNNNNNNNNNNNNNNNNNNNNNNNNNNNNNNNNNNNNNNNNNNNNNNNNNNNNNNNNNNNNNNNNNNNNNNNNNNNNNNNNNNNNNNNNNNNNNNNNNNNNNAACCCUCUCUUUCGUGUUCAAAAUCGUAUUCCAAACAUAGCAAAGUCAAAGCAUUUCAUAUCAUGAUUUUUCAAGACGUAUUUCAAAAUAAUCUAUAUCAUGUGAAACAUGGGAAAAUUACAUCAAGAGAGGAUUUCAUAUAAAUCGUGCUCUCAAUUCAUAUUUCAAGGAAAAACACAUAUAUACAUAUACAUAUAAUUUUCAAGUCACUUUGGGGGAAAGCCAAAAGGCUAAAGCAAUAUCAUUUAAAGCUUCUAAAACAUGAAUUCAAAAACUCCUUUCUUAAAACAUGAUUUCUAUGCCCAUGAGAAUUUAGGAAAACCUCGCGUACCUCUAUUUAAGAAAUUGAGGGAUGAUCCUUGAAGCCUACGAUGUGGGGAUUCCAAAUCUCCAAUUAUCUUCCAAAACUCACGGUUUGAGUUAUUUAGGAUUUUUGCUUGAAACCCUAAGGGGUGUUCUUGAGAGAAAAUUUGAGAAAAGGAGUAUAUUUUGAUGAAUUGGGGGUUAAAUCUGGUGUUAUACACAAAAUUUGGGUGAGCUAAAAUGACUAAAAUGCCCCUAAAAAAACAAACAAAGUCGUAACUGUCCCUCAGUUGACAAGCUGACAGGCUGAAGUAAAACCAGUAUAACUCCUUACGCAGAUGUUGGAUUUGGAUUAAACUAGUUGCAUUGGAAAGAAGACUCAAAGAGCUUUCAUUUGAUAGGUAGCAGCUCUCCCAGUUCAUUAUAUUCAGAGAGUUAUGAUCGUUUGAAGUUGACCCUAAAAUGCGAAAAACUGGGCAACAGGCUAUGUGUUUUGCUACUGUUUUGAAAUCCAAACGCAGCCUUAUGCAUUCUGAAAAAUUCUGAAACUUAUCCAAGAUGUACUAUGAGCUUUUCCUAUCGUAACACAACUUGAAAAUCUAAAAACGGAGGUCGGAAAGUUUGAAAAGUUGUAUCCCGAAUAUUGCCAGCCAAAAUGACUCUAAGUCCUCAUUACACUUAUAAAAAUUUUCAAGUUUUUAAGUCUAAGAGCACUCUAUUAAAGGCUAAUCCAUGCACGAAUUUUAUGGGGUGUUACAACAUACAUAUUUAUAAAGUCAAUUAAAAAGUAGUGGCUAAUUUCUAUCUAAUUAACUAACUUAUUCCUAUCUAAUUAACUAACUUUUUAAAAGCUAAACAUGUCAUUUUUAUAUGCUGCCACUUGGCUUAAUGAGGAGGCUGCAUCCUCUAUUUUAAUAAUAUAUAGAUAUAGAUACAGAUUGGUAUAUUUUGAAUUAGAAAUAGUUGCAACUGCUUCACUUUAUCCCAAAUAAAAAAAACAAUUAUUUGAUCAUAUAUGUGCAGGAAGUAAAUAGUUUUUCUCUUUAGUCCUCCUCUACACAAGAGACGUCUUUCGCUGUGAUAGCUGCUGUGAAAAUUGUAGCGAGAUUGGAGGAUCUGGACAUAGAUACUAUUGUCAGUCAUGCGCUAUUUGAGAAGAUUCUAUUUGACUGAUAGAAUAGAUAGAAGUAAAGAUGAUGAAAACAUAAUAGGUAUGCAAUUGUGGGAAUUUUUAAAUAGAUGAUUUUUUUUGGCGUUUACUUUUCUUAUGUCUUGGCUCCAUAAUUUAGUGAUGAACAUUAUGUUACACAACACAAAUUAUCAGGUUAAAAAGGUUUCAUCCCUUAGAAUUAGAGCUGUCAAAAUGGAUUGAUCCAACCCAACCCUAGCGGGCUAAGAAUUAAAUGGGUUAGGACAGACUAUCCUUUUAACUAAAGGGACUUUAAAAUAGCGGUCCAACCCUAAGUGGGUCACGAAUUGGGAUGAGUUGACCCUUUAGAAAAAAUAAAAGCAACCCGAAACAUGAUAAACAAAAAUAUUGUAAGUACUAGACUAUCACCAACUUUUAUGGUUUCACUUUAAUAUGUCUCCUACUAGUUUGUAGCAUGUUAUAGGCAUCUUACUAAUACCUUUAAGGGCCGUUAGGCUNNNNNNNNNNNNNNNNNNNNNNNNNNNNNNNNNNNNNNNNNNNNNNGUGUAUAGAUAAUUUCUCUCAUAACUAUGGUGUAAAUGAUGCGAUAAAUAAUACCUCAUCACUAACUAAUACCUCACACCAAACAUGGGAUAAAAUAGUCCUUCAUUUUAUCUCAGACUAUUUAUCCCUUAUACCUCACACCAAAUGAUCCGUUUGUUGCAAUUAGCUCAUAGCAUUUACUAUACUAAGCAAAGAAAUGAUGAUUAGCUACAAAUUUCGUAGAAAAAUUCUAAUAUGGUUAAGAUAUACACAAAGUAUCUACAUAAAAGCAGCAAGAUUAUAACAGAAGAGAACCUAUAUUUGAAGAAGCAAAGGCAACAACUACUAAUCAAUCACGAGUAAAAGCAACUUUUUAAAGUUCACAACUAAAAGCAGCUUAGCAGCCAUUUCAAACACACACUAAGAACUUUAAAAAAAUUAGUAUCAACCAAAGAAUGAAUAAAAAAUAAGUAGCUAGUUAGAAAAGAUUGACAAAAUUCUAAUACCUAAUAAAUAAAUGACCAGCUUAAAAAUACUUAAUAAUUAUUUUUAAUGUCUCAGCCCAUGGGCUGGCCUCUGAGGCUGACGGGUUAGGCCUCUAAGGCUGACGAGCCAAGUGAGGGAGGGAUUAUAAGCCUCGUUUCAAAAUGGGCUGAAAAAGCUUAGCCCAACUCCAAUUAAUUAAAGGGCUAGGUUGGACCGGCUUCACUAACCAAGCCAAUUUUGACAGCUAUACUUAGAAAGGAAAAGUUCAGAAAUAGCAUACUUAUCCCUUUAAUUAUGAGUUUCAUAGCAACAAUUUCAUAAUUACAUAAUAUAGCAAGUUGUAUUUUGUAUUUUUGUAAACUGUUGCUACAAAAAUACAAAAACAUAUGAUUUUUACUGCCCUUAUGGUCAAUAUGUAUUUUGUAUUUUUGCAAACUGUUGCUACAAAAGUACAAAUACAUAUGCUACAAAAUGUAAUUUGAUAAAAGUGUUGCUAUUUUUUAUAAUUUAAUAUUUAAGUAUGCUAUUUUAUGUAUUUUUUCCUACUUAGAAUCCUUCGCUUAUGCAUCAAAUUUCUUUGGAUCUUAUAUGACUUUGAUUCUUAUGAAAAAUGGACUUUUGUUGUUUUAUGUCUGAUCACAAUUUAAAAAUUAUGUUUUAAAUAAGCUAAAAUAUAUAGCAGUAGUAUACAUGCAUCUAUGGAGAGUUUUUACAAAUAUUAAUAGCUGAGUAUGUUAUGAGCGGGUAUCAAACUCUCAAAUAUUAGUGAAAAUAGAAGUUAAUAUGUGUUAUGUGACACGCAAGAAAUUGUAAUAUUUAUAGUGCUUUUCUGCGCAUUGAGUCAUCCAAAGAUAUAUUUUAUUAUGUAUUUGCUUAGAAAAUUUGUAAGUAUUCUUGGGAAUUUAGCUCAUUUACCACAUUAAUAUAUUCAGUUCACGAAUCUUACAUGAACAAAAGAUAAUAAUUGCAAUAGCGAUAUGAAAGGAAAUUUAGUUCUUUUGCACGGGAAUAAUAAGAUACACUAAUCAAUUAAAGAUAUUAGAUAUCUUACUUGAUCAGAAUAUCAAGUAGUGGUAUGUAAUUUUUUUUUAUUUUAACUGUACUUUUUAAUACUAAAAUAUGAUUUUGAACUUCCAUAUAUAUAUAAUGACUAUGCGGUAUUCAUGAAGAUGAAUAUUGUUCUUGAUAGAAUAGUCAUGUUUAAAGUGGUAGUUAAUCUCUUCAAUGUUAAGGUGGUUGUUGCAGUUUAUAUAGAUAGCAAUGAUGAGGAUAUUAUAAUGCAAUUUUCUUUCUUUGUUCGAAGGUACAUUAAUUAUCUGUUGUUUUACUUACAUAUUUUAUAGCAUACUGAUAUUGUUGUUUGCCAAGUCACCAAGGGAGAUAAAGAUUUCGCGGUAAUUUCGAAACUCUCUUUUCAAUGUUUUAAGUUAAUCGCUUCAAUUGUUGUUUUAUUAAUCUUUACGUAAACUCAUUACCACAAUUCUUGGGCACAUAUAAAAUGCACAAUAUUCAUUUUCACAAACUUCAUAUUUUCAUUUUGUAGGAUUGCAUGGAUGAUAAUGACAUGAUCUCUCCUUCUCCUAAAGAGACCUUGGCAGGAAAAGUAGAUUCGAAUUUGGAUACAUAUCAUAUGUAAAAGAAGUUGAUAAUGAUCUCAAUGUACAACUCUCAAGUAACAAGGUCGGCAAAGUGGUUAAAAUAUGAGGAAAACGCAGAAAAUAUUUCCUUAAAUAUUAGCUUUUUCAAUUUUAUUUCUAGCACGAUAAAUUCUUUAACAAUAUUUGGCAUCCAAAGUUGCUAGUUUCAUAUAGCGUCUACAACCAUUAGUGACUUCUUUUUGAUCUUAUGUGCAAAUUUGUAUUCAUAUACAUUAAUCUUAGCUUUAAAAGGGUUAUGUGGUUGUGGAAAAUCUUCUAUGACACCAUUCAUUAGAAAGUGAAAUCAUAAAUCAUAUUAUCCUCUAACUAGCUCACAAUCAUUGCAAUGACUUGGUGAGAAUGUGUAUAUAUAAAUUUUCCUCCUUAGGAGGAAUACUCUCAACAAAAAAAGGCUUGUUGUUCCUUAAAUAACUACAAGUGAAAAAUGCACUUCAAUUGUGAACUAUCACUUUUGAAUUGCAGAGUUGUGACGGUAUAUGGUAUUAUGUCCUUUUUAUCCAAUUUAUUAUCAGAAAAUAAGAAUUUUUAUUUUUCACCACCAUCAACAUAUUUUGCCAUCAAUACUUUUUCUUAAAAAUUCAUGUAGUUAAUGAUUUUUUAUAUCAUGUUUAUAUAAUUUAUUCUUUAUUUCUUUUAAAUACUGUGUGAGAAAUUAAUUGAUGACAAUCAGAAGAUAAUAUUUCAAGAGAUAUCAAUUAUAGUUCAUUAAAAUUUAUUACUUCUGUAUUUGAUAUGAUUUGUUUGGGAUGUCUGGAAAAAAUAUAUUCUCAAUAUUUAAUUACAAGGCACUAACAUUUAGAGUGAAUAGAACAUGACUUCUAAAAAGAAUAUAUUUUCAUAUAUUUUGGUUACAUAUAAUUAGAACGUGAGUGGAAAAAACAUUUAAUUUAGACUAAAGAAGUUCAUAAAUUAUACAGAGUCUAAGUGAAUGUUUAGAUGGACUUGUAUCUUUUGUACUUAUUAUAUGGUUCUUUAUUUAUUUUAAUUUUUUUCUUGCUUAAAAAUGCUUAAAAAAACUUUUUUAUUUUACACAAAAACUUUAAAAGUACUUAUAAAUUAUUUUGACUUAAAAGCCCUUAAAAUAAGUUAAUUUAACUAGAUCCUAAGUUAUGAUAUGCAAUCCACGCAUCGCCCGGUGCUGUACUAAUUUUAUCUUAAAGAAAAAACACCACCAUCAUCUGCUUACUACUUUGUUGCUGAUGAUGAUUGUGAAAUGUCCCUCAAACCAUUUGUCAAAUCACCAGUAGUUAGACUACACAAGCAACAUAUAAGCCACAUGUUGAAAAGAUAGGGAAAAGAACAAAAAUAACACCUAAAACUAAAAUAAUUUCACAAAACUAGCACCUAAAUUUAAAAACCCGGCAAAUAGCCACUAAGGGAUGGGCGCACGUGAGAAGCUGGGAUACAUUUGUCGUUGUUCCACGUAUUCCCCUCAAUUCUACAACACAAUUCGGCCCUUUCCUUUUUGGGUACUGGGCACACUUUUCAUCUUUAAUGGCUUAUGCUUUUUUUUGGCUCCUUAUACUUUUAAUAUAAUACAAUUAUUAAAGAUAUAUAUUUAUAUAUAAUAAUGAUACAGUUUCUAUAUAUAUACAUAUUCUAUAUAAUAAUUAUAGCUUUUUUAUACACAUUUUAUACAAUUUUUAACUACAUUUAUUAUUUAGAUACAUAUUUUAUACGGCAUAGUUUCUACAUGCAUUCUAAAAAUGUAUCAAUCUAGUAUAAGAGAGUAUCAAUUGAGUAUAUGGACACUGCAAGUGUAUCAAUAUAGUAUAAAAGUGUAUUAAUGUGAUAUAAAAGAGUAUCAAUUGGGUAUAGGGACUAAAUGUGCUUGCAUAGAAUUUCCUCUCUUUUUUAAAAAGUGUAUCAAUAUAGUAUAAAAGUGUAUCAAUGUGGUAUAAACGUGUAUCAAUUAAGUAUAGAGACCGCAUCUGCCCAAUUGGCCCAAAUAGCUAAAAAAAAGGAAUUAAAUUGAGCCGACUGGCUAAGGUUAUCGACCUUUUAAAUUAUGGGCCAUUUUUUUUAAAAAAAAAUCACCCCAUGUCCUUUCCCCAAGAUAAAACAUAGUCAAAAAAAAUUAUAAUUGGAUUGAUAGCUUCUCAAAGUCCAGCAAUGAUUGUCUAAGUAACAUGACACUGAAUACAAUACAUAAAUAAAAGAUUAUUGCAUAAAAUUUAUAACAGAAUUAAUACUAAUUAAAUAACUUGAAAAGAAAGUAAGACAAGCACAAGCGAAGAGAAGUUCAUAAAUUUAAUUUACUCAAACUCUAAAAAGAUAAAUGUAGCAAUAAGAAUCAAAGAGAAACAUGGUUCAUCUCUAAAGAUUGUGCAGCAACAACAAAAAAAAAAAGAAUUGAUUUUCUAAAAGUUUAAAUUAUAAAGUGUGCAUUGCUAUAACAUUUUCAAGUUAUGUUGGAUGAUAAUGAACAUCUGUCAUAAAACUAUCAAUUAGAUCAAGCCAAACAUGUCGAUGCAUCAAAUUUUUCAUGCAAAAUAAGAAUUCUCACCUAGCUCUAUAUGUUAAGAGAAAUACAACGACAACAUAUUUAGUGUAUUCUUACAAAGUCAUAUGUGGAGAGAGCAAAUUGUGCGCAGUUCAUAUUACUAUCUCAGGUGAAGUAGAGAGAUUGUUUUCGAUCGACCCCAACUCAAGACAAAUAACAGUAUAACAAACAAAACCCAUAAAAAUAAAUAACAAAAUGGGAUAACACACCGCUAGAUAAUUAAAAAAACAAGACACUGACAAAAUAAUACUAUAAACUAUCUAUUCGAGAUCACAAACACCAUCAGAACACUACGAACAAGAAAUUGUUUCCACUCCAUGUUUUUUAGACUUACUUUUCAAUACAUUCUUAGACAUAUUAAAUUCCCCUUGUAGAUAUAGAAAAAUAAAUAUUUGAAACAGUAAUUCAAAAAAAUAACUUGGUCAACAUGAACCUGUUAUUUUUAAUGUUUUCCGGUACAAUAAUCUAUAUAUAGGCAACAACAACUUCAACCCAAGUUCAUGUCUCAAACAAGAACACUUAUGAAGUUCCUAUACACCUUCAACACAAGAUUAAAAAUGAUCUAUCCAAAAAGUGUGUUAUUUUUCAGAAAUAAGAUGAAAUAGAAACGUAAAGCCAAGUCUCCCAACUUCACGAAGUGUCCUUAAGGAAUAAUUUUCCUCAUUAUACCCGAGGUUAUGGAAUCUUCCUUCCAAGAUAAAAUGACUUUCAAUCCAAUUAUAGUGGUACCUUAAAUAAUUGGAUUCGUCGAACGCACUCAACAACUUAAUGAUCACACAGAGUUUUUGUAUAAAAGAAGUAUGUUUUUGCUGUCAAAAAUUAUGUCUAUACCUAAGGAAUAUAUCAGAUAUUUAUAGCCUUUAAUGUGUCCUCUCAGAAAGAAUACAUUGGUUUAGCAGAAAGGCACCUAUUCAAUACAAACUGAACUUGCGCCCGAACUGCGGCCGCAGGUGACACUGUCCGAAUUCCAGUGAGCAUCUGCGCUGCACCUGGGUCCGCAGGUAAUCAAUGUACGCGCUCAGAUCUCCCAACAGCGUGAAACAGUGUGCCUUUUUACCUUGAAGGGUCGCAUCCCUUCGAGAUGUGUUGCAUAUGCAUUUGCGUGACAUCAAAUGCGCCCGCACUUGAAGAAAAGCAGUUCUAUCAGAUGUUUGGAUUAAAAUUUCACUUGUAAAUAAGUUUCAAAUAUAAUUCGUCUAAAAAGAUAGAUCUCAUCGAUCGAUCAUUUGCCAAAUCCGAAGCCAAGCGAGCGAACGAUGACGACAGUGCAAGGAACAUCCUUUUUCUUACCUCACUAUCCAUGUGGAGUUAGUGUUCCUCAUUAUAAACACUUGAAAUUUCCCUUCUUCCACCAAUGUGAGAGAAUUAGUGAAUUUCCAAUAUAAGAGUACAUUUUUCAUUUUGGUUACAUUUUUCAUUUUGGUUACUCUAUUUUCCUCCACUAUUUUUUCUUCUAUUUUCCAUUCACACACACACACCUUAAACCCAAUAAUCCCCCACAUGAAUGGGGAAUGGAUAUCUUUUGAAGAAUUUACGGACAAGCAUGUGAUCAUUUAGCAGAGACUAAUUGCAUCUGGAUAAGUAGGUUUUCUUUUGAACUUUCCAUAGUGAAAAUAUAUUGGAUGCUCUCGGUCAAUCGGUAGAUUUUAUAUCUUUGAACCGUCGAGCUUUAAUGUACACCUAGACAACACAUGUCACACAACCAGCCUUUUACUAUUUAUGGCUCUCACGGUUUUGUUCUUUCCAAUCAUGAACACGUCCUAGUUUUUGAGAGCUUAGAGAAUAGGCCUUUACUAACAUUCUCCUUGAAGCGGCUUCCACUUCGCCCUCACAUAGGUGAUUUCUAAAUGUUUAAUCCUGUAGAUUAAACUAUUUGGUAAAAUUUGUCAAAUUUAGAUAAUCAUUAAAGACUUUCCACCUUAAGUCUUAUCCUUGUUUACUAAAUAUUGUCUACAUUAUGAGAAUGGGUUGGGUAUAUUGGCAAUGUUGAACCUCUCAAACACAACUUUGUUUAAUCUCUUUGAACCUAGCUCUUGGGAUCUUCUGUAUGCUAGGUAGAGUUACCGUCAUACUGACUUGUCCUAAGCCUUAAACCCAUUCCCUUGGAUGUCCUUUCCACUCCUUCUCUAGAUAGGCCUUUUAUAAGUGGAUCCGACACAUUAUCCUUUGACUUUACAUAGUCAAUAGUGAUAAUUCCACUAGAGAGAAGUUCUCUAAAGGUAUUAUGCCUCUGUCUUAUAUGACGAGAUUUACCGUUGUACAUCAUGCUCCCUACCCUACCUAUUGCCGCUUAGCUACCACAGUAUAUACAUACUAGUGCCACUGAUUUGAGCCAAUAAGGAAUAUCUUUCAAGAAAUUCUAGAGCCAUUUUGCUUCUUCACCAGCUUUAUCUAAUGCGAUAAAUUCAGAUUCCAUUGUAGAGCGAGCAAUACAAGUCUGUUUGGAUGAUUUCCAAGAGACCACUCCUCCACCGAUAGUAGAUACAUAUCCACUUGUGGAUUUUACUUCGUUUGGUCCGGUGAUCCAAUUUGCAUCACUAUAUCCUUCAAGUACCGCGGGAUAUUUAUUAUAAUUCAAAGCAUAGUCUUGAGUGUAUUUAAGAUACCCCAAAACUCUUUUCGUUGCCAUCCAAUGAGUUUUAUUGGGAUUUCUCGUGUACCGACUCAACUUACUAAUAGCACAUGCUAUGUCUGGUCGUGUACAAUUUAUUAUAUGCAUUAAACAUCCCAGCACUCUUGCGUACUCCAAUUGUGGGUCACUUUUGCCUUUAUUCUUUUGAUGUGCAAAGCUUACAUCCAAUGGAGUCUUGGUAAUACCGAAUUCCAUAUACUUGAACUUGUCAAGUAUAUUUUCAAUAUAAUGAGACUGUGAUAAUGCCAACCCUUUUGGAGUUCUAUGAAUUCUUAUUUCUAAGAUCACAUCUGCAACUCCAAGGUCGUUCAUAUCAAACUUGCUCUCAAGCAUUCAUUUCGUUGUAUUUAUGUUAGAAAUGUCUCUACUGAUGAUCAACAUAUCAUCCACAUAUAAACAAACAAUGACUUGAUGAUUGAGAGUGUCUUUAAUGUAGACACACUUAUCGCAUUCAUUUAUCUUGAACCCGUUUUUCAACAUGGUUUGGUCAAACUUCGCAUGCCAUUAUUUAGGUUCUUGCUUUUGUCCAUACACUGACUUAAUAAGUUCACACACCUUAUUCUCUUUUCCUGGAACCACAAAACCCUCAGGAUAUUCCAUGCAAAUUUCUUCUUCUAAUUUUUCAUUUAGGAUUGUUGUUUUCACAUCCAACUGUAGAUAGGCCAAUGGCAAAUAAUAACCAUGGAUAAAAAGAGACGAACUGAGACAAUCUUAGCCAUAGGAGAGAACGAUCACCAUAGUCAAGACCCAAAAUUUGUGUAUAACCCUUGGCCACUAGUCGAGCCUUUAGGUGAUCAAUCUCUUGCUCAUAGGGCAUAACUUGUUUCUUUGAGGCUUAAGUCUUGACUCUAGGGCAAAUGUUAUAGAUCAUAUGCCAAAACGUUGUAGAGUAAGCUAGUUUCAAAUCUUGCCCAAAGGGCAUAACUUGUUUUGCAUCCUGCCUUCAAGGCAAAUUUUAAAGUGUAUCCCGUGAAAUUAUUUACAUUAUAUAUCUUGGGGUGCGGUCCUUCCCCAAAUUCUGUUAAUAUGAUAUAUUUUUACACAUCAAUAUAUAAAAAUAUUUAACAUGCAGUAACUUUCAUAAACAAUCAAUAAGAAGGUAUUGAGUUAAAUACUUCACCAUAAGUUAAAACUUUGAAUAAAUAAGAAGACAUUCGUGCAACUUGUUUUGUUGAAAGUCAAAAGUACUUGUUACUAGCUAAAAUAGGGGAUCAAAGAAUCCAAUUAUAACUAUUUUUUUGAUCUAUCUUCUCGAAUAAAAAGUUAAACUAAUUAUGUUUUUUUAAUUUUUCUUUACGUAUUUUCUUGCAUAUGGAUGAAGGAUUUGAGUGUAGUGACAAUUUGAUCUUUUGGGCCUAGUUCUUUUGCAUCUCAAACAUUUGUAAUUAUUUCUUGAAGAUUCUGUUCUACAAGGAUAUCUGAUUGUUUGACUUAUCCCUAGGAGAACCUUCAUAUCUGAGGGUUUUGUUAUUAGAUCCUUUAUACUAUCUAGAACAAUCCAUGAUGUUGUGCUUCCAACUGGUAGGAUUUCUCCCUGGUAUGUUUGUAUCCAAGAUUGUCUUGAGAACCAAUGAGAACAAUAGCUAGACCUAUUCAUAUUUCUACUGUUUAUCGUUGCAAUUGCAUGGGUGCAUGGUAUCUGGUUGGUUUGAAAUACUAAGCAUUGAAAAGUUAUAUUCUUCAAGUCUACAAUAUAUUCAAAUCUUUCUUCUCUUACUACAAAUCUUGUUGUUUCAGUAGGUUUUACCUACAAAUAAAAUGAUAAAUAAAUGACAACUUAUAUUUGUUGUAAUCUUGAAAGCUAUGCCCAUGAAAGCUCAAGAACAAAAAUAAGCCACAAUGAAAUCACAGAUAUGAACACAUCACUUUCUAGUGAUUUAGUAUAAUAGAGACUAAUUAAUAGUUUAGUUUAACUUAGCAACAAAAAUUAUUCUGUGACAUUCUCUACAGUCAAUUCACAGAAUCUGGGUUCCCAUCAUUAACUCACUGCUACAUAAUAAAGUCACCUGGACGUCCACACAAAAAUAGAGACAUUGAUUAGCGAAAGCAAGUGAUAUCAUUGAUGGCAUCAAGAAGAUGAAGAUAUAUAAAAGAUAACAAGUAUAAAAGAAAUUCUAGCUCUAUUAUAGUGAGACAUACAAAUAUAUAUGUUAUAUGCGUGGUCACGUGUAUGUAAAAUUGUAAGACCCCAAGAAUUUUCUCGUCAUUAAAGCCUUCGAAAUGAGUCAAGUUGAGCUUAACACUUAGAAUUUUUAGCUAAGAGUUUCAACACUUAAUUUUAUUUUGAACCCUUCAUCUUCGUUGAAUUUUUCGUGACCUUCCCGACAUUUGUUUCUUAAAAUUUUUGUUGCGUUGCGAUGAUUAAAGGUCGUAGCAUGUUCUGGAUGAGUUUCGAAAAUUUUAGACAUCGUUUAGGGCGUGUUCGAUUUUCAAACCAGUAGCAUCAUGCGAUAUGCAUGCGUCGUAUGGUCCAGUGCGGUGCUAUGGAGCAUGUGACGCACGCUUCAUUGUGGUGGGAUAGGCAUUAUGGUAUUUUUACACUCCCCUAUGCUCUCUAACACAUGAUUAAAUCCCUAAAAGAACAAAAUAUCAUCACUUUCAUCCAAUUUGACUAAGAACAAAGCUUAGGGUUUCUAUAGAGAAGUCAAGAGAACUCAUGAUUCAGCCGUAGCUUUUCAAAUAUUUUUGGAUAUUCGAAAACCCCGUUUCGAGGGCUACAAGAAGCACCCAACAAUUUCAUGAAUAGAGUUUCCCAGUAGAGAGUUCAUUCAACAUCUCCAAUCUUGAGGUAUGUGGGUUUUUUCAACAAGAACAUUCUUUCGUUCUUGUGCCCAAAGUUUUUUUUAUUUUUACAAAGAUAUAUGAUUUGAUAUGUUUUACUACGAAUUUGAAUAUAUGAAUUUACGACUUAUGAUGUUUUCAUGAGAAUGUUGAUAUGAUUGCAUAUAAAGCUGAAUUUUCAAAUUUCUAACUGAUUAUUUUUAUGCUUAUGACAUAAAAAUUGAAUCUUGAGAAGUUUUAUUGUGAUAUUGAUAUAUGGGUUUUUGGAACUCUAUUUGAGAUUAUUAGUUUAUGAAGUUAUGUGUUAUAAACACCUUGAUAUUUGAAUGAUUUGAAAUGAUGAAGAAUAAUUUGACCUUGGUGGUCGCGGAAGUAUUGUUUUUUUUUUUUGAAACCAAGUGAGAAAAGAAAUUCACUAUUCUUGAAUGAUUAUGAAAGGGGUAGCAUAUUGGCUCCCGUUGUGAAUUGUUAAACUAUUUGUUGUGGAUUUUCUUUUAAAAGAUCUGAGCUAAGUCUGGGAGUAGUCUUUAGCACCGAGCGGGAGGUAUAGCGGUUUGGUACUUCCCUAGAACUACGUGCCCCCAUAGGAUGUGGCUGAUAUAGUGAUCACUAGUUUUUGGAUUGAUGAUUAAGGUCCUACUCUGAUGGCAAGGAUAGGACAGCUCUCCCCAAUGUGGGUUGGACAUUGGACUCGAUGUAGCUCACAUGGUUUAUGUUGGUUAUGAGAAACUCCCAACGUGUGUGUGUGUGUACUCUUUUAUCUAAAACGAAAAUAUAUGUUUUGAAGGAUGGGUUUUGACAAAGUUAUCGUUUCCGAAUGAUUUGAAAUGUUACGUUAUUAGGAGACUGUUUUAGCACUUGAUUUCUCUAUGUGUUUGGAAACGAGAAAGGAGUGAAUUGAGAACUUAUUGAAUGACUCACGUGUUUGGUUUAUAUAUAUCAUUUACUUAUGAUUUUGAUGAUUUAUCUCAAGCUAAGUGAGUCUUUCAUAUCAGCAUGCAUGUCUUUUACAAACCUAUGAUAUUUGUUUUAUUGAAAUUUGCAUACACCCCCAUAUACUCAGUACAUAUUCCAUGGUACUGAUCUACAUGUUCUCAUGUGGGCUACAUUUUCCCUAUAAUGUAGGUUCAAGUGCUCAGUCCAAGGUUUGACAGUGAUUUUUCGAGCACGUUGAUCUACAUCUUCUGUAGUGGUGACUCCUCAUGAUCCGAGGACGUAUGAUUUUCAGACUUUUCAUUUCAUUAUGAGUUGUUCAUUUUAUCUUUUGAGUUCGGGUCAGUUGGGGCUUGCACCAAUGGCUCAUUGAUACACUGUUUAGUAAAGGCUUGUCAGGCUAAAUUUGUCAGCUUUGUCAGAGUUGUCAGAUAGGUCGUAUUUUGUUACUUUCCGCAUUUAUCCAUAUUGCAGUACAAGAUUAUUAAUGAUGUUUAGAUGUUUUGAUUUUAAUGAUCUCAAAAAUAAGCUUGUGAUGGUGUUAGAUGGCUCAAAGGGUUAGCUUGGGGCUACUUGUAGUCUUAAGCACCGUGUGACACUUCGGGACCCGUUUUUGGGGCGUUACAAACUUGGUAUCAGAGCCUAAGGUUUAAGGAGUCCUAGGAAGUCUGACAAGCCGCGUUAAGUAGAUUCUUGAUCAUCGGUGUGUAGCAUGCCAUAUCUAUGAACAAGAGGCUAUAAGAUGUUUUAGGAAAAAGGUUAUCCAUUCUUUCAGUACUUAUAUCGUUCCAGUGAGCGAAAGCUCCAGUCGAAAUCUCAGUUUAAUCUAUAUUCUCCUUUCGUUUCAGAACAUGUCUUCUAGUGAAACUAAUGAGCGAAGUAAUGAAAAUCAUCCAGAUCCUCGGUCCGUUCAGGUAGAUCCCUUGGGCGGGCACGUCUCUCACGCAGAGUUUUGGAGCUGUUUUUACUGCCUUACCUAAUGCAAUAGUUGCUCAGAACAAUUUGCAGGAUGUGGUUCUAUCUAGGCUUUUGACUCGCACUCGGCAGAAUAAGAGAAGAGAGUGUAGGAUAAACAGGGAGCUAGAACCAAUCACUCUAUGUCAAGAUCAAGGGGUAACAAUCGCUCCCAGUACCAUCAGAGAUCCUCAUCACCUGUUCUGCUGUCAGUCCAGGCCCUAAUAUCUAAGUAUAAGGAUGUCAAUCAAGGUAGAGCAUCAAGAGCUAAGUCGCAGAAUCGUAACAAAGGUUUUCUAACUUAUCCGCAUUGCGGAGAAUGUGGUAAGAGCCAUAAGAGAGUGUGUAGAGCAGGUAGUGACGUAUGUUUUGGAUGUGGUAAUCCAGGCCACUAGUUGCGGGAGUGUAGGAUCAUAUCUUAGAAGAGUAAAUAUUUAUGUCAGCAGGGUGCCACUUCUAGUACCAAUAGUGGUCGGGGUCAGAACAAGCUUUAUGCACCUCAGAAUACUAGCACCCUGGCUCCCACAACCUAUCCAUCCCCUGCUCAGGAUAUUUCUUCUAGAACUACUGGCGGUCAGUGCCAGAACAAAUCCUAUGUCUUGCCAUCUCGCCAGGAGCAGGAGGACUCUUUCGAUGUCAUUACUGGUAUGCUCCGUGUAUUUCACAUUGAUGUUUAUGCAUUAUUUGGCCCUCAGUCUAGUUUUCUUAUGUGACCCCUUGGUUGCUGAGAAUUGUGAAGUGAGCUGUGAAGAGAUUCCUGAGCCUAUCCUAGUUUCUACCCCUUUUGGGCAAGUUGUUUAUUGCCAAGAAAGUGUAUGAGAGGUGUCCUGUUAUAGUCCUUCAUAGAGUAAGAUAUGUAUUCUCAAAUCUUUGAGUAUGGUGUGUCAAGCUUCUACCCCUUGAAAUUUUGUUAUCAUUGAGUUCUUGAAAAAUCGAAGUAUAGUGAAGCCGUGUGAGGCCUAUUUCGAUUCACUAGCAACUUGUUGUUCAUCUUAUUUUCUUUGUGCAGGUUAAAAGUUGGGUUUAGCGGUGCAGUGUCAAUAGGGGGGGGGGGGUAAAAGUGAUUUAUAGAAGGUAUGUAUAGCCAAGUAUUUUUGCAUAUGAUCGAGUCAGUAAUGAAGUGAUAUGGUUUGAAGUGUGGAAAGGGUUGUUGAUGGAGUUUGUUGAACUAGAAAAGUAUAGACUAUUGAUGAAAGUACUUAGUGGUUGAGAGAUGUUGAUUUAGAUUUCAAGGGGAAGUUUAGUUGAAACUUAUGGAGCUAUGAAAGAGGUAAUUGGUGAUGAAGUGUAGAGGAAGGAGGUGCUAGCAAGUCAUAAUAAGAUAGACCAUAGAAUUGUUAUUAAUCAUUAUUGUUAUGAGGUUUUAACGGACUAGUGUUUUCAGACGUUUGGCAUGCAAGAAUAUAGUGUGAAGUUGUGGUUAAUUAUAGCUAGGACUAGACACUAAGUUUGAAUAAUAGAGGAUGAGAGAGAUGGAUAUAAUGAGUGAUUUCUUUGCGAUGCUCAUUGGAUGGAGGUGAUCCAGUAGGCUUGAACAGUGUAUGCAAGAGCAUAGGUUUAUUUUGGGUUGUAAUUAAGUAUGAUGUUGUAUGUAUAACGAAGAGGUUCACCCAAGGUGUUGUAGGGCUGUCUUACUCCCAAGUUAAUAAGUGUUUGAGUACUAUAUAAUGAUCUUUGAGGCUAGAGAAAGAUAGAAUGUAACCCAUAAGGUAGUAUUCGGAGUUGGUUUUAUGCCUUCAGGUGUAGUCAUUCAGGAUAAGUUCUAUUAUUCAUUAGUGUUGCUAUAUCCAGGGCUCUAGAGUAAGCGAUUGCAGUUCCGCUAAGAGUUUUUAUACUGGCUCACAACCCUAGAGUGAUGACUUAAUUCUAAGGGGGAAAUGAUAAAGCGAGUAGCCAAAAUCAAGCUUUCAAAUUCUAAUAGAUGUGCCAAGUAAGUUGUAGAAUACCUGAGGGAAUGAAUGAUGCCCGACCCAUGCUUAUUUCUAUAUUUUCAGUCAUCCCAAUACCUACCCAUGCAUCACGUUUUAGUUCCAUUAUCAUAAUUAGCGUUCGUGCGUAUCAUAAAAAAUCGUGUACCCUCUUAGUUCCCAAGAUAAGGAAAUUCCAGUUCAUUCGGCAGUUCAAAUCAUAUUCCAUAAGUUAUGAAGUCCAAAUUCGGGUCAUACAACUCAUGACUCAUGCACUUAAGCUCUGCGGUAUAUUCAGUCCAAGUACUCAAUGAAUACUUUUAUGAUCAGGGAAAUUCGAGUUUGUAUCGUGUAUGUCCUCAGACUAGGCCUCUUUGAUGAAUUAUGAUAUUAAAGACUCUAUUCCUCAAGUCUCAGUCGAGUGUAAAGUUGUACAAAGGAUUUCAUCAUUUUCAGAUCCUCAUGUCCUAAUCUUUUAGUUACCUAUCCUUAGUCAAGAUAGUGGGGACAAACAGUUGUGAUAGGAGGAGAGUAAGCGGUCCUUGUUGAUGAAGAUUAUUGUGUGCUCAUUUUAGCUAAGUUAGUAAGUGUGAAGAAAAGAUUGAGGCCAAGUCUUUGAUACGUGUCAUGGUUAGUUAAAUUUUUAUGUGAUAUAUUUGGGAAUAUUGUUGUGUCUUGUUUCAUGUGUGUGUUCUGAAGAAUUGAAUAGUAGGUGUGAGAAUGUCAUUGGUGGGGUUAUUAGAGGAUAUAAGAAGGAUGCCUGAAGAAUGUUUGUUUAGAAGUGCAUCAUAUAGGCUUGAACGUUAUGAUUGAAUAGCUGGAUGGAUGCACUGCAAGUUAGUAGAUGUCUAGUACGAGGGUGAAUGUGGUUAUUGGAGUGGUAAUGGGAAUUAUACAGGGGGUGAGGAGUUGUAAAGUGCAAGGUAUGUUGUAUUCACAAUUCAGAUUAGUAUUACAGUGCUAUGUGGCGUAGCCAGUAAGUACUUUGUGUUAGGCUUGAAUGUGGUGAGGGAAAUUAGUUCAAUUUAGACAGAAGUAGAGGUAUUUGUGAACGCUCAUGUGAAAAUAAUAAGUUGAAUCCACUGCUAUGGUUAAGGAAAAUAGUAUAGUUGAGGGAGUAUUUGAGGAGUGUUACUAAGCUUGAACGUAGGAGGUUCUAUUUCCUAAGGCUUAGUGAUUUUAUCCUAGCUUAUGCCAUAUAUGUGUUUGUUCCAAGCGAUAGAGUUGUAUCGAUGUUGUGAUGUAUUUUCUCCCUAAUGUUAUUCGACUUUCUUAGAGGGAGUCUUAACGAAACACUCCAUUUGAGUGCGAGCAGUCAGUAUGAUCUAGUCCAUGUAGUCUGUAGUCCAGUUUAACAAUCAAGCAGAUAAGCCCCUAUAGAUUUCCAAUUUUCCAUCUAGUCGUACUACCCCAAAGUUUUGUAAGUAAAGCCAUUCUAUGGGGUAAGAUGCUUGCACCUGUCCAAAUUGAAAACUUGACGCGGUUCAUGCAUCGAGCCUCAGGUUCAUCUUUAGAUAAUCAGUCGUGAUUCAGUUCAUAAGCAUUCAGUGAACGACCUUUGUUUUCCAAGUAUUCUAGUUUAGGAUAGUCUUUCCUUUGAUGAGACCCUCAUUGAGAUCCUUGAUUUUCGAAUCCAAAGACUAAGGAACGAACAUGUUCCCUUGGUCAAAGUGUUGUGGCGAAACCAAUCUGUUGAGGGUGCAACUUGCGAAACCCAGGCGGAUAUGCGAUCCGAGUACCCGAACCUAUUUUUUGCAAGCUCCGAUCAAGCCUAAGGUACCGUUCUUCUCUAAAUCAUCCCUUUUAUGUUCAAAGUUGCAGCAGUUCAGCUGUUACCUAUUUCUGUUCAGCUGUUAGAUCAUGAGUUAUGCACUCCUUGUUGUACCCGGAAUGUAAGAUAAAGCAGAGGUAAGUUUAGCAAAUUGCCUCAGUUGUUUACCCUUCGUUUCUUUUGUAUUCUCAACGUAUCUAGCGUCAUUCGAGGACGAAUGUUCCCAAGGGGGAGAUAAUGUAAGACCCCAAGAAUUUUCUCGUCAUUAAAGCCUUCGAAAUGAGUCAAGUUGAGCUUAACACUUAGACUAUUUAGCUAAGAGUUUCAACACUUAGUUUUAUUUUGAACCCUUCAUCUUCGUUGAAUUUUUCCGUGACCUUCCCGACAUUCGUUUCUUGAAAUUUUUGUUGCGUUGCGAUGGGGCAAGGUCGUAGCAUGUUUCGGGUGAGUUUCGGAAUUUUUGGACAUCGUUUAGGGCGUGUUUGGUUUUCAAACCAGUAGCAUCAUGUGAUAUGCAUACGUCGCAUGGUCCAGUGCGGUGCUAUGGAGCAUGCGACGCACGCUUUAUUGCGGUGGGAUGGAGCAUGCGACGCCUGAUCCAUCGCACGCCUGGAAAAUUUUUCAGCAUUUUGUCCAUCUCAUUAAGGGCAUUAUGGUAUUUUUCCACUCCCCUAUCCUCUCUAAUACGGGAUUAAAUCCCUAAAACACCAAAAUAUCAUCACUUUCAUCCAAUUUGACCAAGAACAAAGCUUAGGGUUUCUAUAGAGAAGCCAAGAGAACUCGUGAUUCAACUGUAGCUUUUCAAAUAUUUUUGGAUAUUCUAAAUCCCCGUUUCGAGGGCUACAAGAAGCACCCAACAAUUUCGUGAAUAGAGUUUCGCAGUAGAGAGUUCAUUCAACAUCUCCAAUCUUGAGGUAUGUGGGAUUUUUCAACAAGAACAUUCUUUCGUUCUUGUGCCCAAAGUUUUUUUUGUUUUUAUAAACAUAUAUGAUUUGAUAUGUUUUACUACGAAUUUGAAUAUAUGAAGUUAUGACUUAUGAUGUUUUCAUGAGAAUGUUGAUAUGGUUGCAUAUAAAUCUGAAUUUUAAGUGAUUAUUUUUAUGCUUAUGACAUAAAAAUUGAAUCUUGAGAAGUUUUAUUGUGAUAUUGAUAUAUGGGUUUUUGAAACUCUAUUUGAGAUUAUUAUUUUGUGAAGUUAUGUGUUAUAAACACCUUGAUAUUUGAAUGAUUUGAAAUGAUGAAGAAUAAUUUGACCUUGGUGGUCGCGGAAGUAUUGUUUUUUUUUAAACCAAGUGAGAAAAGAAAUCCACUAUUCUUGAAUGAUUAUGAAAGGGGUAGCAUAUUGGCUUCCGUUGUGAAUUGUUAAACUAUUUGUUGUGGAUUUUCUUUUAAAAGAUCUAAGCUAAGUCUGGGAGUAGUCUUUAGCACCGAGCGGGAGGUAUAGCGGUUUGGUACUUCCCUAGAACUACGUGCCCCCAUAAGAUAUGGCUGAUAUAGUGAUCACUAGUUUUUGGAUUGAUGAUUAAGGUCCUACUCCGAUGGCAAGGAUAGGACAGCUCUCCCCAACGUGGGUUGGACGUUGAACUCGAUGUAGCUUGUAUGGUUUAUGUCGGUUAUAAGAAACUCCCAACGUGUGUGUGUGUACUCUUUUAUCUAAAAUGAAAAUAUAUGUUUUGAAGGAUGGGUUUUGACAAAGUUAUCGUUUUCGAAUGAUUUGAAAUGUUAUGUUAUAAGGAGACUGUUUUAAAACUUGAUUUCUCUAUGUGUUUGGAAACGAGGAAGGAGUGAAUUGAGAAUUUAUUGAAUGACUCACGUGUUUAGUUUAUAUAUAUCAUUAACUCAUGAUUUUGAUGAUUUAUCUCAAGCUAAGUGAGUCUUUCAUAUCAGCAUGCAUGUCUUUUACAAACCUAUGAUAUUUGUUUUAUUGAAAUUUGCAUACACCCCCAUAUACUCGGUACAUAUUCCAUGGUACUGACUCACAUGUUCGCAUGUGGGCUACAUUUUUCCUAUAAUGUAGGUUCAAGUGCUCAGUCCCAGGUUUGACAAUGAUUUUUCGAGCACGUUGAUCUACAUCUUCUAUAGUGGUGAGUCCUCAUGAUCCGAGGACGUAUGAGUUCCAGACUUUCCGUUUCAUUACGAGUUGUUCAUUUUAUCUUUUGAGUUCGGGUCAGUUAGGGUUUGUCCCAAUGGCUCAUUGAUACACUGUUUAGUAGAGGCUUGUCAAGCUAGAUUUGUCAGAUUUGUCAGAGUUGUCAGAUAGUUCGUAUUUUGUUACUUUCCGCAUUUAUCCAUAUUGCAUUACAAGAUUAUUAAUGAUGUUUAGAUGUUUUGAUUUUAAUGAUCUAAAAAAUAAGCUUGUGAUGGCAUUAGAUGGCUCAAAGGGUUAGCUUGGGUCUACUUGUAGCCUUAAGCACCGUGUGACGCUUCGAAAUCCAUUUUCGGGGCGUUACAAAAAUGCAAGAAUAAGGAGUCAUCUGGUCGCAGAUUACUGUUUGGCAACAGAUUAACUUGGUACUCUUGCCAAAAUGGAUGCUUUGUAUGUUUUUAGAAACUUUUCAUCUUAUUUUUAAGUGGAUCGGGUCAUUUGUUGGGCCUGUCCGAUCAAUGUAUAAUUGUGGAUCUGCUUUGAUUUUUGCAACAUAAAUAAAAUGGUCCAAAUUGGACCAAAAUUUUAUUUUUAAAAAAAACUUGAUGCAGGUUAUCCUUUUGUAAAGAUCAUAUUUUAAUAGUAUGUAGAGGUUAUUCUUCUUAAUUAUCUACUUAUUUUGCUUUGUAUUUCCCUAUUACUAAAAUACAAGUUCUGCCAAACCUUCAGUAUUCUUUCAAUUAUAUAUAUUGAGAGGCAAAUCAGUUGACACAACUAUUUCUAACUAAUCCAUUGCUAACAAAAAACCUUACAACCCAACAAGCAGUAAAAUGAUGACUUAAAAUGACUUAGCAACAUAACAACACACCAAUUUAAAUCUGCAUUUCAUGUGGAUAAAUAAAUAGUUCAAAUGUAACAAAUAGUAGUUCUUCUCCAGGAACAUUAAAGACAGAAAUGUGUCUUUGUAAGACUAAAAGUUUCUGCAGAAAUUACUUACUUUCAAUUUCAAGGCAGCUUAAAUCUUGUAAGUCACCUCCACUUCUGCCCAAUUGUGAUGUCAUGAAAUGUGCCUUGCGUGUCUAUUUUUUUUUUUAUAAAACCAACUUUGUAAUUUGUUCUGAAUGCAAUCAAUUAGUCCCAUUAUUGGCAUUUGCUGUGAUUUUCUCAGUACCGCAUUCAUGGACUCUAUGUUGUUAGUCGAGCAUAUUGUACCUUCUGUUUGUAUGAAAUGAACAUGCCCAUCUUUUUGGUUGUUCUUCUUUCAAGUAGUUUGCCGCAACUUUGUCAACUUUUUCUAUCUCAUCCAUGAAAGUAUCAAAUUCAGUGCAUUUGUAUGCUAUUGCUACAUUGUAGAAGAGUGACAAACUACAUCUGAGAGGUAUCUUUUUAUAAAAUUUUUCUCCAUAUGAUAAAUGCAUAUCCCAUGCUGACACUCUAGAUAGACAUUUGCAAUAGCAUUUACAAUGGCUAUGCGGCGAUCUGAUAGAAUAGACAAUUGUUCACGUACCCCAAUUGUAUUUCUUAACUGAUUGAAGAACCAGUUAUAAGAGUCAUUAAUUUUUUAGUCUGCAAUUCAAAAGCCAAAGGAAAUAUGUUGUUGUUUUCAUCCUUUGACACUGCUAUCACGAGGACAUCACAAUAUUUUUACUUAAAAAAUGUUGCAUCUACCAUUAUUACCGAUCUACAGUUGGUUCAUCCGAUGAUUGAAGCACCAUAAGCAAAAAAUGCAUACUGAAACCUAUGUUGAGCAGAAUAAUAUUAGUAACACUUUGCAUUUGAUGUUUAUAAUCAGUACAAGAAUUUUUUAAUCUAAGUCUUUCCUAUGAGGCAAGAGUUGCAUAUAUGUCAGUAAUCUAAGUAGUGCAAUUAAGGAAUAACCUUUUGCCUCUUGGGAAAAAGUUUUUUAUUUCAACAAUAUAGCAUGUGUUCCUGUUCUCAUCGUCCCUCUUGAUGUUUGUGUACGUACUCGGGUUGUUUUCUUUCAUCAUGUGAAGAUACGAUGGCAACCUGUGUAGUGCUCUUCAGGUGUUCUUCUUAUCACCAUAUACACAUGUUGUAUAGCUCGCCAUCCUUUGUUGUAGGAUAUGAUUAUUCCGUAUUUUUUUUUCAUUUCAUCUACCAUAAAGUUUGGUGUGAUUACAUUACUAGAGUCACGCGCAAGCUCUAGUAUGUAGUCACACAUGAACUUCACUGUCGCUUUCAUAUGGUCGGACAUUAUGAAAUCAACUGGAAACUGUGAGCCUUUCAUAUGUUGUAACCUGAAAGAGCAAAGAUUCGACAAUCUUUAAGGCAUGAAACUACCACACGCAGUUGUCAUCCAAACAUCUAGUGAAUAUGUUGUUGUGCUUGAUUUGAUAACCUUAAACUGGAUGUUGUGUGUAAUUACAAUAUGUGACAUGCACUUCACCAUAUUUUCUUUAUCAAGGAAAAUCGACUUGACGUUUACCUCAUUUAGAGAGGCAUUACGUCUUAGGAAACUAGUUUCGAUAUCGAUUAUCCUCUUCUUUUUUUGCCAUACCUCUUAAUCUCGGAUUGUUGCCCUUCAGCUAUUUCAAUCUCCAACAUUUGUUCAAUACCCAUUAGUUUACUAUUUCUGUCAAUACUUUCAAUUGAUUGCCCUAUAUUAUAUUGCAAGCACAAACCUAAUGAAAAAUGAAACAAAAAAAACUUAGUAACAGUUUAAUUUAGAAUAUACAUCUUUAGCAAGUAAAUUCAUUAAAGAGUAAGGUAGUGUCAACUAUUGCCCAUGUAGAAUAACUUGUUCCUUUGGUGUCUAAGUCUUGCCUCUAUGGAAAGAGUUAUAGAUCAUCUGACAAAUCAUUACAGACUAAGACAGUGUCAACUCUUGUUUAUGGGGCAUAACUUGCUCUUUUGUGAUCUAAAAGUUUUUCCUCUUGGGUAAGAGUUAUAGAUCAUCUAUCAAAUCAUUAAAGACUAAGGCAGUGUCAACUCUUGACCAUGCACUUGUUUUAUUGGUGUCUAAGUCUUGCCUCUAGGACAAGUGUUAUUAAUUAUCUGUCAAAUCAUUACAGACUAUGCCAGUGUCAAAUCUUGCCCAUGGGGCACAACUUAUUCUUUUGUGAUCUAAAAGAUAUAUUUAUAAGCUAAAAAAUAGUUAAGGUAAAAACUAAGGCAGCGUCAAUUCUUGCCCAUGAGGAAAGUGUUAUAGAUUAUUUACUAAAUCCAUUUAAUAUCCAACUGUAGAUAGGCCAAUGGCGAAUAAGAACCAUGGAUAAAAAAAGAUGAAUUGAGACAAUCUUAGCCACAGGAGAGAAGGUAUCAUCAUAGUCAAGACCCAAAAUUUGUGUAUAAUCCUUGGCCACUAGUCGAGCCUUUAGGCGAUCAAUCUCUCCAUCGGGAGCAACCUUCAGUGUAUAUAUCCAAUGACAACCAAUUGUAGACUUAACCGGAGGUAAAGAAUCAAGCUCCCAAGUACCACUAGAGUGUAAGGCAAACAUCUCCUUAACCUUAACUUGUUGCCAGCCUGGAUGAGAAAGUAUUUCUCCUAUAGCCUUAAGAUUAGUCUUAGGAGAUAGGAUAAGGGUUGCAUAGGCAGAAUAGGUCGGUGAUAAACGAUAAUAUCUCAAACAGGUUUAGAUAAGAUGAGGGUUACGAGUAGAGAGAUUACCAUUUUGAGUGGUGAUUGAAGAACACUAUGUAGACAAGUCUCCAGCAAGCAAGGAUUUUGGUGGCAAACGUGAAUCAUCUGGACGUGGAUGAAGAUGAUAAGUCAAUAACGACGGAGGUGCAGCGGUGGAAGAUAGAGCUAUAGAUAGUGAUGUGAAAUGAUAAUCUAUGAUAGGAUGCCCAAAAGAUAGAAAUGAUAGAACCUCUGUUUUACCCUUUUUCGGAUUUUACUUGGCGAGAAGAUAAUUUUGACCUCUUAAGACUAUUUCAAAAUAUUGAAGAAAAUUUUGAAAUAGUUUUAAGAAAAUUCACAGAGUCGCCACUUGAUUUUUAUAGAAAAAUCAAGAAAAAAUUUGAAAGAGUUUCAAAGGUUCAAAAACAGAAAUAAACCUUUAAAACUAGAGAUAAUGGGUAAGGGUUCAAUUAACGCCCUAAGAAGGUUUUUAAGGCACUUAAAAGCGUCCGUUUAAAACGGUGUACCAAAAAGAACUAACUUGGAUAAUUAAAGUGGCUAAUUUUUACAAAGAUUUGGUUUUAUAGAAUAUAUUAAAAUUAUUUAUCAAACAUUUUAAAGAAAUGACACUUACUUAUUGAAAGGAGAAGACAAUUUAUUUGAUUUGAACUAAGAUAUAGUUUUUCGGACUUAAAAGGGAAAUGGAUUUUGCUUUUGUAAAAGAAGAGGAUUAUGAAAUUUAUUUUCAUAUUAUUAAUCGUUAAAAAAAAAGUUGAUUAUAUUAGAUAUAAUACUUUGGAAAACUGUUAAGAGAAUGUUGAAUAAAAAAAUCUUUAUUAAUUAUGACAAGUUGAAAUUUAUAAGAAAAAAAAAAUAGUUUCUUGAGUUUGAAAGGAGUUAUUUUUAAUUCAAAUAGACUAUAUAGUUAUAUUAAGUGAGAAAAUCACGAGUCAACUAAAAUACAUGAUAGAAUAAAAUGAUUACGACUUAGGAGAUUUAUCUAGAUUAAUUAAUUUAAUAUGUUAGUUAGCACAAAAAUAAACAAUACAAGUUACAAAAAAUGAUGCAAAAAAUAAAUUUCGGCCCUCCAUUGGCCCAUUAAUGAAGCUGCCCAGUUUUGGGCUUGAAUUAUGGACCUCAGUCCAUUUUUCUGAAGUGUAUACCAAUUGUAUACCAUCUGUAUUCCUCUGCAUUUUUCUAGUAUAUCUCGUGUAUACCAGCUGCUUUCCAUGGUAUAUUAAUCCAUUUUGUGGAGUUGGUAUGAUCUUGACUCGAUGAAAGUUGGGUUUAGCCCAAUCGAAUACGAGCGAUGGGAGUCCGAGGGACUCGGUGGAGGAGUUCAUGCAUAUAAAAAAAAAUGUAAAAUUAGUAUCCAUACAAAUACAUAGUAAGAAUGAGAAUUAACCGAAAGAAGAAGAAAAAUGAAACCCAAUGCACGUAGUAACGGAGUUACAAGUCAAAUCAGAAAUAAAGGUUAAAAGAUGGACCACACGUCACAACCAACAUUAUCACAUGAUUCAUACAAAAUUUAAUUAAUUAACUCAUACACUACAAGACAUAUAUUUAUAUUCACUUCUCCAUAACUUAAAUCAAUGUAUUACUAAAAAAAAUUACGACGGAUAGUUUCUAGGUAGAACAGCUCAAAAUGAUGAAUGAAUAGUAAAAGUUAUAACCUGUAGUGCAUAAUGAGAAAACAAACAAUAAAAUAUUACUAUCCACUGCUAACUAGCUAAUUAUUUGCCUAACAUUAUAUUACUAUUAUCCACAGCCUACCUUUAACUUAUUCUUUUAGUAAUGAUCCAAUACCCUACUCAGCUUUUCCUUUUCUUCUUUUAAUCAUUUCUAACUUUUAGCACAAAAGGGGGACACAAGAUUCAAAGGUUGAAAUAAUUUUGAAGCCAUAUAGCUGUUAUACAUUUAGCAACACGAGAUCAAUAAAUUCUAACGGACAACUCUUACUAUAAAUGAGAAUAUCUUUCAAUCGGUUUUAUACACAUCAUGAAGAACAACCAACAAACCCACUUCAAUAUAGGCAUUUUCAAUUUCUAUUCCUCAAGUUACCUACAGAAUCAAGGAAAAAUACAGGAAAGAAGAAGAAGGAAAAAAAAACAUUACCUAUUUUGGACAGCUAUACCGGAAAGAACGAGCCUACGAUGAUGGACUUUCCCCACUGAUGUCUCAAUUUUGGUUCGUCAGAAUUUUGACCUUUCGUCGGAAUUGACUUUUUUUUUCUUGUUGAGAGUAUUCUUUGGGUUAAGUAGGAUUAGAAGCAUGUGCUUCCCGAAUCCUCAAUUUCCCCCCCCAAAAUCUUCCUUUCCUUCUGUUUUCAAUGGGUAUUUAUAGAAGAUUUUUGGGACUGAGGAAUUUCUAAUAAAUUUUUGAAAUUUGAAAUUAGGUAACCGUUGGUACUGAGCUGUAGUUGCAGCUAUUGUUGACUGGCGAUGUUUGAAAGUCGUGGUUGAUUGUUGUUUUUGUUGAAAUUAUUGAUAUUAAUGGAGUUGUUGGCUGGAAUUGUUGGUUGUUGUAUGUUAUUGAUAUUGAUGGGGAAAAGAAAGGGAAAAUAGAAUUGAUGAUUUGGUUUGGUUUGGUUUGCAGGAAAAACAAAGGUGAAGUGGUGGGCCGAUGGAGAGUUUGGCUGGUUGUUGGGCUAAAGUUAAGGAUGUUAGUGGUUGGGAAUUGUUGAAGUUGGGUCUGUUGGGCUGGGCAAAAAAUGGCCCAAAAAUGGGAAAGGGAUGUUGAAAAAUAUGAAAAGGAAUGGGUCUGGUUGGGUCAACAAAGGAAUGAACCCAAAUUAAAAAAUUAUAGCUAUUUUGAAUUAAUUGGACAAAGUUGAGAUGAAAUAAAUUCCGAAUUAGUUUCAUGAAUUUCUCAAAUUCAAUAAUUUCAAAAUAAAUAUUAAAUACAACAUAAUUUUAUUUUACUUCUUUUUUUUCUUUCAAAAGAUAAUAAUAGUAAUAAUGAUAAAUAAGAAUUAAGAAACUAAUUAUGUCAUUAAUUUCUUAUUUUCAAACGAUCUUGAGAAAAAUAGAAUAUUUGUAAUUUUUCAAUCUUUUCACUUUGAAUAAAUUCUAAAGAAUUUUCUUUAAUUGAUAAUUAUAUAAUCAUGUAUAAUUAAAUACUAAAUAUAUUAUUUUCACCUAAAUCCAUAAGGCAAGGUUGAAAUUUAUUUUAAAAUAACUUAAAAUAAAUAUUUUAAAACUAUUUAAAAUUGAGAAAUUCAAAAAACUAAUUUGAAAUGUGGAGGGGCAAAAUUAGGUAUCAACAGCUGCCCCCUCCCUUUGGUUAGAGUGGAUGCAAGUAACUCUGGCUAAAGGGAGUUUGACGUCCCCAAUUUUGUCCAACCACAAAUUCGUCCCUUAGAAAGAUUGGUUUUCGCAUGAUUUUUUUUCAUAGUUAUGGACGGACCUAGGUAUUCAGGUUUCCUACAUAUCUCAGGUUGCAUGAGAAUUCAAGCCACUUGUAGUUCAAUAAGCUUGAUUUUAAAGCAUGAUUUUCAAAAAAUUCACAAACUGUUCCGAGUUUUGAAUUUUGGUAAAACUGAAAAGCUGUGGAAUAAGAGAAUUAGGGAAGGUUGGAAUGCAGUCGAGUUUCCUACAUAGAUCCCAGCCUACAUAUCCAGUGAUUCAGGAAAUCACACUACUUGUAGUUUGACUCGAUCGAUAGAAAAGAUAGUCUUUUAUGUUAGACAAUCUUUGUCUUAGGAAUGAGUGACAAAUCUAUCAAGUUAUGAAAAGAGGCUUGCAUUUAUCUCAAUCACGAAUUUGGGGCCCCUUUCACCCGCAAGUAAGAGUUACAUGGGCAUAAUUUCCAAAGCUCUAGGGUUGUUGUCACCUGAUUUUCAAAGAAGUGGAAGACUACCUCUGGUGCGAGUUUAGAAUUUCCCUAGAGGUGAAACUGAGACAAAAAUAUCCUAAAAUACCCACAUGGCUCUAAUAGGGGUGUGGUUUCAUGAUGGUGAAAGUCGUCCUUUGACUCGUGUCCAAAGAGUUUGAAUCCCUCUUCAGACUGUGUCCCAGUUCGCUGCUAAGAAAAAGUUCCACGUUGUGCUGCAUCCUUUUGAGAGAUAUCCUCACCUGUAGUUUUGAUUUGAGAAUUUUAUCCUUUUGGAUGUUCUUGACAAUAACUUAAACAAAUGAUUAGUAGCAAAUGUAGCAUUACACAAAAGUAAAUUGGCGCAAACCUGUUUGAACAUGCUAUGCUGAGAUAGUCGAACCUGUUCUUAAAAAUUGUGUCACUUUGAAUGGGGUGAUGAUCCAACGUAUCUCAUUGAAGGGUGGACAACCCAUUUAAAAUGCAACAUGCCACUUUGAACGGAGUGACGGCCCAACAUGUCUCAUUGAAGGGCGGAUGACCCACUUUGAAUAUAACAUGCCACUUUGAACGGAGUGACGAUCCAACGUGUCUCAUUGAAAGGCGGACGACCAAUUUUGAAUAUAAUAUGUCACUUUGAACGGAGUGACGGUCCAACGUGUCUCAUUGAAGGGCGGACGACCCAUUUUGAAUAUAACAUGCCACUUUGAACGGAGUGACAGUUCACCUUGUCUCAUUGAAAGGCGGACGACUCAUUUUGAAUAUAACAUGUCACUUUGAACGGAGUGACGGUCCAACGUGUCUCAUUGAAGGGCGGACGACCCAUUUUGAAUAUAGCAUGCCACUUUGAACGGAGUGACGGUUCAACUUGUCUCAUUGAAAAACGGACGACUCAUUUUGAAUAUAACAUGCCACUUUGAAUGGAGUGACGUUCCAACGUGUCUCAUUGAAGGACGGACGACCCAUUUGAAUAUAACAUUCCACUUUGAACUGAGUGACGGUCCAACGGGUCUCAUUGAAGGUCGGACGACCCAUUUUGAAUAUAACAUGCCACUUUGAAUGGAGUGACGGUCCAACAUGUCUCAUUAAAGGGCAGACGACCCAUGUUAAAUAUAACAUUCCACUUUGAAUGGAGUGACGGUCCAACGUGUCUCAUUAAAGGGCGGACGACCCAUUUUAAAUAUAACAUUCCACUUUGAACGGAAUGACGAUCCAACGUGUCUCAUUGAAGAACGGACGACCCAUUUUGAAUAUAACAUGCCACUUUGAACGGAGUGACGGUCCAACGUGUCUCAUUGAAGGGCGGACGACCCAUUUUGAAUAUAACAUGCCACUUUGAACUGAGUGAUGGUCCAACGUGUCUCAUUGAAGGGUGGACAACCCAUUUUGAAUAUAACAUGCCACUUUAAAUGGAGUGAUGGUCCAAUGUGUCUCAUUGAAGGGCGGAUGACCCAUUUUAAAUAUAACAUGCCACUUUGAAUGAAGUGAUGGUCAAACGUGUCUCAUUGAAGGGCGGACAACCCAUUUUGAAUAUAACAUGCCACUUUGAACGGCGUAACAGUCCAACGUGUCUCAUUGAAGGGCGGAUGACCCAUUUUGAAUAUAACAUGCCACUUUGAACGGAGUGACGGUCCAACGUGUCUCAUUGAAGGGCGGACAACCCAUUUUGAAUAUAAUAUGCCACUUUGAACGGAGUGACAAUCCAUCAUAUCUCAUAAUCACCUGCACUCAACUUAUUAGUAGCAAACACAAUGUAAGGGCAAUCGUACAUUCCUUGUUUUAGUAUGCCAUACUGGAGUAGGUCGAAAUUCAUGACAUAUAACGUCAAAUGAGGUGAUGUUCCAUAAUAAAAUGUCACUCUGAAGGCAAUGACAGUCCAUAAUAUAAUAAUAGGUCACUCUAAAGGAGGUGACGGUCUAUAACAUAAUAAGAUGUCACUCUGAAAGAGGUGACGGUCCAUCAUAUAACAAUAUAUCACUCUGAAGGAGGUGACAGUCCAUAAUAAUAAUAUGUCACUCUGAAGGAGGUGACGGUCCAUAACACUUUGAAUAAAUCCUAAAGCAUUUUCUUUAAUUGAUAAUUAUAUAAUCAGGUAUAAUUAAAUACUGAAUAUAUUAUUUUCACCUAAAUCCAAAAGGCAAGGUUGAAAUUUAUUUUAAAAUAACUUAAAAUAAAUAUUUUAAAACUAUUUAAAAUUGAGAAAUUCAAAAAACUAAUUUGAAAUGAGGAGGGCCAAAAUUAGGUGUCAACAACCUCAUAAAUGCCUAAUUGUUCAGAAAGAGAGUAUGUAAAGGGUGACCUUCAAAGAAAGUAGCAUCAGCGGACAUAAGGUAUCGCUGAAGGUGAAGUGAGAAGCAUCGAUAUUUUUUUUGUAUCCUGAAUAACCGAGAAAUACACAUUUAAAAGCACGAGGAGCCAAUUUGUCAUUUCCUGGAGUGAGGAUAUGGACAAAGCAUGUGUUCCCAAAGACAUAUUGUGGAAGAGAAAACAAGGUUGACUUGGGAAACAAAAUAGAAUGUGGAACUUGAUUUUGAAUAACAGGGAAAGGCAUAUGGUUAAUCAAAUAAGAAGAGGUGAGCAACUGCAUCCCCCCAAAAUGCAAUGGAACGUUUGCUUGUAUAAGUAAGGUGCGUGCAAUUUCAACAAUAUGCCUAUUUUUUUCUGCUACCCAAUUUUGUUGAGUAGUGUAAGAAUAAGAUGUCUAAUGAAGAAUGCUAAGGGAAGACAUAAACUGUUGAAAUUGAGAGAAUAAUUGUUCAUGUGCAUUAUCUCUACAAAAAGUGUGAAUUAAAACACCAAACUGAUUUUGUAUUCUAUACAAAAAGUUUGAAAUCUGGAAAAUAAUUCAGAACUUAAGAAAAUCCAAGUACACCUUGAGUAAUCAUCAAUAAAAGUAGCAAAAUACUUAAAACUCAACGUAGAACUAACCCUACUAGGACCCAAACAUCUGGAUGAACUAAAGAUUCUCUACACGAUUAUUAGGACGACGUAAAAAAGUAGCUCGGGUUUUCUUUCCCAGUUGACACGACUCGCAAUCUAACUUAGACAGUCUGGAUAAGCUAGGUACCAUCUUAUGAAGUUUAAAUAAACUAGGAUGUCCCAAUCGUCUAUGGAUUAAAUCUAGAGAGUCAGAGACCGAACUAACUAUAGUGGACCUGUGGCAAUUAAGAAAAUAAAACCCAUCAAACUCACACCCUUUUCCAAUCAUCCUUUCCGUACUAAGGUCCUGCAUAAUAAAGAAGUCACUGAAAAAUGAACUAAAUCAAUUUAAGGACAUAGACAAACGACUGAUUAAUAGAAGGUUACGGGGACAAUUAAGGACAAAAAGAACAUUAUUCAGUGUCAAGGAAAGUAAGGGAUUAGAUUGACCAACUCUGAUUGCCCUAGUCUGAUAACUGUUAGCUAAUAUUACAUUGGAAAGGGAUCGAGAGUAAAUAUCACGACCCAACUUUUUAGGUCAUGAUGGUGCCUACCAUAGCCCACCAGUAGGAAAGCCAACCUGUAGUCCGGAACGGCUAGUAACAGACUACUCAAUAUCAUAAGGAAAAGAAUAUGGAAUAUAUGAAAUAAAGAUCAAUACAUAGACGAAUUCCAAAACCUGGUGGUGCCAGUACAAGAGCUUCUAAACAUAAUAAGAGUACAAAAGUGAUAUAUCAAGGAGAAAUAUACUGAUUCAACUUACCUCUGAAUACAACUUAGAGGCUAAUCUAACAUAGGAGAGAGAUAAGUAAUACUCCGAAAGUCAAGAGCUCACUUUAAGUCUCUGAAUCAGGGCUACUCCACACGAUGCACACAUCAACGAUGAUAACCCAUACUAUGAUCUGCAGGCUGCAGAGGUGUAGUAUGAGUACCAAGCGAAUGGUACUCAGUAGGCAAUUGUCAACUGAGCCCCAAGGAUAAAGUGGAUAUAUACAACAUAUAAACAGAAUGGAAACUACAACCAAGCAUCCAUAAAUCAUGUAAUAAGUCAAUGAGAAUAUCAAGGGACAACUAUCUUAUUCAUAUCCAAGAGUCUAACAUAAUAAGACUAAAGAAAUAUCAAGGUGAACUAUCUUAUUCAAGCUACAAGUAUGCCAAUGCUAUACCGUAUAUCCCAGGUCAAUAUACAAAUAAGAGUGAAAGAAGGAUAUAUUAUAAUAUACAAGGCGAGGGAACGACUAUACAAUAUGAAAAAAGAAGGAAGGGAUAUUUGAUAGUGCCAUGUCUUUAUAUAUCUAUAUAUAUAUAUAUAUAUAUAUAUAUAUAUAUANNNNNNNNNNNNGUCCAACGUGUCUCAUUGAAGGGCGGAUGACCCAUUUUGAAUAUAACAUGCCACUUUGAACGGCGUAACAGUCCAACGUGUCUCAUUGAAGGGCGGAUGACCCAUUUUGAAUAUAACAUGCCACUUUGAACGGAGUGACGGUCCAACGUGUCUCAUUGAAGGGCGGACAACCCAUUUUGAAUAUAAUAUGCCACUUUGAACGGAGUGACAAUCCAUCAUAUCUCAUAAUCACCUGCACUCAACUUAUUAGUAGCAAACACAAUGUAAGGGCAAUCGUACAUUCCUUGUUUUAGUAUGCCAUACUGGAGUAGGUCGAAAUUCAUGACAUAUAACGUCAAAUGAGGUGAUGUUCCAUAAUAAAAUGUCACUCUGAAGGCAAUGACAGUCCAUAAUAUAAUAAUAGGUCACUCUAAAGGAGGUGACGGUCUAUAACAUAAUAAGAUGUCACUCUGAAAGAGGUGACGGUCCAUCAUAUAACAAUAUAUCACUCUGAAGGAGGUGACAGUCCAUAAUAAUAAUAUGUCACUCUGAAGGAGGUGACGGUCCAUAACACUUUGAAUAAAUCCUAAAGCAUUUUCUUUAAUUGAUAAUUAUAUAAUCAGGUAUAAUUAAAUACUGAAUAUAUUAUUUUCACCUAAAUCCAAAAGGCAAGGUUGAAAUUUAUUUUAAAAUAACUUAAAAUAAAUAUUUUAAAACUAUUUAAAAUUGAGAAAUUCAAAAAACUAAUUUGAAAUGAGGAGGGCCAAAAUUAGGUGUCAACAACCUCAUAAAUGCCUAAUUGUUCAGAAAGAGAGUAUGUAAAGGGUGACCUUCAAAGAAAGUAGCAUCAGCGGACAUAAGGUAUCGCUGAAGGUGAAGUGAGAAGCAUCGAUAUUUUUUUUGUAUCCUGAAUAACCGAGAAAUACACAUUUAAAAGCACGAGGAGCCAAUUUGUCAUUUCCUGGAGUGAGGAUAUGGACAAAGCAUGUGUUCCCAAAGACAUAUUGUGGAAGAGAAAACAAGGUUGACUUGGGAAACAAAAUAGAAUGUGGAACUUGAUUUUGAAUAACAGGGAAAGGCAUAUGGUUAAUCAAAUAAGAAGAGGUGAGCAACUGCAUCCCCCCAAAAUGCAAUGGAACGUUUGCUUGUAUAAGUAAGGUGCGUGCAAUUUCAACAAUAUGCCUAUUUUUUUCUGCUACCCAAUUUUGUUGAGUAGUGUAAGAAUAAGAUGUCUAAUGAAGAAUGCUAAGGGAAGACAUAAACUGUUGAAAUUGAGAGAAUAAUUGUUCAUGUGCAUUAUCUCUACAAAAAGUGUGAAUUAAAACACCAAACUGAUUUUGUAUUCUAUACAAAAAGUUUGAAAUCUGGAAAAUAAUUCAGAACUUAAGAAAAUCCAAGUACACCUUGAGUAAUCAUCAAUAAAAGUAGCAAAAUACUUAAAACUCAACGUAGAACUAACCCUACUAGGACCCAAACAUCUGGAUGAACUAAAGAUUCUCUACACGAUUAUUAGGACGACGUAAAAAAGUAGCUCGGGUUUUCUUUCCCAGUUGACACGACUCGCAAUCUAACUUAGACAGUCUGGAUAAGCUAGGUACCAUCUUAUGAAGUUUAAAUAAACUAGGAUGUCCCAAUCGUCUAUGGAUUAAAUCUAGAGAGUCAGAGACCGAACUAACUAUAGUGGACCUGUGGCAAUUAAGAAAAUAAAACCCAUCAAACUCACACCCUUUUCCAAUCAUCCUUUCCGUACUAAGGUCCUGCAUAAUAAAGAAGUCACUGAAAAAUGAACUAAAUCAAUUUAAGGACAUAGACAAACGACUGAUUAAUAGAAGGUUACGGGGACAAUUAAGGACAAAAAGAACAUUAUUCAGUGUCAAGGAAAGUAAGGGAUUAGAUUGACCAACUCUGAUUGCCCUAGUCUGAUAACUGUUAGCUAAUAUUACAUUGGAAAGGGAUCGAGAGUAAAUAUCACGACCCAACUUUUUAGGUCAUGAUGGUGCCUACCAUAGCCCACCAGUAGGAAAGCCAACCUGUAGUCCGGAACGGCUAGUAACAGACUACUCAAUAUCAUAAGGAAAAGAAUAUGGAAUAUAUGAAAUAAAGAUCAAUACAUAGACGAAUUCCAAAACCUGGUGGUGCCAGUACAAGAGCUUCUAAACAUAAUAAGAGUACAAAAGUGAUAUAUCAAGGAGAAAUAUACUGAUUCAACUUACCUCUGAAUACAACUUAGAGGCUAAUCUAACAUAGGAGAGAGAUAAGUAAUACUCCGAAAGUCAAGAGCUCACUUUAAGUCUCUGAAUCAGGGCUACUCCACACGAUGCACACAUCAACGAUGAUAACCCAUACUAUGAUCUGCAGGCUGCAGAGGUGUAGUAUGAGUACCAAGCGAAUGGUACUCAGUAGGCAAUUGUCAACUGAGCCCCAAGGAUAAAGUGGAUAUAUACAACAUAUAAACAGAAUGGAAACUACAACCAAGCAUCCAUAAAUCAUGUAAUAAGUCAAUGAGAAUAUCAAGGGACAACUAUCUUAUUCAUAUCCAAGAGUCUAACAUAAUAAGACUAAAGAAAUAUCAAGGUGAACUAUCUUAUUCAAGCUACAAGUAUGCCAAUGCUAUACCGUAUAUCCCAGGUCAAUAUACAAAUAAGAGUGAAAGAAGGAUAUAUUAUAAUAUACAAGGCGAGGGAACGACUAUACAAUAUGAAAAAUGAAGGAAGGGAUAUUUGAUAGUACCAUGGCUUCAUAUAGCUAUAUAUAUAUAUAUAUAUAUAUAUAUAUAUAUAACACUCAAUCCUAACCUAGAUCAUUAUGUUCUCAUUUUAAGACCUCAUUAUAAUACCAUCAUGAUUUAAAUACUGUCAUACUCGGGGAUUUUAAACCAUAUGGCUAGACGUGAAAUACUCAUGCAUAAUAAUGCAAUCAUAAGAUAGGACAGGCCAAAGACAUACCUCAAAUCCUGAUGCCGAAUCAAUAACCAAUCUGUCAUAGAUAGCCAUAAUAAUUAUCAAAACAAUGAUAAUAACAAUAUCAAUAACAAUGUUAAUAACUGACUACUCCAAACAACCAAAUACCUAGACGAGCCUAUGCGUACCCCCACUGCCCAGACUCGGAAGGUUCAAUCAACAUACAACAACACAGACAUAUCCUUCACCCGUAUCUAUGCAACCGUCCUAUAUUGGCUGAUAAAUAUAAGUGUAUACUGGUGAUAGGCGAUGCACAUGCAAGAAAGAAUGCAACGUAUACCAUCAAUAUCACAACUCAUAAUAACUGUCAUCCUUAGGACUAUCAUUAUCAUAAUCAACCUCCGACUUUGUCGGGAAUUAAUAUCAUCUCAAUAGUAUCCUCCGGACUCGAACCAGAUGUCAAUAUCAUCACAAUAUCCUCUGGCCUUGCCGGGUAUCAAUAUUAUCUCAAUAUUAUUCUCCGAACUCUAACCGGGUAUCAAUAUCAUCAUAAUAUCCUCUGGCCUUGCCGGGAAUUAAUAUCAUCUCAAUAGUAUCCUUUGGACUCGAACCGGGUAUCAAUAUCAUCACAAUAUCCUCCGGCCUUGUCGGGUAUCAAUAUCAUCUCAAUAAAAUUCUCUGGACUCGAACCGGGUAUCAAUAUCACCACAAUAUCCUCCGUCCUUACUAGCUAUCAAUAUCAUCUUAACUAUCAACACAUAAAUAUAGGCAUAUAAUAGGUGUACAGACGCAAGCCGAUAUACUCAUAGCCGUAGUCAUAAUAUCGCAAAGAUAACUAUCUUAUCAUUAUAUUCUAUCUGCUCAUGAUUAACUAGCCAAGACUCAUUAUUAUGCCUCUAGUUUACUAGUCAUCACAUGAUCUCUAGUUAUCAAUCUAAACGAUUCUUCAUAUAACCAUUAAUCAUGGAAAAACAACUAACCAUUAAUUAAUAAUUAGCCAAACCUAACAUCUAGUCAAGGUUCACCAUUAAACCAUAAUCGCCAUCUAUUCAUUAUUCAUCAUUUAUCAACUAAACAUCUUUUAUAAUCUAACACCAAUCAAUAUCUAAUACUGUUUACCAACUAAUCCUCAUUAUUAACUAGACCUCGUUAUUAGCUAGUCAGCAUCAGUAACUAGGCAUCAUUAUUAACUAGACAUCAUUAUCACUAGCAUCCCUUAACACCUAGCAAUGUUGACCAUAUUAUCCUCACUUAACAACUAAUCGACAUUAUAACUUGUUAUCAAUAUCCACAUAUCAUUACCAUCGCUAAACCUAACUUCAUAGACACAUAUCAACCCUAAUCGUUAGAUACCAUAUUACUAAGCAAGGCUCAUUAACUAAUGCAUUAGGUUCCUAGCCAUCAAGUGCAAUAGUCAGCUAAUAGACAACUAGUUACCACAUGGCUUAACCUUCUAACAAGAAGAACAACCAUAAGAUCACAUUUUAGCUAUAAUCGCAUUAUUUGUAAUGGUAAAUAAUCAUGAACGUAUCAAACCUAUGCAUGCCAUUAGCAAUAUUCAAUCAGUGGAAUAAUAAGUAUAAUACCUCAUCUUUCUUCGUCCCAUACCAGAGAGAUGUGUAUACAACCAUAUACAUAUUCAUAUUCAUAAAUCGCAAUCACAUCAUUCACAAUGAUAAACACUUCUUGGAUAUUUAAUCAGUACCAUAACACGACCCUUGGCCCAUUAAUUUAUUUAAAAUAAUCACAACAUCAUAAUCAUGGCCUUAGGCCCAUAUACAUUUUCGGAACUCAUAUCAAUAAUCAUAUUAUAAGUCGUAGCAUACCUCUAAUCAUCUCAUAUAUAGAAGACAUCUCACCUAUAGGAGGCAUAAUAUCAAUAAAUAUGUUAUCAUCUUUCACACAAGAGACAUCUCACAUCUAGGAGGUUAAUAUAGAUAGACGUGUAAUUGUCUAUAUGAUAUCAUAUAUCAAUAGGUCAUACGUCAAGACAACGAAGAAUAUCACUUCUCUAGGCUAGUUUACAUAUCUAAAAGGACCAUCAUCUCUAUAGGUCCAACAAUCAUGACUAAAGGAAAUAGCAACUCUAUAAGCAAAAUAUCAAAUCUAAGAGGAAAUAGCAUCUCUAUAGGCCAAUCAUCAUGUAUAAAAGAAAAUAUCAUCUCUAUAGGCCACACAAUGUAUCUAGGAGGAAUAUCAUCUCUAAAUGCCCAAUAUUACUUCCACAAGUAUCAUCAUAACCAUAACUAAAUAGCCAUAAUAGCAUAGCCCUUUCAUUCCGUAACAAAUUUUGUGUCGCACUGGGGACACCAUUUCACAUGAUCUCUCGACCUCGAAAACAUGUUCUUCGACGACAUAUUCUUUCACUUUGUCUCUUUGCUCGACAUCCUAAACUCCCACUUGGAGUGAUUCGAGUUUGUUCCCGUUCAGCCAUUUCUGAAAUAGGAACCAAGAAACAUUUAGAAUGGUUGAACCGCCCAAUGUAACCACUUAUGUUACAUUUUUACCGUAGAAGGCAAAAUUUGUUAUAGAAAAAAAAUAUGGACUAAUUAAGACAAGAGUUAUAUCAAGCCUAAUUAAAUUAUUAAGAGUAAUUAUCAUUAUUUUUAAUAACUCCCAAAAAAAAUUAUAUUACAAUUCAUGAAGAAAUGUGAGAUAUAUAAAAUAGUGGGCCUAGUCCUAACAUUUCUCCAUUUUUAAUUAAUAGGAUUUAAUCCAAAAAUAAAACUUAGUAAAGGAACUUUCCUCCCACUUUAUUUCACUAUGUGUGGACCAAAAUAAAAUAACAAUUAAAGAGGAUAUAUGAUACUCCACCUAAUCCUACACAAGAGCUGUAAAAUCAAUGGAGCAUAUUUUUCUUUCAUUUUCAAGAAGUUAAGAUAUUGAGCCUCUUUCGCAUCUAACAAUUUUCUAUACGGAGAAUUCAAUUCACAAUUUUUUUUUAAUUCAAAAAAAAUAAUCAUGGGUGAACCAAAAAAAAUCAUUGAUCCAUAUCACAUACAAGAAAAAAGAAGAUAAACUUCAGAUUUUCAAUCUGAAUUUGUGGCGCAAAAUUAUCAAUUAUAAUCUUGCUUAUUGCAAUAUCUGUUCUCAUUGUGAUACUUAAGAACAUGCAAUUUUUUAAAAUCAAUGAAAUUAGUAGUAACAAAAAGCAGAAGUUUCAACAGCAACGAUAAUUGUAUGUUCGUUGUACACAGGGCCAUCGACAUCCAUUCAAGUCCAGGUAACAAGAAUUCAAACUUGCUAAAGGAGUUUCCUUUUUUUAUAAGAAAUUAUCAUUCAAACAUGGAAAUUAACCUGUCUCUGAUACAAUUGUUAUUAAUUUUGGAGCAAAAACAACACAUUGUGUACCUUAGAAUUUGCAGCAGAUCUUGAUUCUGCUUUCGAAAAAAGGAUCUGCCCCAAGUCACUUUGAAUCUCUUGGAAUCAAAGUGUGAUUUCAAAAACUAAAUGCCUUUAUGCUCUUAGAUGUUAUGUUAAUGUCAGUAAAAUGAUCACAACACUGUUUUUAUUUUUGUGUUUUGAUUUUCGUCCGUUUUUCUAUCUUUUUGGAAGAAGUAGAUCUUGGAACAUAUAAAGGGAUGUUGACAGUUUCUAUUUGUAACUGUUUCCCCAAAAAAUUCAAAAUUAAUCUUAUCUUCUUUCUUCAGAUAAAAAGAAAGUUUUUCGGGUAGGGUCGGGUAGGGUCGGGUCAAUCCACAUGGAUGGCCCAUGACCCAUAAUCCAACAGACACUGACAAAUUCACACCUCCAUUUCUGAUACUCUCAGAAAGCGCUUGUUUAUCUCUAAAGAAUAAAAGGGAUAAAACAGGACACAUUCUUUUUACAAUAACAACUGAUGUUGUCGUUCAUUUUGGGAUGUCCCAGAAUGUUCAACACACUUGUGUGAGUUGUAUUACAAUCUCAAAAGUUCAAAUUGGAAUUAAAAUUGAUAACACUUAUUUGAUCGUUCAACUAAAUGUUUCUUCUAUUACACUGAUACAGUUCUAGUUAAUUGGUAAAGUUGUGUGCUUAUCAAAUGUAUCACAAUAAUGAGAUAGGAGGAACAAUUUUAAAUAUUGUUAUGAACUCUUUUUAUGUGUUUUCUGUGAACUGAAAUAUGGUUUAGUUCGGUAAGAUAUCUUAUAGUGGUUGAUUUAUAUUGUUUGGAUGAUUCUAUUAGACAUUUCAUGUAUUUCUAGUUAUGGAAGUGCUUUGAAUAGCUAGUAAGAAGACAAGAAAUUUCUAUAUCUAUAACACCCCGAAGUUUUUUCCUAGCUAAAUUUUUGUCCCUAAGGUAUCAAGCAUUGGUUUCUAGAAUAAUUUAUACUUGUUUUCCUGUGGAAUUCCCUAGAUUUCAACUUUUCAUUAAGUAGAUGAUCGAAUAAGUUUUCCGUCAACAUAAGAUUCGUCCAAAAUGGAAACUCGGUAAAGGAGUAUAGUUAAUUUAAGUCCUAGUCGUAAAACACCGUCAUUCCUGUCCUUGACGCGUCGUGGAGAGGGUGCAAAUGAUGAUGGUCAAUUUUCAGUGAGACUCCACGAUGGUGGUACGUCGCAGAGUGGGCCAAAUUCCCAUUCGUCAAUUUUCAGUGAGCCACCGCGAUAGUGGUGCAUCGCGGUGGCCCAUAAGAUCGAGUUCCCAAUUUAAAAUUUUCCAGUUUCAUUUAUAAGUUAACAAGGGUAGUUUGGACUUUUUUCAAUUCUCUUAAAACGUCCAAACAAGAUAUUAAAGACCUCUACAAGCAUAAUAUACGACAUUCUCAAGAUUUCCCUCAAAACAAAAGACCCUAGUUCAUAUACUUCUCUUCCAAGGAACUCAAGAUUCAAUAGUGGGUUUUCGAAACAAAUUGGAGAUCUGAAAUCCCCAAGCCGUAGGCAUCAAGAAGCAUCCUUUAAUUUCUAAAAUAGAGGUAUGUGGGGUUGUCCCAAAUUCCAUGGGCAUGAUUUUUGAAAAAAAUUUACACAAGACUUUACUAUCUAUACAUUUACAUAUGCUUUUACAAGUGGGGUUUUGUUUUAAUACCAAUAACAUGUUUUGUGAUAUGGUUUUGAAAGAAAUAUUGAAAUGUCAUGGGCUUGUUUGCUUGAAUAUAUUUCAAUUGUUGAAUUGUGAACAUGUGAUCUGAAUUUCGAAAGGGUGCAAUGUAUAUGAAUUGUGAAUUCUUUAAAUCCCCCAUGAUAAUGUUUUAUACACUGCACUAUACUUGUGUUUAACCAUCGAGAGCAUGAGUUUUGCAAUUGAUAUGAUAUUACUCAUAAAUGAUAAAGCUUUUUUGAACUAUUACAUGUUGAGAAUCAUUGUUCGUGUGCUUGAUGUGUGUGAAAGUCUUAUAUAUGUGCAUGUUGUAAAUGACAUAAGAAGUUGGAGAAUUGAUGUGACAUUGAUGUCUUGCACAUCAGGGUAUGAUGAUACCCCACAGAGUAUGAUAUAUAUUUUUAUUGAAUCAAGCUUAAAGCUUAACUUUAUGUGAGUUAGGUGGUUACCCGAAGAAAGUACGAGUCAAAUGACUUUAUGCUGGAAAUCGUGAAUUGCCGACACGGGGAACUUGGUACCAUGCUAUGUGACCUUGUGUACCUUAUGUCAUCCCUAUUUGGGACUAAUGGUUGGGAGCCCUGCUUUGUGAUCUUGAGCCCAACUAUGAGACGCGGACUUGAUUGGGAUGGAGACACCCUGUUGUGUGAUCUUGCGUGUUCUUCUCCCCUCACUAAUACUCCAAUCUUGGUGGCAAUCGGGAUUUGGCAGUUGGUGAAAGAUUGUAGGGUGUACCACCUAGCUCAGUAGUGAUACAGUGUUGUUGAAAAUCAUUAUACUAUGCCCAUGUGUUUUCGAACUGUUUUUCGAUAAAGUGUUUCAUAACAGCUCUCAUCUAUGUUAUAUAAAAUAAAAUUUUCAUUUUUAUUUUUGGAUUACUCUGCAUUCCAGUACAUCUGUAUUGACCCCCUCCCCUACCUCUCAGGUUUUGAAGCUCAGUCUAGGGGUCCAGAAAAGCAGUAGAUUUCAUUAGGCAGAGUUGUUGUGUCUAGUUGGUGAGCCUUCUAUAUUUCAGAAGGUCUGUUUAGAUUCAGAAGAUUAUUAUUAGUUUUGUUUUGGUAUAUUGGGGGCCUUGUCCCAGUUUUCAGAUUGUGUUAGUGAUCAUGUAAUAUAGAUUUCGCAGAUGAUUUUUCAGAAGGGUGUUAGAUGAUUUUGGAUUGUCAUUUCUAUUAUCAAAUUCAUAUCAGAUUUAAGACCAUGAGUCCGUUUCUCUAUAUUUUCCGCAUUUCCUUAUUUGUAUAUAAAUAUUGUACAUAAUUAUCAGGUAUAGAAGCGCGCUCGGGCCUUCAUGGUUUGGGAUGCUUAUCACGGCCAAGGCCUUGGUUCGGAUCGUGACAAACUUAGUAUCAGAGCACGGUUCAUGGUCCCAGGGUGUCUGCGAAAUCGCAUCGGGUAGAGUCUUGUUUAUGAGUGUGUAGUGCGCCACACUUAUAAGCAGGAGUCUACUGGGCGUUUUGGAAUAUUUCCCCUCUUUGUGAUUUAGUUCGUGCUUUAGAGUCUGAGUUAGAAUUAUCCCCUAAUCAGUGAUCUGUUGUAUUUCAGAAAAUAGUCAUGCCUCCUCGUCGUUCCAACAACCAGGAUGCUCAGGAUGAUAAAGUCCGCCCUACCCAUGGGAUGCGGACCCGUAAUAGAGCGCACACCCCAGAACCUGUUCUCACUCCGGGAGAACCUCCAGUCCCGACCAGUCCUCAGUCCAUUCACAUGCUUGCACAGCUGGUAGCCGCACAGACUCAGAGGUCGAAGGAUACUAGGUAUACAUCUGUUACUUCGGAGGCUACAGGGUGGGCCAGUUCAUAAAAAUGAACCCGCCUAAAUUUUCUGGCACUAAGGUGGAAGAGGACCCACAGGAGUUCGUGGACGAAAUAAAGAAGAUUUUUAGAGUGAUGCAUAUGGAUCUGGUGGAAAGAGUUGAGUUAGCAGCAUACCAGCUUAAAGAUGUAGCGAACCAAUGGUAUAAUGAGUGGGAAGAGGCGAAGGGUCAGAGUGUUGAGCCUUCAGUUUGGGGCGAGUUUGUGGAAGCUUUUCUUGACAAAUUCUUUCAUCUUGAGUUGAGGAAAGCCAAAACAGAGGAAUUUAUGAAUCUUAUGUAAAAAAAAAGAGUGUCACUCUGAAGUUUAACUAACUGGCCCGUUACGCACCAGAAAUGAUGGGUAGCAUGAGGGCCCAGAUGAGGAAAUUUACAUCCGGCCUUUCAGAUGAUCUACAGCUUGAAUGUCAAGGGGCGAAGCUGAAUAGGGACAUAGACUUUGCCAGGCUGCCAGUCCACAUGCAGCAGGUAGAAGAAAAGAAAAAUAAAAUCACCGAAUCUAAGGAGAAGGAUAGACAGACGACGAGAGCUAGAACAGCGAAUCAGAACCACAGUCAGCCACAGAGUGGUAAUUGGGGAAAUAGGUGGAAAAAGAAGAAGUUUUGGGGUAAUGCGCAGUCUGUAGCUAGCGUGCCAGCACCCAGACCCCCAGUUGAUAGACGAUCGUAGAGUUUUCAAACUAGUCAUGGACCCAGGGCUCAGGAUACCCAUUCACAGGGUAGCAUGGCACAAUCCACCAGAUCUUUUCCCCGUUGUAAUGUCUAUGGGAGGAACCAUCCUAGAAAGUGUUACUUUGAGAAGAGAAAUUGCUAUUCCUGCGGCCAAGUGGGCCAUCUACAGAGAGAUUUCCCUACCUCUGGGGGUAAUGUUGGGGGAGCCAAGUCUCAAGCAAAUUAUUCCAUACCACCACCUCAGAAAGGGGCCACUUCAGCUACCGGGAGCGGUUGCAACCGGUUGUACGCAUUGACCAAACCGCCUCAGCAGAUGUAGUUACUGGUAUGUUAAAAAUCUUUUCCCGUAAUGUUUAUAUGUUACUUGAUCCCGGGUCUACCCUGUCUUAUGUGACCCCGUAUGUGGAUAUUGGUUUUGGGUUUGAGCCCGAUGUAAUUAAUGAACCUUUCUCUGUUUCCACUUCGAUGGGGGUCUCAGUUGUGUCUAGGAGAGUGUACAAGAAUUGUGUUGUGUCUAUUUUUAAUCGGGAUAGAGUGGCAGACCUCAUAGAGCUUGAUAUUGUUGAUUUUGAUGCCAUCUUAGGGAUGGGCUGACUCCAUUACUCUUUCCUUUUCAAAUGAACCUGUGGUAGAAUGGGAGGGGAAUUCUUUAGCACCUAGAGGGCACUUUAUACCCUAUCUUAGAGCUCGUAAGCUCAUUUCCAGGGGUUGUCUAUAUCACCUGAUUCGAGUGAAAGAUUCUAAUGUGGAGAGUCUACCUUUUCAGUCGGUCCCUAUAGUAAGCGAGUUUCCAGAAGUCUUUCCUGAUGAUCUCCCAGGAAUACCACCUGAUAAGGAGAUAAAUUUUGGCAUUGAUUUAUUGCCAGAUACCCAUCCUAUCUCCAUUCCGCCAAAUAGAAUGGUUCUAGUAAAGUUGAAAGAGUUGAAAGAGCAGCUAACAGAUAUUUCAGAUAAAGGUUUUAUCCGUCCUAGUGUUUCUCCAUGGGGUGCACCUGUACUCUUCGUGAGAAAUAAAGAUGGUUCCCUUUGUAUGUGCAUAGAUUACCGCCAGUUGAAUAAGGUCACGAUUAAAAAUAAGUACCCUCUUCCUAGAAUUGAUGAUCUAUUUGACCAACUCCAGGUUGCUAAAUAUUUUUCAAAAAUAGACCUUCGUUCGGGAUAUCAUCAAUUGAAAGUUGGGGAGUCAAAUAUUUUCAAAACGGCUUUCCGAACCAGAUACGAUCAUUCUGAAUUCUUAGUCAUGUUCUUCGAUUUGACUAACGCCUCUGCAACCUUCAUGGAUCUAAUGAAUAGGUCUUCCAUCAGUUUCUAGAUUUGUUGUCAUAGUAUUCAUUGAUGACAUUUUGGUUUAUUCUAAGAGUAAGGAGGACCAUGCCAAUCACCUCUGAAUCAUCCUUCAGACCCUCAAAGAUCAUAGGUUGUAUGCUAAGUUUUCUAAGUGUGAAUUCUGGCUUAAUGCUAUUGAUUUCUUGGGGCAUUUUGUGUCUAGUGAGGGUGUCGUGCCCUAUUUUUACUUGAGGUCAAAACAAGUACGACGUUAUGAACUCUAAAAGAAUGAAAAUUGUACAGAGUCGCCAUCUAAUUUUAAAGAAAAAUAAGGAAAACUUUUUCUUUUUUAUUAAUUAUUUAUUAAUAUGCAUGACUUGUGUUUUAGUCUACGAAAUCAGUUUAGAUUUUAGGUAAGAGUUCAAGUUAUCCCGAAGGGAAGGGGUUAGACACCCUUUAGGGUCCACAAAUAUGGUGCCCGACUAAACUAAAUUUAUCAACGAGGGAGGAGGUAUAAAUAUUUAAAAUAAUGUAAAGUAUGUAUUUAAUUAUAAAAUAAUUCUUUAAGAAUAUAAAUAUUUAAAAUUAUGUAAAGAUAUAUGUAUAUUAAAUAAAUAAAUAAAAUAUUGUUAUAAAACAUGUACAAGAUAUGUAUAAAUAAAAUGUGUAAAUACCUGUGAAAAGUAUUUUAUAAUGCAUGAAAAAAAAAGGUAUUUUAAUGUCAUAAAAAGAAAUAUAUUUACAAGUAAUAUUUUUUUAUUUGAUUAAAGUUAUAAAGAAAAGGAAAUUUAUUUGAGAAGAAAAGACUACAAAAUUUGUAAAUUGCUUAAUUAACUUGACUCUUUUAUUCAAGUGUAAUAAAAUAAUAUAUAUGUUUUGUAAAAGUAUAAACAAAAUUAUAUUAGUAUAUGUAUAAAAAUAAACUAAAUCGAAAUAAGAAAAUUUGUUUUAAGGAAAAGACUAUGUAACAUGUAAAUGUAUGAAUCAUUUGAUAAAGUUAAUUAUUUUAUAUAAAUAUUAACGGUCUAAAUUUUACCUAAAGUAAUGAAAUUAUGUACAAAAACAUUCCCGCCUAACGCUCCAAAAAAUAAAAUUUUUACUAUAUAACAUUUGUACAAAUAUAAAAAUAUAAAAUACAAUAUAAAAUUAAAAGGGCUUCUUUGAACGUAGCUCCCGAUGAGUAUUCCAAAUAACCUGUAUAAACAUUUGUAAAAAUAUUAGUAACGAAUAAAUAAUAAUCAAAAUAAAUCAAACAAGUAUGUGUGUAUAUAAAUAUUUAAAAUAUAUUUUUUUUUGUUAAAAAGUAGGCUCAGGUAAAAUCAUCAUUGCGAAAUGUUUGCUCAAUUAAUUGACCGUCCUAAAUCGUCAGACCAAAAUAUUUAUUUUAUUAUAUAUAUGUAUACAUAAUAGUCCAUCUUUUAUUUACGAAGGCUUAAAAUUAAUAAUAAUUUUUUCAUUCGCCAGUAGUGUAGUAUCUAUUCAUAAUCAAUAUAUAUCCAAAAAUAAAAAUGAGUAACACACAAAAAUUCCACCAAAACCUUUCUCAAACGUGCAAAGACACAAUAAUGGAGUAACAGUGAAAAGUGUAUAUCAUUUUUAACACAAAAUCAGCUAUUGCUUCUUUUACAGCACCCAUUUUUGUUGAAUCAAAAAUCAAGAUUUGUACAGAAAAAAUAUAUGGAAUUAAAAAAAAAAAAAAAAGGUGAAAGAGAACAAGGAGAAUAGGGGCGGCAGAUCUGGGCUCGCAAUGGAGAGAGGGGGUCGGCGAUGGGUCCGGUGGUGAGGGAGAAGGGAUCGAGCGGAAAGGGAGUAGCCGUCGUAGCGUCACCGGCGUGGGUUCGCGGGAAACGGCUGGUCAGCACUGGUGGUUGCAUGCUGACGGCGAUGGUAUGGUUGUUGGUUGGAAUCCGGUGGUGUUCGCCGGAUUUGAGGGUUGUUGUGGCGGUUUACUGGAUCUGUUGCUCGUUGUGGGUGGAUGAUGAUGGUUAGAAGGCGGCGGUGGUACUGGUCGGUGUUGGCUCUCCGGGGAUAUGACUGCCGGAGAACGGAUAAACUGUUAAAAAAAUUUAUUUAUGGAGAAAGUGAAAGCUUAAAUUAAAAAAAAAUUAUGUAGUAGGCAUCCGUGUAUAUACUUUCAUAUGUGUCUUUGUAUUUUGUAGUGUAUGUUUGUGUGUGUUUUUUGUUAAAAAAAGGAGAUCUGAUCCGUGAUAAAAUUUCUUUUUGUUGCAGAAUAAAAAAACAAAUAUAAUCUGAUAUGGGUGUGUAUUGUAAAAAAUGGAGAUCUAUAUGGGUGAAUGUGUGUUUGAAAUUUUCUUUGCUGUGGAAUGAAAAAUGUGAUCUGAUAUGGGUGUCCUGUUGAAGUCCCCUAAUGUCAGAAUAUAUUAAGUGUUUAUAUCUGUUGGAGCGUAUAAUUGUGGUAGGUGGGAAUUUGAAUUAGAAUGAAAUUUUAAAUAUUGCAAAAUCUGACAAAUACCAAAAAUAAGAUUUCUCUUGAUUGCUUUUGUUUUGUAUAGCAUUUAGCAAAUUAAAAAAAUUACUACUUUUUUAUUGAGAUGACAUAAAGAAACUAAAGUUCUUCCUUUUGACUCAAACAUAUUUGAAAGAAGGAUAUAUUUUCUCAAAGCUUAGAACAACAAAUCUUUUUGCUACGUGUAAAGUCUAAAAAUACCUACUAUUAUUAGUCAUACUCAUAUUCCUACUAUUGAUUAUUUGAAUUUUUUUCGAUCUUGAAUUAAUUCUUUUGAGCUUCUAAUUUAAUAGCUAGCUUAAUAUAUAUUAAAUAAUAGUAAAAAAUGUAUGAAAAUUUAAUAUAUAUAUAUAUAUAAUUAAUUUAAUAAAUAUGAGAUUAAAAAAUAAAGUAACAAUGAUCGAUUAAAAAAAAUAAAAAAUAAUAAUAGUAAUAUUGAUAACACAUUAAUAUUAUAUAAUUAGAAAUAAUAGUAUUACACAAAUAAGAACGGUAAAAAAUAAUAAUAAAUUGAAAUAGUGAUGAAAUAUAAAAUAUUUAACUUACUAUUAACUUAGAAGCGCAAGAAAAUGAAUUAAUAGAAAGGAUAAACAACAUUGAGUAUCAAUAAAAAUUAAUGCAACAAGACACCAAAUUAUUAUUGUAUUUGUAUUGAAAUAAUUGAUUCGACUCACCUUUCGCAAACAUGUAGAAACUGAUUUGAAAUUAUGAAAAAAUGUAAAAAAUAUUAAAAGUAUAUAAAAUGUUAAAAAUAUUUAAAAAUGUAAUUAAUUUAUAAAAAUGUGAUGUCAUGAACAUGUGCAAAUGUUUGUGAAAUAAUAAAUUGAUAAGAAUAAGAAAAAUUAUUAAUAAAUUAUAAAGAGUAAAAAAUAUAAAAAUAAAUUGAUAAAAUUCUAAAGUAAGGAUAGAAAUCAAUUUUUAUUAGCAAUUAUAAAAAAUACGUGAAAAUCGUAUUUUGUACCCUUUAACGGUCAGCCUUGCCUGAAGAUGUUAAUUUUUAGCACGGAGAGCAAAAAUUGCGUGUCAACAGAGGGAAUUAAGGUUGAUCCCCAAAAGAUUGAGGCAGUGAGAAAAUGGCCCCGACCCACGACUCCAACCAAUAUUCGGAGCUUCUUGGAUUUGGCAGGGUAUUAUAGAAGGUUCGUAGAUGUAAUAUCCCGGGAAAUUUUUCGUUGAAAUUUUGUGCGUAAACGUGUUGGGUUCUAUAUUCUAGCGUAAAUUAUAAAUUUUUCGUGUGGAAUGUCUUAGAUUAUGACCCACCAUUGCGUAGAGUAUCGAAUAAGCUUUCCAACGAUAUGUGGAUCAUCCAAAACGGACACCCGAGCGACGAGUUAUGAACAUUUCGAUCAAACCGUGAAUAGCAGUAAACAGUAAAACGUGCAGGAAAAAGUACUGAGGCCUGGCGUAUUUUUGCUCCAACUUUAAAUGAUCACAACUCCUUGUACAUAAUGAUCUAGGUGAUCUACUAUAUAUCAACGGAAAGCUCUACGAGUCCUCUUUCUAAUGAAAUUGGUUUCAUCCAAUUUGUCUACCGGAGCAAAAAGCUAUGGUCGAUCUACUUCAGCCUAUCAAAAGCAAAUUUUUGGGUCAACUUCAAACGAUCAUAACUACUUGUACACAAUGAUCUGGGUGAGAUACUAUAUAUCAACGGAAAUCUAUGAGAGUCCUCUUUCUAAUGAAAUUAGUUUCAUCCAAUUUGGAUAUCGAAGUAAAAUGUUAUGGUUGAUCUACUUCAGACUAUCAAAACAGUCCACCAAAGGAUAAAUUCGAGGAUUUUUUUGAUUUUUAGGGGCGUUUUGGUCAUUCCCCCUCACCCAAAAUCCAUCCAAACCCUAUAUUAAAGCCUAUUAGAACAANNNNNNNNNNNNNNNNNNNNNNNNNNNNNNNNNNNNNNNNNNNNNNNNNNNNNNNNNNNNNNNNNNNNNNNNNNNNNNNNNNNNNNNNNNNNNNNNNNNNNNNNNNNNNNNNNNNNNNNNNNNNNNNNNNNNNNNNNNNNNNNNNNNNNNNNNNNNNNNNNNNNNNNNNNNNNNNNNNNNNNNNNNNNNNNNNNNNNNNNNNNNNNNNNNNNNNNNNNNNNNNNNNNNNNNNNNNNNNNNNNNNNNNNNNNNNNNNNNNNNNNNNNNNNNNNNNNNNNNNNNNNNNNNNNNNNNNNNNNNNNNNNNNNNNNNNNNNNNNNNNNNNNNNNNNNNNNNNNNNNNNNNNNNNNNNNNNNNNNNNNNNNNNNNNNNNNNNNNNNNNNNNNNNNNNNNNNNNNNNNNNNNNNNNNNNNNNNNNNNNNNNNNNNNNNNNNNNNNNNNNNNNNNNNNNNNNNNNNNNNNNNNNNNNNNNNNNNNNNNNNNNNNNNNNNNNNNNNNNNNNNNNNNNNNNNNNNNNNNNNNNNNNNNNNNNNNNNNNNNNNNNNNNNNNNNNNNNNNNNNNNNNNNNNNNNNNNNNNNNNNNNNNNNNNNNNNNNNNNNNNNNNNNNNNNNNNNNNNNNNNNNNNNNNNNNNNNNNNNNNNNNNNNNNNNNNNNNNNNNNNNNNNNNNNNNNNNNNNNNNNNNNNNNNNNNNNNNNNNNNNNNNNNNNNNNNNNNNNNNNNNNNNNNNNNNNNNNNNNNNNNNNNNNNNNNNNNNNNNNNNNNNNNNNNNNNNNNNNNNNNNNNNNNNNNNNNNNNNNNNNNNNNNNNNNNNNNNNNNNNNNUGUGUGUGUUUCCUUGUGUCUAUGGUGAAUGGUGAAGUGAUUUGAAAGUGGAAUUGUGAAAGUUAUUCUUUCGAAAGAUUUAAAUGAUAUUUACAUUAUGAGAAUUAAUAUUCUUGAUGAACUGAAAGUGAUUGACAAAUUAUAUGAUGACUCAUAUGUGUUAUUGUACGUAUUUCAUCCUCUCAUGAUUAUGAUGAUUUUCUUCGGGCUAUGUGAGUCUUUCAUACAUCCUGCAUAUUUCUUAUAAAUAUUUAUGAUGAUGAUGUUUAUACAACUGUAUACACCCUCAUAUAUUCGGUUCCUUUCAUGGUACUGACCCACAUCUUCAGAUAUGGGCUGAAUUUUCUCGAAAUAUAGGUUUAGGUGCUCAGUUCCAGGUUCGACAGUGAUUCUUUGGGCACGCUGUUCUAUAUCCUCUAUUGUGGUGAGUCCUCAUAUUCCGAUGACGUGAUGUCUGAUGUUGGUUUCACGAAAUUAUUUACAUUUGAUAACUGAGUAUGAGUCAGUUGGGGGAUGGCUCAAUGGCUCGCUGAUUUUAUUGAUUUUCUUAGAGGCUUGUCGAACUAGUAUAGAUGUUGGGAGUUGACUAAUAAGUCAUAUUUUGUUAUCUUUUUGAAAUUCUUUUAUUCUUGGAUGAUGAUUACUCUGUUGAUAUUUAAGGAUUAUUUAUGGAAACUCCGUUAAUUUGUGUUGAACUGAAUGAAAAUGGCUCAAAGGGUUAGCUUGGGGCUACUCAUAGCCUCAAGUACCGUGUGACGCUUCGGGACCCGUUUUUCGGGGAGUUACAAACUUAGUAUCAGAGCUUAAGGUUUUAAGGUAUCCUAGGGAGUCUGACGAGCCGCGUUAAGUAGAGUCUUGAUCAUCGGUGUGUAGCGUGCCAUAUCUAUGAGGAAGAGGCUACAAGAUGUUUUAGAAAAAAGUAUGAUUCUUUCUUUCAGAAGUCUAUCGUGCUUAAAGUGUCUCUCUCUGCUAUUGAUUCGUGCUCUCCUCUUUCAGAAAUAUGCCUCCACGUCGAGCGAGAAGAAAUAAUAAUGGUCAGCAACCUCAACCUGCUAACCCAUUGAAUGAAAACGUGUCUCAUGCUGAGUUUCGAGCAUCCUUUCAGGCGCUGGCCCAAGCUGUUACUGCAAAUGUUCAAGCUAACUCGGCCCCAACUCCAUAGCAGCAGGGAGGUAAUUCAGCUGCUGCCAGGAUCCGUUACUUCAUGCGGAUGAAUUCGUCGAAAUUCUAUGGGUCCAAGUCUGAUGAGGAUCCAUGAUUAUUUUUAGAGGAGGUGUGGAAGAUUACUCAGGUGAUGCAUGUAUCUGAGGAACAUAAUGUGGAGUUGGCUGAGUAUAGGUUGAAAGACCUUGCUUAUGACUGGGUUGUUGCUUGGAGGAAAGGUAGAGGUGAGGGAGCUAUCCCUACAACUUGGCAAGAGUUCCAGGAUGCAUUCCUAGAUAAGUUUUUGCCUUUGGAGAUGAGGGAAGCGAAGGUGGAAGAGUUUAUGAACUUGCGACAGGGCUCUAUGACUGUUAGGCAGUACCGUCUAAAGUUCAAUUAGUUGGCUAAGUAUGUUUCUGACUUAGUGGCUGAUAAUCGGGCUAGUAUGAGUAAGUUUAUGACUGGAGUCUCUAGUUAUGUGGUUAAGGAGUGUAGGUCUGCUAUGCUGAAUAGUGAGAUGAAUCUUUCUAGGCUGAUGACUCAUGCCCAACAGAUUGAGGCAGACAAGAUUAAGGAGAGAGAUAAGAAUAGGAGAGCUAGGUCCGAGCAGCACAGACAAGGUCAGACUAGAUUGGAGGGAGGGAGUCUCCCUCAGUAUCAGGAUCGUUCGUCUAUGCCAACACCGUCAUCUGCUAGUGCUCCUGUGCCUAGAGGUAGGCAGGAGCAAGGUAGCAGGUCAUAUGCAUCCAGGUCCCAGUACAGUGCUGGCAGUAAGCCAAAUCAUCCCCUAUGUCCUAAGUGUGGUAGGGCUCAUUCGGGUGAGUGUUAGGGUAAGAAGAGGGGCUGUUUACAGUGUGGUGAUGGGUCACAGAGUUAGAGAUUGUCCACAGGAUGGACAAGGGCAUCGUGACUAUCGCCAUCAGUCCCAGACUCAGACUGUUAGUGCUCUAGUUUCAGCGACUCACCCAGCCCCAGCUCAGGGUGCCUCUUCUAGCAAUGCUGGCGGACAGCGCCGAAUAGAUUCUAUGCUUUACCGUCCCACUAGGAAUAGGAGGACUCUUCCGNNNNNNNNNNNNNNNNNNNNNNNNNNNNNNNNNNNNNNNNNNNNNNNNNNNNNNNNNNNNNNNNNNNNNNNNNNNNNNNNNNNNNNNNNNNNNNNNNNNNNNNNNNNNNNNNNNNNNNNNNNNNNNNNNNNNNNNNNNNNNNNNNNNNNNNNNNNNNNNNNNNNNNNNNNNNNNNNNNNNNNNNNNNNNNNNNNNNNNNNNNNNNNNNNNNNNNNNNNNNNNNNNNNNNNNNNNNNNNNNNNNNNNNNNNNNNNNNNNNNNNNNNNNNNNNNNNNNNNNNNNNNNNNNNNNNNNNNNNNNNNNNNNNNNNNNNNNNNNNNNNNNNNNNNNNNNNNNNNNNNNNNNNNNNNNNNNNNNNNNNNNNNNNNNNNNNNNNNNNNNNNNNNNNNNNNNNNNNNNNNNNNNNNNNNNNNNNNNNNNNNNNNNNNNNNNNNNNNNNNNNNNNNNNNNNNNNNNNNNNNNNNNNNNNNNNNNNNNNNNNNNNNNNNNNNNNNNNNNNNNNNNNNNNNNNNNNNNNNNNNNNNNNNNNNNNNNNNNNNNNNNNNNNNNNNNNNNNNNNNNNNNNNNNNNNNNNNNNNNNNNNNNNNNNNNNNNNNNNNNNNNNNNNNNNNNNNNNNNNNNNNNNNNNNNNNNNNNNNNNNNNNNNNNNNNNNNNNNNNNNNNNNNNNNNNNNNNNNNNNNNNNNNNNNNNNNNNNNNNNNNNNNNNNNNNNNNNNNNNNNNNNNNNNNNNNNNNNNNNNNNNNNNNNNNNNNNNNNNNNNNNNNNNNNNNNNNNNNNNNNNNNNNNNNNNNNNNNNNNNNNNNNNNNNNNNNNNNNNNNNNNNNNNNNNNNNNNNNNNNNNNNNNNNNNNNNNNNNNNNNNNNNNNNNNNNNNNNNNNNNNNNNNNNNNNNNNNNNNNNNNNNNNNNNNNNNNNNNNNNNNNNNNNNNNNNNNNNNNNNNNNNNNNNNNNNNNNNNNNNNNNNNNNNNNNNNNNNNNNNNNNNNNNNNNNNNNNNNNNNNNNNNNNNNNNNNNNNNNNNNNNNNNNNNNNNNNNNNNNNNNNNNNNNNNNNNNNNNNNNNNNNNNNNNNNNNNNNNNNNNNNNNNNNNNNNNNNNNNNNNNNNNNNNNNNNNNNNNNNNNNNNNNNNNNNNNNNNNNNNNNNNNNNNNNNNNNNNNNNNNNNNNNNNNNNNNNNNNNNNNNNNNNNNNNNNNNNNNNNNNNNNNNNNNNNNNNNNNNNNNNNNNNNNNNNNNNNNNNNNNNNNNNNNNNNNNNNNNNNNNNNNNNNNNNNNNNNNNNNNNNNNNNNNNNNNNNNNNNNNNNNNNNNNNNNNNNNNNNNNNNNNNNNNNNNNNNNNNNNNNNNNNNNNNNNNNNNNNNNNNNNNNNNNNNNNNNNNNNNNNNNNNNNNNNNNNNNNNNNNNNNNNNNNNNNNNNNNNNNNNNNNNNNNNNNNNNNNNNNNNNNNNNNNNNNNNNNNNNNNNNNNNNNNNNNNNNNNNNNNNNNNNNNNNNNNNNNNNNNNNNNNNNNNNNNNNNNNNNNNNNNNNNNNNNNNNNNNNNNNNNNNNNNNNNNNNNNNNNNAGGGGGGUGAAGAGAUUCGGAAAGAAGGGGAAACUUAGUCCCCGUUAUGUUGGUUACAAAAUUCUUAGCCGUGUUGGUAAGGUAGCUUAUGAGGUCGAGUUGUCUUCCGAGUUGUCCUCUGUUCAUCCAAUAUUCCAUGUCUCCAUGCUUAGAAAGCAUAUUAGCGAUGCUGUGGUAGUGGAUUCCUCUGUGAGUGCUGACAUUCAAGAAAAUCUUUCUUUUGAUGAGAUUCCUGUUGAGAUUCUUGAUUUCAGUGUCCGAAGACUAAGGAACAAAGAAGUUCCCUUGGUCAAGGCGUUGUGGCGAAACCAAUUUAUUGAGGGUGCAACUUGGGAAGCUGAGGCGGAUAUGCGAUCCAAAUACCCGCACCUAUUUUUUGCGGACUCCGAUCAAGCCGAAGGUACCAUUUUUUCCUAAAUCAUGCACUUUUGAUAAAAGUUGCAGCAGUUCAGUUGUCAUUUAUUAUGAGUUCAGCUGUAAUUUCUUGAAUUUAUGCAUUCUAUGUUGCAUUCGGAGUGAGAAAUGAUGUGGUGAUGAGUCUAACGAAUGGUUUUAGAUGUAUGCUCUAUUCCCUAUCUAAUCUUGGCAUGUCUAGUGUCAUUUGAGGACAAUUUUUUCCAAGGGGGGAUGAUGUAAUACCCCAGAAAAUUUUUCGUUGAAAUUUUGUGCGUAAACGUGUUGGGUUCUAUAUUCUAGAAUGAAUUAUAAAUUUUUCGUGCGGAAUUUCUUAGAUUAUGACCCACCAUUGCGUAGAGUAUCGAAUAAGCUUUCCAACGAUAUGUGGAUCAUCCAUAACUGACACCCGAGUGACGAGUUAUGAACAUUCCGAUCGAACCGUGAAUAGUAUUGAACAGUAAAACGUGCAGGAAAAAGUACUGAGGCCUGGCGUAUUUUUCCCCCAACUUUAAAUGACCAUAACUCCUUGUACAUAAUAAUCAAGGUGAUCUAAUAUAUAUCAACGGAAAGCUCUGCGAGUCCUCUUUCCAAUGAAAUUGGUUUUAUCCAAUUUGUCUAUCGGAGCAAAAAGCUAUGGUUGAUCUACUUUAGCCUAUCAAAAGUAAAUUUUUGGGUCAACUUCAGACGAUCAUAACUACUUGUACACAAUGAUCUGGGUGAGAUACUAUAUAUCAACGAAAAUAUAUGAGAUUCCUCUUUCUAAUGAAAUUGGUUUCAUCCAAUUUGGAUAUCGGAGUAAAACGUUAUGGUUGAUCUNNNNNNNNNNNNNNNNNNNNNNNNNNNNNNNNNNNNNNNNNNNNNNNNNNNNNNNNNNNNNNNNNNNNNNNNNNNNNNNNNNNNNNNNNNNNNNNNNNNNNNNNNNNNNNNNNNNNNNNNNNNNNNNNNNNNNNNNNNNNNNNNNNNNNNNNNNNNNNNNNNNNNNNNNNNNNNNNNNNNNNNNNNNNNNNNNNNNNNNNNNNNNNNNNNNNNNNNNNNNNNNNNNNNNNNNNNNNNNNNNNNNNNNNNNNNNNNNNNNNNNNNNNNNNNNNNNNNNNNNNNNNNNNNNNNNNNNNNNNNNNNNNNNNNNNNNNNNNNNNNNNNNNNNNNNNNNNNNNNNNNNNNNNNNNNNNNNNNNNNNNNNNNNNNNNNNNNNNNNNNNNNNNNNNNNNNNNNNNNNNNNNNNNNNNNNNNNNNNNNNNNNNNNNNNNNNNNNNNNNNNNNNNNNNNNNNNNNNNNNNNNNNNNNNNNNNNNNNNNNNNNNNNNNNNNNNNNNNNNNNNNNNNNNNNNNNNNNNNNNNNNNNNNNNNNNNNNNNNNNNNNNNNNNNNNNNNNNNNNNNNNNNNNNNNNNNNNNNNNNNNNNNNNNNNNNNNNNNNNNNNNNNNNNNNNNNNNNNNNNNNNNNNNNNNNNNNNNNNNNNNNNNNNNNNNNNNNNNNNNNNNNNNNNNNNNNNNNNNNNNNNNNNNNNNNNNNNNNNNNNNNNNNNNNNNNNNNNNNNNNNNNNNNNNNNNNNNNNNNNNNNNNNNNNNNNNNNNNNNNNNNNNNNNNNNNNNNNNNNNNNNNNNNNNNNNNNNNNNNNNNNNNNNNNNNNNNNNNNNNNNNNNNNNNNNNNNNNNNNNNNNNNNNNNNNNNNNNNNNNNNNNNNNNNNNNNNNNNNNNNNNNNNNNNNNNNNNNNNNNNNNNNNNNNNNNNNNNNNNNNNNNNNNNNNNNNNNNNNNNNNNNNNNNNNNNNNNNNNNNNNNNNNNNNNNNNNNNNNNNNNNNNNNNNNNNNNNNNNNNNNNNNNNNNNNNNNNNNNNNNNNNNNNNNNNNNNNNNNNNNNNNNNNNNNNNNNNNNNNNNNNNNNNNNNNNNNNNNNNNNNNNNNNNNNNNNNNNNNNNNNNNNNNNNNNNNNNNNNNNNNNNNNNNNNNNNNNNNNNNNNNNNNNNNNNNNNNNNNNNNNNNNNNNNNNNNNNNNNNNNNNNNNNNNNNNNNNNNNNNNNNNNNNNNNNNNNNNNNNNNNNNNNNNNNNNNNNNNNNNNNNNNNNNNNNNNNNNNNNNNNNNNNNNNNNNNNNNNNNNNNNNNNNNNNNNNNNNNNNNNNNNNNNNNNNNNNNNNNNNNNNNNNNNNNNNNNNNNNNNNNNNNNNNNNNNNNNNNNNNNNNNNNNNNNNNNNNNNNNNNNNNNNNNNNNNNNNNNNNNNNNNNCAUACAUCCCCAUAUACUCGGUUCCUUUCCAUGGUACUGACCCACAUGUUCGGAUGUGGGCGGUAUUUUCUCGAAAUAUAGGUUCAGGUGCUCAGUUCCAGGUUCGACAGUGAUUCUUCAGGCACAUUGUUCUACAUCCUCUAUUAUGGUGAUUCCUCAUGUUCUGAGGACAUGAUGUCUAAUGUUGGUUUCAUGAAAUUAUUGACAUUUGACAACUGAGUAUGAGUCUGUUGGGGCAGAUCUCAAUGGCUCAUUGGUUUAAUUGAUUUUCUUAGAGGCUUGUCAGACUAGUAUAGAUGUUGGGAGUUGACUAAUAAGUCGUAUUUUGUUAUCUUUCUGAAAUUCUUUUAUUCUUGGAUGAUGAUUACUCUGUUGAUAUUUGAGGGUUAUUUAUGGAAACCCCAUUGAUUUGUGUUGAACUGAAUGAAAAUGGCUCAAAGGGUUAGUUUGGGGCUACAACCUCAAGCACCGUGUGACGCUCCGGGACCCAUUUUAUGGGGCGUUACAGUAGAGAGUUUUUCUUCUAUAGCUGCUCCGCUUACUAAGCUAACUCAGAAAAAGGUAAAGUUUGUAUGGUCUGACUCAUGUGAGAAUAGUUUUGAGAAGUUGAAAGAUUAAUUAACUAUUGCACCUGUGAUGACUCUUUUAAAAGGUAUAGAAGGUUUUGUUGCAUAUUGUGAUGCGUCUCAAGUGGGACUUGGAUGUGUUCUUAUGCAGCAUGGUAAAGUGGUGGCUUAUGCAUCUAAGCAGAUGAAAGUCCAUGAGCGCAAUUACCCUACCCAUGAUUUGGAGUUAGCGGCUGUGGUGUUUGCACUUAGAAUCUGGAGGCAUUAUCUUUAUGGGGUACAUGUUGAUAUUUUUACUGACCACAAAAGUUUACAGUAUGUUUUCUCGCAGAAAGAAUUGAAUCUCAGGCAGAGGCGAUGGUUAGAACUUUUAAAAGACUAUGACAUGAGCCUGCACUAUCAUUCGGGCAAGGCGAAUGCGGUAGCCGAUGCCCUCAGCAGGUUAUCUAUGGGCAGUCUUUCUCAUAUGGGGAAACAAAAGAGAGAGAUGGUGAAGGAUAUUCACCAACUUGCAAAUCUAGGAGUGCGAGUUUUUAAUUCUGAGGAUGGAGGAGCGGUUGUUCAUGAGAUAGCUAAAUCUUCCUUUUGUGCAGAAGUUAAAGAAAAGCAGGUUAAAGAUCCCAUCUUGAUGCAAAUUAAGAAUGAUGUGGGUUAACAGAAGGUGAUGUCUUUUGAAAUUGGUGGUGAUGGUAUUUUGAGAAAUGAGGGGAGAUUAUGUGUGCCAGAUGUAGAUGGUCUGUGAAAAAGAAUCCUUGAUGAAGCUCAUACUUCGAGGUAUGUUGUUCACCCAGUCUCUACAAAAAUGUAUCAUGAUCUGAAAACCAUUUAUUGGUGGAAUACAUGAAGCGUGAUGUGGCUAACUAUGUUGCUAAGUGUUUGAAUUGUCAACAAGUUAAAGUGGAACAUAUGAGGCCAAGUGGUUCUUCUCAAGAGAUAGCUUUGCCUUUGUGAAAGUGGGAGAUGAUUAAUAUGGAAUUCAUUACAAGACUUUCAAGGUCCCGAAAACUGUAUGAUUUCAUUUGGGUGAUUGUAGAUAGGCUGACCAAGUCAACUCACUUUCUACCUGUCAGGACUAAUUAUUCGGGAGAGGAUUGUGCUAAGCUAUUCAUUGCAGCAAUAGUUCGUUUACAUAAGGCACCUGUGUCCAUCAUAUCUGACCGAGGUACACAGUUUUCUUCAUAGUUUUGGAGAUCGUUUCAAAAGGGCUUAGGUACCCAAGUGAAUUUGAGCACGACUUUCCACCCUCAGACGGAUGGGUAAGCUGAGCGCACUAUCUAGACCCUUGAGGAUAUGUUGAGGGCCUGCGUGAUUGAUUUUAAGGGUAGUUGGGUAAAGAACUUUCCAUUGAUAGAGUUCGCAUAUAAUAACAGUUUUCAUUCUAGUAUUAAGAUGGCACCAUUUGAGGCAUUGUAUGGAAGAAGAUGUAGGUCUCCAAUAGGAUGGUAUAAAGUAGGUGAGAUGCAGAUGUUUGGGCCUAAUCUUGUUUAUCAGGCAAUGGAAGAUGUAAAAGUCAUUAGAGAAUGACUUAAGAUAGCUUAGAGACGUCAGAAAUCCUACUCCGAUGUUAGGAGAAGAGAUCUAGAGUUUGAGCUUGGAUAUUGGGUGUUUCUCAAGGUUUCUCCCAUGAAGGGAGUUAUGCAAUUCGGGAAGAAAGGUAAGCUGAGUCCUCGCUAUGUAGGUCCAUACCAGAUUGUGAGAAGGAUGGGUGGAGUUGCGUAUGAGUUAGAAUUACCUGCCAGUUUGGGUUCUGUUCAUCCAGUAUUUCAUAUAUUUAUGAUAAAGAAGUGUAUUGGAGACCAUUCUUUAGUGUUGUUUGUCGAAGAAAUCAAAGUGAUAGACUCCUUAUCCUAUGAAGAAGAGCCUGUAGAAAUUUCGGAUCACCAAGUUAGAAGAUUAAGGAGCAAAAAGAUAGCCUCAGUUAAAGUGUUGUGGAGAAACCAGAAAAUUGAAGAAGCAACUUAGGAAUCAGAAGUUGACAUAAGAGCUAGAUAAUAAGAGCUAGAUAACCAAACCUUUUUGAUCCAAUGGAUGACGAAAUGGAAGGUACAAUCCUUUCCUUAUCUUUUCUAUGCCUUAUUAUGCUUGAAAUUAUGUUUGUCUGUGUCCCGCGUCAACAUUCGGGGACGAAUGUUCCCAAGGGGGGAUAUUGUAAUACCCCAAAGUUUUUUCCUAGAUAAAUUUUUGUCCCUAAGGUAUCAAGCAUUGGCUUCUAGAAUGAUUUAUACUUGUUUCCCUAUGGAAUUCCCUAGAUUUAUACUUUUCAUUACCUAGAUGAUCAAAUAAGUUUUCCGUCAACAUAAGAUUCAUCCAAAAUGGACACUCGGUGAAGGAGUUAUGAUUAAUUUAAGUCCUAGUCGUAAAACACCGUCAUUCCAGUCCUUGACGCGUCUUGGAGAGGGUGCAAAUGAUGAUGGUCAAUUUUCAGUGAGACUCCACGAUGGUGGCGCAUUGUGGAGUGGGCCAAAUUCCCAUUCGUCAAUUUCCAGUGAGCCACUGCGAUAGUGGCCCGUCGCGGUGGCCAAUAAGAUCGGGUUCCCAGUUUAAAUUUUUCCAGUUUCGUUGAGAAGUUAACAAGGGUAGUUUGGACUUUUUCCAAGUCUCUUAAAACUUCCAAACAAGAGAUUAAAGACCUCUACAAGCAUAAUAUACGACAUUAUCAAGAUUUUCCUCAAAACAAAAAACCCUAGUUCAUAUAUUUCUCUUCCAAGGAACUCAAGAUUCAACCGUGGGUUUUCGAAAUAAAUUGGAGAUCUGAAAUCCCCAAGCCAUAGGCAUCAAGAAGCAUCCUUUAAUUUGUGAAAUAGAGGUACGUGGGGUUGUCCCAAAUUCCAUGGGCAUGAUUUUUGAAAAGAAUUUACACAAGACUUUACUAUUUAUACAUUUACAUAUGCUUUGACAAGUGGGGUUUUGUUUUACUACCAAUAACAUGUUUUGUGAUAUGGUUUUGAAAGAAAUAUUGAAAUUUCAUGGGGUUGUUUGCUUGAAUAUAUUUCAAUUGUUGAAUUGUGAACGUGUGAUCAAAAUUUCGAAAGGGUGCGAUGUAUAUGAAUUGUGAAUUCUUUAAAUCCCCCAUGAUAAUGUUUUAUACUUGUGACGUCCCGUAGUUUUCUUAGCUAAGUCUUAUCCCUAAAGUAGCAGACUUUAGCUUCUAAAAUUAAUUAUAUUCUUUUUCCAGUGGAAUUCCUUAGAUUUCAACUUUUCAUUACGUAGAUGACUGAAUAUGCUUUCUGUCGAUAUAAGAUUCGUCCAAAAUGGACACUCGGUGAAGAAGUUAUGGCUAUUUUUGUGCGAGUCAUAAAACAUCGUCAUUAUGGUAUUUAGCGCAUCGUAGAGAGGGUUUAAUUAGUAAUUGUCAAAUUCCAGUGGGACCUCGCGAUAGUGGUGCAUCGCAGAGGAUCCUAAUUUCCAGUGAGCCACCGCGAUAGUGGCGCAUCGCGGUGGCCCAUAAAAUCAGGCACCAGUUAUAUUUUUACUCUGUAUCAUUAAGGGUAAAAUGGUACUUCUCCAAACCCUUAUCAUCUCUAACACAGGAUUUAAUCCCAAGAACACCAAAGUAAGUUGAUUUUCAUCAAAAUCUCUCAAGAAACUCCAUUAGGGUUUCAAACUAAAAAUCCUCAUAACUAAAGAUUUAACCACGGAUUUUAGAAGAUAAUUGGAGAUUUGGAAUCCUCGCAUCGUCUGCUUCAAGAAGCAUCCGUUAAUUUCUGAAAUAGAGGUACGUGAUUUUUAUCCUAAAAACUACAUGGGCUUAAAACCAUUAAAGCAUGAUUUUAAGAUUUUUAUGCAUGAAUUUCAAAGGGGUUUUGGAAUCUAUGUUCUAAAUUACAUAGUCCGAAUGUUUUAAUGUUACUAUUGUUUUGACCUUGUGGUCCUAUCCCCUAAAUUGAUUUACAUGUAUACGUAUAUGUAUGGGAUUUGAGAUUUAAGAUUUUUUGAGAGUAUAAAUAAUGAACUCCCUCUCGUGUAUUGAAUUAAAGAUAUGAUUUUGUGAUUUAAAAGAUGUUUUCUCAACAUUAUAGCAUUUGAGCAUGAUUUGAAACAGUUGAGAGGGUGUUUCUUGAUAUAAAUGUGUUCUUGUGUUUAUAAGAAAGAAUUGCAUGUGAAUUGAGAAUUUUAACAUGACCACCUUGUACUAUUGAAAUGCUUGACCAAGAUGAGUUCCUUACAUGUGUUUACAUAAGGUUUAAGAAAGAGUUUCUUUGAAUUGAAUUAUUGAAAUGGUCGUCCCAAUGACUCAUGUUUGAAAACAGAGAUUUAUGACAGACUAAUAAUGGCUCAGAGAUGUGACUUUCAAGUCAAUGGUAUGAUUGUUUUGACGAAAUUUUGACUUUUGAAAGAGAGUCGGUACUUAAUUUUGAAAAGGAAUUAAGAAACCUUUAGAGAGUUACUUCAAACGAUUCAAAACAGGAAAAUCAUUUAAGUUAAGAGAUUCUGAGUAAGCAGUUCCUAUUAACGUUUUAGGAAGGUGUUAGGCACCUAAAACGUCCGCUAACUUGCGAUUAUCCGGACUGUUUGAAAAUCAUCUUUUGAUUAACUUCUAAAAGAUUAAUUUGUUGAAAAGUGAUUGAUUUUUAGAAAAAAAAAGAUUUUGUGUACAAACAGUUUUAGACGACCUAAUAGGUAUUUUAACUAAGUCUACACAAAUGAAAUAAGCAAGUAAACACAUAAACGGGGAAAAGGAGGAGCAAGGAAAUGAUUUAGGCCAUUGGGCCCAAACCAACAAAACCCGUCCUAGUCUAAUUGGGUUUUUGACCCAUUUCACCUGUCCUAAUUCUAUGUUUCGAGCCUUUGGCUCGAGUCUUUUUCCACCUGUAUUAAAUUUACAACUUUGACUUCAAGGCCCAAAUGAAUAAAUAAAUCAGUAAAAUAAAUGACAUAAAUAAAUAAUGCUUAAGUAAAUAAAAUGACAAACGAGACUUUCGCGUCUCUUAGCUGCUUCGAGGAUCAACUUUAACCCAUAUUCUUUAUCUUUCGACUCCUUUCUUCGAAAAUAAUCAACUAGAAGAGGUAGGCCUCAUUGGCCUGUCAUGAAAUGCAAUAGAGAGAGAACUGAUUAGAGGUUCGAACACGGUGUCCCGAAUUCAUUUCACAUGUAUCAAAGAAAAUAAUAGAGAUCAAUUAUCUACUUAUGGAAGUGAGGGAGGAAGACAAGAAAUUCAAUGAACUUAUCAGGACAACAUACCAAAUUGAGCAUGAACAGAACCAAAUAAAAAUAAGAGAAAAAUAUCCAAGAUUUUCGACCGAGGCCAAUUCCGGAAUAAGGAAGGAGGUGAAAAUUCAUUCACAUACUUACUGGAUAAAUAAACCCAACAUAACGCUAAGGAAGGGAAUUUUACUUAGAAUUGGUCUACUCCAGUCACAAACCACUCCUAAUAAUAGACAUGCUUCACUAACUCAUAAACGCUAUAAUCCACAUAAUAUAACCCACGCAAGUUCAAUCAAUCAUCAAAGACAAAACUAUUUGAAGCGAAGGUUAUUGAUUGUAUUGUUUUUUUUGUCAAACAAUUGGAAGGUGAGAAAAAGUCAUGGAGUAAAUUAUUCACUUUUUUAUGACAUAAUUAGGCUAAAUUUGUCUAACCGAAUUAACAAGAUAGCACAUUAGAUCACUUUAUUCAAAAAUCAACUAAAUACAUUAUCCUUUAUUAAGUCAUUUUCACUAAUCAUUGCUGCACAAUGAACUCCUCGUGACAUUGUUUUUUGAAUAUGCAACCACUACAACACUGAAACAAAAUAAUAAAAUACAAUAAAGUGAAACACAAUAAGACUCUAAACAAGAACAUCAAAUAUUUGAGCAGCAAAAUCGAUUUUCGCAGAUUACAAUUGGCAACUUCAAAGUAACACAACACUCAAUACACCUAUAUAAGGUUCCAAAACUCUAUGUCAUCGAAUGUAUAAUGCUGUAAAGCAGUAAGUAAUCAGUAGAAAAUGAAGGAUGAAGAUCUCAUGAAGUGGGGUAGACGACCGAAGAAAGAGAAGAGAACAAUACUCACUGCGACUCAAUAAUACCCAUAGGACGAUUCAGAUUAGGAACUUUCAAAUAUGAAAAACAUAUUAUGAAAGUCUUAUUUUUUAGUUCUCAAUUUCGUUAAGCCUCUUAGACAUUGUAAACCAAACAGGCUUACCAAAACGUUUGCUUCAAACUAACUAAACUGAUUUCCAUGAUUUCUCAAAUGACUUCAAAUAAGGAAUGUAAGACUAACAACAACGAGGAAAAUAAGACUUCAUUUCAAAGAUUCAGAGACACACUCCCAAAUAGAAAUGAGAAAAAUAAGACUAAUCAAUAUCCCUGUAAAACUACAGCAGAGAUAACUACUAUUCCAAACCUCCUUUCUAUUCUAACAGAUUCGGGCGGUAUGGUCUUUAAGAGAAACUGGGACUGUCUAAUAAGAUUAUGGAGCCUGCUCUUUGCCCUUUUGGCAUGUGAGGAGCGAAAAAGACUUGAGGGGUAGCUCCACUAGCAGAGAUGCUAGCUCGAUGAUUUAGGCUCCGCUCAAUAAUAAUAUCAAACAAAACACUGUCAAUCAGCAAUUACGACCAAAUAACCUCGGGUUAAGACUAUUAGACACGGUCGAAGAGACAUACUUUAACUAGGCAAUUAGGCUAUUCUAACCACCAACAAUACACAAAAUAAGAGUAUCGAAUCGACACUCUACCAGCAUCUACUUACGGCUAUUGAAGCCAUCUACCAACGAACAGUCCAACACACAAUCAUAUUGAAGACUUAUUCAUGACUGUAGAAGAUCGAGAUGAAGCAGAAGCACUCAAGAACUCAAAAGGAUAGGAUGUUGCCUUUCAGGGAGCAGCAAACGGGACGACGAGCUAUCAGUAAAAACGUCGCUACCAGAAUCUCGCGACGUCGACCACUAAUAGUGCGUCUUCUGGCUUUUCUCUUAAAGAUUUCGAAAACCACUUUCAACUCCCAAAAUUUUUGACCCUUUUUGAUUUUCCCCACCCAAGAAUUUUCAAACAACCAAUUUAGAAAAAAGAUAUUUUUUGAAUUUUGAAAUUCGAGUCUUCCCCCACAGCUCAUUUUCGAACUCAAAUCGUACCCAAUUUUGGAUUUUUUUCCCAAAAAAUAAAAUGGGUGGACCAAUUAAAAAUAGGGUAAAAUGAAUUCCAUUCCAAACCAAUGAAAAAUGACCAGAUAUGUACUAAUUCAUACCGUGAUAUCCGAGAUUUACGGGUUCGGAACGUUGGAGGGACACCUGGUCUCGUCUCUGGAAGAUUCAAAGAUUUCCUAUAAGAAAACAAGAAUGAGAAAGGGAUCUUUAGACCGUUGCUGAACUGGAAAUGGGUUAGGGAUCGAGUUUUUGCCGGGUCGAGUUGUCAUCGUUAUUUUGUCAUCAGUGACGUGUUUGUACACUGGUUUUGGUUGUUUUUUGAGUUUUCUAGUUGAUGGAACUGUUGUUUUAUUUGUUGAGGCAGAUAAAGAAGAAAGGGGUUUGGUCCGGGUUGGAUGGCUAUUGGACUGGGUUAUUGAUUGUUGUUAAAUUGGGUUGGUGGGCUGUUGACAUUAGGGAAUUGGGCCUGGGGUUGUGCUGAUUAAGUUGGGUGUUAAAAUUGGGAUGGAUAGUUUAGAAAAAUAGUUUCAAUUAACAUUUAACCCAUUCUAAUUAAAUUUUGAUCAAAUUAAAGGCUAAUUGGCCAAAUGUAUUGCGAUUGUGGCCAAUUUAAUUUCAAUUUAUGAUCAAAUUUAAUAGAUUGAUUAAAUUGAAUUGAAAUUAAAUACGAACUAAUACUUCUUUUAAUCCCGAGUUUCUUGAUUUAAUAAAACCAAAUAAGUAUUUCUCCAAAUAGAUUAUUUGUGAGAAUAAAUUAUAUUUAAAUCAAGAUUUAACUAUUUAAAUUUAUUUUCCAAAUAAUCCUUAAUUUAAAGUCCAAUUUUGAUGAAAAUGUUCAUUUAAAUGACAUCAUUUAUACAAUCUCGUAUAUGAAAAUACGAAAGAUAUAUAAUUAUCACUUAAAUGAAAAAUUUAGCCCAAAUACCUAUUUUAAAAUGCAUUUAUUUGGAAAAAACAAUUGAUGUAAUUUUAUUUGAAAAUCGAAGAAACUCGAGAUUAAACAUAGUUGCGGAGGAAAAAAAUUAGGUGUCAACAAUGAUGAUACCAUAUGUAUUUAUGCCAUAACAGAUUAUGCUUUCAGAAUAUGUUUUUCAGUCUUUGUUUUCAAAGACUGCAUGUUUUGAUAGAGUUUUAAAAAGAGGCUUAAAGAGGGUUAGUUGAUUACCCGAAGAAGGCAUGAGUUCAAGCAACUCUUAGCCUGAAACCUUGUUUGCCAAUACGGGUAGAUUAUUAUUCUACGCUGGCGACGACCAUAUGGCGUAGUAGAUUUAGAGACUCUGACCCUUGUGGCACACUUGGGUUGGGGGCUUCGCUGCCGAGUUAAUGGCAGUUUCCAUAUAGCCCAUGGAAUUUUCAGAAUUGUUGGGUAUACCACUUAACGCAGAAGUAACAUAGAUUUCUCAGAGUUGUGAUGAUUUUUACAGAGUCUUUUAACAUGCCCAUGUGAAUUCUUACUAUAUUAUACGUUUGUGAAACUGUUUUACAUUGCUCUCAUAUAUAUUGAAUAUAAAAUUGUUAUUUUGGAUUUACUCUGCGUAUCAGUACAAUUAUAUCGACCCCCCUCCUACCAGGUUCUGAGGCUCAGUCUAGGGGUCCAGAUAAGUAGUAGGUAAUUCAGAUAGCUGAUCAGAUUUUGCAGUGGUGAGCCUUUUCUAUUCCAGAAGGCCUGUUUCUUUUCAGAUUAUGUCUCUUAUCACCGUUUUUGUCUACUAGGGGCCUUGUCCCAGUUCAGACAGUUGUCAGAUUUUCAUGUAGUAGAGAUUUCGUAGACUAAGUUAGAUGUUAUUUAGAUAUAGUUGAUUUGCAGUUUCCAUACUUAUGUUACAUUCAGAAUUGACCAUAUUUUUGUAGCAUAUUAUGUUUCCACAUCUUCUUUAUUUAUAUGAAUGUUGUGCAUAACUGCCAGAUCGAGAAGGGUAUUCUGAGCCUUCAUGGUUUGGGAAGUCCGUCACGGCCAGGCCCUAGUUCGGGUCAUGACAAACUUGGUAUCAGAGCACGAUUCAUAGACCCAGGGUGUCUGCAAAAUCGCGUCGGAUAGAGUCUUAUUUAUGGGUGUGUAGCACGCCACACUUAUGAGUAGGAGACUAAUAGGCAUUUAGGAAUGUUUCUCUUCUUUUUGAUUUAGUUCGUGCUUUAGAGUCUAAUCUGUCCCCUGAUCACUGAUCUCUUGCUUUUCAAAACUAGCUAUGCCUUCCCAUCACACCAACGUUAAUGCUCUGGAUGAUGAAGUCCGUCCCACCCAUGGGAUGCGGACUCGUAAUAGAGCUCAUACCCCAGAACCUGUUCCUACUUCGGGAUUACCUUUUGUACUGACCAGUCCUCCCAAAGCUCCCUGGACGGGGGAAAAUCGCACUCAACCUCAUGAAGGAGAAGUGUCUAAUACUGAAUCAGACGGUCCAUUCACAUACUUACACAGCUGGCAGCUGUACAGACUCAGAGGUCAGAGGAUACUGGGUCUGCGUCUGUUAUAUCCAAAGUCACUACAGUGGGCCAGUUCAUAAGGAUAAACCCACCCAAGUUCUCUGGCACUAAGGAAGAAAAGGACCCGUAAGAGUUCGUAGACGAAAUAGAGAAGAUUUUCAAAGUAAUGCAUGUUGAUCAGGUGGAAGGUGUUGAGCUAGAAACAUACCAGCUAAAGGAUGUAGAGAAUCAAUGGUACAAUAAGUGGGAAGAUGCAAAGGGUGACAGUACUGAUCUCACAGUUUGGGACGAGUUCGUGAAAGCUUUUCUUGACUGAUUCUUUCCUCUGGAGUAAAGGGAAGCUAAAGAAGAGGAGUUCAUGAACCUUAAGCAGGGUAAGAUGAGUGGUCAGGAGUAUACUUUAAAGUUUAAUUAGCUGGCCCGUUAUGCUCCUGAGAUGAUGAGUAGUAUGAGGGCCCGAAUGAGGAAGUUUGCUUCCGACCUUUCAGAUAAUCUGGUGCUUGAGUUCCAGGGAGCUAUGAUGAAUAGAGAUAUGGACUUUGCUAGGCUGUCAGUCCAUAUGUAGGAAGUUGAGGAGAAGAAGAAGAAGAUAGCUGAAUCUAGGGAAAGGGACAGGCAGGCAAAGAGGGCCAGAACGACAGACCAGAGUCACAGUCAGCAGCAGAGCGGGAAUUGGGGUAGCAAAUGGCAAAAGAAAAAGAAUUCGGGUAGUGCAUAGUUGGCCGUUAGUUCUCCAGUGUCCAGACCCAUAACUGAGUAGCACACCCAGAAUUUUAAAUCUAGUCAGGGGCCGAGGAUGCAGGGUACGCAGUCGCAGGGAAGUGUAGCUCAAACCUCUCUGUCCUACCCGUAUUGUGGGAGAUACAGGGAGAAUCAUCCAGGGAGAUGUCAGUUUGGCGCUUUGGUGUGUUAUUCAUGUGUCCAGCUAUGCUAUAUCCAGAGAGACUGUCCGGCAACAAAGAGUAAUGUUGGAGGAGCCAAGCCGCAAGCGAAUUCAUCUGCACCACCACCUCAGAAGGGUGCCACUUCAACCAUCGAAAGCGUUCGAAACCAGUUGUAUGCUUUGACCAACCGCCAGGAGGCAUAGGCCUCACCAGAUGUAAUCACUGGUACAUUGCAAAUCUUUUCUCGUGAUGUGUAAGUAUUACUUGAUCCCGGGUCUACCUUGUCUUAUGUGACCCCAUAUGUGGCUGUUGGUUUUGGGUUGAGCCUAAUGUGAUUGCUGAACCUUUUUUGGUUUCCACCCCAGUAGGAGAUUCUGUUAUGGCUAGGAGGGUGUAUAGAAAUUGUGUUAUGUCUAUUUUUAGCUGGGAUACUGAGGCAGACCUCACAGAACUUGAUAUGGUUGAUUUUGAUGCCAUCUUAGGGAUGGACUAGCUCUAUUCAUGUUAUACCACACUGAAUUGUAGGAUCCAAAAAGUCACUUUCUCUUUUUCAAACAAACCAGUUAUAAAAUAGGAGGGCCAUUCUUUAGCACCCAAAGGGAAUUUUAUAUCUUAUCUCAGAGCCCGUAAACUUAUUUCCAAGGGUUGCUUGUACCAUCUUAUUCAGGUUAAAGAUUCUAAUGCCGAAAGUCUUCCUCUUCAGUCUGUCCUCGUAGUGAAUGAAUUCUCGAAAGUUUUUCUAGAUAAUCUCUUAAGAAUUCCACCAAAUAGGGAGAUAGAUUUUGACAUUGAUGUAUUGACAGAUACCCGUCCUAUUUCUGUUCUGCCAUAUAGAAUGGCCCCAGCAGAGUUGAAAGAAUUGAAAGAACAACUAGCAGAUCUUCUAGAGGGGUGCACCUGUAUUUUUCGUACAAAAAAAAGACGGUUCCCUUCGUAUGUGCAUAGAUUACCGCCAGUUGAAUAAGGUCACGAUUAAAAAUAAAUAUCCCCUUCCUAGAAUUGAUGAUCUUUUUUACCAGCUUCAGGGUGCUAAAUGUUUCUCAAGAUAAACCUUCGUUCAGGGUACCAUCAGUUGAAAGUUAGAGAGUCAGACAUUCCCAAAACAACUUUCUGAACCAGAUAUGGCCAUUAUGAAUUCCUAGUCAUGUUCCUUGGAUUGACUAACACCCCGGAAGCCUUCAUGGAUCUUAUGAAUAGGGUCUUCCAUCAGUUUCUAGAUCUGUUUGUCACAGUAUUCAUUGAUGACAUCUUGGUUUACUCUAAGAUCGAGGAAGAUCAUGCCAAUCACCUCCAAAUCAUCCUUCAGAUCCUUAAAGAUCAUAAGUUGUAUGUAAAAUUUUCCAAGUGUGAAUUCUGGUUGAAUGCUAUUGCGUACUUGGGGCAUAUUGUGUCUAGUGAGGGGAUUAAGGUUGACCCCUAAAAGAUUAAGGCAGUGAGAAAAUGGCCCAGACCUACGACUUCAAUCGACAUUCAGAGUUUCUUGGAUUUGCCGGGUUAUUAUAAUAGAUUUUUAGAGAGCUUUUCUUCCAUAGUUGCACCACUUACUAAGUUGACUCAGAAAAAGAUAAAGUUUUUAUGGUCUGACUCUUGUGAGAAUAGUUUUGAGAAGUUGAAAGACAAGUUGACUACUGCCCCUAUUUUGACUCUUUCGAAGGGUACAGAAGGUUUUGUUGUAUACUGUGAUGUAUCCCGAGUGGGACUUGGGUGUGUUCUUAUGUAGCACGGUAAAGUAGUGGCUUAUACAUCUAGGCAGUUGAAGGUGCAUGAGCGGAACUACCCUACUCAUGACUUGGAGUUAGCGGCUGUGGUUUUUGCACUUAAGAUCUGGCGGCACUAUUUGUACGGGGUACAUGUUGAUGUAUUCACUGACCAUAAAAGUUUGCAGUAUGUUUUCUCGUAGAAAGAAUUGAAUCUCAGGCAGAGACGUUGGAUGGAGUUACUAAAGGAUUACGACAUGAGCCUGCACUAUCAUUCGGGUAAGGCAAAUGUGGUAGACGAUGCCCUCAGCAGGUUGUCUAUGGUCAUUCUUUCUUAUGUUAAGGAAAAGAAAAGGGAGAUAGUGAAGGAUAUUCACCGGCUUGCGAAUCUAGGAGUGCGACUCUUAAAUUCCAAAAAUGGGGGAGUAGUGGUUCAUGAGAUAGCAAAAUCUUCCCUUUGUGUUGAAGUUAAAGAGAAGCAGGUUGAAGAUCCCAUCUUAAUGCAGAUCAAGAAAGAUGUGGGUCAACAGAAGGUAAUGUCUUUUGAAAUUUGUGGUGAUGGGAUUUUGAGAUAUCAAGGUAGUUUAUGUGUGCCAGAAGUAGAUGAUUUGCGGAAAAAAAUUCUUGAUGAAGCUCACACUUCGAGGUAUGUUGUUCAUCCUGUUCUACUAAGAUGUACCAUGAUCUGAAAUCUAUAUAUUGGUGGAAUAACAUGAAACGUGAUAUGGCUAACUUUGUUUCUAAGUGUCUGAAUUGCCAACAAGUGAAAGUAGAACAAAUGAGGCCAGGAGGUACUUCCCAAGAGACAACCUUACCUUUGUGGAAGUGGGAGAUGAUUAAUAUGGACUUCGUUAUAGGACUUCCAAAGUCCCAAAAUCAGUAUGAUUCUAUUUGGGUAAUUGUGGAUCGGCUGACCAAAUCAGCCCACUUUCUACCCGUUAGGACUAACUAUUCGGGAGACAACUACACUAAGCUAUUCAUUGCAGAAGUUGUUCGUUUGAAUGGAGCACCUGUGCCUAUCAUAUUUCACUGAGGUACGCAAUUUUCUUCGCAGUUUUGGAGAUCUUUUCAGAAGGGUUUAGGUACCCAAGUGAACCUAAGUACUGCGUUUCAUCCUCAGAUGGAUGGGCAUACUGAAUGCACCAUUCAGACCCUCGAGGAUAUGUUGAGAUCCUGUGUAAUAGACUUCAAGGGUAGUUGGGUGGAUCACUUGCCGCUAAUAGAGUUUGGAUAUAAUAAUAGCUACCAUGCCAGUAUUAAGAUGGCUCCGUUUGAGGCCUUGUAUGGGAGGAGAUAUAGGUCGCCUAUAGGGUGGUAUGAAGUGGGCGAGACCCAGUUUUUUGGGCCUGGCCUUGUUCAUUAGGGAAUGAAGGAUGUGAAAAUUAUUAGAGAACGACUCAAGACAGCUCAGAGUCACCAGAAGUCUUACGCUGAUGUAAGAAGAAGAGACUUAGAGUUUGAGGUUGGUGAUCGGUUAUUUCUUAAAGUUUCUCCUAUGAAGGGAGUCAUGUAAUUUGGGAAGAAAGGUAAGAUGAGUCUUCACUAUAAAGGACCAUACCAGAUUGUGAAAACGAUAGGAGAAGUUGCGUAUUAGUUAGAGUUGCCUGCAAGUUUGGGUUCUGUUCAUCCGAUAUUUCACGUAUCCAUGUUGAAAAAGUGUAUUGGGGACCAUUCAUUAGUAUUGCCUUUUGAAGAAAUAAGAGUGAUAGACUCCUUAUCUUAUGAAGAAGAGCCGGUAGCAAUUUUGGACCACCAAGUGCGGAAGUUCAGAAGCAAGGAGAUAGCCUCAAUUAGAGUAUUGUGGAGAAACCAAAAAAACUAAAGAAGCUACUUGGGAAUCAUAAGAUGAUAUGAGAGAUAGGUACCCAACCUUAUUUGAUCCGGUGGAUGAAAUCAUGAAAGGUAAAAAAAAAUCUUUACCUUAUUCUUCUAUGGCCUUAGUAUGAUUGAAAUCAUUCUUGUCUGUGUCCCGCAUCAAUAUUCAAGGAUGAAUGUUUCCAAUGGGGGAUAUUGUGACAUCCCAAAGUUUUCUUAGCUAAGUCCUGUCCCUAAAGUAGCAGACUUUAGAUUCUACAAUUAAUUAUAUUCUUUUUCCAGUGGAAUUCCUUAGAUUUCAACUUUACAUUACGUAGAUGACUGAAUAAGCUUUCCGUCGAUAUAAGAUUCGUCUAAAAUGGAUACUCGAUGUAGAAGUUAUGGCUAUUUUUGUGCUGGUAGUAAAACAUCGUCAUUCUGGUGUUUAGCGCGUCGCGGAGAGGGUUUAAUUAGCAAUUGUCAAAUUCUAGUGGGACCUCGCGAUAGUGGCGCGUUGCGGAGAAUCCCAAUUUUGCAUUCGUCAAUUUCCAGUGAGCCACCGUGAUAGUGGCACAUCGCGGUGGCCCAUAAAAUCGGGCACCAGUUAUAUUUUUACUCCGUAUCAUUAAGGGUAAAAUGGUACUUCUCCAACCCCUUGUCAUCUCUAACACGGGAUUUAAUCUGAAGAACACCAAAGUAAAUUGAUUUUCAUCAAAAUCUCUCAAGAAAUUCCAUUAGGGUUUCAAACUAAAAAUCCUCAUAACUAAAGAUUUAACUGCGAGUUUUAGAAGAUAAUUGGAGAUUUGGAAUCCUUGCAUCGUAGGCUUCAAGAAGCAUCCGUUAAUUUUUGAAAUAGAGGUACGUGGGGUUUAUCCUAAAAAUUACAUAGGCUUAAAACCACUAGAGCAUGAUUUUAAGAUUUUUGUGCAUGAAUUUCAAAGGGGUUUUGGAAUCUAUGUUUUAAAUUACACACUCUGAAUGUUUUAUUGUUAUUAUUGUUUUGACCUUGUGGUCCUAUUACCUAAAUUGAUUUACAUGUAUACGUAUAUGUAUGGGAUUUGAGAUUUAAGAUUGUUUGAGAGCAUAAAUUAUGAACUCCCUCUCGUGUAUUGAAUUAAAGAUAUGGUUUUGUGAUUUAGAAGAUGUUUUCGCAACAUUAUAGCAUUUGAGCAUAAUUUGAAAUUGUUGAAAGGGUGUUUCUUGAUAUAAAUAUUUUCUUGUGUUUAAGAGAAAGAAUUGCAUGUGAAUUGAGAAUUUUGACAUGACCACCUUGUACUAUUGAAAUGCUUGACCAAGAUGAGUUCCUUGCAAGUGUUUACAUGAGGUUUGAGAAAGAGUUUCUUUGAAUUGAAUUAUUGAAAUAGUGGUCCCAAAGACUCGUGUUUGAAAACAGAGAUUUAUGACAGACUAAUAAUGGAUCAGAGAUGUGACUUGCGAGUCAAUGGUAUGACGAUACCAUAUGUAUUUAUGCCAUAACAGAUUAUGUUUUCAGAAUAUGUUUUUCAGUAUUUCUUUUUAGAGACUGCAUGUUUUAAUAAAGUUUUAAAAAGGGGCUUAAAGAGGGUUAGGUGGUUACCCGAAGAAGCCGUGAGUUCAAGCAACUCUUAGUCUGAAACUGUGUUUGCCGAUACGGGUAGAUUAUUAUUAUACGCUGGCGAUAGCCGUGUGGCGUAGUAGAUUCAGAGACUCUGACCCUUGCGACACACUUGGGUUGGGGGCUUCGCUGCCGAGUUAAUGGCAAUUUUCAUAUAGCCCAUGGAAUUUUCAGAAUUGUAGGGUAUACCACCUAACGCAGAACAUAGAUUUCUCAGAGUUGUGAUGAUUUUUACAAAGUUUUUUAAAAUGCCUAUGUGAAUUCUUACUAUAUUAUACGUUUGUGAAACUGUUUUACAUUGCUCUCAUAUAUAUUGAAUAUAAAUUGUUAUUUUGGAUUUGCUCUGCGUAUCAGUACAAUUGUAUUGACCCCCCCUCCUCCCAGGUUCUGAGACUCAGUCUAGGGGUCCAGAUAAGCAGUAGAUAAUUCAGAUAACCGAUCAGAUUUUGCAGUGGUAAGCCUUUUAUAUUCCAGAAGGCCUGUUUAUUUUCAGAUUAUGUCUCUUAUCACCGUUUUGGUCUACUGGGGGUCUUGUCCUAGUUUCAGACAGUUGUCAGAUUUCCAUGUAGUAGAGAUUUUCUAGACUAAGUCAAAUGUUAUUUAGAUGUAGUUGAUUUGCAGUUUUCAUACUUAUGUUGAAUUCAGAAUUGACCAUGUUUCCGUAGCAGAUUAUGUUUCCGCAUCUUCUUUAUUUAUAUGAAUGUUGUGCAUGACUACUAGAUCGAGAAGGGCGUUCUGGGCCUUCAUGGUUCGGGAAGUCCGUCACGGCCAAGCCCUAGUUCUGGUUGUGACAAUACCCCACACUAUACUUGUGUUAAACCAUCGAGAGCAUGAGUUUUGCAGUUGAUAUAAUAUUACUCAUAAAUGAUAAAGCUUCUUGAACUAUUACUUGUUGAGAAUCAUUGUUCAUGUGCUUGAUGUGUGUGAAAGUCUUAUAUAUGUGCAUGUUGUAAAUGACAGAAGAAGUUGGAGAAUUGAUGUGACACUGAUGACUUGCACAUCGGGGUAUGACGAUACCCCACAAAGUAUGAUAUAUGUUUUGUCUUGAAUCAAAGUUAAAGCUUAACUUUAUGUGAUUUAGGUAGUUACCCGAAGAAAGCACGAGUCAAAUGACUUUAUGCUGGAAACUGUGAAUUACCGACACGGGGAACUUGGUACCAUUCUAUGUGACCUUGUGUACCUUAUAUUGUGUCAUCCCUAUUCGGGAAUAAUGGUUAGGACCCCUGCUUUGUGAUCUUGAGCCCAACCAUGACACGUAGACUUGAUUGGGAUGGAGACGCCCUGCUGUGAUCUUGCGUGUUCUUCUCCCUCACUAAUACUCCAAUCUUGGCUACAACCGGGAUUUGGCAGUUGGUGAAAGAUUGUAGGGUGUACCAGCUAGCUCAGUAGUGAUACAGUGUUGUUGAAAAAUCAUUAUACUAUGCCCAUGUGUUUUCGGAUUGUUUUUCGAUAAAGUGUUUCAUAACAGCUCUCACCUAUGUUACAUAAAAAUAAAAAUUUCAUUUUAUUUUAUUUUUGGAUUACUCUGCGUACCAGUACAUCUGGAUUGACCCCUCCCCUAUCUCUCAGGUUCUGAGGCUCAGUCUAGGGGUCCAGAAAAGCAGUAGAUUUCAUCAAACAGAGUUGUUGUGUCCAGUUGGUGACCCUUCUAUAUUUCAGAAGGCCUGUUUACAUUCAGACAAUUAUUAUUAGUUAUGUUUUGGUCUAUUGGGGGCCUUUUCCUAGUUUUCAAAUUGUGUUAGUGAUCAUGUAGUAGAGAUUUCGCAGACGAUUUUCCAGAAGGGUGUUAGAUGAUUUUGGAUUGUGAUUUCUAUUAUCGAAUUCAUAUCAGAUUUAUGACUAUGAGUUCGUUUAGCUAUAUUUUCCGCAUUUCCUUAUUUGUAUAUGAAUAUUGUGCAUGAUUAUCAAUAUAGAAGGGCGCCCGGGUCUUCGUGGUUCGGGAUGCUCGUCACGGCCAGGGCCUCGGUUCGGGUCGUGACAAUAUCUUAGCUCCGGAAGCUAUAAGGUUACAUUUGCAUUUGAGUUUGUUUUGGUUAAAAAUUGAUCACUUGCUUCGGACAUUGCUAAGGUUCACGAUGAAUUAGUACUUGAGGCUGAUCAUUCUGUUGCAAAGGAAGCUGGAUUGUUGUUGCAGAUGAGCAUGGAAAACGCUGUUUCUCUUCUUGGCAAGGGAUCAUAGCAAGACUAAAUCACUAAAUAAAUGGCUUGACUGGAUUUUAAGUCUUAGUUUAUCUGAGGUUUGUCUUGGGGGAUGCCGUGGAAGAUCCUCUGAUUGACUCAACUUUAGUUAAACCUUUUGAUGGAUGAAAUCAUCUUCUGUUGUUCUUUAUUGCACUUUCUUCCCUCUUGUAGAAUUGAUAUUCGAGUUUGUGCUUAUAUUAGUUCCUAUGGUUUUGUCAGCCAGUUCCACUGCAUGUGAAACUGAAGAUUGGGAGCACAUGGGGAUCGUUGGAGACUUUCCAGGCAAGAGAAUGAAUAGGUUUCUGUAAGUGUGGACAUCUGUUUGUAUAGUUUAAAACUGUCAGUUGCUUCAUGCUGCUGGAAGAAUAUGAACAGUGGUUAUUUUCAGGUAGCCUGAAGAUUGGUUUUGAUAUUGUUAAUGCACUCUAUGCUAUCUUUGUGGCAUUUUAAUUCUGACUAUUAUCUUUAUUUCGGUGAAGCAGUUUUCUCUCAAACAAGACAGUCUAUCUGACAGACUAAGCAAUGAUGUUCACAAGUCAUGCAUCCGUAUGUAACUUCAUGUGAAUUAGCUGCUCGCCAAGAUUAUAAUGUGCUCUUUGUUGGGAUGUCUCAUAAUGUCACAACUUAUGUACAAGCAAAUAUCUGAUUGAUGGAUCAGGUUACUUGAAGGAAGUGAGAAGGACGGAGGAAGGGGCUUUUCUCUUUAUUGGAAAAAUCUGCACUUGUUAGUGCUCUGAUAAUAACUUUCGAACUACAUGAAGUAACCAAUAUUGUGAUGAGGGUGCUCAGAACCAAGGCCCAUAUUCAGUACUUUUGAGAGCAUUAGAUGUCGAGGCUUUUUCCUGAUUGUCUCCCGAGCAUGCUGCUUCACCACAUUGUAAGCCGACAAGCAUCUUAGAGGGGGAAUGUGCUAAAUUAAUGGUGAUAAGUAUUUUACCUCACUCACGUAGACCUCAGAGAAAGCGGAUGCUGAAUAUUGAAGUGUCAAUUAAUGGCAGGGCAAUACCUAUCAUGAGAUCAAAAUAGUUGGUCCAAGUGGUGGAAGGCUUCUAGGUGCUCAAUGCUUGAUGCUUUAGUUUCAAAUCCUACUGGAGCCUUGUGGGGUGACUCAUGCUCUUUAGUUUUGCCAUGAAUGGUUUCAAUGUGGUUUAUUGGUCCCAAAAAAAACCAAUAAAUAAGGGAAAAAUAAAAAUUUAGAGGGAACCAAGGAGCAUAGUAUAAUGACUUUUUCAUUGGCUAAGCCUUCAAAGCUUAGUCGAGGUGUUGACUAGUUUUUCAAUAAUCAGUCACUGCAAAAUCUGUUCUUUAUGGUCCCUGUUUUUUAGUCUUAGAGGUCCUGUUUUUUAGUCUUAGUGGAGUUAUGUUUUACUUGAUCGAAGUUUUUUUUAAUUUUCUGAUUUCCAGUAGUGGGAAUGUUGGUGUUUAUGUCAUGUUACACCACUAGUUGUUAGUUCUUAUAUUUUAGUAUAAGUUGUUGAGGUGUAAGCCUAUAAAAGGGCAGUAGAUCUCUUAUUUUCUCUACAGUUGAAUGAAGAAGAAAAAGCAUUCUUUCUCACUUUGCCUACUUUCUUUUCUAAUACGAGGGCUCGGGACGGAUCUCCUGGAACAUUAUUGUGUUUUAUGGAUUGUUGUGCGAUGGUAUUGAAUGUCUGCUGGUGCUUCUGCUCUAUAUUUCCUGACAUCUAAUGUUUGUGGAAUUGGUUAAUGGUGUUUGAGAAUGUUAAUUGCUGUAUUUUUGCCUCUCUUAUGGAGGAACAGCGUGGGACCUGGAUUAUCCACAUGCUGUCACAUCGGUAACAGAGGAUAGAGAUAGAUCAAUCUAAGGGGGUUGGGGUCUGAAGGCAUGCUACAGUGUAAGCUAAUUUCUUGGCAGUCAAAUUUGGAAUAUAGAGCCCGCCCAGAAAGGCUGUUUUCAUUGCUUGGAAAGACCUCAUCGGUAAGUUACCGUGAUACGAGAUAACUAGGGAAAAUUCAAUUUUGACUUGCAUUUCUCUCGGUUGGUGUUUGUAUUGAAAAGGUGCAUGGAUAAAAAUUCUGGCACUUUGAAUCUGCUUGGUGCUCGACGGAGACAAUUAGAGGAGUUUGAUGGCAAGUGGAAUCCAGAUUAAUUGAAGUCUACUUUUGCUUUAUUUCAGAUUGUUGAUGUUUUUGUACCUAGCAGAGAGAUUGAAUAGUGUAAUGAAGAGAUUGGUAGAAGAACACAGAGAAAAUAAGAGUUACAAGAUUGUCUUGAAACCAUUGAACUAGUAGAAAUAAAAAACAAUGUUGGCUUAGAUCCAGGAUCUUCCCUUAUUAACAUGGUUUUUGAGCUAUAUUUAUUUAAGGAAAUAGAAAAAAAAAGCAAGAUGAGUUAACAUAGAACAUUUCCUUAACCAAUUUCCUCUAUGUGGCAAUUACUUCAUAAUAAAUCCCAGUGGAUGAUUAUUUAUAGCAGUGGUACUUCAUGCAGUGUUCGGCUGCUUGUGUUGUAAACCCAAAUUGAGACAACUGAUCCGUUAAUCUUUUCUUGUUGAAUAAUAUGGAAAACAAGAAGUCAUAAUCUCCAUAACAACAUACAUUCACCAACCAUAUGGACAUCGUUCAUGAUUAAACCUUGAUUAAACACUUAACUAGUACUUGCAUCAGGGCAUGCAUUAUUGCACAAAACAUUGCGAUAAACGGUAUUUACAUCAGGAUAAUACAUUAUUACACAAAGCAUUGCAGCUAUUACAUCAAAGGAGCAGGUGAUGAUCCGACUUUCUCCAUGUUAGCCUUCAGCCAUUUGAAGAACUGCGUUUUGUGAAGGAAACAGGGCAAUUUGAUCAUCCAUAAUAAAAUGGCAAAUAGGCUUAUCUCCGGGCUUAAUAUUGAGCAACUGAAAAACCAAUGCCUUAGGAUUCAUGGAUGCAGUAUCCUCAUGGCAGACUGAUACUGCAUUAACUUUUGUUCCAUCAGCACCCACCAUAGUGACCCUAAAAGCCCUGGUGCUUCCUACAUCAUGGCAAAAGUGUACUGCAUAUGGGUAAGGUACUUUGUGGCAUAUGACACAUUUACCGUUUGCUUUCUCUUUCACUUCUUUGAUAGUAUAUGUUUGCAGCACUGGAGUUUCCUUCUCUACCUCGGUGUGAAUUGCCAAAAUAUUGUUUGUUUCCAAGCGAGAUGAGGCGAAAUCAAUUAUAGAUUCCAAGGAAGUGGCACAAUAUUUUAUCUCUCCAUCAGCUGCGGGCUGUUCACAGAGUUCGACUGUUCUCUUGAUCACUUUAGCAUCUUCUGAAUUGUUGUCAACAGAAAAGUGAUCAAGAAUUUCCUCAAUUCUGUUCGAUGAGAAAGAGAUGGAAUCUACAACUUUGCGAGGCAAAAGGGGAGCUGGAUUGUUGUUUUUGAGCGACUUAAGAUUCACUUUUUUCCCUUGAUGUAAAUCGGUUUCAAAAAAGAAACGUGUAACUAGGUGAUCUUCAUUAAGGUUUUUCAAAGAAACACCAUAAAAGUACACUCCAUAUGGUUGGCUUAAUUGGUGUAAUUUGUGUAGCUCGUUCUUGGAGAAAACGUGAAACCAAUCCCAAGUAAGACCUCCAUAUGGUUGGGACGUUUUCUCUGCCCAAAUAUAAAGAAUAAUCAAAAGAAAAGACCUCAGUGUUAAUUCAAGCAGUUGAACCUUUAUUUGUAAAUAAAGAAAACAUAAAUUCUCAAAACGUUUACAAAGAUCCAUUCCACUAUUCUACAAGAAAAUUUAAAUCAUAUGAGUGAAAAGAUAUUAAUCAAGAUGACUCAUGAACGAAACAACUAAGAUUAAGUAUUCAACAAGUAAAACUAAAUCAUACGAGAAAAAGAAUAUCCAAUAUAUUCUGUCAUUGGAGUACCUUAUGAUGAUGGAGUUAAUAUUAGUUUCAAUAGGGGUAGCAUAAUAGUUUUUAAGUUGAAAAAUUGGAUCUUAGUACUCGCUGGCUUUUUAUUACCCGACCAAAUGCGAGAAAAUUAAUGCUUUGUAAUUUUUUAACUUGGAUCUACAACUAUCGUUUAUGCAUAAAUUUAUUCAGUACAAUCUGAAAUUUUAUAGAUUUAUGUUUAAAAAGUAAGAAUAUAUCGUAAUUAUUCAAUACAAUUUAUUAAAAUCUAAAAAUCACCUUAUUUCUAUCAGUUCAAUUGAUUUUUAAAAAACCACUAACACCACCCGUAAGAAAGAUAUUAUUUUGAAGUAAAUUGACAAAUGAAUCCUCCCCGUUGGGAAUCUUAGUUACCUGAACUCCCACCUUGUUGGUGAGUAUUCGAUUCUCCACAUUAUAAUCUUCUUCCCCUCCCCCAAUUUUUUUUAAAAAAAUCCUCCCCGUUUAUUUUUUAAAAAGGGUUUUAGAAUAGUGACAGACGUUCAUCUAAAUCAUUGAUUAAAGCUACGUACGCAAUUGAAAUCAUUCAUAAUCUGAUGCUUCUUUGUAAUAAUAGUAGCGACCCUUCCCUUUUAAUGAACCUUAAAUAAUACUCCCUCUGUUCCAUUUUAUCCGUCUCAAAUUUCUUAAUUUGGUUUCCCAUUUUAUUUAUUCUUUUUUACUUAUUAAGACAAGACAAUUUUUUUUCUAGAAAAUUUCUUUUUCCCAUAUUUUACCUUUUGCAUUAAUUAUUUUUUAUUUAAAUUAAAAUGUAAACAUCAUUUAAUAGAGAUACUAUGAUAAACUACUCAUGUUAUUUAUUAGUUUUCUUAACAAUUGUGUCAUCUCAAUUUGAGAUUAGUAAAAUGAAACAAAAGGAGUACUAUCUAAAUUAGUUAAGUGUUCUUAAAUAAUACCGAACAUCACGUGAGAAAAAAUAAAAUACUAUUAGCGACAAAAAUAAGGCCACUACCCAACAACAAUAAGAAAGUCAUCAUAUUCACAAGAGGGAAGAACUUAAACUUUAUCCGCUUAACUUACUUUAAUUUUAUGAAUAAUUAUUUAUUUAUUUAAAUAACUUUCAAAUAAAUUAAUACCACUACUUCGUACUGAAAUAAUACAAAAAGCAAAAAAACAAAAGCAUGUAUUUAUAUUUAUAUUUUAUAAUCUAUAUUUAUAAUAUAUUAAAAAUGUGAAUGUCCUUAAAAAUAUUAUUUGAACUGUUUGUCCUUCAUUAAAAGCAUCUGAUUUAAACAAAAUCAUUUUUUACCUAGUUUUUUCAAAUAUUUAAAGUUAAAAAUAAUUAAAUAUAUUUAUGAAAAAAUCUAUUCUUAUUAGAAGUCAUUAAAAUUAAUGACAACUAAUAUUUUUUUAUUAAUUUAAAAAUUCGAAAUGAACUUAAAUUUGAUUUUAAGAAAAUUUAAAAAAAAAUAUAAAAAAUAUAAUAAUAAUAAUAAUCUAUAAUCUAUAUCUAUAGUCUGUAAUAUAUUAAAAGUGUGAAGAACCCUAGAAAUGUCGUUUAAAAUUUUUUCAUUAAAAGUUUUUUCUUUAAUAAAAUUAUUAUUUCACUAUUAGUUUUAAUAUUUACAAUUUACAAAUUAAUAUAGUUAUGAUAAAAUCUUUCCUUAUUAGAAGUCAUCAAAAUUAAUGACAACUAAUAUUUUUUAUAUUAUUUUAAGAAUUCAAAAUCAAUUAAAUUUAAUUUUAAGAAGAUUUGAAAUAGAAAUAAAUAUAAAAAUGUUAGAAUAAGAAAAAUUUAAGAAGCAUCAAAUUUUUAAAAAUCUUAAAUACAUAAUAAGAAUAUAAUCAAUGAUUUUAUAAAAAUUCAACUUUAUAACUAAAAAAAAAAGUUCAAAAUUUAAAAAAUAUCACACCACAAAUAUGAUUCAAGUUGGUGCGUCUUUCGUAGCCUCUGACAGUAAGGGCAAGGAGGUAUUACAUGAUAAAUACAAAAACGAUAAUUCGUCAACUACUUCGAACUUCUAAUGAUGGAAUAUAUAUGUGCUUACACUAAAAUAUAUGUUUAUAUUUACAUUAUUAUAUUAAAGUUUGAAUGAUCUAAAAGUGAUUUGCACUUUUUACACUUCAUUAAAAAUUUUCGCAAUAGAUAAAAAUUAUUUAAUUUUAAAUAAUCAAACGUUAUACAUAUGAAUUCCGUAUGGUUAAACUACUAAUAUAUUACAAGUGUAAGGAGCUUUAAAAAUAUUAUUUAAACGUUUUAUCCUUCAUUAAAAAUUUUGUUUUAAACAAAAUCAUCUUUUCACUAUUUUUCUCUAAUAUUUAAAAAUUAAUUAAAUAUAUUUAUAUAAUAGAACCUUUAUUUGUUGAAAGUCUUUAGAAUUAAUGAUAAUUAAUAUUUUUUCAUUAAAUUUAACUUCAAAAAUAAGAAAAAGUUUUAAACGUAGAAAUAAAAAUAAAAAAAUUAUAUCACAAAUAUGAUUCAAAUUGAAAAAAAAAAUACUGCAUGACAAACGUAAAUAUGAUAUUUAUCAAUCACUUAAAUGUAAAAAUAAUAUUUAUCAAUCAUUUAAAACUUAAAAUAGUAAAAUAUAUAUUUAUUUAACUAAAAUAUAUAUUUAUAUUCACAUUAUUAUAUUAAAAAGUGAUUUAGAGUUUUUUAUAUUUAUUAAGAAUUUCCACAAUAGACAAAAUCAUCUAAUUUAUCAAACGUUAUCAAAGAUUUUUUAAAAAUUUGACUUUAAAAGUAAAAAAAAUUAAAUAUAAAAAAAUUUAAAAUAUAAUCAAACUACAAAUGUAAUUAAAAUUGAUGCGCUUUUUUAAUUUUAGCAGCAAAAAAAAUAUUUACAAUAAAUAAAAUUAUUUAAUUUUUAAAUAAUAAAAAACUAUAGAUGUGAGACAGGUAGAGAGUUAAACUAGUGGAAUGGCCAAUCCUUGGGGUUCAUGGGGAAAGCAAAAGGAUUUGCCUUCAAAGUUUAGGAACACACUUGUUGGUUCCAAUUGAAGAAGCUUGUUGGGAAAAUCAAAGGCUCUAUUAAGGCAACAAAGUAGAAAUCCGUCGUCGCUGUGGUGGUGCAAAGGCAAAAGCAAUGAACCCCAAAGAAGAAAUUCUAAGCAGUAGCAGCAACGUUAGCAAAGAAAAUGAAGAAGCUCCUGAUUUCUCCAGCGAAAUCAGAGAAAACUUCGAUAAAAAAAAUUAUAGUUUCUAAAGUGAAUAAAAUUCAGAUGCAGAAAGUUGUAAAGAACUCAAAAACUGUUACAAUUUGGGUUUAGAAAACAAAGAAAUGAAGAAAUUCGUUGAAUGUAGGCGCUGUUAGAAUCUGUAAAUUGCUUUUACCCAAUGAAUACAUAAAUUCUUCCCUUUUCUCUAAGGGGUGACCUGGGGAUAUUGACGUGACGUGUCAAUGCCAUGCACCUUCCACCGGUAGCUGAUAUAAGACUACUCACUCUCUUUCAAAAACAAUUGACCUACUUUAAUUUAACACAAAAUUUAGUAAAAAAUAAAUAAAUUUUAUAGUCCUAAAUUAAAAUUAUAUUAAAUAUAUCAAAAUAUAUUUUAAUCUUGUGAUUUUAAAAAUAUCACAUGAAAAAUUAAAUUAAAAAUAUUAUCAAAAAAGAGCGAGUCAUUCUUUUUUAAACAAAUUAAAAUAAAAACUAGAUCUUUUUUUUUUAAACAAAAAAAGUAUUAGAUUUAUAUUUAAUAAGAAUUUUGAUUCACUUAAAAGUUAUUUAAAAAUAUAAACAAUCAUCAUAAAAUUAAAGGAUUAAAAUAAACUAAACGAAUAAAUUUAAGCAAAAUUUAUGUCAUUUCUCUAUUCACAAUAAUAUAAUAACAGUAUUUGGAGUUAUUUGGUAUAAGAGAUCGGAUAAGUAAAAUUAUCCGAAGAAAUUAGUUAUUCCACCACUUUUAAGACUAACAAAUAUCUCUAAUCAAAUAGAAGAUAACAUGGUGUCUCAUUUUAUCUCUGAAAUUAUAUUUUUCUAAUUUCCCGUAUCAAAAGACUCCUGCUAGUGGUAAUGUUGAUGAUGACAAAUUAAAAGCUGAGUUUCUAAAGAUUAAUUACCAGAAAUGUGUAGGGCAUCCUUGAUAGGUUUGGGCAUAGGAGUAUUGGGUAGUUUGAUUUUCCAAUACACCUCAGGAGAUAAAUUUGCUGCAUGACUAAUUACGACAAAAACAAGCUAAACACAACAAGAAACAAACAAUUAAUUAAUUGAUAAAUUGUGCUACUUAAUUUAUUUUUAAUUGAAUAUAGGAAAAGAAAAUUUUAUUGUACUCACAGAAAGAAGUGUGAAGAAGUAAUAUUGGUAAAGCAUCGCCAUUAUCUUUGGACACGAGGAAUGUGUAUAUGAAGCAAAACGCUAACCCAUUUAUAGGGGUUGAGCAAGGGCCUUCUUGAAAAUAUGUAGUAGUAAACAUGAAAUGUUAUAGUUAUCGAAUCUUAUUAUUUUACUUUUCUGUUUGACCAUACGUUAUAGUUAGUUUUCUAAUCUAUUUUAUUUUAUUUUUUAUUAAAUAACUAGUCAAAAGGACUAUUUUUUUAAUCAAAAAUAUCAAAAAAACAAUUCAUUUAGAAAAAAAUCAAAAUAGACAAAUCGAUAAGGGGACAACGACUAAAUUUAGGGGUGAGCAUAAAUAAUGUUUCUUUGUUAAUAUUAGGGGUGAGCAUAAAUACCGAAAAAUCAAAAUAUCGAACCGAAUUGAAUUAUUUCGGUUUUUUGGUUUUGAUUCUUCAGUUCAAGUUUUUUUUUUUUUUUUACAAUUUCGAUAUUUCGAUUCGGGUUAUGAAUUUUAGAUUCACAUAAUUUGAUUUUUCAAUUUAAACCAAAAUUUUUAAUACACCUUUUUUUAAUUAUAUAAUAUAUAUAAUAUAAUAAUAUAUAUUUAAAAUUUAACGUUAAAGGCUCGGAAUUUAGAUACAUUGAAUUGAAAUUGAUAUAGUAUUGUAAUUAAAUUGAUAGAAUUUAGAUUCUAAUAUGUUAGUGUACAUAUGUGUAUAUUGUAACAUUGGUCUUGUGAAAGCCACGUAGUGAUCUCAAAUCAAAUGAAACAUAUAUGUAGGCUAAUUGGCUAAGAGAAUUCCUUUUGAUUAUUCCAGAAGUAAAUAUUCCUUUGAGUUUUGAGAGUCUCGUCUUUUCUUUUUUUCAGUGUUAAAGUAUUUAUAGGUUAUAUAUAUUACUCCAAUUUUUAUUAUAGUAAAAAACUUUGGUAUAUUGUAUAGCAUCGUGUACUUUUUUAUUUGAAAGAAAAUAAGAUUGAAAAACCAAAAUAAAAUCGAACCAAAAUUUAUAUAAAUCAAACUGAACCAAGUAAAUUCGGUUCUAUUUUCGGUUCGUAUAAUUUCAAAACCAAAAAUCAAAAGAUCGAGAUAAAAAUAUUAAAUCCAAAUUAAAGUACCGAACGCCUACCCCUAAUAUUAUGCUACUACUUAAUAUUAUGCUACUGAAAUGAUGAAGCAUGUGGGACACCAUUGAUUUAAAGAGGGAUCACUUCAAAUUAUUAAGUGAUGAAAUGAUGAAGCAUGUGGACACCAGUAAGUCUCCAUUUCACGUGCAAAUAGUAAAUAUUUUUUUUUUAAAAAAUGCAAGAUGCAGGAAUAAAUGGCAGCAGCAAGUCUCCAUUUCAAAGGCUAAUCACAUCUGGCAUUCAAAGGCUAGCAUAUCGCAUGCAACAUUACGCGGGAGCCCUGGCGAUUUACAAGUCGCUGUGAACCUAGCGACUUACAAAUUGUUAUAGACCGGCAAUUUGUAAGUUGUUGUACACUUAGUGAUUUAUCUAUUUUGAUUUUUUUCGAAAUUAAUUGUUCUUAUUAAUAUUUUUGAUAAAAAAAUAACCUUUUUGACUUAUGAUUCACGAAAAAACGAGAAAACUUUUAACAUAAUUACUAGCAUACCCCUGACAAGACAAUAAACUUCAAAACGUGUGACUGUCAAGGUGCAGUAGUCGCCACCUGUGUGUCUUCUUUUUUUCCCUGAAAAUAUAUGUACAUCAUCACAUCACAAUCAAAGAUAAUUUCUAUAAAAUUGAAAAUGUGGGCCCUCUUAUUUUUUUUCCCUAGAGAAACUUUUAAAGUUAAGAUGUAAAAUCAUUCAAUUUUUUUUCUUCAGUUAAAUUUAAGAGUGAUAUACUCUUUAUUUAUUUUAUUCAACUAAUUUCUAGCAAAGUAAAGUAAACCAAAAGUAUUCACCAAAAUUAUAAAAAUAAUAUUUUUUUUCAUUCAUAAUUUAGUCUUUUCAAAUAAAUUAGACAUGAAAUUUAAAAAAAUAAAUAAAUUUAAAUUUUAUGAUCUUAAAUUUAAUAUUGUGCGACGGUUUAAAGAUCUUUUAAAUUUUAUACUUUUAAACAGAUUAUGUAUAUCUAGAUUAAGAAAAUGAUGGAUUUAAAAAGAAAAAAAAAGUAUACCUAGAUUAAAGAAAUAAUAAAAUAUGAAAGAGCCAUGUUUUCGACAAAAGUAUGCUUAUAAUUUGUAACACUCUCUCUCUGUAUAUAUAAAAAAAAAUUAAAAAAUUCACUAUGAACAUAAAGGAAACAAAUACUUUUAAGUAUGUAUCAUUUAACCAUGAUCAAAAAAUUUAAAACAAAUAUUUAUCACCUAUAAAAAUCAAACAAUAUUGUAAUAAAUUUCAACAUCAUAUUUCUAAGAUAAAUAAGUAAAUAUAUUUUUACGCUAAAUUUUAUUAUUUUGUGAUAUACUAAAAAUUUGAACAAAGUGAUAAUGAGUGUUAGAUAAAAAUAGCAUUUUAUUGUCAUUCAAUAAGAUGAACUAUUACAUAGGUUUUAUACAUUGAUAGCCCCUUACAUUUCGUAAAUUUUAUUUUGAAACUUAAAUAUGACUCGUUUCAAUUGAACCUAAAUAAAUAAUAAAAUAUUUCAAUUAGGUAUUUUCGAUUAAACUUUAGACAAUAAAUCGCAUGUUCACAAACGUCUAUUUUGAAGGAGAGUAUUGGAGUAACUGGUAAAGUUAUUGACAUGUGAUCAGGAGGUCAAUGAUUCAAGCGUUGAAGACAUUCUCUGACAUAAAUGCAAGGUAAAUAUAUUUCUGCUAAAACGUUAUGAGAAAAAGUUGCAACUAUAAUACUUUUCAUAGUUUGAAAACUUCAGCAUUUCAAUAUUAAAAUAUUGAACUGAUCUAAUUCAAGAUAAUUUUGAAGAUAUGUUAAAUUCACUCUUCAACGAGUACUAUAUUUUAGUAUUAACUAAAUUGACUCUUCAAAGAGUACUAUAUUUUAGUAUUAAGUAAAUUAACUCUCUAAAGAGUACUAUAUUUUAGUACUAUUCCACGGUGUAAUAAUUAUUUUGAAGGUAUCGCUUAAAUUCAUCAUUUUAAAAUUUAUAUUCUAAAUUAAUACUCCUUAAAAUAUAAAUAAAAAAUGAAUGAAUAAUGGUAUAAUGGUCUUUUCAAGAAAAUUAUUAAAAUAGUUUUAUAUAAUAUUUUACGUGAAUCCAAUAUCCCCAACUACAACUCUAUUUAAAUGAAAAACAUUGCUUAAAACUAUAAACUAAGUUUUUAUUAUUAUAUAAAAUCUCAACUACUAAAAGUAAUUAUAAAAAAAAAAAAAUUGACACUUUCUCUCUCCAAACUUCAUAUAUAUAUUUCACCUACCCUUUUCUUAUGCUUAAUGCUUCUCAAAGAACACCUAAAAUCAAGGAACCUCAAUUAAACAAUUGUCAUUUUGAAUUUACAAUUGUGUUCUUCUCAAAUUUCUCAACAUCAGCUUUUCAAUAAAAAAGAAAUCAAAACCGUGGCAUCUCACUCUUCUUUGAUCGGUGCACCCCACUAACCCGUCUCUUUGCCUUCAUCGCUGCUCCGGUGAGAAGCUCCGGCUCCAAUGAAUUGAAGCAAAUCUUAACAGAUCAACAAAUCAUUCGAUCAGUGAGAUCGCACCAACCAUCGUUGUUUCUCCAGCAAGCGAGCCACCAGUCAGCCGCUUUAUCUUCCUUCUUUUCCUUAAUAAAAAAUAUAAUAAGAUCCCAAAAUUUUCUCUCUUUCGACGAGGUUUUAAAAUACUUCAGUGAUUUGAGCAUCGACAGAAUCGCAAUACCGAGUUAAAGACAAGAAAAACUUCAAUACGAGUCAAAUACUUCAAAAUUACAUUUCGAAAUAAGUUGUUAUUUCAACUCAUAGACAUAACUAUGUUAUGUAUAUAGGUGGUUUAAAAAGUGAAGGCAUUAUGCAUUUUAUUUAAAGUUCAAAAAAGUAUACUUUUCUAUUUAAAGUUUAUUUAUUUUAAAGAUAAUUUAAACAUUGCAAAGUUUUUUUAUAUAUUUUAAAUUCGAUGUCCAAUAAAAAUGAUAUAAAUUGAAAUAAAGGGAGACAUAACUUAUAGGAGGAUUUGUAAAUACUCACAUACGUUCCAUAAAAGAUAAAUAAGUGAAAUUGAUUUUGGCCACACAUUUAAUUACAUAACGUAACUAUUACUAUAUUAUAUUAAGAUAAUAAAAAAUAUUCAUAAAUAUUGAAUAAAUGUUCAUCUAUCAAACACAAUAAACGAUUCCUUCAUAAUUCCAAAAAUUCGCAUGAAACAUAUCAUUACAAAUAUUUGUACUAUAUAUAAUUUGUGAAAAUAUAACUAUUCACUAAUAACAUGUUAAAAUUAUUUUAUAUAAUUUAUUUAAAAUAUAAUAUUAACUACCUCAUGUUAAAUUACUACAAUAUAUAUCCAGUUAACUUUUGUUAAUUCUUUUGAUUCUCUUUAUUUGAGACAGUAGAUUUCCUCAUCAAGCAGAUAAAUCACUUAAAAAGAAAUUUCUUACUUAAUUGUCUCCUGAUGUGUAUAAGACAAGACAUAAAGGCAAUCACUUAACGUUAUAAUUCACUAAAACGUUCAUCCGUCCUUAUUUUCAUUUGUUAAAUACCCAUAAAACGAAUUUAAAUGUAUUUAAAAUCAACUUAUGUAUAAAUUAAUAUUUUUUAUUGCUUCGUAUGAUCUAUAAAAUAUUUAAUAAAUAGGUAUUUAUAAUUUUAAUUUAUUCUCUUAUAUAAUUUUUAAAUAAAGUAAAAAAAAAUAGAAUUGGUUAUUUGAUCUAAGAAAUUUGUUUGACUUGAUGUUAAAUAUACACAUUAGAGUAUAUGAUAUUUUAAUGUUAAUUAUGAAAACCUAAAUAAGUUAUAAGCUAUUAUUUGAUGUUAUUAAAAUAAGAAGUUAUAUUUUAUUAUAUAGUGUGAUCUCUAUUAUCAUUAUCUAUUAUAUUUAUUAAAAAUAUUAAUUAAUUUUUUUAAUAAAUUAGUUAAAUAUCAAUAAAUAUAUUUAAAACUGUAAUAUUGGGCCCGAAAUUUGGUGGUUCAGAUAAAAUCACAAUUGAAAAACCUAAAUCGACCGAAGUCAGCGGCUCUUCAAAAUCCUGUAAGUUGUUCAUUUCUUGGUGCUUCAAGUUGAAUUUCAAGUAAUUUAAUGUUAGGUUUGUUGGUUUUUGUAGGUCUUUUAUUUAUGUGUUUUAAGAGAAAAAUUUGCAAGAAAAUAUCUCAGCUAUGUUAACUUUCUAUGUGUGAUUUGUGGAAAGGUAGAUCUAUGAAUUUUGUUUGGGUCAUAUUUGAAUAUUUUUUAGUAAAGCAAAAGGUAAGCUGUUCUCAGAUUUUGUAUUCUGUAUUAUACACAAGUUCCUUUAGUGGGUAUCCAAUUCUUGGAGAAAUUUUUCGUUUUAAUAUCAACAUUGGAUGAUGCCUGCAAACUGUUUGAUGAUAUGCCUAAACCAAUUUUUCUUCUUCAAUAGUUAAAUACUUAUUUAUUGGAUUGAAUAAGAGGGCCAGUAUAAAUUAUGGGUAUGCUUUAUUUUUUUAAUUAAUUGGAAAUUAUUGAAUUCGUCUUUAUUUGUGUACUGAAUUUUUAAUUUGGACCAAAAAGAACUAUGAGUAUGUUGCAUUUGAAAUUUCAAAAUUUCGAAAUUCAAAUUUAGAAUUUUUGACUGUAAAUUCAGUUCAAUAUGCAUAAAUGUGUGAAAUUAGGUUUUGGAACUGGAAGCAUACAUAUUGGUAAAUUAGGUUUUGGAACUGGAAGCAUACAUAUUGGUCGUUAUCGUAUUGUUGGGAUAAAUUAAGUGAAUUGCAGUUGCAUAUAGUUAAUUUCUUCAUAGAUACAUCCAUCUUAAGUUAUUAGGAUAUAGGCGAAGAGACUUCCAUAUAGAUCUCAAAAAAGGCAUCGAAACACUGUGUUAAUCUGAAGUCUGAACUGUGACUGAUUCAUUAUGUUGCACAAUUUUGUCAGAAAUUUUUGCUUAUUCAAUUUACUUGCCAUGAUCUGCUCUUUGUUUUGUGUUGGUUGUAUUUAUUUCACACAUAAAUUAUUUCUAUCUUUAAAGCAUUGCUAAUUAUGAGGUCAAAUUAGAGGUUGGCUUAAGAAUGCACAGAUCAAUACAAUAGAAACUAGGAACUGCGGUAUGGUGACAGAACUCACCAAAUUUUGAACUUGAAGAUGAAGACUAUUAUUAGUCCAUUAGUUACAUUCAUUCUUCCUAUGUUUACCAUUAUUGAAAAAAGUUUUAGAUUAAUAGUGAGUUUUGACUAUUAAAUGGUGAUGAGGGGAGUAUUACUUUUUCCACGAUUGAUAUGAAUAAACAAUAUAACUAUGAGUUUCUUCACUACUUAGUGUAUCCAAUAUCAAACUUUGUGUACAACUGAGAUGGUGACUAUGAAUGUCAUAUUCAUUAUGUGCUUUUCUAUUUAUUGAUGUCAACAGAUAAAAAAAAGGUUACCAUUUUCAGCUCACAACACUAGAAGCUCCAAUACUCUAUGAAAACUAUUUCUAAAAUCAACUUUAGAAGACGUGAGCUAUAUAAAAAACUUUCACGUGAUAAAAAAGACGCAUUUUUAUCGUGUUGACGAUUAAAAAGGCUUGAAUCAAGAAGCCAGUGUGAAGGGAUAUCAUGCUCCCAAACUGGAGUUGAGUUGCAUCCAUAAACAACAUUAACAAUACGUGAGCUGUCUUUAGUUGCUACGAUAGGUUAGAAACAGGAAAAAUAUUAUGUUCUUUUUGUGUCAUUAAUAUAAAAGCAUUUCUCUUUUCCUUUGAUUAUAGUUAGAUGCGAUUUUAUAAUGCUCAACAUUCUGUAAUUCCAACACUAGUUGAUAUGCCCUCCAGUCAUGCCAUGAAGCCUAUCUUUGGCAAAGUAAAAACUAUUAUUGAGUAUUUCACUGUGUUUGAAGUUGGUAAGUUUCAAUAAUAACCUAUUAUAGUAACGACUUUCCCUUUUUAUUAACAAAAUUGCUUUAUACAUUAGGUUCAACGUCUGCUGCGCCUCAUCAACAACACGAUUCACGCGCAUUGGCUAUUGUAGACAAAGGUUUGUCGUGCUUCAUUUUUGUACUAACUUUUGCUGCUAAUCACUACCAAUCGGUAAUACUAUAUGUUACUGUAGCUAAUAUGUAUAAGUGCUUUCUUUAAACUAUUUGUAUAUCAUUUUCUAAUCGUAAAAAUUAUUCUUAUUUCAACAAUAAUUAAUAUAUCUUCCAAUGAUGAAACGAUGCUUAGCUUUGUUUAGGAAAAAGUUUGUAUCAACCAUUACUCUAUCUUUGAACUUGGUAAAUGUCAAUAAUACAAUACCAUAACUUGCUUUGUCUCUUUCUGUAUUUCAACAUACAUUAAUAAAGUGAUUUGUUUAUUAGUUUCAACAUUGACUCCACUUCAUGAACAACCAGACAUCGAGAUAUUGGCUACCACAAACAUAGGUCCAUCUUCUCUCCAAUCUUUUACCAAUAUUUACUACAUUUACUGUUGAUUGCUUUCUGUUACUAAUGUUAUACGUUACUGCAACAAAUAUGCACAGGUUCUAAACUAACAAGAAUCAAUUGGAACUUUUAACAAUUGCCCAACAAUUCGACUAUUUUAAAAAAAGUUUCAAACUAUAAAUAUUGUGGCGCAAAAAAAAAUUGAGUAUGAAUCACCUGCAUUUUGUUGUGGCAAUGGUACAAUUACGUUGACAUCAUAUAGAAUACCUGCUGAAUUUUUGAAUCUCUAUUUAGGAAAUACUGAAGAAUCUGAGCACUUUCGUACUUACCUUAGAAUGUAUAAUAACAUGUUUGCAUUUAAUUCACUUGGAGUGAAAUAUGAUUAAGCCCUAACAAAAAGGGACCGUGGUAUUUAUACCUUUAGCGUACAGAAACAAAUGUAUCACUUUAUUAAUGAUUUGAUUCCAUCAGCUCAACAAUCAAAAAAUUUAUAGUUAUAUUUUUAUGAUGCUAAUACGGAAAGGCAGAAUAGAAUGACUUCAUCAGAUAUACUCAAAGAACCUAUUGUUGAGAAGUUAAUAGAUAUACUAAAGAUAAAUACUUAUUGUGUUUUCUUGAAAUCUCUAAUACAUAUUCCACAAUUAUCAAACUUUUAUAUUGCAUUAAAUUGUGACUCAAAGUUAGAUCAGUGAGUAUACAAUUAACCGAGCGUAUUAGAAGUGGCAACAUUAUGGCUAGAACAAGAAACAACUAAUAAUAAUUUUACACCACAUAUUCAAAUUUAUACUCAAAGUAACAAGAGUCAAUUAGUAAGUUACUACUAUGGAUACUAUGAUCCUUUGAAAUAUCCUCUUUUGUUUCCUUAUGGACAAAAUGGAUGGCAUUGUGGUAUUGAAAAGAUUGUACAACCAAUGCAUAAAUUAAAAAAGAGGAAGAAAGCUUGCUACAAAAAUGAUCAACUUCCAAGUUUAUCUAACAUGCAUUCAAUUGAUGAACUACUUGAAUAUGGAAGCUCUAAUUCUACAAAAAGAAAAAUGAAGAAGGAAUACUGUUUCGUGUCGAGAAUACUAUUGUUAUAAACUUCAAAUGAGAGAUGAUGAGAAAAAUAUUAUUUUACAUUCUGGGAGACCAUUUCAACAAUACUCUGUUGAUGAAUCAUAAAGCUUGAAACUCAGAGGUUAGAUUUUGCUUCUUUAAAUCAAGAUUUAUUUUGAGUUGAUGUGCUACAAGGAAUUGUUGAUAUCCUAAAACUCGGCGAAAGAGUCUUCUAAAAUAAGUUUCCUUCCAUUACGUUUCACAGGUGGUCCAACAGAUAUGCGUAAGCAUUAUAUGGAUGCUAUUGCAUUAGUGCAAUAUUUUGAAAGACCUGAUAUAUUUCUAACUAUGACGUGUAAUCUCUCUUUGCCUGAAAUAAAAAAACAUAUGCUCUUGACUGAUGAAGCUCAAAAUCAACCUAAUUUAGUUAGUCGUGUAUUCAGAGCUAAAGUUGAAGAAAUGAAAACAAAUAUACUAAAAAGAAACAUAUUUGAAAAGAUUGCAGCUUUUAUGUACACUAUAGAAUUUCAAAAGCGUGGAUUAUUGUAAAUCCCCGAAUCUAGUACCCGGAACACUACACGGUGCCAAUGAUCCCGAAGGACCACAAGCUAACUCAUGACUGAUAUCUUUACCUGAGCACUGCAUGAUAUCCAUAUAUAAAUGCAGAAAUAAAGGCUGAUAGGCCAUAAGGUUCAAUACUGCAACAUAACUGAUAAAAAUACAACAUCUGAAUGGGGUAUGAAAUACCCAAAACAACUGAAAUAAACUGUCUGAACAUGAUAGUCUGAAAAGCCUCUAACUGUCUGAAUAAGGAGCUGAUGGGACAUGUCCCCAACUAACUCCAACCACUGAAAUGGACUAAGUAAUGAAAUAAUAAAGAAAUAAUCAUGUCCUCAAAGGAUGAGGACUCACUGCAAAGUCUAACUGUGGAACUGGACUUCUACUGAUGAUCUGGAGCUCGUGCGUUUGAAUCUAUGCUGUAAAGUAUAACACCAUAGCGUAAAUACGUCAGUACGAUUGAAUAUACUGGUAUGCAAGUGAGGUAGGCUAAUGUAAAGGGUUCAAAUACAUGAACAAUGUUAACUAACUGUAUGACAUGAACGUGAGAAUGCAUGCAUGAAUAAGAGACUAUAACUGAAUUCGUGAUAACAUAAUUACUGAGUCUGAUUACUGAUAACAUGAGAUAUUGAUGACUGAUAUAACUAAUACUAAGCGACUGUAUCUGAUAGUCUAGGUUUAAUUGGAACUAGCUGAGUUUCGUACUGUACUGAGUUGACUGUAUCUGACAGUCCUAAAUUCUGUAGAACUAUCUGAGUUUAAAUACUGAGACUGAGAAUAAAACUGUAACUGUGGGAAGUAUUCAUGUAAACGACAUGCCCUAAAUAAGAAAUAUAGCUAAGUUAGGGUUCAAUUUGUAACCCCAAUUGGAAGGGUGUCAAUACUGCACCACUAGUAAUGACAAACUGUGAGUGACCCUCUAUUGGCAGGUACUCGAGUAAGAAUGGUGGGAACCCUCGACUGGUAGGUUAAGCCACCUCAUCAACCCUCAACUGGCAGGUUAGAUGUCUCAACCUACGCUGGCUACGUAGUUCUAUAACACAAGGAUUUCUUCUAAGAAUCACGCCCUCUACUGGCAGGGGAGUUCCCAUCCUGGGGUUCGCUCGGUGCUAAAUCCUACUCCCAUCUGAAUAGACACUGAACAUGAUUAAACUGGACUAAACUGUACUGAGUUCGUGGAGUUUUGUUGACUGAAAAAAUACUAUUGAUAUUACUGAAUUACUGGGCUUUCUGAAUUUCUGAGAUUUAUGAGUUUUUCCUGAGUCAUAUGACUGACUGAGUUUUAUGGAUCAUGGCUUGACUGAGAGUAACUUGAAAACAUGACACUGGAUCUAGGUACAAAGAUAUAUUUUUGGGGUACAAGUACCCCCAGGGCUCGAUAGAAGUAAACUACAAGGCAUAACACUCUUGAAUACAUUAUCAACUUCGAUAAUACAUAAUACGAUAAGUUGGGGAUUUCAUGAAGUACAUGGUUAUCAUGAUUUUGUGCAUGGAUAGGAACAUAUCCAAUCAAGUCAUAUUUUCAUACUCUAAUAUCAUAGAUAUUUCAACUACCAUCAACAAUGCACAAUAGUAUCAUGGAAAUCAUUUGAAUAUACGAGUAAAACAUGUUUUUAAUCAUUGGGUCACAAUUGAGCCUCAAGGCCUAACUUUUAUCCUUUCUGACAUUUUAUCAAACACCUUACAUGCAAAACUUAGCGCAUAGGUGAAUUCAUCAAAUUCACAUCAUAAUCAACUCAAAUCAUGGAUUUCAACUUACGUACUAACAUAAUUACAUGAAAAAUACAUAAAUAUUCGAACUUGGAAAUUAUACAACAAGAUAAACAUGAUUACAAACAACCCACAACAUAAACAUCUUGGCUUUAUAUUUGAAGUAUGGUUCUUGAGCUCUAUGGAUGAAAGGAAUCCAUAAAUCAACACUACACAUACCUUAGAUGGAAAAUUCUUGAAGGUUGAUGGUGGAAUUUCCUUGAAAUUGAAUCCCCAAUUGAUAACCCUAAUGUGUUCUUGAGAGUUUUUGAGAGAAAAGAGUAUAUUUUGGCUUUAAAAUGGCCAAAUCCUGUGUUUAUGAGCUUAUAUAGGGUGGGAAAAAUGACAAUUUUACCCUUAAAUAUGCUGCGCUGGAAGCUGGAAGAUUCGGCAGCGUGCAAUGGAGUGUGCGUUGCAUUCUCUAGUCCUCUGGACUGGAGUGUGCAUCGCAUGCUAUAUCACAUGCUAGGACCUGUGAAAUAGAGCGUGUGUCGUACGCAUAUCGCAUGAUGCUACUGUUUCAAAAUCUAAACAUGCCCUAAACGGAUUCCAAAAAUUUCAAAACUCAUCCCAUAAGUACUAUUGACUUGCCCCAUCAUGACCCAACUUGAAAAUAAAAAACGAAGGUUGGGAAGGUCAUGAAAUAAAUCCCCGAAGUUUGAAGUCUCAAAAUGAGACUAAGUGUUGAACACUUAGCUAAAAUAUUCUAAGUGUUGGGGUUUUUAAAGAGCUUAACAAGCUGAAUUUAUACUUAGACUUUUACGAGGUCUUAUAAUAUCUCCCCUUUGGGAACAUUCGUCCUCGAAUGAGACUGACUAAAAAAGGAGAAAGACAGCUAACGUACAUACUGCACAGGAACAUUGGAACAUGAUUUCAUGACUGACAUGAUUGUUAAGCUGAAUAUAUCAUACUGUACAUACAUAUCUGAUGCAUGAGUAACUAAUUCAGAAUGCAUGACUGAGAUUUCUGAUAACUGAGUUCUCACAAUGAGAAUGCAUGUCUGAUGCAUGAUUAUACGACUGAAUUGAUACAUGAAUCAUGACUGAAUAUGCAACGGUAUUUAGUACCAAGUUUGUAAUGAAAUUCGGACAUGAUAUUGAAUAAGCUUAAGGAGAGCUAUUAUAUUGGGCGGAGUCUGAGUUAGCGAAGAAGAGGUGAGGGUACUUAGUUCGCAUGUCUGCUUCUGCUUCCCAAGUAGCUCCCUCAAUGGACUGAUUCCUCCAAAGAACUUUGACUAGAGGGACUUCCUUGUUUCUCAGUCUACGAGUCUGAUAGUCUAGGAUUUCAAUUGGAAUCUCUUCAUAAGAGAGUCUGUUCUGAAAAUCUAUGCUCUGAAUAGGGACUACAACUGAUGGGUCACCUAUGCACUUCUUGAUCAAAGAUACAUGGAGGACUGGAUAAAUUGAGGGUAGAUCUGAAGGCAACUCAAGCUCAUAAGAUACCUUGCCAAAGCGACUGAGAAUCUUGAAGGGACAGAUAUAUUGGGGACUGAGAUUUUCCUUCUUGACAAAUCUCUUCACUCCCUUCAUGGGAGAGAUUUUUAGAUAAACAUGAUCACCAAUCUCAAACUCGAGAUCCUUUCUACACACAUCUACAUAAGACUUUUGUCAGCUCUGAGCGGCCUGGAGUCUUUCUCAGAUCAAAUGGACUUUCUCUAACGCAUCGAAUACUAAGUCAGGACCUAUGAUUGAGGCCUCACUAACUUCAAACCAACCAACUAGAGAUCUGUACCUUCUACGAUAAAGAGCUUUGAAUUUGGCCAUCUGAGCACUGGAAUGAUAGUUGUUAUAUGUAAACUCAAUCAAAGGCAAGUGGUCAUCCCAACUACCCUUGAAAUCAAUUGCACAUGCUCUUACAUAUCUUCUAAAGUUUGAAUGCUUCUUUUUGCUUGACCAUCUAUUUGAGGAUAAAAGGCUGUACUGAGAUAAACUUGGGUACCAAGACCCUUUUGGCAUGCUUUCAAGAAAUGAGAGGUGAACUAGGUACCUCUGUCUAAGAUAAUAGAUAACGAAACACUGUGCAAUCUGACCAACUCCCUGAUAUAGAGUUUGGCGUAAUCCUCGGCUGAAUAAGAAGUAUGGACUGGAAAAAAAUGAGCUGAUUUGGUCAUCCUAUCAAUAAUGACCCAAACUGAAUCAUACUGAUGAUGAGUACGAGGCAAAUCCAUCACGAAGUCCAUGUUCACUGCUUCCCUUUUUCCAGGUGGGAAUGAUGAACUCCUGCAUGGAACGACUAGGAUUCCGAUGCUCUAUCUUAACUUGCUUCCAUGUAGAGAACUUAACCACAAACUCUGCAAUAUCCCUCUUCAUCCCACUCCACCAAUAGAUCUCCCGCAAGUCACGGUACAUCUUAGUGGCCCCUGGAUGAAUAGAGUAGCGCACCCCAUGCGCUUCUGUAAGAAUUCGCUGCCUUAAGUCAUCUACACCUGGGACACAGAGACGACCCUGACAACGCAAAAUACCAUCUCCCUCUUAGGAGAAAACCUCAACUUUAUGAUCUCUGGCUGACCCUUUUAACUUGACUAGGCUGGGAUCUCUAUCCUGCUUUUCUUUCACCUCGAAAGCUAGAGAUGAUUUUCAACUACUUUGAACCCAUACAUCACCCCCUUUCGUAUCGACUAGACGAAUACGUAAUCUGGUAAGCUAAUGAAAUUCUUGAGCUAAAUUCUUCUUACUAUCCUCAACAUGAGCAACACUACCCAUAGGCAGUCUACUGAGAGCAUCGUCCACUACGUUGGCCUUGCCCAGAUGAUAAAGAACACUCAUGUCGUAAUUUUUCAAGAGCUCUAACCACCUUCUCUGACGAAGAUUGAGAUCUUUAUGGGAGAAUACGUAUUGAAGGAUUUUAUGAUCUAUGAAGACAUAUACAUGAACUCUAUAUAGAUAAUGCCUCCAAAUCUUCAAGGCAAAUACAACGGCUGCUAAUUCAAGAUUAUGAGUAAGGUAAUUCUUCUCAUAAGAUUUAAGCUGUCUGAAGGCGUAGGUUAUGAUAUUAUCAUGUUGGAUGAGGACACAACCCAAACCUACUCUGGAUGCAUCAUAAUACACUACGAACCCAUCUGAACAAUCUGGAAGAGCUAGAGCUGAAGCUGAGGUGAGUCGAAUCUUCAACUCUUGAAAACUUUUUUCCAAGAUUCUGACCACUAAAACUUGACUUUCUUCUGAGUCAAUAUGGACAUAGGGAAUACAAUAGAAUAAAAUCCCUCAAAAAACCAUCUGUUAUAGCCAUCCAGACCCAAGAAACUCCUGAUAUCUAAUGGAGAAAUAGGGUGAGGCCAGUUUCUUACUACUUUAGUCUUUUAGGGAUCUACUCUAAGCCAUCAUCAGAAAUGAUAUGACCAAGAAAUGCUACUAACCUUAGCCUAAAUUUGAACUUACUGAAUUUGGUGAACAACUGAUGAUUUCUAAGAGUCUAAAGUACGAUUUUGAGAUGGUCUGCAUGAUCUUGCUCACUGCGGGAAUAGACUAGGAUGCCAUCUAUGAAGACUAUGAUGAACAUAUCCAAGUACUGCUCGAACAUAUUUCAUCAAGUCCAUGAAGGCUUCUGCGGCAUUGGUAAUACAAAAGUACAUAACUAAGAAUUUUAAUUGACCAUACUGAGUACGAAAAGCUAUUUUUGGAAUAUCACUUUCUCUGACUCUGAGAUGAUGGUAUCCUGAUCUGAAGUCAAUAUUAGAGAAGUAACUCGCAUCCUAAAGUUGGUCAAAUAAAUCAUCGAUUCUGGGAAGUGGAUACCUGUUCUUGAUGGUGACUUUAUUAAGCUGAUGGUAAUCAAUGCACAUUCUGUUAGAACCAUCUUUCUUUCACACAAAUAAGACUGGUGUGCUCAAUGGGGAAAUACUGGGUCUGAUGAAUCCCUUAUCUAGGAUAUCCCUUAGAUUUUCUUUCAAUUCUCUAAGCUCUACUGGUACUAUUCUGUAUGGCAGAAUAGAUAUGGGCUGAGUAUCUGGAAGAAGAUCAAUGCCGAAGUCUAUUUCCCUUUUAGGAGGAAUUUCUAAAAGAUCUUCGAGAAAGAUAUCUAAAUAUUUAUUCACGACUGUGACUGAUUCAAAGUAGAGUUUUGGCACUAGAGUCCUUAACACGAAUAAGAUGAUAGAAACAUCUCGUAGAGAUUAUUUUUCGUGCCUAAAAGUAGAAAACAAGCUGAGCUCUGAAAGCUGAAGUACUACCCCUCCACUCUAAGACAGGUUCAUUUGGAAACUGAAACUGGACAAUUUUGUUUCUACAGUCGAAUGUGUCAUAGCAGGAAAAAAAAAAAAUCCAUGUCGAGAAUGACAUCAAAAUUAGUCAUCUUUAAUUCGACUAAGUCUGCUGAAGUGACUUUCUGAAAUAUCAUAAUCGAAAAGUUCCUGUAUACCCACCAGGCUAUGAUGGUUUUACCCACUGGGGUAAAGACUGAGAAGGUCUCUGCUAAAAUUUUAGGACUAACUCCAAAAUCAACUGCUAUAUAAGGAGUAACAAAAGACAAGGAAGCUCCUGGAUCUAGUAAAGCGUAAACAUACAAGUGAAAGAUUUGUAACAUACUAGUAACCAUAUUAGGCGAAUUUUUCUGAUCUUGCCGGGACUAAAGAGCAUAAAGGUGAUUUGGGCGUUGCCACUGGUAGCAUUGGAGGUGGCACCUUGCUGAUUUGGGUGACUGAACUGAGCUGAGGAAUGGGUAUGCUGAUCCUGAGGGCCUAUCUGAGGACAAUCUCUGACUUUGUGGCAUGGAUUGCCACAUCCAAAACAAUAUCAUUGUCAGCUCUGCAAAUACCCUGAUGGUGCUUGCCACAAGUUGGGCAAAGGAGAUUAGUUCAGGCACUGCUAAUACUACCUUGAGACUUAGAGCCUUCUGCCCUAUCUCUAUUGUCGUCUCUGAAUUUUGGCACUAGAGCACUAGAUAAUGAAGGAGCUGGAACUAAUAACUUAGGUUGAAACUGAGAACAAUUCCCUUCUUUAGACUUAGGCUGAGCAAAGUUGAAACUACCUGACCUUGCUCUCUUAUUCUACUUCUCUCUCAUCUUAAUCUUCUACUCUUCUAUCUAUUGGGCAUGGAUCAUAAAUCUAGCUAUAUUCAUGUCACUAUUCAGCAUCAUAGACUUGGACUCAUUUACCACGCUAUCAUUCACCCUAGAAACAAACUUACUCAUCUUGGUCUUAUUAUCUGCAACUACAUAAGGAUCAUAUCAUGCUAAUUGAGUAAAAUUAAGAGAAUACUCUUUCACCAUCAUGUUGCCCUGCCUGAGGUUGAUAAAUUCCAACACCUUAGCUUUCCUCAACUCUAGGGGAAAGAAUCUAUUAAUAAAAGCAGAGGCAAACUCCUCCCAUUCUACGAACCCUGCAUCAACUGCCCUUUAUGAAUUCCACUACUUAAACCAAGUAUGAGACACAUCCUACAACUGAUAUGCAAUUAGCUCAGCACUCUCACUAGCAGUAACCCCUAUGAUGUCUGUAACCUUAUGCACCUGAUCAAGGAAUUCCUGAGGUUCCUUAUCUGUCUUAGACUUGAAAAAUGAUGGAGGAUUCAUUUGGGUGAAGUCUCGAAUCUUGGCUGCAGCUGAAUUGGCCACUGAGUUGGCUGAAAUGACUACUGGUCAUUUAUUUUGAGUAGAGAUUGACUGAGCAAGAGUAGUAAAUGCAGCAUUGAACUCUGCAUGAGAAACAUAUUCGUCCAAGGGAUUUGCUUGGAUAGACUGAUUUCUUCUCUUGGGAGACAUGUUCUGUAUAGAAGAGGAGAAAUAGAUUAGAUUGAGAGUUGAACUUGAGAUUAUGCUCACAAGCACGACAUGGAUUAGAGUGAGAGUUAAACUUGAGAUUAUGCUCACAGGCACGACAUGAAUACUUAAAGAAGGGAAACUAUUCCUAAAACAUCUUAUAGCCUCCUGCACAUAAAUGUGGCACACAACACACCCAUGUACAAGACUCUACUAGAUACAGCUUUCAGACUUCCUAGGAUAUUAUUGAACCUUAGGCUCUAAUACCAAGUUUGUAACGCCCCGAAUCUAGUACCCGGAAUGCUAUACAGUGCCCAUGAUACUGAAGGACCACAAGCUAACCCAUAACUGAUAUCUAUACCUAAGCACUGAAUGAUAUUUGUAUAAAAAUGUAAAAAUAAUGGCUGAUAGGCCAUAAGGUUCAAUACUACAACAUAACUAAUAAAAACACAAUAUCUGGAUGGGGUAUAAAAUACCCAAAACAACUUAAACAAACUGUCUGAACAUGAUAGUCUGAAUAGCCUCUAACUGUCUGAACAAGGAGAUGAUGAGACAUGUCCCCAACUAAAUCCAACUACUGAAAUGGGCUAAGUAAUGAAAUAAUAAAGAAAUUAUCAUGUCCUCAAAAUAUUAGGACUUACUACAAAGUCUAACUGCAGAAACUGGACUGCUACUGAUGAUUUGAAACUCGUGCAUCUGAACCUAUGGUGUAAAGUAAAACACCAUAGCACAAAUGCAUCAGUACAAUUGAAUGUACUGGUAUGCAAGUGAGGUAGGUAAAUGCAACGGUUUCAAAUGCAUGAACAAUGCUAACUAACUGUAUGACAUGAACAUGAGAAUACAUGGAUGAAUUAAUUAACUAACUAUAUCUGACAAUCUAGGUUUUAAUAGAACUAGCUGAGUUUCAUACUGUAUUGAGUUAACUCUAUCUGACAGUCCUAAAUUUUAUAAAACUAUCUGAGUUCAAAUACUGAGACUGAGACUAAAAUUGUAACUGUGGGAAGUAGUCAUGUAAUCAACAUGCCCCAAAUAAGCAAUAUAGGUAAGUUAGGGUCCAAUCUAUAACCCCAAUUAGAAGGGUGUCAAUACCACGCCACUGGUAAAGACAAGCUGUGAGUGAGAAUGGUGGGAACCCUCAACUGGCAGGUUAAGCCACCUCAUCAACCCUCAACUGGUAGGUUAGAUGACUCAACCUAUGCUGGCUAUGUAUAUCUGGAAUACAAGGAUUUCUUCUAAGAAUCACAUCCUCUACUGGUAGGUGAGUUCCCAUCCUUGGGUUCGCCUAGUGUGAAAUCCUACUCCCAUCUGAAUAGACACUGAACAUGAUUAAACUAGACUGAGUUCAUAGAGUUUUAUUAACUGACAAAAUACUAUUGAUAUUACUGAAUCACUGGGCUUUCUGAAUUUCUGAGAUUUAUGAGUUUUUCCUGAGUCACAUGACUGACUGAGUUCUAUGGAUCAUAGCUUGACUGAGAGUAACUUAAAAACAUGACACUGGCUCUAGGCACACAACUAUAUUUUUUGGUUACAAGUACCGCCAGGACUCGAUAGAAGGAAACUGACAAGGCAUGACACUUUUGAAUACAUGAUCAACAUCGAAAAUACAUAAUACGAUAAGUUAAGUAUUUCAUGAAGUACAUGGUUAUCAUGAUUUUGUGCAUGGAUAGGAGCAUAUCCAAUCAAGUCAUAUUUUCAUACUCUAAUAUCAUCGGCAUUUCAACAACCAUCAACAAUGCAUAAUAGUAUCAUGGAAAUCAUUUGAACAUAAGAGUAAAACAUGCUUUUGAUCAUUGGGUCACAAUUGAACCUCAAGGCCUAACUUCUAUCCUUUUUGACAUUUUAUCAAACACCUUACAUGCACAACUUAGGGCAUAGGUGAAUUCAUCAAAUUCAUAUCAUAAUCAACUCAAAUCAUGGAUUUUAACUUGCAUACUAACAUAAUUACAUGAAAAAUACAUAAAGAUUCCAACCUGGGAAUCAUAAAACAAGAUAAAUAUGAUUACAAACAACCCACAACAUAAACAUCUUGGUUUUAAAUUUGAAAUACAGUUCUUGAGUUCUAUGGAUGAAAGGGAUCCAUAAAUCAACACGACGCAUACCUUAGAUGUAAAAUUCUUGAAGGUUGACAGUGAAAUUUCCUUGAACUUGAAUCUCCAAUUGAAAACCCUAAUGUGUUAUUGAGAGUUUUUGAGAGAAAAGAGUAUAUUUUGGCUUCAAAAUAGCCAAAUCCCGUGUUUAUGGGCUUAUAUAGGGUGGGUAAAAGGACAAAUUUUCCCUCAAAUAUGCUGAGUUGGAAGUUGGAAAAUUUGGUAGCAUGCGAUAGAGAGUGCGUCAUAUGCUCUAGUCCUCCGGACUGAAGCGUGCGUCGCAUGCUAGGACCUGUGAAAGAGAGCGUGUGUCGCAUGCAUAUUGCAUGAUGCUACUGUUUCAAAAUCCAAACAUGUCCUAAACGGAUUGCAAAAAUUUUGAAACUUACCAUAAGUGCUAUUAACUUGCCCCAUCAUGUCACAACUUGAAAAUUGAAAAACGGAGGUCGGGAAGGUCAUGAAAUAAAUCUCCAAAGUUUAAAGGCUCAAAAUGAGACUAAAUGUUGAACACUUAGCUAAAAUAUUCUAAGUUAUGGGGAUUUUAAAGAGCUUAAUGAGCUGAAUCUAUACUUAGACUUUUACGGGGUCUUACAAUUACCUCAUGCUCAUUUUCUUGUUAUACUCAAUGAUGACUAUAAAUUAUUGACUCCUGGGACUUAUGAAAAAUUUGUUUUUGCCGAAAUACCAGAUCCUAAAGUCAAUCCUUACUUAUAUAAACUUGUCAUUAAACAUAUGAUGCGUGGACCUUGUGGUCACUUGAAUCCUACAAAUUUAUGUAUGAAAAAAUAGGAGUGUGUAAAUUUAAGUACCCCAAGAGCUUUGCUGACUAUACAACAAAAGGCCAAAUUGUUUAUCCAAUUUAUAAAAGAAGAAACACUGGUAAGUUUGUGAAAGUUAGAGAGCAUUUGCUAGAUAACUCAUGGGUUGUCUCUUACAAUUCCUAUCUACUAUGCAAAUAUAAUUUUCAUAUAAAUGUUGAAGAUUGUUUUGAUAUUAAACUUUUCAAAUAUAUGUAUAUAAAUUUAUCUGCAAAGGACAUGAUAGAAUUUCAUUUCACUUACAUGAAGAGAACGCAAAUAUAGAAAUAGAUGAGAUUAAAUAAUAUCAAUCAGCUAGAUAGGUAUCUCCACCAGAAGCUAUGUGACAUUUGUUCACAUUUUCUAUCAGUGAAAUAACUCUAAGUAUUUAUCAGUUGCAACUACAACUUGAAGGACAACAAUUUGUUUCAUUUAAAAAAUUGAUAGUAUAGAUAGCAUCUUAAAAAAUUCUAUGCUUAAGAAGACUACGUUAACCGUGUUUUUCUUAAUGAAUCAAAUAAACAAACAUACUAAAGAGCUUAACUUAUUGUAUAAAGAUUUUUCCCAAUACUUUGUGUGGUCAUCUAGCUAUAAAAUGUGGACUCGGCGAAUAUGUGAUAAUAUUAUCAGUCGUGUUGUAACCUGUCAUCAGACAGAAGGAGAAAGAUAUUAUCUUCGAUUAUUGCUAAUGAAUGUAAAAGAACCAAAAUCAUAUAAUGAUCUUCUUAAAGUAAAUAAAAUAUAUUGCAAAACUUUUAGAGAAUCUGCUGAAAAAAGAGGACUAUUACAUUGUGAUAACAACUUAGUUGAAUGUAUGUUAGAAUCUGCAUGUUAUCAAAUGCCUUAUAGUUUCAGACGUUUAUUUGCUACUAUAUUAGUAUAUUGUAACCAUGAUAAUCCAAAAGAAUUAUGGGAACUGUUUAAAGAUUUAAUGUCUAAAGACUUUAAGAAUGUAGGGAACAUCAUAACAUACGUUAUUCACCUAACAAUUUUGACCCAUAUCAAUGAUAUAUUACAUUCUAUGGGACGUGAUAUCAAUAAAUUCAAUCUUGUUCCAGAAACUAUCACCUCUUCGAAAAUCAUAAAUUAAACAAAAGACGUAUAUUUCGAAAGAAAUAUUGUUGUGAGCGCUGAAGAAUUAUUAUUACAUAAAAAGCUAAAUAUAGAACAAAAAAACAUAUAAUACAAACCUUCAAAGAAUAUUUAGCGAUAAACCAGGGGCAUUCUUUACAGAUGGUCCUGGUAGAAGUGGUAAAACAUUCUUAUACUGUGCUUUAUUAGCAACUAUUAGAUCCAAAGGAUUCAUAGCAUUAGCAACAACAACUUUUGGUGUUGCUGCUUCUCUGCUUCUAGGAGGAUGAACGGCCUAUUCAUAUUUUAAAUUUUCAAUUAAUAUUGAUGAAAAAUUCAUUUGUGAUAUCAGCAAACAGAAUUCAUCAGCAUCUUUAAUCCGUGAUGCUAAACUAAUUGUAUGAGAUGAAAUAUCAAUGGAAAAAAAAACAUGAUUGAAGAAUUUGAUUUUCUUUUGAAAGAUAUAAUGGAUUCAAAUGCAUUAUUUGGUGGAAAAGUAACUGUGUUUGGAGGAGAUUUUUGACUAACCCUCCCUGUGGUUCAAUGUGGAAAAAAGGAGACUUCAUUCCAGAAAGUAUAUUAAACUAAAAAAUAUGGAAUCAUCUUAAAAAACUACAUCUAUUAGAAAAUAUGCCCGAAAAAACUGAUCCCUCUUUCUGUGAGUAUCUAAUGUGAAUCGGAAAUGGAAAAGAAAAAACAAAUAUCGAUGAUAAAAUAAAUAUCCCAAGAUGCUUCAAUGUUCCUUACACUACUGAAAAAGAAUCACUAGAUAUUUUAUUCAAAAAAGUAUACCCCAAUUUUCACAGCUCUUUUCAUGAUUCGGCUUUUUUGACUUCUCGUAUUAUUUUAACAACAAAAAAUGACUUUGUUAAUGAAUUAAAAUAUAGACUUAUAAAUCAAUUUCCUCAAGAUGCCAAGACAUUUGUUUCUCUUGAUGAAACUAUUGAACCAAGUGAUCAAAGUCAGUUUGAAGAUUUUUUACAUUCAUUAAAUCCUCCUAGUUUGCCUCCCUAUAAAUUAACGUGAAAGAAAAUUGAUCUAUUAUUUUACUCAAAAAUUUAAAUUCUUGUGAAGGUUUAUACAAUGGUACACGAUUAAUAUGUUGUGAUUUUAAGAAUCGUGUCAUAAGUGCAAAAAUUGUCAGUGGCAAUUUUAAAAAUACACAUGUAUUUAUUUCUAGAAUACCAUUAUUAUCUUCAGAUGAUGAAAAGUUACCCAUUUCAUUUGAAAGAACACAAUUUCCAAUAGACCUAUGUUUUUCUAUGAUAAUAAAUAAAGCUCGAGGACAAACAUUAGAUUAUGUUGGAAUGUAUUUGUGUGAGCCUAUAUUCUCUCAUGGUCAAUUGUAUGUGAAUUUAUUGAGAGUAAAGAAUUCAAACUGUAUAAAAUUAUUAAUACGAUCACCUACGACUGAUAGCAAUGAUAACCAAUCUACAUAUAAUAUAGUGCACGAUGAAAUCAUUCAAAAAGCCUUUCUGUAACAUAAUACCAUUUUCUAUGUUCAGCUAUAUCAUCUAAAUCAGUCUAUAGUAAAUUAAUUGCCCACAAUUAUUACUAUGAUUGCAUUAUCUUAUUUUCGUUCCUCUGUUCAAUUCUCUUCACUACAUAAUGACUGCUUUUGUGAUUUUUGAAUUUUGUACUCUAAUAGUUUCUUGAACUUUUAUUGUAGCUUACAAAAUAUCUUACUAAAGUUCUGGUAAUAAGUAAAACCAAAACUUAAGACUAUUGCAAAAUGUUUCUUCUUGCUAAUAAAAGGUUAUAUCGAUUUUACCUGAAGCUUACUAAUAGAUUAAAGUGUUAUGAGAAUUCUGACGUUGAAAAUUAAUGUUGAUUUCAUUUGUUAACAUUCAAGAUUAGAAAGAAAAAAUGCCACGGUACUAUUGUUGUUGCACAAUUAUUGAUUUCUUUAGGAUGCCAAGUCUUCUAGGUUUCAUGUUUUCAGUAAUACUAUAAUAUUGUUCCUGAUCAAUUUUUUGAAUAAUAGAAUAAAUCAGAAUUCAGAAGUUGUGAAGCUUACAGUAGCACAAUUAUAGUAUAGAUCAGGAUUUGAAUUUAUUUUUCAUCCCUCUCCUGAUAAGGAUCCCACAAUUAGAAUAGGUUUCAAGUUUCUAAAUAAAAAAUAGAGCAUGAUAGGCUUAGAAGGCUCAACAUAUAGCUGUAAAUCUGAAGUUCAUGAGCAAGAUCAUAAUAAUUAAGGUGCAGACUUCAAGAGAGAUGUGUUUAAGAUAAGCUUUAUAGAGGUCCAAUUGGAAAAUGCAUACUUAUAACAUUCUGGUACACUUUUAAUGAUUGUAGAAGUUUACUGUGAUCCUAUGCUCCAGUCUUCAGUGGCUUCAGAAAAGUCUACCUCUUCCAUGGAAGCAAUGUUUUGUUGCUCAAUUGCACUAGCUCACACUUUCAUCCUUCAAUAUGGUAUUUCUUAACUUACAAAGCUAAUAAAUGGAUCCUUGAAACUUCACUUAUUAAUAGAAAAAAUAAAGAAGCUAAGAAAGUAAUUUUUGUAAGUUUUACUCUUUUUGGAGUCCAUAAUUUAAUCAAUAGCUUCUGUUUAGCACGACCAAUAUGGAGAACUUUGAUGCUUAUAUGCGCUGUUUGAUUCUUUAUGUGAGCUUUGAUUCUUAUAUGCGAUGCUUGAUUCUUUAUGAACAUAAAAUAAUGACCAAAAACUUUAGACAAGAUUACAUGCUGGGUGGAGAAAGAUUUGGAAGUGUUUAUGAUGGACAUAUUACUCAAGAUUUAAGGGAAGAAUUCCAACUACCACAGUUGUUAAAAUUCAUAAUGGAGAUAAUAGUUAUGAGGGUCAUAAGGAAUGGCUGGUAAUUAGCCUCAUGAAAAAUUGUCCGUAAGGUUUUCAACUUUUCUGUCUUGUAGGCUGAAGUGAUAUUUCUGGGCCAGCUUUCAAACCCAAAUUUGGUAAAAUUGAUAAGUUACUACUGUGAAGCUGAUCAUCAUGUUCUUAAAUAUGAGUAUAUGGCUCGGGGAAAUAUUGAGAACAAUUUGAUCUCGAGUAAGUGUACUCAGUUCUUUCUAUGUGAUUCUUUAGAUAUUCAUUUUAGUGAUCCAUAGUUAUGGUAAUGGAAGAAUUCUAGAAGACAGUUUCUGUAGACAUACGAGGACAUAACGGAGAGGUUUUUUAAGAGCGUCUUGUGUAAUAUUAGUAAACUAACUUCAACUUUCCAAUGUUUCUCCAUUAAAGAGGUUGGUUCUACUUUUUAUUUUUCUGUAAUACCGUGCCUUUUUCUUAGCUUGAAAUUAUUUGAAGGAUGUUAUAACUUGAUUUGAAAUACAAAUCCUUUAAUUUUUCACAUGUGAUAUUUUUAAGAUUUUCCCUUUCUAUCACGUGAAAAAUUAAAUAAGCUUUCCAUUGAUACCAAUUUCAUCAAAAUCUGGUGUCAGAUGAGGAAGUUAUGGCCAAAAUAUAGAAAGAAGAAAAACCACCCAGGUGCGACGGUGCAGGCGACGGACCAUCGUACAAGAAAUGGACUGUCAACCAUGAUCGUCGCAUUGAGUCAGUGAUAUAACUUUCUGGAAAUAUACAACGGCAAGGUCUGACGGACCGUUGACCCAGAGAUGGACCGUCGUACCCCACCAUCGCUCAUUGGCAGUAAGUCACAAUUCUGUCUCAAUCCGAUGGAGAGGUCCAAUUAAUCAUCGACCCAGCGACGGAUCAUCGCACCCCACUGUCGGAUGACCCGCUUAGUUAUUUUAAGUCACUUUAACAGGGAUAUUUUGAUCAUUUACCACCCGCCUAUAUAUACCCAGUUAUAUCCUGUUUCAGCCAUAUUGUUCAUUAUUAUUUCACGACAACAAAUUAGGGUUUCUCUCAAGGAUCAAUCCCCAAGAACAAGAAAACCUGGGUGCUUAAUUCCAAGCCAAUAAUUCAAGUUUUUCUCCAGAGAACUUUAAGAAAUCACAACCCAGGUAUGCAUAGUGUUCAUUCAUGGACUUCUUUCAUCCAUGAAGCCCAAGAAUCCCUUUUCUAAAUUUAAGAUUAUGGUUUUCUUUAUGAAUUUCAUGAUUGGGCUGCUCUUGUUCAUGUUGAUAAAUGAGAAAUUGAAUUCUGCUCCAUGUUGGGUGAUAAUUUCUAUGAGGGUUUAAUUAUUAUAGGUAUAGAUUCAUGCUACCCUAUGACUAAACCCUUGAAUGAUGAAAUUAUAAUUGAAUCAUGAUGUUUAAUUGUUGAACAAUGAUUUUUACAUGCACUAUGCCUACAAUAUGUUUGAUUAAAUUCCUAGAUGAAGGAAAAGUGCCUAGUUUGAAUUAUACCAUGAAAUCCCCAUGUAUGUAUAAGUUUAUGCCUAUCACAUGUUUGAUGAAAUGCUUUAGUAAAUGUAUUAUGGAUUAUGAUGUUAGUCACGUGUUCAAGUAAGUCAUGCUUUGUCAGUUUCCUUCCAUCGAGUCCUGACGGUACUAGUACCCAAAAUAUUAGUUGUGUGCCUAGAGCCAUAUCAUGUUUUCAUGAUACAGAUACUCUCAAUCGAGCUAUGAAUCCUUAGACUUCAGAUAGUCUUAUGACUCAAGAAAUCUCCAUGAUCUCAUGAACUCAGUUAGUUGUCAGAAAUUAGUAGUAUUCCGUCAGUCAAUGGAAUUCAGUAAUUCAGUCCAUGUUCAGUUCAGUAAGUCAUGUUUAGUGUCCAUUAAUAUGGGAGAAGGAAUUAGUACCGAGUGAACCCAAGGAUGGUAACUCACCUGUUGUAUGAGGGUGUGAUUCUUAGGAGUAAUCCUUGCAUUACAGAACUACAUAGCCAGCAUAGGUUGAGGCAUCAUAGCCUGCUAUAUAAGGGAAGAUGAGGUGGCUUAACCUGUUAUAUGAGGGUUCCCACCAUUCUCACUAGAGUUACCUAUUAUAUGAGGGUUACUCACAUGUUUUCCUUAUCAGUGGAGCGGUAUUGACACCCUUCAAAUUAGGGCACAGAUUUGACCUCAUCUUAGCUAUUUAGCAUAUUAUGGGUAUGUCGGUUAGAUGACUACUUCCCAUAGUUUCAUGUUAUAAAAUCAGGACUAUCAGAUACAGUCAAUCAGUCUUAGUAAAAUAACUCAUAUAGUUAUUCAAAUUUUAGGACUGUCAGAUACAAUUAACUCAGAUACAGUACGAAACUCAGCUAGUUCCAUCAAAUUCAAGACUAAUCAAAUAUAGUCAUUCAUGUUAUCAGUCGUAUAAGUUAUCAAUAUGUCAUGUCAUCAGUAUUCAGAUUCAGUAAUCAUGUAUUCAUGGUAUCAGUGUUAGUUAUUAUGUCUUAUACAUGUAUUCUCACGCUCAUGAUAGUUGGUCAAUUAUUACUAUUUUUCAUUCAUAGGAACCCCGUGCAUUUAGCCUACCUCACAUGCAUACCAGUACAUUGUGUCAUACUGAUGCAUUCGCGCUAUGGUGUCUUAUACCAUAAGUUCAAAGACACGAUCCCCCGAGCAGUAGUAGAUUUCAGUACCAGCAGUUAGAGCUAGAAGUAAGUCCUUAUCUUUCAAGGACAUUAUUAUUAUUUUUUUUAUUAUCUCAUUAAUUAGUUUAUUAGUUAGAGUUAGUUGGGGACAUGUCCCAUCAACUCCUCACUCAGACAGUUUCAGUCAGUAGAGGCUUUCUAGACUAUUAUAUUUCUGACUUCAGUAUUUUCAGUUUUAUUUCGGGUAUUGUAUUACCCCACACAAAUGUUAUAUUAUUUAUGUUAUGUUUUAGAUUGAACCUUAUGGCCUUUCAGUUUAUAUUUUCGCAUUAUUUAGUAAUUUAUGCAGUAUACCAGUACAUAUAUCAGUCAUGGGUUAGAUCGUGGUCCUUCAGGGUCAUGAGCACCGUGUAGCAUUUUGGGUACCGGAUUUGGGACGUUACAAACUUAGUAUCAGAGCCAGGUUCAAUAGAGUCCUAAAAAGUCUGAAAGUCGCAUCUAGUAGAGUCUUGUACGUGGGUAUAUUGCACACCACAUUAUUGUGUAGGAGGCUAUAAGAUGUUUUAGGAAUAGUUUCCCUUCUUUCUCUAUUCAUGUCGUACCAGUGAGCAUAAUCUCAAGUCAAUCUCUCAGUCUAAUCUAUUUCUUCUCCUUAUUUCAGAAUAUGCCUCCCAAGAGAAGAAACCAGGCUGUCCAAGAGGAUCUCUUGGACGAUUAUGUUUCUCAUGUGGAAUGCAGGGCCGCAUUUACUACUCUUACUUAGUCCGUUGCUGCAUAGAAUGAACGACCAACUAUCGUUCUAGCCAAUCCAGUGGCCAAUUUAGCUGCAGUCAGGAUUAGGGACUUCACCCGAAUGAAUCCUCUAACCUUUCUCAUGUUUAAGAUCGAUGAGGACCCUCAAGAAUUCCUAGAUUAGGUACAAAAGGUAACAGAGAUCAUAAGGGUGAAUACUAUUGAGAGUGUUGAGCUAUGCAGGGUCAGUUGAGUAGGAAGAGUUUGCUUCCUUAUUCCUUGACAGAUUCUUUCCCCUAGAGCUUAGAGAAGCUAAGGUUCUAGAAUUCAUCAACCUCAGGUAGGGCAAUAUGACAGUGAAAGAGUUUUCUCUUAAGUUUACUCAAUUAGCCAGAUAUGCCCCUCAUGUGGCUGCAAAUCGUAGGGCAAGGAUGAGUAAGUUCGUGUCAGGGAUGAAUGAUAGCGUGGUUAAUAAGUGCAGAUCCGCCAUAAAGAAUGGCACCAACAGAACUCAAAGAACUGAAAGAACAUUUGAAGAAUCUCUUAGAUAAGGGAUUCAUCAGACCCAGCAUUUCCCCAUGGGGUGCACCAGUCUUAUUUGUGUGCAGGAAAAAUGGUUCUCUCAGAAUGUGCAUUGAUUACCGUCAGCUCAAUAAAGUCACGGUCAAGAACAAGUAUUCUUUUCCCAAAAUCGAUAACUUGUUUGACCAACUUCAGGGUGCUAGCUAUUUUUCCCAAAUAGACCUCAGAUUCGGCUAUCAUCAGCUUAGAGUCAGAGAAUGUGACAUUCUAAAAAUAGCUUUUCGUACUCGGUAUGGUCACUUCGAAUUCUUGGUUAUGUCAUUUGGUCUUACCAAUGCCCAAACCUCUUUCAUGGACUUGAUGAACCGUGUGUUCAAGCAGUACUUGGACAUGCUCGUCAUAGUCUAUAUAGAUGAUAUUAUGGUCUAUUCCCACAGUGAGCAAGAUCAUGCAGACCAUCUCAGAAUUGUACUUCAGACUCUUAGAGAUCAUCAUCUAUUCACCAAAUUCAGUAAGUGCAAAUUUUGACUAAGGUCAGUAGCAUUCCUUGGUCAUAUCGUUUCUAGUGAUGGCAUUAUAGUAGAUCCUCAAAAGACUGAAGCAGUAAGAAACUAGCCUCGCCCUGUCUCUCCCUCAGAUAUCAGGAAUUGUUUGGGUAUGGCUUUCUAUUAUAGAUGGGUUUUUAAAGUAUUUUCUUCUAUUGCAUCCCCUAUGUCCAGAUUUAGUCAGAAGAAAGUCAAGGUUCAGUGGUCAGAUCCUUAUGAGAAUAGUUUUCAGGUUGAAGACUCAACUCACCUCAGCUCAAGUCUUAGCUCUUCCAGAUGGUUUAGAUGGGUUCACAGUAUAUUGUGAUGUGUCUAGAGUAGGUUUGGGUUGUGUCCUCAUGCAGCAUAGUAAGGUCAUAAACUACGCCUCCAGACAACUUAAACCCUAUGAGAAGAAUUAUCAUACUCAUGAACUUAAGUUAGCAGCCGUAGUUUUUUCCUUGAUGAUUUAGAGGCAUCAUGUAUACGGUGUUCAUGUAGAUGUCUUCAUAGAUCAUAAGAGUCUUUAGUAUGUCUUUUCUCAAAAAGAUCUCAAUCUUUAUCAGAGAAGGUGGUUAGAGCUCUUGAAAGAUUACCACAUGAGUGUCCUUUAUUAUCCGGGCAAAGCCAAAGUAGCGGCCGACGCUCUCAGUAGACUGUCUAUGGGUAGUGUUGCCCAUGUGGAGGAUAGUAAGAAGAAGUUAGCUCAGGAUGUCCAUCAGCUUGCCAGACUAUGCGUUGUCUUAGUCAAUUCUUUAGAGGGUGGUGUAAGCGUUCAGAGUAGUUCAGAAUCAUCAUUAGUUUCCCAGGUGAAAGAAAAGCAAGAUAGAGAUCCCAGUCUUGUCAACUGGAAAGAGUCAGUCCAGAAUCAGAAAGUAGAAGUUUUUUCCCAAGGGGGAGGUGGUGUCCUUUGUUGUCAGGGUUGUCUGUGUGUUUCGAGUAUAGAUGACUUAAGGCAGUGAAUUCUUGCAGAAGCGCAUGGUGCGCACUACUCUAUUCAUCCAGGGGUUACUAAGAUGUUCCUCGACUUGUGGGAGAUCUAUUGGUGGAGUGGGAUGAAGAGAGAUAUUGUAGAGUUUGUGGCUAAGUGCUCUUCAUAUCAGUAGGUUAAGAUAAAGCUUCAAAAGCCUAGUGGUCUUAUACAGGAGUUCAUUAUUCUUACUUGGAAGUGGGAAGAAAUGAACAUGGACUUCACGAUGGAUUUUCCUCGAACUCGUCAUCAGCAUGAUUUAGUUUGGGUCAUUGUAGACAGAAUGACCAAAUCAGCUUAUUUUCUUCCAGUUCAUACCUCUUAUUCAGCGGAGGAUUAUGCCAAGCUCUAUAUCAAGGAGUUGGUUAGAUUGCAUAAUGUUUCAUUGUCCAUUAUCUCAGAUAGAGGCACCCAGUUCACUCUCACUUCUGGAAAGCAUUCCAAAAGGGUAUUGGUUCCCAAGUUCAUCUUAGUACGACCUUCCAUCCUCAUACAAAUGGUCAAACAGAGAGGACUAUUCAGACUUUAGAAGAUAUGCUAAAGGCGUGUGCAAUCGAUUUCAAGGAAAGUUGGGAUGAUCACUUGUCUUUGAUUGAGUUUGCAUUCAAUAAUAGCUAUAAUUCCAAUAUUCAGAUGGCUCCAUUCGAAGUUCUAUAUGGUAGGAGAUGUAGAUCUCCAAUUGGUUGGUUCAAAGUUAGUAAGGUCUCAUCCAUAGGGCCUGACUUGGUAUUCGACGCCUUAGAAAAAGUCCAAUUGAUUAGAGAAAGACUCUGGGUUGCUCAGAGCCGACAAAAGUCUUAUACAAAUAUUUGUAGAAAGGAUCUUGAGUUUGAAAUUGGUGACUAUGUGUAUCUAAAGUUCUCUCCCAUGAAGGGAGUGAAGCGGUUCGGCAAGAAAGGAAAGCUCAGUCCUCGAUAUGUCGGUCCCUUCAAGAUUCUCAGUCGAUUCGGCAAGGUAGCUUAUGAGCUCAAAUUUCCUUUAUAUCUAGCCUCAGUUCAUCCAUUCUUCCAUGUAUCAUUGCUCAAGAAGUGCACAGAUGAACCAGCAGUUGUAGUCCCUAUUCAAAGCAAUGAUGUUCAGAACAACCUCUCUUACGAAGAGAUUUCAGUCGAAAUCCUAGACUAUCAGACUCGUAGAUUGAGGAACAAAGUAGUCCCUCUAGUUUAAGUUCUUUGGAAAAAUCAGUCCGUCGAAGGAGAUACUUGGGAAGUAGAAGCAGACAUGUGUACCAAGCACCCUAACCUCUUUCCCGCCAACUCAAAUCAAGCUUAAGGUAACAGUUCUCCUUAAGCUUGCACAUUUUCUUGUUCAGUGUUCAUCACAAACUUGGCAUUAAGUACCAUUGAAUAUUCAGUCAUGAAUUCAUGUAUCAAUUUAGUUAUAUAAUUAUGUAUUAGACAUGUAUUCUCUUUGUGAGAAAACAUAGUUCCUCAGAAUGCUUAGUCACGCAUUCAUAAAUAAGUUACACAUGCAUCAGAUACGCAUGUUCAGCAUGUUAUGUUCAGCUUAUUCGUCAUGUUAGUAAUGAGAUCAUGUUUCAGUCAUUCAUGUUCAAUUCAUGUUCAGCUUUUUGCUUCCUCUCUCAGUCAGUCUCAUUCGAGGACAAAUGUUCUUAAGGGGGAGAUAUUGUAAUACCCGUGCCUUUUUCUUAGCUUGAAAUCAUCUCAAGGAUGUUAGAAAUUGCUUUGAAAUACGAAUACUUUUUUUUUUCACACAUGGUAUUCUUAUGAUUUUCCCUUUCUAUCACGUGGGAAAUUGAAUAACCUUUCCAUCAAUACCAAUUUUAUCAAAAUUCAGCGUCAGAACUGCCCAGGUGCAACGGUGUAGGCGACAGACCAUCGUACAAGCGACGGACCACCGACUAUCACCGUCGUAUCGAGACAGUGAGAUAGCUUUCUGGAAGUGUAUAAUGGCAAGGUUCGAUGGACCGUCGACCUAGUGAUGGACCAUCACACCCCACUGUUUCUUAUUGGCAGUAAGUCUCAGUUCUGUCUCAGUCUGACGGAGAGGUCCGACGAACCGUCGACUCAGAAAUGGAGCAUCGCACCCCAUCUUUCGAUAACCCACUCAGUGAUUUUAAGUUUUUUAAUAGGGGUAUUUUGAUCAUUUACCACCCGCCUAUAUAUACCUAGUUAUAUCUGAUUUCAGCCAUUUUGUUCAUUAUUAUUUCACAACAAAAAAUUAGGGUUUCUCUCAAGGAUCAAUCCCCAAGAACAAGAAACCCUAGGUGCUUAAUUUCAAGCCAAUAAUUCAAGUUUUCCUCCGCAGAACUUCAAGAAAUCAGAACCCAGGUAUGCAUAGUGUUCAUUCAUGGACUCUUUUCGUCCAUGAAGCCAAAGAAUCCCUUUUCUAAAUUUAAGAUUAUGGUUUUCUUUAUGAAUUUCAUGAUUGUUCUGCUCUUGUUCAUGUUGAUAAAUGAGAAAUUAAAUUCUACUCCAUGUUGGGUGAUAAUUUCUAUGUGGGUUUAAUUAUUAUAGAUAUAGAUUCAUGCUACCUUAUGACUAAACCCUUGAAUGAUGAAAUUAUAAUUGAAUUAUGAUGUUUAAUUGUUGAACAAUGAUGUUUACAUGUACUAUGCCUACAAUAUGUUUGAUUAAAUUCCUAGAUGAAGGAAAAGUGCCUAGUUAGCAUUAUACCAUGAAAUCCCCAUGUAUGUACAAGUUUAUGCCUAUCACAUGUUUGAUGAAAUGCUUUAGUAAAUGUAUUAUGGAUUAUGAUGUUAGUCAUGUGUUCAAGUAAGUCAUGCUUUGUCAGUUUCCUUCCAUCAAGUCUUGGGGGUACUUUUACCCGAAACAUUAGUUAUGUGCCUAGAGACAUAUUAUGUUUUCACGAUACAGAUACUCUCAAUCAAGCUAUGAAUCCUUAGACUUUAGAUAGUCUUAUGACUCAAGAAAUCUCCAUGAUCUCAUGAACUCAGUCAGUUGUCAGAUAUCAGUAGUAUUUCGUCAGUCAACAGAAUUUAAUAAUUCAGUCCAUGUUCAGUUCAGUAAAUCAUGUUUAGUAUCCAUUCAGAUGGGAGUAGGAAUUAGCACCGAGUAAACCCAAGGAUAAGAACUCACCUGUUAUAUGAGGGUGUAAUCCUUAGGAGCAAUCCUUGCAUUCCAGAACUAUGUUGCCAACAUAGGUUGAAACGUCAUAGCCUGCUAUAUGAGGGUAGAUGAGAUGGCUUAACCUAUUAUAUAAGGGUUCCCACCGUUCUCACUAGAGUUACCUGUUAUAUAAGGGUUACUCAUAUGUUGCCCUUACCAGUGGCGCGGUAUGACACUUUCAAUCAGGGUACAAAUUGGACCCCAGCUUAGCUAUUAUAGCACAUUUGGGAUAUGUCGGUUAGAUGACUACUUCCCACAGUUUCAUGUUACAAAAUCAGGACUGUCAGAUACAGUCAAUCAGUCUCAGUAAAAGAACUCAGAUAGUUAUCCAUAUUUCAGGACUGUCAGAUACAAUCAACUCAGAUACAGUAUGGAACUCAGAUAGUUCCAUCAGAUUCAGGACUGUUAGAUACAGUCAUUCAUGUUAUCAGUCGUAUCAGUUAUUAGUAUGUCAUGUCAUCAGUAUUUAGAUUUUGUAAUCAUGUAUUCAUGGUAUCAAUAUCAGUUAUUAUGUAUCAUGCAUGUAUUCUCACGCUAAUGAUAGUUGGUCAGUUAUUACUAUUGUUUAUCCAUAUGAACCCCAUGCAUUUAGCCUACCUCACAUGCAUACCAUUAUAUUCAGUCGUACUGACGUAUUCGUUCUAUGGUGUAUUAUACCAUAGGUUUAGAGACACGAGCCCCCAAGCAGUAGUAGAUUUCAUUACCAGCAGUCAGAGCUAGAAGUGAGUCCUCAUCUUUCGAGGACAUGAUGAUUAUUGUUUUUAUUAUCUCAUUGAUUAGCUUAUUAGUUGGAGUUAGUUGGGACAUGUCCCAUCAACUUUUCACUCAGACAGUCUCAGUCAGUAGAGGCUUUCUAGACUAUCAUAUUUCAGACUUCAGUAUUUUCAGUUUUGUUUUGGGUAUUCUAUUACCCCACACAGAUGUUAUACUAUUCAUGUUAUAUUUCAGAUUGAACCUUAUGUCCUUUCAACUCAUGUUUCUGCAUUAUUUAGUAAUUUAUGCAGUAUACAGGUACAAAUAUCAGUCAUGGGUUAGCUUUUGGUCCUUCGGAGUUAUGAGCACCGUGUAGCAUUUCGGGUAACAGAUUCGGAGCGUUACAUUUUCCUAUGCGACUUUUGCUUCAUACAUAUUGUCUCUUUUCAAAUAAUAUAUGUAACAAUGUUAUCCGAACCUUUUAGGAAAAAUCGUGCUGGCUUGGCUCAAAACAAACAAUAUCAUAUUAUGUAAGACCGUCUUCGACUGGAUGAGCCCAACAACUAAGCUGUAUUUGGUGCAAAUAUGCUAACAAAAUCAUAUUAUCAUCCUUGAAUUAUAUCAAAUAGUCCACCAAAUAUUAUUUUUAUUUAUUUAUUAUCACAGCUAAUACCGCUGCUUUAUCCAUAAGCAAUUUGACUCCUAAGUGUGAUGUUUAUAGUUUUGGUGGUGUUCUUCUCGAGCUUCUCAUGGAAUGAAAGUCACCUGACAAAUCCCGACCAGCCCAAGAACAGAACCUUCACAAAGCUACAAUGCUUUUACUUCACCGGUUUAUUUUUAUUUUUAAUAUGCUAGAAAAAUUUAAGUCAGAUUGACUAAUAUGUAAUGUCUUAAAGCAAAUAAGACUUUCUUUAUCUAGAAGGAAAAUAAAUCAAACAACUACAAUAUUUCUUCGAUGAGGCGGAUAUAAAAUUGCACCAAUGCACAUAACGAGCCUUUAAAAAUGAAUUACUUUUGAAAGACCGACACACAUCCGAUGACAUUUUUGAAGACUUCGAGCAAUAUAGGGUUCAACUUAUUUAAGGUUCUUGUAUUGAACUCAUUAUAUUUUAUGGAUUUAGUUUUAACAAUUCUUUACACAUAAAUUUGUAAGAAAUCUCAGUCAUAUAAUGAUUAGAUAGUUAUGUGGUUGGCGAAUUGUGUUCUAGGAAUAUCUUGAUAAACUAUGAUGAAUUUACUUGCUCCCACUGAUCAGUAUUCCUUGUUACUGUAAUUAAUUCAUUCUUGAUUUUUGAAAACUUUUCUUGUAUUUCAGCAUCCUACAAAAGUAGAUUGAUUACAAGGAAACUAAGGAAACAUGCUUUCUACUACGCAGGUAAGGUCUGCAUGUAUCCUACCUUUUCCACAUCCCUCAUAUAAGAUAACACUUGGUAUGUGUCAUACCCCGCAAAAAUUUGCAUUUAAACAUAGCUCGUUUAGCUCCUAAAAGCUCUUUAAAAGGUCCAACACUUAGAAAAUUUUAUCUAAGUGUUCAAUACUUAGUCUCAUUUUUGAACUUCACACUUCGGGGAUUUAUUUGAUGACCUUCCUGACAUCCGUUUUUCAAUUUUCAAGUUGCGUUGCGAUGGGGCAAGUCAAUAGUACAUUUUGGGUGAGUUUUGAAAUUUUUGAAACCCGUUUAGGGCAUGUUUGGAUUUUGAAACAGUAGCAUCAUGCGAUUAGCAUACGACGUGCUCCAUGUCAGGGGUCUAUCAUGCGAUAGAUCAGGCGACGCAUGCUCCUGUGCAGAGGACUAGAGAAUGCGACUCGCGCUCUAUCGCAUGUUGGCAAAUUUUCUGAUACAAGAUUGAACUCACAACAUAGAUUCAACAUAUCUACAAGAUCAACAAUAAUAAAAAAUCAAAGGCCCCACUCAGCUUCUCUAUGUUUUCAAGACAACAACAACAAUAUUCAAUAAAGUAGAUGGAGAAUACAAGAUUACAAGGACUAUAGUGAAUCGAAGAGUCCCCAUACUGCUUCACUAUGUCAACACAUAAACAACAAGAUUACAAAAACAAGGUUACGGGUACAUUAAAAACAAAAAAAAACUACGGAUUCAACAAGAUACAAGAUAAAUAGUUAGACCAAAUAAAGGGACAAUCUUAAGAACCCAAUAAUUGUCACCCUCUUGGAUACUUAAACACUAUCCGCGACACAAACGUAACUCUAAAUUGACACAAGAGGGCCUUUACCUCCUCUAAACACCAACGUUUUAAGCCAAUAUGCAAACACAAGUGAAUCUUCACUUGUGUAGCCCUAGUUUCGGUUGGAGCUUUUGUGAGAGAACUAAAGUGUUGCAAAUGUUACAAAUCUCAAAAAUAUGAUCAACUAAGUGAAUAAAACCCUAAGUGGUUCUAUUCAUAUUACAUUCCCCCAAAGACUUAAAAUGACAAAGGUGCCCUUUCAAUGAAUAAGGCUUCAAGGCCACCCCUUUAGUGCACACAUAAGGGUGGUUUUUGACUUCUCCCACACUUAAUAUCGGGCCUUAUCUCGGUUGCCUUUGACUUACACAAAAAGGGUCCAUCUAUGAGAUCACACUUGUAUCAUCCUCUCCAUCUUGAGAGGAGUUUGACCUCAAACUCAAGCAAUUUUUACCUGCAAGCUCUCCUUUUCGAAUAAUCUUUUAUCGGCUCCUCCCAAGGUUAGGAUAUUCAACCAAGGGUUUCAUAAGAUCAUCAAGCUUGAUCCUUGGGAUUGUAUUUCCUUAAAACUUCACAUAAGAAGAAUAGAUGCUAGUCAAAGUGCUAGCAUCUCGUUUAGUAAGCAUCAAAGGGUCUUUGUGGGAAAAUCCCAUUUCUUGAACUAUCAGCUCCUCCUCUUCUUCAUCAUCCUCACCCUCGGUUUCCUCCUCUAAACCAUCACUAAGAAUGAUUCUCCUUGCCAUAAACAAGGGUACUAAACACUCUCCAUCAACCGGCCAAAUAUCUUCCCGCCUUCAUCUAUUUCUACCUCGGCUUCUUGCUCUCUAUCUUGAGCGUUUUCAUCAAACUCAUUCGAUACAAGUCCCAAUUCCUCACCAAGGUAAUACAAUUUUACUUCCAUAAGGAUUACAUUUCUCUGAUUUGGGCACUCAUUAGCCUUGUGCCCCCACCCUUGACAUUUAAAACAUUGAAAUCCCUUAGGACGAGAAGUAGAAUUUGGUUUACCUUCGUUUCUUGGAUGAUACUUUUGGAAAGCUUUGGUUUUGGUUUGUAUAACCUUGUUCUCAAUUUGUUUGGAAUUGGACGAAUGCUCUUGAUGUUGGUGCCACUCCGAGGAAGGUCCUUGGUGAUUCUUGAGUUUGGAGGCCGAGAGCUCCCUUUCAAUUUCCAAGGCCGCUUGGAAAAUNNNNNNNNNNNNNNNNNNNNNNNNNNNNNNNNNNNNNNNNNNNNNNNNNNNNNNNNNNNNNNNNNNNNNNNNNNNNNNNNNNNNNNNNNNNNNNNNNNNNNNNNNNNNNNNNNNNNNNNNNNNNNNNNNNNNNNNNNNNNNNNNNNNNNNNNNNNNNNNNNNNNNNNNNNNNNNNNNNNNNNNNNNNNNNNNNNNNNNNNNNNNNNNNNNNNNNNNNNNNNNNNNNNNNNNNNNNNNNNNNNNNNNNNNNNNNNNNNNNNNNNNNNNNNNNNNNNNNNNNNNNNNNNNNNNNNNNNNNNNNNNNNNNNNNNNNNNNNNNNNNNNNNNNNNNNNNNNNNNNNNNNNNNNNNNNNNNNNNNNNNNNNNNNNNNNNNNNNNNNNNNNNNNNNNNNNNNNNNNNNNNNNNNNNNNNNNNNNNNNNNNNNNNNNNNNNNNNNNNNNNNNNNNNNNNNNNNNNNNNNNNNNNNNNNNNNNNNNNNNNNNNNNNNNNNNNNNNNNNNNNNNNNNNNNNNNNNNNNNNNNNNNNNNNNNNNNNNNNNNNNNNNNNNNNNNNNNNNNNNNNNNNNNNNNNNNNNNNNNNNNNNNNNNNNNNNNNNNNNNNNNNNNNNNNNNNNNNNNNNNNNNNNNNNNNNNNNNNNNNNNNNNNNNNNNNNNNNNNNNNNNNNNNNNNNNNNNNNNNNNNNNNNNNNNNNNNNNNNNNNNNNNNNNNNNNNNNNNNNNNNNNNNNNNNNNNNNNNNNNNNNNNNNNNNNNNNNNNNNNNNNNNNNNNNNNNNNNNNNNNNNNNNNNNNNNNNNNNNNNNNNNNNNNNNNNNNNNNNNNNNNNNNNNNNNNNNNNNNNNNNNNNNNNNNNNNNNNNNNNNNNNNNNNNNNNNNNNNNNNNNNNNNNNNNNNNNNNNNNNNNNNNNNNNNNNNNNNNNNNNNNNNNNNNNNNNNNNNNNNNNNNNNNNNNNNNNNNNNNNNNNNNNNNNNNNNNNNNNNNNNNNNNNNNNNNNNNNNNNNNNNNNNNNNNNNNNNNNNNNNNNNNNNNNNNNNNNNNNNNNNNNNNNNNNNNNNNNNNNNNNNNNNNNNNNNNNNNNNNNNNNNNNNNNNNNNNNNNNNNNNNNNNNNNNNNNNNNNNNNNNNNNNNNNNNNNNNNNNNNNNNNNNNNNNNNNNNNNNNNNNNNNNNNNNNNNNNNNNNNNNNNNNNNNNNNNNNNNNNNNNNNNNNNNNNNNNNNNNNNNNNNNNNNNNNNNNNNNNNNNNNNNNNNNNNNNNNNNNNNNNNNNNNNNNNNNNNNNNNNNNNNNNNNNNNNNNNNNNNNNNNNNNNNNNNNNNNNNNNNNNNNNNNNNNNNNNNNNNNNNNNNNNNNNNNNNNNNNNNNNNNNNNNNNNNNNNNNNNNNNNNNNNNNNNNNNNNNNNNNNNNNNNNNNNNNNNNNNNNNNNNNNNNNNNNNNNNNNNNNNNNNNNNNNNNNNNNNNNNNNNNNNNNNNNNNNNNNNNNNNNNNNNNNNNNNNNNNNNNNNNNNNNNNNNNNNNNNNNNNNNNNNNNNNNNNNNNNNNNNNNNNNNNNNNNNNNNNNNNNNNNNNNNNNNNNNNNNNNNNNNNNNNNNNNNNNNNNNNNNNNNNNNNNNNNNNNNNNNNNNNNNNNNNNNNNNNNNNNNNNNNNNNNNNNNNNNNNNNNNNNNNNNNNNNNNNNNNNNNNNNNNNNCCCACUCAGCAUGUUUUCAAGACAACAACAACAAUAUUCAAUAAAGUAGAUGGAGAAUACAAGAUUACAAGGACUAUAGUGAAUCGAAGAGUCCCCAUACUGCUUCACUAUGUCAACACAUAAACAACAAGAUUACAAAAACAAGGUUACGGGUACAUUAAAAACAAAAAAAAACUACGGAUUCAACAAGAUACAAGAUAAAUAGUUAGACCAAAUAAAGGGACAAUCUUAAGAACCCAAUAAUUGUCACCCUCUUGGAUACUUAAACACUAUCCGCGACACAAACGUAACUCUAAAUUGACACAAGAGGGCCUUUACCUCCUCUAAACACCAACGUUUUAAGCCAAUAUGCAAACACAAGUGAAUCUUCACUUGUGUAGCCCUAGUUUCGGUUGGAGCUUUUGUGAGAGAACUAAAGUGUUGCAAAUGUUACAAAUCUCAAAAAUAUGAUCAACUAAGUGAAUAAAACCCUAAGUGGUUCUAUUCAUAUUACAUUCCCCCAAAGACUUAAAAUGACAAAGGUGCCCUUUUAAUGAAUAAGGCUUCAAGGCCACCCCUUUAGUGCACACAUAAGGGUGGUUUUUGACUUCUCCCACACUUAAUAUCGGGCCUUAUCUCGGUUGCCUUUGACUUACACAAAAAGGGUCCAUCUAUGAGAUCACACUUGUAUCAUCCUCUCCAUCUUGAGAGGAGUUUGACCUCAAACUCAAGCAAUUUUUACCUGCAAGCUCUCCUUUUCGAAUAAUCUUUUAUCGGCUCCUCCCAAGGUUAGGAUAUUCAACCAAGGGUUUCAUAAGAUCAUCAAGCUUGAUCCUUGGGAUUGUAUUUCCUUAAAACUUCACAUAAGAAGAAUAGAUGCUAGUCAAAGUGCUAGCAUCUCGUUUAGUAAGCAUCAAAGGGUCUUUGUGGGAAAAUCCCAUUUCUUGAACUAUCAGCUCCUCCUCUUCUUCAUCAUCCUCACCCUCGGUUUCCUCCUCUAAACCAUCACUAAGAAUGAUUCUCCUUGCCAUAAACAAGGGUACUAAACACUCUCCAUCAACCGGCCAAAUAUCUUCCCGCCUUCAUCUAUUUCUACCUCGGCUUCUUGCUCUCUAUCUUGAGCGUUUUCAUCAAACUCAUUCGAUACAAGUCCCAAUUCCUCACCAAGGUAAUACAAUUUUACUUCCAUAAGGAUUACAUUUCUCUGAUUUGGGCACUCAUUAGCCUUGUGCCCCCACCCUUGACAUUUAAAACAUUGAAAUCCCUUAGGACGAGAAGUAGAAUUUGGUUUACCUUCGUUUCUUGGAUGAUACUUUUGGAAAGCUUUGGUUUUGGUUUGUAUAACCUUGUUCUCAAUUUGUUUGGAAUUGGACGAAUGCUCUUGAUGUUGGUGCCACUCCGAGGAAGGUCCUUGGUGAUUCUUGAGUUUGGAGGCCGAGAGCUCCCUUUCAAUUUCCAAGGCCGCUUGGAAAAUGCCAUCGAUCGUGUCAAACUUGUGGAGGGUCAUCCAAGAAUCUAUGUCCCUAUUCAACCUGAAUUUGAAUCGUAUAAUAUAAUGGCUCACUUGUUCUCCUCUAUGGUCAAGCUUCAACAUCAAUUGUUGAAAAUCGUCAUAGUAUUCCAUGACACUUUUGUUUCCUUGCCUCAAGUUGUACAACUUGGCAAGAAGUUCUUGUUUGUAGAUCUUGGGUAAGUACCUUUGACGCAUAAGUUACCUCAAUAUAAACCAUGGAGGUGGCCACCCGGCAAUCAACACAUCACCAAAACUCUUCACAUACUCCCUCCAAGUGUUUGCAUACCCCUCAAAGUGAGCGAUUGCAUAACAACUCUUCUUCUCUUCGGUUAGAUCAUUCACUUUGAAUAUCCUAUCACAAGAUGACUCCCAAGAAAGAUAUGCCUCGGGAUCACUCUCAGCCUUGCAAAUCAGAAGACUAACUUUGAUGGAAUUGAGGCUAAGCUCUCAGUUUGGUUACCACCCCUCACUUCUCAACCUAAAUCAGCUUGCCUAACCCUCUCCUCUUCUUCCCUCAAGUAAGCAUCACCAUAACCCCCAUAACCCCCAUGUUGUUCCUCCCUACCAUAACUCUCAAAACGGUUUGGUGGAUUUGGAUUAAGUGGAUUCGAAUUUGGAGGAUAGUAAUGCCUUUGGUUCAAUGGAAUUUGGAUUGGAAAGUGAGGUCUUUGGAUAAGUUGAGGGUUCGGGUUUUGUGGCAUUUGGGUUCCAAAUCCAUCAUGUUGGACUUGGUGAAGUGGAGGGAUGGUUGCUCUAUCAUACUCAUGGUUUUGGGGAAUAUUUGGUGGUUGGCUCGGUGACUUGUUCAUUUGGUGCAAGGCCUUGGGAGUAAUGGUUGGGGAAAUAUUUUGAGUUGUGGAAGGUAAACUCCUUUAACUUUCCACACGUUCUAAUCUCCCACUCAUUGAUGCCACAUCCGUAUCUAAUUUCUCAAGACCCACAUUCAACCUAGCCACAUCUCGGGACAUAGUUUCAAGUCGACCCAAAAUGAAAUUUAUGGCAUUAUUGUCCAUUGUUUGAGCAUUUGAAGCCUCGGGUUCCAUUGUCGUUGUACCGAAAAUAACCCUUCAAGUUUCUUCAAACUCAAGCUCAACAAUGGUGGAUGACUCAAAUUACCUCCAAUUUAGCUCAAAUUCGAACCCUAUACUCCUAUAGUGUUAUAGAACACAAAUCUAACACUAAAAACACAAGAAAAACACAAAAUCAAAAACUCAAAAUUUGACCUAGGGUCAAAAACGGGUUUAGGAUUUUUUUUUUGGGAUUUUUGAUUUUGACACUUCUUUUUGGUUGGGAUUUUCAAUUUCUAAACUCUAAUAGUGUUAGGAAAUAAGGAUCUAACACUAUAAACACACAAAAAUCAAGUUUUUCUUUUUGAAAAAUCCUAAUAACGUGAACAGUAACUUUUUUCUUCUUCUUCUUGUUCUUUUUUACCUUUUUUUUUAUUUUUAAGAUAACAAUCCCAAGACUGAUUUUGUUGGAACAAAAUUAAACCUUGCCUGAUAUCAAAUGAUACAAGAUUGAACACACAACACGGAUUCAAGAGACCUAAAAGAUCAACAAUAAUAGAGAAUCAAAGGCCCCACUUGGCUUCUCUAUGUUCUCAAGACAACAACAAUAAUAUUCAACAGAUGGAGAAUACAAGAUUACAAGGACUAUAGUGAAUCAUAGAGGCCCCACACGGCUUCACUAUGUCAACACAUAAAUAACAAGAUUACAACAACAGGGUUACGGGUACAUUAACAACAAUAAGGAACCACAGAUUCAACAAGAUACAAGAUAAAUAGUUAGACCAAAUGAAGUGACAAUCUUAAGAACCCAAGAAUUGUUACCUCCUUUAAAUACCAACGUUUCAAGCCAAUAUGCAAACACAAGUAAAUCUUUACUUGUCUAGCCAUAGUUUUGGUUGGAGCUCUUGAGAGAGAACUAAAGUGUUGCAAAUGUUACAAAUCUCAAAAAUAUGAUCAACUAAGUGAAUAAAACCCUAAGUGGUUCUAUUUAUAUUACAUUCCCCAAAAGACUUAAAAUGACAAAGGUGCCCUUUCAAUGAAUAAGGCUUCAAGGCCACCCCUUUAGUGCACACAUAUGGGUGGUUUUUGGCUUCUCCCAUACUUAAGCUCGGGCCUUAUGUCAGUUGCCUUUGACAUACACAAAAAGGGUCCAUCUACGAGAUCACACUUGUAUCAUUUUCAAGCUUCCAGCUCAACGUUCUAAGGGAAAAAUAGACCUUUUUCCCCAUACUAUACAUGCUCAUAAACAUGGGAUUAAGGCUCAAAAACACCAAAACAUACACCUUUUCAUAAAAUUCUCUCAAGAACAAGAACAAGGGUUUUAACUUGAAGACCCAAAUCAUCAAAGUUCCUUUAUGUAUCAUCCAAGAAUGAUAUAGCAAGGUAUGCAUUAUGUUGAUUCAUGGGAUCCUUUCUUCCAUGAAGAUCAAGAACCCUAUUUUAAACUAUAUAUCAUUCCGUUCGUGUUAUGACUUGAUUGUUAAUCAUGUUUAUAUGUUGAAUGAUUCCAAGAUGGAACCUUUAUGUGUUUUUAUGGAACUAGGAUGACAUGUUAGUGGAAAUAUAUGGAUUUUGGGUGCUUUGAAUUGUUAAAGUGAUGAAUAUACCUAUGACAUAAAGUGUGCAUGCAAGGUGUUUGAUAAAAUGCCUGGGAGGCGAGAAAUCAUGUUUUCAUGACUCAAUAGAACCUAAAUAACAAGUCCAUGCUCUAUCCUUUAUGACUUAACAUGAAUUCUAUGAUAUUGUUAUGUAUUGUUGUUGUGAUAUGGAGUGCUCAUAAUAUUUGAGAUAUGCAAGUAUUUACAUGUUACAUGUAUUUCCUUCCAUGUAGAAGAUUUUGAGAACUAUGUGUAGUAUGAAAUCCCCAACUUAUGAAAUUAUGAAUUGUGGACUUUAUUCCUAUGAUCUAGUUAGUCAUGUUGUGUUAUUUUCCUUCCAUCUAGUCCUCGGGUACUUGUACCUAAAAAAUAAAGUUGUGUGCCUAGAGCCAGUAUCUUGUUUUGACGAUAUUCUCAGUCAAGCCAUGUUCAGUAGAAUUCAGUCAGUCAUGUGACUCAGGAAAUCUCAGUAAUCUUAUGAACUCAGUGAGUUAUCAGAUAUCAGUAGUAUUCCAUCAGUCAAAGAAAUUCAGUAAACUCAGCCCAUGUAUGGUUCAGUUAAUUAUGUUCAGAGUCUAUUCAGUUAUAGAAGCUUUCUAGACUAGCAUGUUUCAGAUAGUUUAUUUCAGUUGUUUUGGGUAUUUCAUACCCCACUCAAAUAUUAUAUUUUAUCAGUUUUAUUACAGUAUUGAACCUUAUGACCUAUCAGCCUUUAUUUUUGUAUUUAUAAACAUAUAUUAUGCAGUGUACAGGUAUAGAUAUCAGUCAUGGGUUAGCUUAUGGCCCUUCACGGUCAUAGGCACCGUGUAGCAUUCCGAGCACCAGGCUCAGGGUGUUGGAAACUUGGUAUUAGAGCCUAAGGUUUACUAGUAUCCUAGGAAGUCAAAAAGCCCAUCUAGUAGAGUCUUGUACAUGGGUGUGUUGUGCGUCAUAUUUAUGUGUAGGAAGCUAUGAGAUGUUUUGGGAAUAGUUUCCCUUCUUUCAGUAUUUAUGUUUUGCCAGUGAGCAUAAUCUCAAGUUAAACUCUCAGUCUAAUCCGUUUCUCCUCUUAAUUUCAGAACAUGCCUCCAAAGAGAAGAAAUCAGCCAGUCCCUCAGCCCAAAGAUCUUUUGGGAGAACAUGUGUCUCAUGCGGAGUUCAGAGCCGCAUUCCCUACUCUUACUCAGUCAGUUGCCGCUCAGAAUAAAUGACCAACAGUUAUUUUGGCCAACUCAGUAGCCAAUUCAGCUGCAACCAAGAUUUGAGAUUCACCUUAAUAAAUCCUAAAAUAGAUGGACCCUCAAGAAUUUCUUGAUCAGAUUCAGAAGGUAACAGAUAUCAUAGGGGUGACUACUGUUGAGAGUGUUGAGCUAGUCGAAUAUCAGUUACAGGAUGUGGCUCAUACUUUGUUCAAGCAGUGGAAGUCAGAAAGGUUAGAUGAUGCAGGUACUAUAGAGUGGGAGGAGUUUGUCACGGCAUUCUUAGAUAGAUUCUUUCCCUAAGAGCUGAGAGAGGCUAAGGUGCUAGAGUUUAUCAAACUCAGGUAGGUCAAUAUAACGGUGAAAGAUUAUUCUCUUAAGUUUACUCAAUUAUCCAGAUACACCCCUCAUGUGGUUGCAGAUAGAAGAGCCAAAAUGAGUAAGUUCGUUUCAGGGGUGAAUGGUAGUAUGGUAAAUGAGUGCAGAUCCACCAUGCUAAAUAGUGACAUAACAUUAGCCAGGCUUAUGACUCAUGCUCAACAGAUAGGGGAGCAGAAGAUUAGGAUGAGGGAGAGGUAGAACAAGAGAGCAAGGUCAGAUAGUUUCAACUUUGGUCAGCCCAAAUCAGAAGAAGGAAACCGUUCUCAGUUUCGUCCUAAGCCAUCAGUUCUAGUUCCUUCUUUAGCCAGUGCUCUAGCUCCUAAGUUCAGAGAUAGAGCUCCAGGCUCUAAGUCUCAGGGUAGUGUCAGCAAUGCCCGAACAAAUCUCCUAUACCAGACUUAUGGUAAGAACUAAAAGGGUGCUUGUAGACUUGGUAGUGAUAUCUAUUUCGGUUAUGGGAAGUAGGCCACAUAUAACACCCCGAGCCUGGUGCCCAGAAUUGUACACAGUGUUCAUAACCCCAAAGGACCAUAAGCUAACCCAUGACUGAUAUCUGUACCUAUACACUACAUAAUAUAUGUGUAUAAAUGCAAAAACAUGAAAUGAAAGGCCAUAAGGUUCAAUAUCAUACUAAAACAAAUAAAACACAACAUUUUAGUGGGGUAUUGAAUACCCAAAACAACCGAAAUAACUGGCUGAAACAUAGUAGUCUAGAAAGCCUCUAUAACUGAAUAAUCUAAAUAAGGAGUUGAUGGGACAUGUCCCCAACUUACUUUGUCUAGCAAAACUGAACUGAAAUAAUAUAGUAAUAAUCAUGUCCUUAAAGAAUGAGGACUCAGUGCUGAAUACUAGAAUACUACUGCUGAUCUGGAACUCGUGUCUCUGAACCUAUGGUGUAAAAUAAAAAGAAAAUACCAUAGCGCAAAUGUGUCAGUAUGAUUAAAUGUACUGAGUAUGCAUGUGAGGUAGGCUAAAUGAAAGGGUUCACAUGCAUGAUCUUUGCUAACUGACUGUCUAACAUGAACGUGAAAAUACAUGCAGGAAUACGUAACUUAACUGAGAUACUGAUAACAUGAUUACUGAAUUUGAAUACUGAUAACAUGUGUUUACUGAUAACUAAUAUGACUAAUAUAACUGAUAACAUGGGUGACUUUAUCUAAAAGUCUUGAAUCUGAUGGAACUAGCUGAGUUUUGUACUAUAUCUGAGCUGACUGUAUUUAACAGUCCCGAUAUUCUAAAGAACUAUCUAAGUUCUUUUACUGAGAAUGAUACUAAAAUUGUGGGAAGUAGUUAUUUAACUGACAUGCCUAAAAUGCGCUAUAAUAGCUGAGCUGGGGUACAAUCUGUGCCCUGACUAGAAGGGUGUCAAUACCCUGCCACUGAUAAAGACAAGCGGUGGAUAGCCCUCGUCUGACAGUGUCCCUAAAAGAGAAUGAUGGGACCCUCAUCUAACAGUGUUUAUCUACCUCAUCAACCCGUAUCUGAUAGUGUUGAUGUCUUAACCUAUGCUGGAAACAUAGUUUUGGAAUGUAAGAAUGACUUCUCAGAAUCAUACCCCAUCUGAUAGUGUGUGUUCCCAUCCUUGGGUUCACUCGGUGCUAAUUUCUACUCCCAUCUGAAUAGACUCUGAACAUAAUUAACUGAAAUGUACAUGGACUGAGUUUACUGAAUUCCAUUGACUUAAGAAAUACUACUGAUAUCUGAUAACUGACAGAGUACAUGAGAUUACAGAGAUUUCCUGAGUCACAUGACUGACUGAAUUCUACUAAACAUGGAUUGACUGUGAAUAUCGUGAAAAAUGACACUGGCUCUAGGCACACAACUAUAUUUUUUGGGUACAAGUACCCCCAGGACUCGAUGAAAGGAAACUGGCACAAUAUGACUUACUUGAUCAUAGGAAUAAAGUCUACAAUUCAUAAUGUCAUAAGUUAGGGAUUUCAUACUACACAUAGUUCUCAAAAUCUUCUACAUGGAAGGGAAUGCAUGUAAAAUGUAAAUACUUGCAUUGCUCCAAUGUCAUGAGUACUCCAUAUCACAACAACAAUACGUAACAAUAGCAUAGAAUUCAUGUUGAGUCAUAAAGGAUAGAACAUGGACUUGUUAUUUAGGUUUUAUAUAGUCAUGAAAACAUGAUUUCUAGCCUCCUAGGUAUUUAUUAAACACCUUGCAUGGACACUUUAUAGAAUAGGUAUAUUUAUCACUUUAAUAAUUCAAAGCACCCAAAAUCCAUAUAUUUCCACUAACAUGUCAUCCUAAUUCCAUAAAAACACAUAUAGGUUCCAUCUUGAAAUCAUUCAACACAUAAACAUGAUCAACAAUCAAGUCAUAACAUGAAUAUCAUAAUAUAUAGUUUAAAAUAGGGUUCUUGAGAUUCAUGAAAGAAAGGAGUCCAUGAAUUAACACAACGCAUACCUUGCUAUAUGAUUCUUGGAAGAUUCAUGGAGAAACUUUGAUGAUUUGGGUUUUUAAGUUGAAACCCUUGUUAUUGAGAAAAAUUUAUGAAAAGGAGUAUAUUUUGGUGUUUUUGAGCCUUAAUCCCGUGUUUAUGAGUAUAUAUAGUGUGGGAAAAAAGGUCCAUUUUACCCUUAGAAUGCUGAGUGUGAAGCUAGAAAAUUCGCCAACAUGCAAUGUACCGCGCAUCUCAUGCUCUAGUCCUUUGCACUGGAGCAUGCGUCACAUGCUCUAUCGCAUGCUAGGACCCCUGAGAUGGAGCAUGUGUUGCAUGCUAAUUGCAUGAUACUACUAUUUUGAAAUCCAAACAUGCCCUAAACGAAUUUUGAAAAUUCCAAAACUCCCUCAAAAUGUACAAUUGACUUGUCCCAUCAAAACCCAACUUGAAAAUCGAAAAACGAAUGUCGGGAAGGUCGUCAAAUAAAUCCCCAAAAGUGUGCAUGUCAAAAAUGAGACUAAGUGUUGAACACUUAGCUUAAAUUUUCUAAGUCUUGGACCUUCUAAAGAGCUUUUAGGAGCUAAACGAGUUUAAUUUAAAUGCAAAGUUUUGCGAGGUCUUAUAAUACCUCCCCCUUGAGAAAUAUCAUCUUUGAAUGAACUAAAUGUGAUGGGAAAUAAUAAGCUGAACAUGAACUGAACAUGAAUGAAUGAAACGUGAUCUCAUGACUGUCAUGACUGAUAAAUUGAAUAUAUUGUACUAAACAUGCAUAUCUGAUGCAUGAUUAUAUGACUGAAUUGAUACAUGUAUGCAUGACUGAAUAUGCAAUGGUACUUGAUACCAAGUUUAUAAUGACAACAUGAACAUGAAAAUUAAUACCAAGUUUUCGAUGAAUACUGAACAUAAAACUGAAUAAGCUUAAGGAGAACUGUUACCUUGAGCUUGAUCUAAGUUAGCGGAGAAGAGGUGAGGGUACUUGGUAUGCAUGUCUGCUUCUUCUUCCUAAGUAUCUCUCUCAACGAACUGAUUUCGCCAAAGAACCUUGACUAGAGGGACUUUUUUGUUACUCAAUCUACGAGUUUGAUAGUUAAGAAUUUCAACCAGAAUUUCCUCAUAGAAGAGGCUGUUCUGAACAUCAAUACACUGAAUAGGGACAACAACCACUGGGUCACCUAUGCACUUCUUGAAAGAAGAGACAUGAACGACUUGAUGAACUGAGGAUAGAUCUGAAGGAAACUCAAGCUCAUAAGCUACCUUGGCGAAAAGACUGAGAAUUUUGAAGGGAUCGACAUAUCGGGGAUUGAGCUUCCCUUUCUUGAUGAAUCUCUUCACUCCCUUCAUGGGAGAGAUCUUUAGGUAGACUAAAUCACCAAUCUCAUACCUGAGAUCCUUUCUACGCACAUCUGGAUAAGACUUCUGUCGGCUCUGAGCAGCCCGGAGUCUUUCUCUGAUAAACUGGACUUUCUCUAAGGCAUCAAACAAUAAGUCAGGCAUUAUGACUGAGGCCUCACUAACUUUAAACAAAAUAACUGGAGAUCUGAUCUCCUACCAUAGAGAGCUUUAAAAGGAGCCAUAUAAAUACUGGAAUGAUAGCUACAAUUGUAGGCAAACUCAAUCAAAGGCAAGUGGUCAUCCCAAUUACCCUUGAAAUCAAUUGCAUACGUCCUUAUCAUAUCUUCUCGAGUCUGAAUGUUCCUUUCUGCUUGACCAUAUGUCUGAGGAUGAAAGGCUAUACUGAGAUGAACUUGGGUACCAAGACCCUUUUGGAAUGCUUUCUAGAAGUGAGAGGUGAACUGGAUACCUCUGUUUGAGAUAAUAAUAAUGGAACACUGUGCAAUAUGACUAACUCCCUCAUAUAGAGUUUGGCAUAAUCCUUGGUUGAAUAAGAGGUAUGGAAUGGAAGGAAAUGAGCUGACUUGGUCAUUCUAUCUGCAAUGACCAAACUGAAUUAUGUUGAUGAUGAGUUCUAGGCAAACCCGUCACGAAGUCCAUGUUCACUUCUUCCUACUUCCAAGAAGGAAUGGUGAACUCCUGCAUAGAUCCACUAGGCUUCUGGUGCUCUAUCUUAACCUGCUGAUAUGAAGAGCACUUAACCACAAACUAUACAACAUCUCUCUUCAUCCCCCUCCACCAAAAGACUCCCGUAAGUCGCGGUACAUCUUACUUGACCGUGGAUAAAUAGAGUAGCGCGCACCAUGUGCUUCUGCAAGAAUUUGCUGCCCCAAGUUAUCUACACCUAGAGCACACAAACGACCCUAACAAUGAAGAAAACCAUCUCCCCCUUGGGAGAAAACCUCUAUUGAAGAGUCUUAUAAUCUGUGAACACAUCUAUAUGAACUCCGUAUAGAUAAUGCCUCCAAAUCUUUCAGGCAAAAACUAUGGUUGUUAACUCAAGAUCAUGAGUAGGAUAAUUCUUCUCAUAGGGCUUUAACUGUCUGGAUGCGUAGGCUAUAAACUUACCAUGCUGCAUAAGGACACAACCCAAACCUACUUUAGAUGUAUCAAAAUACACUAUGAACCCAUUUGGACCAUCUGGUAAUGCUAAAACUAGAGCUGAGUUGAGUCGAGUCUUUAACUCCUAAAAACUCUUCUUACAAGGAUCUGACCACUGAAACUUGACCUUCUUUUGAGUCAAUCUGCAUAUAGGGGAUAUUAUAGAAGAAAAUCCCUCAAAAAAUCUUCUUUAAUAGCUAGCCAAACCCAAGAAACUCCUGAUAUCUGAUAGAGAUAUGGGGCGAGGCUAGUUUCUUACCGCUUCAGUCUUUUGAGGAUCUACUAUAAUGCCAUCACCAAAAAUAAUAUGACCAAGGAAUUCUACUGGCCUUAGACAAAAUUCGCACUUACUAAAUUUGGUGAAUAACUGGUGAUUUUUGAGAGUCUGAAGAACAAUUCUUAGAUGGUCUGAAUGAUCUUGCUCACUGCGGGAGUAAACAAGGAUGUCAUCUAUAAAGACUAUCACAAACAUGUCCAAGUACUGCUUGAACACCUAAUUCAUCAAGUCUAUGAAAUUCGCAGGGGCAUUGGUAAGUCCAAAGGAUAUGACUAAGAAUUUGAAGUGACUAUAUCGAGUACGAAAAGCUAUCUUCAUGAUGUCACAUUCUCUAACUCUUAGUUGAUGAUAGCAUGAUCUGAGGUCUAUCUUAGAGAAAUAAAAAGCACCCUGAAGUUGGUCAAACAGGUCAUCAGUUCUGGGAAGUGGAUACCUGUUUUUGACCAUGACUUUAUUGAGUUAACGAUAAUCAAUGCACAUCCUAAGAAAACCGUCUUUCUUGCACAUGAAUAAGACUGGUGCGCCCCACGAGAAAAUAUUGGGUCUAAUGAAUCCCUUAUCUAAGAUAUCCUUCAACUGUUCUUUCAGUUAUUUGAGCUUUGCUGGUGCCAUUCUGUAUGGUGGAAUAGAGAUAGGCUGAGUGUCUGGAAAAAGAUUAAUGUCGAAGCCCAUUUCCCUUUCAGGAGAAAUUCCUGGAAGAUCUUCGAGAAAAUAUCUGAAUACUCAUUCACAACUGGGACUGACUCAAGUAUGGGAGUUUUGGAACUAGAGUCCUUAACAUGAAUGAUAUGAUAAACACAUCCCUUAGAUAUCAUUUUCCUUGCUUGAAGGUAGGAAAUAAGCUGAUCUCUGAAAGAUGAAGUACUACUCCUCCACUCUAAGAUGGGCUCAUUCAAAAAUUUAAACUGGACUAUUCUAUUUAUGCAUUCGACUGUGGCAUGGCAGGAAUAAAUCCAAUCCAUGUCGAGAAUGAUAUCAAAAUUAGUCAUCUCUAAUUCGACUAAAUCUGCUGAAGUGACUUUUUGAAAUAUCAUAAUCGGCAGUUUCUGUAUACCUGUCGAGCAAUGAUGGCUUUAUCCACUAGGCUAAAGACUGAAAAGGGCUCUGCUAGAAUUUUAGGGCUGACUCUAAAAUCGCCUGCUAUAUAAGGAGUAACAAAUGACAAGGAUGCACCAGGAUCUAGCAAAGCAUAAAAAUGCACAUGAAAGAUCUGUAACGUACCAGUAACUACAUCAGGAGAAUUUUUUUGAUCUUUUUAAGUCUGGAGAAAUAAAGUCUGUUUAGGCAUUGCCCACUAGUAGCACUGGAAGUGGCACCCUGCUAGUUCAGGUGACCGAAAUGAGAUACGGAAUGGUUAUACUGACCCAGAUAACUCGACUGGGGAUAAUCUCUGAAUCUGUGUCCUAUAUUGCCACAACCAAAACACUAAUCUGACAUAGGGGAUUAGUUAGGGCAUUGCUGACACUGCCCUGAGACUAAGAGCCUGGCGCUCUAUCUCUGAAGUAAUCCAUAUCACAACAAUAAUACACAACAAUAGCAUGGAAUUCAUGUUGAGUCAUAAAGGAUAGAGCAUGGACUUGUUAUUUAGGUUCUAUAGAGUCAUGAAAAUAUGAUUUCUAGCCUCCUAGGACUUUUAUCAAACAUCUUGCAUGCACACUUUACGGCAUAGGUAUAUUCAUCACCUUAACAAUUCAAAGCACCCAAAAUCAAUAUAUUUCAACUAACAUAUCAUCUAAGUUACAUAAAAACACAUAAAGGUUCCAUCUUGAAAUCAUUCAACACAUAAAUAUGAUCAACAAUCAGGUCAUAACAUAAAUAUCAUAAUAUACAGUUUAAAAUAGGGUUCUUGAGCUUCAUGGAAGAAAAGAGUACGUGAAUCAACACAACACAUACCUUGCUAUAUGAUUCUUGAAAGAUUUACGAAGGAACUUUGAUGAUUUGGGACUUCAAGUUGAAACCCUUGUUCUUGUUUUUGAGAGAAAUUUAUGAAAAGAAGUAUAUUUUGAUGUUUUAAGCCUUAAUCUCAUGUUUAUGAGCAUAUAUAGUAUGGGGAAAAAGUCUAUUUUGUCCUUAGAACACUGAGCAGGAAGUUGGAAAAUUCGCCAGCAUGCGAUGGAGUGUGCAUCGCAUGCUCUAGUCCUUCGCACUGGAGCAUGCGUCGCAUGCUUGGACCCCUGAGAUGGAGCAUGCAUCGCAUGUUAAUCACAUGAUGUUACUAUUUUGAUAUACAAACAUCCCUAAACGGAUUUUGAAAAUUCUGAAACUCAACUGAAAUGUACUAUUGACUUGAUCCAUCACAACACAACUUGAAAAUUAAAAAAACGAAUGUCGAGAAGGUCAUUAAAUAAAUCCCUAAAGUGUGUAGGUCAAAAAUGAGACUAAGUAUUGAAUACGUAGCUAAAAUUUUCUAAGUGUUGGACCUUCUAAAGAGCUUUUAGAAGUCAAAUGAUCUGAAUUUAAAUGCAAAGUUUUGUGGGGUCUUACACCACAUAGUCGAGAUUGUCCGCAGUUGGGUUAUCAAGGUCUGCAAAACCAUUCCGCAACUAAUUCCGAUUUCCCAAACCAGUAGGGUGCCAUUUCCAGUAUUACUAGUGGGCAACACCUAAAUUGACUCUAUGCUCUCCAGACCCGAUAGGAUUAGGAAAAUUCUUUUGAUGUAGUUACUGGUACGUUAUCGAUCUUUCAUGUGCAUGUUUACGUUUUGUUAGAUCCAGGUGCAUCCUUGUCUUUUGUUACCCCUUAUAUCAGAGGUGAUUUUGGAGUCAGUUUUGAAAUUCUAGCAGAGCCCCAUUUAGUCUCUACCCCAGUGGGUAAAACCAUCAUAGCUCGGCGGGUAUACAGGAACUGCCCAAUUAUAAUAUUUUAGAAAAUUACUUCAGUAGAUUUAGUCAAUCUAGAGAUUAAUGAUUUUGAUGUCAUUCUCAUCAUGGAUUGGCUUCAUUCCUCUAUACCACAGUCGACUACAGAAAGUGAAUAGUCCAGUUUCAGUUUUCGAAUGAGCCUGUCUUAGAGUGGAAGGGUAGUACUUCAUCUUUCAGAGGUCAUCUUAUUUCCUACCUUCGGGAAAGAAAAAUAAUAUCUAAAGGAUGUGUUUAUCAUCUCGUUCAUGUUAAGGAAUCUAGCUCCAAAACUCCCAGUCUUGAAUCAGUCCCAGUUGUGAAUAAAUAUUCAGAUGUUUUUUGGAAGAUCUUCCAAAAAUUCCACCCAAAAGGGAAAUAGACUUCGGCGUUGAUCUUCUUCCAGAUACUCAGCCUAUAUCUAUUCCGCCAUACAAAAUGUCACCUGCAGAGCUCAAAAAACUGAAAGAACAGUUAAAGGAUCUCUUAGAUAAGGGAUUCAUCAGACCCAAUUUUUCUCCGUGGGGCGCACCAGUCUUAUUCAUGCGCAAGAAAAAAGGUUCUCUCAGAAUGUGCAUAGAUUACCUUCAGCUCAAUAAAGUCAUGGUCAAGAACAGGUAUCCACUUCCUAGUAUCGAUGACUUAUUUUACCAGCUUUCGGGUGCUAGUUAUUUCUCUAAAAUAGACCUCAUAUUCGGCUAUCAUCAGCUCAGAGUUAGAUAAUGUGACAUCUCGAAGACAGUUUUUUUCUCAGUAUGGUCACUUGGAAUUCUUAGUCAUGUCCUUUGGUCUAACCAAUGCCCCAAUAGCUUUCAUGGACUUGAUGAACAGUGUGUUCAAGCAGUACUUGGACAUGUUCAUCAUAGUCUUUAUAGAUGAUAUUCUGGUCUAUUCCCACACUGAGCAUGAUCAUACAGACCAUCUCAGAACAAUACUUUAGACUCUCAGAGAUCAUUAGCUAUUCGCCAAAUUCAGUAAGUGCAAAUUUUUGCUAAGGUCAGAAGCAUUUCUUGGUCAUAUAUUUUUCAGUGAUGGCAUUACAGUAGAUCCUCAAAAGACUGAAGCAGUAAAAAACUGGCCUCGUCCUAUCUCUCCAUUAGAUAUUAGGAGUUUCUUGGGUUUGGAUGGCUAUUACAGAUGGUUUAUUGAGGGAUUUUAUUCUAUUGCAUCCCCUCUGUUUAGAUUGACUCAGAAAAAGGCCAAGUUUCAGUGGUCAAAUCCUUGCGAGAAGACUUUUCAGGAGUUGAAGACUUGACUCACCUCAGCUUCGGUUCUAGUAUUAUCAGACUGACUAGAUGGGUUCGUAGUGUAUUGUGAUGCAUCCAUAGUAGGUUUGGGUUGUGUCCUUAUGCAGCGUAGUAAGGUCAUAGCCUACGCCUCCAGUCAGUUAAAACCCCAUGAAAAGUAUUAUCCUACUCAUGAUCUUAAGUUACCAGCCGUAGUUUUUACCUUAAAGAUUUGGAGGCAUUAUCUCUACAGAGUUUAUGUAGAUGUGUUCACAGAUCAUUAGUCUUUAGUAUGUCUUUUCUCAAAAAGAUCUUAAUCUUCGUUAGAGAAGGAGGUUAGAGCUUUUGAAAGAUUAUGACAUGAGUGUCCUUUAUCAUCUGGAAAAGGGCAAUAUAGUAGCCGACGCUCUCAACAGACUGUCUAUGGGUAGUGUUACUCAUGUUGAGGACAGUAAAAAAAGUUAGCUAAGAAAGUCCAUCAGCUUGCCAGACUAGGCGUUCGCUUAGUCAAUUUUUCAAAGGGUGGUAUAUAUAUGCAGAGUAGUUCGGAAUCAUCUCUCCUUUUUGAGGUAAAAUAAAAGCAAGAUAGAGAUCCUAACCUUGUCAAUUUGAAAGAUUUAGUCAAAGAUUAGAAAGUAGAGGUUUUCUCCCAAGGGGGAGAUGGUGUUCUUCGUUGUCAGGGUCGUCUAUUUGUUCCAGGUGUAUAUAGUGCAUGCUACUCUAUUCAUCUAGGGGCCACUAAGAUGUACUGUGACUUGUGGGAUAUCUAUUGGAGGAGUGGGAUGAAGUGAGAUGUUGGAAAAUUUGUGGCUAAGUGCUCUACAUAUCAGUAGGGUAAGAUAGAACACCACAAGCCUAGUGGAUCCAUGCAGGAGUUCACCAUUCCUACUUAGAAGUGGGAAGAAGUGACCAUGAACUUCGUCAUGGGUUUUUCUCGAAUUCAUCAUCAACAUAAUUCAGUUUGGGUCAUUGUCGACAGAAUGACCAAGUCAGCUCAUUUUUUUCCAAUCCAUACCUCUUAUUCAGCUGAGGAUUACGCCAAACUUUAUAUCAGGGAGUUGGUCAGAUUGCACAAUAUACCAUUAUCUAUAAUCUCAGAUAUAGGUACCCAGUUUAUCUCUUACUUCUGAAAAGCAUUCUAAAUAGGUCUUGGUACCCAACUAUAUCUCAGUACAACCUUUCAUCCUCAGAUAGAAGGUCAAGCAGAAAGGACCAUUCAUACUUUAGAAGGUAUGCUAAGGGCGUGUGCAAUUGAUUUCAAGGGUAGUUGGGAUAACUACUUACCUUUGAUUGAGUUUGCAUACAAUAAUAGUUAUCAUUCCAGUAUUCAGAUGGCUCCGUUUGAAGCUCUCUAUGGUAGGAGAUGCAAAUCUCCAGUUGUUUGGUUUGAAGUUAAUAUGGCCUCAGUCAUAGGGCCUGACUUAGUGUUUGAUGCCUUAGAGAAAGUCUAAUUGAUUAGAGAAAGACUCUGGGCUUCUUAGAGCCGACAGAAAUCUUAUACAGAUAUGCGUAGAAAGGAUCUCAAGUUUGAGAUUGGUGAUUUUGUCUACCUAAAGAUCUCUCCUAUGAAGGGAGUAAAAAGAUUCGGCAAGAAGGGAAAGCUCAGUCCCCAAUAUGUUGUCCCUUCAAGAUUCUCAGUCGAUUCGGCAAGGUUGCUUAUGAGCUCGAGUUGUCUUCAGAUCUAGCCUCAGUUUAUCUAGUCUUUCAUGUCUCUUUUCUCAAGAUAUGCAUAGGUGACCCAUCAGUUCUAGUCCUUAUUUAGAGCAUUGAUGUUUAGAACAGCCUCUCCUAUAAGGAAAUUCUGGUUAAAAUACCUAGACUAUCAGACUCGUAGACUGAGGAAUAAAGAAGUCCCUCUAGUCAAGGCUCUUUGACGAAAUUAGUCUGUUGAGGAAGCUACUUUGGAAGCAGAAGCAUACAUACGAACCAAGUAUCCUCACCUCUUGUCCAUCAAUCCAGAUCAAGUUCAAGGUAACAUUUCUCAUUAAGCUUAUUCAGUGUCAUGUUCAGUAUUCAUCACAAACUCGGUAUUCAGUUUCAUGUUCAUGUUCUCAUAUAAACUUGGUAUCAAGAACCAUUGCAUAUUCUAUCAUACUUACAUGUACCAGUUCAAUCAUAUAAUCAUGAAUCAGAUAUGCAUGUUAAUUACAAUAUAUUCAUUUUAUUUGUCAUGACAGUCAUGAGAUCAUGUUUUAGUCAUUCAUGUUCGACUUACUAUUUCCCCUCUCAGUGAAUUUCAUUCGAGGAUAAAUGUUCUCAAGAAGGAGAUAUUGUAAGACCCCGCAAAACUUUGUGUUUAAAUUUAUCUCGUUUAGCUCCUAAAAGCUCUUUAAAAGGUCUUACACUUAGAAAAUUUUAGCGAAGUGCUCAACACUUAGUCUUAUUUUCAACCUUCACACUUCGGAGAUUUAUUUGAUGACCUUUCCGACAUCCGAUUUUUUAUUUUUAAGUUGUGUUGUGAUGGGGCAAGUCAAUAGUAUAUUUUGGGUGAGUUUUGGAAUUUCCAGAAUUUGUUUAGGGCAUGUUUGAAUUUUGAAACAGUAGAAUCAUGCGAUUAGCAUGCGAUGUAUGCUCCAUCUAAGGGGUCCUAGCAUGCGAUAAAGCAUGUGACGCAUUCUCUAAUUCGGAGGACUAGAGCAUUCAACGCACGCUCCAUCGUAUGCUAGCAAAUUUUCUAGCUUCCAGAUCAGCUUUCUAAGGGAAAAAUAGACCUUUACUCCGUUGUAUAAAAUUCUCUCAAGAACAGGAACAAGGGUUUCAACUUGAAGACCCAAAUCAUCAAAGUACCUCCGUGAAUUUUCCAAGAAUCAUAUAGCAAGGUAUGUGUUGUAUUGGUUCAUGGACUCCUUUCUUCCAUGAAGCUCAAGAACCCUAUUUUAAACUAUAUAUCAUACUAUUCAAGUUAUGACUUGAUUGUUGAUCAUGUUUAUGUGUGGAAUGAUUCCAAAAUGCAACCUUUAGGUGUUUUUAUGGAACUAAGAUGACAUGUUAGUUGAAAUAUAUGGAUUUUGGGUGCUUUGAAUUGUUAAAGUGAUGAAUAUACCUAUGCAAUAAAGUGUGAAUGCAAGGUGUUCGAUCAAAUGUCUGGGAGGCUAGACAUCAUGUUUUCGUGACUCAAUAGAACCUAAAUAACAAGUCCAUGCUCUAUCUUUUAUGAAUCAACAUGAAUUCCAUGCUAUUAUUGUGUAUUGUUUUUGGUAUAGAGUGCUCAUGACAUUGGAGCUAUGCAAGUAUUUACAUGUUAUAUGCAUUCCUUUCUAUGUAGAAGAUUUUGAGAACUAUGUGUAGUAUGAAAUCUCCAACUUAUGACAUUAUGAAUUGUGGACUUUAUUCCUAUGAUCAAGUAAGUCAUGUUGUGUUAGUUUCCUUCCAUCGAGUCCUGGGGGUACUUGUACUCAAAAAAUAUAGUUGUGUGCCUAGUGCUAGUUUCAUGUUUUUAUGAUAUUCUCAGUCAAUCCAUGUUCAGUAGAAUUCAGCAGUCUUGUGACUCAGGAAAUCUCAGUAAUCUCAUGAACUCAGUCAGUUGUCAUAUAUCAAUAGUAUUUCGUCAGUCAAUGGAAUUCUGUAAACUCAUCCCAUGUAUAAUUCAGUUUAUUAUGUUCAGAGUCUAUUCAGUUGGGAUUUGAAAUUAACACUGAGUGAACGCAAGGAUGGGAACACACACUGUCAGAUGAGGGUGUGAUUCUGAGAAGUCAUCCUUGCAUUCCAUAACUAUGUAGCCAGCAUAGGUUGAGACAUCAAAACUGUCAGAUGGGGGUUGAUAUGGUGGAUAAACACUGUCAUAUAAGGGUCCCACCAUUCUCUUUUUGGGACACUGUAGUUGGGAUAACUACUUACCUUUGAUUGAGUUUGCAUACAAUAAUAGUUAUCAUUCCAGUAUUCAGAUGGCUCCGUUUGAAGCUCUCUAUGGUAGGAGAUGCAAAUCUCCAGUUGUUUGGUUUGAAGUUAAUAUGGCCUCAGUCAUAGGGCCUGACUUAGUGUUUGAUGCCUUAGAGAAAGUCUAAUUGAUUAGAGAAAGACUCUGGGCUUCUUAGAGCCGACAGAAAUCUUAUACAGAUAUGCGUAGAAAGGAUCUCAAGUUUGAGAUUGGUGAUUUUGUCUACCUAAAGAUCUCUCCUAUGAAGGGAGUAAAAAGAUUCGGCAAGAAGGGAAAGCUCAGUCCCCAAUAUGUUGUCCCUUCAAGAUUCUCAGUCGAUUCGGCAAGGUUGCUUAUGAGCUCGAGUUGUCUUCAGAUCUAGCCUCAGUUUAUCUAGUCUUUCAUGUCUCUUUUAAGAUAUGCAUAGGUGUCCAAUCAGUUCUAGUCCUUAUUUAGAGCAUUGAUGUUUAGAACAGCCUCUCCUAUAAGGAAAUUCUGGUUAAAAUACCUAGACUAUCAGACUCGUAGACUGAGGAAUAAAGAAGUCCCUCUAGUCAAGGCUCUUUGACGAAAUUAGUCUGUUGAGGAAGCUACUUUGGAAGCAGAAGCAUACAUACGAACCAAGUAUCCUCACCUCUUGUCCAUCAAUCCAGAUCAAGUUCAAGGUAACAUUUCUCAUUAAGCUUAUUCAGUGUCAUGUUCAGUAUUCAUCACAAACUCGGUAUUCAGUUUCAUGUUCAUGUUCUCAUAUAAACUUGGUAUCAAGAACCAUUGCAUAUUCUAUCAUACUUACAUGUACCAGUUCAAUCAUAUAAUCAUGAAUCAGAUAUGCAUGUUAAUUACAAUAUAUUCAUUUUAUUUGUCAUGACAGUCAUGAGAUCAUGUUUUAGUCAUUCAUGUUCGACUUACUAUUUCCCCUCUCAGUGAAUUUCAUUCGAGGAUAAAUGUUCUCAAGAAGGAGAUAUUGUAAGACCCCGCAAAACUUUGUGUUUAAAUUUAUCUCGUUUAGCUCCUAAAAGCUCUUUAAAAGGUCUUACACUUAGAAAAUUUUAGCGAAGUGCUCAACACUUAGUCUUAUUUUCAACCUUCACACUUCGGAGAUUUAUUUGAUGACCUUUCCGACAUCCGAUUUUUUAUUUUUAAGUUGUGUUGUGAUGGGGCAAGUCAAUAGUAUAUUUUGGGUGAGUUUUGGAAUUUCCAGAAUUUGUUUAGGGCAUGUUUGAAUUUUGAAACAGUAGAAUCAUGCGAUUAGCAUGCGAUGUAUGCUCCAUCUAAGGGGUCCUAGCAUGCGAUAAAGCAUGUGACGCAUUCUCUAAUUCGGAGGACUAGAGCAUUCAACGCACGCUCCAUCGUAUGCUAGCAAAUUUUCUAGCUUCCAGAUCAGCUUUCUAAGGGAAAAAUAGACCUUUACUCCGUUGUAUAAAAUUCUCUCAAGAACAGGAACAAGGGUUUCAACUUGAAGACCCAAAUCAUCAAAGUACCUCCGUGAAUUUUCCAAGAAUCAUAUAGCAAGGUAUGUGUUGUAUUGGUUCAUGGACUCCUUUCUUCCAUGAAGCUCAAGAACCCUAUUUUAAACUAUAUAUCAUACUAUUCAAGUUAUGACUUGAUUGUUGAUCAUGUUUAUGUGUGGAAUGAUUCCAAAAUGCAACCUUUAGGUGUUUUUAUGGAACUAAGAUGACAUGUUAGUUGAAAUAUAUGGAUUUUGGGUGCUUUGAAUUGUUAAAGUGAUGAAUAUACCUAUGCAAUAAAGUGUGAAUGCAAGGUGUUCGAUCAAAUGUCUGGGAGGCUAGACAUCAUGUUUUCGUGACUCAAUAGAACCUAAAUAACAAGUCCAUGCUCUAUCUUUUAUGAAUCAACAUGAAUUCCAUGCUAUUAUUGUGUAUUGUUUUUGGUAUAGAGUGCUCAUGACAUUGGAGCUAUGCAAGUAUUUACAUGUUAUAUGCAUUCCUUUCUAUGUAGAAGAUUUUGAGAACUAUGUGUAGUAUGAAAUCUCCAACUUAUGACAUUAUGAAUUGUGGACUUUAUUCCUAUGAUCAAGUAAGUCAUGUUGUGUUAGUUUCCUUCCAUCGAGUCCUGGGGGUACUUGUACUCAAAAAAUAUAGUUGUGUGCCUAGUGCUAGUUUCAUGUUUUUAUGAUAUUCUCAGUCAAUCCAUGUUCAGUAGAAUUCAGCAGUCUUGUGACUCAGGAAAUCUCAGUAAUCUCAUGAACUCAGUCAGUUGUCAUAUAUCAAUAGUAUUUCGUCAGUCAAUGGAAUUCUGUAAACUCAUCCCAUGUAUAAUUCAGUUUAUUAUGUUCAGAGUCUAUUCAGUUGGGAUUUGAAAUUAACACUGAGUGAACGCAAGGAUGGGAACACACACUGUCAGAUGAGGGUGUGAUUCUGAGAAGUCAUCCUUGCAUUCCAUAACUAUGUAGCCAGCAUAGGUUGAGACAUCAAAACUGUCAGAUGGGGGUUGAUAUGGUGGAUAAACACUGUCAUAUAAGGGUCCCACCAUUCUCUUUUUGGGACACUGUCAAAUGAGGGUCACCCACAACUUGUCUUUAUCAGUAGAGUGGUAUUGACACCCUUCCAAUCAGGGCAUAGGUUGGACCCUAGAUAAGCUAUUAUAGCGUAUUUGGGGCAUGUUGGUUAGAUAAAUACUUCCCACAGUCUCAGUCUCAGUCUCAGUAAAAUAAAUCAUAUAGUUCUUCAGAAUAUCAGGACUGUCAGAAACAGUCAACUCAACUGCAGUACGGAACUCAGAUAGUUUUCUCAGAUUCAGGACUGUCAGAUACAAUUACCCAUGCUAUCAGAUAUAUUAGUCAUGUUAGUCAUCAGUACAUACAUGUUAUCAAUACUCACUCAGUAAUUAUGCUAUCAUGAACUCAGUUACAAUUGUUAUGUAUUCAUGCAUGUUUUCUCACGUUUAUGUUAGACAGUCAGAUAGUAUUACUCAUGCAUGUGAACCCUUGCAUUUAACCUACCUCACAUGCAUACUCAGUACAUUUUAUUGUAUUGACGCAUUUGCGCUAUGGCAUUUUCUUUUUUUGUUUUACACCAUAGGUUUAGAGACAUGAGUUUUAGAUCAGCAGAAGCAUUUUAAUAUUUAGCAGUGAGUCCUCAUUCUUUGAGGACAUGAUUAUUACUUUCUUAUUUCUGUUCAUUUUUUCUAGAUGAAGUUAGUUAGGGACAUGGCCCAUCAACUCCUUAUUCAGAUUAUUUAGUUAUAAAGGUUUUCUAGACUACCAGGUUUUAAACAGUUUAUUUCAGUUAUUUUGGGUAUUUCAUACCCCACUCAAAUAUUUUGUUUUAUCAGUUUUAUUAGAGUAUUGAACCUUAUGGCCUAUCAACAUUUAUUUUCAUAUUUAUAUACAUAUAUUAUGCACUAUACAGGUACAGAUAUCAGUCAUGGGUUAGCUUGUGGUCCUUCAGGGUCAUGGAUACCACGUAGCAUUCUGGGCAUCAGGCUCGGGGCAUUGUUUAAACAAAGUCUCAACAUAAUGAAAUUAGGAAUGUCAGAUUAAAUGUUAAGUACAAGGCGACCUUAAUUUUUUUAGCUUAUACAACUUUGAAGCUUUAUAUAUAUGCUCUAGCUGAGAUAAAAAUAACUUCAGUUUUAACACUAUUUCUACCCUAAAAUUGGUCUUUAGUAUCAAUUAUGUAGCCUUUGGAAGUUUUUUGGCUACCUGAUACUAUUAUUUUGUUAUUUUGCAGUACAAGUUGUUUAAAAUAGACCUCUAUGUCUGACCUCUCACCCAGAGAUAUUUUUUAUGUAAGUCCUUAUCAUAUCCAUGAAAGGGUUGUUUUGUCAAGAUCCUUUAAAAUUUAAGGUGCGCAUACAUGGAUGUGGUGCAGAAUCUAACCCUAUAGUCGAUUUCGAGAAUGAUUCCAUGGGAGUUUCUAUUGGUAACAGAACUUCUCCGUGUAGAUCAACAAUAGAGGAGGUUCAAAAUGAGCGGCUGAUAACUACAAUGCUUUGCAAGGAUUCUUGGUCUUUGAUGUUCUUGGUGGUCAUAUUGGUUUUGUAUUGAGUUCAUUGUUACUCAAAUGAUUAUUUGAUGCUUCCUCGCAGGUGAACACCAUACAUAAUCAUGCAUCUCUUAUUUGUAACAACAAGAUUAUUUUUGUGUCUGUCUAUCUGAUUAAUUUCAGGAAUCCACUGCCGUUGUAAAACCUUAUAACAAUGUUUUUUCAAUUUAUUCCCUUUUACAACACACUGAUAUGGUUGUGAUGUUGUAAAAUGAAGCCAUUAUGCUUUCAUCAUAUACCCAUGUGCUGAAAAGGCAGACAAUGAGCAAUUAUUUAUACCUGAGAUAACUAAUGCAGUUUUUUAGCACUCAAGCAUGAUGGAUAAAUGUGACCCAAUGCUUGAUGAAGAGGACGGUUCAAUUUGUUGACUGGUAAAUAUUUUGCACCAAUAACAAGCAUGAACUACUUGCAUCUGAACAAAGUACAAAAAACUUUCUAAUGUGGAUGCAACCGUCUGAUUUUAUUUUUUGGGUUUUGGGGUUUCAACAAGUGCCCAACUGGCUUCAAAAGGCAUUCGUCCACUGGUAUGUUGGAGAAGGCAUAGAAGAGGUAUAGUUUUUUGAAGCCCCUAAAGAUUUACCUGCACUUGAAAUAUGGUGAAGAAUAAUAAUGUAGACCAACAAGAUUGAAGACAGUAUUGCUCUAAUGCCUUUCAUAUGUUUUUGUUGUUAUUUUCAAUCAGUUGUUGUGCACAUGGGAAUUUGACAUUUCUUCCCAUCCACAUCUCUACAUUGUAACUUGACAUUCAUACUAUAGUGAUUGUUCAUAUUAUCAUUUAAUCUCUACAUUGUGACAAUUAAUCAAGAAAAAUAUAAAAGCUUGACUCAACAACUCUGGAUUACCGACUGUGAAGCUACAACUAACGGUUAUAAAUUAUAGCUAUGAUACUAUUAUUGGGCCCGUGCUAGAACAGGCUUCUACAUCUAGUAAUAAGUAUAAAAUGUUAAAUGUCAUACGAUUUGGACUUCUUAAACUAAAUUUUUUUCUUAAAACAUAAAGAGUUCACAAGCAGCGGAAAUUAGCAAAAUUUUUAUAAUUUUUACCAAAUAAGUAAAAAUUUAAAAAUAAAUUGAUAAACAUAAAUAUAUCUAUCUAUUUAUGAAUUCUUUUGCACAAAAUAUAAAUAUAUUUUAAUAUCUAUUUUAUAAAUAAAUAUUUGUAAUUAUAAACUUUAAGUAUAACUAUUUAUAAAAAUUUAAAAUAAUAGUAGCUAGUUAAUAAUAGUACCUAGUUAUUCUUCAAUGGAGCAUGUCUUUUUUUUUCUUUUUGCAAAGUUACAAGUGAUGCGUUUUCUUUUUUAUCAAAUAUAAAUUUAUAAAUCAAAGUUUAUAUUUAAAAAAAUAAAAUUAUGAUUUGGAGCAACUCAUGAAUUUUUAAAAAUUUAGAAUUUGGUUGAAUCGCAUAUUCUAAUACAUCUCAAAUAUUCAUUCAUCCUCGGAAUCUUCUUCAAAUUUGUCUCCAUUGAUGCCCCUCCUUGUGUUCUUUUCUAUGACCACCGGUGAAAAUGAUUAGUCGGCUUUUCUCUUAAGAUUUAUAUGAGAAUGUUCUACUCAGACUAUCAGUAAAGUUCUUAUUACGGUUAAAAAUAAUGAUAUUAGGUGUAUUGAAUUAAAUUUAAUUUUAACUAUUUACCUGAUAAUUGUUGGGAAAGGCAAAGACACAAUCAAAGAGCCCGAAAGGGUAGCAGUGAAAAUACCCAAGUAUAAAUUUUCCUUUUCAACUUGAAUCAAGACGAGAUAAGCAAAUCCAAGCAAAACAAAUAAUAUGGCGGCAAAUAAAUCAAUCACACAAAUACAAUAAGAUAAGAAUAAAGGCAAUCACAUGAGACACCAAAUUUACAUGAAAAACCCUUCGGUAUGAAGAGUAAAAAAAUUAUGGGACCAAAAACUCCACUUUAAUCACCAAUAGUUACAAUAUUGUUCUCCAAAAUGGUCACCAAACAAGUGUCAAACAACAAGCAACAAUACAUACACCACAGUACCAAACACUAGAGAAAUAAAAGAGUGAAAACACCAAAAUGCAGCUGCUAUUAAGGAAUGAAAAACAGGAGCUACAGGCCACCAAAGCUAAAUCCGUCAGUUUCUAAUAAAAAAUUGAGAUGAGAGAAACAAGCUGUCUAAAAAUCAGCUCAAUCGGAUCAGAAACGAAGCAAAAAUCGCAAUUUGAAGUUUACAGUUGUGGCUGGAAGUUUUGGGCCAAAAUUAGCUUUCUGUUCUCUCUUUGGCGAUUGAAAACUCUCUUUUGUGAUGAUGAAAUAAGACCUAAAAUGACCUAUAUAUAUAUAUGCCCCAUAGUAUUGGGCUAUGGGCAAAAGUAGGUUGGUCCAUAUUGGACUUUAUUUAUCCACAUAGGAAGGGAAAAGACCCAUAAACCAACAAUUCUCCCCCUCCCGACUAUGUGGAGGAGACCUCUAUUCCGGCGAUCAUGCAACAAUCUUCAAACUCUUCUCUUGACAAAGUUUUAGUCAUCAUUUCGGAACCAUUAUCAUCCGUAUGAAUCUUCUCAAGUUCAAGCAACUUAGAAUCCAACACAUCCCGAAUCGAAUGAUAUCUCACAUCAAUGUGUUUAUAUAGACCAUGAAAUGUAGAAUUCUUGCCAUGAUGUAUAGCACUUUGAUUGUCGUAAUAAAGCACAUACCUCUCUUGAGUAACACCAAAAAAUUAUAACACCUAUUGAAUCUUGAGUAUUUAACACCUUAUCAUGACCUAACCCUAGAUCCCAUAAUCCAGGUUAAAGGUGUUUAGCCACUCAUGAUGCAAGAAACAAGUACACAAAAUGAAUUCAUAGUUGAUAAGAUAAACUUACAAUGAUAAUGAAGAUCAAAAAGUAUAACUUGAAUUGAUGCACAAGGCAAAACUCCCAAAAUAUUGGUUUUUAGAGAGAGAGAGAAAAGUAUCAUAUGGUUCCGGAAUAAUGAUAAGUCAAUGAGUCAAUGAUUCAAUGAUAAUAGAAAACCCUAAAACAAGGCUUUAAAUAGUUAACCCUAAAUAAGGAAACAAAAUAGAAGUUUCAGCUUUUUCUCAGAAUAAAUGACAGCGUCCGUGAUGGCUUAUCACAAUUCUGAAGGCCUAUCACGAAUGUCAUCAGCUUCUCUGCUCUUUUAGCUUCUGCUGUCUAAGGUUGACGACGAUGGUAAUGCCUUAUCACCAACAUAACGACAUGUCAUGGAUGUCGUCACAAAACUUUCUUCAACUUCCAUCUUCUGUUUAAGGUUGACGGCAUCCUUGACAACUUAUCAUCAGGCUAACAACGUGUCAUGGAUGUCGUCAGCCACACUUGUUUUUUAUUUUGCUUCACUUUUCAGCCUUUUAGCUUCCUUUAUUAGUGAUUCUGCUUCAUUUCUAUCUUUUCUGCAAAAUCAAAGUAAACUACUCAAAAACAACUAAAAUUGCUCAAGACCUUGCAAUUAUUUAGAGUUAAAAGCUUCAAAUAUGUUAGCAUAGGCUCACACAUCAACACCCUCAACUUAAACAAUUGCUUGUCCUCAAGCAACAAUAACAUAACUAAGAGUAUACAAAGUACAAUUUGGCAGCUAACUACUCAUAUCAGUUCAAAAUACAUGCACCAUCUCCAAGGUCAGUCAAAUUAAGAGCACUGUGUCUAUUAUUGAAAACACUCAUGCAACUCACAAGGAUCAAGAUAUGGAAAAAAUUUAAGAAAUAACAACCCAGCACAUACCCAAAUCACACUAUCCGAACAAGUUAGUGAUUAGCAACAUACCUAGUGUGCCCUCUCAACAAAGAAAUCCAUUUUUCACUCAUAUUAGAAUUCACAUACAUAAAUACAGGGAUAAAUACAAGACUCAUUCUCAGAAUGAAUUUCCAAACAUUGCGUGUUAAAUGCCAUAGACUUGCCCUUAUAGUCAGUACCCAAGUCUUCAGCCAGGUCAGUUAGGAUCACUAUAGGGAUUUUCUUAAACUUAUAAUCUAAGCCAGGGGCUGGUAUGAUAUCCAUGGAUAUUUCAGAGUGACUAUGCCUCCUUGACACUACAUUAAACUAUCGGGGUUUCAACUCUUAACCUUCUUUUCUUCCCUCUUUUAUUGAUCAUGCAUGCUCAAGAUGGUGCGGCCUUUUCAAUUAUCAGAUUAUCUUUUUAUCAUCUUUUACACAGCAUUCUCUUUUCUUUUUUCAUUUUUCCCGUACCUAAAUUUCAUUUAUUUUCCUUAGUCUACCUCUCUUCAUACGUAUUUCGCAUCAUGCACCCCUAUAAUAGCCACCCUCAACUUAGGUUGUUUGCCUAAGUCAAGGUGCAAGUGUCCAAGGAGGACCAAGGCCAAGACAGGUUCAUUGUGAUGUGAACGAGAAGGUGAGAUAUGUUAAAAAAAGAAAUAGACUAAUUAAGCUCAAAAAGGGAUCAAGGGAUACUAUGCACAUAGGGAAGGUCAUUUUGGCUAAAAGUGGAUUAAUCAGCAAAAACGGCCUAUGAUCCUUUCCUAACUCCUAUCCUAUGACCAAGGCAAGACUAACAGGGCAAGUUCUAAAUUCAACAUACAACGGGAACUGAGUAAGACCUUACACACAUGGCACAAAAUAUUUUGCAUAUCACUACUUAUCUGGUUCAUGCACUUAUUUAAUUCAGGUCAUUCUGUUGCCAUACUAAUGCCACAACAAGAUACACCAUGGUCAUAAAUGGAUGCAAUUCACACAAUACAUAAUAUCCCAGCCAAAUGGAGAGGUAAUCAAAAAUCACAAAAUAAGAUAACUACCUCAAGUACUUGUACUACUCCUAGUUAUCUAUAGAAUAUGCUACAACAAUAACCUACCCUACACCCUUAACUUAAAAUAAAAAAUAAAUUGCCCUAAGGGUUAGGGUAUACCUGAAGACAAUUAAGCACAUGGAUCCUGGGUCUCCGACCCUGCUAAUGCAUCAUCUGAUAUCUUCUUCCCACCAGGAGCAUUUGGCUUUACGGUGGUUGGAGCCCUGUUAGAUGAAGCACCAGCAGACUUAGCUCAGAUGGCUGCCUCUCAUUUCUUAGUAUCAGCCAGGGAUGCGAAUCUUUCUUUAUUCAACUCCUCCUUUUUGGCCUUAUUUUUUUCCUUCAUUUUCACUCUUCUUUCAUCCUUACUGUUUGAUUCUUCUCUCUUAUCUUUGCCCAUCUUUCCCCUUUUUCUUUUUUUCUUUGGGGAAUCUUCAGUGAGGUCAAAUAUUGGGAUUUUGUCCUUAGAUUUUUCCACAGCCGGACCUAUUGGCAUCAUAAGUUGGUGUGCUGUAAUACCCCAACAUCUACCUUUACCUUAUCCAAUAUCGCUCUGAAAUUAGCAAGAUCAUCCCCUGUCAUUUUUUUUACCCGGGCAUCAAAUCUGUUCUCCAAAUCUGUAACCUAUCCCGACAAAGUCUCAAUAGGAUCAAGGGCAUCCUUCAUUCUUUUGUCUACUGCAGUAGUAAACUAUUUGGAAAAAGCAUAUAGAUGUGCCUCACACCACUUGGCUUGCUUAGCCACUUUUCUAAUAUCAAUCGGAUAGAAUGUAAACCCUGCUGCUGCUGUAGGAACUGAGGGAUUUGGCUCUCCUCAGGCACUGAACCUGCUUGUGCUGAAGAAGUUGGUGGAACCAUCUCAAAAUCUUGCACCUCCACAUGAGGUGCUACACCGACAUUUGUGAAUGGAGGGUUUGCUUCUAUCUCUGCACCUCUAUCAAGUCUCAAUCUUGGAUGAUUAUGAUCAAAUCGUAUAGGGUUAUGAGUUUUUUGGGCAUGAACAUCUUCAUCAACUCCUGCAAUCUUUGGCACCCUAGCAGCUCGGCACAACUUUGUGAUAAUACAAGGAAAAGGAUAAGCAGUGUCGGUUCUUAGCAUCUUAAUCUUUAUGUCAUCAGUAAUAAUUUCUCCAAAGUUCAAGAGAAGCUGCUGCACCAUGCUUUAUACCAAAAUAGCCUAAUCAUCACCCAAAAUAUUAUCCCCAUCAGUAGGCAUCAACCAUACGCGCACUAUACCCCACCAAAAGUUUGCCUCUUGCAUCAGAGAGGACUUACAGAUUCUCUCAUUUGGGUUUAUCACCCAUGUUGGUUCACCUUCAACUAUGAUGUUUGCCAACCACAGAUGUUGUUUGUCCUGAUUCUUAAUUCGAGCAUAGACUGAUGGUGCGGUGUCCUGAGGAGUGAAGUCGGGCCCAUGUAAGAAUCUGUUGAUAGUUCUGAUCGAAACAUCAAUUCUUAUGCCCCUCACCUGAACUCUAUCCAACAGGGGCUGGUCUACUACUUUUUUACCUGACCUGCACAUAUUUUCUAACUGAUCUUGGUAGUUCGUGUAGAACUCCCGGACCAAUAAAAGGCAAAAUGAUCCUUCUCUUUGCUAGUCCACCCAAGCCAUAAUCUUUGAACUUCUGUUCCACUUUCGGGUACUUGCUCAACCCCUUUGUGAUAAUCAUUAUUUCUUCCUAAAUCGGCCUCUUAGCAUUCUUUCUAUCAAUUCUUCGAUGCCCAAUGGUGUAGAUGUCCUCUGCUGUAGGGAUCUGCCAUUUAGCGUUGUCUCUCACUUCAGUGUUCUUACAUUUGAUAAGAGUUCCUCGAGGUGGAGACUCUUCAUUAUUUUGUUCCUCAGUGGAUGGGGACCCAGAUGUUGUUUUCUCAGACUCAGACUCCCCAGACCCCUCCUAUUUUUCUUCUUCAGAGUCAGCAUGCUCAGACUCAUGCUAUUCAGAACCCCCUUUCUCAGAAGCAGUAUGUUUAGACCCGACCCCUCCUACUAAGAAGCUAUUGUCAUCUCAGUGUCAUCAUUGUCCUCUACCUCAACUGAUGGGGGUGGUGAAGGUUUCUUCGAACUUUGUUUCUUCUUUUGCUUUCUGAGUAGGGGUACCUCCUUUUCGUAAUCAGAUUCCUCGUCGAUGAGGUUACGACGUACACUUUCUUUGGUUGCUUUAUUUGGUGUCAUGGGACUCUUUCUUUUUGGUUCCAUUGUAAAGUUCCUGGAGACAAUAGAAGAACAUUAGUUAGCCUUCAAAAGCACAAACAUAAAUACAUUAAUCAUUUAAGCUCAUUCAUGUUUCAGGCUCUAGGUGUGACGACAAUUCUUGAUAAGCUGUCACGACUGUGAUAGCUUAUCAUAGUUUUCGUCAACCUCAGAUAGAACCCACACAAUUUUACCAACUUUUGACGACAUUAUUGACAAGCCGUCACAAUUGUAAUAUCCUAUCAAGAAUGUCGUCAACUCUAAACAGAAACUACUUUAUUUUUGUCAUCCUUUGACGACAUUCCUGAUAAGCCGUCAUGUUUGUGAUAGCCUAUCAUGAAUGUCGUCAGCUCUUAUCAGAACCCACUUUUGAUUUUAACUAAAUUUUUGGUCCCCAUUAUUUCUCAAGAUCCGCUUGAAUUCUGAUUUGUGUGCUAUCUUUUCAAACCUUGGGCCUGCACAGCAAAUCCUAGGCGCAAUUUUAUCUCCUUCUCCAAGUUGAACUUGGUUCAAGCAUCUUGGGGACCAUCCAUCAUUCUCCACAAGAACAGAAGAGUUAAAGUAGAGUAUACCUGAUGGAGCCCUUAAACUAAUGUCAUGCACAAGGGGAAGUGUGAAAUAGGAACAAUUUCUUGAUUGUGAAGUGCAAACCCACACACAAGGGAAUUUGUUUUCUUGGAGUGUUUUGCAAAGAGUAGGAAAUAAUUUAACUAAGGAAAUAAAUAAACUAAGGAAAUUAAAUAAAACUAGUGGAAAUUUGAAAAGGUUUCACAGCUGGGCUGGGUCGGAUAUACUUUAACUGGGCCCAGAAAUUAGCUUUUAAGGCUUUAGGUUGACGAUGAUUUAUGAUGGAUUAUCACGAGUGUGAUAUCCCAUCAUGAACGUCGUCACCCUUAAGUAGAGAAUGCUUCAUGCUUGGCCUAUCUGAUGACAAUUAUGAUAGCUUAUCACAGUUGUGACGGCUUGUCAAGGAUGUCGUCAUGACCUUUCAGCUGACCUUCUCCUUUUUCCACCUUCUCUAUACUGAAUCCUAAUUCUAAAAAAAUAAAAACACUUGCUUAAACAUAAAAACUUUUGGUUGCCUCCUAAUAGCACCUGAUUUACUGUCGCAACACGACUUGGUUAUCUUGACUACUCAGACUUCACCAAGACCACUAGUUGAUACCCCUUUUCCAUCAUCAUAGAUGACGUCAACAAUUGAGAAAACACUCAUCUCAUGUUUUUGAGUCAUGGAUGAGUGUAUUUUGAAGCGUGCUUCUUUGUCAUUGAACCUGAACUUCAGCUCAUUCAACUCCAUGUCUACUAGCACUCUCUCGGUUGUCAGUAAUGGCCUACCCAAGAUGAUGGGCACUUCAAAAUCUACCUCGCAAUCUAAGACCAAAAAAUCAGCAGGCAAAAUAAAAUUAGCUACCUUCACCAAAAUAUCGUGCAGUAUGCCCACAGGUAGCUUCACAGAUCUAUCUACCAUUACCGACCUCAUAUUCAUUGGGGUAGAAUCCCCAGACCCAAUUUUUUGUACACAACCAAUGGCAUUAAAUUUAUACUGGGUCCCAGAUCGCAUAGUGCUUUUGUGAACUUCAGGGGGCCAAUAGUACAUGAGAUGGUGAACGCUCUCGGAUCUGCCUUUUUCUACGUUAAAGACCUUGUAGAAAUAGCGCCGUAAUGGAGGAGAUUAUCCUCCGGCUUAUGUCUAACCUUCCGCUUCUUGGUUAUAAGGUCUUUCAUGAACUUUGCGUAGCCUAGCAUUUUCUCAAGUGACUCAACCAAAGGCACAUUAAUUGUCAAUUGCUUGAGCAUUUCCAUGAACAUGCUGAAUAUUACAUCAUCAACCUUUUUCUUCAAUCAUUGAGGAAAGGAAGGUGGUGGUCUAGGGAUAGUUUUCAACACCACUUCCUCUUCCUUAUCCUUUUCUUUCUCCGAAACAUCAACAGAACUAUCCAGCUUCUCAGACUCCACUUGACAACUUUCUUCAGAUUCAUCAACAAUUACCUCAUUAUCUACAAAUUUGCCCACCGAAGGGACAAGUAAUAUUUUACCACUCUGAGUGGUAAUAGCCAUACAUGAUCCAUCAUUCCGCGGAUUCUGAACCGUAUCACUUUGUAAAGAACCAUUUUUUUCUGAUUCAGUUUAGCGGAAAGUUGGCUCAUCUGUUGAUCUAACUGCUUGAUAGAAGCAGAGUAUGAACUAACCAACAAACUCAGGGUAGAGAAUUCACUCUUUAUAGUAGUUACCCCCAAGUUGGUAGCCUCAACUCCCUUCAACAACUUUUUCAUCAUGUCCUACUUGGACAUUUUUCCAGAGCUAGUUGUUGCAACAUCCCAACUUCCAGGAGGAAAAUAUAAACCACUCCUAUCAUUAUUGCUUCUCCAGUGUCCCUGCUCCCUAUCUUUAUAAUCUAGCUUGUCAUAAAAGUUCCGACCUUGGUUCCCUUGGCUAUUUCCUUAGAAACCCCUCUGAUUACUCACAUAGUUUGCCUCCUCAUCAGCAUUCGUAGCAAUAGUACCCUGAGAUUCCAUAGCCUUAACUUUUUCUAUCUUGCCUGACAGCAAGUGCUUGGUCAGCAAAUCCAUUUGUGUCUUCAAGUGGGCCAUGUCCUGGUAUCACUUUUCAUCCCUUUUGUGCUACUCCGCAGUCAUACCACCAGAAAUAGUCAGGCUAGCCACCACAGAAACCCUGGUGUGCUAAGCCCAACUCUUCUUUGUCAUUUUAUUCAGCAUGUCUGAAGCAUCUAAAAAGAGAGGUCACUGAACGAACCACCUGCAAUAUUGUCUAUAAUUGGCUUUGUCACAGAGUUAAAAGCUCUGUACAAAGUCUCCAUCAAGUGCAAGUCGACAUAUUAUUGUUCGGAUAUUGUGCCAGCUUCUUCUUAAACCUCUCCCAGGUUUCGUGCAAUGCUUCAGUAGGGAGCUACCUAAAAUUACUCAUUUCGUCCCUCAAUUGUACCCUCUUGGAGGGUGGAAAGAAUCGUUCUAGGAACACCACUUUCAACUGUCUCCAGUUGGUUAUAGAAUCGGGUUCUAGCUCAUUUAACCACAUUGUUGCCUCUCUAGAUAGAGACAAUGGAAAUAAUCUCAACCUGAUCGCAUUCUAGCUUACUCCCGAUUUGUCAAAAGAUUUUCAAAUGGUGAUAAAGUUCACCAAAUGCAUGUUCGUGUCAUCACCAGGCAAGCCUCUAAACAACCCCUUCAGAUUUAGGAGUUGGAUUAUGGUACUUGUUAUACUAUUUGCAACCAACAAACGUUAAUUAUAAUCUCAGAAUUACCAAGAAAUCCUAACACCUAUUGAAUCUUAAAUAUUUAACACCUUAUCAUGACCUAGCCCUAGAUCUCAUAAUCCAGGUUAAAGGUGUUUAGCCACUCAUGAUGCAAGAAACAAGUACACAAAUUGAAUUCAUGGUUGAUAAGAUGAACUUACAGUGAUAAUGAAGAUGAAAAAGUAUAACUUGAAUUGAUGCACAAGGGAAAACUCCCAAAAUAUUGGUUUUUAGAGAGAGAGAGAAAAGUAUCAUAUGGUUCCAGAAUAAUGAUAAGUUAAUGAGUCAAUGAUUCAAUGAUAAUAGAAAACCCUAAAACAAGGCUUUAAAUAUUAACCCUAAAUAAAGAAACAAAAUAAAAGUUUUAGCUUUUUCUCAAAAUAAAUGACGGCAUCCGUGACGGCUUAUCACAAUUCUUACGGCCUAUCACAAAUAUCGUCAGCUUCUCUGCACUUUCAGCUUCUUCUGUCUAAGGUUGACGAUGAUUGUGAAACCUUAUUACCAACAUGACGACGUGUCAUGGAUUUUAUCACAAAACUUUCUUCAACUUCCAUCUUCUAUUUAAGGUUGACGGCAUCCUUGACAUCUUAUCACCAGGCUGACGACGUGUCAUGGAUGUCGUCCGCCAUACUUGUUUUUUAUUUUGCUUCACUUUUCAGCCUUUUUGCUUCCUUUAUUAGUGGUUCCCCUUCAUUUCUACCUUUUCUGCAAAAUCAAAGUAAACUAAUCAAAAACAACUAAAGUUUCUCAAGACCUUACAAUUAUUUAGAGUUAAAAGCUUCAAAUGUGCUAGCAUAGGCUCACACAUCAUAGUCAAAGAAACUAGAUCAACAUCAACUAGGUUCUCACUACUCUGACAAUCAAACUGCUUAGCUUUGUGAAAAUCCUCAAUUGUUUGUUCUUCAAAGAACACAACAUCAGGACUUCUAACAAGUUUCUUCUCAACUGGAUCAUAGAAACGAUAGCCAAAUUCAUCUUGACCAUAACCAAUGAAGAUACACUGCAUAGUUUUAAAAUCCAACUUUGACCUCUCAUCUUUAGAAAUAUGUACAAAAGUUUUACACCUAAAGACUCUAAGAUAAUCAUAAGAAACAUUAUUUCCAGACCAAAUGUAACUCCCCAAAACUAGGUCCUGAGAUGUCACACCGUGAUUAAGGCUACAAGUAGCCCCAAGAUAACCAUUUGAGCCUGCUACUACUUCUAAAUUCUUAAAUCAGGAUACUGAGUCUAACUGAGAUAUAUCUAAUCAUAGUCCAACUUAAAUAUGAAAGAGUACUAUGAAUGUAACAAAAUACUGAAUGUCUAAACACACUGACCAUCUAGUCUAACAAAGCCUCUAUUACUUCAUAAACUAGAGAGCCAUUGGGACAGAUCCCCAACAGACUCGAACUAAUUUGAAAAUAGUAAAACAUAUGCUAAAGAUACAAAAAUAUCCAAAGAUAUGUCCUCAAAUUAUGAGGACUCACCACUGCUGAGAUGUAGAUGAAAGUGAUAGGAAAUCACUGAUGAGGCUGGGACUGAACACCUGAACCUACAUUAUAAAAAAAUUUAGCACACAGACAAGUAUAUGAAUCAGUACCUUGAGAAUGUACUGAGUAUAUGUGGGUGUAUUCAUUUGUAUAAAACAAUAUCACAAUUCUUUACAAAAAAUAUAUAUGCAAAUACAGAUGACUCACAUAGCUUGAGUAAAGCCUUCAUAAAUCAUGAAUAGGAAGUAUGUAAGUAGGUCACGUGGGUCAUUUCACUCAGUUCUAAUACUUGUAUUAUUUCUUUGUUCUCAAACUUGUAAUUUAAUGAGACCUUAAAAUAUCAACUUCCAAGAUGUACAUGAUGUGUGAGCAAAAGCUAACACAUUUAAUGUUUUUUGGCUCAAAACAAUUACGAAAUCUUCAAAAACUUUUGUUAUUUUAAUGUGUUUUCUAGCAAAUUUGCAGAAAAAGGUAAAAAGACAGAAAAUAAACAACAUCAGAGCAAAAGAGUUAAAAACUGAGCAAAAAGGAGAAGGAGGCAUGGCUGAUGACAUCACUGAUAAGUCGUCAACCUUGUAAUAGGCUAUCAAAAGCGGCGUCAUCCUUAACCAAAAACUUGAGCCUAAGAGGAAUUUUAGAUGACGUUGGUGAUAAGGCGUCAAGAUGGUGAUAAGGCAUCAUGAAGGGCGUCAGCCUGAACCAGAGAAUUAAGCUUAAUGAAGAAAGCUGACGACGUUUGUGAUACGCCGUCAGAUCGGUGAUGUGGCGUUAGCUAAAUCAUCAGCCUAAGACAAAUUUUAAAGGAAACUAGAGCAUUUAUGAUGCCAUCCGUGAUAAGGCAUCACGCUCCUGACGUGGCGUCAGCGACAGCGUCACCUAAUCCGAGAUUUAAUUUGAUUUGUUAUUUUAUUUCCAUAAUUAGGGUUAAGUAUAAAUAGGAGUUUUUAGGGUUUUAUUAAACAUCUUUUGAGCAAUCUUCCUAAACUUUUAUUCAAUCUUCUUUAAUCCUUGAAACUCUUAAUCUUUUUGGGAACACUUAUCAACUAAUUGUGGAUAUUUAUUUUUUGUGAUUGAAUUGAAGGAACGACUUGUUGUUUUUCAUACAUUCUUAAGUUUACUUAUAUUAUUAUGAAUUCAACUUGUUCUUUCGUUCAUCAAAUCAUGAGCGGCUAAUUCUAUUAGCCGGAGUUAUGGGAUCCAUGGAUUAGGGUUUGACAUAAUGCUAGGUGUUUAAUAGAUUUAAAGAAUAGUAGAACAUCUUGAAAUUCUGUUGUUUAACUGAAAUCUAGUGGUUGCAAACAUUAGAUUAUGCCUUAGGUUUUAUUUACUUCUAACGGAGAAAUAGACUAGAGGUCGUGAAUUAUCAACAAGGACUCGGGAGCUACCAACCCAUGUUGAACAUAGCUUUGGUUUUCCAUUUAGAUUGAGUACAAAUACUAAAAUACUAAAAGUGAAAAUUCAUUUAUUGUUCAACUUAAACCCCCAUUUUCGAAAACAUUAAACUACCAGUAAAGUAUUUCGUAAAUAAAUUAAAGUUCACACCCUAUUCCCUGUGGUAUUUGACCCCAACCUAGUUGGUUUUUAUAUUGACAACGAUCACUUACACCCAUUCAAGAGUGUAAUUUAAGCGUUAUCAAAAAUGGCGCCGUUGCCGGGGAAUACGAUUGUAGACUAAAAUUUUGUGCGCAAAAAUUUACUGAUAGUUAAGUUUCCUUGAUUUACGUUUAUUUGUUUUUUUGUUACUUUUAGGUACUAUGUUGUUUAUACGAAAAAUGAGAAUUUUCGGAGAACCACUAUUACCAAUCAACCCGGAACCUCAACUGAUAGGGAGAAUGGCAGAACAACAGGAAGAAGAAAGACUAGUUGCUUUAGCCAGGGCUCAAGUAAAUGUGCAAAAUUUGGGUCAACAAGCAUGUCAUCAAACCCUGAUGAUGAAGACUUAGAUGAUGAGGAAUUUCUGAAUCCUCAAAACCCAAGGCGAGCGGAGCAAGUUGCUGCACCAGUGCAGCAAAACAUCAACAAAAAUCAUCCAGUCUGAGGAAGAUAUCGUCAAAAUCCUAUGCAAUAUGAGUUAGAUGAAGAUGAUGAAGGAAUGGACGAAGCUGGUGCAACGGGUGCUAUCAUUCUGCCACCGUUGGCACUAGGUGCGAAAUUCAGCAUAACAAGUACCAUGAUCCAACUCUUGAAUCUAAAGGGGUUGUUUGGAGGCUUGCUCGGUGAUGAUCCAAACAUGCAUUUGGUGAACUUUAUCACCAUUUACAAAUCCUUUGACAAUCUGAGAGUGAGCCAGAAUGCGAUCAGGCUGAGAUUGUUUCCUUUGUCUCUGUCUGGGGAGGUAACAAUGUGGAUAAAUAAGUUAGAGCCUGAUUCUACAACCAACUAGAGACAGUUGAAAUAUGUGUUCCUAGAAUGAUUCUUUCCACCCUCCAGAAGGGUACAGUUGAGGGACGAAUUAGCAACUUCAGACAGCUUCCGACUGAAGAACUGCACGAAACCUGGGAAAGAUUUAAGAAAAAACUUGCACAGUGUCUGAACCAUAAUAUGACGGAUUUGCACUUGAUGGAGACUUUGUACAGAGCUUUUAACUCUGUGAUGAAUCCUAUUAUUUACAAUGCUACAGGUGGUUUGUUUAUUGACCUCUCUUUUCUAGAUCCUUCUGACAUGCUGAAUAGAAUGACCAAGCUGAGUCGGGCUUGGCGCACUAGGGAUUCUGUAAUGGCUAGCCUGACUAUUACUGGUGGUAUUAUUGCAGAGUAGAAUAGAAAGGAUGAGGAUCGAGAUCAACACAUAGCCUAUUUCAAGAUGCAGAUGGACUUGCUGGCAAAACACUUUCUAUUCGAUAAGACUGAAAUGGUUAAGGCUGUGGAAUCUCAGGGUGCUGUGUCUGUAGGUGUUAAUGCUGAGGCAAAUAAUAUGAGUAAUCAGGGAGAUUUCCAAGGCAAUAGCCAAGGGAACCAAGGUUUUACUUUUUAUUACAAGCUUGAUUAUAAAGAUAAGGAGCAGGGACAUUGGAGAAAUAAUAAUGACAGGAGUGGUUUGUAUAUUUCUCCUAAAAGUGGGGAUGCUGCGACAACUAGUUCUGGUAAGAUGUCCAUGGAGGACAUGAUGGAAAAGUUUUUGAAGGGAGUUGAGGCAACCAACUCAGGGGUAACUAAUAUGAAAAGUGAGUUUUCUACCCUCAGUCAGUUGGUUAGCUCACACUCUGCUUUUAUUAAGCAGUUAAAGCAGCAGAUGAGACAACUUUUGGCUACUCUGAACCAUAGAAAAGAUGGUACUUUACCUAGUGAUAUGGUUUAGAACCCAUAGACUAAUGGCUCUUGUAUGGCGAUUACCACUCAGAGUGGUAAGAUGUUAUUUGGCCCUUCUAUGGGCAAAGCUGUGGAAAAGGAUAUGAGUGUUGAUGAAUCAGAAGGAAGCAAUCUAGUAGAGUCUGAGAAGCUAGAUGGCUUUGUUGACAUUUCAGAGAAAGAAGAUGAAAAUAAAGGGGAUGUGGUAUUGAAACAAAUGCCAAGACCACCACCUUCAUUUCCCCAGAGAUUGAAAAAGAAAAAAGAUAAUGAGAAAUUUAGCAAGUUCAUGGAAAUACUAAAAUAACUGACAGUGAAUGUGCCAUUGAUGGAGGCAUUUGAUCAAAUGCCAAACUAUGCUAAAUUUAUGAAGGAAUUGCUAACAAAGAAGUGGAAGGUAAUCUGUGAGCUGGUGGGCAACAUCCAUCAUUGUGGUGUUGUUUCUUCACAAUCCUUAGUGCAGAAAAAGCCUGACCCUGGAGCAUUUACUGUACCAUGCACAGUUGGAUCCAUGAAGUUUACCAAAGCUUUAUGUGAAUUAGGAGCAACUAUUAAUUUGAUGCCACUUGAUAUCUACAAGAAGCUUGGAUUGGGGAAGCCUAUCCCCACAACGAUGCAUCUUGUUAUGGCAGACAGAUCAGUGAAACGACCAGUUGGUAUAUUGAAUUAUGUGCCAGUAUAAGUGGAUGACUUUAUUUUGCCUGCAGAUUUUGUGAUAUUGGAUUGUGAUGUUGGUUUUGAGGUACCCAUCUUUUUGGAUAGACCGUUAUUAGCCACGGGAAGAGUAUUAGUUGAUAUGGAGCUCAAUGAGCUCAAAUUUAGGUAUGGAAAAAAGGAGGCCAAAUUCAAAAUGUAACCUCCUAUGAAACAGUUGGAGGAGAUGAAUAUCUUCUCGGUCGUUGAUGUAUUCCAGGAAAAUAGUAAUGAGGUAGUGAUAUGACAUCUUGACGAAGUUUGAAUAGUCGAGAUAAACAAGUCGUGCUGCGAUACUAAAUUAGGCGCCUUUGGGAGGCAACCCAAAAUUUUAUUUUCAUGCAUUUUGUUUUAUUAAUUUAGGUAGUAAUAAAAAGGAACUGAAGAGGUACAAAGAAGUCAAGGUAAAAACUGAAGAAAGCGAGCCAAGCGGUCUUGACGACAUUCGUGAUAGGCUAUCACAACUCAAAAAGAAGAAACUUGAGUUCAAGUGUAACAACAUGGAAAUCGGAAAUUAGGGUUAAGUUGUGCCUAAAUUACAAAAAUUUAAAACCCCAAGUACAAAAGCAAAAAUUCCAUGUGGUUAUACGAAGAAUUUGGUCCCAAAAUUUAGAAUGCAAACUAAGUGGGAAAAAUGCUGAGCUAACGACGUUGCUGAUAGGCUAUCACUAGCGUGACGCCUUAUCAGCUUAUGUCGUCAAAAAAUUAGAAAAAGGGAGCAUUCACUGUUUACGGCGGACGAUCUACCUGAUAGGCUAUCACAACUGUGAUGCCUUAUCAGGAAUGUCAUCAUAAGCUUGAAAGAAGUAUUCCAAUUCUAUUUAAGACUGAUGACAUUGUUGAUAGGUUAUCAUAAAUGUGACGCCUAAUCAGCCAUGUCGUCUCACAAUGAUGAUAAUGCUAAGUGAACUUGAAAAGCAUGUUUUGACUGUUAUACCUUCAUUAUUAACUUAUGUUUGUAUUAUGGUCCAGGAAUACUCUAAUGGCACCUAAAAGAAAGAAUCCUAACACUCCAAAGAAAGCUGCCAAGCCCAAGGUGGUUUGCAAGCUUAUUGAUGAAGACUCUGAUUAUGAAGAUGAAGAACCACUGCUCCGGUGGAGGAGAAAUAAACCCAGUCCAAAGGCACCUCCUCCACCUAAACCUAUCGCGGUGGAGGAUAGUGAUGACACUGACACCACCAUCCUAGCUGAGACUGAAUAUUCUGAGCAAGAGGGUUCUAAGAAAACUGAGUCUGAACAGCCUAAGUCUGAGAAGGCUAAAUCUGAAGAAUCAGAGGUAAAAGAUGUUAAGUCUGACAAAUCUGAUUUUGAGGAACCAUUCUCUAAAACUCCCUCGGCUGAGAAUCAAGUUGAGAAGGAACCCUCAGCUCAGGGAACUUUGAUAAAAUGUAAGAAUCCUGAGAUUCGAGAGAAUGCUUGAUGGCAGAUCCCUGAAGCAGAGGACAUCUUCCUCAAGGAUAUGAUUAGAACAAAAAGAAAAUCUGUUAGUAUCUCAAGAGAAAAGAGUCAUCAUCACAGAAUUUCCUGGGUAUCCUGCAGUUGAGAAGAAAUUCAGAGAUUAUGGGCUAGGAUGGACUGCUAAGGGAGGUGAACCAUGUUGUCCUACAUUAGUUCGGGAGUUCUAUGCGAACUACCAGGCUAGAUUAGAGAGCAUGUGUAAGAAUGGAGAGACCACAGCAGACCAGCCUUUGCUAACCAGAGUUCCAGUUCGUGGGUUAAAUAUAGAUAUUUCUGAUACGACUAUCAACAGAUUUCUACAUGGACCCAACUUCAUUCCUCAGGUCACAAAUCCUACAUUCUACCAUCGUCUGAAGAGUAAGGAUGACUAGCGUCCUUGGUUAGCUACACUUAUAGCUGAGGGAGAUCCUUUAUGGCUGAACCAACCUAGUGAGCGUAUCUACAAGACUUCUUUGACUUAAGAGGAAAAAUUCUGGUGAGGUGUUGUGUGCACCUAUUUAAUGCCAACCGAUGGAGCUAAUAUUCUGGGUGAUGAUCGAGCGAUAUUGGUCACAUGUCUUGUGUCCAACCUGAAGCUAAAUUUUGGAGAGAUCAUUGCUGAAGUGAUCAAGAUUCGGGUAACAAGGUCUGACACUGCUUACCCAUUCCCUUGUCUUAUUACCAGGCUAUGCAUAGAGGCAAGGGUACCAUAUAUUGCUGGGAUUGAUGAUACGUUGUAUACCACUAAGACCCACAACCCUAUUUGCUAUGAGGAAAAUCAGCCAAGGCUGACACUUGAUAGAGGGGUAAGGGUUGAGGUGAACCCAUCAGUUGCAGGCCCUAGUUCAGUAUCUAAAGUAAAUGUGCAAGCUUCUGAGGCUGUACAGACAGGCUCAGUUACUGAGGAUUAUCCAGUUCCAUUAGUUCCUAUAGCACCAGCAAAAGCUUCAUCCCAGUCUAUUGAUAUAAAAAAAGUGGCCAAACAGGCCAGAUGGUGUGACAUGAAGCUAUGUGCCUUUGUUGAGCAGUUUGUUGCUGCUGUAGAUAAGAGAAUCAAGGCUACUCUUGAGCCCUUUGCUUCUUUUCCUGCACGGGUUGCAGAUCUGGAGAACCAUUUUGAGAAAGGGCACAAGAGUUGACUGGAGUAGAGCUUGCUGAAUUCAGAGUGGCCCUAGAGAAGGUAAAAUUUAAUAUGGUAGUGGUAUAGUAGCACCAGUUUAUGAUGCCUGCAGGGCAGUCAGCUGAAGAAUCUAAAGAUGAACCCUCAAUCCUUGAUCUCACUGCGGAGCCAGUGAAAAAGAAAUAGAAAAAAGACAAAGAAACUAAAAAAGGUAAGAGAAAGAGAUAAGAAGAUGAUAAGAAUGAGAGCAAAGCAGAGAAAAAGGCAAAGAAGAAGAAGAAAACAGAGAAGACACUAUAGGACGAUGAUGAGCUAACAGAACAAGAGAAGGUGGGUCUGAAAAAAAUAAUGAAAGCAUCCCGAGAGGACAACUAGAAAUGGGAAGAAGCACUGUGAGCGAGGGCUAUAGCAGCCUCAUCUAGCAGAGCAGCUGAACCGAAGCACAGAGAAGCUCUUGAUGAGGAUGACACUGCUGCAGGGUUAAGGACCCAUGAUUUGAGACUUGAUUGACUCCAGGUACACCCUAACCCUUAGUUUCAUUUUGUUUAAAUUUAAGUUGAGGGUGUAUGGUAGUAUGUUGUUAUAGCAUAUUCUGUAAAUAACUAAGAGUAGUGCAAUUUCUGUAGGCAGUUAAUUGAUUUUGUGAUUUUGAAUACCUCUCCGAAGGUUUGUUUUGCAUGACUGUGUGAAUUGCAUCUUAGUGUGAACACUGUGCAUCUCAUCAUGGCAUUCAUUUAGUUACUUGAUCAUCACUACUGAACAAUUGCAUGAACCAAAUAGGUAGUAGCCAGUGAUAUUGCUUAUGUGCCAUGUAUGUGUGAGAAUAUACCGAGUUCUCUUUUUGUAUUGCCAAAUCUAGAACUUUCCCGGUUUGUCUUACCGUAGUUGAAAGAUAGGGGUUAGGAAAAGAUCAUAGGCCAUUUUUGAAUUUCAGUCACAGUUAGCCUAAAUGACCUUUCUGUAAUGCCUGAUAUCCCUUGAUCCCUGUUUGAGCCUUAAUUGACCAUUUUCUUUCUAUCAUACAUAUCACCUUCCCCUUUUUAAUCAUAAUGAACCUAUUUUGGCCCUAGUCCUCCUUGGACACUAUGCACCUUGACUUAGGCAAAUAACUUAAGUUGAGGGUGGCUAUCAUAGGGGUGCGUGAUAUAAAUUGGGAAUGAAGAAGGGUUGAGUAAAAUAAAAAGAAUAAGUGAGCAAGAAAUAGAUGACUGGGGUGUUGGUGAAAACAGAGUUAAAAGGGGACAUUUGUUGAAUCAAAAGAAAAAAAAACACCCAGUCUGAAUAUGUGAUAAAGGGAAAAAGAAAAGAAAAAAAAAGAGUAAAAAAAAGAGGUUAACAAGUAGACCCCACAAGUUUGGUAGUGCCAAGGAGGGCAGUAUCUCUAAAUGCCAUGUAAUUCCAUACCAUCCCCUAGCCUACGUUACAAGCCAAAGAAAGCCCUAUAGUGAUCCUAGCUUACCGGUCCAGCCACUUUGGUAAUGACGAUAAGGGCAAGCAUAUGGUAUUUGGCAUACACUGGUUGAACUUCAUUCUGAGAGUGAGUGUUUUAUGAUCAUCCCCGUGCUUAUAUUUUGACUUUUUAUGAGAGAGAAAGGGGAAUUUCCUUAUUGUGAGGGCACACUAGUAUUUUUCUAGGUUGCUUACUUGUUUUGGGGUAGUGACAUAUUGAUACAUGUAUAAUUGAUGGUAUUUAUCUGCUGCCAUAGCCAGAAUCCUUUGUGUUAUACUGCUGCUUUUCAAAUGAUCUAUACAGUUAGUUUUAAAGUAGUUAACCUUGGAGAUGGUGACUGAGUUUUGAGCAAAAAUGGUUGUUGAUUGCUGAAUGAGUUGUAGACUCUCUUAGUUGUUUUGUUGCUUGAGGACAAGCAACUGUUUUAAGUUGAGGGUGUUGAUGAGUGAGAAAAAGCUAACACAUUUAAUGCUUUUUGGCUCAAAACAAUUGUGAAAUCUUUAGCAACUUUUGUUGCUUUAAUGUGUUUUCUAGUGAAUUUGCAGAAAAAGGUAAAAAGAUGGAAAAUAAACAACAUCGGAGCAAAAAAGUUGAAAACUGAGCAAAAAGGAGAAGGAGGCAUGGCUGACGACAUCGUUCAUAAGUUGUCAGCCUUGUGAUAGGCUAUCAGAAGUGGUGUUAGCCUUAACCAAAAACUUGAGCCUGAGAAGAAGUUCUGAUGACGUUGGUAAUAAGGCGUCAAGAUGGUGAUAAGGCGUCACGAAGGGCAUCAUCCUUAACCAGAGAAUUGAGCUUGAUGAAGAAAUCUGACGAAGUUGGUGAUACAUCGUCAGAUCGGUGAUGUGGCAUCAGCUAAAUCAUCAGCCUAAGACAAAUUUUGAAGGAAACUAGAGCAUUUAUGACGCCAUCCGUGAUAAGGCGUCAGUCUCCUGACGUGGCGUCAGCGACGGCGUCACCUAAUCCGAGAUUUAAUUUGAUCUGUUAUUUUAUUUCCAUAAUUAGGGUUAAGUAUAAAUAGGAGUUUUUAGGGUUUUAUUAAACAUCUUUUGGGCAAUCUUCCUAAAAUUUUAUUCAAUCUUCUUUAAUCCUUGAAACUCUUAAUCUUCUUGGGAACACUUAUCAACUAAUUGUUGAUAUUUAUUUUUUGUGAUGCAAUUGAAGGAACGACUUGUUGUUUUUCAUACAUUCAUAAGUUUACUUAUAUUAUUAUGAAUUCAACUUGUUCUUUCGUUCAUCAAAUCAUGAGCGGCUAAUUCCAUUAGCCGGAGUUAUAGGAUGUAUGGAUUAUGAUUUGACAUGAUGCUAGGUGUUUAAUAGAUUUAAAGAAUAGUAGAACAUCUUGAAAUUCUAUUGUUUUAACUGAAAUCUAGUGGUUUCAAACAUUAGAUUAUGUCUUAGGUUUUAUUUGCUUCUAACGGAGAAAUAGACUAGAGGUCGUGAAUUAUCAACAGGGACUCGGGAGCUACCAACCUUCUGUUUAAUGAUUAAUGCUGUAACUGGAUUAAUCUACAUGAGAUAACAUCCUAUUGGAAAUAAAUUAGUUAUUUAAGUUCGAGAGAAUUAGAUAAUAAAUUGUCUGGUGAGGUCGAGAGAUAAGUCAGAUAGUAUAGUCGUCAGGGAUAUUCUGUUGUUCCUACUUACUUCGAGAAUCUCAAGCAUUACCUAGUAUCUGUCAAUUCCCAAAACCCAUGGUGGACAUAACUCUGGUUUUCCAUUUAGAUUGAGUACAAACACUAAAAUACUGAAAGUGAAAAUUCAUUCAUUGUUAACUUAAACCCCCAUUUUUGGAAACAUUAAACUACCAGUAAAGUAUUUCAUAAACAAAUUAAAGUUCAUAGCCUAUUCCCUGUGGGAUUCGACCCCAACCUAGUUGGGUUUUAUAUUGACAACGAUCGCUUACACCCAUUCAAGAGUGUAAUUUGAGCGUUAAUGUGAGAGUUUCACAAUACAUAUACUUUCAAACUCAUACUUUCACAUUAAGUAGGAUAAAACCUCCUUAAAACUCAAAGACUUAAGACUUUAGAAACUUUAAGACUUGGAUGCUUAGAAACUUGGGAGCUUUUUCUAACCGACAUAAACUAUGUGAGCUAAAUGGAGUCCAACGUCUUGCCCACGUUGGAGAAAGUUGUUCUAUCCUUGUCCUUGGAUUAGAAACUUUUCCUUGUAGUGAUCACUAACUUAACCCACUUAGGGUGAAUCAGAAACCUACGGGGGAACGUAGUUCUGGGGCAUGUGAACUUGGAAUCAAGCCCAACUCAGUGCUAAAUACUACUCUCUGACUUAGCUCAAAACUUGUAAGAAAAUCCACCUUAAGCAGCUCAAAGAUAUAUAUUGGGGCCAAUCAUGCCACCCUUUAACUUAAACAACAUUAAGUGGAUUCCUUUCUUAGCUUAGACUCAAAAUCAACUCCUUUCUUUAAACUUUGAUAGAUUAUCUUUAACAAGUAUCAAAACUUCAAUGACAUGGAGAUAUCAAUACCAUUCUCGAAAUACUAUGGAAUAUGUCAAAAUUCAUUCUUGGACCUUAAGACAUGCAUACAUAUUCAAGAAAUCUCAAUUCAAAAUAAGGGUAAUUCAUGACUUCAACCUUAAAAGUAUUCAAAAAUCAAUCAUUAAAUGAAUAUGCAAUCCAUGAUAUUAAUUCUCAAUUCAAAAUAAUAAAAUAGGUGAGAUAUCAUAUAAUUCAUGACUUGAACAAAUCCAUAAUCUCAUAUACUUGAAAUAUAGCAAUUUAAGCAUAGUUCAUCUUAAAAAUAUUAAAAUCUUUAAGAAAAUCAAAAACUUUGGGCACAAGAAAGAAAGGGUGUUCUUGUUCAAACCCCACAUACCUUAAACUUGAAGAUUUGGAUGAACUCUUAACCUCGGAGUGGUAUAUGCGAAGUUAUUGGGUGUAUCUUGUAGCCCUCGCAACGGGGAAUUCGAAUAUGGAAGAAUUAUGGAAAUUCCACAGUUGAAUAUUAAGAUAUUUUCAUUUUUAGAUUGAAACCCUAAGGAAUGUUAUUGGUGAAUUUUGAUGAAAGUGGAUGUAUUUUGGUGUUUUAGGGAAUAAAUCCCUUGUUAGAGUUGAUAAGGGGAUUGAAAAUACCAAGAUUACCCUUAAUGAGAUGGGUUAAAUGCUGAAUUUCCCAGGUGCGCGCAGCAAAGCAUGCAUCGCAUGCUCUAUCCCACCGGAUUGGAGCAUGUGUCGCAUGCUUCGUCGCAUGGUGCCAGGUUGAGAUGGACCAUGGGACGCAUGCAAAUCGCAUGAUGCUCUGUUUUUGAAAUCCAAGCGCGCCCUAAACGAGGUCCAAAAAUUUUGAAACUCACCCGAGAUAUACUAUAGACUUGCCCCAUCGCAACGCAAUAAAAAAAUCAAUAAAUGGAGGUCGAGAAGGUCACGAAAUAAUUCAUCGAAGUUUCAAAGGCUCAAAAUAAACUAAGUGUUGGACACUUAGCUAAAAUUCUAAGUGUAAAACUUCUUGUGACUCAUUUUUGAAAGCUUUAAUGAUGAGGAAACUUUGCGGGGUCGUACAAUAUCUCCCCUUUGGGAACAAUAAUUUGGAGAAUGCAAUAACUUAUAAUAAGAAUGGAUUUAUAGCAGCAACUUUGACUAGAAAAAGGCUGAAUUAAGAAAGAAUGGUACCUUCAACUUGAUCUGAACUUGUGGAGAAAAGGUGCGGGUACUUGGCUCGCAUGUCUGCUUCUGCUUUCCAAGUAGCCCCUUAAUUGACUGAUUUUGCCACAAUACUUUGACCAAGGUAAGUUCUUUGUUCCUUAGUCUACGGACUUGAUGAUCUAGAAUCUCUACCGAAGCCUCUUCAAAAGAAAGACUAGUUCAAAUAUCAGUGCUCUCUGAAGAAUCUACUACCAUAGAGUUACCAAUGUUCUUCCUAAGCAUGGAAACAUGAAAGACAGGAUAAAUAACUGACAGUUCCGCAGGUAACUCAACUUCAUAGGGUACUCACCCAACACAACUUCGGAUCCUGUAGGGGCCAACAUACCGGGGACUGAGCUUCCCUUUUUUCCAAACCUUUUCAUCCCUUUUAUGGUGAAAUCUUCAGAUAUACUAAAUCAUUAACUUUAAACUCAAGGUCUCUUCUCCUCACAUCGGCAUAAGACUUCUGAUGACUUUGAGCUAUUUUUAACCUCCCUCUAAUCAGCUUAACCUUCUCCAUAGCCUUGAAUACUACAUCAGGUCUAGUUAAAGAAGCUUCACCCACUUCAAACCAACCUAUGGGUGAUCUAUAUCUCCUACCAUAGAAAGCCUCAGAUGGUGCCAUCUGGAUGCUAGAGUGAUAACUAUUGUUAUACGCAAACUCAAUAAGUGGCAAAUGGUCAUCCCAACUACCUUUGAAAUCAAGAGCACAUGCUCUCAACAAAUCCUUUAAGGUUUGGAUAGUUCUCUCGGCCUGACCAUCGGUCUGCAGAUGAAAAGCGGAACUCAAAUGAACUUGGGUACCAAGACCCUUCUGAAAAGCCCUCCAAAAUUGCGAAGUAAAUUGAGUACCCCUAUCUGAAAUAAUAGACACAGGAACUCCAUACAGCCUGACUAACUCCUAAAUAUAUAGUCUAGCAUAAUCGUCAGCAGUAUAAGAUGUAUGAACGGGCAAGAAAUAUGAUAACUUGGUCAACCUAUCCAUAACAACCCAAAUCAAAUCAUGAUGACGCCGACAGAGAGGUAAACCAGUCAUGAAAUCCAUAUUCACCUCUUUCCACUUCCAAGUGGGUAUACUAAACUCUUGCAUCAUACCACCAGGUCUUUGGUUCUCUACCUUAACCUGUUGGCAUGUUGCAUAUUUUUCUACAAAUACUGCUAUAUCCUUCUUCAUACAACUCUACUAACAGAUUUCACAUAAAUUGCGGUACAUCUUGGUAGCAUCAGGAUGAAUGAAAUAUCGCGCGUCAUGUGCUUCAGCCAUAAUUCUUUGCCUCAGAUCAUCAAUAUCAGGAAUGCAUGGUCUACCCUAAAAUCUCAGCACACCAUCUCCCUUUUGGGAGAAAACCUCCAUUUUUUGGUCCUUGGCACACUCCUUCAGUCUGACUAAACUAGCAUCUAAGUCAUGCUUCUCCUUCACUUCCUAAACUAAAGAGGAUUUGGAACUACUCUGCACUAACAUACUCCCUUCAGCGAAAUCAAGCAACCUAACACCUAAUCUAGCCAAACAAUGCACAUCACGAGCUAACUCCUUCUUACCUACCUCUACAUGUAAAACACUACCUAUAGACAACCUGCUAAGGGAAUUUUCCACUACAUUAGCCUUGCCCGGAUGAUACAGCACACUCAUAUCAUAGUCUUUUAAUAAUUAUAACCACCUCAUCUAUCUAAGAUUCAACUUCUUCUUAGUCAACACAUACUACAGUUUUUUGUGAUCAGUGAAAACAUCAACAUACAUACCAUACAAAUAAUAUCUCCAGAUUUUCAGGGCAAACACUACAGCAGCUAACUCAAGAUCAUGAGUUGGGUAAUUCUUCUCAUGAGGUUUCAACUGUCUGGAGGCAUAAGCUAUAAGUUUACCUCUCUGCAUCAACACACAACCCAAACCAACUAUAAAAUUAUCACAAUACACCAUAAAACCAUCCAUACCAUCAAGCAAAGUCAACACAGUAGCUGAAGUAAGUCGAGUCUUCAACUUCUAAAAACUCUUCUCACAGGAAUCUGAUCAAAGGAACUUAACUUUAUUUUUGGGUCAACCAGGACAUGGGAGACGCAAUAGAAGAGAAACCUUUAAUAAAACGGUGGUAAUAGCCAAUUAGACACAAGAAACUCCUAAUAUCAGAUGGAGAAAUAGGUCUAGUCCAAUUUCUUACAACUUUUCUCUUUUAGGGAUCAACUCUAAUGCCUUCGGCUGUAAUAAUAUAACCUAAAAGAGCUAUGGACCUUAGCCAAAACUCAUACUUACUGAAUUUGACGAACAACUGGUGAUCUCAAAGAGUUUGCAAGACAAUUCUAAGGUGAUCUACAUGGUCACCCUCACUUCGGGAAUACACAAGGAUAUCAUCUAUAAGUACUAUAACAAAUAUGUCUAAAUAUUAUUUGAACACUCGAUUCAUGAGGUCCAUGAAAGCUGCUGGAGCAUUAGUUAGUAGUUAACCCAAAGGACAUAACAAGAAACUCAAAUUGAUCAUAGCGGGUUCGAAAGGCUAUCUUUGGAAUAUCACAUCCUCUCACUUUAAUUUGGUGAUAGCCGGAUCUAAGGUCUAUUGUAGAGAAGUAACUUGCACCUUGCAACUGAACAAAUAAAUCAUCAAUCCUAGGAAGAGGGUACUUAUUCUUGAUAGUGACCUUAUUAAGCUGAUGAUAGUUAAUGCGCAUACGCAAAGAACCAUUCCUCUUCCGCAUGAAUAGAACAGGUGCACCCCAAGGAGAGACACUAGGCCUUAUAAAACCUUUAUGUAAAAUAUAUUUGAGUUGCUUUUUCAACUCCUAAGCUCUAUAGGUGCCAUACGAUAGGGAGGAAUAGAAAUAGGCUGUGUGUCAGGAAGAAUAUCAAUCCCAAACUCUAUCUCUCUAUCGAGAGGUACCCCUGGGAGAUCUUCUGAAAAAACAUCAGGAACCGAAUUUACAAUGUUAACUGACUACAUAGUUGGAGCCUCAAACUUAGUGUCUUUAACUCUAACUAAGUGGUGGAUAAAACCUUUGUAUAUAAGUUUUUUGGCUUUUAGAUAUAAGAUAAAAUGACUCUUGGGAGAUACUGAACUCCUUGACCACUCAAAAAUUGGUUCAUCAGGAAACUGAAACUUGACUACAUGGGUACGACAAUCUAUAGAUGCAUAGCAAGAGUGAAGGCAGUCCAUACCUAGAAUAACCUCAAAAUCAACCAUAUCCAACUCUAUUAAAUCAACAAGUAUGACUCUAUGAACAAUAGUAACAGGACAAUUCUUAGACACUUGUUUAGCAAUGACUGACUCCCCUACUAGAGUAGAAACUAGGAAAGGCUCGGGAAUCUUUUCGAGAUUUAUUUCAAAGUUCACAGCAACAAGUGGGGUCACAUAAUAAAAGCUUGACCUGGGGUCCAAUAACAUAUAAACAUCAAAGUGAAAAACACAGAGCAUACCAGUAAUAAUAUCGGGAGAAUUAUCCUGCUCAUGACGGGAAGGUAAGGCAUACAAUCUGUUCUGGCUCUGACCGCCAGUAGUACUGGAUAAAGCUCCUUGAGGAGAAGCUGGAUGACCUACAGUAGCUGGUGCACUGGUGGCCUGUGUCUGAGGUCGGGCAUCUUUGUUCACCUGCCUGGCAUAUGGACAAUCUCAAAGUUUAUAACCUAUCUUACCAUAACCAAAACAACCACGCUGCUCUGCCAAACACUCGCCUGGAUGGGUCCUUCUACACUUAGCACAAGGAGGGUAAGUGUAACACCCCGUAACAUUUGUGCAUGUUUAUCUCCUGAUGGAAUGCUCAAAGAGUUGAAAAGACUAGAAAUUUUUCUAAGUGUCGAGGGACUUAGUCUUAUUUUGAGCUUCCUAUUUUUUAUUAAUUUCUUUUCGACCUUCCCGACUUUGAUAAUUUAUAUUUAGCCAAUCCUUGAUUCAGAAGGUAAGCAGGUAUUCCCGAAUGAGUUUUAAAUUUUUUGGAGAGUGCUUAGACAUCAUUUGGUGUUCCAAAAUAGUGGACCAACGCAAUCUUGGCACGCCGUGUCCCCACCGCGUUGGUCAAAUUUUGUUCAGGAAAUGCCAGGGGAAAUACUAAGGCUUGAUGCGAUGGUGGAGCGACUCAUCGAGUAUCACUUUGGUCAACCGACGCACCGCGUCGCCUGCAAUGUCGAUGCCCAGUUAUUUCAGCUUUAAAAAAAAUUGCAUCUUAAAGGGCAUUUGGGUAAUUUUUCCCUUAUUCUAAUACGCCCAAACACGGGAUUUUUAUCCCAAGUGACUACUUUACUCACUUCUUCAUCAAAAUCCACCAAGAACACUCCCAAGGGUUUCAAACUAGAAACCUAAAAUAACUCAAGAUUCAACAGAGGGUUUUCAAAAAUGAUUGAAGAUUUGGAAUUCCCAAUCUGCAAGCUUCGAGAAUUUACUAUUAUCUUUCGAGGUUAAGGCACACGGGGUUUUCCUAAAAAUCUCAUGGGCAUAGAAAUCAUGAUUUUUAAGAAAGGGGUUUUUAGAUUUAUGAAUAUAAUCAUGUUUUAGAAUAUUUGAUGGAAUUAUUUUGGUCUUUAGGCCUUCCCCCAAAUUGAUUUGAAAUUAUAUAUAUAUAUAUUUAAGCAUGUGUUUUAAGGUUGAUGAUUGAAUUGAGAGCAUGACUCAUGAAAAAUCUUUGAAAUGCAUCUUGAAAAUCCUUGAUUUAUGAAUGAUUUGGUUAUAAAUUUUGAAUUCAAAAGAGAUGGUUUUUUGUAUUGAUAAAUGCUGAAUGUACAUAAAAUGAAAGAGUGCAUGGUUUUUUCCAAAAGCACAUGACCGCCUUAUAUUUAAAGGAUUCAUGUAUAAUUUUGACUUAUGGUUCAGAACAUGAAAUCUUUUAUACUGUUUGCAUGUUUUGGUGGUCUAAACUAUGUUUUAAUGAAAGAUCAUACUUAUUGCAUUAUGGCUCAAAAAUAGGACUUGCAAGUCUUGGUGUGAUGACACCAAUUCAGAUUAUUCCAUGAUAAUUCAGAAUAGAAUAGAAUGCAUGUUUGAAAUCAGACUUUUCAUAUAUUGAAACUAGAAAUAUGCAUGAUUCAAAACAGGAUAAAAUUGGGCAUAAAGAGAGUCUAGGUGGUUCCCCGAAGAAGGCAUGAUUUUAGACAAAUCAUUGCCCAAAAACGUGAUUUGCCGAUCUGGAUAUAUAUAUUACGCUGGCCUAGAGCCCUGUGGCGUAUCAGACUCAGGAACUCCAACCCUUGUGGCACACUUGGGUUGGGGGCUUCGCCGCUGAGUCAAUGGCGGAUACCAUCUAGCAUGUGGAAUAUCAGACUUAUAGGGGAGUGCCACCUAACUCAGAAGUAAUAUGCAGAUCAGAAUUUGCAUUGAUAGAAAGAUUACAUAUUUUCAAAAAGUGCCCAUGUGUUUUGAAAAUGUAAGGUCCCACAAAGUUCUCUUGUAGUCUAAACCUUAGGGCGUAUCGAGUGAGACGUGAUCCCGACCCUAAAAGAUUAAGAAGUGUCUUCCUAAGUGAGUAACAUGUUAACCAUUUAGAAUUUCCCUAAUUUUCACUUUUUAUCACAUGGGAAAUUUGAUAAUCUUUCCAUCGAUAUAAGAUUUGCCCAAAUCGGACACUCGGGUAAGAAGUUAUGGCUAAUUUAAGCCUUCGUUGUAAAACUACAUCGUUUAAGAGCCUACCGCAUCGCGGAGAGGAUGCAUUUAGCAAUUGUCAAUUUCCAAUAGGACUCCAUGAUUGUGGAACAUCGCAUAGGAUUCCCAGGUCCCAACCAGUUGGAAAUUUCAAUGGCGCCACAUCGCGGAGGAUGCCAUUUUCCCAAUUAUCAUUUUCCAGUAAGCCAGCGCGAUUAGUGGUGCGUCGCAGAGGCCAACAAAAUUGGGUUCCAAUUUAAUUUUUCCAGUUUCACACAGGCAUUUAAAAAGGACAUUUUGGAGCUUUUCCACGCCUAUAAAAUCAUGAAAACACUAUAUCAAAGCCAUUUACAAGCAUCCUAUAAGGGUUUUAUCAAGUAUUCUCUCAACACAAACCCUAAAUACUCAAAACCUCUUCCAAGAAUAUCAAGAAUCCACCAUGGAUUUUCUAAAUUGAGUCAAGAUUUCAGGUUCCCAAGUCAAGGACCUCAAGAACCUUCAUUCUAUAGCAAGAAUAGAGUUCCAAAAGUAAGAGUUCAUCCAAAACUUCUAACUCAAGGUAUGUGGGGUUUUAAACAAGGGUAACCCUUUCACCCUUGUGACCAAAAGGCAAUUUACAUCAUGAUUUUGUUGAAAAUUUAUGAGGUUUUUACAUGAAUUUGAAUUGGAGUUUUCACCCAUUAUGAUUAAAUGCAUUAUUUGAUAUUUCCCAUGAUUUAUGAGUCAAAUAGCAUAAUUUCUACAUGUUUUAUUGAGAAAUUGAAGCUGGGUAUAAACCCAUGAUUUUACUCCUUGAGAAGCUAAUAUUUGCAAUGUUUGAAAUGUUGAAGCAUAUGACUAUAUUCAGAUUUUGAUGUAAAUUGUUGAAAUUCCCAGAUCUCCAUAUGAUUUAUGAAUCUAUAUGCUAUAUAUUAAGCUUUUGAUAAGCUUUAACUUGAGAUUGAAUUAUAGGUUAGUAAGCCCUAUUUGAGACUUGUGAAUUUAUGAACUCUUGUGCUACAAGCACCCAUGUUUUGAGUAUUCUGAGAUGAUUGAGAAAGGAAUUGACCUAAUGGUCCUUGAGCUUUGAAAUCCACUCUGCUAUAUGCGAUUAUCAAUUUGAUUAUUGGGUUCGUAGUGAACCAUAUGAUUAUUCUAAAAGUGAAUUUUUAUGAGAUGAGUACAGGCAAUCUAAAGGGAGUAGUAUUUAGCACCGAGUGGGUAAGUUACUACAGUUUCUAACCCCAGAAACUAUAUGCCACCAUAGGAUGUGAGCCUGAGGCUGAUUAUAUUAUGAUUAUGAGUGGGCCCGAGGAUGAGUUUCAUUUAGUGAUCACUAGACUUGGGUUAUACUCCUUGGCAAGAGUAUGACGCUCCUCCCCAACGUGGGGUCUCUUCCUUAAGAGGACAAAACGUUGGACUCCAUAUAGCUCGCAUGGUUUAUGUUGGUUACGAGAACCUUUCUUACCUUUCGAACUUCAAAAUUAAAUACUUAUUUUCCUUCCCUAUAAGUUAUUUUCCUAAAUGGUUGAAUUGAAAAGAUAUUCCCUAAUCAAGGUGUUGAUUUGAGAUAAGAUAUUUUCCUAAAGUGAAUGAAAUGCCUCCAAGUAUGUUUCAAGUUUUAUAAUUUUGAAUUCCAAGCAUAUGAGUUUCUAAAUGAUUGUGAAGUGUUGAGCAUUGAAGAAGUUUUACUCUCUUGAGAUAUAUGCAUGACUUGAAAGUAUUGUUUGAAAUCCCUUAGCCUUUAGGCAUUGAGAGUAAGAGAAGGUUUUCGAUUUUGAAGUUAAACAAUAAUGACUCACGAGAUUGUGUUACAUACUUCAUUCUACAUAACUUAUGAGCUUUAUAUAUUUUAUACUUGUUCAAGCCAUGUGAGUCAUCUCAUUAUGCAUACAUUAUUUGAUUGAAGAAAAUUAUUACUACUUUAUACAUAUGCAUUCACCCCCGCAUACUCAGUACAUUCCAAAGUACUGAUUCACAUAUAUGUCUAUGUGCUACAUUAUCUUAUAAUGUAGGUUCAGGUGCUUAGUCUCAGCCUCACUCAUAAUUCUUCGAGUACCGAUCUUUAGAUGUUUCAGUGUUUCGAGAGACUAUGUUUUAUCUCCAGUACAUUUUGAGUCAGUUGGGGACCUGUCCCAAUGGCUCUCUAUAGUUUGAUUUGUAGAGGCUUUGUCAGACUAGUAUCAAACUUGUGAUGUGUCGAGGGUUCGAUAUUGUAGUUUUAUUGAGAUUUCUCUAUAUUGUGGUCAUAUGGACCGAGUAUCUUUUAUAUACAUCCUUUAAUUAGAUAUAACUAUGUGAGUAUUGAGUCUAUUCCUAUCUUGAUUUGGGUGACAUUGGGUAGAGACCGACUUUAAGGGUUAACUUAGGGAUACUUGUAGCCCUAAGCACCGUGUGACAUCCCGGGAGGCGCUUUCAGGUCGUUACAAAAAACAACUUGAUGUGAAAUGCUUUGACAAAGUUGCUCUCAACUAUUUUGUUUAUAUAAAAGAUUUAUUUUGGAUUACUUUGCGUACCAGUACAUCUGUAUUGACCCCCUCCUCCCUCCAGGUUCUGAGGCUCAGUCUAGGGGUCCAAAAAAGCAGUAGAGUUUGUCAAACAGAGUUGCAGGUGUCUAGUUGGUGAGCCUUUUUUAUUCCAGAAGUCCUGUAUUUUUAGAUUAUGUCAUUUAUUUCUGUUUUGGUCUACUGGGGGCCUUGUCCCAGUUUCAAACAGUGGUCAGAUUUUCAUAUAGUAGAGAUUUUGCAGACUAAGUCAAAUGUUAUUUAGAUGUCGUUGAUUUAUAGUUUUAUAUAAUUAUGUUGAAUUCAGCAUUGACCAUGUGUCCAUAUUAGAUUAUGUUUUUCGCAUUUUCUUUUGUAUAUGAAUAUUGUGCAUGAUUACCAAAUAGAGAAGGGCGUCCCAGGCUGUUCAUGGUUCGGGAUGUCCAUUACGGCCAGGGCCCUAGUUUGGGUCGUUAAAAACUUAGUAUCAGAGCAUGAUUCAUGGUCCCAGGGUGUCUGCAAAAUCGCGUCUAGUAGAGUCUUCUUUAUGGGUGUGUAGCGUGCCACACUUAUAAGUAGGAGGCUACUAGGCGUUUAGGAAAUGUCUUCCCUCUUUGUGAUAUAGUUCGUGCUUUAGAGUCUGAAUUAGAAUUAUCCCCUAAAUAGUAAUCUAUUGUAUUUCAGAAAUAGUCAUGCCUCCACGUCAUUCCAACAACCAGGAUACUUAGGAUAAUGAAGUCCGCCCCACCCAUGGGAUGCGAACCCAUAAUAAAGCGGACACUCCAGAACCUGUUCCUACUCCAGGAGUACCUCCAGUCCCGACCAGUCUACCUCGGGCUCUACAGACCAAUGUUAAUCAUCCCCAGUCUUCUCAGUGGGACAUAUCAAACGCAGAAUUUAGGCAGUCCAUUCACAUAUUUGCACAGCUGGUAGCCACACAGACUCAAAGGUUAGAAGAAACUAGGUCUACAUCUGUCACUUCUGAGGAUACUAGGGUGGGCCAGUUCAUGAGGAUUAACCCACCUAAAUUCUCAUGCACUAAGGUAGAAGAGGACCCGUAGGAGUUGGUUGAUGAAAUGGAGAAAAUUUUUAGAGUAAUGCAUGUGGAUCAAGUGGAAGGGGUUGAGUUGGAAGCGUACCAACUUAAAGAUGUAGAGAACCAAUGGUAUAAUGAGUGGGAAGAGGCAAAGGGUGAGAGUGUUGAGCCUAUAAUUUGGGAUGAGUUUGUGGGAGAUUUUCUUGACCAAUUCUUUCCUCUAGAGCUGAGGGAAGCUAAAGUAGAGGAGUUCAUGAACCUUAAGCAGGGUAAGAUGAGUGUUCAGGAGUAUACUUUAAAGUUUAAUCAGUUGGCCCGUUAUGCUCCUGAGAUAACGAGUAGUAUGAGGGCCCGAAUUAGGAAGUUUGCUUUUGUCCUUUCGGAUAAUCUGGUACUUGAGUGUUAGGGGGAUAUGCUGAAUAGGGAUAUGGAAUUUGCUAGGCUGAUAGUCCACAUGCAUCAGGUAGAAAAGAAGAAAAAUAAAAUUUCUGAAUCUAGAGAGAAGGACAGGCAAGCAAAGAGAGCAAGAACAGCAGAAUCGAACCACAACCAGCCACAGAGUAGUAACUGGGUUAGUAGAUGGCAAAAGAAGAAGUUUUGGAGUAACGCACAGUCUGCAGCUCACGCCCCAGCGCCCAGACCCCCAGUUGAUAGACAAUUUCAGAGUUUUCAUACUAGUCAUGGACCCAGAGCUCAGGAUACUCAGUCAUUGGGCAGAGUGGCUCAGCAGCAUCGUACUUUUCCAUGGAGCAAGACUUGUGGUAUACAUCAUCUGGGAAGGUUUCAGUUAGGCUCAUCGGUGUGUUAUUCACGCGGUCAGACAGGCCACUUCCAAAGAGAUUAUCCCUCCACUAGGAGGAAUAUUAGUGGAGCUAAGUCUCAGGCAAACUUUUCUACACCACCGCCGCCCCAAAAGGGCACCACUUGAGCUGUCGGGAGUGGUCUCAAUUGGGUGUAUGCUUUGACUAAUCUCCAGGAGGUGGAAGCUUCACUAGAUGUAAUCACCGGUAUGUUACAAAUCUUUUCCCGUGAUGUAUAUGUGUUGCUUGAUCUCGAGUCUACUUUAUCUUCUGUGACCCCAUAUGUGACUGUUGGUUUGGGUUUGAGCCGAUGUGAUUGUUGAACCCUUCUCUGUCUCCACUCCGGUGGGUAAUUCUGUUGUGGCUAGGAGGGUGUACAAAAAUUGUGCUAUGUCUAUUCAUAGUAGGGAUACUGUGGUAGACCUCAUAGAACUUGAUAUAGUUGUUUUUUAUGCUAUCCUAGGGAUGGACUAGCUCCAUCAAUGUCAUGUCACACUAGACUGUAGGACCCAAAAGGUUACCUUUUCUUUUCCAAAUGAGCCAACAAUAGAGUGGGAGGGGCACUUUUAGCACCUAAAGGGCACUUCAUAUCUUAUCUCAAAGCCCGUAAACUUAUUUCCAAGGAUUGCUUGUAUCAUCUUAUUCGGGUUAAAGAUUCUAACGCUGAAAGUUUUCUUCUUCAAUCUGUCCCUGUAGUAAAUGAAUUUUCAGAAGUUUUCCCAGAUGAUCUCCCAAGAAUUCCACUUGAUGUAGAGAUAGAUUUUGACAUUGAUGUGUUGCCAGAUACCCAUCCUAUUUUAAUUCCUCCAUGUAGAAUAGCUCCUACAAAGCUAAAAAAUUUGAAGAAACAUCUAGAAGAUCUCUUAGAAAAAGGUUUUAUCAGACCUAAUGUAUCUCCCUAAGGUGCACUUGUACUCUUUGUGCGAAAGAAAGAUGGUUCCCUGUAUAUGUGCAUAGAUUACCGUCAGCUGAAUAAGGUUACGAUUAAAAAUAAAUAUCCUAUUCCUAGGAUUCAUAACCUCUUUGACCAAAUUCAAGGUGCUAAGUACUUUUCUAAAAUAGACCUUCAUUCGGGGUAUUAUCAGUUGAAAGUUGGGGGAUCAGACAUUCCUAAAACAGCCUUCCGAACCAGAUUUGGUCAUUAUGAAUUCUUAUUCAUGUCCUUUGGGUUGACUAAUGCUCCUGUAGCUUUCAUGGACCUAAUGAAUAGGGUCUUUUAUCAGUUCCUAGACCUGUUUGUCAUAGUUUUUAUUGAUGACAUCUUGAUUUACUCCAAAAGUGAGGAGGACUAUGCCAAUCACUUCUGAAUAAUUCUUCAGACUCUCAAAGACCAUAAGUUGUAUGUGAAAUUGUCCAAGUAUGAAUUCUGGCUGAAUGCUAUUACUUUCUUAGGGCAUAUUGUGUCUAGUGAGGGGAUUCGGGUUGAUCCCCAAAAGGUUAAGGCAGUGAGAAAUGGCCCAAACCCAUGACUCCAACUGACAUACGAAAAUUUUUGGGUUUGGCGGGUUAUUAUAAAAGGUUCGUAGAGAUUUUUCUUCCAUAGUUACACCACUUACUAUGUUGGCUCAGAAAAAGGUGAAGUUUUUAUGGUCUGACUCUUCUGAAAAUAGUUUUGAGAAGUUGAAAGACAAGUUGACUACUUCUCCUAUUUUGACUCUUCCAGAAAGUACAGAGGGUUUUGUUGUGUAUUGUGAUGCGUCCUGAGUGGGACUUGGUUGUGUACUUAUGUAGCAUGGUAAGGUAGUAGCAUAUGCAUCUCGAUAAUUGAAGGUGUAUGAGUGGAACUACCCCACUCAUGACUUGGAGUUAGCGACUGCAGUUUUUGCACUUAAGAUCUGGCGACACUGUUUAUAUGGUGUACAUAUUGAUAUAUUCACUGACCAUAAGAGAUUGUAGUAUGUUUUCUAGCAGAAAGAACUAAACCUCAGGCAGAGGCGUUGGAUGGAACUUUUGAAAGACUAUGACAUGAGCCUUCACUAUCAUUCGGGUAAGGCGAAUGUUGUAGCUGACGCCCUCAGCAAAUUGUUUAUGGGUAGUCUUUCUCAUAUUGAUGAGGCGAAAAGAGAGAUGGUGAAAGAUAUUCACCGGCUUGCAAAUCUAGGAGUGCGACUUUUGGAUUUAGAAGAUGGGGGAGUAGUUGUUCAUGCGAUAGAUAAAUCUUCCCUUUGUGCAGAAGUUUAGGAGAAGCAGGUUGAAGAUCCCAUCUUGAUGCAGAUUAAGAAAGAUAUGGGUCAUCACAAGGUGAUGUCCUUUAAAAUUGGUGGUGAUGGUAUUUUGAGGUACCGGGGUAGAUUAUGUGUACUAGAUGUUGAUGGUUUAUGGAAGAGAAUCCUUGAUGAAGCUCACACAUCGAGGUACGUUGUUCACCCAGGCUCUACUAAGAUGUACCAUGAUCUGAAAACAUGUAUUGGUGGAAUAAUAUGAAGCGUGAUGUGGCUAACUUUGUGUCCAAGUGUUUGAAUUGCCAACAAGUGAAAGUAGAGCAUAUGAGGCCAGGUGGUUCUUCCCAAGAGAUAGCUUUUCCCUUGUGGAAGUGGGAGAUGAUUAAUAUGGACUUCAUUACAGGACUUCUGAGGUCUCGAAACCAGUAUGAUUCCAUUUGGGUAAUUAUAGCUAGACUGACCAAGUCAGCCUACUUUCUGCCUGUUAGGACUAACUAUUUGGGAAAGGAUUAUGCUAAACUAUUCAUUACAGAGAUAGUUCAUUUGCAUGGGGCACCAGUAUCAAUCAUAUCCGACCGAGGUACACAAUUUUCUUCCCAUUUUUAGAGAUCUUUUUAGAAAGGUUUAGGUACCCAAGAGAUCCUAAGCACUGCUUUUCACCCCCAGACUGAUAGGCAGGCUGAGCGCACCAUUCAGACCCUUGAGAAUAUUUUAAGGGCCUGCGUGAUUAAUUUUAAAGGUAGUUGGGUAGAGAACUUGUCACUAAUAGAUUUUACAUAUAAUAACAGUUUUCAUUCCAGUAUUAAGAUGGCACCAUUUGAGGCAUUGUAUGGGAGAAGAUGUAGCUCACCAAUAGGGUGGUAUGAAGUGGGUGAGAUGCAGAUGAUUGGGCCUAAUCAUGUUUAUCAGGCGAUGAAAGAUAUGAAACUUAUAAAGGAACGACUUAAGAUAGCUCAGAGUCAUCAUAAAUCUUACGCCGAUGUUAGGAGAAGAUAUUUAGAGUUUGAGGUUGGAGAUUGAGUAUUUCUAAAAGUGUCUCCUAUGAAGGGAGUCAUGCGAUUCAGGAAGAAGAGUAAGUUGAGUCCUCGCUAUAUAGGGCCAUAUCAGAUUUUAAGGAGGGUAGGUACAGUUAUGUAUGAGUUAGAUUUGCCUGCCAGUUUGGGUUCUGUCAAUCCGAUCUUCCAUAUUUCCAUGUUGAAGAAAUGUAUCGGAGACCAUUCUUUAGUAUUUCCUGUUGAGGAGGUCAAGGUAACGGACUCCUUGUCUUAUGAAGAAGAGCCUAUAGAAAUCUUCGAUCGACAAGUCCAAAAAUUGAGGAACAAAGAGCUAGCCUCAGUUAAGGUAUUGUGAAGGAAUUAGAAAGUUGAAGAAGCAACUUGGGAAUAAGAAUAUGGCAUGAGAGAUAGAUACCCAGACUUAUUUGAUCCGGUGAAUGAUGAAACGGGAGGUACGAAACCUUGUCUUAUUCUUCUAUAUCUUAGUAUGCUUGAAUCGUGCUUGUCUGUGUUCCGCAUUAUUAUUCGUGGAUGAAUGAUCCCAAGGGGGGAUAAUGUAAAACCUCGUAACAUUUGUGCAUGGUUAGCUCCUGAUGGAAUGCUCAAAAAGUCGAAAGACUAGAAAUUUUUUAAGUGUCAAGGGACUUAGUCUUAUUUUGAGCUUCCUAUUAUUUUAUGAAUUUCUUUUCGACCUUCCCGACCUUUGAUAAUUGAUAUUUAGAUAAUUCUUGAUCCAGAAGGUAAAUAGGUGUUCCCGGAUAAGUUUCAGAUUUUUCGAAGUGCGCUUAGACAUCGUUUGGUAUUCCAAAAUAGUGGACCAACGCGAUCUUGGCGCGCCGCGUCGCCCACCGCGUUGGUCAAAUUUUGUGUAGGCAAUGCCAGGGAAAAAUACUGAGGCUCGACACGAUGGUGGAGCGACGCGUCGAGUAUCGCGUUGGUCAACUAACGUGUCGCCUGCAGUGUCGAUGCCUAGUUAUUUCAGCUUUAAAAAAAUCCACGUCUUAAAGGGAAUUUGGGUAAUUUUUCCCUUAUUCUAAUAUGCCCAAACACGGGAUUUUUAUCCCAAGAGACCACUUUACUCACUUCUUCAUCAAAAUCCACCAAGAACACUCCCAAGGGUCUCAAACAAGAAACCCAAAAUAACUCAAGAUUCAACCGUGGAUUUUUAAAAGCGAUUGAAGAUUUGGAAUCCCCAAUCCGUAAGUUUCGAGAAUUUUCUAUUAUCUUUCGAGGUUAAGAUACGCGCGGUUUUCCUAAAAAUCUCAUGGGCAUAGAAAUCGUGAUGUUUAAGAAAGGGGUUUUUAGCUUUUUGAAUAUAAUCAUGUUUUAGAAUAUUUGAUGGAAUUGUUUUAGUCUUUAGGCCUUCCCCCAAAUUUAUUUGAAAUUAUAUAUAUAUAUAUAUAUAUGUGUGUGUGUGUGUGUGUGUGUAAGCAUGUAUUUUAAGAUUGAUGAUUCAAUUGAGAGCAUGACUCACAUGAAAUCCCCCUCUUGAUUUGAUUGUUUCCAUGUUUCGCAUGAUAUGAAUUAUUUUGAAAUGCAUCUUGAAAAGCCUUGAUUUAUGAACGAUUUGGUUAUGAAUCUUGAAUUCAAAAGAGAGGGUUGUUUGUAUUGAUAAAUGCUGAAUGUACAUAUAAUGAAAGAGUGCAUGGUUUUGCCAAAAGCACAUGACCACCUUAUGUUUGAAGUAUUCGUGCAUAAUUUUGACUUAUGGUUCAGAACAUGAAAUCUUUUAUACUGUUUGCAUGUUUUGGUAGUCUAAACUAUGUUUUAAUGAAAGAUCAUGCUUAUUGCAUUAUGGCUCAGAAAUAGGACUUGCAAGUCUUGGUGUGACGACACCAAUUUAGAUUAUGCCAUGAUAAUUCAGAACAGAAUAGAAUCCAUGUUUGAAAUCAGACUUUUCAGAUGUUGAAACUAGAAACAUGCAUGAUUCAGAACAGGAUAAAAUUAGGUAUAAAGAGAGUUUAGGUGGUUUUCCAAAGAAGGCAUGAGUUCAGAAAACUUAUUGCCUAAAAUCGUGAUUUGCCGAUCCGGGUAUAUAUAUUACGCUGGCCUAAAGCCCUGUGGCGUAUUAGACUCAGGAACUCCAACCCUUGUGGCACACUUGGGUUGGGGGCUUCCCCGGCGAUUCAAUGGCGGAUUCCAUAUAGCCCAUGGAAUAUCAGACUUGUAGGGGAGUGCCACCUAACUCAGAAGUAAUACGCAGAUCAGAAUUUGCAUUGACAGAAAGGUUACAUAUUUUCAGAAAGUACCCAUAUGUUUUGAAAACCACUUGAUGUGAAAUGUUUUGACAAAGUUGCUCUCAACUAUUCUAUUUAUAUAAAAAAUUUAUUUUUUAUUACUUUGCAUACCAGUACAUCUGUAUUGACCCCUUCUUCUCCCUCCAGAUUCUGAGGCUCAGUCUAGGGGUCCAGAAAAGCAGUAGAGUUUAUCAAACAAAGUUGCAGGUGUCCAGUUGGUGAGCCUUCUUUAUUUCAGAAGGCCUGUCUUUUCAGAUUAUGUCAUUUAUUUCCAUUUUGGUCUACUGGGGGCCUUGUCCCAGUUUCAAACAGUGGUCAGAUUUUCAUGUAAUAGAGAUUUCACAGACUGAGUUAGAUGUUAUUUAGAUAUCAUUGAUUUACAGUUUCUAUACUUAUGUUGAAUUCAGCAUUGACCAUGUUUUCAUAUCAUAUUAUGUUUUCCGCAUUUUUUUUAUAUAUGACUGUUGUGCAUGAUUACCAGAUAGAGAAGGGCAUCCCGGGCCGUUCAUGGUUUGGGAUGUCCAUCACGGCCACCGACCUGGUUCGGGUCAUGAAAGUGAGACCUGGACAUAGAAGGCUUGUUUCCCUGCUCUUGCCUACCUCUGGGCGCUAGCUGACGAAGGUAAGGGCAUGGAUGAACGGCUCUAAAACUGAGACGAUUUCCCCCAUGGGACCUGGUCUGACCAUACUCCUUAUGCUAGGAUCUAGCACUCUUGUUACCCCUCACUCUAACCCUCUUCCUUAUCUUAUCCGCCUUUAUCUGUUGUGCAUGAAUCAUCAUCCUAGCCAAAUCCAUAUCCCUGUUUAGCAUAGCAGUUCUAUACUCUUUCAACACCAACCCAGAUACACCUGUCAUGAACUUGCUCAUACUAGUACGGGUGUCAGCAAUCAAGUCUGGAGCAUAUUUGGCUAGCUGGUUUAACUUCAGACAGUACUCCUUAACAGUCAUGGAGCCUUGUCUCAAGUUUAUAAAUACCUCUAUUUUCGCCUCUCUCAUCUCUAGUGGAAAGAACUUUUCCAAGAAUGCAUCUUGGAAUACCUGCCAAGUCAUAGGGGUAUCGUCUUCCCCUCUACUCUUCUUCCAUGCUAAAACCCAAUCAUAAGCAAUGUCUUUCAACCUAUAAGAUGCCAUCUCAACACUUUCUUCGUUAUAGAUAUGCAUGACCUUAGUGAUCUUUCUUACCCCCUUAAGAUAUAACUGCGGGUUCUCUCCUGUCUUAGACCCAUAGAACUCUGAUAGAUUCAUCCGCAUGAAAUCAUGAAUCCUAGCAGUAGCUAAAUCACCUCUUUACUGCUGCGGAGCUAUAGCCUGGUUAUUGGCCUGAACAUUCGUAGUGACUGCCUGGGCUAACGCCUGAAAGGCCGCCCGAAACUUAGGAUGAGACAGUCUCAUUCAAGGGAUCAACAGGUGGGGUUUGCUCAUUAUUGUUUCUGUGGGCUUGUCGAGGAGGCAUUUUCACUGUCAUAAGAGAAAGCACAAAUUAAGAGCAGAGAGGGACACAACUUUGAGCAUGAUAGACUCCAAAAGAAAGAGAUGACUUUUUCCUAAAACAUUUCAUAGCCUCUUACUCAUAGACGUGGCGUGCUAUAAACCGAUGAUCAAGACUCUACUUAACAUGGCUUGUCAGACUCCCUAGGACUCUUUAAACCUUAGACUCUAAUACCAAGUUUGUAACGCUCCGAAAUCGGGUCCCGAGACGUCACACGGUGCUUAAGGCUACAAGUAGCCCCAAGCUAACCUUUUGAGCCUACUACAACUUCUAAAUGCUUAAAUCAGGAUAUUGAGUCUAACUGAGACAUAUCAAAUCAUAGUCCAACUGAACUAUAAAAGAGUACUAUGAAUGGAACAAAAUACUAAAUGUCUAAACACACUGACCAUCUAGUCUGACAAAGCCUCUAUUACUCCAUAAACUAGAGAGCCAUUGGGACAGAUCCCCAACUGACUCGAACUGAACUGAAAAUAGUAAAAUAUAUGCUAAAAAUACUGAAAUGUUUGAAGAUAUGUCCUCAAAUUAUGAGGACUCACCACUGCUGAGAUGUAGAUGAAAGUGCUCAAAAAUCACUGAUGAGGCUAGGAUUGAGCACCUGAACCGACAUUACAAAAAAAUAUAGCACACAGAUAAGUAUGUGGAUCUGUACCUUGGGAAUGUACUGAGUAUAUGGGGGUGUAUGCAUUUGUAUAAAACAAUAUCAUAAUUCUUUACAGAAAAUAUGCAUGCAAAUAUAGAUGACUCACAUAGCUUGAGUAAGGCCCUCAUAAAUCAUGCAUAGGAAGUAUGUAAGUAAGUAACGUGGGUCAUUUCAUUCUAUUCUAAUACUUGUAUUCUUUCUUUGUUCUCAAACUUGUAAUUCAAUAGGACCUUAAAAUAUCAACUUACAAGAUGUACACUUUAGUCUUUGGAAACUUAAGAAGACUUAGGACAUAGUUUUCACAAUACAUAUACUUUGAAACUCAUAGUUUCAUAUUAAGUAGGAUAAAACCUCUUUAAAACUAAAAUACUUAAGACUUUAGAAACUUUAAGACUUGGGACGCUUAGAAACUUGGGAGAUUCUUCUAACUGACAUAAACCGUGUAAGCUAUAUGGAGUCAAACAUCUUGCCCACGUAGGGGAGAGUUGUUCUAUCCUUGCCAUCAGAGUAGAACCUUUUCUUUGUAGUGAUCACUAACUUAACCCACUUGGGGUGAAUCAAAAACCUACAGGGGCACAUAGUUCUAGGGAAUGAGACCUUGGAAUCAUGCCCAACUUGGUGCUAAAUACUACUCUCUGACUUAGCUCAGAACUUGUAAGAAAAUCCACCUUAAAUUGUUCAAAGAUAUAUAAUGGGGCCAAUCAUACCACCCUUUAACUUAAACUACAUUGAGUGGAUUCCUAUCAUAGCUUAGACUCAAAAUCAACUCAUUUCUUUAAACUUUGAUAGACUAUCUUUAACAAGUUUCAAAACUUUAAUGACAUGGAGAUAUCAAUACCAUUCUCAAAAUACUUUGGUAAUGAAUGUCAAAAUUCAUUCUUGGACCUUAAAGCAUGCAUAGAUAUUCAAGAAAUCUCAAUUCAAAAUAAGGGUAAUUCAUGACUUCAACCUUAAGAGUAUUCAAAACAUUAAUCAUUAAAUGAAUAUGCAAUCCAUGAUAUUAAUUCUCAAUUCAAAAUAAUAACAUAGGUGAGAUAUCAUAUAAUUCGUGACUUGAACAAAUCCAUAAUCUCAUAUACUUGAAAUAUAGCAAUUUAAGUAUAGUUCAUCUUAAAAAUAUUAAAAUCUUUAAGAAAAUAAAAAACUUUGGGCAUAAGAACGAAAGGGUGGUCUUGUUCAAACCCCACAUACCUUAAAAUUGAAGAUUUGGAUGAACUCUUAACCUCGGAGUACUAUUCACAAAGUUAUUGGGUGUCUCUUGUAGACCUCGCAACGGGAAAUUCGAUUAUGGAAGAAUUAUGGAAAUUCCAUGGUUGAAUCUUAAGAUGUUUUGAUUUUUAAAUUGAAAACCUAAGGAAUGUUCUUGGUGAUUUUGAUGAAAGUGGAUGUAUUUUGGUGUUUUAGGGAUUAAAUCCCAUGUUAGAGUUGAUAAGGGGAUGGAAAAUAUCAAGAUUACCCUUAAUGAGAUGGGUUAAAAUGCUGAAUUUCCCAGGUGCGCGCAACAGAGCAUCCGUUGCAUGCUCUAUCCCAAAAUAAACUAAGUGUUGGACACAUAGCUAAAAUUCUAAGUGUAAAACUUCUUGUGACUCAUUUUUGAAAGCUUUAACGAUGAUGAAACUUUGCGGGGUCUUACACCAAACCAUGUCAGGGACAUCACCAUUCAAAGCAAUAGUAGGAGAUAAAUUGAUAACAUAAGCAGCAGUAUUAAGUGUUUCUACCCAAAAUGAAUCUGGUAGCUUAGUAUCUGAAGGCAUACAUCUAGCCCUCUGAACUAGAGUUCUGUUUAUCCUCUCUGCUAAUCCAUUCAAUUGGAGAGUUUUUGGAGGAUUUUUCUGAUGCCGAAUACCCUGCUCUAUGUAAAAUUAAUCAAAGUGACCAAUAUACUCACCACCAUUAUCUGAACGAAUGCAUUUUAAUUUCUUCCCUAUCUGUCUCUCAACCAAGACCUGAAAACCCUUGAACAUAUUAAGUACUUGAUCCUUGGACUUCAAAGGAAAUACUCAGAGUUUACAAGAAUGAUCAUCAAUAAAAUUCACAAAGUAAAGUGCACCACCAAAUAACUUACUUUAAAAGGACCACACAAAUCGGAAUACACCAACUCCAGCAAAUCAAGCUUUCUUGAAGGCAGAUAACUAUGCAGAGAAACUCUUUUCUGUUUACCGGCUAAGCAAUGAAUACACUUCUUCAACUUUACUUUUUUCACUCCACAAAGCAAUUUUUCUAAGCCAAACUAUCAAUUCCCUUCUCACUCAUAUGACUCAAUCCUCUAUGCCACAACUCUGAUAAAGUAUCAUUCUCCACCAAGUUUAUCAAGCCUCUAGAAGUAGAGCCCUAAAAUACGUACAAGUUAGAAAACUUGUUACCUCUAGCCACAAUCAUCGAACCUCUAGUAAGCUUCCACUGGCCAGCACCAAGGGUGUUAACAUAACCCUCAUCUUCAAGGCUUCCACAGAAAUCAAAUUCAGGCAAACAUCUGGAGCAUACAUAACAUUAUUGAGAACUAGUUUGGAACCAUUGUUACUUUUCAAACAAACAGUGUCAAUGCCAAGUACUUUAACUUUAUCAUUAUUACGUAUUUUCAACAUCCCAAAAUUACCUAAAGUAUACAAAGAAAAUGAUUCCUUCUUUCAUGUAACAUGAGAAGUAGCACCAGUAUCCACAAACCAGCUAGACUCAUCACGAACAAUAUUAAUGGCAUUCCCACCACAAGUAACAAGAACAUCAUCAUUAGAAAUAACAGCAACACGAUUUUUAUUAUCGCCUUCUUUUUUUUCGUCUCAUAUCUCUCUUAUGCUUGUAACAAUAUUUCAUGAUAUGCCCCCUGAUGUGUGAGCAGAUGCUAACAUAUUUUAGGCUUUUAACUAAGAAUAAUUGCAAAGUCUUAAGAAACUUUUGUCAUUUUUUAUUGUUUUCUGUUGACAUUGCAGUAAAAGUCAAGAUACAAGAAAACCAGCAAUAAUGAAAAUAAAAGAGUUGAUUUUUGAGCAAGUGGAGAGUAAAGUAUAGCUGACGACUUGUUUGAUAAGUCGUCAGCCUUGUGAUAAGCUAUCAGAGUCAUCGUCCGUCUUAGACAGAGAAUGGCCUUCAACUAUAAUUCGUAAUAACAUUUGUGAUAGGCCGUCAGAAGUAUGAUAAGCCAUCAAAUUCGUCGUCAGCCUUAGAUAGAACAUGGGAGCUGAGGUGGAGAGGUGACGACAUUGUCUGAUAUGCCAUCACAGUUUUGAUAAGCUGUAAGGAUUCACCGUCAGCCUUAAGCAGAAAUUAUCAAAAUUGAAGAGGAGCUGACGACAUCUGUGAUAAGUCGUCAGCCUCCUGAUAAGGCGUCACACAUGUCGUCACCUAAUCUGAGAAAAAUACUGCACUCUGUGAUUUUAUUUCCAUAAUUAGGCUGAAGUAUUUAAAUCAUAGUUUAGGGGUUUUUAAUCAUAAUGGUGAACCUAUUUUUGGAACGCAUGUAUUUUUUAUUAUUUUCUCUCUAGUUUUUGUCUUUAACAAAACAAUUAACUUUAAAGAGAUUGUCAUCAAUAUUUUGGAAUUUCUACUGUGAUAUAAUCUGAGAAUCACUCGUUGUUAUUCAUAUUACUGGAAGUUCAUCUUUCAAAUUACGAAUUCAACUGGUUGUAUUGAUUAUUACAUUAUGAGUGGCUAAAUCCCUUUAACCCGAAUUAUGGGAUCUAUGGGUUAGGUCUUGGUAAGUUACUAAGUGUUCAAGAUUCUAAAGGUAAUAGGACUCCUUGAUAAUUCCAAGGUUUUAAUUAUUGUCUAUUGGUUGCAAACGAUAGAUAGCACUUGCUUUGAUUUGCUUGAGAUAAGAAAUCAACUAUAGUAGGAAAUGAAUUAUUGAUAGGGACUUGGAAGCACUAAACUUUCAUUUAAUAAUUGACGUUGUAACAAGGUUAAUUAACCUAAAGUGAGGUCUGGUUAGUGAAUAUAAAUUCCCUAAGUCCGAGAAGAUUAGGUAAUUAAAUGCUUAAGUAGGUCGAGAAACAUUUAGGCAUAACUUCAAUAAAGACAAUCUGUUAUUCCUACCAAUCGUGAGAACCUUGAAUCACUAUUAGCAUCUAUCAAGCACCCAAACCCAUAGUGAACAUAAUUCUGGUUUUCCAUAUACAUUGAUCACAAAUAUUGAAAUCGAAGUCUGAAAUAAUUACUCGCUAAUUCUCAUAACCCCCAUUUUAUCUUUUUGUAUCAUUUAUUUGAAUUUAACUUGUAGCUGUAGUUUCAAAUUUGUUUAAUCACCACUCACAUUGUUCCCUGUGGAUUCGACCCCGACUCCAAAGUUGGGUAAAUAUAUUGACGACGACCACCUUGCACUAAAUUGAUGUGUAAGUUGAGCGUUAUCAAAAAUGGAGCCAUUGCCGGAGAACAAUUUGGUGUAUUAAGUUGGUUUGGAAUUUUAGCCUACUUGCUUAAAUUCAAACUUGUAAAUAUUUUUUUUAGUUUUCUUUUAUUUCUUGUGUUAGGUAGAUUUUUAUUUUAUAUUUUAGUUUACUUAUUACUAUGGCAUCGUGGAAUGAACAUGAGCUUGGUGGUUUGAAAUCUUAUCUAGAUGAUCCAUGUCUAUAGUGUGAUGGACCUCACUUUUGGCAAGAUUGUAUAUAUGCUCCCCGGAGAGAGAUGUGUGCACUAUCUCCAUCCUACCGGGAGUAUAAGUGUUCUUUAUGUGGUGGUCAAGAUGGACAUUGGAGUAAUUGCCCAAAUGCCCCCUCCCCCCGGUAUGCUAACCCAAAUUCGAGUUCUUCUUAUGAUUUUAAUAGGUCUUAUGGACAAGAGCAGGAAGAACGAAGCACCGAAAAGAGUCACUUCGAAGCUAUGCUUCAAUAAAUAUUGGAUAGCCAGGAAGAAAUGCUUCAAGAAAUAAGGGUACAUAAAGAGGAAAAAAAGGAUAGAGGAGAUGGAUAUCGAGGUAAAUCAUUCUAAGCACUCUUCUACAUUAUACUUAGAUGAUAUCUUGUCUGUGAAAUCAUUUAACAUAAUGAAAGAAUGUGAAAAUGAGGAGCAAGAAACCUAUAUUGAUGUUAAGCUUGAGGUUGAGCAACCCUCGGUGAUUUCCCAACCACCCGAACCAUUCAUGAACGAAGAUGCCAAAGAUGAGGAAAUGGUACUGGAAUUAAAUGAAGAAAUCAAUCACAAUCCUUGUGAAGACUCUAGUCCAUUUUGGAGUAAAGAUACUAAUAGGGAUGCUACUCUAGAAUUGAGAUUUAGUCCUCAUUCGAACCACUUUUCAACAUUAUGCUUGGUGGAUAUGAUGAAAGUUGAAUCACCCAAGCAAAUGAUGAAUUUUGAAAAUGAGGAGGAAAAUUCUUACAUUUUGGAGUUUAUCUUUCCAAAAGGGUAUACUACAACCCCAAUCUUGAAAUCUAAGAAGCUUAAAGAUCGAUGUCCAUUUAGUAUCUUUUUAAGAUCCUUACUAUUGCCCAAUGAGCUCGAACGAAAGUUCAAUCUAAAAUUGGGCAAGCAGCUCAAGUCUUCGAAGUGGCGUGGUAAACCAUUCCUUAUCAUGCCCUCAUAUUUGCCCAACGAACCUAAGAGAUGUAAAGAUCGAAAUAUGGGACUAUAAUUCAAAUCAUCUAAAUAGAGGGAUAAAGGAUUACUAAAUGAUGUCGUGUAGCGACACUAAAUUAGGCAUUUCUUGGGAGGCAACCCAAUGUAUUUUGUUAUUUGUAUUCAUCUUAUGUGAUUGACAUCAGAUCUUCACACCCAUGGUGCCAUAGGUAUGUUUCUAACUCUCUUGUUUUGGUUCAAAACAUUGGAUAUAUUUCAUGAAUUUAAAUUGAGGGUGGGGCUACUUGUGGAUGUUGAUGUCCACUUGGGGUUUUUGUUGUCGUGCCUCUUUUUUUCGGAGUCUUGUUCCUAUUAGAGCCGGCAUGUUUAGGCGUAUUGUGUUUUAUUUUGUGAUGUGUUAUGGUUAACUGGGAGAAAAAUAAGUAUCUAGGGUAGUUGACAUAUUUUUAUUUAUUUUUCUUGGAAUGAUAAAUACCUCUCCAAUUGUCUAUCUGGAAACUGUGUGAUAUGCAUCUAUAUGUGACUGUUGUGAAUCUUUUUAUGACAGUAGUACUAGGGACUUGAUAAUCACUGCUAACAAUUGCAUGAACCAAAUAGGUAGUAGCUUGUGAUAUACCUUUGUUCCAAGUGUGUGUGAGAUACUACCUAGUUCGCGUUGUGUGUUAAAUUCAGAACUUGACGUUGGUCUUGCCUUGGUUGUAGGAUAGCGGUUAGGAAAGGAACAUAGGUUGUUGUUGAUAUUAGUCCACUUUUAGCCUAAAUGACCUUCCAUGUGUGAAUAAUAUCCCUUGAUCCUGAUUUUGAGCCUGUAUGCCUAUUUCUCUUGUUAAACUUGUCACCUUCCCAUUUGUAUCACAAUGAACCUGUUUUGGCCCUGGUCCUCCUUGGACAUUGUGCACUUUGACUUAGAAAAAUAGCCUAAGUUGAGGGUGGCUAUCAUAGGGGUGUGAUGUAAAAUGAGUAUGAAUAAAGGUAGAAUAAAUUAAAAGAGUAAAAAGCUGGGUGCGGUGGAAAAGAACAAGAAAAGAAAAAUUGUGAAAAAUAAAGUGAUUAUAGAAAAGAUCGUACCCAUCCUGAAUAAGUGUGAUCAAGAAAAGAAAAGAAAAGAAAAAGGCUAAUGAGUGAGACCCCAAAAGCUAGUGUAGUGUCAAGGAGGCUUAGUCACUUCAAAUAUCAUCGAGUAUCAUACCAGCCCCUAGCCUACAUUACAAGCAAAAGAGAAGACCUAUAGUGAUCCUAGCAGACCUGUCUGAAGCUCUUGGUAAUGAAAAUAAGGGCAAGCCUAUGGUAUUCGGCAUACAUUGAUUGGAACUUCAUUCUGAGAGUGAGUAUCUUGUGAUUGUCCCCAUGGUUACAUAUGUGAUGUCUGAUAUAAGUGAAGUGGGACUUCUUUGUAGUGAGAGCACACUGGUUACGUUGUUAGUUGCUAACUUGUUUGGAUAAUGUAAUCUUGGUACAUGCAUGGUUGUUGUUGCUGAAUUGAUGCCAUAUCUUGAUUCAUGUGUGUCGCAUUGUUGUUCUUCAAUAAUAUACAUAGUUGUUUUUAAAUUGAUUUACCUUGGAUAUGGUGAAGAUGUUUUGAGAUAAUGUGGAUGGUUGACUGUCGAAUGUACUUUGUAUACUCUUGGUUGUGUUUUAGUUGCUUGAGGACAAGCAAUUGGUUUAAGUUGAGGGAAUUGAUGUGUGAGCAGAUGCUAACCCAUUUGAGGCUUUUAACUAAGAAUAAUUGCAAAGUCUUAAGCAACUUUUGUCAUUUUUGAUUGUUUUCUGUUGAUAUUGCAGUAAAAGUCAAGAUGCAAGAAAACCAGCAAUAAUGAAAAUAAAAGAGUUGAUUUUUUAGCAAGUGGAGAGUGAAGUAUAGCUGACAACUUGUCUGAUAAAUUGUCAGCCUUGUGAUAAGCUAUUAGAGUCAUCGCCAGGCUUAGACAGAGAAUGGUGUUCAGCUGGAAUUCGUAAUGACAUUUGUGAUAGGCCGUUAGAAGUGUGAUAAGCCGUCAGAUUCGCCGUCAGCCUUAGACAGAACAUGGGAGCUGAGGUGAAGAGGUGACUACAUUGUCUAAUAUGUCGUCACAUUUUGAUAAGCUGUAAGGAUUCACCGUCAGCCUUAAGCAGAAAUUGUCAAAAUUGAAGAGGAGCUGACGGCAUCUGUGAUAAGUCGUCAGCCUCCUGAUAAGGCGUCACACAUGUCGUCACCUAAUCUGAGAAAAAUACUGCACUCUGUGAUUUUGUUUCCAUAAUUCGGUUGAAGUAUUUAAAGCAUAGUUUAGGGUUUUCUAAGCAUAAUGGUGAACCUAUUUUUGGAACGUAUGUAUUUUUUGUUAUUUUCUCUCUAGCUUUUGGCUUUAACAAAACAAUUAACUUUGAAGAAAUUGUCAUCAAUAUUUUGGGAUUUCUACUGUGAUAUAAUCUGAGAAUCACUCGUUGUUAUUCAUAUUGCUGUAAUUUCAUCUUUCAAAUUAUGAAUUCAACUGGUUGUAUUGAUUAUUACAUUAUGAGUGGCUAAAUCCCUUUAACCCGAAUUAUGGGAUCUAUAGGUUAGAUCUUGGUAAGUUGCUAAGUGUUCAAGAUUCUAAAGGUAAUAGGACUCCUUGAUAAUUCCGAGGUUUUAAUUAUUGUCUAUUGGUUUCAAACGAUAGAUAGCACCUGCUUUGAUUUGCUUGAGAUAAGAAAUCAACUAUAGUAGGAAGUGAAUUAUUGACAGGGACUCGGAAACACUAAACUUUCAUUUAAUAAUUGACGCUGUAACAAGGUUAAUUAACCUAAGGUGAAGUCUGGUUAGUGAAUAUAAAUUCUCUAAGUCCGAGAUGAUUAGGUAAUUAAAUGCUUAAGUAGGUCGAGAGACAUUUAGGCAUAACUUCAAUAAAGACAAUCUGUUGUUCUUACCAAUCGUGAGAAUCUUGAAUCACUAUUAGCAUCUGUCAAGUACCCAAACCCAUAGUGAACAUAAUUCUGGUUUUUCCAUUUAUAUUGAUCACAAAUAUUGAAACUGAAUUCUGAAAUAAUUACUCGCUAAUUCUCAUAACCCUCAUUUUAUCUUCUCAUAUCAUUUGUUUGAAUUUAACUUGUAACUAUAGUUUCAAAUUGGUUUAAUCGCCACUCACAUUGUUCCCUGUGGAUUUGACCCUGACUUCAAAGUUGGGUAAAUCUAUUGACGACGACCGUCUUACACUAAAUAGACGUGUAAGUUGAGAGCUAUCACCCUCUUUUGUUGUAAUAUUCACAUGUAACAUUCUUGAAUUUGGACCUUGACUUGCUUUUACUUUUAUCUCUAUCAUCGGAACCUCUAGACUUAUUUCUCCACCUCUCUUCUGUAACCAAAACAUCAGAGUAUGAAGAUGAAGAAGAUGAGGCCUGAGAUCUUCUUCUUAUUUCUUCAUUCAAGACACCACUCUUAACAUAUUCCAUAGUCACAAUACCACAGGGAGCAGAAUUAGUCAAAGAAACUCGAAGAGUUUCCCAAGAGUCAGGUAGAGUAUUAAGAAGCCAAAGCCCCUGAAUUUCUUCAUCGAAAUUUACACCCAUUCCGGAUAGUUGGUCAAGCACACCUUGAAAAUUAUUUAUAUGAUCAGAAGUAGGACUGCCCUCUUUAUACAUUAUAUUCAUCAAUUUCUUAAGCAGGAACAACUUGUUAUUGCUAGUUUUCGAAGUAUAAAGUGUCUUGAGCUUGUCCCACAAACUUCUGGCAUGUGUCUUAUUCACAAUGUGAUUUCUGACAUUAUCUUCAACCCAUUGUCUGAUAUAGCCACAAAUCUGUUAGUGCUCAAAUUCCUAAUCCUCAUCUAUCAUGGAUUGAGGUUUACUAGAUGCAAACACAGGUAAAUGCAUUUUCUUGACAAAGAGAAGAUCUUUCAUCUUGUAUUUCCAAGUAUGAUAGUUACUAUCAUUCAAACACACCAUCUUGCUCAUAGUUGACUCUAUCAUUCAAAUCAAUAAUCAAUAACAACCAACGCUCUGAUACCACUUUGUUGGGAAAGGCAAGGGCACAAUCAAAGAGCCCAACAGGGUAGCAGCAAAAAUACCCAAGUUUAAACUUUUCAUUUCAACUUGAACCAAGAGGAGAUAAGCAAAUUCAAGAAAAAUAAAUAAUAUGGCAGAAAAUAAAUCAAUCAUACAAAUACGAUAAGAUAAGAAUAAAGGCAAUCACACAAGACACCAAAUUUACGUGGAAAACCCUUCGGUGUGAAGAGUAAAAAACCUUGGAACCAAAAACUUCACUAUAAUCACCAAGAGUUACAAUAUUGUUCUCCAAAAUGGCCACCAAACGAGUGCCAAAAAACAAGCAACAAUACAUAAACUACAGCACCAAACACUAGAGAAAUAAAGGAGCGAAAGCACUAAAAUGCAACUGUUGUUCGGGAAUGAAAAACAAGAGCUACAGGCUACCAAAUCCAACUCCGUCAAUUCCUAAUCAAAGAUUGAGAUGAGAGGAAAAAGCUAUCCAAAAAUCAGUUUAAUCAGACAAGAAAUGGAGUAAAACUCACAAUUUGAAAUUGACAGCUAUGUCUGAAAUUUUUGGGCGAAAAUCAGCUUUCUUUUCUUUCUUUGACUGCUGAAAACUCUCUUUUGUGGUGAUAAAAUAAAACCUAUAUAUAUAUAUAUAUAUAUAUAUCCCAAUAGUAUUGAGUCUAUGGGCAAAAGUGGAUUUGUCUAUAUGGGGCUUUAUUUAUCCAAAUAUAAGGAAAAAGACCCAUAACCCAAUAAUAAUUUCAAUUGUCUUUUUAAUGUAGGUCUCUUUUAUCGUAUUUAUACUUAUACACCAUUAUACAUACGUUAAUCAAUACACAAAAUACGAUUUGCUCUCUCAAAUCCUUUCAGGCUAGUCUCCUAUGAUGUGAAGACUCAGAAGACGACGUGUCAAUUUCUAUCAUUCAUGCUUUAGGGAAAACACAUAUAAGGAGAGCUGUCAAGUUUUUCUAUAUAAUAGAAGAGGUGGUUUCGACCACCUCUUCAUUUACUAUAUUACCCCCCAAAUCAUUUACUAUAUUACAUCUUAAUUGCUCCGUAAUUUAUUAUAUUACUCCUAAUUAAUUAUUACAAGUCAUUUAUAUAUUAGAAUUAAUAAUAUUUUAUUAUUAUAUUAACUCUAAUUAAUUAUUAUAAUUCAUUAUAUAUUAGAAUUAAUAAUAUUUAAUUAAAAAAUAGAUAUUUANNNNNNNNNNNNNNNNNNNNNNNNNNNNNNNNNNNNNNNNNNNNNNNNNNNNNNNNNNNNNNNNNNNNNNNNNNNNNNNNNNNNNNNNNNNNNNNNNNNNNNNNNNNNNNNNNNNNNNNNNNNNNNNNNNNNNNNNNNNNNNNNNNNNNNNNNNNNNNNNNNNNNNNNNNNNNNNNNNNNNNNNNNNNNNNNNNNNNNNNNNNNNNNNNNNNNNNNNNNNNNNNNNNNNNNNNNNNNNNCCCUAAUUAAUUAUUAUAAAUUAUUUAUAUAUUAGAAUUAAUAAUAUUUAAUUAAAAAAAUAGAUAUUUAUAACGUAUGUUUCAGCUUCUUUAACCACAAUUUUACUAUAUCAUCCCUAAUUAAUUAUUAUAAGUCAUUUAUGUAUUAAAAAACUAAUUUCUAUUAUAUAGAAGAGAUGGUUUCAAACACCUCUUACAAUUAUCUAUAUAAUAGAAGAGGUGGUUUCGACCACCUCUUCAUUUACUAUAUUACCCCCCAAAUCAUUUACUCUAUUACAUCUUAAUUGCUCCGUAAUUUAUUAUAUUAUUCUUAAUUAAUUAUAUUACAAGUCAUUCAUGUAUUAAAAUUAAUAAUAUUUUCUUAUUACAUAACCCCUAAUUAAUUAUUAUAAUUCAUUAUAUAUUAGAAUUAAUAAUAGUUAAUUAAAAAAUAGAUAUUUAUAACUUUUGUUUCAGCUGCUUUAAUCGUAUGUUACACCCUAAUUGCUCCGUGAUUUACUAUAUUAUCCCUAAUUAUUUAUUACAAGUCAUUUAUAUAUUAGAAUUAAUAAUAUUUUUAUUAUAUUACCCCUAAUUAAUUAUUAUAAAUUAUUUAUAUAUUAGAAUUAAUAAUAUUUAACUAAAAAGAUAGAUAUUUAUAACGUUUGUUUCAGCUGCUUUAACCGUAACUUUACUAUAUCAUGCCUAAUUAAUUAUUAUAAGUCAUUUAUGUAUUAAAAAAUUAAUUUCUAUUAUAUAGAAGAUGUGAUUUCAACCACCUCUUACAAUUAUCUAUAUAAUAUCUCUUACAAUUAUCUAUAUAAUAGAAGAGGUGAUUUUGACCACCUCUUCAUUUACUAUAUUACCCCAAAUCAUUUUCUAUAUUACAUCUUAAUUGCUCCGUAAUUUAUUAUAUUACUCCUAAUUAAUCAUUACAAGUCAUUUAUAUAUUAUAAUUAAUAAUAUUUUAUUAUUACAUUACCUCUAAUUAAUUAUUAUAAUUCAUUAUAUAUUAGAAUUAAUAAUAUUUAAUUAAAAAAAUAGAUAUUUAUAACAUUUGCUUCAGCUGCUUUAACCGUAUAUUACACCCUAAUUGCUCCGUAAUUUACUAUACUAUCCCUAAUUAAUUAUUAUAAGUCAUUUAUAUAUUAGAAUUAAUAAUAUUCUUUAUUAUACUACCCCUAAUUAAUUAUUAUAAGUUAUCUAUAUUAGAAUUAAUAAUAUUUAAUUAAAAAAUAGAUAUUUAUAACCUUUGUUUCAGCUGCUUUAACCGUAAUUUUACUAUAUUAUCCCUAAUUAAUUAUUAUAAGUCAUUUAUGUAUUAAAAAAAUUAAUUUAUAUUAUAUAAAAGAGGUGGUUUCGACCACCUCUUACAAUUACCAAACAACUAACUACUUCCACUUAAUUACAUAUCAUGCCCCUAUAUAUGAUAAUUUUAUUGUUUCAUCAUAAUGGUUUAAAUAUUUAAUGUAUUCUAUUAAUUUAUAUUUAUUAACUAUAACUACAUAUUGAAAGUAAAUUUUAUUUAUUUAUUUAAUUGUGUAUCAUGUUCAAAACUAAUUUGUUACCACAAAUCACAAUAAUUAAUAACUUAAAAUAUUUAAAAGACAUACAGAAAUUUUAUUGACUCUUACCAAAAAAAAACCCUCUACUCCCACUUAAUUACAUAUCAUGCCCCAAUAUAUAAUAAUUCUAUUGUUUCANNNNNNNNNNNNNNNNNNNNNNNNNNNNNNNNNNNNNNNNNNNNNNNNNNNNNNNNNNNNNNNNNNNNNNNNNNNNNNNNNNNNNNNNNNNNNNNNNNNNNNNNNNNNNNNNNNNNNNNNNNNNNNNNNNNNNNNNNNNNNNNNNNNNNNNNNNNNNNNNNNNNNNNNNNNNNNNNNNNNNNNNNNNNNNNNNNNNNNNNNNNNNNNNNNNNNNNNNNNNNNNNNNNNNNNNNNNNNNNNNNNNNNNNNNNNNNNNNNNNNNNNNNNNNNNNNNNNNNNNNNNNNNNNNNNNNNNNNNNNNNNNNNNNNNNNNNNNNNNNNNNNNNNNNNNNNNNNNNNNNNNNNNNNNNNNNNNNNNNNNNNNNNNNNNNNNNNNNNNNNNNNNNNNNNNNNNNNNNNNNNNNNNNNNNNNNNNNNNNNNNNNNNNNNNNNNNNNNNNNNNNNNNNNNNNNNNNNNNNNNNNNNNNNNNNNNNNNNNNNNNNNNNNNNGCAUAAAUCAUGACAAAAUAAAAAAUUAUUUUAAUUAAUUGCAACUAAAUAUUUAAAAUAAAUCAAUUUUAUUAUUUUAAUUGACUUAUAUAUAGAAAAUUGAUCUUUUUUUUAAUUUAUUUAUUUUAGUAAAUUUAAAUUUUAAAAUUAUUUAUUUCUUAUAUAGAAAUACUAAUGUUUAAACUUAACUUAAAAUUUUUAAAGUAAAAAAUUAAUAAAUUUAAUUUAAUAAAAUAAAUUUCUAAUGAAUAUUUUCUUAGAAUUUGUGUUGGGUCAAUAUGUAUCAAGUUUAAAAAAAAUAAAAAAAAUAUAUAGUAAAAUUUUAUUAUUGUGAAAGAUCAAUAUAAUGCACUAUCCAAUAAUGUUUAAUAAUAUCAUAUUUUGCAUAUGCAAAUAUAGCAUUCCGUAUUUAAUUACUAUUUUGGUGAAUUAUAGAUGAUUACUAUUGGAUAUGAUAAAAUUAUAUUAAUUUUUAUAGUAAUAAGAUAAUCAGUCGCUCUUAAUUAAUUAUUAUGAGUCAUCUAGGUAUUAUAAAAAUAAAUAAUAUUUAAUGAAAAAUAAAAUUGACAUAAAAUCGAAAUUAAUCUUAAUGUUUUAAAUUAAAUUUUCUUCUUUCAAACGAUGAUUUUACUAUAUCACUCCUUAUUAUAAGUCAUUUAUGUAUUAGAAAAAUAAGAAUAAUAAAAUGAUAUGUCAAUAUAAAAUAUUUGAUUUACUAUUAAAAUUAUAUUAGUGCCACAUAAAUUGGGACGGGAUAGAAGAAGAUAUAAAGCAACAUAUAUUAUUUGAAAAUAAAAUAAAAAGUACUGUAAAUAACAAUAAUUAAAAAAUAAAUUGACUGAUUUCUGCUUCAGCUGCUUCAGUCGUGAUUUUACUAUAUCACCCCUAAUUAAUUAUUAUGGUCAUUUAAGCAUCGUGCCACAUAAGUUGAGAUAGAAAAAAUAUUAUAAAUCACAAUGAUAAAAAAUUUAAAUUUUAAAAAAAAUAUAAUUGGCUAUUGUCGACACAAAGCUCUGGACAAGGAGAGUAGCAUAUAUUAUUAAAAAAUUACAUAAAAAGUAUUAUAAAUUACAAUUGUUAACAACUAAAAUAUCUAAAAAAAAAUUAAUAUGUUAUAUAUUUCAAAAAAAUUACAUAAAAAAUACUAGAAAUCACAAUAAUCAACAACUUAAAAAAUUUAAAAGAUAUAAAAUAUUUGGUCGGUUCUUGAAAUUAUAUUAGUAUCACUGAAAUUGGAAUAUAAGAAAAGUAUUAUAAAUCAAAAUAAUUAAAAACAUAAAUUAUUUUUAAAAUAUAAUUAACUAUCAAUGCCACAAAAAUUUGGACAAGAAAAAUAAUGUAUAUUAAUUUGAAAAAUACAUAAAAAAAUAUUAUAAAUUACAAUAGUUAACAACUUAAAUUAUCUAAAUACAUAUUAAAAUAACAUAUGUUGAACUCAUGCUAGAUUUUUGGAUGAAUCCUAGAAAACAUAUGCAAUCCAUUUAUUAAAAAAAUUUAUUUAUAUAUAUCAAGAUUGAAAAGACAAAUAAAUAUCUUAAUGUUGGGCUCAUGCUGACACGGGUCAUGCUUCUCUAGUAUCCUUAUAAGGAGAGCUUAUUAGAGAGCUUAUUAGUUAGUUCUCCUAUAUAAGCAGCUAAAGCAGGUUGCUGAGGUCAAUAUAUCUGCUUUAACUGCUUCAAUCGUGAUUUUAUUAUAUUAUUUUUAAUUAAUUAUUAUAAGAUAUUUAUGUAUUGAAAAAUUAAUAAUAUUUAAUAAAAAAUUUAAAAUGAAUAUUUAUGACAUGAUUAAUUCAGUUACUUCAAUCGUAAUUUUACUAUACCACCCAUAAUUAAUUAUUAUAAAUUAUUUAAGUGUUAAAAAAUUAAUAAUAUUUAAUGAAAAGACAAAAUAGAUAUAAAAUUGUAAAUUACCUUUUUGAUAUUUUAAGUUAACUUGAUAUUUUAUAUGGAACCACUUUAAAAAAAAAUCACAAGUAUUUUUUAUAAUAAUUUUAUUAUGUCACUUCUAAUUAGUAGAAUAGAAGAAAACAUUAUAAAUUAUAAUAAUUUAAAAAUUAAAUUAUUUAAAUAUUUAAUUUACUAUCAAUGACACAAAAGUUUGAACAACUUAAAAUAUUAUUAUAUAAAUUUCAUUAAUCUAAAUACAAUAAUAUAUACCUAAUUUAAAAUUUAUUAAUUAAAUAAAUAAAAAAUUUAAUUAAAUAAUAAAAUUAUAUAUUACGUAGAAUUUUUAAAAAUUAACAUUGAGCGUGCUACUAAUCAUAAUUAUCAUUAAUCUAAAUACAGUAAUAUAUACCUAAUUUAAAAUUUAUUAAUUAAAUAAAUAAAAAAUUUAAUUAAAUAAUAAAAUUAUAUAUUACGUAGAAUUUUUAAAAAUUAACAUUGAGCGUGCUACUAAUCAUAAUUAAGUGGUAAAAUAGAGAGUUGGACCAUUGAAACUAUACGUCUUGACAAUAUGCAUGUGUGGAGACAGACAAGGAAAGCGCGCUAAACAUAUAGGGGUCGUUUGGUUUGGAAAUUAUUAUCCAGGGUUAACUAAUUAUUUCGGGAUAAAAUAAAAGAAUAUAUUUUCCUUUGUUUGGUUGAAGGGAUUAAUCCAAUGAGGAUAACUUAUUCCACCAUUUUUUCCUUAGUCCCGGGAUAACUUAUCCCAUAUACAUGGUGGGAUAAGUCAUCCCGGAUAAUUCCGGUAUAAUUAAUCUCGAUAUUAAUUAUUCCGGGAUAAUAAUUUUCAAAUCAAACGACCCCAUAGAGUAUCUAUUUUCUCUGAGACGAAGCUUCUAAGCUCAUAAAAUUCUUGUAACUUGCUAAGUAAUUUAUCUCUAUUUUUUUUUUAAAUUAUAAAAUAAAAUUACAUAUUUAAUUUCAAAUUCACGUCACGUAUUUUUGUUAUAUAAAAUUGGAAAUAAAGAAGCGGUGGAAAAUGAUGCCAUGUCAAAAUCGACCCAUCUACUCACUCAAAGUGAUAAAUAUCAAACAUACAAAGUAGCUACAUGACAAAGUACUAUAUGCCCUUCUAUGAGUGAUGAAAUAUCAACUUAUUUUUUUUAAACUAUAUAUAAAAUUCUUGUAACUUGCUAAGUAAUUUAUCUCGUAUUUUUUUAUUUUUAAAUUAUAAAAUAAAAUUACAUAUUUAAUGUCAACUUCACGUCACAUAUUUUUGUUAUAUAAAAGUUGAAAUAAAGAAGCAGUGGAAAAUGAUGCCAUGUCAAAAUCGACCCAUCUACUACUCACUCAAAGUGAUAAAUAUCAAACAUACAAAGUAGCUGGAGAAAAUUGAAGGAAAAAUAUUUUUUAAGUCUUGAAUGAAAGAUUGGUGACAUUGACUAACAAAUAGGGUCAAAUAUCAUUAGAAAACUUGAUUAAGUUAAUUAUGAAUUUGAUUAAUAUUUUUAAAAUUUUCAAAUCUUUUCAAAAAUACAAAUCAACUCAACUCACACCCCUCUUCAAUCCAAAUCAACCACUCUCUCAUCUCUCUCGACAGCUUCUCUCAACUCUUUCCAACCAACAGUUCUGCCAAAUUUCUCCCUUCAACCCCCGACGACUUCUACCUCUAGCGACUAAUAGUUGGGCUUCGAGUUCCUCUCUUUUCUCCCUUCAACCCCUGGCAACUUCUAUCUCUGGCGACAAAUAGUUGGGCUUUGAAUUCCCCUCUUCAAUUCAAAUCAACCUGUCUCUCAUCCCUCUCUCGACAACUUCUCUCAACUCUCUCCCAACCAACUGUUCUACAAAUUUCUCAUUUCAAUCCUCGGCGACUUCAACAUCCGACUACAAAUAGUUGGGCUUCGAGUUUCUUUUCGACUUCAGCCUUCAAUCGACGUGACAGCCUUGCUCUCCGGCCACAACAGCUUCGAUCUUCGUUCCUAUUUUUCUUUCACAGGAAAAAAUUUAUGGCAUUUUUAGUUUUGAAGAAAACGAGGAACUUGAGUCAACUUCUCUUAUAGUAUUGGUUAACAAUUUCAAUAUUUGUUGCAUUAAUUUGAAAUGCGGUCUGAAUAAAAUCCUGAUUUCUGGUAUUUCUUCUCUUCUCUUUUCUAAGUGCGAAAAUUUGGGUUGAUUUGUUCUGUUCUUGUUCUUGGUAAAAAUGGUGAAAUUACAAUUUUUUUGUUCGUGCUACUGUUUUUUGUUUUCUCUGACAGAUUACCCAUUUGGUGCAAUAUAUUAACCAUCUGAUGCAAUAAAUUUAUCAUAUGAUGCAACAGAUCAAUCAUCUGAUGCACCAGAGGAACCAUCAGAUUAUAAUUCUGAUGCAACAGAUUAACUAUCUGGUGCAACAGAUUUACCAUAUUUUGCAACAGAUUAAGCAUCGGAUAAAAAAUUUGAUGCAACUAAUUAACCAUCUGGUGCAAUGGAAGAACCAUCAGAUUAAUGAUCCGAUGCAACAGAUAAACCUCUUGUUGGAUAAAAUCCUAUCAACUCUUCUAACAGGAAAUGUCCAAGACUUGAUUUUUCCAACUGAUCAUUCAUCUGCCGCGAUAGACAACCCUAUGUUGGAAGAAAUCUAAACAAUAUUGACCAUUGAUAACUUUUCCAACAGAUCACUCAUGUGUUGUAACAGAUGUGUGACCUGUUGCACAGACCAUUCAUCUUUCUCAAUAGAUGAGUGAUAUAUUUUAAUUAUUGCAACAGAUUACUCAGCAGUUGUUGUAGGUUAGUUAGCUACUCUGAUAGAUCACUCAUAUGUUGUAACAGAUAUGUGAUCUGUUGCACAAACCAUUCAUCUUUCUCAACAGAUGAGUGAUAUGUUUAGUAUUGUUGCAAUAGAUUACUCAGUCGUUUCUACAAAUUAUUUAACUAUUUCAAUAGAUCACUCACAUGUUUUAAUAGAUGAUGUCACAACAAAUGUGUGAUCUGUUGCACAGACCAUUCAUCUGUCUUAAAAAAUGAGUGAUAUGUUUUGUACUGUUGCAGAAGAUUACUCAUCCGCUGCAACAGUUUGGUUAUAUGCUGCGACAGAUAUACUACCUAGUGAAACAGAUCCCCGAUCUGCUGCAAUUGUUAUUUUACUGAUUUGCUUGUUUGAUUUACUGUUAUCCUUUUUUAACGAUGCAUUAAUCAACUAUAAUAUAUUUUUUUAUAUUCCUAUUAAUUUUAGAUAAUAUGGUUUCCAAAAAAACAUAAACCGAAUCAAGUCCAAGUAAAGGAACAAGUAAAGCAGCUAGGCUACAUCCACCACUCUAUGAGCUUUCUUUUCAAGCGUUAUUUUAAUCGAGAGCAGAAUAUGAUGAACACGGGGAGGAGGAAUGUUUCAAAAGAGAUGAUGCAGAUGCUAAUAGCCCUUCCUCCGAAGAGCUGGUCAAAGCCUUCAGCAUUGAUCGUUAUCCAGUGAGAAUGCAGUGCGAUGGUACCGCAGAUUUAACGGGUGAUUUCGUGGUUAAGUCAGCCAUGGGAAAAUCUUUCGACGCCUUCAGAAAAAUACUUCGAGAACAAAAAUUGGAUGCUUAUUUUAGGGACAUCCACUUUGGGAAAUAUCUUAAUUUAUCGGAGGACAACAAUGCUUGUUUCCAAAUAAAAAUGGUAUAUGAACUUCCCAAGCGUAGGUUUAUGUAUGAAAACAAAGAUAAGAUGGAUGAAGUGUGGAUAAAUUAUUGUGACAUGCCUGUUUUUUUUUUGUUGGGAGGAGUUUGUCAUAGUUACUGGACUAAAAUAUUAUCCUCCUUCUCAAGUUAUACCUAUUCUAACCCAAAAAAAAAAUACCCCGCACACCUAAAAAAAGGUAAAGACAAGUCGUGUGAUCGUGAUGACCUGGUUUCCAUUGUUGGUCCAAGCUUCAAAAAUAAAAAUUUGAUAGAAUCGUUGAAAGGUAAAGGACUUUCAAAGAAGCACAAGCAGUCAUUGUGUUUGAUUUGGUUUGUACAUAAUAUUCUUUGGGCGAGAGACGUUAACAACAACAUAAGCCUCAGUAUAAUAAAACUCUCUGAGGAAUGUGACGUGUUUAACAGCUAUCCUUGGGGGUAUGAAAGCUUCAAAAUGACUGUCAAAUAAUUGUUGAAUCUGUUAGCGCCAAAGACAGUUAACUUAUAUGGCUUCCCAUGGGCUUUCAUGGUAAAUGUUUCUUUCUUCUAUUAUGAUAUCAUUCAUUUUUUCACUUAAUAAUGGCUUUGAUUUAUUGGCAUUAUUUUAUAAGCUUGGGCGUUAGAAGCCAUUCCUUAUUUGAGACAACAAGUGAACUACCCAGGAAGGAGUUUCCUGUCCAGGAAUCUUAACAUGGUUGUCGAUCAAAACUGACAAAAAUGCAAAAUUUCUUGAUCUCUUCAACCCCCCGAAGGAUCAAGUAAGUAUAAUUAUAAUUAAUUUUUUCUUUUAAUUAAUGAUUUUUUUGAAUGAUUUAAUCAUCAUUUUAAUAAAUGUAAUGAUUUAUGUUAGAUUGUGCAUCCGUCGCUAGUUCUGACCAAUCGAGAGUUGAAGAUACCAUUUUUUCUUACUUUAUGGUCUGUGCAAACUUUAUCGGACCCUAAGUUCAUCGACAGAAUAAAAAUGGAAUUGUUUGGAGCAACAGCCAUUACAAAAAAAAUAAUUUUGGACGUGGGCUUGUUGUUGAUGAUGGUCUCAGUGGUGAUGGAGCUGUUGGUGGUGGUAGUGGUGCUUUCGUUGGUGCUAAUGAUGCUCCUCGUACAGUAUUUAAAGCAAACCAUUAUGAGUAUGAUCAUACUGGUUAUACAGAUUUUGCCUCUCCCAACAAAUGUUCUGAAUGCAAAUGUCAAGGCUGCAGGGCGAAACAUGAUGUAGUGAUUAAUGCUAUUAAUGCAAUAACUUCUUAUGUUAAGGAAUUGAUAUCUAAGAGGGGUCUCAUUCCAUCAAAGAGGACUUUAUUUCUAUCCACUCUAUUAGAGGUUAGGGCUAAGAGGAGAAGGAGAGUGAUUUUCAGGGCAUUAUUAAGCAUCCAAAAAAGUGAAAUUGCAACUCCUCUGUAUGUGUGUUGCACUGAGCAACGUACAAUGUCCAAAGGAGAGCAGCACGAGCUGAAGAAGGUGAAUAUAUUAUAUGUCUUCCAACUGAAAAAACAAACAGACACAUAUCUGUUUCAAUAGAUGACAGAUCUGCUGAAAAUUAUCAAACAGAUAUGUACAUCUAUUGCAACAAUUGACUAACCUGUUGCACCAGAUAAAGUAUCUGGUGCAACAUAUGUAUCAUCUAUUUUAGCAAAUCAAACAACUCUUCGUACUGCUUUUAUUGUACCAACAGAUGAUCUAUCUGCUGCAACAGAUGAUUCAUAUGUUGCAACAGAUGGUUCAUCCGUUGGAAAUUAUCAUACAAGGUCUUCCUCAUCUAGAAAUUUAUCCUAAUAGUUGAUUCAUUGUUGCAACAAAAAUAUAAUCUGUUUGGGAUAAGUUAAAGCGGGAGAAAGACCUAUUUGAUUUGCUAGAAGAGAUGAGUUUUCCUUUUUUGUUUUGUUGUAUCUCCGUGAUUAGCAUUAACCAAUUCUGGAUUUCCAGGUGGAUGUAGAAGAAGCUACUGCUGAACAGUAUUGACAAUAUGCUACUCUUUUUAUGGAAAUACGGAGAACAGAAAGCGCAAAAAUCGUACGUAAGCGACAAUAAAGAUCCACGACGAGCAAAGCAGAAUUCCAUAGCACCGGAUGAAGAACAACUUAUCCAUACUGAGUAGAUCUUUAUAGCUUGAGUCUGUCAAAGUAAUCCUUGGCAGUAUACUUAAAUUGUUGUUGAUGUAUUUAUUGAGAUUUGUACCCAUAACAAUUUUUUUACAUUUUAUUUAUUCGUUGACUUAUUUCAGCUAAUUUAUGAAGGCUUCGAUUUAUUUUAUUUUGUCUACGAAUUUUAUUUAUUCCUUAGAUUUGAACUUAUUAAUUGAAAAGAAAUACUAGAUUUAAAUAUUGCAACAGAUAAUGUAUCUAUUGCAACAGAAGACACAUCUAUUGGAAAAAUCAAACAAAUUUAAACAUAUGUUGCAAGAGGUAGAUAAUCUGUUGGAAUUUAUCAAAUAGAUCUUCCCACUAUUGCAACAUACGGACUUAGAUAGAAACAUCGAGAUAAUGCAACAGAUGACCAACCUAUUGCAAAAGAUAAACUAUAUGUCAGGACAGGUAAAAUAAUUGUUACAACGGAUGGAGAAUUUGUUGCAUUAUAAAAAUUCAACUUUCGUUGAACAUAAAAAAUUGCCACUACGUGUAAAAAGGUUAAAGUGAAUUGAAUUGAAAUUCAAAAGGCGGAACCCAUCGACGGUGUUCAUUUCAAACACCCAAAAUAAAAUAGGCAUCAAGUACACAGUGUUCAUUUAGAACACGUAAAAUAAAAUAGGCAUCAAAUGUGUCAGCCUGGCACAUUUUGCUGACUUGCCGUCACUUAGCCCACAACGGAUUUCAUCGUCAUCUUAUUUUAUCUAUCCAAAAUCUUCAAAUUAUUUCUUUCAUUUUUUCCAACUGAGCUUGACAAUGUCGAGUGCAUCUUCCACUAUUUUUUGUGAUAAAGAUUUUUGAUAUUGUAAGUGCGUUUAUGAAGCUAUGUUAAAGACUUCUUGGACUCAACAAAAUCCGGAUUGUAGGUUUUUUACUUGUAAGAUUUCGAAGGUAAUAUUUUUUUAUUUAAUUAGUUGAUUAAUUAUUGACUUGUAAUUAUUUUGUAAUUGUGUUCUGUUUUUUAUAGAAAUUGGGUGGAUGCGAUUACUUUGAUUGGUAUGAAGAACGACACCCUUCACAAGCAAAUCAUGUAAUUUGGGGUUUGUUGAACAAAGUCAAGGCUUCUGAAGAGAAACAAAAUCGAGCAAGAAGAUACUACAUUGUUGUUGUUAUUGCUACUGGUUUGGUGUUGUUGGAAACAUCGAUAUUCAAGCCUAAUUGCUGAAAUUUUUAUGGUGGUGUGUGUAUUUGCUACUGGUUUGGUGUUGUCGAGCACAUGGAUAUUCAAGCGUAACUGUUGGAAAAUAUCAAAAAGAUUUAGGCAUAUGUUGUAAAAUUUAGGUCAUCUGUUGGAAAUUAUCAAACAGGUCUUCCCACUGUUGCAACAGAUUAGACUUAGAUUAUUUGAUUAUUCAUAGAAAUAACAUCAGUGUAAUGCAACAAUGACCAACCUAUUGCAACAGAUAAACUAUCUGCCAGAACGGAUUAAAUAUAUUUUAUAACAAAUUGACGAUCUAUUACAUUAUUAAAAACUCAACUUUCAUCAGAAAAAAAUUAUUGCCACUACAUGUACAUGUAAUAAAGUGAAGGGUGACUUGAAAUUAAAAAUUUCUAUUUCACAGGAUCUUCUAUAUACACAGGCUUCAAGCGUCCAGUUAGUACCCCUUAAGCCCAGACCUCUUGCAAGUUUUCCACAGCAUUGUCACAUGGAAAAUUCGUUGGCUCGGCUAUUUCUGUGCCGUUCAGCAAACAUUCAUUGUAUGCAAGAGCGUACGAGCCGCUCGCUUUAGCGGCAUCAUCUUUUGGAAGGAUCAUUCCCUUGUUUCGACCUUUAAAAUUCUGUGAUUUCUUCAUCAACACUUCCUUUGGCAAAUGAUUCAUCAAUUUACUUUCCCUCAACAAGAUAGGCAACAACACCAUCAGUGGCUCCAGUGGGAGAAAAAAUCGAAAUCAUUGAUGAGAGGUACGUUAGAGUCAUAAACAUUGAUCUUUCCCCCCUUAAGUAGUAUCUCAAUAUCCCGAUAAUGCAUGUCGUUCAUGCUAAUGACUACAAAAAUCCUUUUUGCCUCAGUCCAUCUCUUGUCGUGUAGAUUUGUCCUAUCCCCUCUAACAUAUUUUAUCAUUUCUUCUUCAUACAAGACCAACGUAGGAACUCGGAAAUCAAGUCCCACGCCAAGGGCGGAUGCCUCCCCAUUGAGUUGAUCGUACCUAUCCUUGAGCUUCUUGCAGAAGUCGAGGUCCAUUAUCUUAUCAGCAGCGUCAUAAGCUUCCCGAUACGUUAAUUGUCUUUUCCUCAUGAGGCAGAGAAUUAUGUCAACAUUUGUGAUAUAAGAAUUCAAUUUUUAAAUAGGUUAGUAAUUGUAAAGAUGCAACAGAUGGUCCAUCUGUUGCAUAAGAUUCUCUGAAUCAAUAAUCCAAUACAACUUAUGCAACAGAUGGAUAAUAAGUUGUAACAGAACCACUACCAGUUGCAUCAGUAUACCCAGUUGUUGCAACAGAUGUGAAAUCUGUUGCGUAGAUAUUUCUUCAUGGGGUAGAUUAGAAGGGAUAGUUUAGGAAAAGUAAACUUGCCUUGUCGUCGUACGGCAUACGCAUAGCAGUCAUAGUUUGGAAGUAUUAGGGGGAAAAGGGAGUCCUGGCGUAAUCUGGUGCGCCUGGAUAGGCAUUCUUGGCCUGUCGCAGAUCCAUCUUCUCUUCGGCGCCAAGUUUCGCGUAUAUGUCCACUUUCUUAACUGGCCCAUGAACUUCAACAACUUUUCGAGAGGGAGGAAUUGCAAUUUCUUUUGAUUUUUGACCGGAGAGUACAUCUCUAAUUGCUCUUUUCCUUCUCCUAACCAACAAUGUAGGAGUGUGCGGCUGCCUCACCUUCUUGGAUGGUAUGACACACCUCUUGGAUUUGAAUUCCUCGAUAGCUUUAGAGAUAGCCUCUACUUUUUCAAAGAGUUUAUCCUGUCUGUCCUUGCACUCUUCGCAUUCGUAACGAGAACACGAGGGUGAAGAGAGGUGAGAGGGACCUGUGUAAGGGAGAAAAAGGGUUUUUUCAAACAUAUUUAUUCUUUCUUGAGCAUCAACAUACUCAUCGUCACGAGUGGUAGCAGCAUCUGCAUGCCUGUCACCAACACCAACAACUCCACCAGAAGAAGCACCCGGAUCUGCCUUAGUAAAAGGUUGGUCAUGAAGAACCUUAACAUUAGGCUGACCUUUCCUAACUGCUCUUCUUAUGGCUAUUGUUCCAGCCAAUUCCUUCUUUAUUAACUCCACCGUUAGGUCUGCUAUAGUAUCAAUAUGACCUAGAGUAAUAUAAGAAGUCAUCACCAACUCCUCCUCAGUAGGCACGAUCCAUGGAUGCACAACCAAUAAAAAAGGAAAAAAAAGACAGAUAUAUUUAAAUCAUAUAAUAUAAUAAUUUUCACAGUUGGGCUACAUUUAAAAAAAAAGACCCAUUUGUUGCAUAGUUUGCAAUAUAUGGCUAAAAUCCAUUUGAGUCUGGUUUAGAGAAACAGAGCAACACAAGGAUAAUUUGAUGCAAAAUAUCAAUCAUUUGUUACAAUAGUUGCACAAGACAAGUAAUCUAUUAUGCAACAGAUGAUCUGUACGUCACUACAGAUGAACAAUAUAUUAUCAGAUUACACAUCUGUUGCAUAAUUUGCAGUAGAUAGUUAAUUUUUUAGGAGUCGAGUUCAGAGAACCAAAGCAACAAAUGGGUAAUCUAAUGCAAUAUAUACCCUGUCGCAAUAGAUGUCCCAUCUAGUACAUCAGAUAUAACAUCUGUUGCACCAGAUAUAACAUCUGUUCAAUAUCUUUCUUUGAGUAGAAUUAUUUUACUUAAAGAAGACGUAAUGCAUCAUCCGGAGGGUUAAAGAGAUCAGCUUCCUUAAUAUUGGUGCUGCUCUUUGCAGCCAACCACCUAAACAUCCUUGGAUGAGAAACCUCAUUCGGGUAUUCCAUUAACUACUUUCGGAGGAGAGGAAUGGCUUCAAAUGUCCAAGCCUAAAAAACAUAAACAAGAAGCAAUCAAAAAUAAGUCAUAAUAACUAUAUUCAAUAAAAAUUAAUGGAUGAGUAAAAUUAGUGAUUAAUUUUACCAUGAAAGCCCAAGAAAAGCCGUAUAAUGUGGGCGUCCCUGAGGAUAGCUUUGUCAGCAAAUAUUGGACAGUCAAGUAGAAGUUGUCAUACCCCCAGGGAUAAUUGUUGAAUUUAUCAAAAUCCUCAGCACGCGCCAACAAAUCAUCUUCUAUGACCUUGUUGCCAUAUCUUACCAAUAUAACCUAACGGGCAAACCAAACUAAGCACAAUUGCUUCUUGUACUGCUCUGGUAUGUUUUUAUCCUCGAGAUCUGUCAAUAAAUUAAAUGUUUUGUAGCCACGUUGAGCAAUGUAGAACAAACCAUCUAUUUUUUCCUUGCAUUUUCUUGCCUUGGAUAUUUUGUAGAGUGGUGGUCCUUCUGGAUGAUGGCAUCUCAAGCCCGUCACUAUGGCAAACUCUUGCAAGCCAAAACAAACAGGCAUGCCACAGUAGUUGAUCCAGAUUUCAUCUAUCUUCUUUUUUCCCCCUCCUUCUAAUCUUUAUCAGCCCCCGUGUACUUGAUCCUGCGCUUGAGAAGACCAUAUACCAUCGUCAUAGGGAAACGGAUACGGGCAGAGGGGUCCUUAGGCAGCUCAAGAAAGCAUCCAAAGCAUCUCUUCUUAAAAAGUACGCCUAUGUUUUCAUUCUUUAUAAUUUUCAUAAAAUGUUCAAAAAAUUUCCCCAUCUGACAUUUAAGUACAAUUUGACCUGUUAGUUGUUUUCCAUCUGGGCCAUUUAUCGGCAUCGCAACUUGAAACCUGUCAAUACUAAAAGUUUUGACAGGAUCAUACUGGGAUGUCGAUAUUAAUUCACGCCCCAUCGGUGAUCCAUUAUUAUUAUGUUGAUGAUAAUCCUCUUUCUCUUUCUCACUCUCCAAUUCCUCCUCUUUCUCACUUUCAUUUUCUUCAUCACCAUCUACAGACCCUUGUCCACCUCCCUCAACAUUGUUUUCAUAUCUCUCCUCAACUUCACUUUUUCUUGAUUGAGAUUGUUCAGGAAGCUCCUUUGAAUCCCUCUAUACUGUAGCUUUUUUUGGGUGGUCAAACGUUGAUCCACUUUCACUUUCUUUUCUUUUGGGAGACAUGUUUUACCUACAGACAAAGAAAAACAAAAAUUACAUUACAAUUGAUGUAUGCAUAGAUUUUAAAAAAUACAUUACAAAUACCACGAAUACCGACAUACCAACAGCCACCACUAAAAACACCACCAACCAAUGCCAACAAAUAAAAACCACGAAUACUGACCCCACCAACAGCCACUACAAACAACACCAACCAAUGCCACCACCAGUGCCACCACGAUGAUCACAAAUACCACCACCACCACAAACACCAUCAAUAAUACCACGAUAGUCAACGAAACACUGCGACGAAAACUAGGGAUUUCUCGAGUUCUUCCUACGAUUUUACCAUAAGAACUCAAAAUUGUAAACUCAUUCUCGAAGAUAAUACAACUAAAAGUUUUAUUUUUCAUUAUUAACUUAAAAGCCCUUAUUUUUUAGAAAAAAAUAACAAAUAUAGAGCUCUUUUCGAAAUCUGUUGCCUACGAAGACAAAGAAAAUGAUUGAUACAAGCAAGAAUAAAGUUAAAAAUAACAACUAUGUGGUCGAAAAUAAGAAGAAAAGCGAUCUGUUGUGGAGGGUUGAGCAAAUUUGUUGAGUAGUUGUUGUCUGUACUAUAUUGUUGAGUGAGAAUGAGAGAGAAAGAGCGAGACCUUGAGAUUUGAAAUGAUGAAACAUUUUGUAUGGGUUGAUUUGUAUAUUGGAAAAGAAUGACAAGUAGUUUUGAAAAUGUUAAUUUGGUCCGAAUUGAUCUUAAUUAUUUUUAAAAUUAUAAAAUAUAUGCGUAACUUUUAACCCUCUCAUCAUGAAAUUGCCAAAAGGGUAAUUUAAUUGAAACUGUAUAAAAACAGUUGAAGUUGUAGUUGACCGAGUACUCUAGUUAAUCCUAUGAAAACUCACCCCUGGUCCUAGAAUAAUUAAUUUAGGUACUAUUAGUCUAACAUAUGAACUCAAUUGAAAUUGUAAAAAAACAAAUGUUCAACAUGUUGCAUCAGAUUUUCAUCUAUUGUAAAUUAUCAAUCAGAUUAAAUAACAAUAGCUAACGAAUCUGUUGUAAAUUAUCAAAUAGAUUAAGUCAUCUGUUACGACGAUUACCUAUCUAUUGUAAUUUUCAAAUGAAUUAUCAUAUGUCGCAACAGAUUAUCCAUAUGUUGUAAAUUAUCAAAUAGGCGUUGCCAUCUGUUGUGGCUGACCCUAUGAGAACUCACCCCUAGUUCUAAAUUAAUCGAUAGUUUACCCUAUGAGAACUCACCCCUAGUCCCAGAUUAUUCAACCAAGGUAUUAGUACCCUAGUCCUAGAUUAAUCAAUUAAGGUAUUAGUCUAACAUAUGAGGUAGUAAGCAUCGGUUCGGCUCAGAGUUAUCGAUCGACGACUCUGGUCGGGAGGAACACAGUACCGUCUUAUCAUGCAAUUAUCAAAAGACUCAAUUGAAGUUGUAGUUGACCCUAUGAUAACUCACAUUCAAUUAAGGUAUUAGUCUAACAUAUGAACUAAAUUGAAUUAUAUAUAAACAAUGUUCAACCUAUUGUAACAGAUGUAUUUUUUGUUGGAUCAAAUCAAACAGAUUAUGUUAUCUGUUGCAACAUAUUACGCAUCUGUUGUAAACUAUCAAACAAAUUACGUCAUUUGUUGCGACAGAUCACGAAUCUGUUGUAAACUAUCAAAUUGAUUUAAUUAUCUGUUACGACAAAUUACUCAUCUGUUGUAAAUUAUCAAAUGGAUUAAGUCAUAGAUUGCAAUAGAUUACCCAUCUGUUGUAAAUUAUCAAAUAGGCAUGGUCAUCUAUUGUAGUUGACAUUAUGAGAACUCACCCCUAGUCCUAUAUUAAUCAAUUAAGGUAUUAGUUGAACAUAUGAGGUAAUAAUAAUUGGUUUGGCUCAUAGUGAUUGAUCGACGACUCUUGUCGGGAGGAACGCAGUACCAUCUCAUCAUGUAAUUGCCAAAAGACUUAAUUGAAGUUGUAGUUGACCCUAUAAGAACUCAUCCCUAGUCCCAAAUUAUUCAAUUAGGGUAUUAGUACCCUAGUCCUAGAUUAAUCAAUUAAGGUAUUAGUCUAACAUAUGAGCCAGUAAGAAUCGGUUCGGCUCAGAGUUAUCGAUCGAUGACUCUGGUCGAGAGGAAUGCAGUACUGUCUUAUCAUGCAAUUGCCAAAAUACUCAAUUAAAGUUGUAGUUGACCCUAUGAGAACUCACCCUUAGUCCCAGAUUAUUCAAUAAAGGUAUUAGUACCCUAGUCCUAGAUUAAUCAAUUAAGGUAUUAGUCUAACAUAUGAGGUAGUAAGAAUCGGUGCGGCUCAGAGUGAUCGAUCGACGAAUCUGGUUGGGAGGAACGCAAUACCUUCUCAUCAAACAAUUGCCAAAAGACUCAAUUAAAGUUGUAUUUGACCCUAUGAUAACUCACAUUCAAUUAAGGUAUUAGUCUAACAUAUGAACUCAAUUGAAAUUAUAUAUAAACAAAUGUUCAACCUGUUGCAACAGAUGUCUUUUCUGUUGGAUUAAAUCAAACAGAUUGGUAAUCUGUUGCAACAUAUUGCGCAUCUGUUGUAAACUAUCAAAUAGAUUACGUUAUUUGUUGUGAAAGAUCACAAAUCUAUUCUAAACUAUCAAACAGAUUAAGUCAUUUGUUGUACUUAAAUGUUUUAAGAUCCUUUUUUUAAAGCAAUUUAGGUAUUUUCUGUCCGAUAUAAAAUAGUUAAAAUACUAUGGCGGUAAAAACUAUUACUCGGCACUACUUGGAUAACUCAAAAAUCUCCUGACUGAGUAGUCUUAUCUGGUCUUUUCAACUUCACCAUCUCCUCGUGCCCCUCAAAAGUUAUUAAUGAAUAUUUAAAACCCUCCAUAUCUAGAACUCUCUCUCCUUCAGCCAUAAAGUAGUCUAGACUCAACUUAUCACUCUUCUUUAUUGUUUAGUCUCAAUUAUCUUUAUUGUUUCCUUUUUUCUCUCUUUUCUCUCUUUUUUCAGAUGAGAAUCCUUUAGGAUCUCAACCAAUCAAUAUGUUUUCUCGAUUGAACUGGAUGUUCUGAUCCGUUUGCUUUUUUGACAUUGCAGGUAUGGUUCACUGUUGCUCUUUUCAUCUCAUCUUUUUCUUUGUAUGUCAUUUAAAUUAGAUAUUUACAUCGGCUGCUAUUAAUGAUUUACCCAUUACCAGUUUCCUAUUUAUUGAGAAAAUUAAAGGAAAGGUGACUUUUAAGUCUUGAAUGAAUGAACCGUUGUUUUUUUAAAUAUGCAAAAAAAAGUCAUCUAUUGGGAGAACUUAAAAAGCCUUGUUGUCAGUAUAGUUUUUUUAUGUCUUUUGUUUGGUACUUUGGUAUUGUUGUUGUUGGGGGUGGUGGUUGUGUUGGAACAUGUGAUAUUUGUGUUGUGGAUGGUGUUAGAACAUAUGGUGUUGUUUUGUUUCUUUGUUGUUGAUGCUAUUGGUGGUGGUGUUACGACAGUUUUAUCAAUUGUUGUAACUGAUGAAUUAUCUAUUGGAACAGAUAGAGCAACUAUUUGAAGAAAUCAAACCAGUAGCAAAAAGACAGGUUUGAUUUAUUCUAACAGAUAACCAUCUGUUGCAACAUGUCAUCCAUUCUUUGCAACGAUGCCUCAUCAGUUGAACAAAUGGGUAGUCUGUAUCAUAUUAGUCAUCUGUUGGUUCACUCAAUUUUGUGUUACCCUUUUGUAAUGUUUUUUUUGUUCUUCUGUUGUUUGACAUUAAAUGUAUUUCUCUUGUUUGCAGACAAAAGGAAGUGAAAUUAGAUCCACUUUGCCCGGCCAGCAUUAAAGGCUAGAGUAAAGAUGGUUUCAAAGGAAUAAGAUGCUUGCAGAUGGAACCACUUCAUAUGUGGGAGGUAUGUAUUACUGAUCAACCUAUCAUGAAAACACACAUCCAGGACAAUGAUUUUGUGAAUGUUUGUUCUUUACCUAUUAGGCAUUAAUCCUUCAAACAAGAUAUGGCAUUUUACAGUUAAGAUUGUUAGGUUCGAACUGCUAAGGCUGAGGGACCAAGUCGGUGGUGUCGAUACCCCAUUACAAUUUAAUGAUGGUUUAUGCUUAUAUUUUUGUGUCAAGUUUGGGGAAGGGUUCAAGGUUUUGGCGGCAGUAUAAAUAUCUAAUAGUGAUUGGACCAAUUUUAAUGGCGCAAUAGACUUUUUGAAAGGCCUUCGAAGCCUCGCACUACAACAAACAAUGAUGGAUCUAAUAGAAAUUUUCCUGGUCCAAAUUUAUAUGGAUGGGUUGUUGGAGGAGACUAUUAUACAGCAGAAGGUGUUUGGAAGAAAACCUGUGCUAGAAGAGGGAGGUUGAGAAGGUCAUAUAUCAUCUCAGUCCUUGUUUAAGAGGAUACAUCGGGUGGGAAGGAAAGUGUAGCAAAAUUAGCUUAUGAAAUUGACACGAAAAAUAAAAAAACUGGAUGAGCUGCGAAUAUGAAAGUGUAUCCAAAAAUGAAAAUUCGUCAGUCAUUGAAGAAAAGGAAGAAUGGUCAAGAGGAAUUGAGCUGGUCACUUUGCUAGAGACUGCAACUAGCGAGCGCGGCCUCAAUGAAGACCCACAAAAUACAGGUCUAGAACUCUAAGGAAGCAGCUUCGCGAGCAUGGAAGGUGGUAAGAUUGUCGGUCUGAAUUGACAUGUAGGUUUCAAUUUUGACCGACAAUAUUACCACCUUCCAUAAUCGCUAAGCAUUUUACUUGGAGUUCUGGUCCUGCACUUUGUGAGGGUCUUCAUUGAGGCUUUGCUCGCUAGUUGCAUUCUCGAGCAAAGUGUCCAGUUCCAGUCCUAUUGACCAUUCUUCUUUUUUUUCAUCGACUGGCGAAUUUUUAUAUUUUGAUACACUUCCACAUUUGAAGCUCAUCCAGUUUUUUCAUUUCUCGUGUGAAUUUCAUUGGCGAAUUUUGCUACACUUUCCUUCCUACCCUGUUUUCCUCUUAAAAAAGGUCUGAAAUGAUAUAUGGCCUUCUCCACCUCCCCCUUCGUACACAGGUAUUCUCCCAAGUACCUUCUACUGCAAAAGAGUCUCCUCCAGCAAUUCAUUUAUAUAAAUUUUGACCAGGGAAUUUCUAUUGGUUCUAUCGGUUUUUGUUGCAUUGUGAGGCUUCGGAGGCCUUUCAAGAAGUCUAUUGUGCCACUAAAACCGGUCCAAUCACUAUUGGAUAUUUACACUGCCUACAAAAAUUUGAACCCUUCCCCAAACUUGACACAAAAACAUGAGCAUGAAUCAUUAUUAAAUUGUAACGGGGUAUCGACACCACCAUCUUGGAACCCUUCGGCCUUAUCAGUUCGCACCUAUCAAACUAAACUGUACAAUGCAGGAUCUUUUUUGAAGGAUUAGUGUCUAAUCGGUAAAAACUUGCAUUCACAAAAUCAUUGCACUUUAUGUGUGUCUUUAUGGUAGCCUAAUCAAUAAUAUACAUAACUCGCACGCAUGAAAAUGGGAUCCAUUGCACCUAGAUAAUUCAUAUGUUGCAACAAAUGGUAAAUCUGUUGUGAUAGACCAGACUAUUUUUUUUAUUUAUUUGCACGCAUGUGAUUACUUCUUGCUAAAAAUGUUUGUUUCAAUUUAGUUUUCCUAUUUAUAAAAUCAAGAGAAUUUUAUUAUAUUCUUCCAAGAUUACCCCUAUUAUUAAAUGACUACAUAAAGUAUAUUAUUCACAUUUAUACUUUCAAAUCAUAAUUAAUAAGGCCAAUUUGGUAAAAUAAUCACCUAAUUUAUAUUUUUAUUAAUUGGUGUGCCAAGCCCAUAGGGCCCAACUAAUACGAAACGGAUGGACUAUUAAAAAAAGGUGAAGAGUCGUGACUUUUCAUCUAACACAUUCAAAAUAGCUAAUGAACCGAAUACUCCAUUUGUUGAAACUGAUGAAUCAGCUAUUAGAAGAUAUCAAAACAUCUACUCCAACAUAUACUGUCCAUUUGUCGCAACAAAUAAUACAUAAGUUGCAUCAGAUGUCUUAUCUGUUGCAUAUAUAAACCAUAUAUUGCAACAGAUGGUAAAUUUAUUUUGAUAGCCGUCUGUUGCACAUUCAAUCCAUUUAUUGCAACAGAUGCUAAAUCUAUUAAAAAUGAUGGACGAUCUAUUGCAACAGCUCAAUAAUAACGGCUUUUGUCGAGUCUCAAACCACUAUGAAAAGGUGAGAAGUAAUUAAUGUAAAAGAAAAAGUCGCGACUUUUCACAGAAAAUAAAAUGCCACCAGUUUGAAUGUAAUUAAUACAAUGGAGCUGAACAGUCCUGCCUUUUGUCUUGACACGUCUAGAUUCAAUCCUCUAUAAAUAGGUCCCUCCUUAAUCUUCAUUCAACUCUAUUUAUUUCUUGCAAUUUUUCCAUUCGUGUGACAUCUUCAACCACUUCUCUUCAAAGAGCAUAUCUCUUUCUCGUUGAGGUAAGUUUUUUUCUGGUGUAAAUUUACCAGUUGGUCGUAGACGUUGUAUUACAUUUUGGACUUUUUUCUUUACAUUUGUUAAUUCAUGCGUGUUCUAGAUAUGGAGAUCCUUUUCUAGACAUUGUUAUUGUACGCGAUACAAUGCAGGAACUUCAAAGGCAGGUUAAUGACCUGCGAAGCGAGUUGGUCGCUGUGAGAGCGACGAUGUUCAGAGAGAUACAUAGGCUGAUGAGAGCCCUGUUCCUGCGAGUUGAUUGGCUGGCUGCCAUUAAUGAUGAUGAUGAUGAUAAUAAUAAUUAGAAUGUAUUUUUUCUUUUAGCGUAUGUAUUUUUAUUUUUCUAUAUCGGAUCUAUACCUAAUAUAUUUUAUUUUUCGUUUAAGAAAAAUUUACUUUUAGUCAGACUUUGGCAUUUUAAUUCUUAUUCAAUAUUCAUUCUGUCUACUUCUUCUAAUCUAAUACAUGUUAACAUGUCGACGGCUGGAGGCAAUGUUGAAUCCAGUAGCACUAGCAAUUUUGACUUUUGAGUUCUUUCAACAGAUGGACCAUGUGUUAGAACCGAUUGGUCAUCUGUUAGGUUUGUAUCAAUAGAUUAUCCAUCUAUUUCGACAGAUUUGUCAUCUGUUGGAGGAAAGUAUUCCAGUUGUUUAUGCAACUGUUGAGAAUAAUUGUGGUCUGCUGUAUUAUUUAGUUCAUGUUUUGCCUCUUUUUAUUGAUGCACAAGUUAUUUAAAAAAAAAGAUAUUUUAUAUAUAAUAAAUGAUAACAUUAGGUUCACAACAAUGAGUUAAAUAUAUAAAAGUUCACAACAAACAAACAAACAACAACACAAGUUUUUGCAAUUACAACAAUCAUGAUGGAUUAUGAUUCGGGCAUGUAGUUCUUUUGUGGCCAGCGCACUUACAUAUGGAGAACUUGUUUCUUCUUGAUGAAAAUAAUUCUUUAACUCCACGCCUCCUCUAAUAUGGCUUUCUUCCCGGUUUGAUAGUGCUCGGGUCAAUAUAUGGGGGAGGUAUUAAUCUCCCCAUAAGCUCUACUGGAAUAACCAAAGAUUCUUCGGGAGGCACCGGAGUAAUAUGCCCACUAUAUGCCAUUUUAUAUUUUUCCACCGAAUAAUAUUGGGAGGAGUGCUCAUAAACUUCAGGUCCAUAUUUAUGACCGUAUUGAGCUCGAAGGGCUGCCAUAACAUGUGGACAAGGUAUUUUGUCCAAGUCAAAAACUCUACACGUACAAGAUCUUUUUUGAAGAUCGAUCGUGGAAGCAUCACCAUGACGGUGAUAUGAAAUUUGUAAUCUACUAUUUUAUGAGAGAAUAACCUAUUCCCCAAACUGAUGUUCGUUGAUAUUUUCUUUUCGAUUUCGAGAACAAAUUGGGUUCUUUUUCUGGGCACUUGAACUGUACACGCCUUUCGUUAAAAAAAUUGCUAUACUUCUCGCUUAUUUUUUCAAACAUAGCCUUGAUGGAAAAUUCUCUUUCAUCGCCAAAUAAUGAAUUUACCAAUUCAGCUAUGUUUAAUGUCAUAAUAUUGUACCUAUAGAAAAGAAUCACUUAGUACGACAUCAUACUAAACUUGUAAAUCAAACAAGACAUUAAAUUCAUAAGAAUGUACCUAUUUGCUGGACAGAAUACCUGGCUCCAUCUCUCGAAACCGACACGUGCGAGAAAUUCUACUACCUUGGGAUUCACAUCUGCUAUUUAAUUGAAAUGGUCUAAAAACUCCUCUCAACUAUAUGCUUUAGCUGCUCUAUAAAAAAGGGUGACGACCCUUUCGUUGUGAUAGUUGUUUCGAAUGUUCUCUCCAAGAUGCCUGAUGCAACAACCAAAGUAAGCUGAAGUGAAGAAAAGUGAACCCGUCUUUGGAAUACUUGGAUGCCUAUCCGAUACAAAACACAACUCUUUAGUAUCUUCAACGCAGCAUCGCAGUUGUUCAAAAAAAUCCAUAAGAGGCAUCACAUUCCUUGUCCGCUACACAAAAAGCGACAGGAAAGAUGUGAUUCUCCACAUCCUACGCCACCGCCGCUAGCAGAAAUCUAUUAUAACUGCUCCUCAAGAAGGUACCAUCGAUGACUAUGCCUUUUCUCAAAUGUCAAAAACUUGAAUCCAAGCACCAUAGGAUACAAAAAAGUACUUGAACCUUCCGUUUUCAUCCAGAUACAAUGUUGUCUUACUUUCGGUAUUUGUGGACUCAAUCAUGUAACGGUAAGCAUCCAAGACUUCAUACCCAUUCUCGAGUGUCUCCCUAACCAGGUCCAUGGCAAUCCCCAUGGUCGUAUAUACCUUCGAAUAACUGACCAGGACACCCAAAUCCAUAAGGAGUUGAUUGUCCAUAAGCCUUGUUGAAGGGCCUUUGCCAUCGGGGAACCUACUCCUGAAAUAUUCAUCAAGGACCUUUGUCGUGGUGUGACAAUUUUGACCCGAUAUGUGCUCCGAACCACAUGUGUGAUGCUUUUCAUGUUUAUAAAUGAUGAAUCUGUCAGAACUUGCGUACUUCACCACUCUCAACCACCACUUGCAGUUCGAAUUAGCACAUUUGAAGCAAAAGACAUUGCUCGAAUUAAUCACCUUUUUUAUUCUGAAAUCUUUUUUCAAGCAACAAAUAAACAAAGUGUUAGAUAGUUCAUUCUUGUCCUUGAAUGACAUUCUAAUAAAAAAGUUGGUACCGUCGUCUUGAAGAUUUUCAGACUGUGUCGAUUGAGAAGAACUGCACAUUGUAUUGGUCACAUCAACGGGCGUAGGUGUUUGAUCAUCAUCUAGAAUAUUUAUGUCUAGAUCAUCCAACCUAUUAUCAAAGAAGUCUUCUUUUUCUUUUUCUUCUUCUACGUUCUGGUUCUCAUUCUCUCUCAUCUUUUUAACCAUGUACACCUUUGAAUCACUUAGAUAAGCACGCAACCUGAUCUGUUAUCUUGAAAGGCAGUACCCUCUGAUUUUCAAAGGAGCUGUGCAUGUAGCUGAUGGCUAAUCUUUCUGUUGACAGUUCAAUCCUCAAAGGCUGAUAAUUAAGUUCACAAAAUCAUCAUACGAAACAUCAUUUUGGACUGUCAUAGUUAUCAUAUCUAGCAUUUCACCCUCCUUCCAACGCCAUACAUAUCGAUUGCUCUUCUCAACCCAUUGACCAUGACAAUCCACCUCUAUUGUUAUUGAUCCCUCCAUUAGCGGUACCUAAAUAAAGUCAUUUGUUCAAAAAAGUUGAUAAUGAUUUCAUAGUUUCAUGAAUGAAUCCCAACAGAUGUGUUAUCUGUUGCAACAAGUAAGUGAUGAGCCGCAACAGAUUCUUACCUGUUGGGAUUCAUGUUACGCUCCUGAAUAUCUGUUGCAAUAGAUGAAGCGUCUGUUGGAAUUGAUGUUAUAGUAAUAAAUCAGCUUUGAAGCUGAUUCCAACAGAUGAGUAGUAGUGGUAGUGGUGGUAGUGGUAGUGGUAGUAGCGGUGGUGGUGGUAGUGGUAGUAGUGGUGGUAGUAGUAGUAGUAGUGGUGGUGGUGGUGGUGGUAGUGGUGGUAGUGAUGGUAGUGGUGGUAGUAGUGGUGGUAGUGGUGGUAGUGAUGGUAGUAGUGGUGGUGGUGGUAGUAGUGGUAGUGGUGGUGGUGGUGGUGGUAGUGGUGGUAGUAGUAGUGGUAGUAGUAGUGGCAGUGGUAGUAGUAGUGGCAGUGGUAGUAAUAGUAGUAGUGGUAGUAGUAGUAGUAGUGAUAGUAGUAGUAGUAGUGGUGGUAGUAAUGGUGGUGGUGGUGGUGACGGUGGUGGUGAUGGUGGCGGUGGCGGUGGCGGCGGCAACGGUAGUAGUAGUAGCAGUAGUAGCAGUAGCAAUAACAGUAGUAGCAGUAGCAGUAGUAGCAGUAGCAAUAUUAGUACUAUUAUUACUAUUACUAUUACUACUACUACUAUUAUUAUUAUUAUUACUUUUUUUACUAUUAUUAUUAUUAUUAUUACUACUACUACUACUACUAUUUUACUAUUACUACUAUAUAUAAGUGAAGGUUGGGGUGUCUACCAAGCGUAUCUCGGUAAUUUUAGCCACCACAACUUUUACUUAUAUAUAGUAGUAAAUAAAAUGGUUACACAUGCAUAUGAUUUUUCCUUAUAUUUAUUGAUUCUGUCAUCAUUUUUAUGGUGCAAUAAAAUGGUUAUACAUGCAUAUUAUUUUUUCUUAUAUUUAUUAGUUUUCUCUUCAUAUAUUAUUUUAAAAAUAUUUAUCUUUAGACUUUAAUUUUUUAUAAAUAUCUUUUUGUUCUUUAUUAAAUGACUAUCAAAGAUAUUUUGAUAAUUUUAGGGUGCAAUAAAAUGGUUACAUAUGCAUAUAAUUUUUUCUUAUAUUUAUUAGUUUUGUCUUCAUGUAUAAUUUGGGGUGACUACCAAGUGUAUUUCGCUAAUUUUAGUCACCCCAACUUUCACUUAUAUAUAGUAGUAAAACUAAAUAAAAUGGUUACACAUGCAUAUUGUUUUUUUCUUAUAUUUAUUAGUUUUGUCCUCAUUUUUAUGAUGCAAUAAAAUGGUUACACAUCCAUAUUGAUUUUUCUUUAUAUUUAUUAGUUUUGUCCUUAUUAUUAUUUUAAUAAUAUUUUUAUUUAGACCUUUGUAAUUGAAUUAUACAUGAUACUAUAUUUUUAUAAAUAUCUUUUUGUUGCUUAUUAAAUGACUACCAAGGGUAUUUCGAUAAUUUUAUGGUGCAAUAAAAUGGUUACACAUGCAUAUUACUUUUUUCUUAUAUUUAUUAGUUUUUUUCUCAUUUUUAUGAUGCAAUAAAAUGGUUAUACAUGCAUAUUGCUUUUUUUCUUAUAUUUAUUAUUUUUGUUCUCAUUAUUAUUUUAAUAAUAUUUUAUUUAGACCUUUUUAAUUGAAUUAUACUUGAUACUAUUUUUAUAUAAAUAUUUUUUUGUUCCUUAUUAAAUGACUACCAAGGGUAUUUCAAUAAUUUUAUGGUGCAAUAAAAUGGUUACACAUGGAUAUUUCUUUUUCUUUAUAUUUAUUAUUUUUGUCCUCAUUUUUAUAGUACAAUAAAAUGGUUACAUAUGCGUAUUGGUUUUUUCUUAUAUUUAUUAGUUUUAUCCUCAUUAUUUAUUUUAAUAAUAUUUUUAUUUAAACCUUUGUAAUUGAAUUAUACAUGGUACUAUUUAUUUAUAAAUAUCUUUUUGUUCCUUAUUAAAUGACCAUCAAGUGUAUUUCGAUAAUUUUAUGUUGUAAUAAAAUGAUUACACAUGCUUAUUGACUUUUUCUUAUGUUUAUUAGUUUUGUCCUCAUUUAUUAUUUAAAUAAUAGUUUUAUUUAGACCUUUAUAAUUGAAUUAUACAGAAUAUUAAUUUUUUAUAAAAAUAAAUUUUUUGCUUAUUAAAUUAUUUAUUUUUAAUACCCUAAGGGUAUUUUGAUAAUUUUAUGGUGCAAUAAAAUGGUUACACACGCAUAUUAUUUUUUCUUUAUAUUUAUUAGUUAUAUCUUCAUUUUUAUGGUGCAAUAAAAUGAUUACACAUGCAUAUUUUUUUCCUUAUAUUUAUUAAUUUUGUCCUUGUAUAUUAUUUUAAUAAUAUUUUUAUUUAGACCUUUGUAAUUGAAUUAUACAUGGUAGUAUUUUUUUAUAAAUAUCUUUUUGUUCCUUAUUAAAUGACUACCAAAGGUAUUUUGAUAAUUUUAUGGUACAGUAAAUAUUUUGAAAUCGACGUAUGUUUCCUGAACUUAUAUAUUUGAAACUUUCAAAUGAGACGUGCAUCAUGUACUUUUCCAGGAAUGUCCAAACGAAAGAUACGUCGCCUACUAUAGUUGCAACAAUCUAGCUAGAUUUUUAUCCACUUAUAUUUACUUUUGUAUUGGUUGGAUCAGUCUAACAAGCUCAAUUUUUUUUCACAUUGAAUAUAUAUAUUAUGUUAACAUCGGUUCAUUAUACUACAUUUCUUUUCUUUUACUCCUAUACUAAACAAAUAAAACAAGUAGGAAAUAAUCUUUCCUAAAAUUGGAUCUCUUUUGCAUAUUACGGGGUGAGAGUACAUCGGUAAUAGUAGGGGAGCGCUCCUCUAUACAGGGGCAGAUGUAGAGUACGGAGUGCGGGUUUUCGGGAACCCAGUAACUUUCGUACGGUUCUCGAAUUUAUAUUGAAAAAACUAGUAAAUAUAUAAGAAUUAUAGGUUGGAACCCACAAACAAAGUGUGUUAUUGGUGUAUUGAUAAAGAAUUAUAAGUUGGGAACCCACAAUCUUUAAAUUCUAGAUCCACCUCUGCCUCUCUGUCUGGAGUUUCUUGUUUGUGGCUAGAGGUGGUAGUUUAUUUUGCCUGUACUAGUUUAUAUGCACUUAUCUUUGGUAUUUGUUAUACUGUUAGUUUGUCUUGCAUACCAUACUAGUUUAUAUGUACUUAUCUUUUGUGUUUGUUAUACUGUUAUCGAUUCUAAGUCGAGGGUCUAUCGAAAACAACAUCUCUACUUCUCUUGAGGUAGUGGUAUGAUCUGCGUACACUCUAUCCUCCCCAGGCCCCACUAGGUGGAAAUACACUGAAUAUAUUAUUGUUAUUGUUUUAAUGUUGUCAAAAUGUCUGUGCCUUACACGAACACGAAUAUCUGAUAUUUAUAUAAUUAGAUUAUUCGUCGAGAAAUAAUUGAGAUGCAUUAAUUAGUAAAAUUGACAUUUGACAUAACAACUUAAAUUAGAUCUAAAUGGUCUUUUCACAGUCCAUAUAGGAUAAACUCAAUUUAUCAUGACAUAUUUGGUCUACAAUGAAGGGAAGUUAAGGUCACGAGUUUAAGUCAUGAAAUUUUUUUUUUUAGAAAUGUAAAGUAAGGUUGCAUAUAAUAAUUUUUUAUUAUUUAAUUUUUUUUUAAUUUUAUUUUAUAAAUUUCAUGGAUAGCGAAAGCUUUAAUCCAUCAAAAUAUUUUUGAUAUUUGAUUUACAACAAAACAUGGAAGUGAAUGACAGUGAGAGGGAUCUGUCAUUAAAUUAUUGGAAACUAGACAGCAAUUGGUUAAUGGCAAAACCAAAUUUCUGGUUUCAUCUUUAAAAAAAGAUUGAUAUAAUCUGUGGUCCUUUUUGUUCUUAGAAGUUAUGGAUUUGGCCUUUGAACAAACUUUACUUUAUGCUUUUGUCUUUUUUUAGGGUAUGUGCCAAAAUAUAUUAAUGCCUAAGAAAUACUAUUAAGGGCUUUUUUUUUUGGUAAACAAUACUUUUAAGGGUUAAGAUUAGAUUACACGAUUUUCAAUCGUACGAAAUGAAAAAACUGAGAACGAAAAAUCAACUAAUAAUAAAGAAUGUGUUUCAUUUUAUUUAAAUCAUAUUGAUGUGACAUCUUCUUAAGAAAGUAUUUAUAGGUUAUUUUACUAACUUAGAAGUUGUUUGGAAUUGCUCUCAGAAAAUUAUUUAUUUGAAAAACACUUUUAUAGAAUAGAUUUCAAAAAAGUGCUUUUGAAAAAUAAAUUAUGUUUGAUAUAUUCAUUUGAAAAAUGCUUUUGACAAACAAAUUGUAUUUGGAUAGUUUUUUUCAAGAGGUGUUUUUGAGAGAUAAAUGACCAAAAAGACAUAUAUUGAUAGAGUUUUACUACUAAAAUUAUUUUAUAGAAAAAAAUUAUUUUAAAUAUCUGUUAUAGUAUUUUUAAUUAAAUUUUUGCUUUUAUGUAAUUAAAAAGUUCGUACUAUAAAAUUUUUAAUUGAUAUUUAUAUAAAUACAUACAUUAAAAAAUAUUAAAUAAUGACAUAUUACAUAAAUAAUAAUUAUUACUUAAAAACAUCAAACAAAAAUGAAUUUAAAAAUUAUUUCAUAAAUUAAAUCACUACAUAUGAAAAUUUUUAUCACAAAACUAAGUAGUCUUUCAUACAUCACAAAAAUUCUCAAUGAUUUCAUUCCUAAUUUUAUCACGCAAUGUCACCAUUCUUAUACAAAAUUUGUCUUAUAUUUCUGAAGAUAUAUCAGAAGGUUCAUCUCAUACUGCGAUCUUUGUGAUGAUUUCUUUGUUAACAUAAGAGUUAAAGUUUUUGACAGUGGUAGAGUGUUGUUGUGUGAAAUUAUCUAUAGCCUAAGUAGUUAUAACAAGAUGAACUUGAUUAUCGACUUUAAAAGAUGGACGGUAUCAAGUGUAGGAGAGCAAAUCUAUUUUUUUAAACUCCAAAUAUUCUUUCAUUUUUACAUGUCAAACUAGAGUGAAAGAAAUUAAGAGUCUUAUUUGAAUUAUGAAGUUAGAAUUGCGUCUAAAAUCAGAGAGAUGAUAACGCUCCUCUUUAUAACCAAUCAUUGUAGGAUAAUUCGAGUCCACCAAAUAAUAUUUAUCUACAUCAAUCUAAAGAAUUAAUUAACUAAUAUAAAAUAAUUAAUUUAUAAAAUAAUACAAAACAUAAUCAAACUUAUAUAUGUGUGUGUAAGUGAUAGGUAUAUUUUCGGAGUGAAAAUUAUUUUCACCCCCAACUUUACUUUAAAAAUCAAAUCCCCCCCUUAUGUAAUACCUCUUUAUAUUUAUAUAAUAUAUAUUUUUAACCUAGGUAUUUAUAGUCUUUUAUUUAAGUUUAUUAACAUUAAAGGAAAAUAAUACUUUAUAUAAAUUUGUCACAAAAUUUAAUUUUACUUUUUUAAGUUUGUUAUUUCAAUAUUAUAUGUAUUAGAGAGUUAUUUGGUGUGAAGUGUAAUUAUAAUAAUUUGAGGAUAAAAAUCAUGAUUAUUUUAUUUUGCAUUUAGUUAGAGGUAUUAAUUAGUCUCAGAAUUAUUUAUUUCACCAUUUAUACCACAAUGAUAAAAAAAAAAUUAUUACAUAUAUAUAUAUUGGUGCAACUUAUUUCGGGAUAACUAAUCCCUGAAUAACUUGUUUCUAACCAAGUCACCCUUAAGUUGUAUAUAUAUGUAUGGACAUGCAUGCGUGUAUAUAUUUUUGCAUUUCUCUUAUUACAUUCGUUUCAUGUUACUUGAUUUUAUUGGCAUGACACAAUCCUUAAGAAAUUUUUAUAUAGAGGUGCAUUUUACUUAAUUAACCUUAUUAAUGAUAUUUUAAAAUUUAAAUUUGCCUAUACUACUACUUUAUGUAAUUAUUUAAUACUAAGGAUAAAAAACAUAAUACAAUUCUUUUGAUUUCAUAAAUUAGACAAGUAAAUUAAAACAAUUAUUUUUAGUAUAAGAGUCAAGUGAUAAGAAACGAUAUUAUAAAUAAAUAAGAUGUGAUCGUCAUUAAUAGAGUAUUACAUAAAUUAUAAUUUAUUGAAAUAAAUAUAAUCUUUAAAUCUUCGGCCUUAUUUUUAUUCGUUAUUUUAUAUUUUUUGCAUUGAAAUAUGUUUAUAAAGUUAAUACUACUUAUUAUUUUCACUUGUAAAAUAAAUAUUAGAACUUUAAUUAUUAUUAAUAAAAUUAAUUUUCUUAUUAUGUUAAUUUACUUCAUUAUAGAUCAUCAUUAAUUUAUGUACUUAAUUGAGUAUUUCUCAGUUUUCUUGUCCAGUAGAUAAUGUUCAUGUUUUAUAAAAUAUUUGUUACAUGAUUUUUUAAAAAAAAAAAUGUGAUGAUUUUAAAGAAGCGAAAAAAAAAGGUUUGAUGAUAAGUGGGUAUAAUAGGCAUUUUGAAAAUUUAAUUAGGAUAUAUGGAGAAAUAUGACUAUUGUUCAAAGUUGAGGGCGGAGUUUGAUUUUUAAAGCAAAGUUGGAUGAGGAAAAUGAUUUUCACCCAAUAUUUUUGCCAUAAAAAAAUAUUUUUUUACUUCUUUUCAAAAACAAAAAAAUUACUUCUGUUUCUUUUUAAAAGACAAGUUUAUCAAACACUUAUUUUUUUAAAUUUCUUUUUUUUUUUUUGAGAAAAAUUUUUUCCAAACAAACACUUAAUCAAUAUAAAUUAUGCUUUAUAUGUCUAAAUUUGAAUAUAUUCUAUGUAGUUAUUGAUGGAAGUAUUACCAGAAGAAUAAUGAUAAUUUCUCUUGAAUUCAUAAAUUAAACAAGUAGAUUGAAAUAAAUAUUUUUAUUUAGAGACCUAAUAAAAUGAUAAGAAGGAAUAUCUUUAAGAUUUGAGGUUAGAAAUAUCUUUAAGAUUUCAGAUUAUACUCAUAAUUAGUAGAUAUUUAGAUAAUUGACCUACCACCUUCUCUUAUUAUUGCUAUACUUAUAAUAAGAAAAAUUACAUAUAUACAAGUUAACUUUAUCUUAUUACAUAAAAUUUCAUAUUGAAAAAGAAAUUACAAAAAUCCCAAAGUAAUUACUUAAAACCCUUAAAUUUGCUGUUGCUCUUUCACCCCCUUCAUACAUAUAAAAAUAUCAUAUUUUGCUCCUAUUUUAGUGCAUCAAUUUUUGCUUUAUAUAUGUACUGAUUUAUUUAUGCCUACAAUCAAACUAAUGUAAUGUUACAAUAACACUUGAAUAUUCAAAACACGAUUGAUGUAUACUUUCAAUCACGUAAUAAAGAAAAUUGAAUCAUUCUUUUUCCUUAUUUAUCGUGUAACUAAUGUAAUGUUACAAUAGCACUAAUUUUUCUUUAAAACUGUUAUAAUCUUGUAGAUAAUUAAUGUAUAAGGUGAGUAUUUUAUAUGUAUAGUGUGAUAUUAUACAUUUUGGAAGAUUAUAUUUUAAUGUAUAAGUUAUAAUAUAUCAGGCAUUAUACAUUAGUUAUUUUUGAAAGACUAAGGUAUAAUAUAAUUUUUCUGCCAUAUAUUUCAUUAUGUUAUACAUUAAGAAAUUCUUAUUACAUUUAAGAGGCAUUUUAUGUAUUAUUUGGUAUUGUACAAUUAGAAAGUAUUACUAUUGUAUAAUGUUACAUUAUACCUUUUGAUAAGGAUACAAAAGUAUACAUGUUUAAUGUUAAUACUUAAAUGUAUAGUAUGACAUUAUACAUUACUGCAUAUUAUUUUUUAAAUGUAUAAUGUGCCCACAUAUAUGUGCAACUGUUGUAUAAUGUUAUCUUUAAUACGUAUCAGUUUGAUGCUAUCUUUUUCUCUCUUAAUUUAAGUUUGCUUUUAUUUUUUCAGGGCAUGAAAUAUCGUAUUGACAAAUUUCAAAAAUUGUUUAUUCAACUCCAUGUAAACCCUCACUCUAUUGUAAUUCCUUAUGAUAAUUGGAGAAGAAUUACCUUCAACAAUGUAUUUUUCUUCUAUUUUUAUACGAAUUUCGUCAAUAUUAAAUUCCAUCGCGAUCGUAGCAAUCAAUUUAAAUAGGUUAUACUUUCUGAAACAAUAAUUGCAUCACUUUUAUAAGAUUGAUAAAUAGUUUUUGACUCCUAAAUAUCUGAAUGACGGAACAAUAUGAGGAUGUUCAUAUUGAUAUUUUUGAGAAUUGAAGAAAGCAGUUGAUGAUUUUUUUUUCUUCAGAACAAAUUCAACAAAGAAGAAAAUUUACUGUGAUGUUUUAGAAUUUUUUGAAUUUGAAUUUCAGUUACUAUAUUUAAUAAUACACCACAUAAUGAUAAAUAAUUAAUGACAUUAAUUAAGAAAGAGAAAGAUAGUAUCAAAUUUCUCUUUCCGUAAAUAUAGGCUAAUCAUUUUUCUCAUACAUUCCAGCAAUGUAUGAGAGACGACCUAAUGUAUAAGUAUAUUUUUCAAUUUCAGGAGAGAGAAAGACAGCCAAAAUUUUAAGUAAUUAUUUUCACUAGGGAAUAGAUUUAUGUGAUCUAUACAUAAUAGUAAUCAAAAAUCAUAAUAAUACUAUUUUCAAAUAAAAGUCCAAAUCUAGUACAUGUAUAAAAUGGAAUAAGAUAAAAUUAAUAGCCAUCACAAAAAAAAUUAUAUAAUAUAAUUAUUAUAUGUAUGUAUGUAUUAUUUUAUUUAUAUAUUAUCAUUUUUAUCUUUAUUUAUUAUUUAAUGAUUAUUUUUAUUUAGACUUUUAUAAUUGAAUUAGUUGAAAAAAAAUUAAUCUUUAUCUUGAAUUUGUAAGGUAAUACUUAUUUUGUGAUAAAAGGAGUGUCAAAGCUUUUCGGACUCUUAUAAAAUUUUAUUUGAAUUAUAAAUCAUAGUUCAUAAACAAUAUAUCUAAAUAUUGUAAGCCAUCAAAUUAAUAAAUUAUAUAUUUUCAUGUUUCUUUUAUUAAUAAAUACAUAUAAUUUUGAAAAGAUUAUUGAUCCAAUAAAUUAAUUAUAGUAGUGACUAGCUAUUAUUUGAUGACAAUAUUUUUACUUUAAAUACGAGUCUAAAAUUUAAAAUUAUAGAUUUUUGUUUUUUGAAAAAUAUAAACUUAUGGACUAAUGUUUUUUUCAAAAAAUUGAAAUCAUAAUAUGUUGUCAACAAUGGCGAUAACAUAAAGUAUAUAAAUGUUAGUACAAUAUUAUAAGACAUAAAGCAUUAUAAAUAGGCUUUGUAAUUAUUGAAUUAUUAUUGCGAUAACUUAAUGCAUCAAAAGCAAGGAGAAAAAAUUACAAGUUGAAUUUUUAAUGUUAGUUUUAGGCUCGAAUUUAGCACAGGUCGAAUAGCACUAGUACCAUUUAUAUGAAAGGAUAAUUUUGUUAGCAGGAAAACGGUCAAAUUUAUAUCUCUAUUUUCAAAAAUUGAUUAAAUGUAUUGUUCAUUAUAUUUUAGAGCUAAAUUUACCGAUGUUACAGUUUGGGAUUAAUUUUAUCCCACAACUUUGAAAAAUUAGUUAAAUAUAUUUUUCGUUAUAUUUUGGGGUCAAAUUUAUCAAAUCUAUCCUCGUCCUUAAUUUUUUUUUCACAUGUAUUCUUUUUUUAAUAGAAAAACUUAAAUUAAUAUUAAAUGUCUCAUUUUAUAAAAAUAAAAUACAGUCUAAUAUAACCUGUAUGAUUCGGCUCUAGCCACAAAAAGACACAAAUAAAUAUACACUCCUCAGUUCUGUUGGUCAAAUUUUUUCAACGAGAUUAAGUCGUUGGAUAUUUAUGAGUGCAUAACUCAUAAAAACUGAAUAUGCAUCAGUACAAACACAAACAAAUAUACUCCUCCCUUAGUUCAUAGAUCCGUAUUAGUGCAGAGCUCAUGAUAAAUGACAUUUGAUGAUCAAAUGCAAUAGAUUAGAUUCGUUGAAUAUUUUUAUGGAUGAUUGAGUUAAGAGGUUUUCCUAAGUGUCAAUCGUGACAUUUCGUCAUUCUUAUGUCUUUAUAUACAAUUUAAAUCUAUACACAAAUAUUUUAUCAUGUCAUUAGCCUAGCAAAUUUCUCAUUCUAGAAUAUAGAUGCACAUAAAAUUACAUACUAAAAUUUAAAAUUUGAAUAUAAUUGAACAGGAGCAGAGUUUGUAAUAGUCAUUUUUUCUAGUUUCAUACUUGUGUAUUAUCUAAUUCCAUUUCACUUUUUGUUCAUUUAUAAACAUCUACCAGCACUGCAUAUUGAAAAAAAAAAGUAUAUUUGUUCGUUGAAAAAAUUGAAUCAAUAAAACUGAGGAAAAAGUUUAUGUAUUUAUGUAUUUUUAUGAACCGGAUUGGCUGAAUUAGAUUAGAAUAUUUUUUUUUAAAAAAGAUCAUUUAAUAUUGAUUUGAAUUCUUUUGUUGUCACAGGAGUACAUGUAAAAAGUUUGUUGACAACGAAAAUAAAUAUAAUUUUAAAAUAUAAUAUUAAGGAUAAAUUUAAUCUCACUAUAUAAUGAAGAAUAUAUUUAACCAAUUUUUAAAAAUAAAGGAAUAAAUUUAGCUCCAAGAGAUAACAAUGAGGAAAACUUUGAAUUCAAAAUAUUAGGAAGAAUAUGUUUAAUCAAUUCUUCAUACCGGGUAAAUUUGACCCUUUUGAUUUCAUUAAAACAUCAAAAGUGGAAAGAUUACUUGCUAAUAAGAAGGAAAACAGUCAGCAGGGCGUCAGCAUGCCUGACCUGAUUCAGUUUGUUGCUUCAUAAUUUUAUUAUAUUAUUUAUAAUUAAUUAUUAUAAGUUGUUUAUGUAUUUAAAAAAUUAAUAAUAUUUAAUAAAAAUAAAAUAAAUAUUUAUGAAAUGUAUAUCUCAGUUGCUUCAAUUAUAGUUUACUAAAUAUUAUCCCUAAUUAAUUAUUAUGAGUCAUCAAAGUAUUAAAAAAUUAAUAAUAUUUAAUAAAAAAUAAAAUAACUAUAAAAUAAUAAAUUAACUCUUGAUGUUCUAAAUUAACUUGAUGUCUUUAUAAGACCUACUUAAAUUUUUUUCAUAAUAUUUUUUAUAGUAAUUUUGAUAUCACUUCUAAUAAGUUGUUCUGAAUUAUUACCCCUAAUUAGUAAUUUUACUAAUAUCACCCCUAAUUAAUUAUUAUGGUCAUCUAAGCAUUAUUCCACUUAAAUUAGAAUAUAAGAAAAAGUAUAUUAUAAAUUACAAUAAUUUAAAAUUUCAAUUAUUUAAAAAGCAUAAUUGACUAUCAAUGCCACAAAAGUUUGGACAAAAAGAGUAACAUAUAUUAUUUGAAAAUUACAUAAAAAUUAUUAUAAAUUACAAUAAUUAAUAUUUUAAAAAAUUAAUAUUUAUAUAUUUUAAAAAAUAUGUAAAAACUAUUAUAAAUUACAAUAAUUAGCAACUUAAAAAGUUUAAAAGAUAUUAAAUAUUUGAUUAACUAUCGAAAUUAUAUCAAUGUCACUUAAAUUAAAAUAGAAGAAAAUAUUAUAAAUCACAAUAAUUAAAAAAACUUAAAUCAUUUUUAAAAUAUAAUUGACAAUCAAUGCCACAAAAGUUUGAACAGGGAGAGUAAUGUAUAUUAUUCAAAAAUUACAUAAAAAAUAUUAUAAAUUACAAUAGUUAAUAGCAUAAAGUAUCUAACAAUUAUAUUGAAAAUAUGAUUGAUUAUCUUAAUCUAUUUGUGUCGAAUAAAUUGAGACAAAAAAAAACAUAUACUGAGCCCGUAUUAUAUGAAAAAUAGUAAUAUAGACUCAUCGAAUUUUUCUUUUCAAACUCUUUACUAAUUUAUAUAUUUGUAGAGUUUAAUUUUGAUAGUGAAUUAAUUUUUUAAAUAAAAUUAGAUAUUUGGAUAAUAAAUCAUAAUAAUUGAUAACUUAAAAUAUUUUAAGAAUAUAUGCAAAAAUUACUUUAAAAAAUAAAUUUAUUUAAAUUUUAAAAUUUAAAAAAUUACAACAUUAAUUGAUAUAAUUAUUAUUAUAAUAUUAAUUUAGAAUAAAUAUUGAUACUAUGCUUCCCACGAACUUCUCGUGGUGAGUAUUAAUUUUUAAGAGGAAAAUUUGAUCACAUGGAUCUUUUAUCUUAGUGAAAUUCUUUUUCUUUUAUGAAAUUUGUAGUUAGAUCGAUGACAAAUCUUUUUUUGUAAAUGGAGUGACUUUUUCUUUUAUUGAAGCCGGCGUCUCGCUUCCAAAAGAGAAAUUAGAUGACAAAAUACAAUCUCAUAGGAUGGUGAAGUAUGUAGCCUAAAACUUCAUGAGCCCUAGGUACCAACUUUUAGAUGAAGAAUAUGUAUGUUCAAAUAAUGAACUAGGUUUGUACCAAAGAACAAAUAGAUGGAAUUGAAUAAGAGCUCCUGUUCUUUAAUCGUGUGAUUAGAUUAGGUUUAUAACAAAUAAUGAGCUUAGGUAUCCAUUUAUAGUGUAAUAAAAUAUUCUUUAAUGUUGUGAUUAGGUUAAAUUUAUAACAAAUAAUGAAUUUAGGUUUUCGUUUAGAAUGUUCUAUAUGAUUUUAAAUAUGCCACAUUACUUUAAAUAUAUCGCGUAAAAAAAUUAAAACAAAAAAAAAAUUAUUUUGCUUAAAAGGAAAUUAAGGCAUGUUCGUUCAUUUUAAGGCAUGUUCGUUCAUUUUAGAGCUGAGAUAUGUACACACACUCUCUCUCUCUUAAAAAUGUUUGUCCUUUUUUACUUGUUGGUGUAAGUUUCUAUUUUAUUUUUAAAAAAGACUAAGGGAUCGUUUGACCAUAAAUUUCUUUUCCUUUUUUUCCAGAGAUUUUUCUCACUUUUUUCAUUUUUUCAAAAUAUGUGGUGUUUGACCAUGAAAAUUUGAAAAAUUAUUUCGAAGUUGAAUUCAAAAAGUUAAAAUAACUUUUUAUUGUUUUCACAAUUUUUCACUUUCAUUUUCAACUUUCAUUAUUAUUAGAUAUAACUCAGUCUUUAAAUUUUUACACAAAUCCCUCUUAUAACUACAACCAACCACUAAGAAAAUAAUUAUUAUUUGUUUUCUAUAACAUCAUUUUUAAUUAUUACAGAUAUUCUAAUUUCUUUUCUUCUUUUAAUCCAAAAUUUACUAACGUGAAGUAAAAAAUAAUAAAUGACAAUCUAUGAAGGAAAUAUAUCAACUUUUGUUUUGAAUGAACUAUAUUAUAGAAAUAUAAGGCCCGGUACAUUAUGUUAUUUAAAAAAUGAGAAAUUUAAUAUUUUUUUUCUUGUCAUUCUAAUUUUUUGUAUAUGUCAUAUAAUGAUUAUGAUGAUUUUAAUAAAUUAUUAAAAAGUGGUCAAUAAAGUCGCAUAUCAAACAGAACGUAACGAUCCAUAUUGACGAUACCUUAGUUUGGUUUUAUGAAUUUUGAACAGAGACGAGUGUGAUAAUUAGCUUUGUUUUGCGGAGAAAUUUUGACUUUUUGAGAAGAGUCGCCACUUAAUUUUUGAAAAGGAAUUAAGAAACCUUUAUCAAAUAUUUUAAAUGAUUCAAAACAAAGAAAUCGUUUUAAGUUAGAGAUUCUAGAUAAGCGGUUCCUAUUAACAUUUUAGGAAGGUGUUAGGCACCUAAAACGUCCGCUAACUUGCGGUUAUCCGGACUGUUUGAAAAUCGUCCUUUGAUUAACUUCGAAAAGAUUAAUUUGUUGAAAUAGUGAUUUAAUUUUUUCAAAAAAAAAAAAAGAUGUGUAAAAUAGAUUUAGGCGACUUAGUAGGGAUUUUAACUAAGUCUAAACAAAACUAAUAAACAAAUAAAUACAUAAAAGGGGAAGGGAGGAGAAAGUAAAGGAUUUAGGCCAUUAGGCCCAAAUCAACGAGACUUGUCCUAGUCUAGUUGGGCUUCCAACCCAUUUCACCUGUCCUAAACUAUUUUUCGAGCCUUUGGCUCGAGUUUUGCUCCACCUGUAUUAAAUACAACUUUGGCUUCGAGGCCGAAAUGAAUGAAUAAAUAAAUGACUAAAUUAAUAAAUAAAAAGAAGACAAUAAUAAAAAUUGAGACUUUUCAAGUCUUUUAGUGACCUCAUCAAUGAGUUUUGACCCAUUUUCCUUCUUUGUCUAUCUUCUAGCACCCGCACGCCAUGUAAUGGACCUUGGGUUUAAAUUUCGAACUUGACUCGAAGGGGUGAACCUCAUUUACCCAUUACGAAAUGCAGGAGGAGAGGAGUCCAUUUGGACUCGAGAUAUUUUAUUUUGUUUUGCAUGCAAAGAAAAAAUAAAGAAAUUAAUAUAUGUUCAAGGCAUAAAAGUGACAUAUUUCAAAGUAAAAGAAACUAUCAAAAACCAAUUUUUGAAUAAGAAGAAUAAGCACACUUGCACAAGAAUGAAAGUCAACAAAUAAAAAAUGCAAAGCAAAAGUUUCACAAUCAUACUAUGCAUGAGUCAAAAAUAUCCAAAUAAUUUUAUUUAGCUGNNNNNNNNNNNNNNNNNNNNNNNNNNNNNNNNNNNNNNNNNNNNNNNNNNNNNNNNNNNNNNNNNNNNNNNNNNNNNNNNNNNNNNNNNNNNNNNNNNNNNNNNNNNNNNNNNNNNNNNNNNNNNNNNNNNNNNNNNNNNNNNNNNNNNNNNNNNNNNNNNNNNNNNNNNNNNNNNNNNNNNNNNNNNNNNNNNNNNNNNNNNNNNNNNNNNNNNNNNNNNNNNNNNNNNNNNNNNNNNNNNNNNNNNNNNNNNNNNNNNNNNNNNNNNNNNNNNNNNNNNNNNNNNNNNNNNNNNNNNNNNNNNNNNNNNNNNNNNNNNNNNNNNNNNNNNUAAGAAAAGAGAAACAAUCAAUAUUAUCUAUUCUUUUCAACAUAAAGGAAAUAACUUUACAUGCUAAAAACAAAUAUAUCUACCAACAAUAAGUUUAAACAAGACAUGAGUAUCGUUUUUCAAGUAAAGAUCUAAAUUUUAUUCAAAUAAUCAAAGAAUAAGGUGAAAAAGCAAAACAUUCAACAUUAACUAUUCUUCUAAACAUAAAGAAAAUAACUUUACAUACUAAGAACAAAUGUAUCCAACAACAAUGAGUUUAAAAAAAGCAUAAAUACAUCUUUUAAGCAAAGAUUGAAACUUUAUCCAAAAUAAUCAAAGAAUGAAGUCAAAAAAGACACAUACAACUAUAGCUAGCUCAUUUUUAUAUCAUGAACAUGAAGAUAAUUAGAAUAUCGACACCACAAUGUCCUAGGGCCUUCAAGUCCAUUUACAACAUACAAUCCCAACAAAUAAAAUUAUAUCUACGAACUACGAAGAAGAAAAGAAAAGAAGAAAAAAGAUGAAGAAAAAAACGAUAAUAAAAACUAAAAUAAUAAAAAAAGAAAAAAGAAGGCGUGUUUACCUUUUGGGGGCAGCAAGACGAGACUACGAGCUUCGUUAGAAUCAACCACCACUGAAAAACAUCGCCGACAACUCAAAAAUUUUGAUUAGCCGAUCAACUUUAUGAAACAAAAAAUUUUUACUAAAUAAAAAUAACUAUUUUUGCUCAAAAGGAUUUUUUCACCUUUCUAGCCUUUUUUUUUUCUUCCUUCUCCCCUCCUCUCUCUACCAAAGUAGUGGUAGUAUUUAUAGGAGAGAAUAUUCAGUAGUACGAGUUAGCAGUGAGUCCUCAUCCUCUAAGGAUAUGAUUAUUAUUUUAUCAUUUCAGUCUUUCAGUACUUAGUUUAUUUCAGUAGUUGGAGUUAGUUGGGGACAUAUCCCAUCAACUCCUUAUUCAAAAAGUUAAAGGUUUUUUAGACUAUCAUGUUUCAGAUAGUUUAUUUCUAUUGUUUUAGAUAUUUCAUAGCCCACCCAGAUGUUAUGUUUUAUCAAAUUUGAACCUUAUGGCCUUUCAGCCUUUAUUUCUGCAUUUAUUAAGUAUAAUAUGCAAGGUACAUGUACAAAUAUCAGUUAUGGGUUAACUUGUGAUCCUUUUUGGUCAUGGGUACCGUUUGUCAUCUUGAUUUCAGAACAUGCCUCCCAAGAGAAGAAAUCAGCCUGUCCAAGAAGAUCCCUUGGAUGAACAUGUUUCUUAUGCAGAGUUUAGAGCUGCAUUCACUACUCUUGCUCAGUCAGUUGCUGCUUAGAAUGAACGACCAACUAUCAUUCCGGCCAACCUAGUGGCCAAUUCAGUUGCAUCCAGGAUUUGGGACUUCACCCAAAUGAAUCUUCCAUCCUUUUUAGGGUCUAAGUCAGAUGAGGACCCUCAGGAAUUCCUUGACCAAGUGCUGAAGGUUACAUACAUCAUGGGGGUGACUACAGUUGAGAUUGCUGAGGUAGCUGCAUAUCAGUUACAGGAUGUGGCUCAUACUUGGUACAAGCAGUGGAAGUCAGAAAGAAAAGUUGAUGCAGGGUCCAUAUAAUGGGAGGAGUUUGCCUCUACUUUUCUGGAUAGAUUCUUUCCCCGAGAGCUGAGGGAAGCUAAGGUGUUGGAGUUUAUCAAUCUUAGGCAGGGCAACAUGAUGUUGAAAGAGUAUUCUCUUUAGUCUACUCAACUAGCCAGAUAUGAUCUUCAUGUAGUUAUAGAUAACAGGGCUAAGAUGAGUAAGUUUGUUUCUGGGGUGAAUAAUAGCGUGGUGAAUGAGUGUAGGUCUGUGGUGAUAAAUAGAGAAAAAGCAUUUAGGGGUGUUUUUGGAAUGUAAAAAUUAAAGAUAUGGUGAGGUGGAAGAUAAUGUGGGGGAAAAAUAGUACAGUGUAGUGCAAUCUUUGAAUUUCAAAAUUGGAAAAGGACAAAGUUGGGGGAAUAGUACAAUUUGAAUUUAUUUUUUGGUGAAAUUGGGUAAAAGUUAUGAGAGUUCUUGAGAAUUUUGGGUUAUUUAAAAUAUAACCCCAAUUGAAAUUUAAAAUUUAGCCUUAUUUAUUUUGACCAAAUUAAAAAUUAAUUGACGAAUUGCAUUGCAAUUAUGACCAAUUUUAAAUUAUGGUCAAAUCUAAUAGAUUGACUAAAUUAAAUUAAAUUCUAUACGAAUUAAUACCUUUUUUUUUAUCCCGAGCUUUUUAAUUUAAUAAAAUGAAUGCAUAUUUAUCCAAAUAAAUUAUUUUUGAGAAUAAAUUAUAUUUAAAUUAAGAUUUUAAUCAUUUGAAUUUAUUUUCAAGAUAAGGCUUAAUUAAAUCCGAUAUUUUGUAAAAUAAAUAUUUAAGUAACAAAUUAUAUAAUCUCGUAUAACUGAACACGAUAGUAUAUAAUCGCUACUUAAAAUGACAAAAUCACGUUCGAAAAAUAUUUUAAGUUUUUUUUUUUUUAUUUGGAUGAAAUAAUUAUUUUGGUUUGUUAAAAACUGAAGAAACUCAGGAUUAAAUUUAGUCGCGGAGGGCAAAAAUUAGGUGUCAACAAGCUUAACAAAAGUUUGUUCUCUUUAUAAAAAAAAAACAAAUUCAAGUAAAUCAAUAUCAUCAAUAAACAAAAAUAAAAAAUUAGCACUAAUCUAUUCAUAAAUAAUUCAUUCGUAAAUUUUUUAAAAAAGACCAAAUUCAAUAAAAUUAUUAAUUUAAGUGAAAGUAGUUAAGAAUUUUCAUCAACAAAUUUAAGAAUAUAUAAAAUAUAUUUAUAUUCAUCCAUCAUAUUUAUCAAAAUAUAUUUUCUCUAUUCAACCGAUUAUGAUUGGAUAAACUUAUUUAGCUCGUACUUGUAAUAUUUUUAUUCAACCGUAUGUUAGUAGGUAAAAGUAGUUGAGUGAUUUUGAUAAUUUUUAAAAGUUGAGGGCAUAAAAUCAUAUUUAAAAAAGAUUUUUCAAAAAUCUAAUUUUUUUUUUCAAAAAGACAUGACCAAACACAACUCCAACUUGAACAUCAUCUUCAACUCCAACUUAAAAAAAAAGUAAUUUUUAUGGCCAAACGACUAGUAAAUGUAUUUAUACACUACUCUAUUGAGGAAAGCUAAAAAAUUUUGGUACUGCAAUCUUUUUUCCAACUUUUAAUUACAAAAGAAAAAAACUAAAUUAGCCUGAGUUAGCUUAAGGAAUAGUCAUAGACGGAUUCAGAAUUUUAAAUUUAUGGGUUCCAAGCAUAAUACAAAAAAACUGUGUCCAAAGAGAUUCGAACCCGCAUUGGAGGAACAAAAGUACAAAUGGAUUCCCUCUGAGAUAUCCAUCAAUUUUUGUAUAGAUUCCCACCUUUAAAUAUUUAUACCUUUUAAUAAUAUUUCUCAUUUAAUUAAAUAUCUUACAGCAGCGGUUGUGGAUUUUCGGGAACUCACACCCGCUGCCGUAGAUCUGCCUCUGGCAAAAGUGAACUUUAUUGUUUAAAAUAGGAAAAAUGUUGUCGGGAAUAACUAAUAAGGAUAAAAAUACGUCAAUACAUAUAAUAUUUAUUGGUAGGUAAAAAUACGUAAGGUACUAUUUUUAAAAAUUAUUUCAAUAAUAUAAAAUAUCUUCUCAAAAUUAAUCUACGUCUUGUCCAUAAAAACAGCAAGCACACUCAUUACAUUGCCAGAUUGCCUUACUGAUGAUAUCAGCGAUAUGAUAUUAGAGAGGUGAGUCGGUGGAGAAAUAAAGAGAAAGAGCAAAAUUCAUGAUUCAUCAUGUUCAUAAUUAGACAAGUGUAAUGACACUUGGUUCAAUACUAUUAAAAAAAUUGGGAUCACAUAGGAUUGGGCAGGAGACCACGUGUAAAAGGCUUUGCUUUACUUGUCAACAAUCUUCUAAAAUUUCAUGACAUAAAGACUAUUGUCUUAUUUGGUGGAUCCCAAUUUCCAAUAUCCAACUAGUACCCGUGCUAUUGCUUUUCCAAUCCGAAUAUUUAGUAAGUAAUACAUAUUUUUUUUUAUUUUCUUUUCAAUCAAGUUUUAAAAGAGUGGUAUUUUUUCCAUUUUAGCAAUUUUUUAAAUUUAAAUUUUUUCAUAUUAUAUAUUUAAUGCCACAAGAAUAUUAACGCAUGUGACAUAUAUUUAAUUUAAAUUUAUAAGAUUAAUUUUUUUUAACUUUCUUAAAUUUCGUAUCAAAUAAAAAAAUAAAUCAAAUAAAUUGAAACUAGAAAAUAUUAGACAAUUUUAAGGUGAAAUAAUAUAUUUCUUUUUCUCCGCUCCAUUCAAACUCAUAUGAUAAAGACUUUAACCAAUUUUAACAUGUGUUUCACCAAACUCGUAUGAUUAAGACUUGCUACAAAUUUCUAUAUAUACAAAGACAUCAAAAUUAGAAGUAAUUUAAAAAAAGUAAAGAGCUGAUUGACUUUCAGCGUAUGCAACGAAAUAGUAUAAAUACAUGUAAAAAAAAUUAAUUAGUAUUUUUAUGAAUAAAACAAUCACAAAAUAUUUUCUUCAGCUAAAUAAAAUCUAAAUUUGAAAAUGAUUAACAAUAUAAAAAGAAGAAGAAAACUUAUACUGAUAUAUGUAAAGAAGAAGAAAACUUAUACUGAUAUAUGUAAAGAAGAAGAAAACUUAUACUGAUAUAUGUGCAGUGAAGGAAUGUAUGUAUAUAUAAGAGAUUAUAAAACUGAAUAUUCAUGCAUAUUAAAAUUUCGUUAGAAAGAUAAGAUUCUAAAAUAUCAUAAUUAUCUUAUAAUUUACAUAUUUUAAGUUUGCAAAAAGAUAUAUUUCAAGUUAAUGACACUAAUUAGGAGUUUUAUAUAAUAAAAAUAAAUAAAAUAUUUUUUUAAAAAAUUAAUGGUAUUAUUCUAAAAUAUUAGUACUAAAUUGUUUUAGCCUUUCCAUAUAUUUUUUCCUUUUUUUUUUUUUUUAUCAUUUUUAUUAAAUAAUAAAUUAAUUUGUUUUAAAUAUUAUAUAAUACUUCUCUAUUAUUAUAUUUAUUACUACGUCAUAUCCUACGUACUGCUACUUCUUCUACUAAUUGUUAUUACUUCUUCUCCUACAUAACGUAUUACAACUAUUACUAAUUAAUAUUAUUAUUUGAAUAAUACUUUUACCAUUUCAUUAAUUUGUGAAUAGAUUAUAUUUAAAUAUAUUUUAUAAUUUUUAUAUUUUAAAAAAGAUAAGUUUGGAAUAGUAAAAGUCUAUUAGUCUAUUAGAAUACUUUAAUUAUGAUUUUUUUUAAAAAGUAAUGUUUUUUUUUUUAAAAAAGGAGUAAUGUAUUUCAAAUUCAAGAAUCUAAAAUUUGUUAGAAUCUUAGAAAAAUAAGAUUCUAAAAUGCCAGGAUUAUUUUUAGUUUAAAUAUUUUGAGUUUGCAAAAAAAUAUAUUUGAAAUUAAUGCUACCAAUUAAGAGUUUUCUAUAAUAGGAAUAAAUAAAAUAAAAAAAUUCUUUAAAUUAAUAAUAUUGAUUUUAAAAUAUUAGUAUCAGCAUAUUUUAACCUUUCGUUCUCUUUUAUCCCUUUUUAUUACAAAAUAAAUUAAUUUGUUUUAAAUCUUAUAUAAUUCUUCUCCACUAUUAUUGUUUUUACUAUUAUUAUUAUAAUUAUAAUUAUUAUUAUUAUUAUUUUGAUAAAGUAGAGAUGCAUUAAUAUGGUAAAACAAAGGGAGAGAGCUCAAUCCGGCUCAAGUAUAAAAAGAGUUUGACGCCUUGUGUUCGGCUGCACAUUAGAGAUAGUUCUAGGGAAGGUCUUGCCUUCCAUAUUGUCCCAUAAAGUAUGGACAACAAAAGGGGAAGGGGAAUUAUUAUUAUUAUUAUUAUCCUAUACGUACGUACUACUGUUACUAUUGUUUCUACCACUAUUAUUAAUUAUUAUUAGUGUUAUUAUUUUAGUAAUUUUUUAUCUUUCCAUAAUAUGUAAAUAAUGUAUUUCAAAUUCAAAUAAUUAAUCUUUCAAUUCAAAACUUUUAUUAUAACAUUUUUUAACUUUAUCCUAAAAAUUGCUAUGCGACUUUUUAAUAUCUUGCCACUUGACUUCUUGUGUUGCUUUUAAUUUUGCGCAUAUAUAUAGAGAGAGAGAUAGAUUUUUAAAAAUAUUUUAAUGUAUUAACAAUCUCUACUUGUAGUAAAUUGAAUAAUUAAAACAAAUUUAUAUAUUAAAAGCCACACAACAAAUAUAUAAAUUACUCGAUAGUUUAUUUUUUAAAUAGUUGCACUUCCACGACUACAAAAAAUGUGAUUUUUGUGGGACUAAGUUGGGGGUUUGGACUACAGGUGACAAAAGACUCUCAAAAUGAGGUGUGUGUGACACAAGUCUUAAUUAUUGAGUGGAGGUGACAAUUACUUUAUUAUGGAUUAAGAAAGUUGAGAAAGUUUGAAAAUAGCCCACAAGUUUUUUAAAUUUACACUUUGAUCCAAAUGUUUACCUAUAUAAUGAAAAAUGGAGGAAAAAAGGUGUCUUUCUCUCUCUUCUCAUCCAUUAUUGUUUUCUCUCUCUUAGCGAUUUUUGUUAUUCAUUGUUGCUGCUGCUUUAUUCAUCCUCUUCUGCUUCAUUAUCAUCAUCUUCUACUUCAUUAUCAUCUUCAUCUUCUUCUAGUUGACCAUUUGUUAUUGUUAUUGUUACCGCUACUAUUGCUAUUUGAUAAAUUUCUUAGGUCAAAUUUUGUUUCGAACAUCACUUUCCACUUUUGGCAUUACUUCAUAAGGAGACCUUGGUAAGUCAAAUUAUGAUUUUUAGUUGAAUUUGUCAUCUGGGUAACUGUUAUUGUGUUGUUUUUUUCCAGCAACGGAUAGAACUCGAUCAUGAAUCCAAUAUAAGAUCCAUCUGUUUAAACAGAUAAAUCAUCUGUUGCGACAGAUGAGACAUCUAUUUCAAUGGAAGACUGAUAUAUUGGAUUUAUGUUUAAACAGAUGGGUCAUCUGUUGCAACAUAUGACCCAUCUGUUGCAACAGAUUAGUUAUCUGGUGCGACAUGAUAAAUAUCUAUUUCAAUAGGGUAAAUAUCUGUUAUAACAGAUUAAUAUCCUAUUGCAACAGGUUAGUCAUCUGUCGUAACAAGUUAAUUAUCUGUUGCAACAUGUUACUCAUCUGUUAGAAUCAGCUUCAAAGUUGAUUUAGUACUGUAACAUCAAUCCCAACAGGCGCUUCAUCUGUUGCAACAGAUAUUCAGGAGUGUAAUAAGAAUCCCAACAGGUAAGUAAUCUGGUGCGACUGAUCACUUACUUGUUGCAACAUAUUGCACAUCUGUUGGGAUUCAUUUACGGCACUAUGAAAUCACUAUCAAAUUUUUUUAACAAAUGCCUUUAUUUAGGUAUCACUAAUGGAGGGAUCAAUAACAAUAGGGGUGGAUUGUCAUGGCUAAUGCACCGAGAAGAGCAAUCGAUAUGUAUGGCGUUGGAAGGAGUGCAAAAUUCUAGAGAUGAUAACUAUGACAAUCCAAAGUGAUGUUUCGUAUGAUGAUUUUGUGAACUUAAUCAUCAGCUUUUCUAGACUGAAUUGUCAACUGGAAGAACUCGCCAUCAGCUACAUGCACAGCUCCUUUGAAAAUCAGAGGGUACUACCUUUCAAGAUAACCGAUCAGGUCGGUGUUAAGGGUGUACAUGGUUGAAAAUACGAGAGAGAAUGAGAACCAGAAUGUAGAAGAACAACAACAACAAGACUUCUUUGAUGAUAGGUUGGAUGAUCUAGACAUGAAUAUUCCAGAUGAUGAUCAAACACCUACGCCCGUUGAUGCAACCGAUACGAUGUGCAGUUCUUCUUAAUCGACACUGUCUAGAAAUCUUAAAGACGACGGGACCAACUUUUUUUAUUGAAAUAUCAUUCAAGGACAAGAAUGAACUAUUUAACGCUUUGUUUUAUUUCUUGCUUGAAAAAAGAUUUCAGAAUAAAAAUAGUGAUUAAUUCGAGCAAUGUCUUUUGCUUCAAAUGUGCUAAUUAGAACUGCAAGUGGUGGUUGAGAUCGGUGAAGUAUGCAAGUUCUGAUAGAUUUGUCAUUCAUAAACACGAAAAGCAUCACACAUGUGGUUCGGAGCACAUCUCGGGCCAAAAUCCUCACGCCACAGCAAAGGUCCUCGGUGAAUAUUCCAGGAGUAGUUUUCCCGAUGGCAAAGACCCUUCAGCAAGGGUUAUGGUCAAUCAACUCCUUACGAAUUUGGGUGUCCUGGUCAGUUUUUGGAAGAUAUAUAUGGCCAUGGGAUUGCCAAGGACCUGGUUAGGGGUACACUAGAGCAUUGGUAUACAGUCCUGGAUGCCUACCAUUACAUGUUGAGUCCACAAAUCUCGAAAGUAAGACGAUACUAUAUCCGGAUAAAAAUGGAAGGUUCAAGUACUUUUUGGUAUCCUAUGGUGCUUGGAUUCAAGGUUUUCAGCAUUUGAGGAAAGGCAUAGCCUUCAACGGUACCUUCUUGAGGAGCAGGUAUAAUGGAGUUCUGCUAGCGGCGGCGGCGCAGGAUGCGGAGAAUCACAUCUUUCCUGUCGCUUUUUAUGUAGCGGACAAGGAAUGUGAUGCCUCUUAUGAUUUUUUUCAAACAACUGCGAAGCUGCGUUGAGGAUACCGAAGAGUUGUGUUUUGUAUCGGAUAGACAUUCAAGUAUUCCAAAGAUGGGUUCACGUUUCCUCACUUCAGCUUACUUUAAUUGUUGCAUCAGGCAUCUUCGAGAGAACAUUUGAAACAACUAUCACAACGAAAGGGUCGUUACCCUUUUUUAUAGAGUAGCUAAAUCAUAUAGUAGAGAGGAGUUUUUAGACCAUUUCAAUCAAAUAGAGGAUGUGAAUCCCAAGGUAGAAGAAUUUCUCACGCGUGUCGAUUUUAAGAGAUGGAUCCGGGCAUUCUCUCCAGCAGAUAGGUACAUUCUUAUGAAUUUAAUGUCUUGUUUGAUUUACAAGUUUAGUAUGAUGUAGUACUAAGUGAUUCUUUUGUAUAGGUACAAUAUUAUGACAUCAAACAUAGCUGAAUCGGUGAAUUCAUUUUUUGACGAUGAUAGAGAAUUUUUCAUCAAGGCUAUGUUGGAAAAAAUAAGCAAGAAGUAUAGCGGAUUUUUUAACGAAAGGCGUGUGCAGUUUGAGUGCCCAGAAAAAAACCCAAUUUAUUCUUGAAAUCGAAAAAAUAAUAUAAACGAACGUCAGUUUGGAGAAUAGGUUAUUCUCUCAUAAAAUAGCAGAUUACAAAUUCAGUAUCACCGAUUAUGGUGAUGCUGCUAGGGUCGAUCUUCAAACAAGAUCUUGUACGUGUAGAGUUUUUGACUUAGACAAAAUACCUUGUCCACAUGCUAUGACAGCACUUCGAGCUCAAUACGGUCAUAAAUAUGGAACUGAAGUGUAUGGGCACUCCUCUCAAUAUUAUUCGGCAGAAAAAUAUGAAAUGACAUAUAAUGGGCAUGUUACUCCGGUGCCUCCCAAAGAAUCUUGGGUUGUUCCUGCAGAGCUUAUAGGGAGAUUAAUACCUCCUCCAUAUAUUGACCCAAGUACUAUCAAACCGGAAAGAAAGACAUAUAAGAGGAGGCAUGGAGUUGGAGAAUCAUUUUCAUCAAGAAGAAAUAAGUGCUCCAUAUGUAAGUGCGUUGGCCACAAAAGAACUACAUGCUCGAAUCGUAAUCCACCAUGAUCGUUGUAAUUGCAGAAACUUGUGUUGUUGUCUGUUUGUUUUGGACUUUUAUAUAUUUAACUUAUUGUUGUGAACCUAAUGUUAUCAUUUAUUAUAUAUAAAAUAUCUUUUUUAAUAACUUGUGCAUCAAUAAAAAGAGGCAAAACAUGAACUAAGUAAUACAGCAGACCACAAUUAUUCUCAACAGUUCCAUCAAACUGGAAUAUUUUACUCCAACCCAUGAUAAAUAAAUCUAUUGAAACAGAUGGAUAAUCUGUUGACAGAAACCCAACAGAUGACCAAUCUGUUCCAACACAUGAUCCAUCUGUUGAAAGAACUCAAAAGCCAAAAUUGUUAGUGCUACUAGUUCAACGCAGCUUCUUGCCUCCAACCGUCGACAUGUUAACAUGUAUGUAUGUUUAGAAGAAAUAGACAGAAUGAAAAUUGAAUAAGAACUAAAACGCCAAAGUCAACUAAAAUUAAAUUUUUCAUUAAACAAAAAAUAAAAUACAUUAGGUAUAGAUCCGAUAUAGAAAAAUGAAAACACAUAGGCUAGAAGAAAAAACACAUUCUAAUUAUCAUCAUCAUCAUUAAUGACAGCCGGCCAAUCAACUCACAGCAGCAGGGCCCUCAUCAGCCUCUGCAUCUCUCUGAAUAUCGUCUCUCUCACAGCGACCAACUCCCUCCGCAGGUCAUUAACCUGCCUCUGAAGUUCCCACAAUAUGUCACGUAGAAUAGCAAUGUCUAAAACAGGAUCAACCAUAUCUAGAACCUUUUUUUCGUACAAGUACUGAGAUGAUAUAUGGCCUUCUCAACCUCCUUCUUCUCGUACAAGUAUUCUCCCAAGCACCUUUUUUUGUAUAAUAGUCUCCUCUAAUAACCCAUCCAUAUAAAUUUGGACCAGGGGAAUUUCUAUUAGUUCUACCGUUAUUUGCUGCAGUGUGGGGCCUUGAAGGCCUUUCAACAAAUCCUUGAGCCAUUAAAACUGGUCUAAUCACUAUUGGAUAUUUACACUGCCACCAUAAACUAGAACCCUUCCUCAAACUUGACACAAAAAUAUGAGCAUAAACCUUCAUUAAAUUAAAAUAGGGAUCAACACCACCGUCUCGAUCCCUCAGUCUUACCAGUUCGAACUUAACAAUCUUAACUGUAAAAUGCCAUAUCUUGUUUGAAGGAGUAACGCCUAAUAGGUAAAGAACAAACAUUCAUAAAAUCAUUAUACUGGAUGUGUAUUUUCAUGAUAGGUUGAUCCGUAAUACAUACCUCCUAUAUAUGAAGUGGUUCCAUCUGCAAACAACUUAUUCCUCCGAACCCAUAUUUACUCUAGCCUUUAAUGCUGGUCGGGCGAAAGUGGAUCUAGUUUCACUUUCUUUUAUCUGCAAACAAGAAAAAUGCAUUUGAUGUCAAACAAGAGAAGAACAAAAAGAAUGUUACAAAAGGAUAACACAAAAUUGAGUAAAUCAAUAAAUGGCCAAUCUGAUGCAACAGAUUAUCCAUCAGUUCAACCGAUAAGGAAUCUGUUCAACCGAUAACGUUACUACUAGCUUGAUUUCUUCAAACAGUUGCUCCGUCUGUACAAAAGGGUAACACAAAUUUAAGUGAAUCAACAGAUGACCAAUAUGAUCUAAUAGAUUACCCAUCUGUUCAAUCGAUGAGGCAUCGUUGCAAUAGAUGGAUGACAUAUUACAACAGAUGGGUCAUCUAUUGGAAUAAAUCAAAUCGGCAUUGCUACUGGUUUGAUUUCUUCAAACAGUUGCUCCGUCUGUUCCAACAGCUGAUUCAUCAGUUGCAAAAGUUGAAGAAACUAUUGCAACACCACCACAAUAUUAACAACAAAGAAACAACACCAUAUGUUCCAACAACAUCCACAACAUAAACGUUACGUGUUCCAACACGACCAGUACCCCCAAUAACAACAUCACCAAAGUACCAAACAAAAGACAUAAAAAAGCUAUACUAACAACAAGGCUUUUUAAGUUCUCCCAACAGAUGAUUUUUUUCGCAUACUUUAAUAAAAAAAAUGGUUCAUUCAUUCAAGACUUAAAAGUCACCUUUCCUUCAAUUUUCUCAAUAAAUUGAAAACUGGUUAUGUGUAAAUUAUUAAUAGCAAAAGGUGUAAAUAUCUAAUUUAAAUAACAUACAAAAAAGAAGAUGAGAUGGAAAGAACAAUAGUGAACCGUACCUACAAUAUCAAAAAAGCAAAGGGAUCAAAACUACUAGUUCACUCGAGACAAGAUAUUGAUUGGUUGAGAUCCAAAAAGAUCCUCAUAAGAAAGAAGAGAGAAAAGAGAGGAAAAAAGAAAAGAAAGAGAAUUGAGAAUAAAGAAAAGUGAUAGAUGAUUGAAUCUUACUUUAUGGCUGAAGGAGAGAGUAUCUAGAUAUGGGCUUUAAAUAUUCAUUAAUAACUUUUGAGGGGCACGAGGAGACAAUGAUAUUGAAAAGACCAGAUAAAACUACUCACUCAGGAGAUUUUUGAGUUAUCCAAGUAGUAUGGAGUAAGAGUAAUACUUUUUACCGCCUCAGUAUUUAAACUUUUUUAUCUCAGAAAGAAAAUUCCUAAAUUGCUUUAUAAAAAAGGAUCUUAAAAUAUUUAAGUGCAACAGAUGAUAAUUUUUGUUUGAAAAUUUGCAAAGCUCGGUCAUCUGUCGCAACAAAUGACAUAAUCUGUUUGAUAUUUUACAAUAGAUGCUUAAUAUGUUGUAACAGAUUACCUAAUCUAUUUGAUUUAAUCCAAUAGAAAAGACAUCUAUUGUAACAGGUUGAACAUUUGUUUAUAUAUAAUUUCAAUUGACUUCAUAUGUUAGACUAAUGCCUUGAUUGAAUAAUCUAGGACAAGGGUAAGUUCUUAUAGGGUCAACUACAUAUUCAAUUGAGUCUUUUGGAAGUUGCAUGAUGAGACGGUAUUGCGUUCUCGCAACUAGAGCCAUCGAUCGAUCACUCUGAGACGAACCGAUUCUUACUACCUUAUAUGUUCAACUAAUACCUUAAUUGAUUAAUCUAGGAUUAGGAUACUAAUACCUUGAUUGAAUAAUUUAAUACUAUGGGUGAGUUCUCAUAGGGUCAACUACAACUUUAAUUGAGUCUUUUGGCAGUUGCAUGAUGAGAUAGUAUUGCAUUUUCCCCAACCAGAGUCAUCGAUCGAUUACUCUGAGUCGAACUGAUUCUUACUACCUCAUAUAAUUAACUAAUACCUCAAUUGAUUAAUCUAGGACUAGGGGUGAGUUCUCAUAAUCAACUAAAACAAAUGACAAUGCCUAUUUGAUGGUUUACAACAGAUGGGUAAUCUAUUAUGACAUGACUUAAUCCAUUUAAAAUUUACAAAAGAUGGGUAAUCUAUUGCAAUAGAUGACUUAAUCUAUUUGAUAAUUUACAACAGAUUCAUAAUCUGUUGUAAUAAAUGACACAAUCUGUUUGAUAAUUUACAACAGAUUCGUAAUCUGUUGUAACAAAUGACAUACUGUUUGAUAAUUUACAACAGAUUCGUAAUCUGUUGUAACAAAUGACAUAAUUUGUUUGAUAUUUUACAAUAGAUGCGUAAUAUAUUGCAACAGAUUACCUAAUUUAUUUGAUUUAAUCUAACAGAAAAUACAUCUAUUGCAACAGGUUGAACAUUUAUUUAUAUAUAGUUUCAAUUGACUUCAUAUGUUAGACUAAUACCUUGAUUGAAUAAUCUAGGACUAGGGGUGAGUUCUCAUAGGGUCAACUCCAGCUUCAAUUGAGUCUUUUGGUAAUUGCAUGAUGAGAUGGUAUUGCGUUCCUCCUGACCAGAGUUGUAGAUCGAUCACUCUUAGCCGAACCGAUUCUUACUACCUCAUAUGUUCAACUAAUACCUCAAUUGAUUAAUCUAGGACAAGGGCACUAAUACCUUAACUGAAUAAUCUGGGACAAGGGGUGAGUUCUCAUAGGGUCAACUACAGCUUUAAUCAAGUCUUUUGGUAAUUGCAUAAAGAUACAGUAUUGCUUUCCUCCUGACCAGAGUCGUCAAUCGAUCACUCUGAGUCGAACUGAUUCUUACUACCUCAUAUGUUCAACUAAUACCUUAAUUGAUUAAUCUAGGACUAGGGGUGAGUUCUCAUAAUGUCAACUACAAUAGAUGGCCUAUUUGAUGGUUUACAACAGAUGGGUAAUCUAUUGCGACAUAUGACUUAAUCCAUUUGAUAAUUUACAACAGAUGGGUAUUCUGUUGCAACAUAUGACUUAAUCUGUUUGAUAAUUUACAACAGAUUCAUAAUCUGUUGCAAUAUGUUAAAAAUUUAUUUUUUAUAUAAUUUCAAUUGAGUUCAUAUAUUAGACUAAUAAUACCUAAACUGAUUAAUCUAGGACCAGGGGUGAGUUUAAGAAGUCUUUAACAGAGCUUCAUGAUCGGACUUACAUUAUCGAAAAUCUUUAUCACAAAAAAUUGUAGAAGAUGGCUCGACAUUGUCAAGCUCAGUUGGAAAAAAUAAAAAAAAAAUGAAGAAAAGAAAGACCAAAUGCAAAUAAUUUGAAGAAUUUGGAUAUAUAAAAGAAGAUGAUGAUGAAGAAGAAGAUUUGAAAAUUUAGGGUUAAAUUUUAGGAGAAAGAUGAAUAUAUAANNNNNNNNNNNNNNNNNNNNNNNNNNNNNNNNNNNNGGGGGGGGAGGGGGAAAAAUGACCGUUGGGGGCCAAAUGACGGCAAGUCAGCAUAAAGUGCCAAAAUGAUACAUUUGAUGCCUAUUUUAUUAUACGUGUUUAAAAUGAUUACUGUCUACUUGAUGCCUAUUUUAUUUUAGGUGUUUGAACUGAACACCGUCGAAGGGUUUUGCCUUUUUUAUUUCAAUACACUUUAACUUUUUUACACGUAGUGGAAAUUUUUUAUGUCCAACGAAAGUUGAACUUUUAUAAUGCAACAGAUUCUCCAUCCGUUGUAACAGUUAUUCUACCUGUUCUGACAUAUAGUUUAUCUGUUGCAAUAUGUUGGUCAUCCGUUGCAUUAUCUCGAUGUUUCUAUUUAAGUCCAUCUAUUGCAACAACGAGAAGACCUAUUUGAUAAAUUUCAACAGAUUACCUACCUGUUGCAAUAUAUGUCUAAAUCUGUUCGAUUUUUUCCAAUAGAUAUGUCGUCUGUUCCAGCAGAUACAUUAUCUGUUGUAAUAUUUGAAUCUAGUAUUCCUUUUCAAUUAAUAAGUUCAAAUCUAAGGAAAAAAUAAAAUUCAUAUACAAAAUAAAAUAAAUCGAAGCCUUUAGAAAUUAACUGAAAUAAUUUAAUGAAUAAAUGAAAUGUAAAAAAAAAUUGUUAUAGGUACAGAUCUCAAUAAAUACAUCAACAAAAAUUUAAGUAUGAUGCCAAGGAUUACUUUGACAGGCUCAAGCUAUAAAGAUCUACUUAGUAUGAACAAGUUGUUCUUCAUCCGGUGCUAUGAAAUUCAGCUUUGCUUAUCGUGGAUCUUUUUUGUUGCUUAUGUAUGAUUUCUGCGCUUUCUGUUCUUCGUAUUUUCAUUAAAAGAGUAGCAUAUUGUCAAUGCUCUUCAGCAGUAGCUUCUAUAUCCACCCGGAAAGCCAGAAUUAGUCAAUACUAAUCAUGGAGAUACAACAAAAUGGAGAAGGAUAGCUCAUCUAUUCUAGCAAAUUAAAUAGGUCUUUCUCCUAUUUUAAAUUAUCCCAAAUAGAUUAUAUUUCAAUUGCAACAAUGGAUCAACUGUUGGGACAAAUUUCUACAUGAGGAAGACUUGUAUGAUAAUUUCCAACGGAUGAACCAACCGUUGCAACAUAUAAAUCAUCUAUUGCAGCAGAUAGGUCAUUUGUUGGUACAAAUAAAAGUGGUACGAAGAGCUGUUUGAUUUGCUAAAACAGACGAGACAUAUGUUGCAAUAGAUACUUUAUCUGGUGCAACAAGUUAGUCAACUGUUGCAAUAGAUGUAUAUAUCUGUUUGAUAAUUUUUAGCAGAUAUGUAAUCUGUUGAAACAGAUAUGUGUUGUUUGUUUUGUUAGUUGGAAGACAUAUAUAUUCACCUUCUUCAACUUGUGCUGCUCUAAUUUGUACAUUGUAUGUUGCUCAGUGCAACACACAGACAGAGGAGUUGGAGUUUUGCUUUUUUGAUGCUUGAUAAUGCCUUAGAAAUCACUCUCCUUUUUCUUUUACCCCUAAUCUCUAGUGGAGCGGAUGGAAAUAAAAUCCUCUUUGAAGGAAUGAGACCCCUCUUAGAUGUCAAUUCCUUUACAGAAGCUGUUAAUUCAUUAAUAGCAUUAAUCACUACAUUAUGUUUUGCCCUGCAGUCUUGAUCCUUGGACAGGAAACUCCUUCCUGGUAGUUCACUUGUUGUCUCAAAUAAGGAAUGGCUUCAAACACCCAAGCCUAUAAAAUAACGCCAAUAAAUCAAAAUCAUUAUUGAGUAAAAAAAACAAUGAUAUCAUUAUAAAAGAAAGAAACAUUUACUAUGAAAGCCCAUGGGAAGCCAUAUAAGUUGACUGUCUUUGGCGCUAAUGGAGUCAAUAAAUAUUUGACUGUCAUUUUGAAGCUUUCAUAACCCCAAGGAUAGCUGUUAAAUAUCUCAAGAUCCUCGAAGAGCUUUAUUAAAUUGAGGCUUCUAUUUUUGUUAACGUCUCUCGCCCGAAGAAUAUUAUGUACAAAUCAAACCAAGCACAAUGACUGCUUGUGCUUCUUUGAAAGUCUUUUACCUUUCAAUGCUUCUAUUAGAUUUUUAUUUUUAAAUCUUGGACCAAUAAUGGACAUCAGAUCAUCACAAUCACACAACUUGCCUUUGACUUUUUUGGGUGUGCGGUAUGCUUUUUUUGGUUUAGAAUAGGUAUAACUUGAGAAGGAGGAUAACAUUUUAGCCCAGUAAUUAUGGAAAACUCCUUCCAACCAAAACAAAUAGGCAUGCCACAGUAAUUUAUCCAUACCUCAUCCAUUUUAUCUUUGUUUUCAUACAUAAACCUACGCUUGAGAAGUUCAUAUACAAUUUUUAUUUGGAAACGAGCAUUGUUGUCCUUCGGCAAAAUAAGAUAUUUUUCAAAGCAGCUGUCCCUGAAAUAAGCAUCCAAUUUUUGUUCUCAAAGUAUUUUUCUGAAGGCGUCGAAAGAUUUUUCCAUGGCUGACUUAACCACGAAAUCACCCGUUAAAUCUAUGGCACCAAUGCACUGCAUUCUUACAGAUAACAAUCAAUGCUGAAGGCUUUGACCAACUCUGCAGUGGAAGGGCUAUUAGCAUUUCCAUCAUCUCUUUUGAAACAUUCCUCCUCCCCGUGUUCAUCAUAUUCUUCUCCCGAUUGAGAUAAUGCUUGUAAAGCAAGCUCAUAGAGUGGUGGAUCUAGCCUAGCUGCUUCACUUGUUCCUUUACUUGGACUUGAUUCGGUUUCUAUUUUUUUGGAAACUAUAUUAUCUAAAAUUAAUAGGAACAUUAAAAAUAUAUUAUAGUUGAUUAAUACAUCAUUAAAAAAGAAUAGCAGUAAAUAAAAUAAGCAAAACAGUGAAAUAACUGUUGCAAUAGAUCACGGAUCUGUUGCACCAGGUAGUAUAUCUGUUGCAGCAUAUAACCAACCUGUUGCAGCGUAUGAGUAAUCUGUUGCAAUAAUACAAAACAUAUCACUCAUCUUUUAAGAUAGAUGAAUGGUUUGUGCCACAGAUCACACAUCUGUUGCAGCAUCAUCUAUUGCAACAUAUGAGUGAUUUGUUGGAAUAGUUGAAUAACCUGUAGCAAUGAUUGAGUAAUCUAUUGUGACAAAAAAAUAUAUCACUCAUCUGUUGAGAAAAUGAAUGAUCUGUGCAACAGAUCAUACAUCUGUUAUGACAUCAUCUAUUACAAUAUAUGACCUGUCGAAACAUUUAACUAACCUACCUGCAGCAACGGUUGAGUAAUUUGUUGCAACAUACAAAAUAUAUCACUCAUCUGUUGAGAAAGAUGAAUGGUCUAUGCAACAGAUUACACAUCUGUUGCAUUACAUGGGUGAUCUGUUGGAAUAGUUAUCAACGAUCAUUAUUGUUUAGAUUUCUUCAAACAUGGGGUCGUCUAUCACAGCAGAUGAAUGAUCAGUUGGAAAAAUUAAGUCUUGGAUAUUCCCUGUUGGAAGAGUUGAUAGGAUUUUAUCCAACAAGAGGUUCAUCUGUUGCAUCGGAUCAUUAAUCUGAUGGUUCCUCCAUUGCAUUAGAUGGUUAAUUAGUUGCAUCAAAUUUUUUAUCCGAUGCUUAAUCUGUUGCAUCAGAUGAUUAAUAUGUUGCAUCAGAAAUGUAAUCUGAUGGUUCCUCUAAUGCAUCAAAUGGUUAAUUUGUUGCUUCAUAUGACAAAUCUGUUGCAUCAGAUGGUUAAUAUGUUGCACCAGAUGGAUAAUCUAUUGGAGAAAAUAAAAAAUAGUAGCACGAUUUUGUUCAACAAAAAAACUGCAAUAUCACCAUUUUUACCAAGAACAAGAACAGAAAAAUCAACUCAAAUUAUUGUUUUGUUUUUACAAACACAAACAAUAAAAAUCAAACUUCAAAAAAAUGCAACAAACAACAAAAUAACAUAAUUCACUUCAAAAAGAGAAGAGAAGAAAUACUAGAAAUUAGGGUUUUAUUCAGACCGCAUUUCAAAUUAAUGCAACAAAUAUUGAAAUUGUUAACCAAUACUAUAAGAGAAGUUGGCUCAAGUUCCUCGUUUUCUUUAAAACUAAAAAGGCCAAAAAUUUUUACCUACGAAAGAAGAAAAGGAACGAUGAUGAAUUCGAAGCUGUUGUGGCCGGAGAGCAAGGCUGUACGUUAAUUGAAACAAAGAAUUCAAAGCUGUUAUUGUUGGAGAAAAAGACAGUCACAUCAAUUAAAGGUUGAAGUUGAAAAGGAACUCGAAGCUCAACUAUUUUUCGUUGGAUGUUGAAGUCACCGAGGAUUGAAAAGAAAAAUUUAACAGAACUGUUGGUUGGGAGAGAGUCGAAAGAAGCUGUCGAGAGAGAGUGUGUGGUUCAUUUGGAUUGAGGAGGGGUGUGGGUUUGGUUGAUUUAUAUUUUUAAAAAGAUUUGAAAGUUUUGAAAAUAUUAAUCAAGUCCACAAUUAACUUAAUCAAGUUUCCUAAUUAUGUUUGACCCUUUAAGUUGGUCAAUGUCACCAAUCCUUCAUUGAAGACUUAAAAGACACCUUUCCUUCAAUUUUCUCGACUAAGUUGCCAUAAAACGUGUCGAUUUUAUGGUGACAAAAAAUGUUUUCAAUAAAAAUAAAAAUAAUAUAGUUUUAGUGGUGAUACAAUCAUUGAGUCACCACGACAAAUGAUAGUUUUUGUGAUAUUCAUUUGUAUGUCACCACAAAAAGAGUGUUUAAUGAUGAUUAUUGUAUGUUGGUAGAUUUACAUGUAUUGAUCCCAAAUUUAGGUGGCUUUGUACAUUUGAUCCUAAAUAAAAAAUCCUUAGUUAAAUUACCGUUAUUGCUCUACUGCCAUAUCAAAAGAACUAUUUUGCCCCAUAACUCAUCUUUAUUCUCUCUAAUGCCUGUGAAUGCAUCUCUCCUCUCCAACGCUCCGCUCUUUCUUGUUACUGCUCUUUUUCUUCAUUGCACUUCUCUCUUUCUUUAUUACUAUCUCUUUUAAAUCUUCAAACUUGCGAUAUACAGAGAAAGAUGGACAAACUUGUGGUAAUUUUUCAUCUUCAUGAUAUUAUAAUUUGUGAAUUUUGUAUAUUUUUGAUAAAUUUUACUUAAAUAGGAGUAUUUGGGUUUGUAAUUAGCUUUGAAUUGAAGUCAUUAUUUUAUUUAAAAAUGGGAGAAUCUCUAACCUGCAAAGCAUGAUAGAAAAAUGGUUUGUACAAUUAGCUUUUUUUUAUUGAAAAAAUAAUAGUGUUCUUGAUGUUUGUAAAUGUACAGAGUGUUCUUGUUAGUAUACAUUUAUGUUUAAAAUUGAAAAAUUAUUCUAUGCUUUUUUUUUGUAGUCGUGUGUUGAGAGAGUGUCUCAGUGGAUGUUGCUUUCAAUUCUUCAAGACUUUUGCCUUCAAACUUAAUUGAUAUCAUAGUUUAUGUAAGUUUCUACUAAAUUCAUUUUAUCAUUCACAUGUAUUUUACAUCAAUGCCUAUUGGUAUACUAAAAAAAUUACAACUUCACUUUUUCUAUAUUUUACUAAUGAAGAAUUCUCUGUCAUUCUUUCUUUCUUUAAAUAUGUUUAUUGAGAGCUAAUUCUUGCUUCUAGGGAAAUAAUUAUAAAGCAUCUAUCAAAUCUUUACAGAACAAGGUAGUCUCGGCUAGUAUCCCUAAGGGCUAGUUGUUUCUUUGUGGGAUAAGUUUUGCCUCUAGGGUAAGAGUUAUUGAACAUCUGUUUAAUUAAUAAAAAAUAUAGCAGGAUCAAUACUUGCCCAUGAGGCAUAACUUAUUUUUAUGGGGGCUAAGUCUUUGCGCCUAUGUCAAGAUUUAUAGAUCAUCUACUCCUUAGUAAUUUUAUGUACAAGUGAUGAAUGUUGAAGGAAAAUAUGUCAAUAAUUGAGAUUCUCUCGUAAGUUUGUUUGAACGCUUUAAUGAAAUGACUUGUUUUAAUUUUGUAAAUUGGAAUGACUUGAGAAUUAGUUCAAAAUGAGGUACGAUUAGGAUUAUUUGUCAGAUUAGUUUCAAAGUGUUUGCGUUAGUACAGUGACAACUUGUUUGCCUGUUUUGUGCAUGUGUUUAUGUGUGUCCCAGAUACUUUGCUACCAAAGGUGUUAGUGUGUUACUUUAUUUAUUUUGUCCUUUUUUAUUUUGGUCUAAAAUCAUCUCUAUGAGAUUCUAGCUUGGCUAGAGAAAUGUUUGAAAUCAUACUCUAUGUUUGGGUAUUAAAAGCUUAUGGGUAAAUUUAUAAUAUUUGCCUAAUUCUGAGAAGUAAUCUUGCUUAGAUAGGACUUUGAAAAGCAGUCAAGUACAUUUUCUUUGAUCAAAUAUGUAUGUACAUGGUAUCAUAAUACAUGUAUAAAUUUGCAUUUACCUCUAUGGUGUACUACUGUAAUCAAUUGUGUUAUCAAUCUUUGAUGUUUAUGAUUUGUACAAAGUGGGUCUGGCUUUGUUCUCCUCUGAAGUAUUCUAUUUUUUCUAAAGGUACUCAAUUUAAAAAUGAUAAGGUGGCCAUUACAAUAUUUUGAAUAUUUCUUGUCAAGAUCUGGUAAGGCUAUUUCCUGUUUGGUCAAAGACCGUUUCCGAUAAGAUUUUAAGUUGUGAGGGAGGUAAAUUUAAUCAAUGUAGAAAUGUCGUUAAAGAAUUUUGUGUUAGGAAUAAUGCUAAACUUAUUAGUCAGCUUUGUUAUUCUUUUGCUUUUAUAUUAUGAAUGUUUGAUGUCGUUCGAGCCUUGCCAAUCCCAAAUUUGAUAGAUUAACAUCAAGGAAACAAUCUUCGAAAUUUAGAGAUUGUGUGUAACUUGUGUCCUAAUUAUAGUAAAUCAUGUAAAUCUAUAUAUAAAAAAUUCAUACAUGAUAUAAUCAAGUUUUCAAAAUAUUAUCAUUCUUUUUCAAGCUUGAAAUAGUAAUCUCCAAGUCUUAAAUUUUCAAUAGUUUGUUAAGUUAAUACAGACUAAGCUAAUAUCAACUCUUGUUUAUUGCGUAUAAGUUAUUUUGGAGGCUAAAAGUAUUGCCUCUAGGAAAAGAGUUCUCAAUCAUCUGACAAAUUAUUACAAACUAUGCUAUUGUCAAAUCUUACCCAUGGGGCACAAUUUAUUCUUUUGUGAUCUAAAAGUCUUACCUCUUGAAAAUGAGUUAUAGAUUAUCUACCAAAUCAUUAAAGACUAAGACAGUGUCAACUCUUGCCCAUGGACUUGUUUCUUUGUUGUCUAAGUCUUGCCUCUAGGGCAAGAGUUAUAGAUCAUCUGUCAAAUUAGUAUAGUCUAAAGCAAUGUCAACUCUUGUCCAUGGGGCACAACUUAUUCUUUGUGAUCUAAAAGUCUUGCCGCUUAGGUAAGAGUUAUAUAUCAUUUACUAAAUCAUUAAAGACUAUUCUAGUGUCAAAUCUUACUCAUGAGGCAUAACUUUUAUCUGGAUGGACUUUGUGUCACUCUUUUUUUAUUUAAUAUUCAAUAUAUCUUUAUUAUUUUACUAUUCAAAUCAUAAUUCAAUGUUGGAUUUCUAACUUACUUUUGUAAUCUUUCUUUUUCUUUUGCAAUUUUCAUGCAGAGAGCUUCAUCUUCUAUUAAGACUCUUCUUUAGAUGGGGUUAUGAGCCCUAUUAUGGUAAAUUUCACAUUAGAUUUAUUAUUCAGUAGAAACAACAUCAUUACAUAAAUUAUUGUGUUAAUUGUGUUUUUGACAUUAUUUUUUUUAUAUAGUCUCUAGAGUUCAAGUGUGAUGCUAUUGUGGAGCUUAUUGUAAUAUCCCGCAAAAUCAUGAGUUCAAAAUUCAGCUUCUUGAGAUCUUUAAAAGAUCCGACACUUAGAAUAUUUUAGCUAAGUGUUCAACACUUAGUCUCAUUUUAAUCAUUCAAACUUCGAGCAUUUAUUUGAUGACCUUUCCGACCUCCGUUUUGUGAUUUUUAAGUUGCGUUACAAUAGGGCAAGGUAAGAAUACAUCUCGGGUGAGUUUCGAAAUUUUUGAAAUCUGUUUAGGGCAUGUUUGGAUUUUGAAACAGUAGCAUCAUGCGAUUUGCAUGCGAUGCAUGCUCUAUCUCACAGGUCCUAGCAUGUGAUAGAGUAUGCGACGCAUGCUCCAGUCCAAAGAACUAGACCAUACGAUGCAUGCUCCAUAGCACGUUGCCAAAAUUUUCAGCUUCCAGCUCAGCGUUUUGAGGGAAAAAUGGACUUUUCCCCCACCCUAUAUAAGCUAAAAAUUAUGGAAUUUAGCCCCAAUUGAACCAGAAUAUACUCACUUCUCUCAAAAUCUUCUCAAGAACAAGCUAGGGUUUCUCAUAGAAGAUUCAAGUUCAAGAAUUCUCUCCGUCAAUCUUUGUAGAAUCACGAACUAAGGUAUGCGUUAUGUUUAUUUAUGGAUUUCUUUCAUCCAUAAAUCUCAAGAACCCUAUUUUUAAAUUAUGAAUCAUGUUAUUAUGUUGUGGGUUGUUUAAGGUUAUGUGAUUGUUGUUGUAUGAUUCCGAAGUUGGGAUCUUUAUGUGAAAUUAUGAAACUACGUUAGCAUAUAAAUUGAAAUCCAUGAAUUUGGUGGUCUAUGAUUUGUGAAAUUUUGAUGAUUUCACCUAUGCCUUAAGUUGUGCAUGUAAGGUGUUUGAUAAAAUGCCUAAGGGAUAGAAAUUAUUCCUUGUAGCUAAAUUGUGAUCCAAAUGACUAAUGCAUGCUUUCCCUUAUUAUCAAAAAUGACUUCCAUGAUAUUAUUGUGUAUUAUGGAUGCUUGAAUGAAUAAUUAUGGGACUAGUUAAUGAAAUUACGAUAUAUCGAUGUGUAUUCCCAUUCAUGUACAAGAUUAUGAUACCAUGUUCUUCUUAAAAUCCCUAACUUAUUGUAUUAUGGAUUGUUGAUGUUGGUCAUGUAUUCAAGAAAGUCAUUCUUUGUUAGUUUCCUUCUAUCGAGUCCUGGGGGUACUUGUACGCAAAAAAUAUAGCUUGUGCCUAGAGACAGUAUCAUGUUUUCACGAUAUCCUCAGUCAAGCCAUGAUCCAUAAAACUCAGUCAGUCAGGAAAACUCAGUAAUAUCAGAAAUCUCAGAUAACUCAGUAAAUCAGUAAUCUCAGUAGUAUUCUCCAGUCAACAGAACUCAUGAACUCAGUCCAGUCCAGUUCAGUUAAUCGUGUUCAGUAUCUAUUUAGAUGGGAGUAGAAAUUAGCAUCGAGUGAACCCAAGAAUGAGGGCACACACAGUCGGUUGAGGGUGUGAACCUUAGAAAUCAUCCUUGUGUUCCAAAAUUAUGCAACCAACAUAGGUUGAUACAUCAACACUGUUAGAUGAGGGUUGAUGAGGUGGAUAACACUGUCAGAUGAGGGUCCCACCAUUCUCUUUUGGGGACACUAUCAGAUGAGGGUCACCCAUAGCUUGUCCUUACCAGUGGCGCGGUAUUGACACCCUUCUAAUUGGGGUUACAGAUUGGACUCCAACUUAGCUAUAAUAGCUUACUAGGGGCAUGUCAAUUAGAUGACUACUUCCCACAGUUUCAGUAUUAAUCUCAGUAAAAGAACUCAGAUAGUUCUUUAGAUUUCAGGACUGUCAGAUACAAUCAACUCAGUACUGUAUGAACCUCAGCUAGUUCCAUUAGAACUUAGAUUUUCAGAUACAGUCACUCAGUAUCAGUUAUACCAGUCUCAGUAUCUCAUGAUAUCAGUAAUCAGACUCAGUAAUCAUGUUAUCACGAAUUCAGUUACAAUCUCUUAUUCAUGUAUGUGUUCUCCCAUUCAUGUUAUACAAUUAGUUAGUUUAUGUUCAUGUAUAUAAACCCUUGCAUUCAGCCUACCUCACAUGCAUACCAGUACAUUCAAUCGUACUGACGCAUUCGCGCUAUGGAGUUUUAUUCUAUACCAUAUGUUCAGAAGCACGAGCUCUAGAGCAUCAGUAAUAUUCAUGAACAUAGAUAGACUUAUGAACCAUGCUCAACAAAUAGAAGAGAAGAAGAUUAAGAUGAGGGAGAAGCAGAAUAAGAGAGCAAGGUUAGGUAGUUUUAACUUUGCUCAGCCUAAGUCAGACGAAGGAAAUUGUUCUCAGUUUCGUCCUAAGUCAUUGGUUCUAGAUCCUUUAUCAGCUAGUGGUCCAGCUCCUAAGUUCAGGGAUGGUGAUAGAUAUAGGGUGCCAGGCACUAAUAUCAGGGCAGUGUCAGUAAUGCCCAAACUAAUCCUCUUUGUCAGACUUAUGGUAAGAAUCACAAGGGAGCUUGCAGAGCUAGUAACAAUGUGUGUUUCAGAUGUGGCAAGCCAGGCCACUGAGUAAGAUAUUGUCCCCAGUCGAUUUAUCACGGUCAGCAUCAUCAUUCCUCAGCUUAGUUCGGUCGUCUAAAUCAGCAGGGUGCCACCUCCAGUGCUUCUAGUGGGCAACGCCCAAAUAGAUUUUAUGCUCUUCAGUCUCGAUAAGAUCAGGAAAGUUCUCCUGAUUUGGUUACUGGUACGUUACAGAUCUUUCACUUGCAUGUUUACGCUUUGCUAGAUCUAGGAGAUUCCAUGUGUUUUGUUACUCCUUAUAUAGCAGUUGAUUUUGGAGCCAGUCCCGAAAUUCUAGCAGAGCCCUUUUCAGUCUCUACCCUUGUGGGUAAAAUAAUCAUAGCCCAGAGGGUAUACAAGAACUAUCCGGUUAUGAUAUUUUAGAAAGUCACCUCAGUAGACUUAGUCGAAUUGGAGAUGACUGAUUUUGAUGUUAUUCUCAGCAUGGAUUGGCUUCAUAAAAUCUAUGCCACAGUCGACUGCAGAAACAUAGUAGUCCAGUUUUAGUUUCUGAAUAAAACCAUCUUAGAGUGGAGGAGUAGUACUUCAGCUUUUAGAAGUCAGCUUGUUUCCUACCUUUGGGAAAGGAAAAUGAUAUCUAAGGGAUAUGUCUAUCAUCUUGUUCAUGUUAAGGACUCUAGAUCCUAAACCCCCAGUCUUGAAUUAGUUCCAAUCGUGAAUGAAUGUUCAGAUGUCUUUCCCAAAGAUCUUCCAGGAAUUUCUCCCGAAAGGGAAAUAGACUUCGACAUUGACCUUCUUCAAGACACUCAGCCCAUAUCUAUUCCACCAUAUAGAAUGGCACCAGCAGAACUCAGAGAAUUGAAAGAACAGUUAAAGGGUCUCUUAGCUAAGGGAUUCAUCAGACCAAGCGUUUCCCCGUGGGAUGCACCAGUCUUAUUCAUGGACAAGAAAGAUGGUUCUCUCAGAAUGUGCAUUGAUUACUAUCAGCUCAAUAAAGUUACGGUCAAGAACAGGUAUCUACUUCCCAGAAUUGAUGACUUAUUUGACCAACUUCAGGUUGACAACUAUUUCUAUAAGAUACACCUUAGAUCAGGCUAUCAUCAGCUCAGAGUUAAAGAAUAUGACAUCCCAAAAAUAGCUUUUCAUACUUGGUAUGAUCACUUCAAAUUCUUAGUCAUGUCCUUUGGUCUUACUAAUUCCCCAGCGGCCUUCAUGGACUUGAUGAACCGGGUAUUCAAGAAGUACUUGGAUAUGUUCAUUAUAGUCUUUAUAGAUGACACCUUGUCUACUCCAGAAAUGAGCUUGAUUAUCCAGACUAUCUCAGGAUUGUUCUUCAGACUCUCCGGAAUCAUCAGUUAUCCUCAAAAUUUAGUAUGUCCGAAUUUUGGCUAAGGUCAGUUGCAUUCCUUAGUCAUAUCAAUUCUAGUUAUGGCAUUAGAGUAGAUCCUUAAAAGACCAAAGAAGUAAGGAACUGGCCUCGUCCUGCCUCUCCAUCAGAUAUCAGGAGUUUCUUGGGUUUGGCUAGCUAUUACAGGCUACAUAGUUUUAGAAUGCAAGGAUGACUUCUAAGGACCACACCCUUAUCUGAUAGUGAGAGUCCCCAACCUUGGGUUCACACGGUGCUAUAUCCUACUCCCAUCUGAUUAGACUUUGAACAUGAUUAACUGGACUGUACAUGGACUGAGUUACUGUAUUCCGUUGACUGAUGGAAUACUACUGAUAUCUGACAACUUACUGAGUUCAUGAGAUCAUGGAGAUCUCCUGAGUCAUAAUACCGUCUGAAGUCUAAAAAUCAUAGCCUGACUGAGAGUAUCAUGAAAACAUGACAUGGCUCUAGGCACACAACUAAUGUUUUGGGUACAAGUACCCCCAGGACUCGAUGGAAGGAAACUAACAUAGCAUGAAUUACUUGAACACAUGACUAACAUCAUAAUCCAUAAUUCAUUCAUCGAAGUAUUUUAUCAAACAUGUGAUAGGCAUAAACCUGUACAUACACGGGGAUUUCAUGAUAUCAUGCUAAUUGGGCAUUUUCCUUCAUCUAGGAAUUUAAUCAAACACACACUAGGAAUGGAAUAUGUGGACAACAUUAUACAAAAAUUAAACAUCAUGGUUCAAUUCCAAUUUCAUCAUUCAAGGGUUUAAUCAUAGGUUUGCAUGAAUCUAUAUCUAUAUUAUUCAACCCACAUAGUAUUUAUCACCCAAUCAUGGAAUAGGAUCUAAUUACUCAUUAUCAACAUGAACAAGAGCAGCCGAAUCAUGAAAUUCACAAAGAAAAUCCAUAACUUGAAUUUAGAAAAGGGAUUCUUGGGAUUCAUGGAUGAAAGGAGUCCAUAAAUAAACACUAUGCAUACCUAGGUUGAGUUUCUUAAUGUUCUUGAACUUGAGGGAUUUGAAUCUCUUAGUUCUUGAAGAGGAUUUGAAUUUUGUUCUUGGGAUUAAUCUUAGAGAGAAAAACCCUAGUUUUGUUGUUGUAAAAUAAUAGUGAACAAAGUGGCUGCAAUCGGAUAUAACUGGGUAUAUAUAUGCAGGUGGUAAAAGACCAAAAUACUCCUGUUAAAAAUAACUUUAAUUUACUAAAUAGGACCUACGACGGCUCGUAUGAUGGUCCGUCACUGGCUCGAUGAUUCGUUGUUCUGAUCGUCGCACGUGGACCAGAAUAGGGACUCACUGCCUAAGUAGCGACGGCCUGGGCGAUGGUCCAUCGUAAGUCCAAAGGUCCGUCAACCUGUCCAUCGCACCUUAUCUAGAAGGUGGCCUCAUUUCCUUGGCUGAGAUGGUCAAGGCGACGGUCCGUCAACCUUGCCUUCACACCUGGGUGAUUCUAGCAGCUCUGAGUAAAAUCUCCAUAACUUCUUCGUCCGAUGUCAGAUUUGGACAACAUUGGUAUCGUUGGAAAGCUAACUCAAUUUCCCAUGUGAUAGAAAAUGAAAAUAUUAAAAAUAACAUGUGUAAAAAAAUGGAUUCGUAUUUCAAAGCGAGUUUUAACAUCAUUGAGAUGAUUUCAAGCUAAGAAAAGGCAUGGGUAUUAUAAUAUCUCCCCCUUGAGAACAUUCGUCCUAAAAUGAGACUAACUGAGAGGGAAAACAAUAAGCUGAACAUGAUAUGAAAAUGAAUAACUGCAACAUGAUCUCACAAUUGACAUGACUGACAAGCUGAACACAUAAUACUGAACAUGCAUAUCUGAUGCAUACGUAACUGAUUCAUGAAUGCAUAAUUGAGUGUUUUGAUGAACUAAGUUUUCUCACAAUGAGAAUGCAUGUCUGAUGCAUAAUUAGAUAAUUGAACUGAUAUAUGAAUGCAUGACUAAAUAUGUAAUGGUACCUGAUACCAAGUUUAUAAUGGGAACAUGAGCAUGAAAUUGAAUACCAAGUUUGUGAUGAACACUGAACAUGAAACUGAGUAAACUUAAGGAGGACUGUUACCUUGAGCUUGACCUGAAUCGGCAGGGAAGAGGUAAGGAUACUUGGUACGUAUUUCUGCUUCUGCUUUCCAAGUAGCUCCCUCAAUGGACUGAUUUCUCCAAAGAACUUUAACUAGAGGGACUUCUUCAUUCCUCAAUCUAUGAGUUUGAUAGUCUAGGAUUUCAACUGGAAUCUCUUCAUAAGAGAGGCUGUUCUGAACAUCUAUGCUCAGAGUAGAGACUACAACCGCUGGGUCACCUUUGCACUUCUUGAGCAACAAGUCGUGGAAUACUAGAUAAACUAAGGCUAGAUCUGAAGGCAAUUCGAGCUCAUAAGCUACCUUGCCGAAUCGACUGAGAAUCUUGGAGGGACCGACAUAUUGGGGAUUGAGCUUUCCCUUAUUGCCGAAUAUCUUUACUCCCUUCAUGGGAGAGAUCUUUAAAUAGACAUAGUCACUAAUCUCAAACUCGAGAUCUAUUCUACGAACAUCUGCAUAAGACUUCUAUCGGCUCUGAGCAGCCCAAAGUCUUUAUCUAAUCAACUGGACUUUUCUAAGGCUUCGAAUACCAAGUCAAGCCCUAUGACUAAGGCCUCACUAACUUUGAACCAACCGAUCAAAGAUCUACACCUCCUACCAUAGAGAGCUUCAAAUAAAGCCAUCUGAAUACAGGAAUGAUAGCUGUUGUUGUAUGCAAACUCAAUCAAAGGCAAGUGGUCAUCUCAACUACCCUUGAAAUCAAUUGCACAUGCCCUUAGCAUAUCUUCUAAAGUCUAAAUGGUCCUUUCUUCCUGACCAUCUAUCUGAGGAUGAAAGGCUAUACUAAGAUGAAACCAAAACUCUUUUGGAACACUUUACAGAAGUGAGAGGUAAACUGGGUACCUCCAUCUGAGAUAAUGAUAAUGGAACACCGUGUAAUCUAACUAACUCCCUGAUAUAGAGUUUGGCGUAAUCCUUGACUGAAUAAGAGGUAUGAACUGGAAAAAAAUAAGCUAAUUUGGUCAUUCUAUCUAUAAUGACUCAAACUAAAUCAUGCUGAUGACGAGUUCAAGGCAAACCCAUCACGAAGUCCAUGUUCACUUUUUCCCACUUCCCAGUAGGAAUAAUGAAAUCCUGCAUAGUACCACUAGGCUUUUGAUGCUCUAUCUUAACCUAAUGACAUGUAGAGCACUUAGCCACGAACUCUGCAACAUCUCACUUCAUCCCACUCCACCAAUAGAUCUCCCACAAGUUGCGGUACAUCUUAGUGUCCCCUGGAUGAAUAGAGUAGCGCGCACCAUGUGCUUCUGUGAGAAUUCGUCACCUUAAUUCAUCUACACCUGGAACACAGAGACGACCCUAACAACGAAGAACUCCAUCUCCCCCUUGGGAGAAAACCUCUAUUUUCUAAUUUUGAACUGACUCUUUCAACUUGACAAGGCUGGGAUCUCCAUCUUGUCUUUCUUUCACCUCUAAAACUAAAGAUGAUUCUGAACUACUCUGAACCCAUAUAUCACCCUCCUCUAUAUCAAAUAAGCAAACGCCUAGUCUGGCAAGCUGAUGGACUUUCUGAGCUAACUUUUUCUUAUAGUCCUUGACAUGAGAAACACUACCAUAGAGAGUCUACUAAGAAUGUCGGCCGCUACGUUGGCCUUGCCCGAAUGAUAAAGGAAACUUAUGUCAUAAUCUCUCAAGAGCUCUAACCAUCUUCUAUGAUGAAGAUUGAGAUCUUUCUGAGAAAAUACAUACUAAAGGCUCUUAUGGUAGGUGAACACAUCUACAUGAACACCGUACAGAUAAUUCCUCUAAAUCAUAAAGCCAAAGACUACGACUGCUAACUCAAGAUCAUAAGUAGGAUAAUUCUUCUCAUGGGGCUUAAGCUCUCUGGAGGCGUAGGCUAUGACCUUACCAUACUGUAUGAGGACACAACCCAAACCUACUCUGAAUGCAUCAGAAUAUACCACAAACCUAUCAAAACUAUCUGGAAGAGCUAAGAUCGGGGCUGAGGUGAGUCGAGUCUUUAACUCCUGAAAACUCUUCUCGCAAGGAUCUGACCACUGAAACUUGACUUUCUUCUGAGUCAAUCUGGAUAUAAGGGAUGCUAUAGAAGAGAAUCCCUCAACAAACCAUCUAUAAUAGCCAGCCAAACCCAAGAAACUCCUGAUAUCUGAUGGAGAGAUAGGGCGAGGCCAAUUUCUUACUACUUCGGUCUUUUAGGGAUCUACUCUUAUGCCAUCAUUAAAAAUAAUAUGACCAAGGAAUACUACUGACCUUAGCAAAAAUUCACACUUACUGAAUUUGGCGAAUAGCUGAUGAUCUCUUAGAGUCUGAAGUACUGUUCUGAGAUGGUCUGCAUGAUCACGCUCACUGCGGGAAUAGACUAGAAUUUCAUCUAUGAAGACUAUGAUGAACAUAUCCAAGUAAUGGUUGAAUAAGCGGUUCAUAAAGUCCGUAAAAGCUGCUGGGGCAUUGGCUGGACUAAAGGACAUAACUAUGAAUCCAAAGUGACCAUACCAAGUAUGGAAGGUUGUCUUUGGAAUAUCAUGUUCUCUAACUCUGAGCUGAUGAUAGCCGGAUCUGAGGUCUAUCUUAGAAAAGUAGCUAGCACCUUGAAGUUGGUCAAAAAAGUUAUCAAUUCUGGGAAGAGGAUGCUUGUUAUUGACCAUGACCUUAUUGAGUUGACGAUAAUAAAUACACAUUCUGAGAGAACCGUCUUUCUUGCACACGAAUAAGACUAGUGCACCCCACGGGGAAAUGCUGGGUCUGAUAAAUCCCUUAUCUAAAAGAUCCUUCAACUGUUCUUUCAAUUGUCUAAGCUCUAUUGGUGCCAUUCUAUAUGGAGGAAUAUAGAUAGGCCAAGUACCUGGCAGAAGAUCAAUACCGAAGUCUAUUUCCCUUUCGGGAGGAAUUCCUAGAAGAUCUUUGGGAAAAAUAUCUGAAUAUUCGCUUACUACUGGAACUGAUUCAAGACUGGGAGUUUUAGAACUGGAAUUUUCAAGAUAAACAAGAUGAUAGACACAUCCCUUAGAUAUCAAUUUCCUUGCCUGAAGGUAGGAAAUAAGCUGAUCUCUGAAAGCAGAUACACUACCCUUCCACCCAAGGACGGGUUCAUUCAAAAAUUGAAACUGGACUAUUCUAUUUCUGCAGUCGAUUGUGGCAUAGCAAGAAUAAAGCCAAUCCAUACCAAGAAUGACAUCAAAAUUAGUCAUCUCUAAUUCGACUAAGUCUGCUGAAGUGACUUUCUGAAAUAUCAUAAUCGGGCAGUUCUUGUAUACCUGCCAAGCUAUGAUGGUUUUACCCACUGGGGUAGAGACUAAAAAGGGCUCUGCUAAAAUUUUGGGACUGAUUCCAAAAUCAACUACUAUAUAAAGAGUAAUAAAAGAUAAAGAAGCUCCUGGAUCUAGUAAAGCGUAAACAUGCACAUAAAAGAUCUAUAAUAUACCAGUAACCACAUCAGGAGAAUUUUCCUGAUCCUAUCAGGACUAGAGAGCAUAGAGUCAAUUUGGGCGUUGCCCACUAGUAGCACUAGAGGUGGCACCCUGCUGAUUAGGGCGACCAGACUAAGGUGAAGAGCAGAGAUGACUCUGGUACCCUGACUAUGGGAAGUCUCUAACUCUAUGGCCUGGCUUGCCACAAUCGAAAUAGACAUCACUGCCAGCUCUGCACACACCCUUGUGGUUCUUACCAUAAGUCUGACAAAGUGGAUUAGUUCGGGAACUACCAACACUGCCCUGGGACGUAGAGCCUGGUGCUCUAUCUUUGUUACCCUCUCUAAACUUAGGAACUGGAGCACUGGCUGAAGAAGGAGCUGGAACUAAUGACUUAGGACGAAACUGAGAAUGAUUUUCUCUUACUUAUUUAGGCUGAGAAAAGUUGAAGCUACCUGUCUUCGCUAUCUUAUUCUGCUUCUCCCUCAUCCUAAUCUUUUGUUCCUCUAUUUGCUGAGCAUGUGUCAUAUGUCUGGACAAAGUUAUGUCACUAUUCAGUAUGGUGGAUCUGCACUCAUUAACCAUACUAUCAUUCACCCUUGAAACGAACUUACUCAUCUUGGCUCUACUGUCUGUAAGCACAUGAGGGGCAUAUCUAGAUAAUUAAGUAAACGAGAUGGAAUACUCUUUCAUCGUCAAGUUGCCCUGGAUGAGGUUGAUAAAUUCUAGCACCUUAACUUCCCUAAGCUCUUGGGGAGAAAAUCUGUCUAAGAAUGCAGUGACAAACUUCUUCCACUCUAUAGGACCUGCAUCAUCUGAACUUUCUGACUUCCACUAUUUGAACCAAGUAUGAGCCACAUCUUGCAACUAAUAUCCAUCUAGCUCAGCACUUUUAACAGUAGUCACCCUCAUGAUGUCUGUUACCUUUUACACCUGAUCUAGGAAUUAUUGAGGGUCCUCAUCUGUCUUAGAAUCGAGAAAGAAUAGAGGAUUCAUUCGGGUGAAGUCCCAAAUCCUGGUUGCUACUAAAUUGGCCAUUGGGUUGGCAAGAAUAAUAGCUGGCCAUUCAUUUUGAGCAGCAACUGACUGAGCAAGAGUAGUGAAUGCAGUCCUGAACUCUGCAUGAGAAACAUGAUCGACCAAAGGUUCUUCGGACUGAGGGGCUGACUGAUUCCUUCUCUUGGGAGGUAUAUUCUAGAAUAAAGAGAAGAAAUGGAUUAGACUGAGAGAUUGACUUGAGAUUAUUCUCACUGGCAUGACAUGAAUACUAAAAAAAUAAGAAACUAUUCCUAAAACAUCUUAUAACCUCCUGUACAUAAAUGUGGUGCACAACACACCUAUGUACAAGACUAUACUAGAUGCAGCUUUUAGACUUCCUAGGACUCUAUUGAACCUUAGGCUCUGAUACCAAGUUUGUAAUGCCCCGAUCCUGGUGCCUGGAAUGCUACACGAUACUCAUUACCCCGAAGGACCAUAAGAUAAUCUAUAAAUGAUAUCUGUAACUGUACAGUGCAUAAUAUAACAUAAUAAUUUGAAAACAUGUACUGAAAGUCCAUAAGGUUCAAUACUGAACAUAAUCUGAAUAAUAUAAUAUUUGAGUGGGGUAAUGGAAAAAUCCAAAACAAAAUUGAAAUAACUCUCUGAACAUAAUAGUCUGGAAAGCCUCUAACUGACUAAGCUAUUUGAGUAAGGAGAUGGGACAUGUCCCCAAGUAACCCCAACUAAUAAACUAAUUAAUGAGAUAAUAAAGAAAUAAAUAAUCAUGUCCUCAAAAGAUGAGGACUCACUUCUAAACUCUGACUGCUGAGACUGGAAUCUACUGCUGCUCUGGAGCUCGUAUCUCUGAACCUAUGGUAUAAAAUCACCAUAGCACAAAUGCGUCAGUACGACUGAAUGUACUGAUAUGCACGUGAGGUAGGCUAAAUGCAUGGGUUUAUAUGCAUGAACAAUAAUAAUAACAUACUAACUAUCAUGAGUGUAAGAAUACAUGCAUGAGACAUAAUAACUGACACUGACACCAUGAUGACAUGAUUAAUAAAUCUGAAUACUGAUGACAUGACAUACUGAUAACUAUUAUGGAUAAUAACAUGAGUGACUAUAUCUGAUAGUCCUGAAUCUGAUGGAACUAUCUGAGUUCCGUACAAGCUGAGUUUACUAUAUCUGACAGUCUUGAAUUUUGAAGAACUAUCUGAGUUCUAUUACUGAUACUGAUACUGAAACUGUAGGAGGUAGUUAUAUAAUCAACAUGCCCCUAAUACACCAUUAUGGAUGGGUUGGGGGUCCAAUCUGUAACCCCAAUUGGAAGGGUGUCGAUACCACACCACUGGUACGGACAAGCUGUGGGUGCCCCUUAUCUAAUAGUGUCCCCAACAGAGAACGACAAGGCCCUUAUCUGACAGUGCUUGUCCACUUCAUCAACCCUCAUCGGAUAGUGUUGAUGUCUCAACCUAUGCUAGAUACAUAGUUCUGGAAUGCAAGGAUGACUUCUAAGGACCACACCCUUAUCUGACAGUGUGUGUCCCCAUCCUUGGGUUCACACGGUGCUAAUUCCUACUCUCAUCUGAUUAGACUCUGAACAUGAUUAAUUGGACUGUACAUGGACUGAGUUACUACAUUCUUUUGACUAACGGAAUACUACUGAUAUCUAACAACUGACUGAGUUUAUGAGAUCAUAGAGAUUUCUUGAGUCAUAAUAUUGUCUGAAGUCUAAGAAUCAUAGCCUGACUGAGAGUAUCGUGAAAACAUAACAUUACUCUAGGCACACAGCUAAUGUUUUGGGUACAAGUACUCCUAGGACUUGAUGGAAGGAAACUGACAUAACAUGACUUACUUGAACACAUGACUAACAUCAUAAUCCAUAAUUCAUUCAUCGAAGCAUUUCAUCAAACAUGUGAUAGGCAUAAACCUGUACAUACAUAGGGAUUUUAUGAUAUCAUGCUAAUUGGGCAUUUUCCUUUAUUUAGGCAUUUAAUCAAACACACGGUAGGCAUGGAAUAUGUUGACAACAUUAUACAACAAUUAAACAUCAUGGAUUAAUUCUAAUUUCAUCAUUCAAGGGUUUAAUCAUAGGUUUGGAUGAAUCUAUAUCUAUAUUAUUCAACCCACAUAACAUUUAUCACCCAAUCAUGGAAUAGAAUCUAAUUACUCAUUGUCAACAUAAACAAGAGUAGCCAAAUCAUGAAAUUCACAAAGAAAAUCCAUAACUUGAAUUUAGAAAAGGGGUUCUUGGGAUUCAUAGAUGAAAGGAGUCCAUAAAUGAACACUAUGCAUACUUGGGUUGAGUUUCUUGAUGUUCUUUAACUUGAGGGAUUUGAAUCUAUUAGUUCUUGAAGAAGAUUUGGAUUUUGUUCUUGGGAUUAAUCUUAGAGAGAAAAACCCUAGUUUUGUUGUUGUAAAAUAAUAGUGAAAAAAGUGGCUGAAAUCGGAUAUAACUGGGUAUAUAUAUGCGGGUGGUAAAAGGCCAAAAUACCCUUGUUAAAAAUAGUUUUAAUUUGAUGAACGGGACCUGCGACGGUUCAUGCAACCUUCCAUCACUAGCUCAAUGGUCCAUCAUUCUGACCAUCGCAUGUGGACCAGAAUAGGGACUCACUGCGUAAGUAGCGAUGGCCUGUGAGAUCGUCUAUCGCAAGUCCGACGGUUCUUUAACCUGCCCAUCGCACCUUAUCCAGAAGGUGGCCUCACUUCCUUGGCUGUGAUAGUCAAGGCGACGGUCUGUCGCUAGAUCGACGAUCCGUCAACCUAGCCGUCACACCUGGGCGAUUCUGACAGCUCUGAGUAAAACAUUCAUAACUUCCUUGUCCGAUGUCGGAUUUGGAUGACAUUGGUAUCGUUGGAAAGAUAACUCAAUUUUCCACAUGAUAGAAACUAAAAAUCUUGAAAAUACCAUAUGUACAAAAAUGGAUUCAUUUUUCAAAGCAAGUUCUAACAUCCUUGAGAUUAUUUCAAGCCAAGAAAAGGCACGAGUAUUACAUCACUAUUUCUACCUAAAAGUGGGAAGAAGUGAACAUGGAAUUCAUGAUAGGUUGCUUUGAACUCUUCAUCAGCUUGAUUCACUUUGGGUCAUUAUAGACAAAAUGACCAAAUCAACUUAUUUCCUUUUAAUUCAUACCUCUUAUUCAGCCGAGGAUUAUGCUAAACUAUACAUCAGAGAGUUGGUCAGAUUGCAUGGUGUUCCAUUAUCCAUUAUUUUAGACAGAGGUAACCAGUUCACCUCUAACUUAUGGAAAUUAUUUCAAAAGGGUCUUGGUACCCAAGUUCAUCUGAGUACAGCCUUUCAUCCUCAGACGGAUGGUUAAGAAGAAAGAACUAUUUAGAAUCUAGAAGAUAUUCUUAGGGUGUGUGCAAUUGAUUUCAAGGGUAGUUGGGAUGACCACUUGCCUUUGAUUGAGUUUACAUACAAUAAUAGCCAUCACUCCAGUGUUAAUAUGGCUCUAUUUGAAGCUUUCUAUGGUAGGAGGUGCAGAUCUCUAGUUGGUUGGCUCAAAGUUUGUGAGGCCUCAGUCAUAGGUCCUGACUUGGUAUUCGAUGCCUUAGAGAAAGUCUAGCUAAUCAGAGAAAGAAUUUGGGAUGCUCAGAGCUGACAGAAGUCUUAUACAGAUGUGAGCAGAAUGGAUCUCAAGUUUGAGAUAAGUGAUUAUGUCUACCUAAAUAUCUCUCUCAUGAAGGGAGUGAAGAGAUUCUACAAGAAGGGUAAGCUCAAUCCCCGAUAUGUCGGUCCCUUUAAGAUUCUCAUUCAUUUUGGAAAGGUAGCUUAUAAGCUAGAGUUGCCUUCAGAUCUAGCCUCAGCUCGUCCAGUCUUCCAUGUCUCUUUGCUUAAGAAGAGCAUAGAUGACCCAACAGUUGUAGUCUCUAUUCAGAGCAUUAAUGUUCAGAACAACCUCUCUUAUGAGGAGAUUCCAGUCAAAAUACUAGAAUAUCAGAUUCAUAGACUGAGGAACAAAAAAGUCCCUUUAGUCAAAGUUCUUGGGAUAAAUCAGUCCGUUGAGAGAGCUACUAGGGAAGCAGAAGCAGACAUGCAUACCAAGUACCCUAACCUCUUCUCUGCUAACUCAGACCAAGCUUAAGGUAACAGUUCUCCUUAAUCUUAUUCAGUUUCAUGUUCAUAAUUCCUUUAUAAACUUGAUACUAAGUACCAUUACAUAUUUAGUCAUGCAUUCAUGUAUUACUUCAGUUAUAUAUGUAUAAUCAUUCAUCAGAUAUGCAUAUUCAGUAUGAUGCAUUUAGUUAUCAGUCAUGAAAUCAUAUUUCAGUUGUUCAUGUUCAGUAUAUAUGUCUAUUUAUCUUUUCUCCCUUCUCAGUCAGUUUCAUUUGAGGACUAAUAUUCCCAAGGGGGAGAUAUUGUAAUUACCUCAAAAUCAUGAGUUCAAAAUUCAACUUCUUGAGCUCUUAAAAUGAUCUGACACUUAUAAUAUUUUUUAGCUAAGUGUUCAAAACAGUCUUAUUUUAAGCAUACAAACUUUGAGGAUUUAUUUAAUGACCUUCCCGACCUCUAUUUUGUGAUUUUCAAGUUGCCUUACGACGAGGAAAGGUAAGAGUACAUCCCGGGUGAGUUUUGAAAAUUUUGGAGUCCGUUUAGGGCAUGUUUAGAUUUUGAAACAGUAGCAUUAUGUGAUUUUCAUGUGACGCAUUUCCAUCUCACAGGUCCUAUGUAAUACCUCGGGAAAUUUUUUGUUGAAAUUUUGUGCAUAAAUGUGUUGGGUUCUAUCUUCUAAAAUGAAUUAUAAAUUUUCCGUGUGGAAUGUCUUAGAUUAUGACCCACUAUUGCGUAGAGUAUCAAAUAAGCUUUCCAACGAUAUAUGGAUCAUCCAAAACUGACACUCGAGCGACGAGUUAUGAACAUUCCGAUCGAACCGUGAAUAGUAGUGAAUAGUAAAAUGUGCAAGAAAAAGUACUGAGGCCUGGCAUAUUUUUGCUCCAACUUUAAACUAUCAUAACUCCUUUUACAUAAUGAUCUGGGUGAUCUACUAUAUAUCAACGAAAAUAUCUACGAGUCCUCUUUUCAAUGAAAUUAGUUUCAUCCAAUUUAUCUAUCGGAGCAAAAAGUUAUGGUUGAUCUACUUCAGCCUCUCAAAAGCGAAUUUUUGGGUCAACAUCAAAUGAUCAUAACUCCUCGUACACAAUGAUCUGGGUGAGACUAUAUAUCAACGGAAAGAUAUAAGAGUCCUCUUUCUAAUGAAAUUGGUUUCAUCCAAUUUGGAUAUCAGAGUAAAACGUUAUGGUUGAUCUACUUCAGACUAUCAAAAUAGUCCACCAAAGGACAUAUUCGAGAAUUAUUUGAUUUUUAGGAUCUUUUUCGUCAUUUCUCCUCACCGAAAAUCCAUCCAAACGCUAUAUUAAAACCUAUUAGAAGCAUUAUAUGUUAUAUUUCAUCAAAUUCCCUCAAAAAGAAAACCCUAAGCUUCUACAUCCAACUUGAAGAACCUCCAAAGUUCACCAUUAAUUCUGCAAAUUUAUUCAAGAUUCCAAGUUCCUAGUUCAAGAACUNNNNNNNNNNNNNNNNNNNNNNNNNNNNNNNNNNNNNNNNNNNNNNNNNNNNNNNNNNNNNNNNNNNNNNNNNNNNNNNNNNNNNNNNNNNNNNNNNNNNNNNNNNNNNNNNNNNNNNNNNNNNNNNNNNNNNNNNNNNNNNNNNNNNNNNNNNNNNNNNNNNNNNNNNNNNNNNNNNNNNNNNNNNNNNNNNNNNNNNNNNNNNNNNNNNNNNNNNNNNNNNNNNNNNNNNNNNNNNNNNNNNNNNNNNNNNNNNNNNNNNNNNNNNNNNNNNNNNNNNNNNNNNNNNNNNNNNNNNNNNNNNNNNNNNNNNNNGUUGAUGUUGAAUAUUUGAGAUAUUUUAAAUGAUUUGACCUUUUAGUCUUAAUGGAGUUGUUUUGAACUCAAGUGUGAAAGAAAUCCACAACGUGGUUGAUUUUGAUAGAUGGGACGCAUGAUGGCUCCCGAUGUAUAUUUAUAUAUGACUGAAAUUAUUUUGUUGUGGAUUGUCUUUGAAAUGAUCUGAGCUAAGUUUGGGAGAAAUCUUUAGCAUCGAGUGGGAGGUAUAAAGUGAACUUACUUCCCUAGAACUACCCUAGAACUACGGGCCCCAUAGGAGUGAGCCUGAGGCUGAUUUAUAUAGUGAUCACUAGUUUAUAUGGAUUUGAUAUCGAUAGUCCUACUCCGAUGGCAAGGAUAGGACGGCUCUCCCCAACGUGGGUUGUACGUUGGACUCCAUGUAGCUUACAUGAUUUAUGUCGGUUAUAGGAUCUCCCAGUGUGUAUGUGUUUCCUUGUGUCUAUGCUGAAUGGUGAAUGAUUUGAAAGUAGAAUUGUGAAAGUUAUUCUUUCGAAAGAUUUAAAUGAUAUUUACAUUAUGAGAAUUGAUAUUCUUCAUGAACUGAAAGUGAUUGACAAAUUAUAUGAUGACUCACAUGUCUUAUUGUACUUAUUUCAUCCUCUCAUGAUUAUGAUGAUUUUCUUCGGGCUAUGUGAGUCUUUCAUAAAUCCUGCAUAUUUCUUAUAAAUAUUUAUGAUGAUGAUNNNNNNNNNNNNNNNNNNNNNNNNNNNNNNNNNNNNNNNNNNNNNNNNNNNNNNNNNNNNNNNNNNNNNNNNNNNNNNNNNNNNNNNNNNNNNNNNNNNNNNNNNNNNNNNNNNNNNNNNNNNNNNNNNNNNNNNNNNNNNNNNNNNNNNNNNNNNNNNNNNNNNNNNNNNNNNNNNNNNNNNNNNNNNNNNNNNNNNNNNNNNNNNNNNNNNNNNNNNNNNNNNNNNNNNNNNNNNNNNNNNNNNNNNNNNNNNNNNUUCUUAGAGGCUUGUCAGACUAGUAUAGAUGUUGGGAGUUAACUAAUAAGUCGUAUUUUGUUAUCUUUCUGAAAUUCUUUUAUUCUUGGAUGAUGAUUACUCUGUUAAUAUUUCAGGGUUAUUUAUGGAAACACUGUUGAUUUGUGUUGAACUGAAUGAAAAUGGCUCAAAGGGUUGGCUUGGGGCUACUCGUAGCCUCAAGUACCGUGUGACGCUCUAGGACCCAUUUUCUGGGGCGUUACAAACUUGGUAUCAGAGCCUAAGGUUUUAAGGUGUCCUAGGGAGUCUGACAAGCCGCGUUAAGUAAAGUCUUGAUCAUCGGUGUGUAGCACGCCAUAGCUAUGAGCAAGAGGCUACAAGACGUUUUAGGAAAAAGUAUGAUAUUUUCUAUCAGAAGUCUAUCGUGAUUAAAGUGUCUCUCUCUAUUAUUGAUUCGUGCUCUCCUCUUUCAGAAAUAUUCCUCCACAUCGAGCGAGAAGAAAUAAUGAUGGUCAGCAACCUCAACCCACUGACCCAUUGAUGAAAAUAUGUCUCAUGUUGAAUUUUGGGCAGCCUUUCAGGCGCUGGCCCAAGCUGUUACUGCAAAUAUUUAGGCCAACUCAGCCCCGAAUCCACAGCAGCAGGGAGGUGAUUCAGCUACUGCCAGGAUUUGUGACUUCGUGCAGAUGAAUUCGCCAAAAUUCUAUGGGUCCAAGUCGGAUGAGAUCCACGGUUGUUUUUAGAGGAGGUGCGGAAGAUUACUCAGGUGAUGCAUGUAUCUGAGGAACAUAGUGUGGAGUUAGUUGCGUAUAGGUUGAAAGACCUUGCUUAUGAUUGGGUUUUUGCUUGCAGGAAAGGUAGAGGUGAGGGAGCUGUCCCUACAACUUGGCAAGAGUUCCAGGAUGUAUUCCUGGAUAAGUUUUUCCCUUUGGAGAUAAGGGAGGCGAAGGUGGAAGAGUUUAUAAACCUGAGACAAGACUCUAUGACUGUUAGGGAGUACUGUCUAAAGUUCAAUCAGUUGGCUAAGUAUGCUCCUAAUUUAGUGGCUGAUAAUCGGGCUAGUAUGAGUAAGUUUGUGACUGGAGUAUCUAGCUAUGUGGUUAAGGAGUGUAGGUCUGCUAUACUGAAUAGUGAGAUGAAUCUUUCUAGGCUGAUGACUCAUGCCUAAUAGAUUGAGGCAGACAAGAUUAAGGAGAGAGAUAGAAUAAGAGUGAAUAAGAGAGCUAGGUCUGAGCAGCACAGACAGGGUCAGACUAAAUCGUAGGGAGGGAGUCUCCCUCAGUAUCAGGAUCGUUCAUCUAUGACAACACCGUCAUCUGCUAGUGCUCCCGUGCCUAGAGGUAGGCAGGAGCAAGGUAGCAGGUCAUAUGCAUCCAGGUCCCAGUACCGUGCUGGCAGUAAGCCAAAUUAUGCCCUAUGUCCUAAGUGUGGUAGGGCUCAUUCAGGUGAGUGUUGGGGUGAGAAGAGGGAUUGUUUCCGAUGUGGUGACAUGGGUCACAGAGUUAGAGAUUGUCCAUAAAAUGGACAAAGGCGUCGUGACUAUCGCCCUCAAACCUAGACUCAGACUAUUAGUGAUCUAGUUCCAGUGACUCGCCCAGCCCCAACUCAGGGCACCUCUUUUAGCAAUGCUGGCGGCAGCGCCAGAAUAGAUUCUAUGCUUUACCAUCCCGCCAGGAACAGGAGGACUCUCCCGAUGUUGUUACUGGUAUGCUUUAUAUAUUUCAGUUUGAUGUGUGUGCUUUGUUAGAUCCUGGAUCCAGUUUCUCAUAUGUUACACCUUUGAUUGCUGUUAAUUUUGAAAUGAGUCCUGAGAGUAUUCCUGAGCCUAUCCUAGUUUCUACCCCAGUGGGUGAUUCGAUUAUUACCCAAAAAGUGUAUAAAAAGUGUCCUGUUACCGUUCUUCGUAGAGUCUUUUUAGCUGAUCUGAUUGAGUUAGACAUGGUAGAUUUUGAUGUGAUUCUGGGUAUGGACUGGCUGUAUUCUUCUUAUACCUCUAUUGAUUGUCGGACCCGAGUGGUCAAGUUUCAAUUUCUGGGUGCAUUCGUGUUUGAGUGGUCUGGGUAUUCUGUGUCACCCAAGAGUCAUUUUAUCUCUUACCUCAAAGCUAGAGAGCUUAUUUCCAGGGGGUGUAUUUACCAUUUGGUUAGAGUCAAAGACACUAAGUGUGAGACUCCAACUCUUCAGUCUGUUAACGUCGUCAAUCAGUUUUCUGAUGUCUUUUCGGAUGAUCUCCCAGGGAUACCUCCUGAUAGAGAGAUAGAGUUCGGGAUUGAUAUUCUUCCUGAUACUCAGCCCAUUUCUAUUCUUCCUCUCCUGUGUUAUUUGUGAGAAAGAAAGAUGGCUCUUUGUGUAUGUGCAUUGAUUACCGCCAACCGGAUAAAGUCACCAUAAAAAAUAAUUACCCCCUUCCGAGAAUAGAUGAUUUGUUUGACAAUUGCAAGGUACAAGUUAUUUCUUAAAGAUAGACCUUCGUUCUGGCUAUCAUCAACUCAAAGUUAGGGAGUGUGACAUCCCAAAAACCAUUUUUCGAACUCGUUAUGGCCAUUUUGAGUUUCUUGUUAUGUCUUUCGGGUUAACUAAUGCCCCAGGAGCUUUCAUAAACUUUAUGAACCGAGUGUUCAGAUCAUAUCUGGAUAUGUUUGUCAUAGUGUUCAUCGAUGAUAUACUGGUGUACUCCUGUAGUGAGGAUGAACAUACUGAUCAUCUCCGAACUGUCUUGCAAACCCUUAGAGAUCACAAGUUAUUUGCCAAGUUUAGUAAGUGUGAGUUUUGGCUAAGGUCAGUUGCCUUUUUGGGUCAUAUCAUUUCUUCUGAGGGUAUUAGAGUUGAUCCCCAAAAGACCGAAGCUAUUCGAAAUUGGCCUAGACCUAUUUCUCAUAUUGAUAUCUGAAGUUUCUUGGGUUUAACUGGCUAUUACCUCCGUUUUGUUAAGGGUUUCUCCUCUAUAGCAUCUCCUAUGACUCGGUUGACCCAAAAGAAAGUGAAGUUCUUGUGGUUCGAAUCUUGUAAGAAGAGUUUUCAGGAGUUGAAGACUCGACUCACUUCAGCCCCUGUUUUGACUUUGCCUGAUGGUGUUGAUGGUUUUAUGGUGUACUAUGAUGCUUCGAGAGUUGGGUUGGGUUGCGUAUUGAUGCAGAAGGGUAAGGUGAUAGCUUAUGCUUCUAGACAGUUGAAACCCCAUGAGAAAAAUUACCCCACCCAUGACCUUGAGUUGGCUGCUGUUGUGUUUGCUUUGAAAAUAUGGAGACACUAUUUGUAUGGUGUCCAUGUUGAUGUUUUCACUGAUCAUAAGAGUCUGCAGUAUGUGUUUACCUAGAGAGAAUUGAAUCUUAGGCAGAGACNNNNNNNNNNNNNNNNNNNNNNNNNNNNNNNNNNNNNNNNNNNNNNNNNNNNNNNNNNNNNNNNNNNNNNNNNNNNNNNNNNNNNNNNNNNNNNNNNNNNNNNNNNNNNNNNNNNNNNNNNNNNNNNNNNNNNNNNNNNNNNNNNNNNNNNNNNNNNNNNNNNNNNNNNNNNNNNNNNNNNNNNNNNNNNNNNNNNNNNNNNNNNNNNNNNNNNNNNNNNNNNNNNNNNNNNNNNNNNNNNNNNNNNNNNNNNNNNNNNNNNNNNNNNNNNNNNNNNNNNNNNNNNNNNNNNNNNNNNNNNNNNNNNNNNNNNNNNNNNNNNNNNNNNNNNNNNNNNNNNNNNNNNNNNNNNNNNNNNNNNNNNNNNNNNNNNNNNNNNNNNNNNNNNNNNNNNNNNNNNNNNNNNNNNNNNNNNNNNNNNNNNNNNNNNNNNNNNNNNNNNNNNNNNNNNNNNNNNNNNNNNNNNNNNNNNNNNNNNNNNNNNNNNNNNNNNNNNNNNNNNNNNNNNNNNNNNNNNNNNNNNNNNNNNNNNNNNNNNNNNNNNNNNNNNNNNNNNNNNNNNNNNNNNNNNNNNNNNNNNNNNNNNNNNNNNNNNNNNNNNNNNNNNNNNNNNNNNNNNNNNNNNNNNNNNNNNNNNNNNNNNNNNNNNNNNNNNNNNNNNNNNNNNNNNNNNNNNNNNNNNNNNNNACCUGGAAGUGGGAAGAGAUAAAUAUGGACUUUGUGAUUGGUUUACCUCCUUCCCGACGCCAUCAUGAUUCUAUUUGGGUUGUGGUUGAUAGGUUGACUAAGUCUGCUCAUUUCUUGCCUGUUUAUACUUCAUAUACUGCUGAGAAUUAUGCUAGAUUGUAUAUCCGAGAGCUAGUCAGUCUGCAUGGAGUUCCCUUGUCUAUCAUUUCGGAUAGGGGUACUCAGUUCACUUUGCAAUUUUGGAAAGCUUUUCAGAAGGGUCUUGGUACCCAAGUGCUUUUGAGUUUUGCUUUUCAUCCGCAGACCGAUGGUCAGGCUGAGAGGACCAUCCAUACCUUAGAGGAUAUGUUGAGAGCUUGUGCACUUGACUUUAAGGAAAGUUGGGAUGAUCACUUACCGUUGAUAGAGUUUUCUUACAAUAACAGUUUCCACUCUUGUAUUGGCCUGGCUCCGUUUGAAGCCUUAUAUGGGAGAAAGUGUAGAUCACCCAUAGGUUGGUUCGAGGUGGGUGAAGCGGCUGUGAGUGGUCCUAAUUCGAUAUUUGAGGCUAUGAAAAAAGUUAAGUUGAUUCGGGAAAGGUUAAAAACUGCACAGAAUCGUCAGAAGUCAUAUGUGGAUGUUAAAAGGAGAGACCUUGAGUUUGAAGUUGGUAACCUAGUGUAUCUGAAAAUUUCACCCAUGAGGGGGGGUGAAGAGAUUCGAAAAGAAGGGGAAUCUUAGUCCCCGUUAUGUUGGUCCUUACAAAAUUCUUAGCGAUGUUGGUAAGGUAGCUUAUGAGGUCGAGUUGCCUUCCGAGUUGUCCUCUGUUCAUCCAAUAUUCCAUGUCUCCAUGCUUAGAAAGCAUAUUAGCGAUGCUGUGGUAGUGGAUUCUUCUGUUAGUGCUGACAUUCAAGAAAAUCUUUCUUUUGAUGAGAAUCCUGUUGAGAUUCUUGAUUUCAGUGUCCGAAGACUAAAGAACAAAGAAGUUUGCUUGGUCAAGGUGUUGUGGCGAAACCAAUUUGUUGAGGGUACAACUUGGGAAGCUGAGGCGGAUAUGCGAUCCAAUUACGCCCACCUAUUUUAUGCGAACUCCAAUCAAGCUGAAGGUACCAUUCUUUCCUAAAUCAUGCACUUUUGAUAAAAGUUACAGCAGUUCAGCUGUCAUUUAUUAUGUGUUCAGCUGUAGUUUCUUGAAUUUAUGCAUUCUAUGUUGCAUUCGGAGUGAGAAAUGAUGUGGUGAUGAGUCUAACGAAUGGUUUCAGCUGUAUUCUCUAUUCCCUAUCUAAUCGUGGCAGGUCUAGCGUCAUUCGAGGACGAAUGUUUCCAAGGGGAGGAUGAUGUAAUACCCCAGGAAAUUUUUUGUUGAAAUUUUAUGCGUAAACGUGUUGGGUUCUAUCUUCUAAAAUAAAUUAUAAAUUUUCCGUAUGGAAUGUAUUAGAUUAUGACCCUCCAUUGCAUAGAGUAUCUAAUAAGAUUUCCAACGAUAUGUGGAUCAUCCAAAACGGACACCCGAACGACGAGUUAUGAACAUUCCGAUCGAACCGUGAAUAGUAGUGAACAGUAAAACAUGCAAGAAAAAGUACUGAGGCCUAGCGUAUUUUUGCUCCAACUUUAAACGAUCAUAACUCCUUUUACAUAAUGAUCUGGGUGAUCUACUAUAUAUCAACAGAAAUAUCUGCGAGUCCUCUUUCCAAUGAAAUUAGUUUCAUCCAAUUUGUCUAUCGGAGCAAAAAGUUAUGGUCGAUCUACUUCAGCCUAUCGAAAGUAAAUUUUUAGGUCAACUUCAAAUGAUUAUAACUACUCGUACACAAUGAUCUGGGUGAGAUACUAUAUAUCAACGGAAAGAUAUGAGAGUCCUCUUUCUAAUGAAAUUGGUUUCAUCCAAUUUGGAUAUCGGAGUAAAACGUUAUGGUUGAUCUACUUCAGACUAUCAAAACGUCCACCAAAGGACACAUUAGAGAAUUAUUUAAUUUUUAGGGGCGUUUUGGUCAUUACCCUUCACCCAAAAUCCAUCCAAACCCUAUAUUAAAGCCUAUUAGAAGCAUUAUAUAUUAUAUUUCAUCAAAUUCCCUCAAAAAGAAAACCCUUAGCUUCUACAUCCAACUUCAAGAACCUCCAAAGUUCACCAUUAAUUCUGCAAAUUUAUUCAAGAUUCUAAGUUCCUAGUUCAAGAACUACAAGAACCAUCAUUCAAAGGCACGAUUAACAUCUCAAAAAUGAGUAUCGAUCUAAAGUUCAUCAUUCAAGGUAUGUGGGGUUUUUCAACAAGAACUCUCUUUCGUUCUUGUGCCCAAAAGUAAUUUUCUUUACAAAGGCAUGAUUUUGAUUUGAUUUUUUUUACGAAUUUGAAGCAUGAAGCCAUAUAUUAUGAUAAUUAUUAUGAAAUCUUGAUGUUUAUGAUUUUGAAAGAUGAAUUUACAUGUGUGGAGAUAUGAAGCAUGAAUCUUGAACGAUAUUUAUCAUGAUUUUGAUAUUUGGGUCGUGAAUCCCCAUUAGAAAUUGUGUUUUUUUUGAGAAAGUGUGUGUUAUAAGCACAUUGAUGUUGAAGAUUUGAGCUAUUUUGAAUGAUUUGACCUUUUUGUCUUAAUGGAGUUGUUUUGAACUCGAGUGUGAAAGAAAUCCACAACGUGGUUGAUUUUGAUAGAUGGGAAGCAUGAUGGCUCCCGAUGUAUAUUUAUAUAUUACCGAAAUUGUUUUGUUGUGGAUUGUCUUUGAAAUGAUCUGAUCCAAGUUUAGGAGAAAUAUUUAGCACUGAGCGGUAUGUAUAAAGCAACCUUACUUCCCUAGAACUACGUGCCCCCGUAGGAAUGAGCCUGAGACUGAUUUAUAUAGUGAUCAUUAGUUUGUGUGAAUUUGAUAUCGAUAGUCCUAAUCUGAUGGCAAGGAUAGAACGGAUCUCUCCAACGUGGGUUGUACGUUGGACUCCAUGUAGCUCACAUGGUUUAUGUCGGUUAUAGGAUCUCCCAGUGUGUGUGUGUUUCCUUGUGUCUAUGGUGAAUGGUGAAGUGAUUUGAAAGUGGAAUUGUGAAAUUUAUUCUUUCGAAAGAUUUAAAUGAUAUUUACAUUAUGAGAAUUGAUAUUCUUGAUGAACUGAAAGUGAUUGACAAAUUAUAUGAUGACUCACAUGUGUUAUUGUACUUAUUUCAUCCUCUCAUGAUUAUGAUGAUUUUCUUCGGGCUAUGUGAGUCUUUCAUACAUCCUGCAUAUUUCUUAUAAAUAUUUAUGAUGAUGAUAUUUAUACAACUACAUACACCCCCAUAUACUUGGUUCCUUUCCAUGGUACUAACCCACAUCUUCGGAUGUGGGCUGCAUUUUCUCAGAAUGUAGGUUCAGGUGCUCAGUUCCAGGUUUGACAGUGAUUCUUCGGGGCACGCUGUUCUACAUCCUCUAUUGUUGUGAGUCCUCAUGUUCCAAGAACGUGUUGUUUGAUAUUGGUUUCACGAAAUUAUUUACAUUUGAUAACUGAGUAUGAGUUAGUUGGGGCAUGUCUCAAUGGCUCGCUGGUUUUAUUGAUUUUCUUAGAGGCUUGUCAGACUAGUAUAGAUGUUGGGAGUUACUAAUAAGUCGUAUUUUGUUAUCUUUCUGAAAUUCUUUUAUUCUUUGAUGACGAUUGAUCUGUUGAUAUUUGAGGAUUAUUUAUGAAAACCCCAUUGAUUUAUGUUGAACUGAAUGAAAAUGGCUCAAAGGGUUAGCUUGGGGCUACUCAUAGCCUCAAGCACCGUGUGACGCUCCGGGACCCAUUUUCCGGGGCGUUACAUCCUAGCAUGCGAUAGAGCAUGUGAAGCAUGCUCUAGUCAAGAGAACUAGAGCAUGCGACACAUUCUCCAUAGCACGCUGCCAAAAUUUUUAGCUUCCACCUCAACAUUUGCCCAUCCUAUAUAAGCUCAAAAAUAUGGGAUUUACCCCAAUUGAACCAAAAUAUACUCACUUCUCUCGAAAUCCUCUCAAGAACAAGCUAGGGUUCCUCAUAGAAGAUUCAAGUUCAAAAAUUCUCUCAGUCAAUCUUCGUAGAAUCAUGAACUAAGGUAUGCGUUGUGUUGAUUUAUGAAUUCCUUUCAUCCAUAAAGCUCAAGAACCCUAUUUUUUGAUUAUGAAUCAUGUUAUUAGGUUGUGGGUUGUUUAAGGUUAUGUGAUUGUUGUAGUAUGAUUCCCAAGUUGGGAUCUUUAUGUGAAAUUAUGAAACUACGUUAGCAUAUGAAUUGAAAUCCAUGAAUUUGAUGGUCUAUGAUUUGUGAAAUUUUGAUGAUUUCACCUAUGCCUUAAGUUGUGCAUGUAAGGUGUUUGAUAAAAUGCCUAAGGAAUAAAAAUUAUUCCUUGUUGUGCAUGUAAGGUGUUUGACAAAUGCAUGCUUUCCCUUAUUAUAAAAUGCCUUAAGUUGUGUAUGUAAGGUGUUUGACAAAUACACGCUUUCCCUUAUUAUAAAAAAUGACUUCCAUGAUAUUGUUGUGUAUUAUGGAUGUUUGAAUGAAUAAUUAUGGGACUAGUUGAUGAAAUUACGAUAUGUUGAUGUGUAUUCCCAUUCAUGUACAACAUUAUGAUGAUCAUUUACUUCAUGAAAUCCCUAAGUUAUUGUAUUAUGGACUGUUGAUGUUGGUCAUGUAUUCAAGAAAGUCAUGCUUUGUCAGUUUCCUUCUAUCGAGUCCUGGGGGUACUUGUACCCAAAAAAUAUAGCUGUGUGCCUAGAGAUAGUGUCAUCCAUCCACUUGUUACUAUCCUUUAGCUGGAGCCACGAGUCUAUUGAAAAUAACCUCUCUAAUUCUUCGGAGGUAGUGGUAUGGACUGCAUACAUUUUACCCUCCCAAGACCCCAUUUUGUGGGAAUACACUGGGUUUGUUGUUGUUGUUGUUGUUUCCUAGAGCCAGUGUUAUGUUUUCAUGAUAUCCUCAGUCAAGCCAUGAUCCAUAGAAUUUAGUCAGUUAGGAAAACUCAGUAAUCUCAUAUAACUCAGUAAAUUAGUAAUCUCAGUAGUAUUCUGUCAGUCAAUGUAACUCAUGAACUCAAUCCAGUCCAGUUCAGUUAAUCAUGUUCAGUGUCUAUUUAGAUGAGAGUAGAAAUUAGCACCAAGUGAACCCAAAGAUGAGGACACACACUGUCAGUUGAGGGUGUGAUCUUUAAAAAUCAUCCUUGUAUUCCAGAACUAUGUAUCUAACAUAGGUUAAGGCAUCAAUACUGUCAGAUGAGGGUUGAUAAGGUGGAUAACACUGUUAGAUGAAGUUUCCACCGUUCUCUUUUAGGGACACCGUCAGAUGAGGGUCACCCACAACUUGUCCUUACCAGUGGUAUGAUAUUGACACCCUUCCAAUUGAGGUUACAGAUUGGAGCCUAACUUAGCUAUAAUAUCUUACCAGGGGCAUGUCGGUUAGAUGACUACUUCCCACAAUUUUAGUAUCAGUCUCAGUAAAAGAAUUCAGAUAGUUCUUCUGAUUUUAGAACUAUCAAAUACAGUCAAUUCAGUACAGUACGAAACACAACUAGUUCUAUCAGAACUUAGACCGUUAGAUACAGUCGCUCAGUAUUAGUUAUAUCAGUUAUACCAGUCUUAGUAUCUCAUGAUAUCAGUUAUCAGACUCAAUAAUUAUGUUAUCACAAAUUCAGUUACAGUCUCUUAUUCAUGCAUGUGUUCCCAUGUUCAUUUUAUAAAGUUAGUUAGUUUAUGUUCAUGCAUAUAAACCCUUACAUUCAUCCUACCUCACAUGCAUACCAAUACAUUCAAUCAUACUGACGUAUUCGCGCUAUGGUGUUUUAUUCUAUACCAUAGGUUCAGAAGCACGAGCUCCAGAGUAUCAGUAGCAUUCCAGUAUUCAACAGUCAGAGUUAGCAGUGAGUCCUCAUUCUUCGAGGACAUGAUUAUUAUUUUAUCAUUUCAGUAUUUAAUUACUUAGUUUAUUUCAGUAGUUGGAGUUAGUUGGGGAUAUAUCCCAUCAACUCCUUAUUCAGACAGUUAGAGGCUUUUCAGACUAUCAUAUUUCAGACAGUUUAUUUCAGUUGUUUUGGGUAUUUCAUACCCUACCCAGAUGUUAUGUUUUAUUAGAUUUGAACCUUAUGACCUUUCAGCCUUUAUUUUCGUAUUUAUUUAGUAUAGUAUGCAAGGUACAGGUACAGAUAUCAGUCAUGGGUUAGCUUGUGAUCCUUUGGGGUCAUGGGCACCAUGUAGCAUUCCGAGUAUCGGAUUUGGGGCGUUACACUUAUUUAGGGCUUAAAUAAAUUAUGUGAUGGACAAAGAGUUGGCAUUAAAAAUUUCAAGGGGUAGAUGAAAUACAGCAAAAAAUGUGCCUAUUCUAGAAGAUGAAGUCAAGUUUGAAAUUAGUUUUCAGAUUUGUGCCAAGCUUCAAAGUGGAGAAAUUGAUAUUUCAAUACCUCAAAAUAUUGAUGACUUGAUUUCUAGGAAAAGAAAGUGGUGCGAAGUAUCGGAUGAAAAUUAUGGUCCUAGUUUUACUCUAAUAACUCCAACGCCACCCGAUGUUUCUGAUCAUAUUUCUAUAAAACAUAAAUUUUGUACUACUGAAGAUGUGAAAAAUUCUUAAGAGGAUUUAAGUUUAUCUUUUGUUUUUUUUAUGACGUUUAAAGAUGGUUACUCAAGUUGUAAUUGACAGUGUUUACUUUCAACUAAUUUUCCACGAUCUUUGCUUAUCCUUUUGUAAAUUACUGCAUUAUUUUUUCUUAUUUUAUUUUUCUUAUUAGUUUAAUAUUUUCUUUUUUGACUUUUUGAUAUCAAAUUUCGAUCUUGAUCUUUUUUACUUGUGAGUUUAUUUUUUUUCAAGUUAAGUUUUAUAAAGAUCAUGAUAUAUUCUCUUUUUGAGUUAUCAACUUAUGUUAGAAUAUCUCAUAAGUUAGACAUAGUGAAAUGGUGUAAAUUAUUUCACAUACAUUAAUUUUUUAAAAAAAUCCUAAGAUACAUUUUGCCUCUAAGGAAAGAACUACGUAAUAUUCAAUUAGUUAGACUUAGUGAAAUAUUAUAAUUGUUUCCCUUGAAAUAUUCGUUAAAUUUUUAAAGCCUUUGACCUAUGUUUUGUCUAUAAGGCAACCGUUACUACAUGUUAUGUUUAUGGGUCUUAACUUUUACUUUAAACUCAUUGGCUAAGUCUUCUCUACAAGAUUCAUAGAGUAUCUCAUAAGUUAGACAUUGUAAAAUUAUGUAAAUUGAUGUCCAUGAGGCAUACGUCCCGGUAAUAGUUUUAUAAUAUUCAAUAAGUUAGAUUUUGUGAAAUAGCAUAAACCAUUGCCCAUUAAGUAUUUGUUAGUUUUUAUAAGUCUUGUGUUAUGUUUUUUAUGUAAGACAAAACUUACUACACAUUAUGCGUCUAAGCCGAGAAUUGUAUAAUAGCCAAUUAGUUAAACUUUGUAAAAUACACUAAAAUUUUAAAAGUCUUUCGACUAUGUUUUGCCUCUAUGACAAUAGUUACUACAAACCACAUAAGUUAAACAUUGUGAUAUUGGUGUAAACUUUUUUCCAUGAGGAAUUACUUGUUCUUUUGAAGUCUUCGGGCUAAUGUUUUGCUGAGUUAUAGAUCAUCUGCCAAAUUAGUACAUAUUAUGCUAGUGUCAAAUCUUGCCCAUGGGGCACAACUUGUUCUUUUGUGAUCUAAAAUUCUUGCCUCUUGGGCAAGCGUUAUAGAUCAUUUACUAAAUUAUUAAAUACUAAAGUAGUGUCAACUCUUGCUCAUGGACUUGUUUAUAGUCUUGCCUCUAGGUCAAGAGUUAUAGAUCAUAUGUCAAAUCAUUUCAGAUUAAGGUAAAGUCAACUCUUUCCCAUGGGGAACAACUUGUUCUUUUGUGAUUUAAAAGCCUUGCCCCUAGGGCAAGAGUUAUAAAUCAUCUUCCAAAUCAUUACAGACCAAGGCAAUGUCAAUUUUUGUCUAAUGGGCAUAACUUUUAUCUAGAUGGACUCUAUGUUGGACAUUGUAAAACUAGACAUCGUAAGUUACAUAUUAUAAAAUUAUGUCGAUACAAACUAAUAAUGUCUACUCUUACCCGCGUGACAUAACUUAUUUUGUUGUAUUUAAGUUUGUCUCUAAGGCAAGAGUUGCAGAACGUUAGCUAAUUUAAUAUAGAUUAAUAGGGUUAACGUUUGCCCAUGAGGCAAAAUUUGAGAUAUAUUAUUUUAUUAAAAAUUAAUUAUUUUUUUAAAUGACAUAAUUUAUUUGCACCAAGUUUAAGUUAAAAAUACAUUUUUCUACCAAGAAAAAAUUAAAAUUACAUUUACACUCUGCACAAAGUUCAAGGUAAGACAAAUUUCAUCUCAAAGACACACCAAAUUUCAUCUCAAAGCUCGAAUUGAUAUAGUACAUUUUGUACCAAAAAAAUAAAGUUAAAAAUAUAUUUUCCUACUGCACAAAGCUCAAGAUAGGACAAGUUUCAUCUCAAAGCUACAACAAAUUUUAUCUUAAUGCUUGGAGCUUCGGAUUUCUCUUCUUCUCUUUGGUGAAAUCGCAUUCUACGUUUAGGGUUUUUGAUUUUGUCCCUCAUCUCUCUGUAAUUUCUUCCUUAGCAUAGGUAAUUAUCGCUCACUUUUUCUUAAUCUCAUAGAAUGUAUUUAAACUAUUUAUUACAUAGCAAUUUUUUUGAGCUGAAAAUCACUCUUUUCUUUUCUUAAUCAUAUUCUAUAAUGCAUGGAUUAAUUUAAAAACUCUAUUUUUUUUGUCUAAAUCAGCUUGAUGAAAAUGAAUUUUUGUUGGUGAGAUUUGAGUUUUUGAUGGUUUCUGUACACACCGAGCUCAUUUUGGUUCAGUCAUUACGUCGCUUAGGUUUAUUUGUGAGAGUUGAAUUUCGGGUGUUUGUGUAGCCAUUGGGUUAAUUUUUUUGUCCGAUAAAUUUCAUUUUACAACUUGAUUCUUGUUUUAUUGUUAAUUUUUAAUUUGAAAGUUGUUUUUAUCUUUGUAACUCUGCAAAUUUUGUAAAGCAUGUCUAGCAAGAUAAAUUGUGUUGAGUACUUUAUUGAUCCUAAUGAUUGGUUUAAAUCAGACCCCCAUUGGAGAGGAGAUUCAAAUUAUCACAUAACUAUAACGAGCUUUUUGAAUGACAAUCAGUUGUCAUUGUUAGAAAAAGUUUUUUUUUGGUAAUUUCAUGCAAUUAGAUAAUCUAAAUCCAUCCGGUAUGCUUUUACAUUGCAUUCUUUUAUCGAAAGCAAUAUGUAACAAGAAGAAUUCGAUGAUAUUUUAUGUUCAGAAAAUUUACAUUGAGUUUACACUUGAUGUUUUUGGUCUUGUUACUGGGUUGUCAACUAAAAUUUCAAGUAAUAUAUUAGCAUCAGUUAAGGAAAAAGGAGGUGGUAGUCAUCUAUUGAACACUUACUUUGAUGGCGAAGAGAAAUUAAAAAUGGAGGACUUGAAAACUUUUAUUGAAACAAGAAAAAGUGAAGUCCAAAAUGAUUUAGACACUGUCAAGCUAGCUGAAAUCUAUAUUUUAGGAUGCGUGUUCUUGGGGGGAGUCUUGCCAAGGUCAUUUAUGCUAAUAUUAUUAUUAUAUUGGAGGAUGAAACUUUGUGUAGAGAGUUUGUAUGGGGUCAAUUAUCUUUCGAUGAAACUUUAAGUUCAUUGAAAAGCUCUUGAAACCAACGAAAACAACUAUCAGAGCAUCAUACCAUCUUGUUGGUUUUGCAUAUGCCUUUAUGGUAUGGACAUGAGAUAUUUUUUCCAAAUAUAGAGAAAAAAAUGUGCAAAUAGUCUCUGAAGAAAAAUAUCCUCUUAUAUUCCGUUAUGUGGCAUGUACUACUCCACAAUACACAACAAUGAUCAAGUUUAUUCACUCAAGCAAAUCAAAGUUUUCAGUAAGUAUCUACACUUAUUUUAUUUUUAUUUUAUUGAUUUAAUUAGUAUAUGUUUAUUGUAAUUCUUAGUUAUGUUAAUUUUUUUAGAUUAAUAGAAAGGUGUAGUUAAGGCAUUCUCACUGGAGCAUGAGCUGCCAAGUAAUAGUGAUAGUGAAGAAGGUUAGUGAAGAAAAUUGCUUACUUUUCAAUUGAUAUAUGUGACCUUAUACUGCUUGUGCUAUAUUAAUUAUUAGUCUUCUCAACAUCCGUUAAAUUGGUCAAGGAAAAUCUAUCAUACUUAUAUUCUAUUAUCUUACUGCAUCAAGGUGAAUGAGCAUUUUUGAAAUUGUCCUUUUGCACAUAUAAAAAAAGAUGCUCGUGGGAUCUUACACUAAUAAUAGCCAAGAUAAAGAUCCAUCUAACAUGCUCUAAUCAAUGACCUAGGUUCCUAGGAAGAAAUAUUUGGUAAUACAUGCGUCUAACUCCUAAUUAUUCUUCUUCAACUUUACCUUUUUUGACUAUCUACUUUAUUACGCAUGUUUUUUGUUCUCUUAUUGAUUCUUAUUCCUCAUAGAAUUAGAAGUGGCGAGCUGAAGAAGGAAACAAUGUAGGUCAUUCUGAUGAGAAAGAAGAAGCCGCAGAAGAAACAGUAAUUGGUUUGAGUCCUCAAAACAUGGAAGACAUGAGACAGGCAAAAAAUCAGGUAAUCCAGUCCUUAUAUUGUCAGUCCAUUAAGUAUUUGUAAAACACAAGGAUACUGAACCACAUUAUAAAGAUAUUCCUUUUCUUGUUUGAUUGGACCAUACGAAGCAUUUAGUUUUUUUGUUUAGUUUUACUUUGGUCCUUAUCUGAUCUCAUAGCUACUCUUUGCCAAUCUUGGAUUAGAAAUUGCAAAUUUUGCUACACAAAAUUUCUUGGAUAGACUAUCUUUAUAAAUAAUAUAGGGUUCCUUAUACUCUCUCAUGAACAAUACAACAUGUCUUUGAUUUUGAAAUUAAGUUUUAUGUUGGUAGUUCUACCCACAGAAGUUGCAAUCAGCUAUUCUACUUUGUUAUUAGUGACAAUAUUUUACUGAUCGUAGAAUCAUGAUAAAAUCUCAAAGAAAAACAAAAUUUAUGAAAAGAAGUGAGGUUAUAAUCCUUGUAUUAGUCCGGACUGCCCAUUUGCUUGAUCUCAGGAGAAAAAGCUCAAAGUUUCCAGAGAAAAUUCUUGUGGAGUGACAAGAGCAAUCUCUUACCUCCACACACAGAUAAAGGAGACGACAAAAAACACGAGUGAAAGUCAAGAUGAGUUCCAAAUUAGGAGCUUAGUUGUAGAUGAAAAAUAGCUAAAACCAAAAAAGGAAUUCCUUUCAGUGAUUUGGAUGCCUGGUUUAAAAAUUUGAAAUGUUACAGGGGUAAUUAUGAGAAAAUCAAUGACCUAGGUUCCUAGGAAGAAAGAUUUUGUAAUACAUGCAUCUAGCUCCCAAUUGUUCUUCUUCAACUUUACCUUUUUUGAUUGUCUGCUUUAUUACACAUGCUUUUUGUUCUCUCAUUGAUUCCUCUUCCUCAUAGGAAAAGAAUGAUGUACUACCUUAUCUUUUGGUAUAAGAGUUCUCAAAAUCUUCUCUCUAUUCUCAGCAGCAGGUAAACCGACCAUAAUUCUGCCCAAUAGAAAACCAAAUUUUGAAAACAUAUGUUAUGAUAAGUCUACCCAAUAGAAAAUCAUAAUUCUGCAACAUAAUCAUAAAUUAAAAAAGGUUGUGAUAUUUAUUAAUAUUCCCUUAAGGUCAAACUAUAAAUAGGAACCAUUGUACACAGUAAUAUAUCUCCAAAAAAAAUGCUUUUUAAUAAACCUUCAGAAGAUGAGGCAAGACUUCCUAACAAAGUCAUUUGGGUGAGCAACAUAUCUCCAACUACAAACGACUUCAUAUCACCAAGAAAAAAUUAUAAUUGUUCCACUAGUUUAUUUGUUUAAACUGACGCACAACUUGUUUAUGUUGUUUAAUAGAGCUUUGGUGGUAUUGAAGUUGAUGGGGACAUUAUUUAUGAAACUAAGAAUUGUGGUGAUGUUGAUUUAAUAAUCAAUAAUGUUAUUUCUAGUGUGUUUUUGAUCUCUUCUAGUGUGCCAACAUCUCCUAAUGUCAAAAGUACUCAAGCUGAGAGAUCUGUAAGUGUCUCGAAUUCCAAUUUACAUGCUUCUUUGCUUAAACUAAUUCACUAUAAUGUGUUUGUGAUUUUCAACAGGAGCUUGGUGUUAUUAGUGUUGAUACAGAAGACAUGAUUUCUGAUGUUGAUGGAACUAAGAAGUUUGUGAAUGUUAAUUUAACAAAUUGUAAUAUUGAGAUAUCUGUAAGAUCUAUAUUUUCAUUUCCUUUUAUUACCUUAUGGCUAUUUUUUCUAUCAAUUUUAGUUCUUUCUCUAUUUUCCAGCGUGAUGAACAGGAAAGUGCUUGUGUUUCUCCAUUAAAAAGUAAAGGGUCUCCACUAAAACUUAAAGUCUCUCCACUGAAAAAACAAACAUACAUUAGGAGGAAUAAGGACAACAAAUCAGCCAUAAGUGAUGUUACUUUCGAGUUGAAUUCCAGGCUAUCUUUCAUGGAAGCAUAAGUUAAGGACGCCACUCCUAAAAAAUCGGUUAGAAGAAAAUUUGUAGGACAGUUAGCCAAAUCUCCAUAUGUGGCAGAUUUUAAUUCGGGUGCAUCCCAAUCCAUUUUUUAUCAAAAGCAUCCUUUCAUAUGUGACAUUGAAGCAUUUGAUAACCUGUGAAGCUUUAACAUUGAUUUUUGGGCAUUCAUCGAGUGUGUAUUGAGUAAGUCAAAAUGGUAACACAUAUAUCUUUAAGCUUUUUAUUUUGUCAUUUUUGUAUUUAUGGUGACACAUAUAUUCUGACUGUAUUUAUUUUUCAUGUAUUUUAAGUGCUAAAUAUAUAUACAUUAAGGAAAAAGAUGUGUUGCCCGAAUGUUUAAUGUUUGGCUCUUAUGCUGUGGAUUCGAAGGAGUGGUUUUAUUCACUUACAACUUCUGGUCGACCUUUGAAUGACAGUAUUAUUUCUUGUUUUCCUAAUCUAUAUUUGUAAGUGUGCCUUCCUUGUUCUAUUCAACCUUAUUGUGCUUUAUAUCAUUUGUGAUUAUUCGUAAUGAGUGUGCUUUUGGUUUUUCCUUUGUUUUGUUCCUCCCUUUCUUCUAGUAGGUCAAACAUACUAACAAUAUUUCUUGUUUAGCUGUUUGUAAUGGUUACAUUUAUUCUGGCUCAUGGGAUAAGAGUUUGAAAGUGUGGAGAACUUCUGAUUUAAAGUGUUUACAAUCAAUUAAGACUCAUUAUAAUUCUAUAAAUGGAUUCAUGUGAGUCUUGUUUUUUGGUAAUUAAAGAUUUUAUUAACUAUCAGGGUAAACAUUACCAAGCAGGGUGUGCUUUUUGUCAUGCUAUUCAACUACUGUGCUAAUGUAGAAAAAACCUUACCUAUUUCACGCUUGCCAUUGUCAGGGCUAUCAUUUCCAUGUACCACAUUAUUGAUAUUGAUGAAAUUGCAUUUUGUCCAACUUUACAAUUCAAAUCUUUAUGUUAGUUAACCGAAACCAAGAAUAUUUUGUUGGUUCCUAACAUUCAUUGCAGUAAUCCUUUACCUACUUUAAAACCUUCAUUUGUAUACAAAUGUCGAGCAACAAAAUCAUUCUCAUAAGCCCUUAUGACAAGAUAAUCAUAACCCUAAACUCUUGCAAGAACGUCACAAGCCUUAAGCAAAUUUGUCGUAACUUUUUGCCUCCUGCAAUUUUUGUGUGUGUGUUAGCACAAAUGGAAAACAUAGAUCAUCUGUAGAUAUGUGUUAGCUAAACUAUAUGAUACUUCAAAGGACCAAAUAUUCAAAUUUUCUCUAUUUAUAUAGAGGUUUACUAGCUGGCAUUUGUUGCAUUUUUGUGGUCGUCAGAUCAUUUAUCGUCGCAUUUUUUGUGUCUCAAAACAGCUCAACAUUUCUUAGAUCAAAUUAUUGAUAUCAUACUGCACUAUGUCGCAUUUUUGUGUCUCAAAACAGCUCAACAUUUCUUAGAUAAAAUUAUUGAUAUCAUACUGCACUAUGUCAUUAUUUAACACUACUCCUUUAGGAAGUACAUUUAAGUCGAGUGAGUCCUGCUCUAGAUAAUGAUUUAUACUAGUGUAAUUUCUUACUUCACCGAUCUGAUGGAUGAUUUUAUGAUACCACUAUUUCUAAGUAUAGUGCUUCUAAAUUCUUUUUAGUAUAACUGGCAUGCUAUGUUGUUCAUAACACGCCUGAGUGAUUCACCAACUAUAUUCCACUGUUCUAAGUUGAAGACCUAAAAUAUUACACCAAUUUCUAAUUUCUAUAAACCUUACGAUAUUAAUUAAGUAAAGGAGCAUAACAAUUCUUCUUUCAAGCUCAAAAUAUCACAAUUAUCUGUCGGUAUUAAGAUAAAGGCACCCAACCCUGAUUUUUGUCACCCAAAAUACAUGUCUGUAGGACUUCGUUAUGACUCAAUGUCAACCUCACUAGAACUGAAGAUAUGAGCUUAUAUACAAAAUACACCCCCGUCUUACUUGAAUAAACUCCAUAUGUAUAGUACAUACCUUCUCUUGAGUUUUGUGCCCCACUAAAAUAUCGACCAUUCUAUGGUCUACAGCUAUAUACAACAAUUGAGCCCUUCUUCAUGAUAUUUUGUGGGUAACCAGAAGCAUCACAGUGGUAUGUAUAGUCAUAGUGGUAUGUAUAAUCACCAGGAGCUGGAUCCUUUUCAUUAUUCCAUGACGAUAAGUACACUUCUCUACCAGUUACAAAGUUCUUACCAAUCCUCAUGUCUGCUAAUAGUGUAUCAUGUAAUUACAAUGUACUUAGAUUUUUUUAAAUUUCUACUACUUUCCUUGUAAUUUGCAUUAAUUGGAAAUGAUAAAUUUUUUGAAUCUUGAGAAUGAUGCUUGUGGUAGUUUUAACUAUUGCACAAUGUGCAGUUAGCUCGAGAUCGAAGUUGUGUAGGUUUAAGUGUUCUAAUUAUUUGAGGGGUUUGAUCAUCUUACUUUGGUUACUUCUUUAUGUAAUGAAUGUGUUGUAAUGCUCUUAUUCAGUGUUCUUUUUAUUUUAUCUCAAUAUUUGGAUACAAUAAUCUAAUAUAUGAGGAAGAAGGCAAAAUAUGAACCUAAUAUUGUUGUAAAGUUCACUAUAACUGAUUUUGUAUUUAGAAACAAAAUUGAUGCUGUUUAUCAAGAUUUUUUGAAAAAUGGUAAAUUUUUUCUGUCAUCCUCGAGAAACAUGAGGCCGAGGAGUAUAUCAGAGGCUUCUAUUGUGAUGCAAACGUACCGUGGAACAAGGUUGACUGUGUGCUAUUUUAAAUUUAUGUUCCACGAAAAAAAUCUGAACUUGGACAUUAGAUUUUUUGUGCUUUUGACUUUAUUGAUUGGUGCAUAGAUGUAACACCCCAAAAAUUUGUCCCGAGAUGUCACACGAUGCUUAGGACCAUAAGUAAUCCCAAGCUAACCCUUAUACUGGCAUAACUCAUGAGCAACUAUUUGAAGUACAUAAAUCUGAAGAAAAUGUGGAAAAAUAAAUCUUAUUUGAACUUGGUCAAUACAAAUCUACUUUAAGAUUAAUACAACUCUGCUUAUACAAAACAAAACUAAAAUUAAAUACAUCAACUGUACUGACUGUCUAUGAAGCCUCUACUAUACUGACUAUAGAUAGCUAGGACGCGAUCUCAACUAUCACUAAUCAAUAUAUAUGAGUAAGAAAGUAAAUAAUUAUAAAUAAAUCUAAGUAAAGUCCCCAAAGUAGGAGGACUCAUCAUCUUGCUGGCUGGAAUCUGCAACAGUCUGAAUCUGAAUGUGCAUACUAAAACUUGUACCUACAUUAUAAGAUAAUGUAGCACAUAGACAUAUAUGUGGAUCAGUACUUUGAGGAUGUACUGAGUAUAUGAGGGUGAAUGCAUAAGUAAAAACAUAUCUUAUAAUCAUUAUUUAUAAAACAAUGCAUACUAAAUGUAUGUGACUCACAUAAGCUGAAAUAUCUGAAAUACUGAAAUAUGUAGCAAUAAGAAUCAAAACUUGCAUUAUAAAUCUAGUGAGCCACAACAUUUAGUUCUAAAAUCUAUGCAUGUAUUUUCUCUUUAAAUCAUGCUGUCUAAUUGUAGAAAGGACUCACUCUUAAAUUUGAAAUUUGAAAGCUGAAAUCUGUAACUAUGAUCUUUCUGUAAAGCAUAAUCUGAAAUAAAGUUAUGAGCCCUUACACUUAGUUUCUAAAAGCUUUUCUGUAGAUAUUUGCUAUUAGGCUUUAAGCUUCAAACCUUAGGGAAAAUACUUUAUCUUUUAUUCAAAAGCUUUAGGGAAAACUCUUUAAAACUAUUCUGUAAGGGAAAUACUUUUAAAAAUGUUUUGAAAAGCUUACUAUUAGGAAAAAAAAUACAUUAUCUAAAUGGAGGUUCUCUUAACCGACAUAAACUAUGUGAGCUACAUAGAGUCCAACGUCUUGGCCUCCUAAGGAAGACAAACCUCACAUUAAGGAGAGGUGUUAUACUCUUGGGAGUAUAACCUCAUCUUAAGUGAUCACUAUCUCUAUCUCUGUGGGCACUUUAAUCUCAAUCCUAUGGUGGCAUGUAGUUCUGUAUUAUGAGACCUUGGAAUCAUACCCAACUCGGUGCUAAAUACUACUCCCUUAAAUUUGCUAUGCUUGUCUCAUUGGAAAUCAACUUUAAAUAAUCUCAUGGUUUAUAAUGAAAACAAACUGUAUAUCUGUAAUUUGAAAUUAACUAUGAAAAGUGGAUUCCAAAACUCAACUAAGGAUCCGAAGAUCUUAUACUGCUUAUACAACUGAUAACAUGCAAAUCUCAAGGUGCUUAAAAGAACAAGUUCUUGAAAUAUCAAUACUCAAUCUUAGGGCUUAAAGCCCAUGCUUCAAACUCAUGUCUAAACAUCAUAUUGUUCAUGCUUGAUAAUGUAACAUUUAGAAAUUGAACUUCAAAUCUGGAAAUUUCAGCAAUAUGCAUGAAAAUAUGAACAUAAUCAUGAAAUUUAUCUUCAAAAUCUCUCAAAAACUCAUAAUCUUGUAAAUAGUAAUAAUGGGUAUGAAUCCCAAUUUAGAACUCAUGUAUAAACAUUCAAAAUCAUAGAAAGACAUCAUGCUUGUAAUGCCCCAAAAUCCCAUCCCGAGGCACCACACGGUGCUUAAGGCUACAAGUAGCCCCAAGCUGACCCUUUGAGCUUGUUACUGUCUUAAUCUCUCACUUUGGGAUAUCAAGUCAAAUGAUAAUACUGUAAUAUCAAAUCAAAAACUGAAUUAAUCCAAAAAACAUAAUCUGAAAUAUCAAACACUGGAAGUCUAAACACAACUGCUAGUCUAGUCUGACAAAGCUUCUACUACUCAAUCUGGAGAGCCAUUGGGAUAGACCCCACCUGAUCUGAAAGUAAUAACAACUAUAAAUCUGUGAAUAUGGUCCUCGAACCAUGAGGACUCACCAACUGUAUAAUGUGGACAAGACACUCGAGAAUCGAGAUCACUGCUAACACUGAGCACGUGAACCUACAUUAUAAGACAAUGUAACAUACAGACGUAUAUGUGGAUCAGUACUUUGGGAAUGUAUUUGAGUAUAUAGGGAUGUAUACAUUUACAUAAAAUGAUAUCAGCAUUCUUAAUAAAAUAAUACAUGCAGGUAUGAAUGAUUAACAUAGCUUGAAUACAACUGAAAUCCGAACAUAUCAUUCAUGAAGAUUAAAACAAGUAAUAAAAAUAUCGUUAGUCAUUAUACUUAUCUUAAAAAGAUAUGUUCUCCUCUUUAUCCUCAAAACUCAGAAACUCAAAAGAAUUUUUUAAACCAUACUUUCAAAACUCAUGCUUUUAUCUUAAGGAAAGUAAAAAUUCUUCAAAACUUAAGAACUUAGAAAAAAAUUCUUCAAAACUUAAGAACUUAGAACUUUAGAAACUUUAAGACUUGAGAACUCUGGGACUCUUAGGAUUAGGACUCUUUGGGACUCAGGAGUUUCUUCUAACCGACAUAAACCAUGUGAGCUACAUGGAGUCCAACGUCUUGCCAACGUUGGGGAGAGUUGUUCUAUCCUUGCCAUCGUAGUAGAACCUCAUCUUUAGUGAUCACUGUCUCAACCUCGGGACUAUAAAUCUUAGUACUACGGUGGCACGUAGUUCUAGGGUAUGAGUCCUUAGAAUCAUACCCAACUUGGUGCUAAAUACUACUCCCAUACUCAACUCAGAACUUUUAGGAAAUCCACCUCAAAAUAACUCAAGGGUCUAUAAUGAAGACUAAAACAUACUUCUCUUGAUUUAAAUCAUAAUUAAUGUGGAUUCCUCUCUUAACUCAAGCUCUAAACAAUCUUCUUAAAAAGCUUUCAAUCAUCUCAAUCAAGAUAAUGGAAAAUAACUCCUAAUAUGAAUCUCAUAAUUUUAACAUCUCAAAAUUUAUGUUUGAUAAGAGACAUUCAUAAUCAACUUAAAAUCUAGAAAUUUCAUCUAUAUAUACGAAAAUAUAAACAUGCUCAUGUGAUUCAACUUCUAAAACCAUGAAAAUCUCAUAAUCUCAUGAAUAGCAACAUAGGGUAUAAACCCACUUCAAAUUUUCAUAAGAAAACAUGUGAAAUCAUGCUACUUGAAUUUUAAUUUAUGGGAAACAUCAAAGUCUUGCAACUAAUGAUAAUGUGUGAAAAACCCUAACUCAACUUUAUAUAAAAUCUCAUAAAGUUCAGUAAAAUCUGUAUUUAAAAUAAAGCUUUAGGCACAAGGAUGCAAUGAUUAUCCUUGUUCAAACCCCACAUACCUUAGAUUUCUAAAUUAGAUGAACUAGCUUUCUUGAGACUCUUCUUCUUACUCUUGAGAGAGGGUUCUUGAAGCCUUUGACUUAGGGACCUUAAAUCUCAACUCAAUUUGUAGAGUCUAUGGUGAGUUCUUGAAUUUCUUGGAGAAGGAUUGGGAUUUUCUCUAAAGGGUUAUUCUUUGAUAGAAAACCCUAGUUUAGAUACUUUGGGUGAAUAAUAAAAUCAACUGCUUUGUUUUGGAUAUAUCUGAGUGAUAUAAGGGUGGGAAAAUACCAAAAAACCCUUUUAAAAAUGAAUUAAAAUCACUGAACGGGAUAUGCAAAGGUGGGGGUGCGACGGUCCAUAGAGGACCCAACGGUCCGUCGGUCCUGAACGUCGCACCUGGGCAAGAACUUGGUUCACUGUCUCAAAGGUGACGGCGUGGGCGACGGUCCAUCGUUAGCUCAACGAUCCAUCGGCCUGUCCGUCCUACUUAACAAGAAUAUGGUCUUUUUGCCUCACCUACGAUAGUCUGGGUGACGAUCCAUCUCUAUCUCGAUGGUCCGUUGGCCCUUUUUGUCGCACCUGGGCGGUUCAAACUGCCUUUUAUAAUUCGACCAUAACUUUCUAUUUUGACAUCAAAUUCUGACGAAUUUGAUAUCGAUGAAAAGCUUACACAAUUUCCCAUAAAACAAAAAGUUGAUAUUAGGGAAAUUCUAUAUGGUUUAAACACUACUCACUUUGGAAGUCAUUCCUUAACACUAUAGAGGUGAAAUCGAGCUUUCAGAAAGUUUGGGAUAUUACAAUGCUUCUUAAAAAUACUUUAGAAAUAUCAAUAUAAUAAUAUCAAGAAUUACAAUUAUCAUGCUUAAACUCAAUUGAAAAUCUGAAAUCAAUAUCUCAUAACAUACUCAUGGUAUUCAAAAUCAUAAAGAAGCAUUCUUUUACUUAAAACAAACAUGGAAUUUCGUAAUUAAAUCAUAUCAUGCUCAAAAUCAUCAAUAAGAUACUUUUGGGUACAAACCCAAUCUUAAAAUAUAAGAAAUUUGCUUAAAAAUAUAAUUUUGGGUACAAGGACGAAAGGAUUGUCCUUGUUCAUAACCCCACAUCCCUUAAUAGACUUGGUUGGAUGUAGAUAAUUUGGCUUUGAAACCCUAGGAGAUGAUAUUUAAUGCUUUCUUGAGAUUCUUGAAUGUGAUGCUUAACUCUUGGCUUCUUUCUUGAAGAGGAUGACUUGAAAUUUUAUGUUUCUUGGAUUGGAAACUUUGAAUUUGGAGCUUAACUUCUUGAUUCUUGAGAGAUGACACUUGUAUUUUUGUUCUUGGGAAUAUAGGAGGGAUUUUUAUUUGUUUAAUGACUUCUUAGGGUUAAAAGAGAGGAGUUUAUGUGAUUAAUAUCUCAUAAAAAUAUUUAGAAGUGAUUAGGGACGGUUUAGGGGUGUGAAAUGACUUCAACACCCCUGAUCUAGGUCAAAAUGGAGUUUUUUAGCACUUGACAAUGAAUUAGGCGACACCUAUCCAAUCGCCUAACUUAAGGUGGGGGAUGCCUUUUCAAUUGCCUAAGUUUGGUUGGGCGGUGCCUAACCAAUCUCAUACCCUUAUUGCCUCUCACGAAAAUGGGCAUAACUUUUCGCUCAGGUAUUGGAUUAAGGCAAAAUUGGUAUCGUUGGAAAUCUAUUACAAUUAUCUACAAUUUGGUGGGUCUUGAGAUGAAAAAUUCCAUGUAUAUAUAUAGUUAUACAUGUUUAAAUAAGACCCUUGUAGAAUCAAAUAUCAAACUUUGGAUGAAUUAAAGGAUCUUAGCUUAACUUGGCUCUAAAUGAUUUCUAUGAACAUUUUUCACCUCAAAAGCAAAUCAAACAUGAGGAUAAAUAUCAUGAAACUUUAUAUUCACAUGAGAAUCACUUGGAUUAUAACUUGUAUACGUAGGAGCGACGGUUCAUAGACUAGCUCAAAAAUGUGGGGUGUUACAAUAUAUGUACACGACUCCAACCAUACCAAGCGCAGUGAUAAAGUUAUUCAAAAAGUGAGAUUACCUCACCAAACACUGAUACCAUAUUUUCUACAAAAGGUCAAUUUCUAUCUUGAGAAGGGCAUUGACAAAUCUGAAAAUGACACUUCGCCAAAACAAAUGGUUGAUGAGCUGCCACAACAAACUCAAUGGUAUCUUAUUGCAUUCAUUUUUUAAAUGUUCAUUUAACUUAUUUUUUUUGUUGUUUUCCAUAUAUUCACAUAAUAGUUUCUUUUGUAUAAUAGUGAUUAUAGAGCAUUUAUUUGUGCCUUUACUGAAUAUUUCAUUCAUGGUAGAAAUAUUCCAAAAGAAGAUUUACAUUGGUUGUGUUCGCAUGAUGUAUGGAGAUUUGUUGUGGGAUUAUAGAAAGAGAAAACUAAAAGUUGGUAUAAAAGACAACACUACAAAAAUGUUGGCAGAUUAUUUGUAAAGGAAAAGAGGAAGAGGACGCACAAGGAGGAGGAGUUUAGUUUAGUUUUUAUUGAAAAUCACUGCACAUCAAGGAUUUUUAGCUAUUUUUAUGCGAUUAUGUAAAGUUUAAAUAAUUUUUUUUAAAAUUGAAUCAACUAUUUUUGAUGUAAUAACGUAAAGUAUACAAUGUAUAAUCACUGCCGAUUCAUUUGUUGGUAUCCUUAUAUAUUUAUGUUUUAUUAAUCGAAGAAUAUUUUUGCUUCUCUUUGUGGCAUGUUUUUCUCCUGAGGCAAGAGUUAUUGAGUAUCUUCUAAAUUAGUAAACAAUGUGGCAGAACCAAUUCAUGCCCGUGAGGUAUAACUUAUGUAGGAAAAAUAAUUUAUUUUAAAAUAAUUUAUUGUGUAUUUGAAAAAAGAAAAAGGAAAAAGAGUCAUAUUAUUUACUUGGAGAGAAAGAAAAGAAAGAAGAAAAGGAAAAAAGAAAAAAGGUCCACCGACUCUGCCUCCACCACCCCAACAAAGUGCUAUAAAUAACAUGUCUUUUCUUUUGCAAAAAAAAAAACACCAUAUACUUCCAACUAUCCAAUUUCUUUUUCCUUAGUUCCACUCUAAUUAUCAUCUUAUUGUUGUUUUUUGCUUUAAUAUUUUAACUUGUUGGUAUUUGUAUUAAUAAUUUUGUCGAUUUAUGUACCCUUUGGUUAAUUACAGAAGACUUAUUUAACUAAAAAUAUCCUCUAAUUGAUUAGGAAAGUGCUUGUUUAAUAUCGGAGAAACAUUUCACACUGCUGAAAUAGUUUCUUAGGACAAUGCCUAGGACGACUCUAAGUAUAAUUAAUCUAUUAACUUGUUAAAAAGUAGGUUAGAAUUCUGUUAUAAUUGCCAUAUUGAUUAUAGUGUUAUCACUGAGGUAGUAGUAAUAUUAUACGCUGUUUAUGUUAUUGUAUUGCUGAUACAAUUAAUAUAAUAUUUUGUGAACAUUUAAUAAUGUUGUUAUUAUUUUUUUUCCAUCAAUCCUUAACUCCUUAACUUGCCUAUCCAGAGUACCAUGCACUAGACAAAUAUGCUUCUUUCACUUAAAACUCAAGGGCACUACUAACUGCACACAAUACUUAAUAAACUUAGAAAAUAAUGCAACCUCAUAUCACCUUGGGCACACCUCUACCUCAUAUCUACAACAUCAUUCUUAAUCUCAAAUCAAUAAACUUAAAUUCUUGCAUUUACUAUUUCAAGCCUAUUGGUUCACCUCCAUAUAACUAGCAUUACUAACCAAGAAAUCGUUAUCCCCACCUUGCUCAUCAUCUACUAUUCAAACUUAGUAUCUCGUUCUAGCUAUGAUUAACCACAAUCUUAACAACUAUUCUUACAUGCCAAACAUCUAAAAAUACUAGUCCGCUAAAACCUCAUAACAAUAAUGAUUAAUCACAAUCCUAUGUUCUAUCUUAUUAUGAUUUGCUAGCACCUCCUUCUUCUACACCGUAUUACUAUUUACCCUUCUUAUGCAUCUAAACCCCUUCAUAUCUUUAGAAGUUUCAACUAAACUUCCUCUUGCAAUCUCAGGAAAGCCUAAAUUAACAACAGUCAUCCACCAAGUACUUUCAUCAAAACCUAUACUUUUCUAGCACAACAAAUACCAUCAAUAACUCUUUUCUUAUCUCAAGCAAACAACAAUCCACCUUAACUAAUAAUCUCCUUCUCUAACUUUCAUUAAACUAACAAACAAGGAUAUAUUACUUCAUUACUAACUCAAUCGUAAGCGAAAAUUCAGCUAUACAUAUAUUCAACAAAUCUCCCUUACCACCUUUCUUGUCACUACACCUCUAGACCCCUAGUUCCAACCAACAUAAGAAAAACAAGAUGAACAACAAAUUGCUAGUGAAUCUAAAUAGGCCUCAUACGGCUUCACUAGACUUUGAUUUCUUUUGUUUUGAAUAAGAAAAUGAGAUGAAUAACAAAGCAACUAUGCUAGUGAAUCGAAAUAGGCCUCACACGGCUUCACUAGACUUUGAUUUUCAAAAACACCAUGAUAACAAGAUUACUUAAUACAAGGGAUAGAAACUUGACACAUGAUAUUCAAUGAUCUAAGAAUACACAUCUUACUUUAUUUUAACUGAACAACUCAUACGAAUGAGGACAUAACUUUAAAUUUGAGGGACUUAUAACACACUAGAAAGCUCCUCUCAAACUGCUUUGUGAAACUUUUGAAACUUUUUGCUAGUAAGUCUGAGAGUAUUAUCAGGGGAAGAGAUUAGAACUUGCCAAUCAUGUUACCUCAAGAAUAGUACAUAGAUAGAGAAGUAUAGAUUAUCAUUAUGGAUUCUAUGAAGGAAUCUGAAAGCACAUCUGACUUGGGCUUAGUGCACAAUUUUUACAAACAUAAUAAAGAACUUCAAUAAUCAGAACUCAAAAGCAGUAAUGGGAUACUUUCUAGCCUUCUUAUAAUCCAAAUACUAUCUGUGGAGAAUUAAGAUUGACUGUUUCUGAUACCUUGAAAAUAAGGCAGAGAUGGCCUGAAUAGAGUAAGAUGAGAAUUUGUAUAAGUUUCAUGGAGAACCUUUCUAUAGCACGAUCUGAGACUUAAAAGAAUGGAGAUAUUUUCUAAAUACCUUGUAGCCUCUCGAAGAAAUAUACAAAUGUCUCUGUACCGUUCCACAAACCUCUACUAGACACGGAUUCACAGACACCCUAGGACUCUUGAAACCUGGAUCUGAUACCAAGUUUGUAACGCCUCAAAAUCGGGUCCCAAGAUGUCACACGGUGCCUAGGGUCACAAGUGACCCCAAGCUAACCCUUCUACUGGCAUAACUCAUAAGCAACUGAAUAAAAUGCUUAAAUCUAUAUAAAAUUAACAAAAACAUAAAACUUUUCUAAACUUGAUCAAUGCAAAUCUGAACUUUACAAGAUUACAAUUCUGCUUUUACAAAACAAAAGUAAAACUGAAUACAUUAACUCUACUGACUGUCUAUGAAGCCUCUACUAGUACUGACUAUAGGUAGCUGGGUCAUGACUCCUAACUAUCCCAACUCAAUACGACUGAAUAAAAAAAAUACAAUACUUCUCAAUAUGUAUAACUAACUCAAGCCCAUGAAUCAUAAGGACUUAUCACUUGCUGACUGGAAGCUGCGAACUGACUGAAUAUGGUAUAUACGCUACAACUUGUACCUACAUUAUGAGGAACUAUAGCACACAGACGAGUAUGUGAAUCAAUACUUUGGGAAUGUACUGAGUAUAUGGGGGUGUAUGAAAUUAAAUAAUCAAUAUCAUAAAUUCUUAUAGAAAAUAUGCAUGCUAGUAUAGAUGACUCACAUAGCUUGAAUUAAAACCAUCAUAAUCAUGAACAACAAAAUAGGUAAUGUAAAUCAAGUGAGUCAUUGCACUUUAUACAAAAUCUGCAUUCUUUUUUAUUCUCAAACUUGUAAGAUAGAUAAAGUCUUAAAACAACAUCUUUCAGAAUAUACACUUUAAUCUCAUGAAAACUAGGAACUUCUUUGGAAACUUAAAGAUUUUGACACUUGAGAACCUUAGAAAUCUUUGACUCAUAGCUUUUGAAAUACGUAUACUUUUAACUCAGAUAGACUGGGGGACUACUUUGGGAGUUUCUUCUAACCGACAUAAAUCAUGUGAGCUACAUGGAGUCCAAUGUCUUACCCAUAUUGGGGUGAGCUGUUCUAUCCUUUCCAUCGGAUAGAACCUUAAAGUUAGUUAUCACUAUCUUAACCCACUUGGGGUAAAUUAGAAACCUACUAGGGCACGUAGUUAUGGGGCAUGAGACCUCAGAAUUAAGCCUAACUCGGUGCUAAAUACUACUCCCUUACUUAGCUCAGAACUUAAGAAAAUCCACCUUAAAACAUUUCAACAAUAUGUGAUGGGAGCCAAAAUGCAUCUCCUUUAUCUCAAAAUCAAGGACGUGGAUUUCUUUCUUAACUUAGGAUCAAAACUCACUUCUUUAUUGAAAUCUUGAUAGACUUAUCAUGAAUAAUCUUUAAAGUCUCAAUAACAUGGAAAUAUAUGUACUCUUCUUGAAUCACUUUUAAAAAUAUCAAUAAGUCAUUAUCAAAGACUCACAAUUUCAUAAUAAGACUCAAUUCAUGACAACAAAUCUUGUAAAUUCUUGAAAACAGGAUAUCAAUAUAGGCAUGUGCAAUUUAUACCAUGAAUUCUCAAUUUAGAUCAUAAUUAAACAAGAUAAUCAUGCAAUUCAAGACUUGAAAAAUUCCAUAAUCUCAUAAACUUGAAAUAUAGCAAAAUAAUAUGAAUUCAUCUUGGAAAUACAAAAUUAUUUAAGAAAAACUAAAACUUUUGGGCACAAGAACGAAAGGGUGUUCUUGUUCAAACCCCACAUACCUUGAAAUCGAAGCUUUGGAUGAACUCUUAACUUUGGAUUGUUAUUCUUGAGAUUAAUGGGUGCUUCUCAUAGCCCUCGGAAUGGAGAAUCAGAAUCGUAAAAAAUUAUCAAAAACCUAUGAUUGAAUUUUGAGAUAUUGAAUUUUUAGGUCCCUAAUGAAUGUUCUUGGUGAUUUUGAGAGAAUAUAAACUUCUUUUAGUGUUUUGGGAGUUUAAUCCCAUGUUAUAGCGGAAUAGGGGUUGGAAAAUACCACUUUUGCCCUUAAAAAUGUGGAAAUAGAACCUGAAAAUUAUUAGCGUGUGACAGAGCGUGCGCCGCAUGCUUAUCGCAUGGUGCUACUGCCUCAGCCACUAAAAUGGCCAUAACUUUUUGCUCGGGUAUUGGAUUUUUGUGAAAUUGGUAUCAUUGGAAAUAUAAUUCAAUUAUAUACAAUUUGAUAGGUAUUGGGAUGAAAAAUUCCAUGUAUAUAAAGAGUUAUACAUGUUUGAAGUAGACCCUUAUAGAAUCGAAUGUCAAAUUUAGACGAAUCAAUUGAUCUUAGCUCAGCUUUGUUAUAGGUCAUUGCUAUGAAAAUUUUUCACCUCUAAACUACUCCAUAGACUAGGAUAAUGAUCAUGAAACUUAUAUUCACAUGAUAAUGACUUGGAUUAGAUCUUAUACGUGUAGAACGAUGGUAUUGUACGCGUAGAAUAUGCGUAGAACGAUCUUAUACUGCACAAAAAUAUAGGGUAUUACAGUUAUGGUAUUGCAGGUACUGUAGAAUACAGGUAUGAAAAUAAGGUUGGUUACAUGAAUAAUUCUAAUAAUAAAAUCUUCAUACAAAAUGCAUCUCAAAUCAAGAGAAUGUGUGAAAGAAACGACAAUCUUGCUAAGUCAAAAAUAAAUUCGACUAAAUGGAUGAUAUAAUUAUUGCGGUCAUUUUAGAAAUGAAUAUUAAGAUCAGUGUGAGAAAUUGGGUGGUAUAUUCUGGUGCUACUAGGCAUAUUUGUAUAAAUAAAUAAUUUUAUAUCAUAUACCCAAGUUAAGAAAGAAGAAUAAAUUAUUUAUAUCGGGACCUCGAGAACUAUUCAAGUUCUUGGAAAAGGCAAAGUUCUUAUUAAACUCACAUCUGGUAAAACUUUGGCAUUGAGUAAUAUAUUGUAUGUUCCUAAUAUGAUAAUUAAUUUGAUUUCUGUUGCAUUAUUAGGAAAAGCUGGAAUAAAGGUUAUAUUUGAAAUUAACGAGGUCAUAUUAACCAAAAAUGUUAUUCUUAUUGGAAAUGGACGUUGUAAUAUGGACUUUAUGUACUUGAUAUUAUCAAUGAUAAUGCAUCAUUUUUUUCUAAUAUGAUUGAGUCUAUAUCUUUAUGGAAUACAAGAUUAGGACAUGUUAAUAUGAAAUAUAUAAAGAAUGUGCAAUCACUUAGUUUAAUAUCUGGUUUAGAUUUAAGUAAUUUCAAUAAAUGUGAAAUAUGUGCUGAAGCUAAAAUUACUAAAAGGUCAUGUUUUUCAGUUAAUAGAGAAAUAGAAUUGUUAUCCUUGAUUCACACUGAUUUAGGUGAUUUAAAACAAACUAUGACUUGAGGUGGUGAAAGAUAUUAUGUGACCUUUAUUGAUGAUUUCUCUAGAUUUACUAAGUUGUAUUUGAUUAGAAAUAAAGAUGAUGCAUUUGAUGCUUUUGUGUCUUAUAAAUCUGAAGUUGAAAAUCAGCUUAGUAGAAAAAUCAAGAGAAUUAGAUCUGAUAGAGAUGGAGAAUACGUAUCAUUAAAUGCCUUUUGUGAAAAAUAAGGUAUUAUUCAUCAAGUAACUCUGCCUUAUUCCCCUGAGUCUAAUGGUGAACUUGAAAGGAAAAAUAAGGCAUCGAAAGAAAUGACGAAUUAUAUGUUAAUUAGCUCUAAUUCUCCUGAUAAUUUGUGGGGUGAAGCUAUUUUAUCUGCAUGUCAUUUAUAAAAUAGAAUUCCUCAUAAAAGAACUGGAAAAACCCCUUACGAAUUAUGGAAAUGUUAUAAACCUAAUUUGAAAUAUUUAAAAGUGUGGGGUUUCCUUGCUAAAGUUUUUCUUCCUGAACCUAAAAAGAGAAAAAUAGGUUCCAAAACUGUUGAUUGCAUGUUUAUUGGAUAUGCUGAACAUAGUUUUGCAUAUACAUUUCCUGUUUUGAAAAGUGAUGUGUUGGAUAGCAAUACUAUAAUUGAGACAAAGAAUGCUGAAUUCUUUGAAAGUGAAAACGAUUCUACCUCUAAUAUUGAGGAACUGAGAAGGAGUACAAGGCCUAGAAAAGAAUAUUUUCCAUAUGAAAAUGAUUUUCAAACUUUUCUUAUUAAUAAUGAACCAUCAAAUUAUUUUGAAGCUUUAUCUUUUUCUGAUGCUAAAUUUUGAAAAGAGGAAAUAAAAAUUGAACUUGAUUCAAUUAUGAAAAAUAAUACAUGGAUUUUAAUUGAUUUACCUCCUGGUGCAAAAUCGAUUGGUUGUAAAUGGAUUUUCAAAAAGAAACUUAAUUCGGAUGGAUCUUUAAAUAAAUAUAAAGCUUGGUUAGUAGAUAAAGGAUUUUCUCAAAAGAAAAAUAUUUAUUACUUUGAUACAUUUAUACCAGUAGCAAGAAUUGCUUCUAUUCGAAUAUUAAUUGCUUUAGCAUCAAUUCAUAAGUUGUUUAUCCAUCAAAUGAAUGUAAAAACAGCUUUCUUAAAUGGCGAUUUAGAAGAAGAAAUUUAUAUGGUUCAACCUGAAGGAUGUGUAAUUUUUGGACAAGAAAAUAAAGUUUUAAAAUUGAUUAAAUCUCUUUAUGGCCUUAAAGAAGCUCUUAAAUAAUGGCAUGAGAAAUUUGAUCAAGUCUUAAUAAAAGACAACUUUUCUUCUAUUGAAGUGGGUAAAUGUGUUUAUACAUUUAUCUUUGGAUAAAUGUGAUCAAGUCUUAUAUUUGGUACAUGUUUAAAUAUUGUGGAACGUACCAAAUUAUUUUUGUCUACUAACUUUGAUAUGAAAGAUCUAGGUGAAGUGAAUAUAAUCCUGGGAAUUAAAGUUAUAAGAAGUGAAGAUGGUAUAAUGUUGUCACAAGAACAUUAUGUGGAAAGGCAUUUUAACAAGUUUGAAUGUUGGAUGGUAACUCCUGUAGUCACUCCUUAUGAUGCUAAUUCUAAAUUAAAAAAGAAUUAUGGUAACCCAGUUGCUCAGUCUAAGUAUGCACAGAUCAUUGGGAGUUAAAUGCAUUAAAUGAAUUUUCUAGGCCUGAUAUAGCCUAUGCUGUGUGUAGAUUGAGUAGAUAUACUCAUAAUCCCAAUAAUGAGCAUUGGUCUGCAUUAACACGAUAGAUGAAAUAUUUGAAAGAAACCAUGAAUUUUGGUAUCUUGUAUAGCAGAUUUCCUUUUACUUUGGAAGGGUAUUAUGAUGCAAAUUAGAUCUCUAAUUCAGACGAGACAAAAUUCACUAGUGGUUAUGUGUUCACGCUUGGUGGAGGUGUAGUAUCAUGGAGAUCAACUAAGUAGAUGAUCAUUGCUAGAUCAAUUAUGGAAUCAGAGUUUGCGGCUCUGGAGUUAGCUGGUACUGAGACUGAAUAGCUAAGAAAUUUAUUAGCGAAUAUUCCUUUUAAAAAGGAUGAUCUGUUUCCUUAUAGCCCUUUAAACAAGGAUGAUCUGUUGCCUGAUAUCCCUUUGAAAAGGGAUGAUCUGUUGUCUAAUAUCCCUUUGAAAAAGGAUGAUCCGUUGUCAAAUAUUCCUUUGAAAAAGGAUGAUCUAUUUUCUACAAUCCCUUUAAAAAAGAUGAUUUGAUGCCUCCUGUGUAUAUAUUGUGAUUAUCAAGCCGCUAAUGCUAUUGUGAAGAAUAAAUCUUAUAGUUGUAAGAGCAAACAUAUGAAAUUGAGGCAUAAUAUUGUUAAGCAGCUGCUGAGAGAUGGAAUAAUUUCCAUUGAUUAUGUGAAGUCAGAAUCGAAUUCAUCCAAUUCACUAACUAAAUCCGUGGGAAGAAAAUUAAUUCUUCAAACCUCAAAAGAGAUAGGUUUAAGGUCAAUAUGAUUGUCAAUAGAGAUGGUAACUAUAAUACCUCAAACUUUUCUUAAGCUUAAUUUCUCCUCGAGAAGGUUAAGGAAUGACUUACUAAGUGAGUAUCAUUUUAACCAUAAUGAAUUUCCCUAAUUUCGGCUUUUUAUCACAUGGAAAAUUUAAUAAUCUUUCCGUCGAUAUAAGACUCACCCAAAUCCGAUACCCGGGCAAGAAGUUAUGGCUAAUUUAAGUCCUAGUCAUAAAACACCGUCAUUUUAAUGCUUGGUGCAUCGCGGAGGUGGUCUAUUUAACAAUUGUCAAAUUCCAGUGAAGCACUGUGAUAGUGGCGCGUCCCGCUGAAGUUCUAGGUCCCAGCCAGUGGGACAAAACGAUGGCACCGCAUCGCGGUGACCCCCAGAAUCCCGUUUGGAAAUUUCCAGUGAGCUACCGCAAUAGUGGCAUGUCGCGAUGGCCCAUGAAUUCGGGUUUUCUAGUUCAAUUUUUUCAGAUUCGUGCAGAAGUUAAAAAGGGCACUUUGAACUUUUUUCAAUCCCCUUAAAUAGUACAAACACCAAAUUGAAGUCAUUUACAAGUAUUCUAUGAAGUUUUCCUUAAGUUUUCUCUCAAAAAGAAAACCCUAAGUACUUAAAAUCUCUUCCAAGAAUCUCAAGAAUCCACCAUAGCUUUCACAAAUUGAGUUGGGAUUUGAGGUUCCCAAGACAAAGGCUUCAAGAACCCUCACUCAAAGUAAGAAAAUAGAGUCUUAAGGAAGCUUCUUCAUCUACAAGUCAGAAUCUAAAAUAUGUGGGGUUUGAAUAAGAACACCCUUUAGUUCUUGUUCCGAAAAGAUUUAGUUUUCUAAAAGAAUUGCGUAAUUUCAAGAUGAAUUCAUAUUAUUUUUUCUAUAUUUCAAGUUUACAAGAUUAUGGAAUUGUUCAAGUUUUGAAUUGCAUGAUUUUCUUGUUUAAGCAUGAUCCAAGUUGAGAGUUCAUGAUAUAAAUUACAUAUUUCUAUGUUGAUACUAUAUUUUCGAGAAUUUACAAGAUUUGUGGUCAGGAAUUGAGCCUUAUUGUGAAAUUAUGAGCCUUUGAGAGUGAAUGAUUGUUACUCUUUAAGGUAUUACAAGAAGUGUACUUAUAUUUUCAUGUUAUUGAAGUUAUAAAGUUUAUUCGUGAUAAGUUUACCAAGAUUUCAAGAAAAGAAUUGAGUUUUGGUCCUAAGCUAAGAAAGAAAUCCACAUCUUUUGAUUUGAGAUAAAAAGGGAAGCAUGUUGGCUCUCACUACAUAUUGUUGAAUUGUUUAAGAUGGAUUUUCUUAAAGCUCUAAGCUAAGUAAGGGAGUAGUACUUAGCACCGAGUUGGGUUUGAUUCUGAGGCCUCAUGUCCUAGAACUAUGUGCCCUCGUAGGUUUCUAAAUUACCCCAAGUUUUUUAAGCUAUUGAUCACUAAAAAGUAAAAAUUCUACUCUGAUGGAAAGGAUAGAACAAAUCUCUCCACAUGGGCAAGACGUUGGACUCCAUGUAGCUCACAUGGUUUAUGUCGGUUAGAAGAAACUCCCAGGUGUCCCAAAGUAUCUUAAGUUUUUCUAAAGUUUCAAGUCGUAAAGUUUUAAGGUACCAAGCUCUUGAGUUUUCAAGAAGUUUUACCCUCCUAAGGCUAAAAGCAUGAGUUCUAAAAGUAUAAGCAUUUCAAAAGUUGAUAUUUUAAGAUCUCAUCUGGUUUACAAGUUUGAGAACAAAGAAAGAAUACAGGUUUAGAAUAAAGUGAAAUGACUCACGUGAUUUAUAUUAUCUGUUUUCCAUCUAAAAUUUAUGAGGAUUUUAUUCAAGCGAUGUGAGUCAUCUAUUAUAACACGUAUGUUUUUUAUAAAUACUUGUGAUAUUGACUAUUUAAUUGCAUACACCCUCAUAUACUCAGUAUAUUCCCAAAGUACUGAUCCACAUACUUGUUUGUGUGCUACAUUUUCUCGUAAUGUAGGUUCAGGUGCUCAAUCCCAGCCUCAUCGUGAUUUUUGAGUACUUUAUCUACAUUCCAGCAGUGGUGAGUCCUCAUGCUUCGAGGACCGUUUAUCUUCAGACAUUUAGUUUAUUUAGUAGUUGUUUAUCCCUUAUCAGUUGAGUAUUAGUCAGUUGGGGACCUGUCCCAAUGACUCUCUAAUUCUUGAGUAGUAGAGGCUUUGUCAAACUAGUUAUCAGAUGUUUAGUAUGUUGAGAUUUCCAGUAUUAUGGUUGUUUGGCCAGAGUAUUUUGUUCUUAUUUCUUAUCAUAUGAUAUGACAGUAACAAUGUUUUAUUUAUUUCACCUCUAAGUAAGUUAUUAUACGAAGUAGUAGGCUCAAAGGGUUAGCUUGGGGCUACUUGUAGCCUUAUGCACUGUGUGACGUCUCGGAACCCAGUUUCGGGGAGUUACAGUAACCCAACCUAUGUUAUUGGAGAUCCCAUGAAGUAGGUUCAUAUGGGUAAUAAAAACUCGAUUUGAGUCUGUGCACUUAUUGAGAGUGCUUGAACUGCUACUAAAAUGGAGGGAUGAGUUGUUGACUCUUAAUGAAUUCAUAGUCCUUAUUGAUGGUGUAUUUAAAGCAGUGUACACUUGAUAAAUUCACCUACAUGAGAAGUGGAAUGAGGCCGUUCCUAUGAGACUUUUGGACUUAGGCUCUAGUGCUCUCAUGAAUACCAAGCGCGCGUAUGGCCUAUUGGUGAAAAACCGCAUUGAACAACAAAAUUACGGUCAAAAUGUGAUUGAUAAAAUCUCUGGCUUACAACAAGAAUUAUUCGGUUCAUAUAAAUAUUAUAUGUCACCAAUAAUUUUAUAAGUUAAACUUUAUUUGUCUAAGUUUGGUUCAUAGUCCAAAAGACACCAAACCUACUGCAUUUUGUCCAUACAAGUACAACAAGUUAAAAUGUUUUUUAUAUAAAUUAUUUUAAAAUAAUGUGUGGAUUGUAGAAAAAAUAAUUUAUUUCAAAAUAAUUUAUUGUGUAUUUGGAAAAGGGAAAAAGAGCCAUAUUAUUUACUUGGAGAGAAAGAAAAGAAAGGAGAAAAGGAAAAAGAAAAAAGAUCCACCGCCUCUGCUUCCACUGCCCCAACAGUAUAAAUAACAUGUAUUUUCUUUUGCAAAAAAAAAAAAAAAAAAACAACAACAUAUACUUCCAACUAUCCAAUUUCUUUUUCCUUAGUUCCAUUCUAAUUAUCAUCUUAUUGUUGUUUUCUUCUUUAAUAUUUUAACUUGUUGGUAUUUGUAUUUAUAAUUUUGUUGAUUUCUUUACCCUUUGGUUAAUUAGGAAAGACUUAUUUAACUCAAAAUAUCCUCUAAUUAAUCAGGGAAGUGCUUGUUUAAUUCUGAAAAAUAUUUCACACUGCUAAAAUAGUUUCUUAGGACAGUGCCUAGCACGACUCAAGUAUAAUUAAUCUAUUUCUUAAAAAGUAGUUAGAUUUCUAUUAUAAUUUCCACAUUGAUUAUAAUAUUAUCACUGAGGUAGUAGUAAUAUUAUACACUGUUUAUGUUAUUGUAUUGCUAAUAUUAUUAAUAUAAUAUUUUGUGAACAGUUAAUAAUAUUGUUAUUAUUUUUUUUCAUUGUUCCCCAACAACUUGUUCUAUGGGGGUUCUCUUAUCAUUACUUAUGUGGGACUGCUACAUGAGUAUUUUGAUCAUUGUGAAUUUUACAAUCACAUUGUAUUCGAUUAAAUGGCAUAAAAUAAGAAACAAUUUAGACCUUGUAAUCUAAGGGUUAUCUACUCCUCCUCGGUAGUUGGUUCUCCACUUUUAUUUAUUUGGUUAGAUGCUUGAUUUGUUGAUUGGUAUCAUCUUUUUUUUUACUCGCAAUUGAAUCCUCCCCCAUGUUUUCUUUUGGUAAUUUUUAAUCUCUAUUGCUUUUGUUCUUGGCUUUUAAUAUUUUAGUUUUUGGUCUGGAAUAUUGAUUCUCACAUGGUUGUAAGAUUUUAAUAUUCCUAUAAAUAUAUUAUGUAUGGUAGGGGAAGAAUGUUCUUUGGUAAAUUAUGAGUUGAACCACCAUUACAACAUAAUUACCGUUAACAUUUAGCUUUUAGUUAGUUAGAAAUCGAAAAGGCCAACUAAUUCAUCUAAUUUUCAUUUUUAUGUUUCCUUCAAGAAAACCUUGAACUGAUUAAGCGUUCUCAUCUUUGCAAUUAAGUUAAUAGCCUCUUGGGCAAAAGUUAUAGAUCAUCACCCAAAUAAUUAAAAGUGUCGACUCUCACCCAUAUUGUUCCUUUGAUGUCUAAGUCCUCUAGGGCAAGGGUUAUAGAUCAUCUGCCAAAACAUUAUAAACUAUGCUAGUGUCAACUCUUGUCCAUAGGGAAUAACUUGUUCCUUUGGGGUCUAAACAUCUUGCCUCUUGGCAAAGAUUUAUAGAUUAUAUACCAAAUCAUUACACACUAAUAUAGUAUCAACGCUUGGCCAUGGGGCAUAACUUGUUCGUUUGUUGUAUUAAUUUUUGCCUAUAGGACAAGAGCUGUUGAUCAUCGGCCAAGUCAUUACACACUAAGAUAGUGUACACUCUUGCCAAUAGGGCAUAAUUGGUUUCUUAGAGACUUAAGUCUUGCCUCUAGGAAAAUGUUAUAGAUCAUCUGUCAAAUCAUUGAAGAGUAAGCUAGUAUCAACUCUCGCCCAUAGGGCAUAACUAGUUUUGCAUCUUGCCUUUAAGGCAAAUUUUAAAGUGUAUCUCGUGGAAUUAUUUACAUUACAUAUCUUGGGGUGUAGUUCUUCCCCAAUUCCUGUUAAUAUGAUAUAUUUUUACCCAUCAAUAUAUAAAAAAAAUUAACAUGCAGUAACUUUCAUAAACAAUCAAUAAGAAGGUAUUAAGUACUUCACCACAAGUUAAAACUUUGAAUAAAUAAGUAGACAUUCGUGCAACUUGUUUUGUUUAAAGUCAAAAGUACUUAUUUCUAGCUAAAAUAAGGGAUCAAAGAAUCCAAUUAUAACUGCUAUUUUGAUCCAUCUUCUCGAAUAAAAAGUAAAACUAAUUAUGUAUUUUUAUUUUUCUUUCUGUAUAUUCUUGCGUAUGGAUGAAGUAUUGGAGUGUAGUGACAAUUUGAUCUGUUGUGACCGAUUCUUUUGCAUCUCAAACAUUUGUAAUUGUUUCUUGAAGAUUAUGUUCUACAAGGAUAUCUGAUUGUUUGUCUUCUCCCUAGGAGAACCUUUAUAUUCGGGGGUUUUGUGAUUAGAUCCUUUAUACUAUCUGGAAAUAUUCAUGAUGUUGUGCUUUCAACUGGUAGGAUUUCUCCCUAGUAUAUUUGUAUCCAAGAUUGUCUUGAGAACCAAAGAGAACAAUAGCUAGACUUGUUCAUAUUUCUACUGUUUAUCGCUACAAUUGUAUUGGUGUAUGGUAUCUCAUCUGUUUAGAAUACCAAGCAUUGAAAAGUCAUAUUCUUCAAGUCUACAAUAUAUUCAACUCUUUCUUCUCUUACAGCAAAUCUUGUUGCAUCAAUAGGGUUUACCUGCAAAUAAAAUGACAAAUAAAUGACAACUUAUAUUUAUUGUAAUCUUGAAAGCUAUGUCCAUGAAAGCUCAAGAACAAAAAUAAGCCACAAUGAAAUCACAGAUAUGAACAUAUCACUUUCUAGUGAUUUAGUAUAACAGAGACUAAUUAAGAGUUUAGUUUAACUCAGCAACAAAAAUUAUUCAGUGACAUUCUCUACAGUCAAUUCACAGAAUCUGGGUUCCCAUCAUUAACUCACUUCUACAUAAUAAAGUCAUAUGAACGUCCAUACAUAAAUAGAGACAUUGAUUCGAGAAAUCAAGUGAUAUCAUUGAUGACAUCAAUAAGAUUAAGAUAUAUAAAAUAUAACAAGUAUAAAAGAAAUUCUAGCUCUAUUACAGCGAGACAUACAAAUAUAUAUGUUAUAUACGUGGUCAUGUAUGUAAAAUGCAGGAAUAAGGAGUCAUCUGGUCAUAGAUUACUGUUUGGGUAACAGAUUAACUUGAUGCAGAUUAACUUGGUACUCUUGCCAAAAUGGAUGCUUUGUAUAUUUUUAGAAACUUUUCAUCUUAUUUCUUAGUGGAUCGGGUCAUUUGUUGGGCCUGUCCGAUCAAAGUAAAAUUAUGGAUCUGCUUUGAUUUUUGCAACAUAAAUAAAAUGGUCCAAUUGGACCAAAAUUUAUUUUAAAAAAACUUGAUAAAGGUUAUACUUUUGCAAAGAUCAUUUUUUUAAUAGUAUGUAGAGGUUAUUCUUCUUAAUUAUUUACUAAUUUUUCUUUGUAUUUCCCUAUUACCAAAAUACAAGUUCUACCAAACCCUCAGUAUUCUUUUAAGUAUACAUAUUGAGAGGCAAAUCAGUUGCCAUAACUACUUCUAAUUGAUCCACGGCUAAAAAAAAAAACUUACAACUCAACAAGUAGUAAAAUGUUGACUUAAAAUGACUUAGAAACAGAAGAACACACCAAUUUAAAUCUGCAUUUCAUGUGGAUAAAUAAAUGGUUCAAAUGCAACAAAUAGUAGUUCUUCUCCUGGAACAUUUAAAGAAAGAAAUGUGUCUUUGUAAGACUAAAAGUCUUUGCAGAAAUUAUUUACUUUCAAUUUCAAGGAUCCACUUUCGUCCAAUGUGUGAUGUCAUGAAACAUGCCUUGUGUGUCUAUUUUUUUUAUAAAACCAACUUUGUAACUUGUUCUAAAUGCGAUCAAUAAGUCCCAUUAUUGGUAGUUGUCGUGUUUUUCUCAGUACCGCAUUCAUGGACUCUACGUUGUUAGUCAUGAGCAUACUGUGCCUUCUAUUUGUAUGAAAUGAAUGUGCCCAUCUUUUUGGUUGUUCUUCUUUCAAGUAGUUUGCAGCAAAUUUGUCAACUUUUUCUAUCUCAUCCAUUAAAGUAUAAAAUUCAGUGCAUUUGUAUGUUAUCUGCAUUGUAGAAGAGUGAAGAACUACAUCUGAGAAGUAUCUUUCUAUUAAAAUUUUCUCAGUAUGAUAAAUGCAUAUUCCAUGCUGACACUCUGUAUAGACAUUUGCAUUUGCAAUGGCUGUGUGGUGAUCUGAUAAAAUAGACAAUUGUUCACGUACCCCAAUUAUAUUUCUUAACUGAUUGAAGAACCAGUUAUAAGAGUCAUUAGUUUUUGAGUCUGAAAUUAAAAAGCCAAAGGAAAUAUGUUAUUGUUUCCAUCCUUUGACACUACUAUCAUUAGGAUACCACAAUAUUUUUACUUCAAAAAUGUUGCAUCUAUCAUUAUUACCGGUCUACAGUUGGUCCAUCCAAUGAUUGAAGCACUAUAAGCAAAAAAUACAUACUGAAACCUAUGUUGAGCAGAAGAAUAUUAGUAACAUUUUGCAUUUGAUGUUUAUAAUCACUACAAGAGUAUUUUAAUCUAAGUCUUGUCUAUGAGGUAAGAUUUGCAUAUAUGUUAAUAAUCUAAGUAGUGCAAUUAAGGAAUAACCUUUUGCCUCUUAGGCAAAAGUUUUUAAUUUCGACAGUAUAGCAUGUGUACCUGUUCUCAUCGUCCCUCAUGACGUUUGUGUACGUUCCCAGGUUAUUUUAUUUCAUCUUGUGAAGAUACGAUGGCAACCUGUUGUAGUUCUUUAAAGGUGUUCCUCUUAUCACCCGUAUAAACAUGUUGUAUUGUUCGCCAUCCUUUGUUGUAGGAUAUGAUUAUUCCGUAUUUCCUUUUCAUUUCAUCUACCACAAAGUUUGGUGUGAUUACAUUACUAGAGUCACGCACAAACUCUAGUAUGUAGUCACAUAUGACCUUCACUGUUGCAUUCUUAUGGUUGAAGGUUAUGAAAUCAACUGGCAACUGUGAUCCUUUUCAUAUGUUGUAACCUGAAAGAGAAAAGAUUCGACAAUCUUCAAGGCAUGAAACUACCGCAUGUAGUUGUCGUCCCAACAUCUCAGUGAAUAUCUUGUUGUGCUAGAUUUCAUAACCUUAAACUGGAUGUUGUGUGUAAUUCCAAUAUGUUACAUGCACUUCACCAUAUUUUUUUUUAUCAAGGAAAAUCGACUUGACAUUUACCUCAUUUAGAGAGGCAUUUCAUCUUAGAAAACUAGUUUUGAUAUCGAUUAUCCUCUUCUUCUUUUUGCCGUUCCCUUUUAAUCUUGGAUUGCUGCCCCCAUUUGUUCAGUUAUUUCAAUCUCCAAUAUUGGUUUAAUAACCAUUAUCUUAUUAUUUGUGUAAAUACUUUCAAUUGAUUUCCCUAUAUUAUAUUUCUCAAUACCCAUUUCUUUUUCAUCCAUUGCAAGCACAAACCUAAUGAAAAAUGAAACAACAAAAGCUUAGUAAUAGUUUAAUUUAGAAUAUACAUAUUUAGUAAGUAAAUUCAUUAAAAAUUAAGGUAGUUGUAAUACCCCAGGAAAUUUUUCGUUGAAAUUUUGUGCGUAAACGUGUUGGGUUCUAUCUUCUAGAAUGAAUUAUAAAUUUUCUGUGCAGAAUGUCUUAGAUUAUGACCCACCAUUCUGUAGAGUAUCAAAUAAUCUCUCCAACGAUAUGUGGAUCAUCCAAAACGGAUACCCGAGCGACAAGUUAUGAACAUUCCGAUCGAACCGUGAAUAGUAGUGAACAGUAAAACGUGCAGGAAAAAGUACUGAGGCCUGGCGUAUUUUUGCUCCAAAUUUAAAUGAUCAUAACUCCUUGUAAAUAAUGAUCCGGGUGAUCUACUAUAUAUCAACGGAAAUAUCUGCGAGUCUUCUUUCCAAUGAAAUUAGUUUCAUCCAAUUUGUCUAUUGGAGCAAAAAGUUAUGGUCGAUCUACUUCAGCCUAUCAAAAGUGAAUUUUUGGGUCAACUUCAAAUGAUCAUAAAUCCUCAUACACAAUGAUCUAGGUGAGAUACUAUAUAUCAAUGGAAAGAUAUGAGAGUCCUCUUUCUAAUAAAAUUGUUUUCAUCCAAAUUGGAUAUCGGAGUAAAACAUUAUGGUUGAUCUACUUCAGACUAUCAAAACAGUCCACCAAAGGAUAGAUUCGAGAAUUAUUUGAUUUUUAGGGGCGUUUUGGUCAUUCCCCCUCACCCAAAAUCCGUCCAAACCCUAUAUUAAAGCCUAUUAGAAGCAUUAUAUAUUAUAUUACAUCAAAUUCCCUCAAAAAGAAAACCCUAAGCUCCUACAUCCAACUUCAAGAACCUCCAAAGUUCACCAUUAAUUCUGCAAAUUUAUUCAAGAUUCCAAGUUUCUAGUUCAAGAACUCCAAGAACCAUCAUUCAAAGGCACGAUUAACAUCUCAAAAAUGAGUAUCGAUCUAAANNNNNNNNNNNNNNNNNNNNNNNNNNNNNNNNNNNNNNNNNNNNNNNNNNNNNNNNNNNNNNNNNNNNNNNNNNNNNNNNNNNNNNNNNNNNNNNNNNNNNNNNNNNNNNNNNNNNNNNNNNNNNNNNNNNNNNNNNNNNNNNNNNNNNNNNNNNNNNNNNNNNNNNNNNNNNNNNNNNNNNNNNNNNNNNNNNNNNNNNNNNNNNNNNNNNNNNNNNNNNNNNNNNNNNNNNNNNNNNNNNNNNNNNNNNNNNNNNNNNNNNNNNNNNNNNNNNNNNNNNNNNNNNNNNNNNNNNNNNNNNNNNNNNNNNNNNNNNNNNNNNNNNNNNNNNNNNNNNNNNNNNNNNNNNNNNNNNNNNNNNNNNNNNNNNNNNNNNNNNNNNNNNNNNNNNNNNNNNNNNNNNNNNNNNNNNNNNNNNNNNNNNNNNNNNNNNNNNNNNNNNNNNNNNNNNNNNNNNNNNNNNNNNNNNNNNNNNNNNNNNNNNNNNNNNNNNNNNNNNNNNNNNNNNNNNNNNNNNNNNNNNNNNNNNNNNNNNNNNNNNNNNNNNNNNNNNNNNNNNNNNNNNNNNNNNNNNNNNNNNNNNNNNNNNNNNNNNNNNNNNNNNNNNNNNNNNNNNNNNNNNNNNNNNNNNNNNNNNNNNNNNNNNNNNNNNNNNNNNNNNNNNNNNNNNNNNNNNNNNNNNNNNNNNNNNNNNNNNNNNNNNNNNNNNNNNNNNNNNNNNNNNNNNNNNNNNNNNNNNNNNNNNNNNNNNNNNNNNNNNNNNNNNNNNNNNNNNNNNNNNNNNNNNNNNNNNNNNNNNNNNNNNNNNNNNNNNNNNNNNNNNNNNNNNNNNUGAGAAUUGAUAUUCUUGAUGAACUGAAAGUGUUUGAUAAAUUAUAUGAUGACUCACAUGUGUUAUUAUACUUAUUUCAUCCUCUCAUGAUUAUGACGAUUUUCUUCGGGCUAUGUGAGUCUUUCAUACAUCCUGCAUAUUUCUUAUAAAUAUUUAUGAUGAUGAUGUUUAUAAAACUACAUAAACACCCCCAUAUACUCGAUUCCUUUCCAUGGUACUGACCCACAUCUUCAGAUGUGGCCUGCAUUUUCUUGAAAUAUAGGUUCAGGUGCUCAGUUCCAGGUUCUACAGUGAUUCUUCGUGCAUGCUGUUCUACAUCCUUUGUUGUGGUGAGUCCUCAUGUUCCGAGGACAUGAUGUCUGAUGUUGGUUUCACGGAAUUGUUUACAUUUGAUAACUGAGUAUGAUUCAGUUGGGGUAUGUCUCAAUGGCUCGCUGGUUUUAUUGAUUUUCUUAAAGGCUUGUCAGACUAGUAUAGAUGUUGGGAGUUGACUAAUAAGUUGUAUUUUGUUAUCUUUCUGAAAUUCUUUUAUUCUAGGAUGAUGAUUACUCUGUUGAUAUUUGAGGGUUAUUUAUGGAAACCCCGUUGAUUUGUGUUGAACUGAAUGAAAAUGGCUCAAAGGGUUAGCUUAGGGCUACUUGUAGCCUCAAGCACCAUGUGACGCUCUGGGACCCAUUUUCCGGGGCGUUACAGCAGUGUAAACUAUUGUCCAUGUAGCAUAACUUGUUCCUUUCGUGUCUAAGUGUCACAAUCCAAACUGGGGCCCUGACCGCGACGAGCAUAUCGAACCAUGAAGGCCCGGGCGCCCUUUCUAUCUAGCAAUCAUGAACACCAUUCAUAUACAAUAAGGAAAAGAAUGCGGAAAAGUAUUACAACGAAAUCAUGGUCAACUUUUAUUUCAAACUUCUCAAUACUGAAAUGAGUUCAUAAAUAUCAAUAACAUCUAAAACUAGUUUGCAAAAUCUCUGCAAACUGAAAUGACAUCUGUCUGAUAUAUGAGACAAGACCCUAGUUGGACCAUGAAUCAAAAUGAAAUACCAAUAACAAGUUCUAAUACAGGCCUUCCGAAGUAAGGGAGGCUCACCAGCUACAAACUUUUGAUAAGUCAAUUUACUGCUUAACAGGAUUCCAGGACUGUGUCUUAAAAUCCUGAAAUAUAAGAGGGUCAAUAAAGAUGUACUGGUACGCGUAACAAUCCAAAAAAAACAAAAUAUGUAUUUUUAUAAAACAUAGGUGAGAGCAUUUCAUAAAUCACAUAUCAUCUUGAAAUAGUUGAAAACACAUGGGCAUAAUCUGAGACCUUUAAAACACAUUCUGUAAUUCAUGACUCUACUCUUUAUCUUACUUCUGAGCUAGAUGGUACACCCUACAAAUCUACAAUUCCAUGGGCUAUAUGAAAUCCGCCUUUAAAUUGGCGGUCAAACCCCCAACCCAAGUUUACCGCAAGGGUUAGAGUAUCUGCUUAUUUACUAUGCCCCAGGGCCGUCACCAGCAUACAAUUUCCCUUUUCAGUAUCAUAAACCCGUGUUGGCAAAUCAUGAUUUUGGGCAAUGAGUAGUUUGAAUCGUGCCUUCUUCGGGUAACCAUCUAACUCUCUUAAGCCCAGUUUUAAAUUCUUUAAACCAUAUCUUCUUUGAAAAGUUAUUUCUUUCUCAAUAUUUUCGGGCACAUCAAAAUAGGGUAUCGUCAUACCCAGACUUGAAAAUCAUGUCACAACAUAUCUACUGCCCUUAUCUUAUUUCAAAAGAUGUUUAUUGACCACCCAAAAGAUCCACCAUUUGAACAAAAGUUCAUAUUUCAAAACAAUUGAAAAAUUAAACCAUUCUCAAUAUUUAUUCUGCUGUGGUCACCCUCUUUCAAUCACUUCAAAACCAUUCUAAAUAAGAAUCAUGAUCAUUAUACAAUAUGUAAAAACACUCUUUCCUUUCUUCAUGAAAACAACCAGUACAAUUCAUCCAUAAUAAUCCAUCAUCAGGCCCAAGCUUUCAACAGUUUGUAAAUUCAAUUCAUAUUAUGUAAAUCCAAUGAAAUUUGUAGUAAAAAAGGAAAUCACAAGUCUCAUGCUCUCAUUUACUUCUCAAUAUUUUACAAAACAAGUAAAAACAACCUCUCAUUUUCUCAUAAAGUAAUACAAUUGUACAUACCAAUUCAUCAACAGAUCCCAACCUUUAGCAAUUCAUAAAAUCAAUUUACGACAUGUAAAACUGGAGGGAUUUUCAUAUUAAAAGAGGGAAUUUUAGAUCCCAUGCUCUCAUUUAAUUUCACAAUUCUAAUAUCACAAGAUCACAUGAAAUAGUUCAAGUUUUAAGCACAAAUUUACAAUGUCUAUAAUACUUCAUCAAAUCAUAGGAUUUCCAACACAUAUUCACCAAGAUCUCGAAACCAAUUUUCAUAUGUAUACAUAUAACUUGUUAAAUCAAGUUUAAAAAAUGUAAAUCGAAGCCCAUGAGGUUUAGGAUAGUCCCACGUACCUUAGAUUAUUUAGUUUAAAAGAUGGAACCUGGAUCUUGAUUUGUUUCUUGGAAUUCUUGAUCUUAGGGAUGAGUUCUUGAUCUUUGGGGCCUUAGGGUUUUCUUGAAGAGAAAAGGUUGAAUAAUCUUGUAUCUAAUGCUCUUUGGGGCUCUAAUUAUCUGUUAUGGAUGAGUUAGGGUGGAGGAAAGGACCCUUUUGCCCUUAAAAAUGCAAAAACAGAACCUAAAAAAUAGCUGGGGGCGAUGGAGCGUGCGUCGCGGGCAUAUUGACUCAGCUUACUGCCUCUUCACGAAAACAGCUGUAACUUUUUGGUCGGUUAUCGGAUUUUGGUGAAAUUGGUAUCGUUGAAAAGAUAAUUCAAUUACCUACAAUUUAGUGGGUCUUGAGAUAAAAAAUUCUAUGAGUAUCAAAAUUUAUAUACAUUUAAAGUAGACCCUUGUAGAAUCAAAUAUCAAAAUUUGGAUGAAUGAAAGAUUCUUAGCUCAACUUUGCUCUAAGUGAUUUCUAUGAACACUUUUCACCUCAUAAUCACUUCAUAUACUAGGAUAAAGAUCAUGACUCAUGAAUUUAAAUAUAAACCAUAGAAUUAGAGCUUAUGCAUGUAGGAACGAUGGUUCGAUUUUUAGCUCGAAAAUGCACUCUCCGUAGUGAGAGUGGUGUUGUAAUUUUAAGGUGGUAUAUAAUCACUUCAAAAAGAUUUAGGAGGAUAAAUAAUUAUCCGUAAAGUUUAAGUGCUGAAGUAAGUUGUGGAGACAAGUUCGGGGGAGGGGGGAGGGGGAGAGGGGGGUUGAUGUAUUAUCUCUCUGAUUAUUCAUGCUAAUAAUCGAUUUAUCUUCACAAACCUCGAUUUUCUCUCAACUUCUCAUGAAUUUGCUCUCUUCCUACUUCAUGUUAAACAUUUAGUUAGUAUCACUAGAAUCAUGUUAUUAUGUGGAAUUAUCAAUAUUGAUAUUUAAUAGUUUCUUUUAUUUUCAAAGUAAUUAUCUUAUUGCGAAAAUCAAGAUAUCCCGCAAAAUUUUACAAGUAGUGAAAGAUAUUAUAAAAUAAAGCGCGACAUGAUUAUUUUUCACAAUACAUUGUACUUAGGUAUUGUCACUCUCUUCAUUUGUAGGAUAAUACAUAUCUCAAUCUUUUAUUCAGUAUGGGAAGAUGAUUAUGUAUAUUCAAUCUCUUUAAUUCUUAUCUUAUUAAGCUUUUCCUUGAGAAAAAUAAUCUUAUAUUGAUUUAAUUUAUUUUUGCUACAUCUCCUUUGUAUUUACGACUACAUUUGAAGAUGACGAGAUUGAUGACAUGAAUAGACUAUACGAAAAUAGAUUAAAACUUGCAUGUGAUGUGGGAUUAUAAAUUAAAAUAAUUUUAAAGAAAAUUACACUUUUGACGUUCCGAUAGUUAUAUCUUUACAACUUUUGUUAAGUUAAAUCAAUAAUUAUGUAAAAAGUCGACAGUAAAGUUUUAAUGAAAAAUAUAUAUUAGUCUUAAAUAUUGCUUGAUGUCGAAAGGUAAAUAACUUUUUCACGUGUAGGAAAAAAUUUAAUUUACUAAUGAAGAUAAAAAUUGUUAACAAGUAGAAUUUCUCUCAACAAUUUUUAAACCAUCCCAAUUUGAUAAAUAGUAUAUGACAAAUUUAAACCAAUGUUAAAGUGUACAGCAUCAGCUGUUGCAUUCUAGUUUGACUAAGCCUUUAGUAGCUUAAUUUUAGCAUUUAGUUAAGAUUUGUUAUUUUUCAGUUUUUCCCUGUUUCUAGUACUGCAGAUAUGUUCAUUAAAUUUAGGAGAACUUGUUUAGUGGAACUAAAGUAGUGGUUUAGUGGGAUAGUGACUCUUUAAGAUAUGUAAGCCUAUAUAAGGCCACUAAUCUAUUGAAUAAAAUUAGUUUAGCCACAUUCUCUGCAAACGUUUUCAGGCUUUUCUGUUCUCUACUUUCUUCAUGUUGUUUGUUCUGUACCAUUAUUAAACUACCUGGAAGUUGAGUUCAUCAUUUGGUAUCAGAGCCAGAUUUAAAGGUGAGAAAGAGAAGCCACGCAGAACAUUUAUCAGUUGUUGGUGGCAACAACCAUCUUCUUGAACAUAAUAGUUCUUUUACAGAAAAUAAAAUGACUGAUUUUCAAGCCAUAGGUGGAGUGAAGAAACUCAACCAUCAGAAUUACAAAACGUGGAUGAAAUGUAUGACCUCCUACAUGGAAGGUCAAAAUCUUUGGGAGGUCAUUAAUGAAAGCGAAGUCAAACCCAGGGUAGAAGAACCGAAUGGCGCUUUGAGGAAACGGAAGAUUAAAGCUGGAAAAGAAUUAUUUGCCCUCAAAACCACCAUCAAAGAAGAUGUAUUAGAACAUAUACGAGAUGCUGAAACACCAAAGGAGGCUUGGGACACGCUAGUUGCACUCUUUUCAAAGAAGAAUGACACACAGCUAUAACUUUUAGAAAGUGAAUUGUUGUAGAUAGCUCAAAAUGAUAUGAGAAUUGCACAAUACUUUCACAAAGUAAAGUCGAUAUGUCGUGAAAUUUCAGAAUUGGAACCAACAACUCCAAUCGGGGAAACCAGGACGAAAAGGAUAAUCAUUCAUGGUUUGAUAUCUGAAUACAGAAACUUCGUUACUGCAGUACAGGGAUGGAAAAAUCAACCAUCACUUGUGGAGUUUGAGAAUUUGCUUGCUGGCUAAGAAGCCAUGGCAAAAGUAAAUGAGUGCAGUUUCACAAAAAGGCGAGGAGGAAGCGCUCUACGUCAACAAAAACAAAGGUAACUCCAAGCAGUACAAUGCAGGUGGAUCGAAAAGAAAUGAUGAUAAGGCAAAAAGCCAUCAAGGAGAGGGAAGUUUUCGUCUAGGGGGAGCUUCAAAGAAUCAAUGGGGCAAAAACAAGAGGUUUGAAGGGAAGUGCCACAACUGUGGAAAGAAGGGCCAUAAAGCCAAGUUUUGUUGGUUCAAUAAAAGUUCCAUUGAAAGUAAUGUUGCUGCCACUUCCAGUCCAAAGGAAAAUAGUGAAGAUGACUGGGAUGCUGAAGCAUUCUUUGCUCUUGAACAAGAGGAGUUAGCUUUUACUGUAACAACCUCUAAACAAAUUGACUAUGAUAAUGACUAGAUUGUUGAUUCUGGAUGCUCAAACCAUAUGACUGGCGACAAAUAGAAGCUGCAAAAUUUGUCCGAGUACAAGGGACCAUGAGGUGGUGACAGCUGAUGACACAAAAUUACCGAUAGCUCACAUCGGUAAGGCUGUAGUGUCUCAAAUAAUUGUGUUGAUCUGAUACUGCUCCAAAAUGUUUAUCAUGUACCAGUUAUGAAGAAAAAUCUUCUUUCAGUAGCACAAUUAACAUCUUCGGGUCACUUUGUUCUGUUUGGUCCGCAAGAUGUAAGGAUAUUUCAUGAUCUUGAGAUUAAAAAAGAGCCAAUAAUGAAGGGAAAAACUGAAAAAUAACAAAUCCUAACUGAAUGCUAAAAUUAAGCUACUAAAGACUUAGUCAAACUAGAAUGCAACAGCUGAUGUUGUACACUUUAACACUCCCUCUCGACAUCAGCUCCUGUCUUAACCAUGCCCAGCUGUUGACAUAAACUUUCAAAUUUAUUCACACUAAAGCCUUUUGUGAACAUGUCAGCGAUUUGCUUGGUUGAAAAUUCUAUUUUUCAUGCAAGAACUAAGCAUGUGGAAAUACAUUACCAAUUCAUCAGAGAAAAGGUGUUGCAAGGAGAGAUUGACUUGAAGCAUAUUAAAACCGGCAGCAAAUUGCAGAUGUGUUCACAAAAGGCUUAAGUGUGAAUAAAUUUGAAAGUAUAUGUCAACAGCUGGGCAUGGUUAAGACAGGAGCUGAUGUCGAGAGGGAGUGUUAGAGUGUACAACAUCAGCUGUUGCAUUCAAGUUUGACUAAGUCUUUAGUAGCUUAAUUUUAGCAUUCAGUUAGGAUUUGUUAUUUUUCAACUUUUCCCUAUUUCUAGUACUGCAGAUGCGUUCCUUAAGUUUAGGAGAACUUGUUUAGUGGAACUAAAGUAGUGGUUUAGUGGGAUAGUGACUCUUUAAGAUAUGUAAGCCUAUAUAAGACCACUAAUCUAUUGAAUAAAAUUAGCUCAGCUACAUUCUCUACAAAUGUUUUCAGGCUUUUCUGUUCUCUGCUUUCUUCCCUGUUAUUUGUUCUGUACCAUUAUUAAACUACCUGGAAGUUGAGUUCAUCAUACUUCAACUAGAAUUUCAUUUGUUGCUAGAACUAUUUUAUGCAAUUUUGGGUGGUUCACACUUUCUUUAUGAUGCUUAUUUAUUGCCCAUGAAGUGUUAAAACAUUCUUUACAGGAAGACCUUGCUGACGACUUCGCUAAAAGAUGCUAUUUACUCAGCAAAUAUGGAAAGGAUGUAUGUUGGCAAAGCCGAACUCCAAAUGUACGGUACAAGCUAGAGAUUGUUACAUGACAAUUUAUUUGAGAAAAUUGGGACAACUCUCAAAAUAGAAAUCAUGUCUUACUGUUAUCUAUUUGGCUUUAGUAUGUGAGAUCCAUUAAUGGUACUUUUAUACGUAAACUCCUAAUUCAUGAAAAUCAUAAACUCUUGGAUGUUGUCUACCUAGAAGCUUUCUUUACACCUAACAAAGCAUCACAAGCAAUCAAACGACAGAAAACUAUAUAAUACAUUCGAAACUUUUCAUAAGUAGCUCGAGGACGAUCUUAUAUUAUGGUAAUGUUUUAUUAGUCUCUUUAGCUUUUAAACUAUUACAGGAUUUUUACAAUUUCGUGUUGGAUUCAAAAAUAUAUGAACCAAUCUCUUUUACACUUCCUGAGGAAAUCAUAGGCAUUUGCAAUGAAGAUAUACACAAUACCUACCAUUUGUAAGAUAUUUAAAAUAUUUAAAUUAAUUGCUUUGCAAUUUCAAGUGAAAAAUGGAUAUAUUAAAGUUUCUUUGAGAGAAAAAUAAUUUUGACCAUAUGACAAAUUAAUGAUCAAUCAUUUUACUUGGAGAUUAAUUAACAUGUAUACUUGGAGAACACAUAAAGUAAAUACUUAUUACCAAAAUAAAUAAAUUAAUUUACUAAUUGCUUUUAUCUUUAACCCACUAAAAUUGGCAAAAUCAUGGCCAAAUUAUUUUACUUGAUGCCAAAGGAAAAUAAAGAAAAGAACACGUGAUUCUUUCCUGCCAAGGAAAUGUAUAUUUCCACCGCCUCUGGCUAUAAAUAGCCAAUCAAUUCUCUGCAAUUGAACACACACAUAUAGAUAUCUUCUACUUCCUUUCACUGCUAACUUUUGUUAUCCUAUUUUAUUUUACCUUUAUUUUAUAAUAAAUUUUAAUAUUUCUUCUCUAAAUUAAGAUUUAUUAAAUUUAUAAUUAAUUUUGUUGAUUCUUAUAUUCUCUGAUUAAUAAGGAAAGAUUUAUAUAAUUCUUGAAUAUCCUCUAAUUAAUCAGGAAAGUACUUAUUUAAUCAUGGAGAAAUGUUUCACAUUGCAAAAAUACUUUCUUAGGACAGGGCCUAGCACGACUCAAGUAUAAUUAAUAUAUUACUUAAUAUCAUAUCGUUAUAAUAUUUGUUUAAUAUUCAAUAUUAUUAACUUAUCAAUAAUUAAUUAUAUUAUUGUUACUGUUAUUAUAUUAAUUAUAAUAUUAUUAUUGAAGUAGUAAUAUUAUUAUACACUAUUAUAUUAUUGUAUUGUUAUUAUUAUAUUAAUAUUUUUUUAACAGUUUAAAUAUUAUUGUUAUUGAUAUUUCUAUUACUGUUUUCCAACAAUCUAAGAAACUAUGGCAUAUAAUAUUUGUCCUAAGACCGUCAAUAAAACUGAUAUUGGUGUUGCUAUGGUUGUUUCCAUUCUAGUCAGUUUGUCAGAAGAUUAUGAUACUGCAAAAUUCAGGUAUGAAAAUAAACUUGUUAACAUGCCAAAUGUUAGUAAUAAAAUCUCAAUGCAAAAGAAUAUGUGAAAGAAAUGAAAAUUCCGCUAAGUCAAUAAUAAAUUUGACUAAAACGGAUGAUAUAAUUGUUGUGGUCAUUUCAGAAAUGAACAUUGAGACCAACGUGAGAAAUUAAGUGGUAAAUUCUGGUGCUACUAGGCACAUUUGUAUAAAUAAAAAUGAUUUUGUAUCAUUCACCCAAGUUGAGAAAGAAGAAGAAAUUGUUUAUCUUAGAACCUCGAGAACAAUUCAAGUUCUUGGAAAAGGCAAAGUUCUUCUCAAACUCACAUAUGGUAAAACUUUGGCAUUGACUAAUGUGUUGCAUGUUCCUAAUAUCAAAAUUAAUUUGAUUUCUGUGGCAUUAUUAGAAAAAGUUGGAAUAAAGGUUAUAUUUGAAAACAAUGAGGUCAUAUUAACUAAAAAUAAUAUUUUUACUGAAAAUGGACAUUGUAAUCAUGGAUUAUAUAUGCUUAAUACUCAUAAUGAUAUUACUACUUCUACGCAUUUGACUGAGUCUAUUUCUUUAUGGCAUGCUAGAUUGGGACAUGUUAAUUUCUCUUAUAUAAAGAAUAUGCAAUCACUUGGUUUGAUAUCUGGUUUAAACUCAAAUAAUUAUGAUAAAUGUGAAAUAUGUAUUGAAACUAAAAUUACUAAAAAGCCAUGUUUUUCAGUUAAUAGAGAAACUGAAUUAUUAUCUUUGAUCCACACUCAUUUGGGUGAUUUAAAACAAACUAUGACUAGAGGUGGAAAAAGAUAUUAUGCGACUUUUAUUGAUGAUUUCUCUAGAUUUACCAAGUUGUAUUUACUUAGAAAUAAAGAUGAUGUAUUUGAUACUUUUGUGUCUUAUAAAACUGAAGUUGAAAAUCAACUUAGUAGAAAAAUCAAGAGAAUUAGAUCUGAUAGAGGUGGAGAAUAUGUGUCUUUAAAUGCACUUUGUGAAAAAGAAGAAAUCAUUCAUGAAGUAACUCCGCCUUAUUCACCUGAGUCUAAUGGUGUAGCUGAAAGAAAAAAUAGGACAUUAAAAGAAAUGAUGAACUCCUUGUUAAUUAUCUCUAAUGCACCUGAUAAUUUGUGGGGUGAAGCUAUUUUAUCUGCAUGUCACUUGCAAAAUAGAAUUCCACAUAAAAGAACUGGCAAAACUCCUUAUGAAUUGUGGAAAGGUUAUAAGCCUAAUUUGAAAUAUUUAAAAGUACGGGGGUGCCUUGUUAAAGUUCUUUUGCCUGAUCCUAAAAAAAAAAAAGGUUCUAAAAUUGUUGAUUGCAUGCUUAUUGGAUAUACUAAAUAUAGUGUUGCAUAUAGAUUUCUUAUUUUGGAAAGUAAUGUACUUGAUAGCAAUACUAUAAUUGAGACAAAGAAUGCUGAAUUCUUUGAAAAUAUUUUUUCACUUUGUAAUAAAGUAUCUCCUGCACCCGCGAAAUCUACCUCUAACAUUGAGGAACUGAAGAGUAAAAGGUCUAGAAAGAAAUAUUUUUCUUAUGAAAAUGACUUUCAAACUUUUUUUGUCGAUAAUGAACCAUUGAAUUAUUUUGAAGCUAUAUCUUCUUCUGAUGUUAAAUUUUGAAAAGAGGCAAUAAAAGUUGAAAUUAAUUCUAUCAUGAAAAAUAAUACAUGGGUUUUAACUAAUUUACCUCUAGGUACAAAACCUAUUGGUUGUGAAUGGAUUUUAAAAAAAAAAUAAAAAUUUAAUCCUGAUGGAUCUACAUAUAAAUAUAAAGCUCGUUUAGUAGCUAAAGAAUUUGCUCAAAAGUAAAAUAUUGAUUAUUUUGAUACAUUUGCACUAGUGACAAGAAUUUCUUCUAUUUGAAUAUUAAUUACUUUGGCAUCGAUUCAUAAGUUUUUUAUCUAUCAAAUCAAUGUAAAAACAACUUUUUUUAAAUGGUGAUUUAGAAGAAAAAAUUUAUAUGGUUCAACUUGAAGCAUGUGUAGUUCCUGGAUAAGAAAAUAAAGUUUGUAAAUUAAUUAAAUCUCUUUAUGACCUUAAACAAGCUCCUAAAUAGUGGCAUGAGAAAUUUGAUCAAGUUUUAAUAAAAGAUAAAUUUUCUUCUAUUGAAGUGGAUAAAUGUGUUUAUACUAAAGUAGUAGACAAUGAUUAUAUGAUAAUUUGCUUAUAUAUAGAUGACAUGCUUAUAUUUGGUACAUGUUUAAAUAUAGUAGAACGUACCAAAUUAUUCUUAUCUACUAACUUUGAUAUGAAAGAUCUGGGUGAAGUUAAUAUGAUAUUGGAAGUUAAGUUAUAAGGAUUGAUGAUGGAAUAAUGUUAACACAAGAACAUUAUGUUGAAAGAAUUUUUAAGAAGUUUGAAUGUUGGGAGGUAACUCUUGUAGCCACUCCUUAUGAUGCUAACUUUAAAUUGAAAAAGAAUAAUGGUGAUCCAGCUGUCCAGUCUAAAUAUGCACAAAUUAUUAGGAGUCUAAUGCACUUGAUGAAUUUUACUAGGCCUGAUAUAACGUAUGCUGUGUGUAGACUGAGUAGAUAUAUGCACAACCCCAAUAAAGAGCAUUGGUUUGCAUUAGUGAGAUUAAUGAACUACGUAAAAGGAACCAUGAAUUAUGGUAUUCUAUAUAGUGGAUUUCCUUCUACUUUAGAAGGAUAUUGUGAUGCAAAUUGGAUCUCUGAUUCAGUGAGACGAAAUGCACUAGUGGUUAUGUGUUCACUUUAGGUGGUGGUGCAGUAUCGUGGAAAUUAGCUAAACAGACGAUUAUUGCUAGAUCAACUAUGGAAUCAGAGUUUGUAGCUCUAGAGUUAGCUGGUACUGAGGUUGAAUGGCUAAGAAAUUUCUUAGCGAAUAUCCCUUUUAAAAAGAAUGAUCUGUUACCUCAAAGCCCUUCUAAGAAGGAUGAUUUGUCGCCUAAUAUCUCUUUCAAAAAAGGAUGAUCUAUUGUCUAAUAUCCCUUUAAACAAGGAUGAUCUAGUGCCUCCCGUGUUUAUACACUAUGAUUGUCAAGCCGCAAUUGCUAUUGCGAAGAAUAAAUCUUACAGUUCUAAGAGUAGAUACAUAGAAUUGAGGCAUAAUGUUGUUAAGCAGCUACUGAGAGAUGAAAUAAUUUCCAUUGAUUAUGUGAAGUCAGAAUUGAAUUUGACCGAUUCACUGACUAAACCUGUGGGAAGAAAAUUAAUUCUUCAAACCUCAAAAGAGAUGGGAUUAAAGCCAAUAUGAUUGUCAAUAGAGAUGGUAAUCCAACCUAUGUGAUUGGAGAUCCCAUGAAGUAGGUUCAUAUGGGUAAUAACAAGUCUAUAUUGACACUGCACACUUAUUGAGAGUGAUUAAACUGCUACUAAAAUUGAUGGAUGAUUUAUUAACUCUUAAUGAAUUCAUAACCCUUACGGGUGGUGUAUUCAAAGCAGUGUACACUUGAUGAAUUCACCUAUAUGAGAAGUGGAAUGAGACCGUUCCUAUGAGACUUUGGCCUAGUCUCUAGAGCUCUCAUGAAUACCAGACACGCGCAUGACCAAUUGGUGCAAAACCGCGUUGAACAAUAAAAUUACGGUCAAAAUAUGAUUGAUAAAAUCUCUGACUUACAACAAGAAUUAUUCGGUUCAUAGAAAUAUUAUAUUACAUAGAUAAUUCUGUAAGUUAAAUUUUAUCGAUAUUCAUAGUUCGAAAGACACCAAACCUAUUACAUUUUGUCCAUAUAAAUCUAACAAGUUUUAACCUUUUAUUAUAAAUAUUUUAAAAUAUAUGAGGGAUUGUAAGAUAUUAUAAAAUAUUUAAAUUAAUUGAUUUGCAAUUUCAAGUGAAAAAUGAAUAUAUUAAAGUUUCUUUGAGAGAAAAAUAAUUUUGACCAAAUAACAAAUUAAUAGCCAAUCAUUUUACUUGGAGAUUAAUUAACAUGUGUAUUUUAUUUAUAGAUUAAUUAACAUGUGUACUUGGAGAACACAUAAAGUAAAUACUUAUUGCCAAAAUAAAUAAAUUGAUUUAUUAAUUUUUUUUAAUCUUUCACCCACUAAAAUUGGCAAAAUGAUGGCCAAAUAUUUUUACUUGAUGCCAAAGGAAAAUAAAUAAAAGAAUAUGGGAUUCUUUAUUGCCAAGGAAAUGUGUAUUUCCACCGCCUCUACAUGGCUAUAAAUAGCCAAUCAAUUCUCUGCAAUUGAACACACAUAUAGAUAUCUUCUACUUCCUUCCUAUUUUACUUUGCCUUUAUUUUAUAAUAAUUUUAAUAUUUCUUCUCUAAAUUAAGAUUUGUUGGAUUUAUAAUUAAUUUUGUUGAAUUUUGUAUCCCCUGAUUAAUUAGGGAAGACUUAUAUAAUUUUUGAAUAUUCUUUAAUUAAUCAGGGAAGUACUUGUUUAAUCGUGAGAAAAUAUUUUACAUUGCGAAAAUAGUUUUUUAGGACAGUGCCUAGCACGACUCAAGUAUAAUUAAUAUAUUACUUAAUAUCUGUAACACCCCGUUUUUCGGGCUAAAACAAAAACCAUCAUUUCUAUGCGUAGAUGAUCCAAAAGUCAUAAAUUUUAACGCCCGUAAAAGUCGUGCAUUUGUUAGCCCCUCGUAGUGUGCUCUUAGACUUGAAAACUUAAAAAUAUUCUAAGUGUCAAAGAGACUUAGUCUUAUUUUUAGUUCUUAAUCUUUGAGAAUUUUAUUUUCAAUCUUCCCGACCACCGUUUCUUGAUUUCUAAGUUGCGCUAUGAUCGGGGGAGUCUAAAGUACACAUUGGGUGAGUUUCAGAAUUUUCGGACCUCGUUUAGGGCAUGUUUGGAUGCCCAAAACAGUGGCAUCACGCGAUUAGCCCGCGUCGCAUGGUCCACAACACCGCGAUAUAGCAUGCGGCGCAUGGUCCACAACACCGCGAUAUAGCAUGCUCCGCAUGCUCUAGUUUGGUGGGAUAGAGCAUGCGACACAUGCUCUGCUUGCACGUGCCUGGAAAUUUCAGCCUUUAAACUCCGUCUCAUUAAGGGCAUUUUGGGUAUUUUCUAUUUCUUUUACAGCCUUAACAUGAAAUUAAAGCCCUAAUCCACCUCAUUAUUGAUAUUUCUCUCAAAAACCACCAAGAACACUCUCUAGGGUUUCAAACUCAUAAUUCAAAUAACUCAAGAUUUAACCGUAGUUUUUCAAUAAUUCUUCAAGAUUCGAAAUCCCCAUUGUGAGGGCUACAAGAUGCAUCCACCAAUCGUAUGUAUAGCAUCCCAAAAGUUAGAGUUCAUAUCACGACCCGAACCGAGGCCCUAGCCAUAAACAUUCCCGAACUGUGAAGGCCCGGGACGCCCUCUGUCUAUCUGGUAAUCAUGCAUAACAUUCAUAUAAUAAAAGAUAAUGCAGAAAUAGAAAUCUAAUACGAAAACAUGGUCAAUCUGAAUGUGAUCAUAAUACUGAAAACUGAAAUCCAAAAUAUAUCUGGAUAAUAAUAAUGUCAGGCUCAGUCUACAAAUCUCUACUAUGAACUAAAUAAAACUGUCUGAAAACUGGGACAAGGCCCCCAGUAGACCAAAACAUGACUAAAUAUAAAUAUCUGGAAGUAAACAGGCCUUCUGGAAUAUAGAAGGCUCACCAAUGCACAAUCUGAUCAGUGAUCUGAAAUAUCUACUAUUUACUUGGACCUCUAGACUGAGCCUCAGAACCUAGAAGGAUGGGGGGUCAGCAAAAAUGUACUGGAAUGCGAAGCAAUUCAAAAUAGUGUAUUUGUAUACGUAUAAAGUAGAUGAGAGCAAUUUAACAAAACAUCAUGCAUAAAAUAGUUUCGAAAACACAUGGGCAUCAUUUUGAACAUUCUGAGACAUUCUUGUCAAAACAGUUUCUGAUCUUUGUAUUACUUCUGAGUUAGGUGGCACUCCCCUACAAUUCUGAUAUUCUAUGGGUUGUAUGGAAUCCGUCAUUGACUCAGCGGGGAAGCCUCCAAUCCGAGUGUGCCGCAAGGAUUGGAGUCUCUGAUUCUAAUACACCACACGGCUCUAGGCCAGCGUAAUAUAUAAACCCGGAUCGAUAAAUUAUGAUUUUGGGCAAUGAGUUGUCUGAACUCAUGCCUUCUUCGGGGAACCACCUAAGCUCUCUUUAUGCCCUAUUUUAGCCUUUUCUGAACAUGCAUCAUUCUGAAGUUCUAAAACAUGCAAAUCUGAUAAAGUCUGAUUUCUGUAUUAGUCUGUGUCUGUUAUGGCAUUUUCUGAGUUGGUGUCAUCACACCAAGACUUGAAAGUUCUAUUUCUGAGUCAUAAUGCAAUAAGCAUGAUUUCUUACAUAAAAAUAUAAUUUCAGACCACCCAACCAUGUAAUUUGCAUAAGAGAUUUUAUAUUCCGAAACUCAAAUCAAAACCAUGCAAAAACUUUCAUCAAAUAGAUGGUGAUCAUGUGCUUUUGCCAAAACCAUGCACUCUUUCAUUAUAUGUAUAUUCAACAUCCAUCAACGUAAACAAUCCUCUCUCUUUUGAAAACAAAAUUCAUAAUCCAAAAUUAUCAUUUAAGACUUUUCAUAACAUGCUUUUCAAGAUGUGUUUUGAAACAAUCCAUAUCAUAUGAAGCAUGGAAAAAAUUACAUCAAGAGAGGGAUUUAAUAUAUAUCAUGCUCUCAAUUCAUAUUUCAAAACUUGAACACUUACAUACAGUAUAUAUAACAUUCAAAUCACUUUGAGGGAAAGCCAAAAGGCCAAAACAAUAUCCUUAAAGCUUCUAAAACAUGAAUAUCUACAUAAAUUUCAAAACCCCUUUCUUAAAACAUGAUUUCUAUGCCCAUGAGAAUUUAAAAAAAUCCCGCGUACCUCUAUUUAAGAAAUUGAUGGAUGAUCCUUGAAGCCUACGAUGUGGGGAUUCCAAAUCUCCAAUUAUCUUCCAAAACCAACGGUUGAAUCUUGAGUUAUUUGGGAUUUUUUUGUUUGAAACCCUAAGGGGUGUUCUUGAGAGAAAAUUUAAGAAAGGAUUAUAUUUUGAUAAAUUGAGGGCUAAAUCUGGUGUUAUAGAUGAAAUUUGAGUGAGGUGAAAUUACUAAAAUGCCCCUAAGAAAACAAACAAAGUCGAAACUGUCCCUCAGUUGACAAGCUCACAGGCUGAAGUAAAACGGGUAUAACUCCUUACUCAGAUGUUGGAUUUGGAUGAAACUAGUUGCAUUAGAAAGAAUACUCGAAGAGCUUUCAUUUUAUAGGUAGCAUCUCUCCCAGUUCAUUAUAUUCAGAGAGUUAUGAUCGUUUGAAGUUGACACUAAAAUGCUGAAAAUUGGGCAAUAGGCUAUGCGUUUUGCUACUGUUUUGAAAUCCAAACGCAGUCUUAUACGUUUCAAAAAAUUCCAAAACUUAUCCGAGAUGUACUAUGAGCUUGCCCGAUCAUAACGCAACUUAAAAAUAUAAAAACGGAUGUCGAAAAGGUUGAAAAGUUGUAUUCCAAAGUUUGCCAGCUAAAAUGACUCUAAGUCCUCAUUAUACUUAGAAAAAUUUUCAAGUUUUUUUUUUCAAGUCUAAGAGCACUCUAUUAAAGGCUAAUCCAUGCACGACUUUUACGGGGUGUUACAGUUCAUUCAAAAUCUUCUAAUUUAAGUUACACGGGGUUUUUCUCAAAUCUCAUGGGCAUAGAAAUCAUGAUUUUUAGAAAAGGGUUUUUAGGUUUAUGAAUACAUUCAUGUUUUAGAAAUCUUGACGGUAUUAUUUUGGUCUUUUGACCUUCCCCCAAAUUGAUUUGAAACUAUAUAUAUAUAUAUAUAUAUGUAAGCAUGUGUUUUAAGGUUGAUGAUUGAAUUGAGAGCAUGAUUCAUGAAAAAUUCCUCUCGUGUGAUAAUUUUCAUUUAUUUAUGAUAUACUAUGAAAUCAUUUGAAAGCAUCUUGAAAAGCAUGUUAUGAAAUGUCUUGAAUGAUGUUAUAUUUGAAUUAUGAUUUCGAUUUCAGAAGAGAGAGGGUUGUUUGUGUUGAUGAAUGUUGAAAAUAUUCAUAUAAUGAAAGAGUGCAUGAUUUUGCCAAAAGCACAUGACCACCAUAUGUUUGAAUAAUCUCAACAUAGUUUUGACUUGUGUUUUUCGGAACAUGAAAUCCUUGAUACUUUUGCACGUUUGGGUGGUAUGAACUGUGUGUUUUAAUGAAAGAAUUAUGCAUGAUAUAAAAUGUCUUGAAUGAUGUUCUAUUUGAAUUAUGAUUUCAAUUUCAGAAGAGAGAGGGUUUUUUGUGUUGAUGAAUGUUGAAAAUAUUCAUAUAAUGAAAGAGUGCAUGAUUUUACCAAAAGCACAUGACCACCAUAUGUUUGAAUAAUCUCAGCAUAGUUUUGACGUGUUUUUCGAAACAUGAAAUCCUUGAUACUGUUUGCACGUUUGGGUGGUUCGAACAGUAUUUUAAUGAACGAAUUAUGCAUGAUACAUUAUGGCUCAGAAAUAGGACUUGCAAGUUUUGGUGUGACGACACCAAUUCAGAUUAUGCCAUGAUAAUUCAGAACAGAAUAGAAUGCAUGUUUGAAGUUAGAUUUUUCAGAUGUUGAAACUAGAAUAAUGCAUGAUUCAGAACAGGAUAAAAUUGGGCAUAAGGAGAGAUUAGGUGGUUCCCCAAAGAGGCAUGAGUUCAGACAGCUCAUUUUCUAAAAUCGUGAUUUGUCGAUUCUGAUAUAUUAUUAUACGCCGGCCUAGUGCCCUGUGGCGUAUUAGACUUAGACACUCCAACCCUUGCGGCACACUUGGGUUGGGGGCUUCCCCGCCGAGUCAAUGACGAAUUCCAUAUAGUCCAUGGAAUAUCAGACUUGUAAGGGAGUGCCACCUAACUCAGAAGUAAUACAAAGAUAAGACAUUGUAUUGACAAGAAUGAUUUAUGAUUUUCAGAAAGUGCCCAUGUGUUUUAGAACUAUUUCAUGCAUGAUAUUUUGACAAAUUGCUCUCCAACUAUUUUACUUAUAUAAAAACUUUAUUUUGGAUUACUUUGUGUACCAGUACAUCUGUAUUGAUCCCCUUCCCUUCAGGUUCUGAGACACAGUCUAGGGGUCCUGAUAAGCAGUAGAUUUCAUCAGACAGGAGUGAAAAGUACCAUUUGGUGAGCCUUUCAUAUUUCAGAAGGCCUAAUUUCUUUCACACAGUUAUUAUUUAUUAUGGUUUUGGUCUACUGAGGGCCUUGUCCCAGUUUUCAGACAGUUGUUAUUUGAUCAUGUAGUAGAGAUUUCGCAGACGAUUUUUCAGAUGGUGUUUAGUUGAUAUUGGAUUUUAUUCCUCAUUGUUAAACUAGAUUUAGAUUAUGACUAUGUUUCCAUAACAGAUUUUAUUUCCGCAUUUUCUAUUUAUAUAUGAAUGGUGUAUAAGAUUAAAAGUUAGAAGGGCUCUCGGGCCUUCAUGGUUCGGGAUGUCUUUCACGGCCAGGGCCCUGAUUCGGGUCGUGACAAUAUCAUAUCGUUAUAAUAUUUGUUUAAUAUUCAGUAUUAUUAAUUUAUCAAUAAUUAAUUAUAUUAUUGUUACUGUUAUUAUAUUAAAUAUAAAAUUAUUAUUGAAGUAAUAAUAUUAUUAUACACUGUCAUAUUAUUGUACUGUUAUUAUUAUAUUAAUAUUUUAUUAACAGUUUAAAUAUUAUUGUUAUUGAUAUUUCUAUUACUGUUUCCCAACACAAUUUACAUUGAUGUUAAUAUCGCCAUUGAUCAAAAGAGUUGUAAAAAAGAAAAUGAGAAUUAUCCCAAAAAUGUGUUUAGUAAGUUUAUUUCUUAAUUGUUUAAAUUAUAUCACAUUUAUCUACUUAUCUUAAUAAUCAUUUUCUUGAUUUUGAGAUGAGAGGCAUGCAUCAUUUACGUAUACCUUGCAUGAAGAUUUUAUUACUUCAAGAAGCAAUGAUAUUAUUUGAUGUACAUGCAUAUUCUUAAAUCACUGGUUCAAUAUGAAACUUCUUCUUUCUUUUUUCUAUGUUUUUUUUCUUAAAAAAAAUAUGGACAUUCCUUGAAGGAGAUUUUUUUUUUUGUUUUUUUGUUUUUUUGUUUUUUUUUUAAAAUAGAUGUUUACAUGUUAAUUUCAUUUGUGCAAUUCAAGGUACAUGAACAUGGGUUGGUACUACAAGACUCUUCAAAAAUUCUACUUAAGUUUUUUUUUUUUUAAAACCUUUUGUUGUUUCCAAGUUCAAUUGAUCUCUCUCUAUAUUACUAAUAUAUACAAGUGUUGAACAGCUGAUCAAAGAAGGCACCUGGAAGCUGGCAGGUGGAGGUUGUCCUGCCAGCUUCCAAGGGUUAUUUCCGUCAUUUCGGCCAACUUCUCAAGGGCUAUUUCUAUCAUUUUGCCUGCCAGCUUAAUCUAAAGGAUAUUUUUAUCAUUUUAGUAAUCAACUUUAUACGUGUUACACCCUUGUGAGAACACCAAGAUAGCAGACAUGUUUCCAUUCAGUCGAAAUUAAUUGCCACUUCUUCGUUUCCACCGCUUCUUUUUGAGAUCUUGAUUUCAAGUACUGUGAGUUGAAAAUCUCUUUUAACUUUUAUAUCCCGUAGGAUUGUUCGAUUGAUGUGUUGUUUCUUGUGUCCAUAAAAUAGGAGUUCCCGAGUAUUUUUCGUCACUUCAGCUUCGUACCCCCAAAUUGUUGCUUCUUGAGUACCAGUUGUUGCUCCUUCUUUUGAUCAUGAAAUCUAUUAGUUUGUGAUUUGAUGAUUUCGUGUUUUUAUUGUGUUCUCCAAAGACUUUCUGGUAGUUCAGCAGUUGUUUGCCAACAAUGAUUUAUGACUGAUUAAUUCAAGUUAUGUGCUAUGCGUUUGCUUUCAUUUUGCUCACGUUGACUUAAAUAAAACUCCCACGGAAUAUUUCUUGCAAGAUUUUAUCAAAAUUUAACAGAACACAAAUCCGUUAGUUUUCGUAUUAAUUGUAGUUGCUUAUACCAAUUUUUACAUGCAUGUAUUGUCAACAAUUAUUGGGUCUUGUAAAAUCCCUGAAGCAGGCAGAAGGAGGUUGUCCUGCCAGCUUGCCCAACUGCUACUUUCGUCAUUCUGAGUGAACUUUAUAUGUAUAAAAUUAUUGUUACGCAUUUUUCUAUAUUGUUAGAUGUUUUGCCUAAAAGUGUAUUUAUAAAUUUGAUCUAUCACAAUUGUUGGAACAUGUUAUAUAUGCAUUGCAUAUUUGCAUAUUAUACGUCUAAUCUGACAUUUUAGUUAUUUUUGGACUCCCAGAUCAGUAUUCAGAUUGAUGAGCUUGAAAGGGUUCCGGGUUGACACUAUACCAUUUGAAGAGUCAUUUGGAGGUAUGUGUUGCUUCUUGAUCACCCCUUACUAAUUUGUCUCCUCUGUAGUAACUCUUAAUUCCCCCUAUACUUUUCCGAAGUAUAGACUUGUAGGUUCUUGUCCUUUGAAUUUUUGUUUUUACAUUUCAAUUAUCUUUUUAUCUUAUUAUGAUUACUACUUAUGCUGAUUUGUCAAGUUGUUUAACAGUUUUUUGCUAUGAAUGUAUGUUUUUCUGUUAUUUGUUUUUUUACACUGCUUGAGAUUGUUUUUUCUUGAGCUGAGGAUCUACGAAAAACUUCUAUACCUCUAAGAUAAUGAUAAAAUCUGCGUACACUCUACUCUCUAUUUUAUUUGAUUACAAUGGGUAUGUUGUUGGAACAUGGCUGCAAGAUCAUUGGACCUUUUGUAUUUGCUAACCGUUAAAGCAUUUCUUAAAGAUCUGGGAAAGUGUUAACACACGUCAAUUAGAAGGACCAAAAUAAAUUUAAGAAUUUGACUUAAAUAAUGUUAUUUAUGUCGAUAGCUACUGAAGCAAAGAUACUAAUUCCUCUCCUCUAUUUUCCUUUGAAUGAAAUUAUUCCAUAUGGGUUGAUUAUUGGUAAAUAUAACAAUGCUUUUCAAAGGAAAAACAUAAUGAUGAUGGCGAAAACAUCUUACAGCUGCCUAUUCUUGAACUUCUCUUCUGAUUUUUUGAUAAUGCCUCCAUGUGUAAGCAAGAAAACAAUGAUUAAUCAAAGUAGCCACUUCUUAAGCCACGUAUCAUUUUUGUUGGUACUGUUUUUCUCCUUUGUUUCUUUACAUUUUUUCUUUAUCCAUUUGCUUCAACUAUUAGAAAAAGCUAUAAGUCAAUUUCCUGGAACUGUUACAUCUACAAAUUCUUCAACUUUUCUCUUGUGUUUCUCCAUAUUUUUCCCAUAUCCAUUUGCUUCGACUAUUUCCAAAAGGUACAAGUGCAACACAAAAGUCUUCUCUGUUUUUUAUCUUACUCAUAAAGGCCUCUUUCAAUUUACUGAUCUUUUUGAUUACUAAGAUCCUUCUUCUCCUUAGGUGUGUUCGUAGUUGUUACUGUUAGUUUGCUUUGUGAUUUGUUUUACACAUUUCAAUUUACCCUUCAAUUUUUCCUUCAAUUUUGCAAUUUACCUUUGUUCUCUGUUGCCAAUUCCUCGAAUUCUAUUAAGGUAAUUGCUUCAUUUGUUAGUCGUUAUUCUGUAUCUUCGACUUUGACUGACUGCAUAACUUUGUUGUCAUGUCUGUGCCUGUAUGGUUUGGUUGUUUGCAGAGAUUUGCAUAAUAUAUCAAAUAUAUUUAUGUGAAAAAUAGAGAAUAGGGCAGAAAGAAGAGAUCUGCCAUGGUAGAAAAGUAGGAAAAAAUUGAUCCAAAUCCACAGGAGGUUGAGUUAAAGAAAAACGAAACCUCAAUAACAAAAUACUAAUUUAAUGUAGAUGGAGGGUCUUCUAUUUUAAUACUACUCCCAACUUGCCACCCACUUUUUGUUAGUAUUAUUUUUUAUUGGUUAUGUAUCUAAAAAUUACUAAAUGAAAGUUGGUAUAAAUGACUCUGAAAAAUUACAUAAAAUAUUUAAAGAUUCAACAAAAAGUUUAAUUAAUUCUUUAAAAUUUAUCUAUAUCAAAUUGAGAUUGGAAAAUAACAUAUGUUAGGCUUCUUUAUGUAUAUAUAGUAGAUGUCGAAUCCCUGCGGUUAGUUCGUACAUUAUUCUGCUUAAACAAGGUGGUCAGUGCGAUUAGUUUAUCAAUCUUAAUGCUUGUGAUUAUUCUUUAGAGAUAGAAGAUGGUAUCUAAUUAAAUACGGUUUCUUUUUUUUCUUACGUAUCUGUGCCCUUUUCUGUACCCUUUUCUGUAUGUUUGUUACUGAGUUAUCCUUUUCUGAAUUACGAACAUUUGUUUAAUGUUUGAAUGUCACUUCUAUUUGUUGGAAUUCUUGAUUUUAAAAUUACAUUUUUAUAUCGAUGCUGCAAGUUGCAUAGUUGAAAUUGCUUACACUGUUUACUACAUAGAUGACGAUAAACAAAGAGUCUUCAUCGCAAUCUUGUUCUUCCGAAAAAAGAAAACGCAAUUGUUCAGCAGAGAGAGCUUUUAAAAUCAAGCUAAGGCGACAUGAGUGAUAUACACCGUUGUCGCUCGACAAAAAAGAGCAGCUUUUAUUCCAACGUUGCAAACAAAAACUUGAAUCAAAAAAUACAUGUCUGUCGGCUGCACUGAUCGGUGAAGCAUUACGCCCUCGGAUAAAUGUUACAUUAGGUAGACAAAAAACUCUAACAAUACGAGAGCCAUCUUUUUCUACCCAAAAAAGUUAGAUACCUCCGAAAAUUGGUAAUCUAAAUAUUGCACUGUUUGUAAUUUUUAUAAAAUAUAUAUGAGUAAUAUUGAAUAAGAUAUUUUUUUGUUACAGCAGCAGAUACAUCUAACACUAACAAAGCAACAAUAGACUUUGACAAAGGAAAGAAUAUAACUGAAUUUCUCUAUCUUUGAAACUAGUGCGUAAUUAUUAGUAACUUUCCAAAAUUUUACCUAUCAAGGAGUAUAUGUCUUAUUAAGGUGAUUACUGUUUAGGUUCAACAUCAGAUCCCUCCUCUAAACAACAUACUGUUGGAUUUCCCCAAGAGACAGUUGUAACAACACAAGAGUCAUCUUUUAUUACCAAAAAAGGUCAAAUAUCUCAUGAAUUUGUAAUUUGAGUAUUAUGUUAUUUAUGAUUUUAUAUGUACAGAGAUUGUUAAUGUUGACUAUGAUUUUCAUUCUUCAACAGCCGCUGCAUCUCAAGUAAAGAAUUUAGAAAUAGUGAAAGACUCCAACAAAAGAAAAAAUACAACUGGUCACUUCUCCAUAUUCGAAAUCGGUUUGUAAUCAUUAAGAUAUCAUUUAGUUUUAAUUUAGCAAAAUAAAUAUCAUGCUAAUUGAAUUGAUCAUUCAUUAGGUUCAACAUCAAAUGUUUCUACUGAACGGAAUCAUCCAAUAAUAUCAGUUGUCGCAAAAAAAGGUAUGUCUUCUUCCUAGAGUCGGUUUGUGCUUGCAAUUCUUCUGUGAAAAAUCAUAUGCUAAAUUGUCAUAAUUCAUACACACAGGUUCUAGAUCAAAAAUUAAAGGUUGUUGGAAUUAUAAACAAUUACCCAAUAAUGCAAGCGUUUUAAAAGCAACGUCAAAUUGUAAAUAUUGUCGAACCAAAAGAUUUGAAUAUGAAUCCCCGGGAUUUUGUUGUAGCAAUGAUUCAAUUGAGUUAACAUCACAUCAAAUUCCUAAUGAACUAUUAAAUCUUUACUCAGGUGAUACUGAAGAAUCUAAACAUUUUCGCACUUACCUUAGAAUUUAUAAUAACUUGUUUGCAUUCACGUCACUUGGAGUCAAUUAUGGCAAAGUGUUGGCUAAAAGAAAUGAUGGUAUUUAUACAUUCAAAGUACAAGGACAAAUGUAUCACUUCAUUAAUGAUUUGAUUUCGUUAAAUGGACAACCAAGAAAUCUACAACUAUAUUUUUAUGAUGAUAACACUGAGAUGUUGAAUCGAAUGGCUUCUUCAAGUGUGCUUAACCGAACAGUUAUUGAGAAAUUAAUGAACAUUUUAAAGAUAAAUCCUUAUUGUAUUUUCUUGAAAUCUCUUCUUCACAUUCGUGAAUUAUUAAAUUUUUAUAUCGCAUUGAGAUGUGGGUCUGGUUUAGAUCAACGAGUAUAUAACCUACCGAUUGUAUCUGAAGUGGCAGGAUUGUGGUUAAAUGAUGAAACAAGUAACAAUAAUUCAGCACCUCAUAUUCGAAUUUCUAUGCAUAAUAACAAAAGCCAAAUAGUUAAUUAUUAUUAUGGUUGUUAUGAUCCUUUGCAAUAUCCUCUUUUAUUUUCAUAUGGACAAAAUGGAUGGCAUUGUGGUAUUCAAAAGGUUAUACUUUCUGAAAAUAAAUUCACAAAACGAAAAAAAUCUUAUUAUGAAAAUGAACAUCUUCCAAGCUUAUCUAACAUGUGUUCAAUUGAUGGGCUACUUGAUAUGGAAGCCGACGUUCUACAAAAAGGAAAUUAAAAAAAAAUACUGUUUCAUGUCGUGAAUACUAUUGUUAUAAACUUCAAAUGCGAGACGAUGAAGAAAAUAAAAUUUUACACGUAGAUAGAUUAUUUCAACAAUACUCGGUUGAUGAAUUUAUAAAGGUUGAAACUCAAAGAUUAGAUUUUGCAUCUUUUAAUCAAGAAUUAUUUCGCACUGAUAUGUUACAAGAACUUUUUGAUAUAUUAAUACUUGGUGAAAGAGAAGCUUCAAAAAUAGGAAAAAAAUAAUUUCUUCCAGUAAGUUUUAUCGGUGGUCCGAGAGAUAUGCGCUGUCGUUACAUGAAUGUUAUUGCGUUAGUUCAACAUUUUGGAAAACCAGAUAUAUUCCUUACUAUGACUUGCAAUCCUUCUUGGCCAAAAAUAAAAAAACAUUUACUAUCAAUAGAUGAAACUCAAAAUAGACCUGAUUUGAUUAGUCGUGUGUUCAAAGCGGAAGUGGAAGAAAUGAAGACAGAUAUACUAAAACGGCACAUAUUUGGACAAGUUACUGCUUUUAUGUACACUAUAGAAUUUCAAAAGCGAGGUCUUCCACAUGCUCAUUUUCUUAUAAUACUUAUUGAGGAUUAUAAAUUACUAACAACCGAAGCAUAUGACAAAUUUAUUUCUGCCAAACUACCUGAUCCUGAUGUUUACCCUUACUUGUAUGAACUUGUUAUUAAACAUAUGAUGCAUGGUCCCCGCGGUCAUUUGAAUCCAACAAACUCAUGUAUGAAGAAAAAUGGACAGUGCAAAUUUAAGUAUUCUAAAACUUUUGCUAAUGAAACAACAAAAGGAAACAACUCAUACCCAAUUUAUAGAAGACGAAAUACGGGUAAAGUUGUGAAAGUUAGAAAAUAAUUUUUGGAUAAUUCAUGGAUUGUUGCUUACAAUCCUUAUCUACUAUGCAAAUACAACUGUCAUAUAAAUGUUGAAGUUUGCUCUGAUAUUAAAGUUGUCAAAUAUAUAUACAAAUACAUUUGUAAAGGACAUGAUAAAAUUUCAUUUCACGUACAUGAAAAUAAUACAAAUAUUGAAUUAGAUGAAAUAAAAGAAUAUCAAUCUGCUAGAUAGGUAUCGCCACCAGAAGCUAUGUGGCGUUUAUAUGCCUUUCAUAUUAAUGAAAUGAGCCCAAGUGUCUACCACCUUCAACUACAUCUUCAAGAACAACAAUUUAUCUAUUUUAAAAAAACUGACAAUAUUAUUAGCAUCGUGAAAAAUCCUAUGGUCAAAAAGACAAUUUUGACAAAAAUUUUCAUGAUGAACGCUACAAAUAAAGAUGCUAAAGAGCUUAAUUUGUUACAUAAAGAUUUUUCACAAUACUUCGUAUGGUCACCUACUUACAGAAUGUGGACCAAAUGAAUACAAGGCAAAGUUAUCGACCGUGUUGUAACAGCUCAUCCAACUGAAGGAGAAAGAUAUUAUUUUCGAUUAUUACUAAUGAAUGUAAAAGCCCCAAAAUCUUAUGAUGAUCUUCUGAAAGUAAAUAAUGUACAUUACAAGACAUUUAGAGAAUCUGCAGGAAAAAAAAAGGCUUAUUACAUUGUGAUAAUAAUUUGAUUGAAUGUAUGUUAGAGGCUACGUCCUAUCAAAUGCCUUAUAGUUUACGAUGAUUAUUUGCUACAAUAUUAGUAUAUUGUAAUCCUGAAAAUCCGAAAGAAUUAUUGGAACAAUUUAAAGAUUCAAUGUUCGAAGACUUUAAAAAUCUACAAAACAUUUUACAAAAAGAUAUACAUUUUGUUGUCCUAAACAACAUUAAUGAUAUAUUACAUUCUAUGGGACGCGAUAUUAAUGAGUUCAACCUUGUUUCAGAAACUAUCACGUCUUCAAAGGUAACAAAAGAAGCAAAGGAAGUGAACUUCGAAAAAAAUAUCAUUGUAAGUGAUGAAGAAUUAUUAUUACAUCAAAAAUUAAACAUAGAACAAAAAAAGGCAUAUGACAUAGUCCUUCAAAGAAUAUUAGCAAAUAAAGCAGGAGCAUUUUUCAUAGACGGUCUUGGUGGAAGUGGUAAGAUAUUCUUAUAUCGUGCCUUAUUAGCAACUAUCAGAUCUAAAGGAUUUAUAGCAUUAGCAACAACAACUUCUGGCAUUGCUGCUUCAAUCCUUCCAGGAGGAAGAACAGCACAUUCGCGCUUUAAGAUUCCAAUCAAUGUUGACGAAAAAUUCUCUUGUAAUAUCAGCAAGCAAAGCUCACUUGCAUCUUUGAUUCAUGGUGUGAAAUUAAUAGUAUGGGAUGAAGUAUCAAUGGCAAAAAAGAAUAUGAUUGAAGCAUUUGAUUCUCAUUUAAAAGAUAUAAUGGAUUCAAAUAUAUUAUUUGGUGCAAAAGUUGUCGUUCUUGGAGGAGAUUUUAGACAAACUCUACCCGUAGUUCGAAGUGGCAAAAAAGAAGACUUCAUUCGAGAAAGCAUUUUGAAUUCACAAAUAUGGAACCAACUUAAGAAACUUCGAUUAUCAGAGAAUAUGCGUGCUAAAACUGAUCCCUCUUUCUGUGAAUAUCUGAUGCGCAUAGGAAAUGGACAAGAAAAAACUAACAUGAAUGACAAAAUAAUUAUUUCAAGAUGUUUCAUUGUUCCACAUACUACUGAAAAAGAAUCUUUAGAUCUUUUAUUUAAAACAAUAUAUCCUAAUUUUCAUACUUCUUUUCAAAACUCAACUUUUUUAACUUCUCGUGUAAUUUUAACAACAAAAAAUGAUUUUGUUGAUGAGUUAAAUGCUAGACUUAUAGCUCAAUUGCCUAAAAAUGCUAAGACAUUUGUCGCAAUUGAUGAAACUAUUGAACCAAGUGAUCAAACUGAGUUUGAAGAUUUCUUACAUUCACUAAACCCUCCAGGUCUACUUCCUUACAAAUUAACCUUGAAAGAGAAUUGUCCUAUUAUGUUAUUGAGAAAUUUAAAUUCUUGUGAAGGUCAAUGCAAUGAUACACGUUUAAUAUGUUGUGAUUUUAAGAGUCAUGUUAUAACUGCUAAAAUUGUCAGUGGUGAUUUUAAAGAUUCACAUGUAUUUAUACCAAGAAUACCAUUAUUAUCUUCAAAUGAUGAAAAAUUACCCAUCCCAUUUAAAAGAACACAAUUUCCAAUACGAUUAUGUUUUGCUAUGACAAUAAAGAAAGCUCAAGGACAAACAUUAGAUUAUGUUGGAAUUUAUUUACGUGAGCCUGUCUUUUCUCAUGGCCAAUUGUAUGUCGCUCUAUCGAGGGCGAAAAGUUCAGACAAUAUAAAAAUAUUAAUUCGACCACCUACAGCUGAUAACAAUGGUGAUCAAUCUAGAUACAAUAUAGUGUAUCAUGAAAUUAUCUCUAAAGCUUUUCUUUAACUUUAUGUCCUAUCUGACUAAAUGAUUGCGAUAAUACAUCCAAAAAAAACCACAUUUUAUAUCAAAAGCAGGAAGUUCAUGGACGUGUCACGCACGACUUCUCGGUAAGUUCUUACAUAUUUAAACCAUCACUAUAAACUGUUAUUUUCGUAUUUAAUUAUCAGCAAGCUCAAUGGAACUAAUUCAUUAGACCAUUGGAUCUGUAUGAAUCGUUUCCCUGCUACUGUUAUUCAACGGGAUAAAACUCAGCAGGUAUUGAUAAUUUCUCUGUAAUCCUGGUACGUUAAUCUCGUGAGACAUAUAGUUCCAAUUUGGCUAUUUAUACUCCACUUAAAAUAAUGUACCUGCGAUCUUUUUUUUGACGAGCAUCACGCACAAUCUUGAAUUGAAUUUCCUUUAAGAUGUAGAUGAAAAUAUCAGUGUCACUAUUAUUGGGCCCGCGCAACGGCAUCUAGUAUAUAUAUGUAUUACACAUGUCUGAUUUCGUACUUAAUUUAAAUGCAAAAAUAGAUAGUUUAUUUGCUAUUUAGAUUUGAUUGCAAAUACUUAUGUUUAUGUUGGUUUCAUGUCUCUUUAGUAAUUUUAAUUUUGUUUUUUAUGUAGGAAUAUUUUCAAUAUGUAUUUUUAUGUGUUUAAGUGUAUUUUUAAAGAGUUUUUAAGUGUAUUUUUUUAAUAGUGCUUUUCUCAAAUAAGUAUUUUUGGGAAGAAGCUAUGUUUUCAGCUGAUGAAAAGCUGUUUUUUCUACUCUGGAAAAACACUUAUUUUCUUUCAAACGUUUGGCUAAAUACUUCAUUUAAAAAAAAAAAAAUAUUUUCUUAAUAUUAUUAAGCUUGGCCAAAUAGGCUAUAGAUCAGAUGAAAAUUUAAUAAAAAAAUCAUUAGAAACAUAUAAUAAUACUAAACUGUGUAUAUUUCGAUAGACCAAAAUAAGAAAUAAAUUAGAAAUGUCGAGUUAUGUAGGAUGUAAGUUCGACCACACAGUGAACUUAAAGAGUGAGUAUUACAUUUUUAAAAAAUUACAAAUAAAAGACAUAAAAAUUUUAUAUUUAUCACACUCAACUUGUUACUUGCGAUCGUUCAAAAUGAAAAAGGAAUGAAUAAUUCUACUAAUGUACUAUCAAAAUGAAAAGGCAAUAGAUAAUUCUACUAAUAUAAUCAUCAUUUUGUAAGUUUAUUUAUAUAUAAUAGUUUUUCGUACAUUUAUACACUAAUUAGGAAAACAGUUAUUCUACUGUAACAAAAAGUUUUGAUUUGUGCGUAAACAAGACGGAACAUCUUAGAGUCAGGGAUAUAUAUAAAUAAACUUUAUGAACGGUAAGAAAAAACUAAUUAUAAGAAAAUCUUAUAGCUAUACUAUUUUAUGCAAAGUAUUUUCUGUCAUUUACUUUGAGUAUCAUUUUCACAUCGUUAUGUUGUGAUAAUGUCCCUAUUCCUGGAGUAUAAAAAGGAUAUCUUAUUUGAAAAAAUGGACAGUAAUAAAACAAUACCAACAUAUAUACAAUAUUAAAUGUUAGUAUGCAAUAAGAACGAUCCAAAAAAUUGAAAAUAAUAUCUCAACUAUGUCACAAAUAAUUAAAAUAAAUAUGUUUCUACUAUCUAUCUUUGCUUUUUUGUUUUAAAAAAUAAUCCGCGCAUUGCGCGAGAAUGAGUACUAGUAUUGCUAAUAUCAUGGUUUACUAUGCAUUAGUUACAUACCGUUUAACUAAUACAUGCAUAGAUUGGAAGUCCUAACAAAUAAAGGUUAAAAUUAUACCAUAACUUAUACAUCCCACUAAACGACCCAUUGAUGACAAUAUUACAGUUUGAAUUUUACAUGAACAUAUAUAGCUAAGCUGACUCUUCAUAGCUUUAUCAGUUCAUCAACAAACAACAACAGAUAAAAAUAUGAUUUAUUUUCCAUAUUCUGCAAUAAUAUGAAGAUAGUAAGAUUCUAAGUUGCGUGGAUUGUUCAGUUUCGAUGCUCCACCCGUGUUCUCCAAAAAUGUACUAUUUUUUGAGAAUUUAACACGCAUUCAUUGACAAUUUUGAAGAGUCCGACCAACAUAGAUAGGAUCAUCACUGUUCUGUUCAUAAUUAUUUGGCAAGUGUUGGCUCAAUAGAAAAUUCUUUUCCAAUAAGAACUGAUAAACCUGUCAUCUCCAAAACACCACAUGCACUUCUAUCAAUUUUUGUUCCAAUUUUAGUGGCCAAAUUAUAUUCAGUUAUUUUUCUCACCCCCUUUUUCAGUCCAAGAAAAGUCACUUUGUGUAUUGUCCAAUUCUUACUCAAAGCAAACUCUUCAUUCAUAACCUUUGAUCUGAGAUAUAACUUAUUAUUCACAACAUUAGCGUGAAAUUUCACAAGGCUCCAUUUUCCUCCCUCUCCUCCCAUUUCAACGUCUUCGGCAUCGUCCAAGAAAACUUCUCCUGAACUAUUUCCCCAGUUGUUGAUGGCAACAAGUAGUUCAAAUGGAGUUGCCCUUGCUGCUCUUGUCGUCAUUGCUUCUCCUUGCAUUGCCACAAUGUUUCCCUCUUGGAGGUGCACAUUGAUAUGAUCAGGAGGCGCCUCUAGGCUGAUGUAGCUACCGGACUUCAUGUUCACAUAUUUUGAAUAGUUGAACAUGUUGAACCAGGUACCGGAUGGAAAAUAUGCAUCAACUGAAACCGCACCAGCUGUCAGUACUGGUGAUAUCAUUAGCCCCUUACCGACGAGAAACUGAG
This 411403-nucleotide long non-coding RNA is filed under the name Capsicum annuum. RNAcentral describes it as "long non-coding RNA (CANN_LNC007700)". Lineage: Eukaryota; Viridiplantae; Streptophyta; Magnoliopsida; Solanales; Solanaceae. The record is from RNAcentral.